GCUCAUGAUGUACUAAAUGGAAAUAAAAGCAGUAAUUUGCAUGAUAUAUUUUCAAUGCUAAUAAUUAAUGAACAUGUAAGCAACAUGGGAUCAUAGUCUCAACAGUGAUGAAUCAACUGAUUAAUAGAAGCAUAGCAACUACUAUAAGCAUGAACAUAAGCAUAAAUGUGUAAGUAACUACUGUACACUGUAACUGAUAAUCAUUCAUUACUGUCCAAUUUCCUUUAGCACUUUCCUUUCAUUCACAGGGACCUACCCAAGGUAGUCCAGCUUGCGCCGCGCCUAAUGGCCCCGUGGUAGUAUACACUUCCCACGGCAAUCCACUUCGGCACCCAAUCCCGCACGGGCGAGCAACUGUCGCAUAGGCUAACUCCGGAGUGCCGGCUUGUAGGGAGCUACCCUCACAAGCGUGUGCGAAUGAGCACAAUGGCAAGCAAGCAUAUUUCACAGUUCACAUGCCUCAAUUAUCAUAUUCUCAUUUGCAAUGUUCUUACCCUCGAUCCUCUGAUCGGAAUUUCAAUACACAAAGAGUAACAAGAACUAGUAUCCACUAGAUUGUACACAUAUAAGAGUAAUGCUAAAUCACAUGGCAUUAGAAUCUUUCCACUAUUAUGGCACUAUCAACAUGGUCAUAAGCAUGUUAUAAUUUUCUACUUUAGAGUCAAGAGAAUGUCAUUGUUCUCUACAAAGUCACGAGAAUAUUAUUGUUCUCUACAUUACAAAAGCAUCAUUAGUAUGUCCACUAGUUAACUUAACUAAAUAUAAACAUAAACAGAAGCAUAAAGACACUUAUGCAUGGGUGCUCUCUACUUCAUAGAGGUUCUAUUCAGCUAUAUAUAUAUAUCAACACUAUAAUAUAGUGACUUGUCUCAAGUUCUAUAUCAAUCACAAAAGCAUACAACUGUAUCAAUUCUAUAAUACAUAUAGAACCUAGGGGAGCUCCACUUGCUCUGGUUAGGUCAAACCCACCUCGCACUAAGCUCAAAUCAGUCCAAAGGAAUCCCAAGGAUCAGCCCCACUCGGUCUCAAGCCUGCCGAACACGAAGCACAAAUAUCGUAUCACAAUUAUGAUCGACACGUCCAAUUUCGGCGCAAUUGCACUUAGUACAUAGGAAUAGCUUAAAUUCCUGUUUUGGCUCAAUAAAUACCUCAAGUUAAGUUUCCAAAAUCCCUCACAUAUCAGCCGGAGGUAAUCCGAAGGUCCGUUGCAAGCCCACUGCGAACUAUUUCCCAAAACGGCAACAAAGUCGUCAAUUACUAACAAUAUAGUCGGAAUCAUGCGAAUUCAGUUUUCUAACUGAAAUUCCUACUUACCUCAGGUUAGAACACUUGUAGAACACUUCGAGACAGUCCCCAAGGUCAUCCAAUUAACUCCAAAUGGUUCGAGAACCUGCUGCGAAGGAAUCAUACAAAACUGCGUCAAUAAACUGCACAUUGUUCCGAAAUUGAGUUAUAACUCACUACUUAUCCUUCAUAAGCUUUAAAGUAACGUAUCUCAGAGUUUAGAUGGAUAAUUAGCAGCCAAAAGAACCCUUCUUUACUGCUGAAAAUAAUUUCUAGCUCAGUUGGAAGCAACGAGACUAAACGGCGUCCAAAUUCAAUGCUAAAUCGGAAACUAGAGAGGAAUCGAGUUGAAUACCUCUCUAAAGCUGUGAUUCAGCCUUUCCUGGUGAUAACCUCACAAGAAACACAGCAAAACUCCUUCUCCCCACAUGCCAAAGGCUUCCCUUGAGUCCUCCUAUCAGCGAGCAACGAACGCGGCGCGAAAACGGCGCGAAUCGGCGGCUUUUCUCUAGAGAGAGAAAAACCCUAGAGAGAGAGAAAGAGAGAAGAUGGAAGACUCUCUCCUGAGCUCCAGCAACUUCUGAAGAGGUCCAGGGGUCGAGCUGGGAGGAUAGGGAUGAGUAAAGGAUGUGAAAAGACCAAAACAACCCUGCUGCCACGCAGCUGCAGCUGCUGCUGCUUGCUGUACCGGUACAGCAUUAUGCUUGUACCGGUACACCAAUGCAGAAAAUGCCAAUUUCACGAUUUCAAUGCACUUUCUCGCUUUUAACCCUCCAAUCACUCUCUAACUUAUUCAAAAACUUGUCCAAGUCAUUUAGAACAUAUAGAAUAGUUCCACACUUCAUUCCACACAUUCGAACUCUGCAAUUUGCGAAAGUUCAGUGUAUUACAUUCACCCCUCCUAAAAAGAAGUUUCGUCCGCGAAACUUGUAAACACUUACCUCACGAUUCCAUCGAGAAUAGAUAGGGAUAAUGCUCUUGCAUUGCACUCUCCAGUUCCCAAGUGGCUUCCCGUUCAUCGUGAUUGCCCCAAAGGAUCUUCACGUAAGGUAUCUCGCGAUUUCGAAGCCGUUUAACUUCUCGAGCUAGUAUCUUUACUGGAUGCUCCUUGAAGCUCAGAUCUUCUUGUAAAUCCACUGGAGUACUCUCCAAUAUGUGCGUUGGAUCAAAAAUAUAUUUCCGAAGCGUAGAUACAUGAAAUACAUUAUGCACUCCUGAUAGGCUCGGCGGCAAAGCAAGUCGAUACGCUACGGGGCCUAUCCGUUCCAACACCUCAUAGGGUCCGAUGAAUCGGGGACUUAACUUUCCUCAAAUACCAAAUCUCUUAACUCCCUUUGUCGGUGAUACUUUCAGGAAUACAUGAUCGCCAACCUGAAAUUCCAUUUCUCGCCGACGUUUAUCCGCAUAACUCUUUUGUCGACUUUGAGCUGUCAAUAGACGUUCUUGUGCCAGUCGAACUUUAGCUUCAGCCUCUUGCAGUACAUCUGGACCCAAAACUAAUCUCUUUCCCACUUCAUUCCAAUGAAGUGGUGAUCUGCACUUUCGACCAUAAAGGGCUUCAAAAGGUGCCAUUUGAAUACUUGCGUGAUAGCUAUUGUUAUAGGCAAAUUUUGCCAUAGGCAAGAACUGUGACCAACUGCCCUGGUAAUCUAUCACACAGGCCCGCAACAUAUCCUCAAGGGUCUGGAUGGUACGCUCGGACUGCCCGUCACUCUGGGGGUGGAAAGCAGUACUGAAAUCCAAUCGGGUACCCAAGGCCUCCUGUAAACUCCUCCAGAAAUGUGAAACAAAUCGGGUGUCCCGAUCUGAAACAAUAGAGGUUGGUACUCCAUGUAAUCGCACAAUUUCAUCAAGAUAUACUUGUGCGAGUCUCUCUCCUGACCAAGUUGUGUGGAUUGGAAUAAAGUGGGCAGAUUUGAUUAAUCUAUCCACAAUUACCCAAAUUGCGUCAUGACCUGCUUGUGAGCGAGGUAAUCCAACGAUGAAGUCCAUAGUGAUCCUCUCCCACUUCCACACUGGUACGGGUAAGCUCUGAAGUUUCCCCGCAGGAAGUCGAUGUUCAGCCUUAACCUGUUGACAGGUUAAGCAUCUUGCUACAAAAUCAGCAACUUCCUUUUUCAUUCCAGGCCACCAGUAAGUCGAUUUCAAAUCUUUAUACAUUUUUGUACUCCCAGGGUGUAAAGUAUAUGGCGCCCGAUGUGCUUCCUUUAAAAUUUCCUCUUUAGUAUCUGGAUCGGCAGGUACACAAAUUCUAUCACCGAAUUUUAGUAAUCCCUGAUCAUCUACUUGAAAGUCGCCAACAGGAUCAGUAAUGAUCUUUGCUCGAAUCUUUUGUAGGAAUUCAUCAUGAAUUUGCUUAUCUUUAAUUCGAUCGAUCAGGGUAGGUUGCACUACCAAUGACAUAAGUCUCCAAGGUGUAUCAGGAGCAACAACUUCCAAACUCAACUGCUCCAUUUCCUUUACCAACAGGGGUUGCAUAGUUAUUAACAUCGCCAAAUUUUCUGUCGAUUUUCGACUCAAAGCAUCUGCUACGACAUUAGCUUUUCCUGGAUGAUAGAGGAUAGUCAAAUCAUAGUCCUUGAGCAACUCCAACCAUCUACGUUGUCUCAAGUUUAAUUCCUUCUGCGUAAAUAGAUACUUUAAGCUUUUAUGAUCAGUGUAGACUUCACAACGCUCGCCGUAGAGGUAGUGGCGCCAAAGCUUUAAAGCGAAUACCACAGCUGCUAACUCAAGAUCAUGUGUAGGGUAGUUCUUUUCAUAAUCUUUCAAUUGGCGAGAAGCAUAGGCAAUUACUCUGCCAUUCUGCAUUAGAACACACCCUAAUCCACUCAGUGAUGCAUCGCUGUAAAUCACAUAAUCCACUCCACUAACAGGCAAAGCCAGAAUCGGGGCGGUGGUCAAUCGUUCCUUCAGCUCUUGAAAGCUUCUUUCGCAGGCUUCAUUCCAUAGGAAUUUAGCUCCUUUAUGUGUAAGUCGAGUAAGAGGAGUGGACAUCUUCGCAAAUCCUUCUACAAAUCUUCAGUAGUAUCCUGCCAAUCCAAGGAAACUCCGAAUUUCAGUGACACUGGUCGGUCUAGGCCAAUCUUUAAUUGCUUCAAUCUUCUUGGGAUCCACAGCUAUCCCAGUUUCAGAAAUCACAUGGCCCAAAAAUGCCACUUCUUGAAGCCAAAAUUCGCAUUUCUUUAACUUGGCAAAUAGUUCCUUUUCUCGAAGUACUUGUAACACCACUCUUAAAUGGUUUUCAUGCUCCUUAUCGCUUCGAGAAUAGAUCAAGAUAUCAUCGAUGAAGACGACCACAAACCUAUCCGGAUAGGGUUUAAAGAUACGGUUCAUUAAAUCCAUAAAGGCUGCUGGGGCAUUAGUCAAUCCAAACGGCAUGACUGUAAAUUCAUAAUGCCCAUACCGUGUUCUAAAAGCAGUUUUAGAAACAUCUUCAGGCUUAAUCUUGAGUUGAUGAUAUCCGGAUUGCAAAUCAAUCUUGGAAUAUACUUUCGAUCCUUGCAACUGAUCGAAUAAGUCAUCAAUUCGAGGUAAUGGAUAUUUAUUCUUGAUUGUGACUUUGUUGAUUUCUCGAUAAUCCACGCACAAUCGAAGAGAUCCAUCUUUCUUCUUGACAAAUAACACCGGUGCUCCCCAAGGCGAAACACUCGGCCGAAUGAACCCUUUAUCUAACAGAUCUUGUAACUGUGCCUUCAACUCUUUCAAUUCAGCGGGUGCCAUCCUAUAGGGCGCUUUAAAAAUAGGGGUAGUCCCAGGGACAAGAUCAAUCACAAACUCUACUUCCCUAUCAGGUGGCAUACCCGGCAAUUCAGCUGGAAACACAUCUAUAAAUUCUCGCACAACUGGAAUAUCAUCAAUCUUGAUGGCUUCACCACCACUCACAGAAAUGCUAGCCAAAUAGGCUACACAACCUCUCCGAAUCAACUGUCGUGCUCGCGAAGAGCUAAUAGUCAUUGCGAACAAUGAACUCUGACACCCCUUAUAAACAAACUCCUGUUGACCCGGUUCUCUAAAGGUCACCGUUCUGUUCGUGCAAUCUAUGGUGGCAUAAUACUGUGUCAACCAAUCCAUACCCAAUACUACAUCAAACUCACCUAGUUUGUGUAGUGCCAAUAAAUCCACUGGCAUAAUCCAAUCGCCUACCCUAACUGGGCAACGAGGGCAAAACUCACAAACAUCUAGGGUAUGGUCAGGUACGAUCACUCGUCCCAGAUGCAAAGUAGGUGCUAAUGAAAUGCUAUGCAACUCGGCAAACUGCCGAUCAAUAAAAGAAUGCGAAGCACCAGUAUCAAAUAAUGCACGAACACGACUAUCAUAAAGCAUAAUGAUACCUGCUACGACCUCCUGUGCUGCUACAGCACCCUCGGUCUGGGCGGCAUACAUCCGCCCACUCGAACCCUGCUGCGAACUCUCUGACUGCCGCUGUCCUGGUGGUCGCCUAGACUGAUAGGGCGCUGUCGGGGUCCCCUGGCUCGGAGCUGAAGAUGCAGGUGCAGUCGCUGACGAGGGUGCAGGCAAAGAACCUCUCGGGCACUCUGAACGAAAGUGGCCCUCCUGGCCGCAAAGAAAACACCUGCCCCCACGCUGUGGACACUGUGGCGGUACGUGAGGCCCACCACAGAUAACACAACGCGGUGGUCGACGACGCUCGGGUGCUCCACGGGGUGCUGAAGAACCUCGACCCCUCGACUGACCUAACUGUCCCCUCGGAUACUUUAGUGGCUUUCUAAAGGAUUGUUGACCACUGCUCUCAACUGCUGGUCUUUUUCCUUUGCUUCUAUCCACAACGUCUCUUUCUUUCAUAAUCUCCGCCCCUUUCUCGACGAUCAAGGCCCGGUUCACUACAUCCCGGUAAGUGGAUAGGUUUGACGCCCGGACCAAUCGAAAAAUCGUAGGUCGCAAACCUACCUCAAAUAUGCGAGCCUUGUCCUCAUCAUCUCUAACCACAAAAAGAACGCAGUGCAAUAAUCGGGAGAACUCUCGCUCAUACUCUGCCACUGUCUUGUCCCCCUGCCUCAGGUUUCUCAGAUCCCUUUCCAUCUGUCUCUUUACACUCUGAGGAAAGUAAGUAGUUAAUAACAAUUCCUUGAAUCUGUUCCACGUGAUAGCGGACAGAUCAGUACGGGGAUCCUCACGGAUAUCUACCCACCACCUAUAAGCCUCGCCAUCAAGGUGGUGUGUCGCAAACCAAACUCGGUAUCGCUCCUCGACGAAUGUGUCAUAAAAUAGCUUUUUCAUGUGCAUCAGCCAUUUCUCGACCACCCAGUGAUCUGCUUUCUCCCCGUCAAAGACACGAGGGUUGCAGCGACGGAAUUCAUUCAGUUGUUCCAUCAUCCGCUCUCGCUCCUCAACCCCCACCAUCUCAGGUAACACUGUCCCUGAUGCUGCUACAGGUACUGGUCGUUGUACUGCUGUCUCCUGUCGGGUCUCUGCCCUCGGAGAUACUGGGGGCGUGUCAAGUACAGGUGACUGUGCUCUCACUGUCGCAUCCCUGCCCGAUACUGUAAGUAUAGGAUCCGGAAUCCCUCUGUCAGUCGUCUGUUGCAGUAGUAAAUCCUCUAACCUCUUCAUCCUGUCCUCCUGCUGACGCGCUGCAUCCAUCUGCUGUCGCGCGGCUGCAGCCUGCUGAGCGACCAAAUCUGUCAGCUUCGCGAGCUGAUCCUGUAACCCAUGGAUCCCACUAGAUCCCGAAGUAACGGAAGUCCCCACUUCCUCUGCAUCCGCCACCUCAGCUGCCCCGGCGGUUUGCGAACGAGUCAACGGCAUCUUAAGCUGCAACACAAAAACAAACAUAGGUCAAUAAACCCUAUACUACAGAACCCUCAUUGAGGAUAUAAACCAGCUAAUCAAGCGAAAGUAAUGAAAUGUAACGCGUACUAACUUCCGAUGUCACGUUGUCGGCCGCCAACGUGACCCUCUGCAAAGUUAGUAAUUGCACAUCCCGAUCAAACUCCUACUAGUCGGAGUUUAUAAGUACCCAAUCAAAGAACUUUCGCUAACAACAACCUCGACUAGACAUCGCCUCUCACGAGCCUAUCCUUAUAGUCCAACCAGCCUAAGGUUUACAAGGUCUACUAAGACUCAACCCUAGGCUCUGAUACCACAAUAAUCUCUCACGCCCGGGUACCAGCGGAAGCAUAUCCGGUACGUGCACAGACCCGCCAUACACCUGCAGUAUAUAAGGCGUCUACAAGCAACAAAUCGAUAGGAGUAAAGACAUAUAAUAAUCCUAUCCUGAUAUCAGAGCAUAGUAGAUGUCACAAGGAGAAUAAAGAGUAUACAAUCCAAAAUCUCAGCAAAAGGAGAAGAAGUAAGAACUAUAACAUCUGGAUCUACAACUCAUAUACAACACGGGGUACACAAAAAUAUCUGUACAAUGGUGGUCUUCUAUACAAAGGACAUCACCCUCGGCCGUAGCCCGAGUAACAAGGUGAUUGACUAGCACGCUCCUAGUAGUCCCUAGCUAGNGUGGACCUAGCAAACCUUAGGCCGGUUGGACUAUAGGAAAUAGGCUCGUGAGAGACGAGGUCUAUUUGACUUAUGAGCGAAAGUAUCCUGAUUGGGUAUCUUGAUAACUCUAAAAAGUUAGAGUUUGAUCGGAGUGUAUGGCUUCUAACUUCGCGGAGGGUUACGUUGGCGGCCGACAACGUAACAUCGGGAGUUAGUAGUGAAGGACACUUCCUUACUUUCGCAUGAUUUGGGUUUUAUCUAUUUGAGCGGGGUUGCGAUAGCGUGGGUUACUAACUUACGCUUUUAUGUUUUGUAGUGACGAUGCCGAUUACUCGCUCCCAAUCUGCCGGGGUGGACAAUGCGGCGAACUUUGAGGAGGUCGAGACCUCCGCUACCUCCGGAUCUGGCGAGAUCCGUGAGUUGAAGGGCCAGCUUGCGGCCCUCACCGAUUUAGUUACUCAGCAGGCGGAGGCGGCCCGACAACAGACCGAGGCGGCGCGCCGACAGGAGGCGCGGAUGAAGCGCCUGGAGGAUCUACUCCUACGGCAGGCAGCAGCUUCUAGGGAGACGCAGGGCCCUACACCGCCAGCACCCGUUGCGGACGUUGCACCGAGAGCGCCGUCCCCUGCGCCCAGUUCUUCGCGUGCGGUGCCUGUGGCCGCACCCCAAGAGGAGAUUUUGGUGGCACCACCGGUGCAGAGGCCCCCAGCUGGAGCUGCAUUCCCUACAUUGGUUGAGGGGGCGGAUCGAGACAGACUGAUGGAGCGUCUCAAUGAGUUCAGGAGGUGCAGCCCCCGAGUCUGCGACGGCGAGAAGGUCGACCACUGGAUCGUGGAGAAGUGGUUGAUGUAUAUGGAGAAGCUCUUCCGCGACACCUUCGUGGAGGAGAGGGACAGAGUUUGGCUUGCCACCCACCAUCUGGACGGCGAGGCCUAUCGCUGGUGGUUGGACCUCCAAGAGCACCCCAGUACAGACUUGGCGGCUAUUACUUGGACGAGGUUCAAGGAACUUCUCUUGGUGCAUUACUUCCCGACGAGCGUCAAGAGAAAGAUGGAGCAGGAUCUGCGCAGCUUGCGCCAGGGAGACCGCACCGUAGUCGAGUACGAGAGGGAGUUUUCUCGGCUUCUGCAUUGCGUGCCUUUCGUCGUGCGGGAUGACGAGGACAAGGCCCGCAUUUUCGAGCGAGAGUUGAGAACGUCUAUCUACUGGUUUGUGCAAUCCUCCAACCUCCAAACCUACCGGGAGGUGGUGGAUCGCGCGCUCAUUGUGGAGAGCGGCGUGGCAGAGAUGCAGGAGCGGCGAGAGGGCUUGGACAGGGGUAAGGCCAAGAGGCCUGCGGCUGAGGGUGCGAGCCGAAGCACCCCAGGAGCCAGCAGCUUGGGCAUGGCCCGGCGCCUCAGCGAGGAGGAUCAGAGCGACGCCGGCCCUUCCCGUGUGUGAUCUGUAGUGGCCCCCAUCAUCCACCGCAGUGUCCACAGCGGGCGGGCAGGUGCUUCCAGUGUGGCCAGGAGGGCCACGUNUCCGAAGGUCCGUUGCAAGCCCACUGCGAACUAUUUCCCAAAACGGCAACAAAGUCGUCAAUUACUAACAAUAUAGUCGGAAUCAUGCGAAUUCAGUUUUCUAACUGAAAUUCCUACUUACCUCAGGUUAGAACACUUGUAGAACACUUCGAGACAGUCCCCAAGGUCAUCCAAUUAACUCCAAAUGGUUCGAGAAUGUCACGCCCGGGUACCAGCGGAAGCAUAUCCAGUCGCGUGCACAGACCCGCCGUGUAUACCACAACUCAAGUAUACACAAGGCGUCUACAAACCAUAGAGUAAAAGUAUAUAAUUCUAACCAGGUAAUCAGAGCAAGACUUGUAAGUUUAAGCUUAUACAAUUCAAACCUUACUACAAGAAAUAAAAAUACAGUACAAUUUACAAAAACUUAAUAUACAUCUCAGUACUAAACUACAUAAACUGGUGGAGGCCAUCUAGUACACGUCCAAAAAGGCUCUAGCUAGCCGCAGACCCCUUGCCAAGAACCCUAGCCUUUCCCGCAGUGGAAGGCUCUGUAGAAACAACAACAAAGAGGGCGUGAGAACUAUUAAACAAUAGUUCCCAGUGGGUAAGCCGCCGAGAGUGGCGAAGUACACCACUAGGUCAACUGUGGCAUGAGUAGAUAACAAUAAAUAACCAAGUAAAUGCAGAUAAUGCAAUAAACAAUUACAUUCAACAGAUAUUAAAGUAAACUACUCAUGCUAUUUGCUCAACAAUAAAUAUACAUCAAUAGAUUGCAGGUAUCAAUUAUCAUAAUAGAUUCCAUCAAUCAUAUUACUUGACAAUUUAACCAAACAUAUAUCAGAUUGUAUGCAAAAAUAAUUCACUUUACCGAAAAUUACAGACGAUAUCAUGUAAUUACCUUUUUCAUUAGCAAGAAAUAAACAUAAUGUCAUUCAUUACGUUGCUAACCAAUCAUGAUGUCAACUUCUAGGUUAUUCAUUGCUAGGCUCACUUAGAUGUCAACUUUCUAGUAUGUUCAUCAAUAAGUUCACUUAACCAAAGACAUAAAGUAACUGUACUACUAUGUCCAGCUAAGGUUAAAGUACUUGACAUAACCCAAUUUCCAACAGACUUACACAAGGUAAGUUCAAGCCGCGCCGUGCCUCAUGGUCCCGUGGUAGUCCACAUCCCUACUCUAGGAAUGAGCCUCCCCCACGGCAUUCCGUUUCGGCACUCACUUCGUACAUUUGCGAGCAUCUGUCGCUAAGCUGUUCGGGAGUGCUGGCUUGGGAGGGAGCGACCCCGCAAGCGUGUGCGAACGCGCACAAUGGUAUGCAAACCAUAGUCCAUAGUACUAAUCUCACAACAGCAUCAUGUCUCUGACAUGGUAUCUCAACUCGAGCCACUCCGGAACGCGGGGCUUGGGGGGCGCGACCCCUGCAAGCAUGUACGAAAGAGCAUAAUGGCAUGCUAGCUAUAGUCCAGGAUACAAAUAUCUCAACAGCAUCAUGUCUCUGACAUGGAAUCUCAAUUCGACCCAAGGUCGGCACGGUAGUACCCAAUCAUAAGUCACUAUCAACAACUUGUUGACAAGAUUCUACCAGUCGUUAAUAUAACUUAACAAGUUAAAACUUUACAUCACACUAGUGAUUCUAUCAGGCUAUACCUGGUCAGUCACUCACAAUCCCUCACUACUCCUUACACAUAAGGAAAGUGGUUUACUAAGAUUCUGUUCAUAGACUCAUGGCACAUAUCCUGUAGUCCAAUAUAAACCUCUACUUGACUAUACAAGUAUGUUAUCAUAUCCAAAUCUAGUUAUUUACUAGAUUAUAUUCAGUUGAAUAAUCAUUCAAGUUAUGCCAUCAUAUGAAAGUCUAGUUACUUACUAGAACAUAUACCAUAAUACAAGUCUAUCAUGUGAAAGUAGAAACUAACAGGGUAAUGCAAGCAAGUAAAACAAGCGAUAAAACACUCUUCACAUGAUCUCUAUGCCAUUCAUUCUACAAUUAGAAAUGCAUAUGCCAAACAAGGCCUUUACCUGAACUUUCAGAGUAUAGCAAUUAUACAUAACAUUGCAUCGUUCAAUCCUAAAUACAUCAAUCUCUUUGUUGUUCAACAGAACUAUUUAGUCCAUUCACGAGAGAUCAAAGGCUAAAUCGUAACUUAAACCUGCGGCAAAUCAGAGCAACGAAGGUUGACUCGAUCUUUAACAAAAGUCGUCAUUUCUUCCCAAGAAAACCGACGAUUAAUAGGUAGAUUUGAGACUCUAUGCAAUGAAAUUUCGAAUACUUCCUAUUCAUCACUCAAUAUUGAGUUAAAGCCUUGAUACACGUCGAAUAACUGCGUCAAAACAUUCUAAGGAAGCGUCGUCCAAGAGACAUUAUAUGACUUAGACCCGGAUAGCUGUUCAAGUUCCCAACCUUACCGGAAACCUGGACUAGAUGCUGCAAACUAUCUGGAAUCUUCCCAAAACUGUUCAAUGACUUCACUCUUUCAUUGACCUUAACCCUUUAACGUAGCGUUUACGUAAUAGUUAACGUUACGAAGCUUAAACCAAUUAAUGCUUCAAGCUUACACUUUUUACCAUACACCUUGAUGGGAUGUAUAAGAUUUCCCGAAUCUGUUCAAAAACCUGUUCAAUCUCCCAUUAACCUUUCGAUUUUCGUUCUUUCACGUAACGAAACCGCUUUAGUCGUAAAAAGACGAACGACAUGGCCAUGUCGGUGUAGCACAUGGCCAUGCGUCACGGUCUAUGCACCGUCAUUCCGAUAAAGCCAUUUAAGUGUAGAAUAGAGAUAGGUAUAUUGGGGUCGUGCUGGACCCUACGAGUCCCUUCCAACGAACUCAAGUCUCUUCGAAGAAAGUGGAAGAGAGAAAGAGAGAGAGAUCCCAAAAAGAGAGAGAUCUCUUUUCGGCGGCUAAGCGCGGCAAAAGCGCGGCGCGAUCAACGAACGACUAACCUCCUGAGUUCCCUUCAGAAACCGUGCACCCCUCUUCCUCAAAACGACACAAAAGACCCUCCAAUGAUGGUCCCCUUCGACUAAGAGUCGAAAUCUCUCCAUGAGUUGAGCUAAAGAGAGAUCAAAGGCCAAAUCAUAACUAAAACCUGCGGCAAAUCAGAGCGACGGAGGUUGACUCGAUCUUCAACAAAUAUCGUCAAUUCUUUUCAAUAAAACUGACACUUAAUGUAUGAAAUCGAGUCUCCUUUCAACAAAAUUUCGAACUAUUUCUAUUCAUCACUUAAUACUGAGAUUAAGUUCGAUAUGUGCCUAAAUAGCUCGCUUAACUACGUCCAACUUGGAAAGAGAAGCGUCGUCCAAACGCUUAGUAUAAUCCGAUAAAACCACUGUACCCUCCGACCAAAUCUUUCACAAAGUUGAUUUCCAUUCGACUUUAACGACACUCCUUUGACUUAAAAGUUCUAAGGCUGAUAUAGAUAACUAUAAACUGCUGAUACUACGGCAAAACCUUUAACAAGCGUCGCCCGAACGUUGCCUGAAAGCCUCAUAGAGGCCGACUACACAUUUCCGAAAAUCUUCGAAUUGAACUCCAUAAUUGACUCGGUUUUUUUUUAUCCUUAAAUUCGAUAACGAAACAUGAUUUAUGUUACACACGGCUUUAACCUGUAAAGCCAGCAUCAAACUGCGCGGAAGGCACAAAGCAAAAGUCGUCUCAACCCUGAGGCAACUCAUCUCAAAGCCCUGAAGAACACCGACCUAACUUGAAGUAUUAUCCACCCAGCCUGGAAGGGCUUUACCCACUUAAGGGAGAUACAGAAGAAACUGUAGACUCAACUUCAAUAAGGAAUAAGUACACUUAUAUACAUAUCAAGUACGCUGUACGUAACUUCACAUCUAGUAUAGCCUAUACUAUCUGUCAUUACUUUCUAAGCACUGAACAAGUGAGAUAUACCAAUGUACAACAAUUUCAUGAUACCUAAGUACUAUGAUCAUCGUUAAACCGAACAACAAUAGGUGCUCCUAUCUUACCAUUCANAAAGAGAGAAGAUGGAAGACUCUCUCCUGAGCUCCAGCAACUUCUGAAGAGGUCCAGGGGUCGAGCUGGGAGGAUAGGGAUGAGUAAAGGAUGUGGAAAGACCAAAACAACCCUGCUGCCACGCAGCUGCAGCUGCUGCUGCUUGCUGUACCGGUACAGCAUUAUGCUUGUACCGGUACACCAAUGCAGAAAAUGCCAAUUUCGCGAUUUCAAUGCACUUUCUCGCUUUUAACCCUCCAAUCACUCUCUAACUUAUUCAAAAACUUGUCCAAGUCAUUUAGAACAUGUAGAAUAGUUCCACACUUCAUUCCACACACUCGAACUCUGCAAUUUGCGAAAGUUCAGUGUAUUACACUGUGUAGCCUUUUUGGCUAGUGUUGUGUUGAGGGGCGUUUAUGAUACGCCUAGGCUUGAGGAUAUCCCGGUGGUGCGGGAGUUUCAGGAUGUGUUUCCAGCUGAACUAUCGGGUAUGCCUCCUGAUAGGGAGAUUGAGUUUGUGGUAGAUCUCGUCCCUGGGACUACCCCAAUCUCAAAGGCACUCUAUAGGAUGGCACCAGCGGAGUUGAAGGAGCUGAGGGCACAGCUACAGGAUCUUCUCGACAGAGGCUUCAUUCGGCCGAGCGUCUCGCCUUGGGGAGCUCCAGUUUUGUUCGUCAAGAAAAAGGACGGAUCGCUUCGCUUAUGUGUGGAUUAUCGUGAGCUCAAUAAAGUCACGAUCAAGAAUAAGUAUCCGUUGCCGAGGAUUGACGACUUAUUUGAUCAGCUUCAGGGAUCGUGUGUGUAUUCCAAGAUAGACUUACAGUCGGGAUACCACCAGUUAAAGAUUAAGCCCGAGGAUGUUUCGAAGACGGCUUUUAGAACACGGUAUGGACACUAUGAGUUCAUUAUUAUGCCGUUUGGGCUUACUAAUGCCCCGGCAGCUUUUAUGGAUCUUAUGAACCGUGUCUUUAAGCCUUAUCUGGAUAGGUUCGUCGUGGUGUUCAUCGACGACAUCUUGGUUUAUUCCCGGAGUGAUGCAGAUCACGAGGAGCAUUUGAGGAUUGUACUCCAAGUACUUCGAAAAAAGGAGCUCUACGCCAAGUUGAAGAAAUGUGAAUUUUGGCUUCGAGAGGUGGCAUUCCUUGGACAUUUGAUUUCAGGAUCAGGCAUCGCCGUGGACCCGAAAAAAAUUGAAGCUAUCAAGGAUUGGCCAAGGCCGACGAGCGUCACGGAGAUACGGAGCUUUCUUGGCUUGGCCGGCUACUAUCGACGGUUUGUUGAGGGAUUUGCAAGGUUAUCUACUCCCCUCACGAGGCUCACGCACAAGGGUGUUAAGUUCAUUUGGAAUGAUGCGUGUGAAAGGAGCUUCCAAGAGUUGAAGCAAAGAUUGACUACCGCCCCGAUCCUAACCCUGCCAGUCGCCGGCGCGGGGUAUGUGGUUUAUAGUGAUGCUUCUUUUAAUGGAUUGGGUUGCGUUUUGAUGCAGGAUUGCAAGGUGAUCGCGUAUGCUUCUCGCCAAUUGAAGGAAUAUGAAAGGAAUUAUCCUACACAUGAUUUGGAAUUGACGGCCGUAGUCUUUGCAUUGAAGCUAUGGCGUCACUAUCUUUAUGGCGAGCGGUGUGAAGUGUACACGGAUCACAAGAGCUUGAAAUACUUAUUCACUCAGAAGGAGUUGAACUUGAGACAGCGUAGAUGGUUGGAGCUGCUCAAGGAUUAUAAUCUGACUAUUUUGUACCACCCAGGGAAGGCUAACGUGGUGGCUCAUGCGCUAAGUAGGAAAUCGAUGGAAAACUUAGCGAUACAUGUUGUGACUCAACCGCAGUUGAUCGAGCAGAUGAAGCGGUUGGAGUUGGAGAUAGUGACUCCUGACACACCCUUGAGAUUGAUGACUUUUGUAGUGCAACCUACUUUUUUGUAUAGAAUCAAAGAGAAGCAAGUUUCCGAUUUGGGAUUGCAAAAGAUUAGAGGUAAAAUGGUUGAUGGUUGCACCGGCGACUUCCUUUUGGAUGAUCAGGGAGUGAUGCGUUUCCAUGGGCAGAUUUGUGUACCCGCGGAUUCGGGGAUUAAAGAAGACAUUCUUCAAGAAGCGCACUGGGCGCCCUAUGCUAUACAUCCGGGUGGCACCAAGAUGUAUAAGGACUUAAAGUUGCUCUAUUGGUGGCCUGGGAUGAAAAAGGAUGUUGGCGAGUUUGUCGCUAGAUGCUUAACUUGCCAACAAGUAAAGGCUGAGCACCGAGUUCCCGCGGGAAAACUUCAGAGUUUGCCUAUUCCCGUGUGGAAGUGGGAGAAGAUCACCAUGGACUUUGUGACAGGAUUGCCACGCUCACAGGCGGGGCAUGACGCUAUUUGGGUGAUCGUGGAUAGGUUGACGAAGUCGGCGCACUUCAUACCUAUUCAUACGACUUGGACCGGAGAGAAGCUCGCACAAGUGUACCUUGAUGAGAUUGUGCGACUUCAUGGAGUGCCUACAUCGAUUGUAUCUGAUCGCGACACGCGCUUCGUGUCUCACUUUUGGAGGAGUCUACAGGACGCCUUAGGCACCCGAUUGGAUUUCAGUACAGCAUUCCACCCGCAGAGUGAUGGACAGUCGGAGCGCACUAUUCAGACUUUAGAGGAUAUGCUCCGGGCUUGUGUGAUAGACUUCCAGGGAGGAUGGUCGCAGCAUCUACCUAUGGCGGAGUUUGCUUAUAACAACAGUUAUCAAGCAAGCAUCAAGAUGGCGCCCUUCGAAGCACUUUAUGGACGGAAGUGCAGAUCGCCACUUCAUUGGAGUGAAGUCGGCGAGAGUUUGGCUCUAGGCCCUGAUGUGCUCCAGGAAGCUGAGGACAAGGUUCGAAUUGCUCGGGAGCGACUUUUGACGGCGCAGAGUAGACAGAGGAGCUACGCCGAUCGACGACGGCGAGACUUGGAGUUCCAAGUUGGAGACCAUGUGUUCUUGAAGGUCUCGCCGACUAGAGGAAUCAAGAGAUUCGGGAUUCGGGGAAAGUUGAGCCCCCGUUUCAUUGGACCGUAUGAGAUCUUGGAGCGUGUAGGUCCGGUAGCGUAUCGACUUGCUCUACCACCGAACCUAUCGGGCGUACACAACGUCUUUCAUGUAUCGGUCCUUCGGAGGUACAUUCAUGAUCCAGCUCAUGUUUUGGAUGCUGUACCAGUGGAGCUGCGUGAGGAUUUGAGCUUCGAGGAGCAACCAGUGAAGAUUUUGGCUCGCGAGGUGAAGAAGCUGCGGAAUCGGGAUAUUCCGUAUGUGAAGGUCCUUUGGAGCAACCACGGGGAGCGGGAGGCCACGUGGGAGCUAGAGAGUGCGCUGCAGGAGCGCUAUCCCCAUCUUUUUCAGAUGGAGCCUUGAGGUAUGCUUUUGCUUUCGAGUUUCGCGGACGAAACUCCUUUUUAGGAGGGGUGAAUGUAAUACACUGGAUCUUAGCAAAUUGCAAGAUUCGAGUGUUUGAUCUGUGUGUGGAGCCUUUCCACAGUUUUUGGAGGGUCGUUGAUAGUGUCCCGACCCCUGGCACGCAUCCCGAGGAUGUUGGAGUAGGACUUGGCACCAAAAUUCCAAAAUCGGAAUUUUUGGACAGCUCUCGGGUAGCCUGCAGCAGGGCUUGUACCGGAACAAGACUGGCCUUGUACCGGUACAAGGGUUGAUGGUUGUACCGGUACAGCCAUCGGGCUUGUACCGAUACAGAGCCGCAGACCCCGCAACCCGAGCCUCGGGUUUGUAUUUUCGUGGGCCUUGUACCGGUACAGGGGCCCGUGUACCGGUACAAGGGGGCAGUUUUCGUGCAGUUUGGUCUGCAGGGGCGUUUUUGCUAUUGUAGCACUUCUAUAAGUGCACCCCACGCCCCUUAGGGCCUCCCCUGUGCUGAGACCAGCAGGAGUUGAGGUAGGAGGAGCUCUCUCUCCCUUUCUUUGCAUUUUUACUCCUUUUGCUUGGUUUUUAUUGGGUUUCCUCUCCUCUAUUUGCAUCUUGGUGGCUUCUCCACCAUUGUUGAUGGCUUAGAGCUUGGAGAGGAGCUAGUGGCUGCGGAGAUCUUCAACGUCACUUGGAUUGGAGCUAAGUUUGGAGCUUCUUGAGAGGUUAGAGACUUGAUUUCUCCCUUUUGAUCCUUGAUUUGAGGUUUUUGUGAGAUUAAACCCUAGAAAUGGGAAUUUAAGAUUUAUUUGGGCAUUUUCGUUCUAGGGCUUUUGGAGCUAGAUUAUUGGGAUUAGAGGUUUCCUUUUGGUUGGAUUGGAAAGGCUCUAGCCCUCUUUUGGAGCUUUAGAGGAGAUUUUUGCACUAGAGGUGAGUUUUUCCCACCUAUGCUUGAUUAGCUUAUUGAUUGAACUUAGCGUCGUUCGUUUCGAUUAGGUGACACUUGUUCUCAUACCUCUAGGGUACUAGGAGGCUAGAGGACACCUUCGUCGAGGCAAACGAAGAGUUUCGCUGUCAUCGGUGGGUUUGGCUUCAUGAAAACGGGGCGAAAUGGCCCCUAAGCUUCCUAAACUUUUCGUAUACUAUUUUUGAAUGCAUUUUCAUGCUAAAUAUGAUCUAUGAGAAUUUUAGGGUACUUAAUAUGCAUGCAUUAUGUACGAUGAAAAUUUGCACUCUAUAUAGUAGAGCAUUGUGGGUGUUGUUGCAUGCAUUUGGGUGGUGCUCAUGCUAGACGUUUAGAAUCAUGUUCUAUGUGUUUAGAAUGACUUAAUUAAGCAUUCAUGAACCUUUGGGUUAAGCUUGGACUUAGUAAACGAAAGUAUCAUAAAGGGGCACUUAGACUAGCACAUUAUGAGACUAUUGUAUUGAGACAGAGAGAUAGGCCAUGAGCAUCUAUUAUUUUCAUAUUUUAGACAUGAUGAUAUAGAGAUAGGCCUAUGUGUGAGUUGUGACAUAUUCCAUGUUGUAGACAUGAGGACUUGGUACUUGAGACAUACUGAUAGCAUACUUGCCAUUGUGCUCAUUCGCACAUGCUUGUGAGGGUCGCUCCCUACAAGCCGGCACUCCGGAGUUGGCCUUGCGAUACGUUCGCCAUGCGGGAUUGGGCGCCGAAGUGGAUUGCCGUGGGAAAGGCUCAUUCCUAGAGUGGGAAUGUUGACUACCACGGGGCCAUUAGGCGGGGCAAAGCCAGACAGCCUUCGGGUGGGUCUUAUGCCAGACAGCCUUCGGGUGGGUUUUAUCAGAGCUGAACUUUAAACAGAUAAAGUGACAAGUGAACAUUGACUAGGAUAGUAAACAAUGACAUCUUUACUAUUACAUUGUGGACUUUGGGUAGUAGCAUAUUCAUGCAUUACAUGUUGGAUAUUCAUGUGUAUAUAUCUAGUAGUUGCUUUCUUACUUAUGCAAAUCAUGCUAAGUAGAGAUAUCAUGAUUAUUGGGUACUCGUUUAUUUAUUUAUUUACAGUGCAUUUAUUGCUUUUGUUAUAGUUGUACACUGACCCUCUUUUACAGUCUCGGGCCUAGUGGUGCAUUUUACUGAAGUCAGUAAUUGCCCACUGGGAACUAUUAUUUAAUAGUUCUCAUCCCCCUGUUUCUAUGUUUUCCUUUCAGAGCCUUCGGCACCGGCGGAGGCACGGGAUCGCGGCAAGGGUGUCGCUUAGCUAGCUCGUGGAGAGUUCUUUCGCGCUAGGUGGUUACUCCUCUUCUUUUUGUGUUUUGAGAGGGAGAGGUUCUGUACCAUAUAUAGAGAGACCACCUUAUGCUUCAUUUAGCAUUUGUUAUGGGGUUCCUAUUGUACUUACUCUAUGUUUUUAUUUAGUGAAUUUUCAGCUUUAUGUCCUUUUUCUUGUUAUAGAACUAGUUGUACAAUGCUCUGAUAUCACUAGAUCUCUUGUAUUACUGUUUCAUUUAUCAAAAUUUUGUAGACGCCUUAUAUGUUUUAGACGUAUGGCGGGUCUGGACACGUGCCGGAUAGGCUUCCGCUGAGCCCCGGGGCGUGACAGCCCGCUUGUUCCUUUGCCCAUUUACUCUUGGUCCAAUCAUCCGAUGUGAACAUUUUUCUCAAGUUGCUCUUUUGCUUAUGUAGCCGUUGAAGGGUAAGAAAGGCCGUUGCAAAUCUUGUAACGCCAGGUCUAAGCAACUCUCUUUGGCUUGUGAAACGUCUCAUCAUGUUGACUACGCCGGUGCGGGUAUAAAUAUAACUAUUGAGUGUCGUUGCCCUUUUCAAUGUUCUAUGCACCUCGGGCAUUUUCCCAAUGUCCUCAAGUAUUAAAUCAAUGCAAUGGGCGGCACAAGGUGACCAAUACAAAUGUGGUCGCUUUGCUUCCAACAAUUUUCCUAUUAAAAAUUCACAUAUAUUUCAAGUUAAACAAAUAUUCCACCAAAUAAUAUAAAAUUACGUAUCAAAUAAUAUAAAAAAUUUGUAGGAUUUCUUACCGGCUAAGACAUUAUUUGAUGCACUAUCGGUCACGAUUUGAAUGACAUUAACCUCCCCAAUACGCUCUACCAUACUAUCUAAUAACUUAAACAUCUCUUCGCCAGUUUUCGUGUAAUUGGAGGCAUCAAUAGAUUCAAUAAACACAGUGCCCAUCAGAGAAUUUACAAAAAAGUUUAUAAGAGUCCUUUCCUUUCUGUCCUUCCAUCCAUCGCACAUUAUAGUACAUCCAGUCUUUGCCCAUUCCUCCAUACAACCUUUCAGUGAUUUCUUCGUUUCUUGAACCUCUUUUUGGAGAAAAGGAACUCAUAAUUCAUACAUAGAAGGUGGUUUCAUGCCAGGGCCGAAUCGUCCAAUGGACUCAAUUACCACAGUAAAGCUAUUAUAAGUAGCAGCGUUGAAAGGUACUUCAGCAUCAUAAAACCAUUUUGCUAGAUCUCUGCAAGCUUUUUCUCUCAACUCCUUCCUACAAACUUCGUUGAUAGUAGCUUGCUUCAAUUUUCCAUCUUUUUUAUUUUGAACUACCUUCUCUGCAUUAGAAUUGAAAUACAAAUACAAAUCCAAUCCUUUUGUUUAGUUUUUUUUUGCACUUUUACUACUACCAAUGCUACAGCCGCUACUUUUGCUUUGCAUUCUUUUUCCUUUAGAGUUCAAUUCUUCAACAUCAUUUUCCUCGUCAUCGUCAUUUAAGUUAUCUAUAUCUUCAAAGUCAGGUAUGAAAUCAUUUUGCUCCUUCUCUGAUAUUUUUUUAAUCAUAGAGUCUUUGAUUUCCUCCUUCACAUGUGGUGGACAUCUGGAGCACGCUUUUGCAUUUCAAAAGCCUCCAACAAUAUGCUGUUUGCUCGGUAAAUUCCUCCUUUUGCUACUUUUUGACAAAAAUUAAAUGCAAGAUCAUUUUUAUUUUUUUGAUCUACUAAAUGUACAUACUUCCAUGCAGGGUCUCUUUUGGAUGCUUCCGAAUCCAUUCAAGAAAUUCAACAUCAAGUUGGCACUCCACAAAUAUGAAAAAGAAAUCUAAAAAAUAAGCAAUGUUUCAGCAAAAUUUCUAAUUCAACAAAAAUAUAAUUUUUACUAGUCGUUUUCAAUGACAAUAUUUACUUAUUGUCAUUGAAGUUACUGUUAAAAAAAAAUUAAGCAUAGAGAGAAUGAGAGAUGUGUGUACUGUUCACCAAAAAAAAAUAGAAAAAAUAGAGAAAAUAGAGUGUUUUCUCUUUUAAAAAAGAAAAAAACAAUCUUUACUAUUUAAAAAAACAGAAAACAGUUUUAAAAAAAAAUAGAGAAAGCCAAGUGUUUACUCAUAAACUCUUUACUCUUCAGUUUUUGAUUUUUCGCUUCCAAACAACGCAAGUAGGCUCCUAAACUUUUAGUUUUGACAAGUAGAUUUUCUAAAAUUUUUUAAAUGGUUCGAUAAAUUCUUCUUUUCAAGAGAAAUUAUUAAACUCAUUCUCGAUCAAUGUCUUCUAUCUGAUCUUAUGAAGCCCUAUAACAACUUAAAACAUAUCUCGAUCAAUGUCUUUUUAAUAGUUUUGUUUUUUUGGGGCACAAGGCUUUACUGUUAAAAAAAAAAAAAGAUAACAGUUUACAAAAUAUAUAUAUAUAUAUAUAGAGAAAGCCAAGUGUUUACUAUUUAUACAAAAAAGAAAAAAAAAAUAGAAAACAGAGAGAGAGAUAGAGUGUGUGUAUUUACUAUUUAAAAAAAACAGAGAAAGCCCUUUCUCUGUUUAGUGUUUACAAGAAAAAGGGGCUUUCUCUGUUUUAGUGUUUACAAGAAAAAAAAGAAGGUGAGAGGUAGAGACUGUAGAGUGAGAGAGGAAGAGAAAUUAAAAACCAAUGUGAGAAGGGAAGAGAUCGCACCUCCAAGAGCACGCAAGAAAGAGAGAGAGAGGUUAUGCUUGGCUGCUUGCUCGGGGUUGACCCUCAGAGAGUGAGCGAGCAAGAGAGAGAGAGAGGUGAUCCUUGGGCCGCUUGGCUGCUUGCUCGAGCCGUGGAGAGCCAGCGACAGAGAGAGAGAGAGUGAGCGGAUAGUUGCUCGAGCGGAGGACUCAAGGAGGGAGCUCGAGCGGAGGACUCAGGGAGAGAGCUCGUUCAACUUUUACACUUAACGGGUUAACGGGUUAACGGGUUUCUCUUUUUUCUUUUUCUUUUUUUUUACACUUAACGGGUUAACGGGUUUCUCUUUUUUCUUUUUCUUUUUUUUUUACACUUAACGGUGUGAGAUCCCUGGUGUUUGACUGUGGAGGCUUGUCGACAGCUCUGGAAAGUGUCGGGACAAGCCCGAGUCGCGUUGGCGUCAAAUAGACGUAAAACGGACUCCGUGCGACGCGAAUGCAGCUUAUCGCAAAGGAAUCUGCAAAAUAGCAAAUUUUUCUGCUUGCUGUACCGGUACAAGAUGAUUCUGUACCGGUACAACCAGCGCAGGGAAUGCUUGCUGUACCGGUACAAGGGUUUUCUGUACCGGUACAAGCUACGCGCACAGAUUUAGCUGCUCUCGGGUUGGCUCUUGUACCGGUAUAAGAGCCCGUGUACCGGUACAAGAGGGUAGGUGAGAGGGUGUUUUGGUCUUUUCUCUCCCUCGUUUGUAUCACCACCCCACCUACUUCUAUUUACAGGCGUAGAGCUCUGAGGGGGAGUGUUCUUGCUGCUCCUUCUUCCUCUCUCUCUCUAGCUUGGUUCGACCGGGGAGAGCUCGGUUGGAGAAUCCGUCGCCGACGUCGCGUCGCGGAACCGUUCGAGCAAGUGUUUGACACCGUGGUAGCACGAGGAGGCCGGGCGAGCGGAGAUUUUUGCCGUUUUGCUGUCGCAGCGGUGCUCGGUGUUGUCGAGGUGAGUAUUCAGCAUUUCUUUGGAUUUUUGGGCAAGUUCUUACUACUUCAACUCGAUGAGACGUUGUUUGCUAAAUUUCACCGUCGACUGUUUGUAUUUUGACUCGUUCUCGACGUAGGAGCAUCGGAUUGCGACGGGACUUGGCUCGUUGGAUUCGGGACUUCGAGAGGAAUCCAUGAAGCCCUUACUUACGAAUUUUGGUGAAGGUUAGCUUGGUCGAAAUCCUUCUCUUCUCUGCUGCUGUGGAUUUUGGACUGAAUUGAGAAAUUUUGUUGUUUAGAUUGGCGUUAGCUCGUCCACCGGACUUGGAGGUCCCUAGUUGAUCCAGCAGAGGUUGUCCUGGUUCGAGGCUUCGUUCGCUGCCAGGGGAUAGCUUUCGAGGUGGGUUACAUCGGCUUUACUCCUAAGUUCUUAUUGGUCGACAUGUAUAGAUCUUGAUUUCGGUAAUUAAGGUUAGCUCAAAUUCAUGGACUAUAUGUAGAUUGUGAAAUCCGAAUUUUGGAGCAUGUUUUAUAAAGUAAAUAGAUUAUACAUGUUGGACUUGGAAAUUGAAUUAGGAGAAAACCUGCGAUUUGGACCUGUCACCAGUUUUAACUACCUGAUUUAGCUCUAGGAGCCGUUGGAAAAUUGUACUGUCGCAGUUUCUUCGAGACGAGUACCCCAGGUAGUUUAGAAUGUAUUUACACUCGUGCUGGUUCGCCGAGUGGAUUUUUACAGGGUCGUUCAGGUCGUUUCGGACUGUUGGGUGCCGUCAGAGUUGACGGUGGACCCGUAUCGCCUUUUUGGCGUCAGAUUGUGCCGAGGGCACGUUACCUAUUGGUUGUUAGAUCAGUUUGAGUCGAUUACUUGACUAUGGCUAGUUGGAGCCUGAUUGAGCUCGACAGAGAUACGCUGCAUACUCGGUUGGGUAGCGCCCACGAGUGCCACUCCGGAGUCAGGCUUGUGCUUUUGCGUUGGUGUCGCUCAUGCCAGUUGGACUUGCUCUCCACGGACCAGUUAGUGUGGAUAGAGCCCGAUAGUCGCAACGGGGCAAGGACGGGUGUAUUCACAGUCCCGGGGACGGGUAUGCUUACAGUCCCGAUUGGAUUGGGUCAGAUUUGACAUUUCCUACAGUUGGUUAGUGUAGAGCAUGAUAGUGUAGUGGAUGAUAGCGGUAGAGUAUGCUUUCUGCUUUUCUUCUAUCCUUGCUCCCUUCUGUAGACUUAGUGGGUGACCGAUGUUGUUUUGGGCGGUACCCACUGAGGACUACUUGUUUUUACAGUAGUUCUCACGCCCAGUUGUUACCUAUGUUUUUGCAGAGCCACAGGUUCCGGUUGCUGCACCGCCCGUGGAUCAGGAUCGAGGCAAGGGCGUCGCGAGUUAGAGCCCUACCCGACGUGCUGAGCUAGAGGUGCCCUACUGCAGGUAGAUGUUUUGUUUCGAGUUUAUGUACAUAGCAGACUUAACUCGCCAGUGCGAGUAGCUCUGUAUUAUGGAUCUGAACUAUGUAUAUGAAACUCUGUUUUAUUUAGCUUCUGUUUUCUCUAGCAGCUCUCUACUACUGUUCGUAGUAGUGUUUGAUUUACAGGUACAGCUAUCGCUUCGUAUACAGGGAAAAUUCUUUGUAUACGGCGGAUUUGUCGGCGUGCCCGGGGAACGUGUAAUCCGGGGCGUGACAAACGGGUUAACGGGUUAAUUGGAUGUUGGAUCCGAAGUCCAACCCAUCAGCUUCUUUUUUUUUUUGGCAUCGCACGCGCCUUGCGCCUCGCUCAAGGCGAGCGCCUGGGCGCAAGAGGCGCGCGCCUGGGCGAGGUCGCCCGCCUAGGAGCUGCCUAGGCGCGAGCUAUCUCGCCUAGCGCCUAGGCGCCUAGGCGUGCGCCCGAGGCGCACCUUUUAAAACACUGGCAGGCGCGAGCUGGCGCCGAUGCGAGCUGGCGCUAAUGCGAGCCCAUAUAUCCCUCUCUCUCUCUCACUCUCUCACCUUCAUUUUUUUUUUUCCUCGCUGUCUGACGCCCCCUUUCAAUUGCCCAUACCUCCAGUAUGGCUCCCUCAAAAGCAAACGUUGUGAAUAACCACUCCUCUCUCUCUCUCUCUCUCUCUCUCUUUAGCUUUUCAUUUUUUUUCCUUUUCUAACUUUUUUAUUUUAUAAUAUAUAAAAAAAUAAAAUUUUAAAUCUAAAAUUUAAAUUUAAAUUGAAUUUUAAAUUUUAAAUAUCGAAUCUUUUUUUACUUUGAUGGAUUGUGGGCCAAGGUUUAAAGUGCCGUGGCAUGGGGGCAUGCCGUUAUGCCCCUGGCACGGUACCGCACAAGCACGCUUGCGUGCCGAUAGAUACGCAUGACCUCCUACUGGCACGCUUUGGCACGGACUUAUUUUAAUUUUUUUGAUUCCAAUAAACUCUUAUAAUAUUAUUUUGAAAGGUUUAAACAAAAUAAUUAUGAAUAUUUACUAUGUAUACCUUACUAUACUCAUCAAUUAACAUGCAUGAAAACUUUUUGUAAGUAAAGUACAGCUAUAUCUGAUGUAGAAUAGAAAUUAAAAUAUAAUAAUAAAAUUCACAAGUACAAUAAUUAUUUAAAUUUACAUCUUUACAUUGAGAUGACUGCUUAAUUCCAUAUAGAUUGUCGCGCUUGAUCAUAUGGCAUAUUGUUAUCUGUACAUACAAGAUUUAUUUGAUAAUGUUGAUAUAAGUAUUGCUGUAUUGUGAGAAAUUCGUAUAUUCCCAAUAUUACAUCUAUAUUUUUUAUUCUUUUAUUCUUUUUAAAAAUAUCUGAUCAAAAUUUGUUUAGGAAAUCGAUUUUUGUUUCUUUGAUUCAUCGAAAGUUUCGCGGUGCGACAUUUUUUGAUAAAAUAUUUUGUGAAGAAAAAAUGGAUGUCAGUGGUGGAAGCGGAGGGCUCGGGCCGACAUAUGGAUCAGAUAAAUAAUAAGUUAAAUUAAAAAAAAAAGUUAAUCUGUUCAAAAAAAAAAAAUUUGAAAAAGAUGACAGCAAUAGUGAAAUGCCCCCAUCCAAUAAAAAGACAACCCCAAAGCAUCUUACAGUGCAAAAAGUAAACCAACAAUUGCAAAAAGACAAAACAAAAAAAACAAACCCAAAAAGCAAAAGAAAAAACAAAGCGUUCGUGCGGCACGGCACGUGCCGCGCACCCUCACACGUUGCCGUUUUGUCUCGUGCGGCCAGCGCCGCGCGGGCGUGCGCGGACACAGGGGAGUCCGAGACCCCCCCCCGCGUACGCAUGCCGAUAGCGUCGAGACUUUAAACCUUGUUGUGGGUCCACGUAUCUAGAAAUAUAGAAUCUUUGCUAUUUAAAUUAAAAUUUUUGAACAAAAAUUAAAAUUUGGAUCUAAUGUUAAAGAUUUUAAAUUUAAAUUUUAUAUCUUAAAUUUAAAUUUAAAUUUUAAAUUAAAUUUAUUUUUUGAUUUCAAACUUAAAUUCUUUAUUUUAAUUUUGAUAUUUUAAUUUAUAUUUUAAAUUAAAUCUCUCUCUCAUUUUUUUUUUUUCUCUAAAUAUCUUACCGACUCCCUCUCCCUCUUCCUCUCCCUCUCUCCCAUAGUCCCAUCUUCACCUGUUACCAUCACCACCCACUCCCUUCCUCUCUCUCUCUCUCUCUCUCUCUCUCUCUCUCUCUCUCUCUCUCACCUUCCAUUUUUUUUCCCUUACUGUCGGACGCCCCCUUUCAAUUACCCAUACCCCCGUACGGCUCCCGCUGACUGCCUCCGUGACUGCUUCCUCUUCUCCAUACUCCAUCUCAUCCCAGCCUCCUCCCUCCUUGCUCCCUGCGCCACCGUGCCGGUGCGAUUAAGACGCCGCCACUAAGCCCUCCUCUCUUCUCCUCCUUCGUCGCCGCAACCAUCGCAGACUUCGUGCGAGGAGGGGCAGCUCGAUGCCGUACCUCUUCACUUUCUUCUUUGUCUGCCUCUCAAACCUUAACCCACAUCUUGGGUGCUUAAUUUAUUAUAUUGCAUUAUCAUUUGUUUUUUCUUUUUUUGCCCUAACAUCUGAAUUAGUUGCAUACAACGGUGACCAUUCACUCAUCACUCAUCGCCGAAAGAAACAUGUUUAUUGCAGGUGCUCAUUUGCUAUGGUAUCCUGGGGCGUUCAACAUGACUACUGGUCCUCUGCAUUGGGAGUUACUGCAAAGGGCAAGGUACUGUUGUAUUUAUUAUAAAAAGUAAAAGAGUUUCAUGACUAGGUCUAAUUUUUUUCGUUGGAUGGUCUAAACUUACGGGUGAAAAUGGUUAGGAUAAACUCCGAUCGAAUUUGACACUAGAAUCGAUCGGGUGCGAAUACGGAUGUCAAAAUUAUGCAUCAAGAGGUGAAAUCUACAGAAAAGCGCACUUAUGUUGUAUCAUUUUGUUCAGUUAUUGUAUACACAAACUGUAAUAGAGUUAAUUGAUUAAAAUGUAUUCAUGCCCAUUAGAAAAUGUAAAAACAUAUAUACUUUUAUCUUAAAAUAUUCGAAGAAAUGUAAUCUCAAAACUAAUUCGUAGAAUACAUGUACUCUUUGGAUUUCUGUACCAAAAUCAAAUCGCGGAAACCAUAAAUUUAACAAUGAGACUAAGUAUAUCACAACUAAGAGAAACUACAUGCAUUCCAUUACUAAAGUCGAACACUUAGAAUACUAUGAAUAGUCACAAUGUGAAAAUUCUAUUAUUGUUUUAAAAAUACAAAAUUGUUUAUGUUUUCUCAAUUUUUAUCCAAUAUUAAUCCAUCUUUAUUAUUUGAAUUUUCAGGAUGAACCAAAAUGAUAGGUUUUCUCGAUUGAGUGAUUCGAAUCUAUUCAUAAGCUUUUUCGAUGAAAUGCUGAUUGACUCUUAUGCGUCAAUGGCAAUUGACACUCAUGGGUCAAUUAUGCGUCCUGUGUAUUAGGUUUUGAUUGUUAAGGUAUAAGAGGCUAUGAUGAUAAAAAUGUUUCUUCCUUGAACAAUGCUGAUUUUGGAAGCUUCCCUAUUUAGUAAGGUUAAUAUAAAUUCGAAUCCCUCUCAUUUUUUAGAAUUUUGAUAUACAAUAUAAGAGUUUUAUGGCAAAGCAGCUUGGAUGGCCUAAGGCAACCGUUGCAGCCAUUUACUCUUAAAAGGUUUUGGGAAGGGAGGAGCCGAUUUAUGGGUAUAUAUCAUUGUGAUUAAGUAAAAGUAUAUGUGAGCCUCUAUCAUUUACUCUAUAUAAUUAUUUACUGUCUGUUUUUUGUUUGUUUGACCAAAAUAAUUGUCUUUAGAUAUUUCGUUCAUUCAUCACACUUGCUUUGGUUAAUUGUACGUUAUUCUUUAUUAGCACUAUUGUUUAUAUUAUAUUUUGAUACUUUACCCAUCACAAAAAAGUGUUAAUUUUUUAAAAAAUCAAGCUCAGGGAUUGUCGAUUCAAACUUAUUUUUGAAACUAAAAGAGCCCCCGACAUAAGUGGAACAUUGAAGAGAGCAACUAUUAUGCUUUUAGUUUGAAAGUGCAGUUUGACUUUUGCUUUUCUUUUUUUCGCUGGUAGAUUUUGAUGAAAUUUUGUGGUCUUUUUUCUCAAAGCGUUUGCUUUUCAUUACCGAGCUUGCUAUGCUAUUUUUUACCUCUUAGUUGCUUGGUAGCAUAAUUUCAAUCUUUCAAUCAUCAAGAUGUAAGAAUUGCUAUACAUGAGAGGAUCUAGAUGAUUAGUUCUUCCUCCUGACGAAAAAUAAGAUAAAAAAGAAGUCAAGGUGAGGUGUCUAAGUUUAACGAAUCUCUAUAUAUUUUUAGAUUUAAAGACCAAUCUACAUAGAAGUCCAUGGAAUUUAGAUGAGAAAAAUUAAAUUAAAUUUAUUUUGAAGUAUUUUUUCAAAUUAAAUUGAAGUUCAACUAAAUUUUAUUUUUUUUUUAUUGUUGGGUAAAAAAAUUAGAAAUUAUUUUAAUGUACUUACUUUUUUUCAUGAUUCAGGGUUCAAGGGAAAGUCUAAUAGAGUAUUGGGUGAUACGCGAUAUCGUAACGAAAGAAUGAUAGUUGGGGUGGAAUUUCGAUGGUAUAUUCUAUUUCACAGCAGAACCUUAUAUUUUCUGUGAACUAAUAGAAGUUACUUUACUAUAGAUUAUUAGGUUUUAAGUAUGUAAGUAAAGAAGCAUAAAUCCUUUAAUUUGCUUUUAAAAAUCUUAUUCUACAAAUAUUACUUCUAUUUUCUGCAAAAGAAGCUUCAUUUAUUGUAGCUUCCAAACAUUGGUGUAAGAAGAAAUAUGUAACGAUUUAUUUGGAUUUUAUACAGCUCUUACUGUUUUAAGUAAAAUUUAGAUCAUAUUCCAUAGGUUGCUACUGAGGCCCUUGGAACUUUGAAGUCUAUGCUUGGUCAAUUUACUCGGAAAAACUUGGGUCUCCACUGUGAGAAUACAGUAAUCAAUACCAUGCUGAAAAAUACCAGUUUACUUAUGAGUUAUUCAAUAGACAUAAAAGCAAAAAAAAAAAAUGGACAAUAUUCUAAAGCUAGAUUGUUUGCUUUCUAUAUUUUGCAGAUCCAAAGCAAUUGCAACCCUAAAGGGUUUGUGUUUUUUGGGUAUCUUUAGGUGUGAUUUAGAAAGGUAGACAAACAAACACAUAAUGGAAAGGAAACAAAAAAAAAAUAGCCAAACAAUUCAUAAUUUGUUGCGAUUUGUAUCUAUGGUUCUAAUUAUUUGUUUUGAAACACUUUCCCUGUUUUCAUCAAUUUGUCUCUUGGAAUUGGAAUAAUAAAAUGAUGUUGCCUGGUUGCAAGCAACCUUUUUAGAAUUGCUAUUAUUGCAUUUUAUUGUGUAUAUUGUUCGUUAUAAAAUAUUUUUUUAUUUAUUUAAUCUAUUUAUGAGUUAGAUUACCUUACAAUUUUGUCAUUCUGUUUCUUCGCAAAUAAAAUAAUCGUAUUGACUAUUUUAAUGGCUCUUCUUUUACUACUUCGCCUUCGAUACCGCACUCUUUGAGGCCUUGACGGAUGCUGUGAGGGAUUUACGGUUCGACACUAUCCCCUCCAACCUGUUGUCGAUCGAGCUCACCCCCUUCUUUUUGGGCGCCCUUUCUAAAUCCCUCACCUAGCAGCUUCUGCUCUGAAUCCUAUGUACACACUACAAGGUAAUCAUUCCUUAUCCAUUUCUCUCUCGAUCUUUGUUUAGAUCUACAAUAUGAUGCAUUUGAGCCAACUGAUGUUUUAGAGAGUCGGUUCUUUGAUAUUAGCUUUAGUGCCAAAGCAUUUAUAAUACAUAAAUAAUGCCAUCUCGAGCUUGCCAUUGUUUUUUAAAUCAUAUAAAAAAGCAUAUUAUAUUGCAAUUGAAUGGUAUGCACCAUGUUCUUAAUUUGGUUAUGUUGCACCUUCACACACACACACAGAUAUAUACAUGUCCGGAUUUCUCAUAAAACUAUAGUCGUAAAAUUAAUGGGCAGCAUUAACGGUUUAUGAUUAUUACUUUUAUUUCAAAUGAUACAAUUUAAAAUUAUUUGAUAUCUAUAUUAAAAAGUAUAUUCUAUGUUAUCUCUUCAUACAUCAUAUGAUGUGUAGUAUAUACCUAUUAUAUACAUGAAUGAGAUCGUUUAUGCUGAUCCUGUCUCAUUUAUAAUUACAAAUUUGACAAAAAUUUUGCUUUCUACAAAGGGCGUACUGUUAUUAGCUAUCUAUAUUGAAGUAUAGGUUGUGAUAGGCAAUAAUUUAAGCCUUCGCUGGCUUAGCUAGUGCUUCGCUCACUCUUUUAUAGGUUGAGUAUUCUAAAGCUCUAAUUAAUAUUGUUUUUAGGUAUUCUGCUUAGCUACCUUUUCUCAAAGCUCUUUGCAGCAGUAGUCUGAGAUACUAAUUAAGAUCGCUCUUUUGGAACGUUAUGAAUAUUAUAUAUGUUUCAUCAUGUGCUGUUAUAUAUGUGUUGCUUCUAUAUAUGUCUUAUUCUCUUUUACUUUUAUUUAUUUUGCAUGAUUUCCGUAAAAUAAAACUGAAUGAUAUUGUUGGGAGAAGUUCGGAAUAUUUUUCGUAAGACCACCAAUAUAUUGUUUCUUUUUUAGGUUAACUUACUAAGGUUUUGUUGCUACACAAUGUUGUAUAUAGUUGUCAACUGCUCUUGUGCUUCUCCUGAUUUACUAAUUUCACGUUUUUAUGUAUUUGUCUUUGGAACAAAAAUGCAAAAUGCUGAUGUAUGUGUGCUUUCACAUAUUAUCUUUUAGGUUUCUUUGUUAUUUUUAGUUUUGUAAUUGACUUUUGUUUUGUGGUUUUUUGUUUUUUGUUUUCUUUUUCGGGCUAUGAUGCUUUUGCUUCUUUUAUUGUGACAUGGGGUUAAUAGACAUAUAUUUUCCUCAUUAAAAGUAAGAGUGUGGAGUGGUUAUGAUUAGUGCACAAUCUUUGGAUGGUCUAUUAUGUAGGCAACCAGUUGGCACUAUUUAUUUGCUAUAUAGAUUAUAAAUCUGUUUGGUACUAUUUAUUUCAAAUAUGGAUUAGGAUUAUAUGUGGCACCUCUUUUUUUUUUCCCUGUGUUAUUUUUCUGCAGGAUGGAGUUGGAGCAUUUUUAACUUUUAUUGCUGAGUAAAUCUGAGCCCGUAUAUUUUGUUUUCCUGCUUUUUGUCAAAUGACAUUCCAAAUAUCAUAUAUAAGAGAUGUAUGUAUACCUUCACGGACAGGGGUACUGACCAAGUGUAAACUCCAUAUUACAUACACUCGCAGCAAGAUCAGAUUUAUGUGAAUUUGUAUUUUGUAAUAUUUUAUCUCUGUGAGAAUUUGUUGACUGGAAAAGACUUGGAAACCAUUAAAAGAAGCAUGAAAAGUUUGCACCAUCAAUUCAUCUCAUUAUCUCUGUAGGUGCUUCUGGUGCUUUAUUCGGUCUUCUUGGAGCAAUGCUGUUGGAGCUUCUCACUAACUGGACCUUAUACACACACAAGGUUUAUCUUUUCUUUCUCUCAUUUCCUUUCCGAGGCUCAUCAGUAAGUUGUUUGGAGGCUGAUUUUUUCCGACUUACUUCUACAGGCUGGAGCUUUAAUAACUCUUUUAGUCAUGAUCGCGAUCAACUUGGCCCUCGGAAUAAUCCCGCAUGUAGAUAACUUUGCACAUAUUGGGGAAUUUCUCACUGGCUUUCUCUUAGGUUUUGUACUGCUGCUCGAACCUCAGUUUGCGUGGUUGGAGCGACACAAUCUACCUCCCGGAAGGAAAAUCCCAUUGAGACCUAAGGCUUACCAGUUACUAUUAUUGGUUGUUGCGCUCACAUUAAUCAUAGCUGGGUAAGUAUAUAUGCUCUUAUACUAUACAACAGCAAAUUAUUUAUAACUAUUCCAGUCAAUAGUCGCAUGUCCGUAUGAAUUUUGAUCGAAUGUAAUAAUUAUUAUAUUAAUAAAUAUAAUAAUUUCCAGUCAUAUAUUCGCCUCCUUUUGUAAAAGUAAGGGUGUGAAAUGGUUAUAAGUAGUGCUCAAUCUUCGGAUGGCCUAUUAUGUAAGGCAACAGGUUGACGCUAUUUAUUUAUAUUUUGUGGAUUUUUUUUUUUCUUUUUCGGCCUAUGAUGCUUUUGCUCCUUUUAUCGCGAGAUCGCAUUAUUGGUCAUAUAUUUUCCUCCUUUUGUAAAAGUAAGGGUGUGAAACGAUUAUGGUUAGUGCGCAAUUUUUGGAUGGCCUAUUAUGUAGGAAAUCAGUUGGCACUAUUUAUUUGCUAUAUAGAUUAAAACUCUGUUUGGUACUAUUUCUUUCAAAUAUGGAUUAGGACUAUAUGUGGUAGCUGCUUAUUUUUUCCCGUCUUAUUUUCCUGCAGGCUGGAGUUGAAGCAUUUUUAGCUUUCAUUGCUUAUUAAAUCUGAGCCCGUAUAUUUUUUUCCCCUGCUUUUUUUCCUAACUGUUUUUUGGGUUUUAAAGUAUAUACCAUUAACGUUUGUUGUAUGAUUGAACUUGAACUCCAAUAAUUCGAAUUGAGUUGCAACUCCAACUAUCAUUUUGUCCUGAUUUUUUUAGUACUUCAAAUGAUGCCUCUUUUGUUUGACCAAAAACAUGCCAAAGCCAGUAAUUGCUUCAUAAUUUCUAUAAUAAAUUCUUCGGUGUGUUUGGAAAACAGAAACCUUUUAGAGUUCAUGAUAUUAUGACAAGUUGGAAUGCACUAGGACCUAAAUAAACCAGUAUCCGAAACUUCUUUCAUCAAUUUUGAACUAACUAAAAGGCGGGCCUGUUGUUAUAAGUAGUUCUUUUGUUUGACCAAAUUCUUUUGGUGUCAAUAAUAGGUGGCAGUUUUUUAUAGAUUUGAAUAAUGAUAAAAAGUUUGUUUUGUUAAGACGCUUAUUAUUUUCAAUUUUAUUGACAACCAUCCAACUCUUCUUUGGGUUUUUCUGCGGCUUUAAAUUGGAUGCAAAAUAGUGAGACCUACAGGAUCGCCACGAGCCUUAUUCCUGGCUCAUCUUAGCAUGCUUCUUAUCAUACCUGGAAAAAAAAGGUCCUGUUUGAUUGUGAUAAAAUUUUGUGCCUAUUUUUUAUGGGUAUCUUAUAGUGAUCAAGUUUUGUCGACAACGUUAUGGGACAAAUUUACUCUUGAUUUUGGUGGAAAUUUUAUUCAGUGUGUUCAGUAAAUAGAAACCUUUUAGAAUUUAUAAUGUGAUAAAGAUUGGAAUGAACUAAGACCUAAAUAAACCAAUAUUUGAAGUUUCUUCUAUGAAUUUUGAACCAAGUAAAAGUCAGACCUGUCAAUUUAUAAGUUUAGGGUGUUUCUUGAGUUGAUUUGGUUUUAUUAUCUUACAAUUUCGAGUUGUUGUUAUUUGAAAUUGUAAAAACCUUCCAUGGUUUCCUGCAUGCAAGCCUUUAAUUAAGCUCGGAAUAUUUGUAUAGAUUCUUACUCUACAUCUUUUGGAUAUUCGACUGUGUUCCGAAUAGUGAAAUGUUUUUGUUUAAUGGAUAUUAUUAGAAUUUUGUUACUAUCAUUUGGACUUUUUUUUUAGCUAAAGCAAAUGCUGAGAUGAUCUGUUGAUUUUUAUCUGAAGCUAUUUUUAAAAACCAAUGAAACUUGCAACUAUAUUUGACACUUAUGCAGUUUUAAGUUUGCGGUCACUGAAAGCGUGGAAACUUCCAUUCGUUUUAUCUUUUCUGGAUUUUUGUCAGCCUAAUAUUAUGUAUCAUUUUUUUUUUCUGCCUAAUGGAAGUGCAGAAUGCUUCUUUAUGUAUAUGUUUGCGCCUUUUCUUUUAGGUUGUUUCAUUCUUUUGAGUUUUAUAAUCGGUUUAUGUUUUGUGGUUUUUAAUUUAAAUGUAUUUUUAAUUUUUAAAACUUAAGUGGCAUCAUAAACAAUAUAAUUGUUUGACAUGUAUUUGUCUGUGCAAUAGAAAUGUGAAAUGUUGAUGUAUGUAUGCGUUCGCAUUCUUUCCUUUUAGGUUGCUGCGGUCUUUUGAGUUUUAUAAUCGACUUAUGUUUUGUGAUUUUUUUUUUUUUGUUUUUGUUUUCUGUUUUGGGGCUAUAAUUAACAUUGCAGUAUUAGUCAUAUAUUUUCCUACUUUUGUAGACAUAAGGGUGUGAGAUAAUUAUCAUUAGUGUGCAAUCUUUUGAUACUCUAUUAAGUAGGGAACCGGUUAUCAAUAUUCUUACAAAUAUGGAUUUGCAGCACCUACACUCGUUUUUUUUUUUUGCAAUCAAAUUUUUAAUAUCUUUAUCUUUUUUAACAUGAAUUGUGAACCCUAAAGGUCUCCCUUUAUUUAUUUAUUUUUUUUGUUUUGAGAGAGAGGUCUCCCUUUAUUUUAAUGAUUGAAUCUCAACUUUUUUUACUUUUUUUUUUUAUUUUAUUUCUUAAUUUUUUUUUGCAAUCAAAUUUUAAAAUUACAAUAAUUUGCUGUGGUAGUAUCUCCCGCCGUAUUGCGCGGGUCCCAUAACUAGUAUAGCAUGAUAUUUUUGUAAAUUAAACAGCUUAUUGUUUGCUUGUUCUUUUUGCUUUAUAAUGCCUAUGGAGAAGGCUCACUCAAAGUUCUUAGUAAAGACGUAACCUUCUUUUUUUUAUUUAAUGAUUAGGGAGUGUUUGAUUCCUGGAAAAAUCGUGAACAGAACAAUUAUUUUUUAGAAAAGUAGUUUUCAUGAGAAAAAAAUUCGUUUACAACACUUUUCUAUAGAUUCUAAUUUUUUUUUUUUUUUCAGAACUACACAUUCUCAGAACGAAAUAGAUGAAAAAUACUUUUCCAAACCAAAAUUUAUUUUCAGAAAUAUUUUCCCGGGAAUGAAACACCCCCUUGAUUAAAAAGUCCACAUAACUGCACAUAGGUUAACACAUUUAAUAAAAGAAAUAAAAAAAAAAAAAAUUGUAAUUCAAAGAAUUGAGUGUUUCUGGUUAACAAAUUUCUUAAAAGACCAAUGACUACUGGUGGGUGUAAGAGUCCUACAAUUCUACAAAACUUAAUUAUUAAUAAUCUCUUAAUUAUGUGGUAAAAAAUGGUUAGUUACUUAACAAGUUAAUUAAUUUAUUACAGUUAAAAAUUAAUUUAUAAGAUGAUUCCACCCGUGUUUCUUCGAAAGUAACGGCAAUGCUAUCCAUUUGAUGAUACGGUUCUUACAAUGCAGAUUCCAAAGCUUCUGGGCAGCUGAGAAAGCAUAUAUCCCAAAGCUUCUGGGCAGCGUGGAAAGCAUAUAUCCCCGAAAGUAUUAAAAAAAAAAAAAAAAAAGAGACAGUAAUGGAAAGAUACAGGGUGUGAACUGGUACAAGAGGGUGUGAACUGGUAUAAGAGGAUUCCUUGACAUAAUGGUGGCGACGAUGGCCGCGGCGGCAGCAGCACCGGAUGAUCGGGCUGGCGACCAGCGACGGUGCAGGCAACAAGCGGCCGGUUGGUCGGUCGGUCGGUCGUGAGAACAACGGGCAAUCAUCCUUCUCUGAUCCUCAAUCUGUUUUAUUACAAUAAAAUAAAAAUAUAUAUAUAUUCCGCAAUUCAAAGUAUAGUGUCGGACAAUUUUAUAAAAUAAUAUAAGUACUUCGGAUUAGUCGAAAUUAAAAUAAAAAACAACAUAACACCAAUCCAGAACACAAUAAAAUACCAGAACUAAUGCUACCAAACAACAAGAAUUAAAAAAAAAGAAAAAAAGAAAAGAAGCAUAAGCAGUAUAAAAGAGAAAAAAGAAAACAGUCAUCAUCAAAGCGAUUUCGCAAUAUUCUUCGCAGCUUCAGAUGCACGGGAGGCCCUUUUCUUUAUCACAAUCGCACCAACUGCGGCAGCCGACAAGCAGACAUUCGUAACAAGCGCUAACUUUUUAGAAUUAUCGUGCAGUUUUUUAUUUUCCUCUCUCAAUUGCUCGAUUUUUUUUUUUUCUUCUCGUUGCUCGCUACUAAACUCUCAAGAUCUUUACUAAGCUGAUUUAGUUCUUCGGAGUCAGAUUCGUGCUGCUCAAUCUCGUCUGAAAUAAUGAAGUAAAUUUAGUAAGUAAGAAAAGAGCCGAAUUAGAUAGAAAAAAAAAAUUACAAAUUACAAAUUAAAAAACUUACCAGAAUCAACGGAGGAAUUCAUUAUCGAUCGAUCGAGUCUAAAACAAAAAAUAAGACAAAGAGUAAAGAUAAGUCAAAAAAUAUAUAUAAAGCCAAAAGAGUAGUAGAGAAAUUAAAAAAAUAGCAUAUAAUAUUCCUCUUCUUUGAGAGUUGGGAGAGAAGCACGCCCAAGCACGCCCGGCUGAGAGUUGGGAUUGGGAGAGGCGGCUGAGAGUUAGGAUAUUGGGAGAGGCGUGGGCGAGGAGGGGUUAAAGAAUAGAGUUGGGAUUGGGAGAGGAGGGGAGGAGGGGUUAAAGAAUGAAAGGAGGAGGAUUUGAAUUUAUAGACAAGGAAAUUAAAAAAAAAAAAAAAAAAAAAAAAUCUGCAAAAGUUUUGCUGGCGGUCAACGUGAGUUGGUGAAAGGUGCCGGUGUGCCAUUUCUUGCCCCAGGACAGUGUUGUGUGCACCCGCAGAGGUUAAAAACAUAUUUUCCUUAUAUCAGGGGUAAAAAUGUAAUCUUAUACUAUCGCUACAUCUUGUACCCUAUUUAUUUAUAAUAAUCAUAUAUAAUCUCUGUGGCCCACACUUGUUGUUUAGCUGGUGCAGUGGGAGAGCUCAAUCUCUAGUUUGUUGAGCCUUUUGUAUCUGUUCUUGGCUUGGAUUACCGGUGUUCAGUGCAUAUAUGUUACGCGAUUCGCUUAUAUUGUAUAUUUCUUUUAAUAAGUAUAUCUGAUAAUUAGGUAGAGAGCUUUUUUUUUUUUUUCUUCUUUUGUUAAAGGAAAAGCUAAAUAUAUAUUCUUGUAUGUCGAUUGUUUUGUGCUUGAGAGUGAUCGGAUAUUAUAAAUUUGUGCUUGUGGAGAUGCUAGGGUUGCCUUGGUACCGAUUUGCUGAUUGCAAGGAAAAGAGAACGUGUGAGGUGGUUAGGAUAUGCAUUAGUUUGCAAAAUUUUUUAAAAAAAGUAUGUUUAAAUUUAAAAACAAAUUGAUAGGACAUUCUAUAAUUUUGAAAACAUAGUAUGUUUAAAUUUAAAAACAAAUUGAUAGGACAUUCUGUAAUUUUUUACUCUAAUCCCACAUACGCUAAGCAUGUUGCUGAAUGGAUUUGAAAUCAAGCCGAGUCAACUGAGCUGGGCUUCUGAGUAGAGUCAGUGAGUUUGCAUGCACGAAUAGGGGUGGCAAUCUAAUUCGCUAUUCGCGAGUUGGUUUGCGUUCAGCUCGAAAUCGAAUCGCUUGUUUAGUAAAUAAGCCGAACACGAGCUGAAUUUUUCAGCUCGUUUAAUAAAUGAGCCGAACACGAUCUGGGGUCAACUCGCUCGUGUUCGGCUCGAUAACAGCUCGAAUACAUAUAUUUUAUAUUUAUAUAAUUUAUUUAAUUAUAUUUUCAUAUAUAAAUAAAUAAUUAUAUAUAAUAUAUUUUUUUAUUAUUUAAUUUUUAACAAAAUAAAAAUAUAAAUGCGAGUUUAAUUAUAAAAAUACUUAUUUAUAUAUAAAGUUUCAACUAUUAGAUCAAAGUCUAAUGGAUAAAAUUUUAUAAAUUUAUUUUUUAUAUAUAUUUAAUCUAUUUUUUUUAAUUUAUUAUUCAUUAGUCAGCUUGUGAGCCAACUCAUGUUCGGCUCGUUAAUAAACGAGCCGAACACGAGCUGAAUUUUUUGGCUCAAUACUUUAACGAGCCAGCUCAUGUUCGGCUCGUUUAAUAAACGGAGCGAACACGAGUCGACUCCAGCUCGCUCGUGUUCGGCUCGUUUACACCCCUAUGCACGAAUAUGUACUUACAUGCACAAAUAUGUAUCACUAAAUGUGGAGGAGACAAGAUAAUAUAAGAUAGCUAUUAACAUCUAACAUUCAUUCAUGAUUUAUUAAUAUGGUUAUAUUCUAAUUACACUUGAGUACAAACAAACUAUGAUUGUAUUCUAAUUACACUUUGAGUACAAACAAAACUAUUUCUCUUUCAUCAGUGAAAAUACUGGUAUAUAACCGCUAGCAAUAAUAAUUUGUUGGCCCAAAAUCACCGGCCCAAAAUAUUUAAAUCUAAUUAUUAUGUCUAAUCCAAUCAAGCUUAUAUAAUUUCAUAACUAGGCAUAACUAUCUAAUAUAGGACUAUUAAGGUGUAGAUCCCCCAUCUUAAAUUUGACCUCUCAACUAUCUUUUUUAUUUUUUAUUAUUGGUAUUCACCGCAACCAUUUUUACUAUGGUCUUCAUGCAAUUAUUAUAUAUUUUAUAGUUGAUCUGAAACUUCAUCAUAAGUUAACUGCUACAUUGAAUUGUUAAUCCUAUAUAUCGUCUUGUUAGCUAAGAAGGUACUAUCUAGGGCCCUUAAAUUCGAUAGAAUCUACUAUUAAAAUUAGCAGUCUAAGCUUUAAAUAAGAUCAAGUUAAAAUGAUUAAUUAAAAGUUUAGAAAUUGUUCAACGGAAACUAAGUUUAAGGGCUCUAUUUAAAUGGGCCUAUAGUUGUGGAGAUAUCCGUACAUUUUUUUCUGCUUAAACAAAUGCCAAAAGUUGUUUCAAAUAACAAAAAGGCUUUUCUAUUCAUUUAUUUUUGCAAACUAUUUUGUUAUUUUCAUCUUUUCUUAUUUAUUUAUUUUGUAAAAUAUUAAUUUUCUGGUGGUUUUUUUUAGAAUUUUUUAAAAAAUUUAUUUCGCAAAAUAUUUUUUAAGAGUUUAAUUAACAAUUUAAUAUUUACGCAUUUAUUUUUAAAAUAUUUUGAAAUAUAAAUUUUAAAUUUAAUUAUUUUAAUUUAAGGUUUAAAUUUUAAAUUUAUAUUCAAAUAUUAGUUCUAAAUCUUAAAUUUUAUAUCUAAAUUUUAAGGUUUGAAAAUUCCUUUAAAUUUCAAAUUUUAAAAUUAAAAUAUAAAAUUUGGAUCUCAAAUUUUGAGUUUCAAAUUUUAAUUUUUAAAUUUCAAAUCUUAAAAUUCAAAAUGAAAGUUAAAUUUCAAUUUUUAAAUUUUGAAAUGUAAAAAUUUUAAUAUUUUUAAAACUCAAAAGAUUACAAUUAUACAUCUUAAUUUUCAAAUUGCAAAUUUUAAUUUUUUGCAAUUCAACAUUUAAAUUCUUUAAUUUCAAUUUUGAAUUUUUGACUGUCGAAUUUAGAUCUUAAAAUUUAAAAUUAAAUUUCAAAUAAUAAAAUUUCAAAUUUUAAAUUAUAAAUUCCUAGUAAUAAAUAUUAAAUAUUAGACAUUAAAUUUUAAAUUAUAAACUAAAUAUUAAAUUUCUAAUUAAAAAUUUAAAUUUAGUUUUAAAAUCUUAAAAAAAAAGUGUGCGAGUUUCUCUAGAAAUUAAUCACUUGAAAAUGACUUUUAAAAACAUUUCACAUCACUUUUAUUUUUCUUGGGAGUUGGGCACUUCCGAAAAUGAAAAAAAGACAAAGACUCUUCUCUCCCUUUUUAUUGAUCAAUGUAUGCAAGGCCUCAUAGCAGCCCAACCCACUUGACAACAUGCAACCCAACCAACCUCACAUUUAUAUACUAAAAACUAAAUAUACAUCUUAUUUAAAAUUAAAAAUAUUAAAAAAUUGAAAGUCUUAUACAUGGAUAAAUUUUAGAAAAAAAUUUUAAUUAAUAGGUUACACAGGUACUUGUGACAUUUUCGAUUUUUUCCUUUACUAGAAACACUACAAUCAAGUUUUUUUUUCUAAUGCUUUGGGAUUCUUAUUGUCACGCCCCGGAUUACACGGUUUUCGGGCACGCCGACAAAUCCGCCGUAUACAAAAAAAUUUUUCUUGUAUACGAAGCGGUAGCUGUACCUGUAAAAUAUACAAUACUACAAACAGUAGUAUAGAGUUGCUAGAAGAGCCAGUAACAAAAACAAACCGAGUUCCAUAUACAUACGCCAAAUCCCAGAUACAAAACUACUCGCCCUGGCGAGUUAAACGUCUGUAUGUAUAUGAACUCCAAUAAAAACAACUACCUGGUGUAGAGGCACCUCUAACUCGGCUCGUCUAGUAGGGCUCUAACUCGCGACGCCCUUGUCUCGAUCCAGAUCGGCAACAGCAGCAGCCGAAAACGAUGACUCUGCAAAAACGGGAUAACAACAGGGCGUGAGAACUACUGUAAAACAAGUAGUCCUCAGCGGGUGCCGCCCUCAACAUCAUCGGUACACCCACUAAGUCUACAGAAGGGAGCGAAGAUAGUAAUAAAUGCUGGAAUAAAAUCUACAGCUACGAGUUAUUACACUAUCAUGCUCUAAACUAAUCUACUGUAUAAAUGCCAAUCCUGACCCAAUCUCUUUAGGGACUGUAAACAUACCCGUCCCAGGGAUUGUGAAUACACCCGUCCCGCCUAGUUGGGACUAUCCAGCUACCUCCACACUAACCAGUCCGUGAAGAGUAAGUCCAACCGUUAAUGAACGACACCAACGCGGGAAGCACAACGCCCGUCUCCGGAGUGGCACUCGUGGGAGCUACCCAACCGAGUAUGCAGCGUAUCUCUGUCGAGCUCAAUCAGGCUCUAACAAGCCAAAGUCAAGUUGUAAGGACUGAGUUUUUACAGUGCAACUAAACUCUCUGUUGACGAUGUUUAUGUGUGUAAUUUAAUUACAUAAGCACUCGUCAAGUUUCAGGAGAAAAUGAGCUAAAACGGAGAAGUUACGCGAUUUUUAGUUUUCACUUAAGUGAAUAGUAACUCCGAUUUUCCGGAGAAGCCACGGAGUAGAGUUGGCUUCUGGUGCGUAUCGGACUCCGUUCAUAGCAGUCCAAUAGCUCGUUUCGAAGGAUGCAGGUAUUCUGGAACUAAUGGCGCUGGCGGAUUUUGGUUUUGACACACGGAUUUCGACAAAAUCUGAAAAUACAUGUUUCUUAUGUAAUUGUGCGUCAUUGUGGCCUUUUGGAAAGAGAAUGGAUUUCGUCGCGAAUCUGUGGUCGAUCGAGGUGAACCAAAAAUCGUAGCUUUGCUAUCUCCGAGGUGCUGAUCGCACUGGUGUGAUCCGUUCGCAAAUCCGAUGGACGGAUCUGCGGAGAUCGCACGUUGAUCGAAGAGAGGUCGGUGUUGGCAAAAUUGUAAUUUCGCAAAAGAUGCGAUAUUUUAUGUGCCGUUUUGCGUGGGAUCGUACAUGGAGGGGUAUUCUCGCGUUUUACACGCGCUGUGGAGUACUCGUUAUGAAAUUUUGAGUUCUGGAGGACUUACUUGCAUUUUGUCUCUAGUAUAAGGCUAAAAGAGUUAGGGUUUUCAUGUGAAACCCUAACCCUACACCAUUCCGAGAUAACCCUAGCCUCCUAACCGCUUCACCUCCUCCCUGCCCACCCCAUGCGCGCGUCUUGGCCGCCGGCAAGCCGCUGCGGUCGCCGGAGGGACCUCCCCGGCUUCCCCCUCCACUUUCUCUCCCUCUCCAUCUCUAUCCCUCUCUCCCUCUCUCUUAUCUCGGGUUGUGAGGAAGCCCGAGACUGCCGCCACCUCCAGACCCUCCGCCGGUGUCGCUCCGUGCUCCGGCGAGCAUCCCCGCCGACCGCCGCCGUCGCCAAGCGCCGCCGCGGCCGCUGCUGCACCCGGCUGCUGCCUAGGCCGAGCUUAGGUCGAGGAUGACUCGCGGCCUCCCCGCGCGCAGCCACCGCCUGCACCCGUUCCGGCCGCCAUCCCCGGACCCUCGGCCACCACCCCGGCGGGUCGCCGGCGCUCCUGCGGGCCGCCGCCGCCGCCGCGGCCACCCUGCGGCCAUCCCAGGUCUGCUCGGACCGAGCAGACUUGGUAACUCCACCCCAGCGCCGCAGCCGCCUUGGUCCACACCCGCGGCCUUCUCCUGUGUCCCACCGACUUUUCCGGCCGGUCGCCGCCGCCCUUCGGAUCGCCGCCGCCGCCCUGAACCUUGGGCGCCGCCGCCUAGGCCUGCAGACCGAGCCUAGCUCGAGUGGCAACGCCCGAGCCGCGGGCCGCCGCCGCUGUCGCCCGCCGCCUUCCUCCUCCUCCUCUGGCCUCUGUGGACCUGCCACCGUCGUCCCCGACCUGCCCCGGCCGCCGCCGUGGCCGCAACACCCCCCGGACCCGUGCCCUAGCUCGUGCGGGCAUGCCUUGCUCCGCCGACGCCGCCGCCGCACCCCGCCGCCAACGGAGGUGAGCAUCGUGUUCCUCACCUCCCCCGCACCCAUCCCUGGCCCCCACGCGCGCCGCCGUGCCGCCGGAGGCCGGCCGGAGCAACCUUGCUCCGGCCAAGCCCGAAAUAGGGCUUAGUUUGGGAUGGUUUACUGUUCGGAGCUUCCUGAGCCUCCCCGAUCUCUGCGAAAGGGAGCACGAUGAUCGUAGAAAAUUGCUGAUCAUCGUGCUCACCUUAGAUUCUGCCGGGGAGACUCCGCUCCGCUGUUUCGGCAGUGUCGACCCUGUCGAGCCUGUUUGGCUGCUGUUUUGGGUUUGCGCACGCUUAUCCGGCGAUCCGAGGCUGUCCUGAUGCCUCCGGAGGUGAGCACAGUGAUCGUGGGUCAGUUCUGAUCACAGUGCUCACCUCACUUUGGAUCAACAGUGUCCGGUUAGCCCUGUUUUGAGCAAUCUUCCCCGACUGCGCGCUAUUCGCUGAACCUUCGGGUUGCUCCCGCGCUCCCCACAGUGACCUGUUGCGCUCCAGACCGUGAGCACGGCCUCCGGUACGUCGAGACCUAUCAGUAUGUGUCUCAGCAGAACUUAGAAGUCCUCGGUUUGCGUGUACGGGCUAUGUUAUCGCCCGAUUUACAUAAAAUAUUGGGAUUUUAUGUAAAUUCAGGGGCUUUUGUGCAAUUGUGAGCCUUGUGGCUACUGUGGACAGUGUGUAGACAUGUGUGGUGUCCUCUGGACUGAUUGUCCAUGAUCCGUUAGCUUUUGCAGAAAUCGAAGAGUCGAUUUCGAUGCGUUUUUCGGCGAAAUUCGCCGAAAGAACGCGGUUUCGGUUCGGAUUUCUUCCGACGUCGUUUGGUUGCUCUGUGAGUGGUCGCUAAGCCUUGUUGGCUGGUCACCAUCAUCACUUUGUGGGUUCGGUGAUGACGGGUGAGCGACGGUGGGUUCCGGUGUCGAAUUUGACACUUCCGGGAACCCGUGUUUGUACAAUUAUCCGGCGAUAAUUGUGUAGUGGUGUUAUCUUGUGUUUGCUGCCAAAACAUCCAAAUUGGAGUGUUUUAGGGCAGUAGGUGACUCGUGACAAGAGUCGGUGAGUUGCGGGACACUUAGUGGGCCCCGACGGCGUCCCGGUGUGGUUUUCGGGACUUCCGGCGUAUUACGACGAUCGGUUUGGGAAACCGAUUCUCGUGGGUUUAUUUGUGGGUUUAUGCUUUUAGGGUUUCUUAGCUAUGGGUUAGACACUAACCCAGUGGACCCUCCUUAGGUCCUGUUGACGUUCUUUUGAAGUCAGGAGACAGGCGCGACAGUUGUACAGGUGGGAUAGUUCGAGUCCGACGUCGUACAGUGGUGCACGCUCGUGAUGGUUUCUAUACCCUUGCUCCUUUGUUAUUAUCCAUGCAUAUGUUAUAUGUUGAGCUUUGCACCUCUAUUGAUUACAUUACACCCACGUUGUUUGAUUAUACUUACUCGUUGUUUGCAUGCUUAGUAUCCUGAGUAGGAGUAGAGUGGUUCUAUCCGCAUCCGUAUCUGUUGACCUAGUUGGUCUGUUGGCAUUCUGUAUCUGUUGACCUAGUUGGUCUGUUCUGCAUUCCUCUACUCAGUUAUUUCCAUGUUGAUAUAUACUUAGGAGUAGAGUUGACUUAUCUGUCACUAUAUCUUGAUUUGGUUGGGCGUUCCCCUAUUGUGAUAUCUAUGACCUAUUCGGUCGAGUUGCUACAGUUCUACUUGACUUACGUAGUCGAUUAGUUGCUGAUGGCUAUACGGUCGCGUGGCCCUGAGGGGCUGAUGGAUCGGCUAGUUGGCGAUGGAUGAUCUUGAGCAUACUACAUUGAUCGCCACUACAGUACGCAUUUCACGAACCGACCAGCGGUCUGAUCCACCGCAAGAGGGUGUUCUUUUCCGGAAAAGUGGUUGGAUUGCCAACCGGUAAAGCCCAGGGCUUUAUUGCGAGGGAUAUGUUGACCCAGGGCUUCAUUGCGAGGUCAGGUACUAUGCUUAUGACCCAGGGGCUUCAUUGCGAGGGUCAGGUGCAGGUUGAGCAGUGUGGCAUGGGCCUGAGGUUUCGGACCAAUAGGGCAGCGAGAUUGGGUACUUUUGAGCUUAUCGUCAGUUGGGGCUGCAUACAGUAGUGUAGUGUUUAUUUCCAGUACAUCCUUAUCUGUUUAUUGUACGCUACUGUUUUAUUUACCUGCAUCUAUACUUGUCAGCUUCUUACAUAUCUCUUUCGUUUAUUGUUUUGCUACUAUAUUUCACUGGACCGUGUUGUUGUAUAGCUCUUCCUGAUCUGGUGAGUAUCCUCGCCUUCAUCGGCUUGCGGUACCACGGGGAGGGGACAUGUUUACAUGUUCUCACUCCCCACCAUUUUUCAGGUAUCGGGGGCGGUGAGGGUGAGACGAGGCGGAGGUACGCGUGUAGCGUCGACUAGAGCUUCCGACCGAGGUUAUUUCGCUUUAGUUUCUUACCCUUCUUACUUCGGUUGAUGUAUGUUUAGUUGGUUCAUGUGGUUCAGUGUUUAUUUACAUUUUGAAAAUGUGAAUUCUGGAUUUUGUAAAUAAAUGUUUCUACCCCUCGUGGUAGCGUUUUUAAAGAUAAAGGUUUCCGUGUAGGAAACAGUUUUCAAAAGAAUUUUUCGUGGAUUUCUAUUUAAACAUGAAUGUAAAACUGUGAUGUGAAUGGUGAAUGUAUGAAUGUAUAGGUAUUUUUAUAUUCAUUUGUUGUGGUUGUGGUUGUUUCCUGGCUAUACUCUUAUACUGUGUUGACGCCGUGCAAAUACAGGGGGACUCUGUCCGCGUGAGCAGUGGAUUCCCUGUAUUUGUGGCGGAUCUGGCAUACCCGGUCAGGUUUCCAAAAAAAAAAAAAAAAAAAAAAAUUCUGCUGUGUUUUAACCUAAAAGGGACCCCGGGGCAUGACACAAGUAACUAGGGUCAAAACAUGUCUAGAAACCAAACCCACGUGCCCUCAGCACAAUCUGAGACCAAAAAUAAGUAUCUGGGUCCACUGUCCACCCCGACAGCACCCAACAAUCCGAAACCGUUCAAACGACCCUGUAAAAAUCCACUCGGCGAACCAGCACGAGUGUAAAUACAUUCUAAACUACCUGGGGUAUCCAUCACACCAAUACUGCGAUGAUACAAAUUUAUAACGGCUCCUAGAGCUAAAUCAGGUAGUGUAAACAGGUGACAAGUCCAAAUCGCCGGUUUUCUCCUAAUUUCAUUUCCAAGUCCAACAUGUAUAGUUUAACUAGAUUCUAUACAUGCUUCAAAUUCAGAUUUCAGCCACUAUGCUACUCAAUGAAUUUAAGCUAGUACGGAGUAUAAACAAUCGGAAACUAUACAUGUUUACUAAUCUCUACUUAGGAGUAAACCCGAUGAAAACUCACCUCACAGGCUAAUCCCCGGCAGCGAAGAGGGUCACCGGAGUCCUUGCUAAGCUCGACUGCAACUCACCGAACCAGCAAUAACAACACUCCAAGAAUCUAGACAUAGAAACCCACAAUAAAUACAAAUUCUACUCAAAACAAUAUCAGCAGAGAGAAAUAGAGUUUCGACCAAGCUAACCUUCACCAAAAUCAGCAAUCUUGGACUUCGUGGAUUCCUCUCGAAGUCCUAAAUCCAACGAACCAAGUUUCGUCGUAAUCCGACACUCCUACGUCGCGUACGAGCCGCAACACCGACGGUCGACGUGGAAAUUCUGCAAAACAACAUCUUUGAGCUUGAAGUAGUAAGGACUUGCAACGGUUGAAGGAAUUGAUGAACACCUCAGCUCAACCUCUAUCCGAACUCCGGCGCGACGUCGAGAACAGUGAAAAUCCACACUAGCCCUGCCUCCUCGCAGCACUAAACAACGAAGACACGCCCGACAGGCUCCACGGCGCGACGUUGGCGAAACUCAAACUCCACCCGAGCUCCUCUACAAUCGGACCAAGCUAGAGAGAGAGAGGAGAAGAAGCCAGAGAAAACUCUCACUCUCUCUGCUCUACACGUCUAAAUAGAGAGGAAGGGAAAGGGUGACACGAACGAGGUAGAAAAAGACCAAAACACCCUCUCACCUACCCUGGUGUACCGGUACACGGGCCUGUGUACCGGUACAAAGGCCAACCCGAGAGCAGUCUGCGUACAGCCCUGUGUAGUGUACCAGUACACCAUACUGGCUGUACCGGUACAGCAAGCAGAGAAAACUGCUAUUUGUAGAUUUUCUUGCCAAAGGCUGCUCUCGCAUCGCGCAGAGUCCGUUUUGCGUCUAUUUCGCGCCAACGAGACUCAGACUCGUCCCGACACUCUCCAGAGCUGUCGACAAGCCUUUACCGCAAACACCAGGAAUCUCACAUUCUCUCCCACUACAAAAAGUUUCGUCCGCGAAACUUAAGUAUACCUCAGCUCUAGCAUCGAACAAAUAGUGAUCUCAUAUUAUAUACAUGUAUAUAUACAUACAUGUCUGAUAUACAUACAUGUCUGUAUAUAUACAUGUAUGAUANNNNNNNNNNNNNNNNNNNNNNNNNUGUUGUGUAGCUAUUUCUGUUCAUAUAUGGGAUUAGGGACUAUAUGGUUCGCGUAGCUGCUUUAUGUUUUUUCCCGUCUUAUUUUUCUGCAGGCUGGAGUUUGAAGGCAUUUUUUUUUUUUUAGCUUUCAUUGCUUAUUAAAUCUUGAGCCGUUAUAUUUUUUUCCCCUGCCUUUUUUUCCUAACUGUUUUUUUGGGUUUUAACAGUAUAUACCAUUACGUUGUUGUAUGAUUGAACUUGAACUCAAUAAUUUGAAUUUGGAUGUUGCAACUCUUAACCUAUCAUUUUGUGCCUGAUUUUUUUACUCAAUGAUGCCUCCUUUUGUUUGACCAAAAAACAUGCCAAAGCCAGUAAUUGCCUUCAUAAUCUUCUAUUAAUAAAUCUUCGGUCGUUGGAAUACAGAAACCUUUUUAGAGUUCAUGAUAUUAUGCAAAGCUUGGAAUGCACUAGGAAUCAAAAACCAUAUUCAUUCUGUUCUUCAUAAAUACUAACUAAAAAGCGGGCCUGUUGUUAUAAGUAUUCUUUUGUUUGACCAAAUUCUUUUAGGUGUCAAUAUAGGUGGCAUUUUUUAUAGAUUUUGAUAUGUAAAAGUUUGUUUGUAAGACGGUAGUUCUUAACUUUAUAAGACAACCAUCCAACUCUUCUUUGGUUUUUCUGCCGUUUAUAAUGAUGAAAAAAUAGUAGCUACCAGAUCGCACAGCCUUACUCCGCUCAUCUUAGCAAUGCUUCUUACACACCUGGGAAAAAAAAGGUCCUGUUUUGAUUGUUGAAAAUAAUUUUGUGGCCUUAUUCUUGUUAUAGGUACUCUAUAGUGCAUCAAGUUUGUCGACAACGUUUGGGACAAAUUACCUGUGUUUUGGUGGAAAUUGUUAUCAGUGUGUUCAUAAAUAGAAACUUUUAGAUUAUAAUGCUGAGUAAAUAUUGAUGACAAGACCUUUAAAUAAACCGAAUAUUUGAAGUCCUUUCUAUGAUAUUUAACCAAGUAGAAAGUCAGUACCUGUCAGACUUUAUAAGUUGUAGGCGUGUUUCUUGAUGUUUGUUUUAUUAUUCUACAAUUGAGUUGUGUUAUGAAAUUGUAAAAACCUCAAUGGUUUCCUGCAUUCAACCUUUAAUUAAUCAUCGGAAUAGUUUGUAUUAUGAUCUUACUGCUAUCAUCUUUUGGAUAUUCGCACUUGUGUCGAAUGUAGAAAUGGUUUUUGUUAUGGAUAUUAUAGAAUUUUUGUUCUAUCAUUUGAUUUUUUUUAGCUAAAGCAAGCUGAGUAUAUCUGUGAUUUUUAUCUGAAGCUAUUUUAAAAACAACUGAAACUGAACUAUAUCUUGACAAUCUUAUGAGUUAAGUUUGGGUACUGAAAGCGUGGAAACUUCCACUUCUUUUAUCUUUUGUUUUGUCAGCCUAAAAUUAUUAUCAUUUUUUUUUCUGCCUAAUGGAAUGCAGAAUACUUCUUUGUAUUAUGUUUGCGCCUUUCUUUUAGGUUGUCUUCAUUCUUUGUGAGUUUAUCAAUCGGUUUUAGUUUGUGGUUAAUUAAAUGUAUUUUAUAAUUUUUAAAACUAAGUGGCAUCAUAAACAAUAUAAUGUUUGACAGUAUUGUCUGUGCAAUAGAAUGUGAAAUGUUUGAUGUAUUAUCCGUUGCAUCUUUACCUUUUAGGUUGCGCGGUCUUUUGAGUUUUAUCUCGACUAUCGUUUCGUGAUUUUUUUUUUUUUGUUUUUUUCUUUUGUGGGCUAUAAUUAAACUUGCCAGUAUUAUUACAUAAGUUUCCUACUUUUGUAGACAUAAGGUGUGUAAGUAAUAUAUCAUUAGGUCAUCUUUGAUACUCUUUAAGUACGGGAACGGUAUCCAAUUUCUUACAAAUAUGGAUUGCAGCACCUACACUGCGUUUUUUUUUGGCAAUCAAAUUGUUAAUAUUCUUAUCUUUUUACAUUGAAUAGUGAACCUAAAGGUGCAUCCCUUAUUAUUUAUUUUUUUGUUUUGAGAGAGAGUCCCUUUAUUUAAUUGAUGAAUCUCAACUUUUUUUACUUUUUUUUUUAAUGUUAAUUCUUAAAUUUUUUGCAAUCCAAAUAUUUAAAAUUACAGAUAAUUGCUUGGUUAGUAUCCGCCUGUAUUGCGCGGGUCCCAUAAACUAGUAACGCAUGAUAUUUUUGUAAAUUAAACAGCUUAUUGUUUGCUUGUUUCUUUUGCUUUAUAAGCCUAGGAGAAGGCUCACCAAGUUCUUAGAUAAAAGACGUAACCUUCUUUUUUUAAUUAAUGAUUAGGGACGGUGUUUGAUCCUGAAAAAUCGUGAACAGAACAAUAUUUUUUAGAAAAGUAGUUUUCAUGAGAAAAAAUCUUAUUACAACCUUUCUAUAGAGCUCUGAAUUUUUAUUUUGUUUUCAGAACUACACAUUCUCAGAACGAAAUAGAGGAAAAAUACUUUUCCAAACCAAAAUUAUUUUCAGAAAUAUUUUUCCCGGAAUGAAACCCCCUUGAUUAAAAAGUCACAUAGUAGCUAGUAACACAUUAAUAAAAAAAAUAAAAAAAAAAAAAUUGUAAUUCAAAGAAUUGAUGUUUCUGUUAACAAAUUUUUAAAAGACCAAUGACUACUGGUGGUGUAAGAGUCCUACAAUUCUACAAAACUUAAUUAUUAUAAUCUCUUAAUUAUGUGUAAAAAUGGUUAGUUACUUAACAGUUAAUUAAUUUAUUACAGUUAAAAAUUAAUUUAUAAGAGAUAUUCACCCGGUUUCUUCGAAAGUAACGGCAAUGCUAUCCAUUUGAUACGCGUUCUUACAAUGCACAUUCAAAGCUUCUGGGCAGCUGAGAGCAUAUUUCCCAAGUUCUGGCCAGCGUGAAAGCAUAUAUCCCGAAAGUAUUAAAAAAAAAAAAAAAAAAGAGACAGUAAUGAAAGAUACAGGGUGUGAACUGGUACAAGAGGGUGUGAACUGGUAUAAGAGGAUUCCUUGACAUAAUGGUGCGACGAUGGCCGCGGCGCAGCAGUCACCGAUGAUCGGGCUGGCGACCAGCGACGGUGCAGGCAACAAGCGGCCGUUGGUCGGUCGGUCGGUCGUGAGAACCACGGGCAUCAUCCUUCUCUGAUCUCAAUCUGUUUUAUUACAAUAAAUAAAAAAUAUAUAUAUUCCGCAAUUCAAAGUUAGUGUCGCGACAAUUUUAUAAAAUAAUAUAAAUACAUUCGGAUUAGUCGAAUUAAAAUAAAAAACAACAUAACACCAAUCCAGAACACAAUAAAUACCAGAACUAAUGCUACCAAAACAACAGAAUAAAAAAAAGAAAAAGAAAAAGAAGCAUAAGCAGUUAUAAAAGAGAAAAAAGAAAAACAGUCAUCAUCAAAGCGAUUUCGCAAUAUCUUUCGCAGCUUCAGAUGCACGGGAGGCCCUUUCUUUAUCACAAUCGCACCAACUGCGGCAGCCGACAAGCAGACAUUCGUAACAAGCGUAACUUUUAGAAUUACGUCUGCAGAUUUUUAUUUUCCCUCUCAAUUGCUCGAUUUUUUUUUUUUCUUCUCGUUGCUCGCUACUAAACUCUCAAGAUCUUUACUAAGCUGAUUUAGUUCUUCGGAGUCAGAUUCGUGCUGCUCAAUCUCGUCUGAAAUAAUAAGUAAAUUAAGUAAGUAAGAAAGAGCCGAAUUAGAUAGAAAAAAAAAAUUACAAAUUACAAUAAAAAAUACCAGAAUCAACGGAGGAAUUCAUUAUCGAUCGAUCGAGUCUAAAACAAAAAAUAAAGACAAGAGUAAAGAUAAGUCAAAAAAUAUAUAUAAAGCCAAAAGAGUAGUAGAGAAAUUAAAAAAAUAGCAUAAUAAUAUUCCUCUUCUUGAGAUUGGAGAGAAGCACGCCCAAGCACGCCCGCUGAGAGUUGGAUUGGGAGAGCGGCUGAAGUUAGGAUAUUGGGAGAGGCGUGGGCGAGGAGGGUUAAAAGAAUAGAGUUGGGAUGGAGAGGAGGGGAGGAGGGGUUAAAGAAUAAAGGAGGAGGAUUUGAAUUUAUAGACAAGGAAAUUAAAAAAAAAAAAAAAAAAAAAAAUCUGCAAAAGUUUGCUGGCGGUCAACGUGAGUUGGUGAAAGGUGCCGUGUUGCCAUUUCUUGCCCAGGACAGUGUUGUGUGCACCCGCAAGAGUUAAAAACAUAUUUUCCUUAUAUCAGGGGUAAAAAUGUAAUCUUAUACUAUCGCUACAUCUUGUACCCUAUUUAUUUAUAAUAAUCUAUAUAAUCUCUGUGGCACACUGUUGUUUAUGCUGGUGCAGGGGAGAGCUCAAUCUCUUAUUUGUUGAGCCUUUUGUAUCUGUUCUUGGCUUGGAUUACCGUGUUCAGUGCAUGUUAUAUUACGCGAUUCGCUUAUAUUGUAUAUUUUCUUUAAUAAGUAUAUCUGAUAAUUAGGUAGGAGCCUUUUUUUUUUUUUCUUCUUUUGUUAAAGGAAAAGCUAAAUACUAUAUUCUUGUAUGUCGAUUGUUUGUGCUUGAGAGUGAUCGGAUAUUAUAAAAUUUGUGCUUGUGGAGAUGCUAGGGUUGCCUGUACCGAUUUGCUGAUUGCAAGGAAAAGAGAACGUGUGAGUGGUUAGGAUAUGCAUUAGUUUGCAAAUUUUUUAAAAAAGAUAUGUUUAAAUUUAAAAACAAAUGAUAGAAUUCUAUAAUUUUGAAAUAGUAUGUUUAAAUUAAAAAAAAUUGAUAGGACAUUCUGUAAUUUUUUACUCUAAUCCCACAUACGCUAAGCAUGUUGCUGAAUGGAUUUAAAUCAAGCCGAGUCAACUGAGCUGGCUUCUGAGUAGAGUCAGUGAGUUGCAUGCAGAAUAGGGUGGCAAUCUAGCCCGUUGUUCGCCGGAGCCAGCUCGUGUUCGCUCGAAAUGAGCUCGAGAUCGGCUCGCUCGUUUAGUAAAUAAGCCGAACCACGAGCUGAAUUUUUCAGCUCGUUUAAUAAAUGAUCCGAACACGAUCUGGGGUAACUCGCUCGUGUUCGGCUCCGAUAACAGCUCGAAUACAUAUAUUUUAUAUUUAUAUAAUAUUUAAUUAUAUUUCAUAUAUAAAUAAAUAAUUAUAUAUAAUAUAUUUUUUUAUUAUUUAUUUUAACAAAUAAAAAUAUAAUGCGAGUUUAAUUAUAAAAAUACUAUUUUAUAUAAAGUUUCAACUAUUAGAUCAAAGUCUAAUGGAUAAAAUUUUAUAAAUUUAUUUUUUAUAUAUAUUUAAUCAUUUUUUUUAAUUUAUUAUUCAUUAGUCAGCUUGUGAGCCAACUCAUGUUCGGCUCGUUAAUAAACGAGCCGAACACGAGCUGAAUUUUUCGGCUCGAUACUUUAAGAGCCAGCUCGUAUUCAACUCGUUUAUAAACGAGCCGACUCCAGCUCGCGCCGUGUUCGGCUCGUUUACACCCCUAUGCACGAAUAUGUACUUACAUGCACAAUAUGUAUCACUAAUGUGGGGAGGACAGAUAAUAUAAGAUAGUAUUAACAUCUAAUUCAUUCAUGAUUUAUUAAUAUGUUAUAUUCUAAUUACACUUGGUACAAACAAACUAUGAUUUAUUCUAAUUACACUUGAGUACAAACAAAACUAUUCUCUUCAUCAGUGAAAAUACUGGUAUAUAACCGCUAGCAAUAAUAAUUUGUGGCCCAAAAUCACCGGCAAAAUAUUUAAAUCUAAUUAUUAUGUCUAAUUCAAUAAGCUUAUAUAAUUUCAUAACUAGGCAUAACUAUCUAAUAUAGGCUAUUAAGGUUUAGAUCCCCAUCUUAAAUUUGACCUCUCAACUAUCUUUUUUAUUUUUUAUAUUGGUAUUCACCGCAACCAUUUUACUAUGUCUUCAUGCAAUAUUAUAUAUUUUAUAGUUGAUCUGAAACUCAUCAUAAGUUAACUGCUACAUGAGAUUGUUAAUCCUAUAUAUCGUCUUGUUAGCUAAGAAGGUACUAUCUAGGCCUUAAAUUCGAUAGAAUACUACUAUUAAAUUGCAGUCUAAGCUUUAAAUAAGAUCAAGUUAAAAUGAUUAAUUAAAAGUUUAGAAAUUGUUCAACCGGAAACUAAGUUUAAGGGCUCUAUUAAAUGGGCCUAUAGUUGUGGAGAUAUCCGUACAUUUUUUUCUGCUUAAACAAAUGCCAAAGUUGUUUCAAAUAAACAAAAGCUUUUCAUUCAUUUAUUUUUGCAAACUAUUUGUUAUUUUCAUCUUUUCUUAUUUAUUUAUUUUGUAAAAUAUUAUUUUCUGGUGGUUUUUUUUAGAAUUUUUUAAAAAUUUAUUUCGCAAAUAUUUUUUAGAGUUUAAUUAACAUUUAAUAUUAGCAUUUUAUUUUAAAAUAUUGAAAUAUAAAUUUAAUUUAAUAUUUUUAAUUUAAGGUUAAUUUUAAAUUUAUAUUCAAAUAUAGUUCUAAAUCUUAAUUUUUAAUUCUAAAUUUUAAGGUUUGAAAAUUCUUUAAAUUCAAAUUUUAAAAUUAAAAUAUAAAAUUUGGAUCCAAAUUGAGUUUAAAUUUUAAUUUUAAAUUUCAAAUCUUAAAAUUCAAAAUGAAAGUUAAAUUUCAAUUUUUAAAUUUUGAAAUGUAAAAAUUUUAAUAUUUUAAAACUCAAAAAGAUUACAAUUAUACAUCUUAAUUUACAAUUGCAAAUUUAAUUUUUUGCAAUUCAACAUUUAAUUCUUUAUUCAAUUUGAAUUUUGACUGUCGAAUUUAGAUCUUAAAAUUAAAAUUAAAUUUCAAAUAAUAAAAUUUCAAAUUUUAAAUUAUAAAUCCUAGUAAUAAAUAAAUAUUAGACAUUAAUUUGUAAAUAUAAACUAAAUAUUAAAUUUCUAAUUAAAAAUUUAAAUUUAGUUUUAAAAUCUUAAAAAUGUGCGAGUUCUCUAGAAAUAAUCACUUGAAAAUGACUUUUAAAAACAUUUCACAUCACUUUUAUUUUCUUGGGAGUUGGGCACUUCCGAAAAUGAAAAAAGACAAGACUCUUCUCUCCCUUUUUAUUGAUCAAUGUAUGCAAGGCCUCAUAGCAGCCAACCCACUUGACAACAUUGCAACCAACCAACCUCACAUUUAUAUACUAAAAACUAAAUAUACAUCUUAUUUUAAAUUAAAAAUAUUAAAAAAUUGAAAGUCUUAUACAUGGAUAAAUUUAGAGAAAAAUUUUAAUUAAUAGGUUACACAGAGUACUUGUGACAUUUUCGAUUUUUUCCUUUCUAGAAACACUAAAUCAAGUUUUUUUUCUAAUGCUUUGGAUUCUUAUUGUCACGCCCGGAGUUACACGGUUCUCGGGCACCCGACAAAUCCGCCGUAUACAAAAAAAAUUUUUCUUGUAUACGAAGCGGUAGCUGUACCUGUAAAUAUACAAUACUACAACAGUAGUAUAAAGUUGCUAGAAGAGGCCAGUACAAAAAACAAACCGAGUUCCAUAUACAUACGCCAAAUCCGCAGAUACAAAACUACUCGCCCUGGCGAGUUAAACGUGUAUGUAUAUGAACUCCAUAAAAACAACUACCUGGGUGUAGAGGGCACCUCUAACUCGGCUCGUCUAGUAGGGCUCUAACUCGCGACGCCUGUGUCUCGAUCCAGAUCGGCCACGCAGCAGCCGAAACAUGACUCUGCAAAAACGGGAUAACAACAGGGUCGUGAGAAACUACUGUAAAACAAGUAUCCUCAGCGGUGCCUGCCCUCACAUCAUCGGUUAACCCACUAAGUCUACAGAAGGGAGCGAAGAUAGUAAUAAAUGCUGUGAAUAAAAUCUACAGCUACGAGUUAUUACACUAUCAUGCUCUAAACUAAUCUACUGUAUAAAUGCACAUCCUGACCCAAUCUCUUAGGACUGUAAACAUACCCGUCCCAGGGAUGUGAAUACACCCGUCCCGCGCUGUUGGGACUAUCCAGCUACCUCCACACUAACAUCCGUGAAGAUAAGUCCAACCGUUAAUGAACGACACCAACGCGGGAAGCACAACGCCUCUCCGAGUGGCACUCGUGGGAGCUACCCAACCGAGUAUGCAGCGUAUCUCUGUCGAGCUCAAUCAGGCUCUUAACAAGCCAAAGUCAAGUUGUAAGGACUGAGUUUUUACAGUGCAACUAAACUCUCUGUUGACGAGUUUUGUGUGUAAUUUUAAUUACAUGAAGCACUCGUCAAGUUUCAGGAGAAAAUGAGCUAAAACGGAGAAGUUACAGAUUUUUAGUUUUCACUUAGUGAAUAGUAACUCCGAUUUCCGGAGAAGCCACGCAGUAGAGUUGGCUUCUGUCGUGCGUAUCGACCGCGUUCAUAGCAGUCCAAUAGCUCGUUUCGAAGGAUGCAGGUAUUCUGGAACUAAUGGCGCGGCGCGAUUUUGUUUUGACACAUCGGAUUUCGACAAAAUCUGAAAUACAUGUUUCUUAUGUAAUUGUGCGUCAUUGUGGCCUUUUGGAAAGAGAAUGGAUUUCGUCGCGAAUCUAUGGUCGAUCGAGGUGAAAAAAAAUCGUAGCUUUGCUAUCUCCGAGGUGCUGAUCGCACUGGUGUGAUCCGUUCGAAAUCGAUGGACGGAUCUGCGGAGAUCGACGUUGAUCGAAGAAGGUCGGUGUUGGCAAAAUUGUAAUUUCGCAAAGAUGCGAUAUUUUAAUGUGCCGUUUUGCAUGGGAUCGUACAUGAGAGGGUUUCUCCGUGCUGUACACGCGCUGUGGAGGACUCGUUAUGAAAUUUUGAGUUUGGAGGACUUACUUGCAAUUUGUCUCUAGUAUAAGGCUAAAAGAGUUAGGGUUUUCAUGUGAAACCCUAACCCUACACCAUUCGAAAACCCUAGCUCCUAACCGCUUCACCUCCUCCUGCCACCCCAUGCGCGCACCUUGCCGCCGCAAGCCGCUGCGGUCGCCGGAGGGACCUCCCCGGCUUCCCCCUCUACUUUCUAUCUCCCUCCAUCUCUAUCCUCUCUCCUCUCUCUUAUCUCGGUUGUGAGGAAGCCGAGACUUGCGCACCUCCAGACCCUCCGCCGGUGUCGCUCCUGGCUCCGGCGAGCAUUCCCGCCGACCGCCGCGUCGCAAGCGCCGCGCGGCCGCUGCUGCACCGGCUGCUGCUAGGCGAGCUUAGUCGAGGAUGACUCGCGGCCUCCCCGCGCAGCCACGCUGCACCGUUCGGCGCCAUCCCGGACCUCGGCACCACCCGGCGGGUCGCCGGCGCUCCUGCGGCGCCGCCGCGCCGCGGCCACCCUGCGGCCAUCCCAGGUCUGCUCGGACCGAGCAGACUUGGUAACUCCACCCCAGCGCCGCAGCGCCUUGGUCCACACCCGCGGCCUUCUCCUGUGUCCCACCGACUUUCGGGGGUCGCCGCCGCCUUCGAUCGCCGCCGCCGCCCUGAACCUUGGGCGGCCGCCGCUAGGCCUGCAGACAAGCCUAGCUCGAGUGGCAACGCCCGAGCCGCGGGGCCGCCGCCGCUGUCGCCCGCCGCCUUCCUCCUCCUUCCUGGCCUCUGUGACUGCCACCGUCGUCCCCGACUGCCCCCCGGCCGUGGCGCAACACCCCCGGACCGUGCCCUAGCUCGUGCGGGCAUGCCUUGCUCCGCCGACGCGCCGCCGCCACCCCGCCGCCAACGGAGGUGAGCAUCGUGUUCCUCACUCCCCCGCACCCAUCCCUGGCCCCACGCGCGCCGCCGUGCCGCCGGAGGCCGGCCGGAGCAACCUUGCUCCGGCCAAGCCGAAAUAGGGCUUAUUUGGGAUGGUUUACUGUUCGGAGCUUCCUCGAGCCUCCCCGAUCUCUGCGAAAGGGAGCACGAUGAUCGUAGAAAAUUGCUGAUCAUCGUGCUCACCUUAGAUUCUGCGGGGAGACUCCGCUCCGCUGUUUCGGCAGUGUCGACCCUGUCGAGCCUGUUUGGCUGCUGUUUUGGGUUGCGCACGCUAUCCGGCGAUCCGAGGCUGUCCUGAUGCCUCCGGAGGUGAGCACAGUGAUCGUGGGUCAGUUCUGAUCACAGUGCUCACCUCACUUUGGAUCAACAGUGUCCGGUUAGCCCUGUUUUGAGCAAUCUUCCCGACUGCGCGCUGUUCGCUGAACCUUCGGGUUGCUCCGCCGCUCCCCACAGUGACCUGUUGCGCCUCCAGACCGUGAGCACGGCCUCCGGUACGUCGAGACCUAUCAGUAUGUGUCUCAGCAGAACUUAGAAGUCCUCGGUUUGCGUGUACGGGCUAUGUUAUCGCCCGAUUACAUAAAAUAUUGGGAUUUUAUGUAAAUUCAGGGGCUUUUGUGCAAUUGUGAGCCUUGUGCUACUGUGGACAGUGUGUAGAAUGUGUGGUGUCCUCUGGACUGAUUGUCCAUGAUCCGUUAGCUUUUGCAGAAAUCGAAGAGUCGAUUUCGAUGCGUUUUUCGGCGAAAUUCGCCGAAAGAACGCGGUUUUCGGUUCGGAUUUCUUCCGACGUCGUUUGGUUGCUCUCUGUGAGUGUCGCUAAGCCUUGUUGGCUGGUCACUAUCAUCACUUUGUGGGUUCGUGUGAGCGGCGUGAGCGACGGUGGGUUCCGGUGUCGAAUUUGACAUUCCGGGAACCCGUGUUUGUAAAUUAUCCGGCGAUAUUGUGUAGUGGUUUAUCUUGUGUUUGCUGCAAAACAUCCAAAUUGGAGUGUUUUAGGCAGUAGGUGACUCGUGACAAGAGUCGGUGAGUUGCGGGACACUUAGUGGCCCGACGGCGUCCGGUGUGGUUUUCGGACUUCCGGCGUAUUACGACGAUCGGUUUGGGGAACCGAUUCUCGUGGGUUUAUUUGUGGGUUUAUGCUUUUAGGGUUUCUUAGCUAUGGGUUAGACACUAACCAGUGGACCCUCCUUAGGUCCUGUUGACGUUCUUUUGAAGUCAGGAGACAGGCGCGACAGUUGUACAGGUGGGUAGUUCGAUCCGACGUCGGUACAGUGUGCACGCUCGGUGAUGGUUUCUUACCCUUGCUCCUUUGUUAUUAUCCAUGCAUAUGUUAUAUGUUGAGCUUUGCACCUCUAUUGAUUACAUUACACCCACGUUGUUUGAUUAUACUAUACUCGUUGUUUGCAUGCUUAGUAUCCUGAGUAGGAGUAGAGUGGUUCUAUCCGCAUCCGUAUCUGUUGACCUAGUUGGUCUGUUGUGCAUUCUGUAUCUGUUGACCUAGUUUGGUCUGUUCUGCAUUCCUCUACUCAGUUAUUUCCAUGUUGAUAUCAUACUUAGGAGUAGAGUUGACUUAUCUGUCACUAUAUCUUGAUUUGGUUGGGCGUUCCCCUAUUGUGAUAUCUAUGACCUAUUCGGUCGAGUUGCUACAGUUCUAUCUUGACUUACGUAGUCGAUUAGUUGCUGAUGGCUAUACGGUCGGCGUGCCCUGAGGGGCUGAUGAUCGGCUAGUUGCGCGAUGGAUGAUCUUGAGCAUACUACAUUGAUCGCCACUACAGUACGCAUUCACGAACCGACCAGCGGUCUGAUCCACCGCAAGAGGGUGUUCUUUUCCGAAAAGUGGUUGGAUUGCCAACCGUAAGCCCAGGGCUUUUAUUGCGAGGGUAUAUGCUUCUGACCCAGGGGCUUCAUUGCGAGGUCAGGUACUAUGCUUAUGACCCAGGGGCUUCAUUGCGAGGGUCAGGUGCAAGUUGAGCAGUGUGGCAUGGGCUGAGGUUUUCGGACAAUAGGGCAGCGAGAUUGGGUACUUUUGAGCUUAUCGUCAGUUGGGGCUGCAUACAGUAGUGUAGUGUUUAUUUCCAGUACAUCCUUAUCUGUUUAUUGUACGUACUGUUUUAUUUACCUGCAUCUAUACUUGUCAGCUUCUUCAUAUCUCUUUCGUUUAUUGUUUUUGCUACUAUAUUUCCACUGACCGUGUUGUUGUAUAGCUCUUCCUGAUCUGGUGAGUACUCCUCGCCUUCAUCGGCUUGCGGUACCACUGGGGAGGGAGACAUGUUUACAUGUUCUCACUCCCCACCAUUUUUCAGGUAUCGGGGGCGGUGAGGGUUGAGACGAGGCGUGAGGUACGCGUGUAGCGUCGAUAGAGCUUCCGACCGAGCGUUAUUUCGGUUUAGUUUCUUACCCUUCUUACUUCGGUUGAUGUAUAGUUUAGUUGGUUCAUGUGGUUCAGUGUUUAUUUACAUUUGAAAAUGUGAAUUCUGGAUUUUGUAAAUAAAUUUUCUACCCCUCGUGGUAGCGUUUUUAAAGAUAAAGGUUUCCGUGUAGGAAACAGUUUUCAAAAGAAUUUUUCGUGGAUUUCUAUUUAAACAUGAAUGUAAAACUGUGAUGUGAAUGGUGAAUGUAUGAAUGUAUAGGUAUUUUUAUAUUCAUUUGUUGUGGUUGUGGUUGUUUCCUGGCUAUACUCUUAUACUGUGUUGACGCCGUGCAAAUACAGGGGAGACUCUGUCCGCGUGAGCAGUGGAUUCCCUGUAUUUGUGGCGGAUCUGGCAUACCGGGUCAGGUUUCCAAAAAAAAAAAAAAAAAAAAAAAAUUCUGCUGUGUUUUAACACUAAAAAGGGACCCCGGGGCAUGACACAAGUAACUAGGGUCAAACAUGUCUAGAAACCAAACCACGUGCCUCAGCACAAUCUGAGACCAAAAAUAAGUAUCUGGGUCCACUGUCCACCCGACAGCACCCAACAAUCCGAAACAGCCUAGAUUUCUACUGUAAAAUAUGCUAGGCAUCCCAACACGAGCGUAACUGAAUUCUAAACUACCUGGGGUAUCCAUCACACCAAUACUGCGAUGAUUACAAAUUUAUAACGGUCCUAGAGCUAAAUCAGGUAGUGUAAACAGGUGACAAGUCCAAAUCGCCGGUUUUCUCCUAAUUUCAUUUCAAGUCCAACAUGUAUAGUUUAACUAGAUUCUAUACAUGCUUCAAAUCAGAUUUCAGCCACUAUGUACUCAAUGAAUUUAAGCUAGUACGGAGUAUAAACAAUCGGAAACUAUACAUGUUUACUAAAUCUUACUUAGGAGUAAACCGAUGAAAACUCACCUCACAGGCUAAUCCGCGCAGCGAAGAGGGUCACCGGAGUCCUUGCUAAGCUCGACUGCAACUCACCGAACCACAAAUAACAACACUCCAAGAAUCUAGACAUAGAAACCCACAAUAAAUACAAAUUCUACUCAAAACAAUAUCAGCAGAGAGAAAUAGAGUUUCGACCAAGCUAACCUUCACCAAAAUCAGCAAUCUGGACUUCGUGGAUUCCUCUCGAAGUCCUAAAUCACACGAACCAAGUUUCGUCGUAAUCCGACACUCCUACGUCGCGUACGAGCCGCAACCACGACGGUCGACUGUGGAAAUUCUGCAAAACAACAUCUUUGAGCUUGAAGUAGUAAGGACUUGCAACGGUUGAAGGAAUUGAUGAACACCUCAGCUCAACCUCUAUCGAACUCCGGCGCGACGUCGAGAACAGUUGAAAAUCCACACUAGCCCUGCCUCCUCGCAGCACUAAACAACGAAGACACGCCGACAGGCUCCACGGCGCGACGUUGGCGAAACUCAAACUCCACCGAGGCUCCUCUACAAUCGGACCAAGCUAGAGAGAGAGAGGAGAAGAAGCCAGAGAAAACUCUCACUCUCUCUGCUCUACACGUCUAAAUAGAGAGGAAGGGAAAGGGUGACACGAACGAGUAGAAAAAGCAAAACACCCUCUCACCUACCCUGGUGUACCGGUACACGGGCCUGUGUACCGGUACAAAGGCAACCCGAGAGCAGUCUGCGUACAGCCCUGUGUAGUGUACCAGUACACCAUACUGGCUGUACCGGUACAGCAAGCAGAGAAAACUGCUAUUUGCAGAUUUUCUUGCCAAAGGCUGCUCUCGCAUCGCGCAGAGUCCGUUUUGCGUCUAUUUCGCGCCAACGAGACUCAGACUCGUCCGACACUCUCCAGAGCUGUCGACAAGCCUUUACCGCCAAACACCAGGAAUUCACAUAUCUCUCCACUACAAAAAGUUUCGUCCGCGAAACUUAAGUAUACCUCAGGCUCUAGGCAUCGAACAAAUAGUGAUCUAUAUUAUAUACAUGUAUAUAUACAUACAUAGUCUGUAUACAUACAUGUCUGUAUAUAUAAUGUAUAUAAUAGUAUAUAUAUAAUAUUAUAUAUAUAUAUAUAUAAUAUAUAUAUAUAUAUAUAAUAUGUAUUAUAUGAUAAUAUGUUAUAUAUGCUAUAUAUAACAUGUAUACAUGUAUAUACAAUGUAUAUAUACAUGUAUUAUAAUAUACAUAUAUGUAAUAUAUAACAUGUAUAUAUACAUAUAUGUAUAUAUUAUAUAUAUACAUGUUAUAUACGAUAUAUGUAUAUAUACAUGUAUAUAUACAUGUAUAUAUACAUAUAUAUAUAUAUAUAUAUAUAUAUAUAUACAUGUAUAUAUGUAUAUAUACAUGUAUAUAAUAUGUAUAUAUAUGUAUGUGUAUAUAUGCAUUAUGGUGCUUGUAAAAGCACAAAGAAUUUGAUACUUAUAAAUUUUUUACCGUUAGAUAUAUCCCUUCGAUUAUUUUUAUAUAAUACGGUUAUGGUGCUUGUAAAAGUAUCAAGCACUUGGUGCUUGUAAGUUUCCUACCGUUAAAUCUACCCCUUUGAUCAUUUUCAGCCAUUAAAUCAUACUUUUUAACUAACCAACCACCCACUCAACCCUAAGGUCCUAUGUUAUCCUAACAGCACAUCCCUUAAUCCAAAUGCCAAAAUCCAUAAAUACCAAUAACUUGGUAUUUUUAAAAGGACAAGAGCUCAAUUCUAUAUAUAUUUUAAAUAUGGUAUUUUAUUUUUAAUAUAAAUAUAUAAUAUUUUAUUUAUAAAUAUUAUUUAUAAAUAUCUAGUAAUUUAUUUUAUAGUAUUAAAUAUGUACUAUUAUAUAUUAUAUUACAUAUUUAAUUUUUGCAUAAUAUAUUUUAAAUAUAUUUCAUUUAUAAAUAUAAACUAUAAUACUAAUAUAUGUAAUAUAAUAAUUAUUAUAUAUUAAUAAUAUAAAAUAUAUAAAAUAAAAAAAUAUAUAAUAAUUUUUAUUUAUAAUUUUUUCCUUUCAACUAAAUAAUUAAAAAUUAAUUUUUUUCCUAUAAAUUAAUAUUAAAUAAUGUAAAAUUUUUUUCACUAAAAAUAUUUUUUCUAUGCCGACCAUCCCUAGAGUAAGUCGCAAAGGGCUUGCUGAUUGGUACUCAAGAUCCGAGUUUGAAUUCUAUUUGAUUCACAUUUUCAGCUAAAUUUAUUUUUAAAUGAAAUAAAUAAAUUGGGUAGCGUGCUACCUAUCUCUAAAUAACAAAAGAAUUCUAUAAUUUUAUGUGUAUCCGAACGCAUCCUUAGCACGAAGAUCUAAUUAGAUGCAACACUAUAUUAAAGAGGGGAAAAAGAGCUUUUUUUAUAUUUAGCCUCCUGAUAAAUUUUUAUUUUAAAAAUAGCUCUGUCAAAAUUUAAUUUGCAAAAAUAGUUCUGGGCCUACCACGCAGGCGCCACGUCAGCACCACGCGGGCAGGGCCGUGUGUUAAGUUGAAUACGGUGAACCAUUCACCGUGUUUGAAUAUAGUGAAUGGUUUACCGUGUUUAGUACGUAUUUUUUGUAUAUUGAAAAGAGGAAUAGGGAGUAGGGAUGUCAAUAGAUAUGGAUAUCCGAAAUAUUAUCCGAAUCCAAAUCCGAAUAAAUUAUGUAUAUGUACAUAAUUUAUUUUUAUUUAUUUAUACAAUAUAUAAAAUAUUUAAUAAUUUUUAUUUCUUAGAUCUUCAUCCAACGGUAUAGGUUUUUAAAACUCACUGGGUUCAGGUUCAGGUUUCAAGUUUUUGGUCAGAUAUGGAUAUAUUUAUAUAUUGUAUAAAUAAAUAAAAAUAAAUUAUGUAUAUAUAUAUAAUUUAUUCGGAUUUGGAUUCGGAUAAUAUUUCGGAUAUCCAUACCUAUUGACAUCCCUACUCCUUAUUGCUCUUUUCAAUAUACAAAAAAUACGUACUAAACACGGUGAACCAUUUACCGUGUUUAGACACGGUGAACCAUUUACCGUGUUUAGACACGGUGAAUCAUUCACCGUGUUCAACUUAAAUAUCCUGGCCCCAGCCCUGCCCGCGUGGCGCUGAUAUAGCGCCUGCGUGGCAGGAAUAGGAUUAUUUUUAUAAUUUUAAUUUUGAUAGAGUUAUUUUAAAAUAAAAAUUGCUCAAGGGGUAUUUGCAAAAAAAAGAAAAAUCGGGGAAAAAUUUUAUGGACACAGUGUCCAUAAAGAGCAAUUUAGGGAUGCCCGCUGUGGGCGCCGCGUGGCACGUGCCUCGUGAGGGGAGCAGCUUUAGUUUUUUUGGGUGCAGAUGGUGCACUACGUUUUGCUUUAAUAUUUUUUUUACUUUUUAAAUCAUAAUUUGACAUAGUAUAUUUUAAAAAUAUAUAUAAACAAUUAAGAGUUUACGAUUUAAAAUUAAUUUUAAAUAAUAUUUUUAAAAUAUAUCAUAAAUAUAUCUCUAUUAUAUUAUUAAAUUAUAAUUAAAAAAUAAAAAUAAAAUUUAAAGCAAAAGAUGGUGCACCGGGUGCACCGAAAUAACCCCACUGUUCUCCCAAAAAGCAGAGUAGUGGGGGUGACACGGCGCCCAUCUGGAGCGUCUGGAUGCCACGCGGCACUCAUCCAAGUCGUCCUCAAAUUAAAUUUUACAGACACUGUGUCUGUACAAUUUUUGCCCGAUUAGGGCAAAGACGUGUUGUUUUGUUUCCCGAAGAAUCUGUAGCACAGUGCAUAAAACACGUUUUGUUAAUUUGGAAAUCACGUGUUUUUUCACAGGUUUUCCCCAGGGCGAGUCACAGUUUCCAACAAGGCAACAAACAUCACAUCACAUUUAUGAUGGAACAGAGCUAUUUAUUCUUGACGGCGACGAAAAAGUGGGCCCCACUGGAACAGCGCAAUUUAUUGUUGAUGGCGACGAAAAAGUGAGCCCACUCGUUUUUUUUUUUUUUUUUUUUUUUUUGAGAGAUAGAUAGAACGCUAUCCGCUUCGUUUAUUUCAUUAAGAAAUAAACUUAGCUGGAAAUGUGAAUCAACUAGGAUUCGAACUUAGGAUCUCUGGUACCAACCAUCAAGCCCUUCGCCACUUGCUUUAGGGACGGUUGGUAGCCCACUCGUUGAUGGUCCAACGUUCACGAAAUUCGAAGGUACACACCACCCACCCCAUCCGAUUAUAAAACUGGACAACAUGUAAUUCUACAUCUAUUUUAUUAAAAACUUUAUGAAAAUUUUAAUUAUUUUAUUAUUUAUGCAGUAUAAUGUAUGUUUAAAUUUUAAAUUUUGAACAUUCAAAUUUUUAAAUUUUCAAAUUUUAGAUUUUUAGCUUCAAAUUUAAUAUAAAAUUUUAAAUUUUAAAUUAAAAUUAGAUUUUAAGAAAUGGCUUUUUUCUAUUUCUGAAUUUAGGUAUUGAAAAUUAGAAAACUUAUUAAAUAUAACAAUUCAGGUCUACGAAAAAUAAUAAUUCGUUGGGUCCAAACCACUGACCUAAAAUACUUAAGUCCAGUUAUAAUGACUAGUGGCUAGGUCUCUUAUAUAUCCAGUGACAACCCUAGUUAGUUAAUUCGCGAAUUAUUCGCGAAUUAUUAAAAAUCCGAAUUAAACGGUCCGUUUAUAAAUUUUUUUCCAAAGAAAGAGAAUUAUUCGCUAAUUUUUAUGCUAGCCGAAUUAUUCACGAAUUAUUAAAAAUAUGAAUAAAAAAUUUAUAAUUUUUAUUUUUAAAUAUAAAUUAUCUUAUAUUUUAUAUUUUGUAUUUCAUAUUUUAUACCGAAUUCGCUUUUUAAGCCGAAUUUUUCAACAAAUUUAAAAAUUAAAAAACGAAUUUUAUACAUAUUAUAUUCGUGCCGAAUUUUUGUCGAAUCCGAAUUAACUAAUUAUGGUGACAACUCAAUUCCCAUUCGAUGGAUGUCAUAUACGUCCCCCGUUUAGAGCCUCGCUCUCCCCGCUAUAUAACAUGUCUCAGUUGAAAUUUAUCUCACAUUUCGUCUACUAUCAAUAAUAAUUUGCCGGGUCCAAGCCACUAGCUCAAAAUGUUUAAGCCCAAUUUUCAUUAUUAGUAACUAGAUUCUUAUAUAUCCAAUCAUAAACUCAAUUGGAUGUCAUAUUAUAAAAUUUAGAAUCAAAUUUCGAAAAUGAGAUUACUAAAUGCUAUAUCAAUGACCUGGUUGGUUUAAAUUCUGGAAAUGUGAUUUGUCAUGUAACUGAUUUUCAAUUGUAAAAUUGAUUUUGAUUAAAGCUCUAAACCGAUUGGCUGAGUUUAGAUAAAAAGAAAGUUUUCUGAAUUCUACAGUUUAAAAAUUUAGAAUUUAUAAAUUGAAAAUUAAAAAUUAUAGAUUAAGUUUUAAAAUUUUAAAUUUUAAAUUUUAAAAAUUAAUUAUUUUAAAAAUUGAUAUGACGUGCAUACAAGAUUAAUUUUUAAAAGUAAUUAUUUUUUAACUUUAAUGCAUUAGUGCUUAUGGAUUGUUGGCCAAUAAAAAAGAUCUUUUAAAAAAGAAUAUUAGAAAAUUUUGCUUUGUUUUUCUUAAAUGGGUACUAUGUGUAGGACGGCAGGACGCACACUUGGUGACGGAUAUUUUGUAUUUCAACCAAUUAAUAUAUACAUAUUAAUUAAAAUUUUAAACUUAUAAAAUUAUAACUUUAAAAAUUAUAGCUAAAGAAAAAUAAUAUUUUUGAAGGAGCUUUGUACACUACAUUAAUAAUUUUAUAAUACUAGUUCAUUUGGAGUAUGGUGGCAUGAUAAAUACUACUUACCGAAAUGUCUUGGUUUCAAAUACCACCGUUAACGAGAAAAUUUUUUUGUUCAUUUAUUUUUGCAAAUUAUUUUGUUUCUUUGGUUUUUUUCUUAUUUGUUUAUUUUGCAAAAAAAAAAAAAAAUUUUUCCGGAGCUUUUCUUAGAAUUCUGUUUAUAAAUUUAUUUUGCAGAAUAUUUUUUAAGAGUUUAAUUGACAGUAUAAUGCAUUUAUUUUUCAAAAUAUUUUAAAUUUAUAAAAUUUAAAAUAUUUACUAGGAUGCCUACCCUCCUAGUCCUAGGUUUUGGGAAUCUCUGGAAGGAAUCACAUGAAUGCAUGUAUCAUUUACUCGUUUUAUAUAUAGCCCGUUUGUUGUAACUUUACCAACUGACACACCCAGUUUGCACUUUUGCACCACUUCAAAAUAAAAUAAAAUAAAAAAAAGAAAAAAAAAGAAAAAGAAGGUGGGGGAAAGAGAAGAGACCCGUUUGAUCAGUCCUAGUUCAGAUCAAAGGGACAAAAUUGACUAAAGAGAUCCCUGGAUUUGGUAAGAUAUUUCACUGUCUCACAGGAUUCGAUCAGUGAGCCAUCCCCUGUAUUUAUUAUUGUUCUCUUUUUCCAUGGUAAAUGCUUUGGAUCUCCCAACAAAUUAAAGAGCCACCCCCUUGUACAAUGUUAAAUGUGUUGAUAAACUACCUUACUCGUGUUUCGAGGCAGAUACAUAAAUAAACCAAAAUAAUUAGGACAUGCACAAUAGCACAUUAGCAAGCGCCCUGGACAUUCAAUAGAUAGAUUAGCUUCUUCGAUCUCAACAAUAUUUCAGAAUAAAUGAUCUAAUUCAACUGUCACAUCAAACACAUAAAAUACUUAAUUAGAGACUUUGUUUUGUGACGAUGGGAAACCAGUUAAAAGAGCUGAGUACUUUCCAUUGUUUGGUUGGAUGAUUGAUUUCUCAAAGCUGUCUAUUUAUUUCUACGAGGAUAGUUUGGCUGGGUUGUUUGGGGCCCAUCUUUCUCCCUAUAUAAAAGGGAUGAAACCUUCCACUCCAUUUAUCCCAUCACUCCGAACCCUUCCACUCCAUUUAUCCCAUCACUCCAAACCGCUCCAUUUAUUUUAUUUCCACUCCACUCCGAGCCCUUCUCUUUCUACUACUAUAUUUAUCCUCUUUCGUCGAUUACUAAUGGGACUUUUCUCCUGUUUUUCAUGUGGAAAACAAGGAAAUUUUUUUAUUUUCUUUUUUCUCUCUCCUUUUUUUUUUUUGAUAUAUUUUUGUUUAUUUAAUUUAUUAUUGUUUCAUGCAGGAAAAAUUAACGAACAAAGAGCUAGAACCAAAAAGGAAAAAGCUAAACUGAAAGAACGACGCGAUGAACUGACGGGGCGAUAUCGGGCCGAGGAAAUAAAGUCCGAAGUUCUACAAAAUUCCGAAGAUUUUUUCACGGUGGAAAAUGCAAGGAAGCGCAAGGAGAAUGCAACAAACUACUCUGUUCAAGCGGGAAAAAUUGCUACUGCAAUUGCAGCUCUAAAACGAUAUUUAAAAUAAAUUAUACUUAAUUAUGUUUAAAUAUUUUUAUUUAGUUUGGAGACUAUAAAUUUAUCUUGUUGUUUUCGUAAUUUAGGUAAUUUAAUUUUUUUGGCAACUAAACUUAGUUACGCUUUUUGUAUAAAUUAUUUUGGCCGUCUUAUGUGAGAUUUAUCCCGUCGUUGAUGCUGUUGAUUUGGCGCGUUUACUUUUGUUCACGUCUUCGUCGCCGCCCAUUCCAAGCUCGAAAGGAGGGACUUUUCCAACGAGGAAGACAAGGACUUGGAGCUAUUCACUAACGGGGACGAUGAUGUGCUCAGCGAAACCUCGCCCUUUGCCGAGGCCUCCUCACCCCAACAUCUUCUUAAUNUAAUUUUUUUUCUUUUUCUUUCUUUAAUUCUAGUUUGCCUUUCCUCUUGUAGAUUUGGAUUUGUAGGAAGUGCCCCGGAUUUUUUUCUUCUUUUUCCUCACUUUUUUUUUAGACGAAUUUUCUUCCUGUGAUUGUUCUUGCUUGCUACUCGCUCGAGAUUUUGGUGGGAGUGUGGAGUGGGGGCAUUAGAGAGGAACUUGAUCAGCAGCUAUGUUAAUUCAAGGGGUUUCUGUUGUCUAGUGUUUAUUAUUAUGAUAAGAUUUCCGAAAGGGCUUUAUUGUCGAGUCCGCAGGAAGAAGAUGAAUUUGAAGAAGAAAUGGCCUUCUUGUUUAUAUCGUAGGAUCGAUGAGGAAAAACGUAAACAGGAAGAAUGAUGUAACAUUUCGGUUUUGAGAAAUAAUAUUUAUAUAUAUGUGUGAUAUUAGAUGCUAAUUUGAUUGGAAUAUUUCAUCUCAAAUUUCUUCCUUUUUUGUGCUUCAUUCUUUGCUUGCUGGAUUGCAGAUGAAUAUGAACUGAUGCAGUACUCUGUUCCGCGCGCGUAUAACAUUUGUUUCCUCAGCAUCAAUCACAUUGGUCUUAAUGCUGCUUGUAAUUAAAAAAGCUCAGUGAACUACUACUGCAUGUUGAACUCCCACCAAUGUCUAUGUAUAUUCAAAAAUGCCCUGCUUUUUAAUCUCUGCCUUAACAGGACGGACAAUUAAUGAAACAGUUUGCCAAAUCCACUGUAUGUUGUUGAACUACUGCUUCUUAAUCUCUGCAUUUUUCCACUUCUUCAUGUUUUCUUCCCCCAUUCACUCUUCUUCCAAUGGCUUGGUAUUAUUAAUAACUAAUUUUUGACCCGUGCGUAGGGGUGGAACUGGGCCCGGGCCUAAACAAGGCCCGCCCCGAUGGGCCAUGUUUGGGCCGGACUUUGGGUAUUAAAAAUACAACUUUGGGUUUGGGCCGGGUUUAAAAAUUUAGGCCUGAAUAAAUUUUGGGCCUAUUUGGGCAUGUCCAAGCCCGACCUGAGCCCGACCCAAAAACCCGAUAUAUUAAUUAUCAAAAUAAAAUAUUUAAUUAUACAUAUUAUUUAUCUAUAGUAUAUCAUAUAUAGUAUAUAUUGUUAUUAAUGAUAUGUACUUAUAUAUAUGAGGAUAUAUUAUAUAUUAACAAAAUAUUUAGUUCUAUAUUAUGAUAUAUUUGAUGUUAGAUAUUAAUUUCUUUGAUGUGAUAAAACUAAAAAUAGGUAUUUUAUUUUAAUUUUAUACAAAUAAAAGUAUUUAUGUAUUAUAUGAUAAAUGCAUAAAAUAGGCCUCCACAAAGGCCGAUGGGUAUUGGGCAUUGGGUUUGGGCUUGGGCCGGGCCUUAAUUUUUUUAAAAAAUUGGCUAAAAGCCCGACCCGAAGCCCAACAUUUUUUUUGGGCCGGGCUUGGGCAUAGUAAUACCCGACCCAAGCCCGGCCCAGUUCCACCCCUACCGUGCGAUGCACGGAUAAUAUAAUAAUAUAAAAUAAAAAAAGUUAUUAUGUGAUGAUAAAAAAAAUAUUCUAAUUAAUAUUAUAUUUUUUUAACAAAUAAAGAAAUAUACUAUCAAUCUUAAUUAUAGUACAUAUUAAAGUACAAAAGUUAGAGAAAAAAAUUAUGGACCAAAGUAAAUACUCAAGUAAAAAGCAAAAUUCAACCCUACUCUAUUAUCUAUAAAUUGGUGUGCAAAAUAAUUCACAUUUACAUAUUGAUGUGCAAAACAAAAUGAUAACUAAAAUUGAUAUGAAAAAUUACUAAUGACAUUAAUAUUUAAGCAUAUAAUGAGAUCAACUAAAUUUUCAUAUUUGACACAAAUUAGAGUAAGCACAUGUAUAUGAGAGACAUACCAACUUUCAAGAUUCAAAAAUAUAUAGAUGUUGGUCUUCAAGAAAAUAUAAAGAAAAAAAACUUUGUUGCAUGAAGAUGGAAAGUAUCUGCUCCAAUAACAAUAUGGAUAAAUUGUUAGAUAAGUGAAAUGAUAAAUAUCAUAAUAUUAGUGAAUUUUUUUUAGAAAAAUAUCUAAAUUUAUUUAAAAAAUAAAAUGACAGAGUUCAAUUGUAAAUUAUAAAUUUUGAAAUAAUAUGAAGAAAAAUAAACCGCUCACCUAUUUAUAAUUAUGAGCACCUACUUGUCAUCCUCAAGUAGUAUCGUAAUCUUUUUUGUUUCCUUACCGUCCUUACAACUUUCUUCCAUUCUACUAAUUUCAGAAAGCUUCCCAAUGACAUCUGAUAAAUUAGAAAAAUGAAAUGUAAGAAUCAAUAUAAUAGGUACACAUAUUAAAAAUUGAAUUUUAAAAAUCAAAUAUUUGAUGCAUGUAACAACUCUUACCUACUAAAUAUUUGUCAUCAGCGACAUUAGCAAGUAUUUCAUCAAAAGGGAUAAAUAUAAAUCUAUACUUUGAUAUUGUCAAAACAUUUUCCAUCUCACGUGCAACCGUAGAAUAUUGAAAAUUGAUUUUGUAAGGAUGUAUAGUGGUCCUGUAGGAGGCAUUGCUCUGCCCCACUCCAAACUGGUUGAUCACAUAAACUUUUCUUUCCGUAAAAAGGCCUUUAAAUUUGUUCAGGAAAGCUUUUCUUAUCGUUGCAUGUAUCCUAUCUCCCUAAAAUAGAAAAUAAACAAAUUAUGUAGUACCUUUUAGUAAAAACAAAGCAAACGUAUGUUCAAUUUGAAAAUGAAAGUCGUAUCUUAUAUUUUGAUCAGAAAAAACUAACUCUAGGCUAUUCACAACUUCUGGACGAUGAAAUUCAGGUAUAGUAUACAGACAAAUCACUCUGACUUUGAUCUUCCAUUUGUCUCUAAGAGGAGUGAUGUCAUGUAUAGAAUCAUACUCAAGUGCCAUAUCCUGAGAACAAUAAGACAUCCAAGAAAAAAAAUUAAGACUUGCUUCGUUCUUAAAUAAUAAAAUAAAAAUAUAUUUUAAAGCAUCGACAUCUAAGAACUAAGAAAAUUACAGGAGUGAUAGUAGGGAAAAAAAAUUACGAAGUGAAAAUUACAGAAGGAGUGAUAGUAUGGAAGUGACAUGCAAUAUCUAUAAUAUUUAUAAAAGCGUGAGUUUUGAAUUUUUUCCUCUUUCCAAAAAUGUCUCUAUCCUUUUUUACUAAUAUUUUUAUGUUCAGUAAUUUUCAACCAAUUAUUUCAAAUAAUUAACUAAGUAAUAAUUUAUUCUCAAAUAAAUAUAUUAAUUUUUUGCCAUUAGAUCUUAUCUAAUGAUUGAAAAUAAAAGUAUCUGUCACUUUUUGUGACAAUAAUACCCUCGCAUUUAUAUCAUAUUUUCUAUCUACGCGUUUCUCAAUUUUUUUCCUUCUCACACUGCCAAUUCUUUCGCAACGUAAUAUCCGUGAAUUUCUCAAAUAUCUCAUUAAUCCACCUACCAUACACAUCCACCACCUACAUAAUAUCCAGUUAACCUUUCUCAUACGUAAUAUGACCUAUCAUAAUUUUGAAUUAAACAUAUCAUCGCAUUUGAAUUUAAAUAUUAAAAUGAUUCAAAAUUAAAUUUUAAAUCAAAUAUGAAUUUUAUUGCGAAAAUAUCUUUAUCUUUUUAACUAAUUUUUUCAUGUCCAAAAAUUUUGAACCAUUCAUCUCAAAUAAUCCAUUAAAUUUUAACGCAUUUGAAUUUAAAUCUUAAAAUAGAUCAAAAUUAAAUUUUGAAUUUUGAAUUAGUAUUUAUGGUUUAAGAUUUAGAUAAUUGUUUAAUUGGUAUAAUUUGACUUAAUUUGAACUAAUUUGAAUUAAUUUUAUUUAAUUUGGUUUUAAUAUAAUAAUUAACUAAGUAAUAAUUUAUUCUCAAAUAAAAAUAUUAAUUUUUUGCCAUUAGAUCUUAUCUAAUGAUUGAAAAUAAAAGUAUCUGUCACUUUUUGUGUCACGCCCCGGAUUACACUUUCCCCGGGCACGCCGACAAAUCCGCCGUAUACAAAGGAAUUUUCCCUAUAUACGAAGCGAUAGCUGUACCUGUAAAUCAAACACUACUACGAACAGUAGUAGAGAGCUGCUAGAGUAAUCAGAAGCAAAAGAAACUAAGUUUCAUAUACAUAGUCCAAAUCCAGAAUACAAAACUACUCGCACUGGCGAGUUGAGUCUACUAUGUACAUAAACUCGAAACAAAAUAUCUACCUGCAGUAGGGUGCCUUUAACUCUGUCAGUCGGGUAGGGCUCUAACUCGCGACGCCCUUGCCUCGAUCCUGAUCCGCGGAAGGCGCAGCAGCCGAAACCUGUGGCUCUGCAAAACAGGAGUAACAACUGGGCGUGAGAACUACUGUAAAAACAAGUAGUCCUCAGUGGGUACCGCCAAAACAACAUCGGUCCACCCACUAAGUCUACAGAAGGGAGCAAGAAUAGUAGGAAAAGCAGGAAGUACACUCUACCGCUAUCAAUCACUACACUAUCAUGCUCUACACUAACCAACUGUAGGAAAAGUCAAGUCUGACCCAAUCCAAAUCGGACUGUAAGCAUACCCGUCCCCGGGACUGUGAAUACACCCGUCCCUACCCCGUUGCGACUAUCAAGCUCUAUCCACACUAACUGGUCCAUGGAGAGCAAGUCCAACUGGCAUGAGCGACACCAACGCGAAAGCACAAGCCUGACUCCGGAGUGGCACUCGUGGGCGCUACCCAACCGAGUAUGCAGCGUAUCUCUGUCGAGCUCAAACAGGCUCCAACUAGCCAAAGUCAAGUGACCAGGGUCAAAACAGGUCUACAAACCAAACCCACGUGCCCUCGGCACAAUCUGUGACCACAACAGGAAUCUGGGUCCACCGCUAACCCGAACGGCACCCAAUGACCCGAAACAGCCUAUACUUUGCUGAAAAAUAAGCUCGGCACCUCAGCACGAGCGUAAAUGCCAUCUAAACUACCCCAGGUAUUCAUCGCAACGAUAUUGCAACGAUACAAUCGAACCACGGCUCCUAGAGCUAAAUCUGGUAGUUUAAGCAUAUGACGGGUCAACACGCAGGUUUUCUCCUAAGUCAAAAUCCAAGUCCAACAUGUAUAAUUAAAAUAUUCAUUUCAGCAUUCUUCUACAUUCAUAUUGCAGUCAAGACGCUAAUCGAUGAAUUAAAGCAUGAUAUACAAGAACCGAACUAUACACGUCGACUAAACAUGCACUUAGGAGCGAAACCGAUGAUAACCCACCUCUAAUGAAAUUCCUGGCAGCACGGAACUUCCUCGGCUGCGGCACAACCUGCUGGAUCGACUGAAAAUGUCCAAGUCUCAAAAUCAAGCUAUCUCCAAGCUAUCAACAUCAAAAUCCACAAUUCAGUCCAAAUACACAGCAGUAGAGAAGAGAAGGGUUUCGACCAAGCUAACCUUCACCAAAAUCCACAAGUAAGGAUUUCGUGGAUUCCUCUCGCAGUCCCGAAACUAACGAAUCAAGUUUCGUCGAAAUCCGAUGCUCCUACGUCGAGUAUGAGCUGAAAUACUAACAGUCGACGAUGAAUUUCAGCAAAACAGCAUUUAAGCUUAAAUAUCUCAAUUCCAAUGUCAAAACUCACCAAACGAACUCCAAAUCAGGUGGAGAGGAUCCCAAUUCCAGUACUGGGUGAUAGGGAAAAUGACUCAACUCCACAAAGCCCCUGCUUCCCAAGUUCACCCCAAGAAAACAUCAAAAAUUGGCAAAUUCUGUACAAAGCAACAGCAGCAGAGGAAAACCUGAGUUCGACUGAGCUAACCUUCACCAAAUCUGGCAAAUGAGGGCUUCGUGGAUUCCCCUCGAAGUCCCGAAUCCAACGAACCAAGCAUCGUCGCGAUCCGACGUUCCUACGCGGAGAACGAGCUGAAAUACGAACAGUCGACGGCGGAUUUCAGCAAAACAACUACUAACCGAGUAGAAAUAGUAACACUUGCCCAGAAAAGACGCCGAAUCACCCACCUCGACAGCGUCGAAUCUCGGCGCGAUGUCAAGAACAGUGAAGACGCUCUCUUGCCCGGCCUCCUCGCAAAGCUCCGGCAGCAAGUGCGCUCGAACGGCUCGCGGCGCGACGUCGGCAACGAAAGCUCCAACCGAGAUCCACCUAUUCGUUCAAUGCUAGAGAGAGAGAGAAGGAGAAGAGUAGCAAUUAGCUCUCCUUAUCUCUGCUCCUACACGUAUAAAGCAAGGGAUGGAAUAGGUGAUACAAACAAGGCAAGGUGAAAUUACUAAAAAAAUCCUCACCUACUCAAGUGUACCGGUACACGGGCCUCUGUACCGGUACACAUGCCAACCCGAGAGCAAUCUGCGCGCAACCUGCUGAAGUGUACCGGUACACCUUGAUGGCUGUACCGGUACAACAAGCAGAAAAACUGCUAUUUUGCAGAUUUCUUCGCUGAAAGCUGCCAUCGCGUCGCACGGAGUCCGUUUUGCGUCUAUUUGGCGCCAACGCGACUCAGACUUGUCUCGACACUCUACAGAGCUGUCGACAAGCCUCCACAGCUGAACACCAGGGAUCUCACAUUUUGUGACAAUAAUACCCUCGCAUUUAUAUCAUAUUUUCUAUCUAUGCGUUUCUCAAAUAUUUUUCUUCUCACGUGUAAUAUCCGCACCCGCCAAUUCUUUCACAACGUAAUAUCCGUAAAUUUCUCAAAUAUCUCAUUAAUUCACCAACCAUAUACAUCCACCAUCUACAUAAUAUAUAUACAGUUAACCUUUCUCAUACGUAAUAUGACCUAUCAUAAUUUUGAAUUGAACAUAUCAUUAUAUUUGAAUUUAAAUAUUAAAAUGUUUCAAAAUUAAAUUUUAAAUCAAAUAUGAAUUUUAUUGCAAAAAUAUCUUUAUCUUUUUAACUAAUUUCUCAUACAUAAUAUGACCUAUCAUAAUUUUGAAUUAAACAUAUCAUCGUAUUUGAAUUUAAAUAUUAGCGUAAUAUCCGCACCCGUCAAUUUUUUCGCAACGUAAUAUCCAUGAAUUUCUUAAAUAUCUCAUCAUUAACCACCUACCAUACACAUCCACCACCUAUAUAACUCAUCAUUAAUCCACCUACCAUACACAUCCACCACCUACAUAAUAUCCGGUUAAUCUUUCUUAUACGUAAUAUGACCUAUCAUAAUUUUGAAUUAAACAUAUCAUCGUAUUUGAAUUUAAAUAUUAAAAUGAUUCAAAAUUAAAUUUUAAAUCAAAUAUGAAUUUUAUUGCGAAAAUAUCUUUAUCUUUUUAACUAAUUUUUUCAUGUCCAAAAAUUUUGAACCAUUCAUCUCAAAUAAUCCAUUAAAUUUUGACGCAUUUGAAUUUAAAUCUUAAAAUAGAUAAAAAUUAAAUUUUAAAUUUUGAAUUUGAUUUAAUUUGAUUUUUAAUAAUAUAGUAAAAGAAUAGAAUUUGACACGUGGCAAGCAUAUAAAAAGCCAUGUGUCAAAUUCUCACAAAGGAUUUAUAAAGGGUUCUACUUCAGUAUGUAGUAAUAGAAAGAAUAGAUAUUCCAGACUAGUUCUAUAUAUAUAUAUAUAUAUAUAUAUAAUUCGUUAAGCAUAGUUUUCAAUUGAAUAAUUUAUUCUGACAUCCAAAUAGAAAUUUACUUUUAGUAUUCAUAAAUAACAAACAUUAUAAAGUAAAAUACAAGGGGUAUGGCCAAUAUGUAUAAGUUCCUUCUCACAGAGAAAUAAAAUUCAAUACAGCUUAAAAGUUCUACUUGCAAAAACAUUCAAUUACGACACAUGCAGAAGAGCUAAAUAAGCCACAUAAUAAUUCAAAAGAAAGCACAUUUUGGAGAUAUAUACACUAUGAAUUUCACAGCAUAUCUCGUUAUUAUCUGCAUCAAGCAUGCAAAAAUUUAAAAACCAACAGAAGAAAAAGAGUCCGAUGAAAACAUAAGUAGUAUUUAUCCAAAGAUUAAGCAAAUCUUCACAAGUAAUAAAACGGAAUAUCAAGUAGAGAAUUGAAUGACAUGUGAUAGCUUUAAUUAAAGCAGUAACAAUGUUCCAAAUACUAGUUCGAAACACUGGAGCAAAUAAGCUUAAACCAGGACAAGCAUAUAGAAGUGCAGAGAAAAUUUUAUUUAUAUGCGUCAAAGAAGCAGAGCAGAAUAUAAAGUUUAAAAAAUGAGUAAAGGAAACAGAAUAGAGAAAACAAAGAUCACAUGCAAACUGAAUCAAACUGAUCACACUUAUGCAGCAUAAAUUCAAUACAAACUGAUCACACUUGCGCAGUAUAAAAUUCCAUGCCCCUCUCAGAAUGUUAUUCUAAACUAUUGCAAAAAAAAUUGAGACUUCAAACAGAAAAAAGAGUUUCACACAAGCGCGACUAGUAAUCCUCUCAUAAAUCAGGUACAACUCAGCGACACAUACAAAAAGAAAUUGCAAGUGGAAAACUCAAUGACAUAGGGCAUCCUUUAUUACAGGAAAUAGAACGGUCCGGACUCUUUUAUGUUAACUUCUCCCGUACUAACUUUCCCUCAUUAAGCAGGAGAGGGGCAGGGCAUUUAAAUGAUUUAAUCUUAUAAGCUUUUCGCAGCUGCGAUGACGUUUUCCGCAGUUAUUCCGAAUUCUUUGUAUAUUCUCCCGGCAGGAGCGCUCGCUCCGAACCGAUCAAUCCCUAUGGCCUUCCCCUUCUCACCCACAUACUUCUGCCACCCAAGAGUUACCCCCGCUUCGAUGCUAACCCUAGCGGUCACAGAAGCAGGUAGCACACUCUCCUUGUAUUCGUCCGGUUGCUCGUCAAAUAACUCCCAGCAAACAAGCGACACAACGCGAACCGCCUUCCCCUCCUUCCUCAGCUCGUUAGCUGCCUUGGCUGCAAUUUCCAGCUCCGACCCAGUCCCGAUGAGAAUGAGAUCAGGCUUAUUUCCGGAUGAAUUAUCUGAGAUAAUGUAACCUCCCUUCUCGACCCCUUCAACAGACGUUCCAGGAAGUUGUUGAAGCUUCUGCCGGGAGAGCGCUAGUACCGAUGGCCUCUUCCUGUUGAGGACAGCGACCUUGUAGGCCCCGGCAGUCUCGUUACCAUCAGCCGGCCGGAGCAUCAAAAUGCUGGGCAUGGCGCGGAAGCUGAUCAGAUGCUCGAUGGGCUGGUGGGUCGGGCCAUCUUCUCCGAGCCCAAUAGAAUCGUGGGUCAUUACAUAAAUGACGCCAGCCUCAGACAGUGCCGAGAUCCGCAUGGCUGCCCGCAUGUAGUCGGUGAAGACAAAGAAGGUAGCACAGUAGGGGAUGAGGCCAGGGCUGUGGAGGGCGAUUCCGUUGCAUAUAGCGCCCAUCCCGUGUUCGCGGACUCCAAAGCGGACGUUCCGUUCUUCAGGUGUGUCCUUUUGGAAGUUCCCGUACAUUUUAAGUAGCGUCAUGUUGGAGGACGCGAGAUCGGCACUGCCUCCGAGAAGACCAGGGAGGACUUUAGCGAGCGCAUUCAGACACUGCUGGGAGAGGUUGCGAGUUGCGUCGGCUGGACUCUCGGGUGUGUAUUUCUGGAUGGAAGGAAAAUAGAGCGCCACUCAAUACGUUUUAUGCAUAAAGCUACUAGAACAUAAAUGAAUUGAAGGGAUUGGAAAGGACUGAGGAUUAUCUUUUGUAAAACCAGUCCAGCUUUUUUCGCAACUUCUGUUCAAAAUAUUCACUUUUGCACCUCCUAACAAAAAUAUCUUCUAGUGGAUAGAAAUGCCCCUGACUGAGAAACCUAGUGCAGAAAUGCAUCUUGUGUCAGCAGGGGCACUCCAGUCCAGGAAAAGAGGUUCUGACCAACAAUGACGAAAGCCGAAAAUAAUGGGAUGAACUAGCAAAAUUGACAAAAGUCGACUUCUUUGUUUGUUUGUUUUUUUUUUUUUGGUCAAAAACACAUAAGAUGAAGAUAAGAGAUAGAUUUACCGGAAGUGCGUCAGCCCAUCCAGCAGGCAGUUCUCCCGAAAUGAUACUCUUCAACACUGCUGCAUCCUCCUUGUACUUCUUCUCAUACUCUGCGAAUUUGGCAUUCCAUUCCGCUUCGAGAGCAGCGCCUUGAGGGAUAUGGCGGCUCCAGUGCCUGAGAUGGUUCGUGUGAGCGAUAAAUUAUCUCAAUAUGAUUCAGUUUGCUCUCGCAAGUAAGAUUUAAGUGCUAUAAAGUUUUAACAGACCUCUUCACAUCCUCAGGCAGAUGGAAUGGCUCAUAGGGCCACCCAAGGUUCUGCCUAGUUGCAUCAACUUCCUUCGCACCCAAGGCGCUCCCAUGUACACUAUAGCUGUUUGCCUUGUUCGGUGAUCCAUACCCGAUGGUGGUUGUUACCUAAGGAACAGCCAAUUAGCAAACUUUUAGCACUCCAAAAGACUCGUAAGCAUGGUAGAAGGCUCGGCGCAUGAAUGAGCGUGAUAGAGUAAAAUCAAACACACACUUGAAGUAUAUAAAACACCAUGGUUCUGAAUACCACCCUGACGUCGCCGUUAUGGUUGUUUACAAGAAACUAAUGAUUAAAAUAUCGUGCUCAAUCUCAGCAAUAUUAGCACAACAAAAGGCAACAUCAGGAGUGGCAAAGUGCUACAUUCUGAACCACUGUAUGCUGAAUGAGAAAUCAGGCUAUACAGCAGAGGGCUACGUGAGCUUCUUGCAAAGUAACAUCCGAUUAAACUAACCUUGAUUAACGUUGGCUUGUCCUUGACAGCCUUUGCUUCCUUAAUCGCAGUGCGGAUCUCAUCGUAUCCUGUGUUACCAUUCUUGACCCAGAUCGUGUGCCACCCGAGAGCCUCAAAGCGCGCAAGCACAUCUUCGGUGAACGCAAUUUCUGUGUCUCCGUCGAUAGAGAUGUGAUUAUCAUCGUAAAAGGCAAUCAAUUUUCCCAAACCCCAGUGGCCAGCAAGUGAGCACGCUUCGUUCGAAACGCCUUCCAUUUGGCAACCAUCACCAAGUAUGGCAUACCUGUAAACGAACAGAAAUCCAUCUUACAGUUCAGUGAUAGGAAAUAUCCACGAGGACCAGACAAGGAGUUGGUUAACAAAGGAAUAAUAAUAACAAUAACAAUAGAGCACAGAGAAUAUGUUUAAAGAAAUUCUUUACGUGUAAUGGUCGAUGAUCUCGUUGUCGGGUUUAUUGAAACGGGCCGCUAAGUGUUUCUCAGCAAGUGCUAAGCCGACAGCAUUAGCGAUACCCUGACCAAGAGGACCUGCCCCAUUCGACAAGAAGAGGGAAAAGCAACAAAAAUAAAAAAUUUGUUAACAAGUCACUCUCCAUUAUACUAGAAAUGGUUCAUUAUCUUAGUUUCAAGAAGAAUACCGGUAGUAACUUCGAUCCCAGGGGUUUCGAAAUUCUCUGGAUGACCAGGAGUUCUGCUUCCCCAUUGCCUGAAGGCCCGCAAGUCUUCUUCCUACAAGACCGAAAGAGAAUCAUUUUUUUCUUUUCUUUUUUUUUUUUUAAGACAAAGAAAAUUCAACAUAACAGAGAAGACUGUUUUUUCUAAUGUUCUUCCAAGAUGAUCAAAUCAGAUCUAUCAAACCUCAAUGGUUAUAGAUCAAGUGAUGCUGGUGACAAACUGACAUAAUAGAAGAAGUUCCGCCCAAGCUCUACGAGAGCUCCCACUUGAAGCUUCUUCAAAUACUUGAUGGCAAAUGAGAAAUAUCCAUCCAACAAAUUCCUAGAGCUCCAAGGGAAGUGGAAUUUUGGCUUUACCAUCUCUCUCGAAACAAUUUUAUUUAUCCAAAUGGAUGGAUAUAUUUCUUUGUUUUUACUGAAUUGAAUUGAAUUCAAUUCAAUUCAAUUCUUCAGAGCUGAAAUCAAUUGAAGCAUAACUACGAUUCGAUUCCAAAUAAUUAUUUAAGAGUUAUCUCUCAGUUUCUUUCUUUCUUUCUUUCUUUUUUUUUUUUUUUCAAAAAACUUUUAUAUAUAUUGGGCCGGUCAAUAACAGGCUUACUACGGUGACACACAUUCUGAUUUCUGCCCCAACCAAAACUGGAAAGGGCAAUAAUAAUAGCAAUAAUACUAAACAUAAAGCAACUUUUUGCGUGAAAAGCAGGGAAAAGCUACGAAUUAGGAGCCAAUCAAAUUCUUUCUUUCUAUUUUCGUUGAGCUGAUAUAUAUAUAUAUAUAUAUAUAUAUAUAUAUAUAUAUAUAUAUAUAUAUAGAGAGAGAGAGAGAGAGAGAGAGAGAGAGAGGGUGUUCGAAGUAACCUUUGACGGCUGUCGUAGUGCCGCGAGUGUGAGUAGGGCGUAGUGAGCAUGCAGCCGUGCCGCGGAGAGGACGUAAGCGGAUCGCGGUUUGAACCAGAAAGGCGGUGUCUGGUUGACACCGCAUCACCUCGUCGAACACGCACGUGCCCCGUCGGCGCCAGCACGCCAUCGGGAAGCCCCGGGUGCCCGAAUUCGCUCGCCCCAUCCGGCGUCGAUAGCGCCACGAAGCGCUGAUCGUGUUCACCGACUCUCAUCCCGUGACUCCGACGCUGAUCCGCCGCCGCGCCUGCCGCGCCACAAGCCUGACUCCGCACGCCGAGCCGACAGCCGUACGCGAGGCUUGAAGCCUCGCACUCCGCCGAGCGCGGCCGGCGCGGGGCUGCGCGGAGGGGGCGCGCGGAGUAGCGAUGGCUGCGGGCGCGGGACGAUGCGCCCGGCGGGGCAGGCGCGGCGCGGCCGGGGCCGGGAUGCGCGACGGGCUCGGCGGCAGGACGCGACAGGUUACGGCGUGCGGCGGCGGCGGUGGGCCAUGGCUUGAUUCGUCGCCGACGUUGACGGCUCCUCUCUCUCUCUCUCUCUCUCUCUCUCUCUCGGGGGCUUAGCAGGCCUUUUGACCGAGGGAGGAGCUAACGAGGAGGAGGAGGAGGAGGGGAAAUGGGACGGGGGUGUUGAAAUACCAGGGAGAGUACCCUUUAAUAUAUAUAUAUAAUAUAAUAAUAAUAAUAUAUAGAAUAUAAUAUAAAUAAAAAAAUUAAUUACAUCAGGCGGUAGGUACGAGGAGGAGUGGAAGAGCGCGAGAGGCCGUUGGAUUGGAUUAGAUCGGGAAGGCCGAAUCGUGGCCGUUGGAGGGCGCCUGCCUAAAAUUUGUUCCAACUUUGACGAGUUGAGUUGAGUUGAGCUGAGCGUGAGCUCAUCCUGAUCGGAUCGGCCGGUGAUCCAACCGCGCUCUCUUCUCUCCAUUACAAGUAUACAACAACAUCACCGUUCGAACGACAGUUGUUGUUGUGGCGUACCAGUAAUUUUCUUUUUUCAGGAGAAAUUUGGGUGGUUCCUUUUUUAAGUUUCGUUUAUUUAAAACUUUUUAAUUCAAUAAAUAUAAUUUUUGUUUUUUAAAAAAUAGUUCUUUUUAAUUUUUUUUUAAAAAAAUAUCAAUCAAUUAUAUAAAAUUUGGAAAACGGAUGGGAAGAUUUUCAUUCUAUUAUUUAUUAUUAUUAUUAAUUAAUUAAUUAAUAUAGCUAGUUAGCCCAGUUUUAAUUAAAAAGGCCAAUUUGCAUAAAAAAUCCACUUAUUUUGGGCUUUUGCAAAAUCGGGCCACCUUUUUCGUUUUUGCAGAUUCGGUCCACUUUUUCAGCAAACUGACCAAAAUACCCUUUUUACUUUUUCUCUUUCCUCUUUCUCUCUCCUCUUCGUUUCUCUCGUUUUUUUUUUUUCUCGCCGGUAGAGCGGAGGCGGAAACGGUCCGUCUCGCCUCUCACCCUCAUUCUCUAGCCCUCGCCCUCGCCCUCGCCCUUGCCCUCGUCCACGCACCCCCAACCUUCCUCGCCUCCAACCCCGCCAAGGCCGCGCCGCGACUUUUUUUUUUUUUGCUUUUUUCUUUUCUUUUCUUCUCCGACUCUUCUCCACCGUCUCCGACGACGAUGCCUCUCUCGUCCUUCUCGUCCUUCCCCGCCCUUCUCAUCUCUCCCUCUCCCUCAUUCUCUGCCGCCUCCGACGACGAUGCAUCUUCGCCGGCGCCGACGUCGACACCGUGGAGGUCACUGCGGCGCUACAGGCUCGGAGCGGGGGUCCUUAGCGGUGUCGUCGCCGGCACCGUGGCUGUUGGCAGAGAAGGUGACAAAAAAAAAUUAUAGAAAAAAAAAAAAAAAAAAAAAUAAAGAUAAAAAAUUAUAUAAAAAGAAGGAUGAACAUCAAAUUGUAUCGUUAACUGCAAAAAAAAUUAUAAGUUGCACUAUUUAAGAUGUAAACUGCAGCUUUAAGAUGAAAACUACACUCUUUAAACGAAAAUUACACUCUUUGAGAAAUAUUUACACUGUUUCUCUUCUUAUUACACUCUUUCAGAUGUAAACUGCAUCCAUUAAGAUGAAAGUUACACUCUUUAAACAAAAGUUGCACUGUUUCUCCUCUUGUUGCACCAUUUCUCCUCUUGUUACACUAUUUUUUAUCUUAAACUGCACCCUUUUAAGAGAUAUUUAUACUGUUUCUCCUCUUGUUGCACCAUUUCUGUGUAAAUAAGAGGAGAAAUAGUGCAACAAGAGGAGAAACAGUGCAAGAAGAGAAGAAACUGCACUGUUUUAAGAGAUAUAUAUACUGUUUCUCCUCUUGUUGCACCAUUUCUGUGUAAACAAGAGGAGAAAUAGUGCAACAAGAGGAGAAACUGCACUGUUUUAAGAGAUAUAUCUACUGUUUCUUCUCUUGUUGCACUGUUUCUCCUCUUGUUGCACCAUUUCUGUGUAAACAAUAGGAGAAAUAGUGCAACAAGAGGAGAAACAAUGCAAUAAGAGGAGAAACUGCACCCUUUUAAGAGAUAUUUAUACUGUUUCUUCUCUUGUUGUACUGUUUCUUCUCUUGUUGCACCAUUUCUGUGUAAAUAAGAGGAGAAAUAGUGCAACAACAGGAGAAACAGUGCAACAAGAGAAGAAACAGUAUAAAUAUCACUUAAAAGGAUACAGUUUAAGAUAAAAAAUAGUAUAAUUUUCGUUCAAAGAGUAUAAUUUUUAUCUUAAAGCAGCAGUUUACAUUUUAAAUAGUGUAACUUAUAAUUUUUUUUGUAAUUAACGAUAUAAUUUCAUCUUCAUCCUUCUUUUUAUAUAAUUUUUUAUCUUUAUUUUUUUUUCUGUUUUUUCUAUAAUUUUUUUGUCACCUUGUCUGCCAACAGCUACGGCGCCGGUGACGGCGCCGGUGACGGCGCCGCUAAGGACCCCCCGCUCCGAGGCUGUAGCGUCGCAGGGACCUCUACGGUGUCGACGUCGGCGCCGACGCCGGCGAAGAUAAAUCGUCGUCGGAGGCGGCAGAAAAUGAGGGAGAGGGAGAGGGAGAAAUGAGAAGGGCGGGGAAGGGCGAGAGGCGUCGUCGUCAGAGACGGUGGAGAAGAGUCGGAGAAGAAAAGAAAAGAAAAAAGCAAAAAAAAAAAAGUCGCGGGGCGGCCUUAACGGGGCCGGAGGCGAGGAAGGUGGGGGGUGCAUGGACGAGGGCAAGGGCGAGGGCGAGAGUAUGAGGGUGAGAGGCGAGACAGACCGUUUUUGCCUCCGCUCCGCCUCCGCUCUACCGGCGAGAAAAAAAAAAAUAAUGAGAGAAACGAAGAAGAGAGAGAAAGAGGAAAGAGAAAAAGUAAUAAGGGUAUUUUGGUCAGUUUGCUGAAAAAGCGGACCGAAUCUGCAAAAAUGAAAAAGGUGGCCCGAUUUUGUAAAAGCCCAAAAUAAGUGGAUUUUUUAUGCAAAUUGGCCAAUUAAAAAUAUAAAAGAAGAAGUAACGUUACCAAACUAGACCUAAAUUAAAAAAGUUUUUUUUUCUCCCAAGUACUUGGAUUACUCUUAUUAAAUUACUUUAAAUUAAGGGUGCGUUUGGUUCGCAUUAUGAAAAAUUACUAGGAAUAAAAGAUAUUCGAGAAUCUUACUCCUAUUCAUCCUAUUAUUAAGGAUGUGGAAUUCCUGUAUUUGGUUCGCACGGUAAUAUUAAUUAGCCAUGUUAUUUAAUAUUACAAAAAAUAUACAAUUAAUUAAUUAAUUAAUUAAUUUAAUUUUAAAUAAUGUUAUUAAAAGUUUCAAUAUUUUUUUUGAAAAAAGGGAGAGAGAGUAUAAGUUAGAGAGAGAGAGUAUAAUUAAAAAAAUAAAAAGAAAAAUAUAGUCAAAAUUAGAGGGAGUGAGAGAGUUGAAAUUUUAGAAAGAGAGAGAGAGAGAGAAAGCUUAGUUUAGAGAGAGAAANGUUGUGGAGGUGAUGAGAGUGGGAGAAGAAAAAAUGAACGAAAGAAAAAAAAAAAAGAGCGAGAAAAAAACAGAGUAUUUUGAUUAAUUUACUAAAAAUUUGGAAUGAAUUUAUAAAUUUAAAAUAGUGACUUAUUUUUAUAAAAACACAAAACUAAUGAAUUUUUUAUGUAAAUUAGAUGUUUUAGUACAAAAAAAAAGCGCUCCUAUCUUUUACCAUUCGUCUUUUUUAUUCUAUAUAAAUAUAUGAAUUCUCAGUUGGGAUCCAUGUGACAGCAAGGGGCGGAGGCACUGGGGAGAGCAAGGGCGCAAGCGGGUGCGAGCGCGUGUAGGGUGGGCUUGGUGUCGGUGGGGCCCAACCGGGGAAGGGGAGAGGGAGGGGAAGCUUUUUUUUUCCUUUUUUUUUUCCCUCUCUAUUAAAUUUUUUUCACUUUUCAUAUACGAGGAAAAAGAUUUGUAAUAGUUUUUUAAAAUCCAAUCUAAUUUUUUAUUAUAAAAAUUUAAAAAUAUAUAAAUAAUUUUUAAAUAAUUUAGAUUAUUUGUAUUAAAUAUAAAUUUUAAUUUUAUAAUAUUGAGCAUUUAGAUACACAUUGUACAAUAAAAAAUAAAAAAAAGAUUUAUGGGAUUUAAAUUAAUUUUUUAUUUUACAAAAUGUAAUAACUGAGAUUUUUUGAUUUAUUGAAUAAACCCUUUUGUUUGACGAUGUUCUUGUGUGUAAUAUAAUUAUAUGUGUACUCGUCAAAUUUCAGGAGAAAACGAGUUAAAACGGAGAAGUUACGCGACCCGGAAGUCUGACUUAAGUGAAUAGUAACUCCGGUUUUCCGGAGAGGCCGCGGAGUAAAGUGGACUUUCGACGCGUAUCGGACUCCGAAUAUAGCCUUCCAAUAGCUCGUUUUCAACCGCUCGACUAUCCUGGACCCUUUGGCACUGACAGAAUUGAAUUUGGAGGCACGGAUUUCGAGAAAAAGGGGUUUAGUGGGUUUGUGCAUAUAGUUGUCUAUAUGUGGUUUUUGGUGGAACCUAGGAGGGAAGGUUUUGUCGCAAAUCGGGAAUCUUUUCGGGCGAAACGAGAUGCUAGAUUCGAUGCCUCUGUCGUGCUGAUCGCGCUGGUGCGAUCCGAUCGGAAAUCCGACGGACGGAUCUUCGGGAAUCGCAAAAAGUCCGCGAAGGGGCUGAUUUGAAUAAUCGGAUUAUUCGCGAAAAGGCACUAUAUUUUAUGCGUCGAAUGGCGAGUUUUCGAACUUAGAGGGACUAUCGCGCUUUGUGCGACUGCUGGUUGAGAGCUGGGAUUAAUUCGACUCCUUUCGAGGGGGGUUUUCCGCAAGUUUUUCAUACCUAUAUAUAGGAUGACUUAGGGUUUCUUGAGCUAACCCUAACCCUAGAACCCCCCCAGCUGACCCAGCCGCCCCUGUCACCACAGCACCUCCCUGCCCUGCCCGUGCUCACGUUCCGGCCGCCACCGAGCAGCCCCGGCCGCCGGAAACUGCUUGCGACCAGCCUUCCUCCUCUCCUCGGCCAUCUCCUAGACCGAGGGUUUGUGGGAGGGUCUCCACCGCCUCUGGAAGCAAGCCCCGACCUCCUUCCACCUCAGGUGUACCUCUCCCCUAGCUCCGGCCGCCCCCGAGCGUCGUCGGAGCCGCCGGAAGAGACGGUAGCCAGCCGGGUCUGCCCUGAACCGAGCCAGGCCGAGCUCAGGUUGCAGGCUUCGGGACCGCACCUCCCCUGCGGCCAAGCCCCCCUGUCGACCCCGGCGACCUCCAGCAACCCGGCGCGCGCGCCCCCGGCCGUCCCCGCGCCCCGCCGGCCGCCGCCAAGGUCUCCCGCCGCCGCUGGGGUCCUGUGCGGGCCGACCUGGGAGCCGCGCCGCUCCCGAGCGCCGCCGUUACCCCCUGAGGUGGGCACCACCACCUCCUCGGUCUCCGGUACCGGUUAAUCGCCGCCCCGACCUCCCCCGGUCGCCGCCUCGCCGCCGGCAAGCUCCAACCCGAGGGGAAGUCAGCGGGCCCGUUCUCCGCCGCCGCGCCACCGGCUGAUGCUCGCCGCCGGCCAGCACCUCCCCCGGACCUCCCCGACCUGCUGCUCCCAUCACCGGCCGGAGUGCCCGCCGUCCGAUCGCCGGCGGCCAUCCCUAGCUCCCACAGCUCCGGUGAGUAGUUUACUUUGGUUCCAGCACUGCUGUUUUGCGUUCCGGUCACUUGUCCGGUGAUCCGAUGACUCCCUGGCACCUCGGGAGGUGAGCACGGUGAUCGUGGGCUCGUGCUGAACACGAUGCUCACCUCCAUUUAGGUUAGCGGUGCCCUGGUUAGUGAGAAAAGGAUGUUUUCCACAGUGUGCGCACUGAUUCGCUGAGGUUCGCGUCGCUCGUGCGCGCGUGGUUGCUGCCGGCAGUGCUCCGAAAGGUGAGCACGGCCUCAGGCAUGCUGAAACCUUGCAGCAAGUGCGAUGGCAACCUCCGUAGAUCCCUGGUUUGCUGGUACGACCCGUUAGAGCCAUGAAAUCACAUAAAAUAAUGUGAUUUCAUGGGCCAUUAGGGAUCCGUUUGCGUUUCGCUUCGUCGUGGCUGCUGUUGGCAGCAGGUAAAGGCUUAAGAUAACCUCUGGACUGAUCGUCCAAGGCCCCAAGCCUUUGCGGAAAUCUAUCGGUCAUUUCCGGAGCGUUUUUCGGCGAAAUCCGCCGAUAGAACGCGCGUUCGACUCGGAAUUCAUCCGACGGUGCCUCGUGGUUGACUGUAGCGUCGCUGAGCCUUGUUGGCUGGUCACCCGUGUCGUCUCGAGGGUUCAGAAACGACGGGUGAGCGACGGUGGAGUUCCGGUACGGUUUUCGGGACUUCCGGCUGGUUCGGAAGUUGCGUUUGAGAAACCGAUUUCAGUGGGGUUAUGAUUUUGGGAUUUGUGUGAGAAUGGUCGUGUUAUUGUGUUCGUGGGUUAGACUCUAACCCGGUGGACCCUUCGUAGGUCCGGUCGCUUCGUCUCCGCCUUAGCGAGACCAUUUCAGCUUUAUACAGGUGGGUACUUCGAUCCGAAGUCGGUACAGCGGUGCACGCUCGGUGAUGUCUUCCUUUACCCUAUCUUUUACAUCGUCUAUUCAUAUUGUUUACUCGUUACAUAUUGAGCCUUGCACCAUACUGUCUUUAUUUACUCUGCCCGGUUGUCCUAUGCGUAGUAUUCUGUGUAGGGGUAGAGUAGAUGGCAUUAGUAUAUACUAUACAUGUGACCUGAUUGGUCGGUUCUCCUGUUGCAUCGGUGACCUAUUUGGUCGUUCACUACUUUACGUACUUUGACCUAUCUCGGUCGGUUCACUUUGUACUUGAUGACCUAUACGGUCGGUGUCGGCUGGUUGCCGACGGUUGGCUAUUGAGCAUAUCAGCAUCGAUCGUCACCACUCGUUCGCAUUUCACGAACACCAGCGGUCUGAUCCACCGCAGGGGGUGUUCUUUUCCGGAAAAGUGGUUGGGUUUGCCCACCCGUGAGCUCAGAGGUUACGACUGGGUAUAUGCAGGUUGAGUGAUUGUGGCAUUAGCCUGAGGUCUCCGGACCAACAAGGCAGGUUUAGAUUGGGUAUCCUUGGACUAUCCACCAGUUGAUGCAUACAUACAGUAGCAGUAGUUCAUUACUUGUACAUCAGUUCCUUACUUGUACUUUCUGUUCUUAUAUCAUAGUAGCUACUGUAGUUGUUUACCUUUACUGUUGCUUAGCCUCCUUUGCUGGUGCGUACCCUCGCCCUCGUCGGCUUGCGGUACCCACUGGGAGGGGAGACAUGUUUACAUGUUCUCACCCCCCGCCCCCAUUACAGGUGACGUCGCAGGUCCGAGUGGGACGGCAGGUGAGGAGCGAGUCUAGCGCGCGUUAGAGCUCCGUCCCGUUUGGUUAUCUCUCUUCCCUUGCUUGAAUAAAUAGUAAACUUUCAUUACGGUUCAGUUUCAUUCGGUACUUGAAUAUUCAGUUUUCUGCUGGGUUUUCGUAAUAAAAAGAGAUUUAUGAGCUUUUCAAGUAAAAUGGUUUUCUACCCCUCGUGGUAGCGCUUGUUUUAAAAAGAAAAAGGAUUUUCAUAUUCAAUACAGUUUUCGAUGGUUUUCUACCCCUCGUGGUAGCGUUUUAAAAGAUAAAGGUUUCUGUGUGGGAAACAUUUCAAAUGAUAGUUCUGGAUUUAUGUUUAAAACUUGGAAUACUGUCGCGUUGUGAAUGGUGAAUGUAUGAACGUCUGCAUGUACAGUUGUGAUUGUGUGUUCAUAUGGUUGUGGUUGUAUUAUGGUUGUACUCUGAUUGCGUAUCUGUACUUGUGCGAUGCCGUGCAAAUACAGGGGAGACUCUGUCCGUGUGAACAGUGGAUUCCCUGUAUUUGUGGCGGAUCUGACAUACUCUGGGGUCAGGUGUUUCAAAAAAAAAAUUUUAGUCGUUUCCGCUGUUUUUCCAAACUAAAAAGGGACCCCGGGGCGUGACAUUAUGUUAUAAAAAAUAUAUUAUAUUCUUAGAGGGAGAGAGAGAAAAAAUAGGUGACGAAUGGUUGGUUAAAUGUGCUCUCACUUUUUUAGUCGAAAAUUACACAUAGUUUUGGCCCCUAUUUCAUUUUACCCCACCAGUACACGGGAUGGAAUUGAAUUGGUUUGUUACAUUAUAUAUUUCUAAAAAAAAAUUGUUUGAACUUUGAACAACUUUUUUUUUUUUUUUAAAAAAAACAACAGUAAUCCUAAUAUCCUCUUUUGAACAAAUAUCUCACUUUUACAAAUUUCCUUAGCAAGAUCAAAUAUUAUGUGUUGGUUUGAUGAUAAAUAUAAAUAUAUAUAUAGAAAAACACUACUUACCCAUCUCUUGUUGAGGAUAUAAUAUAUAUAUAUAUAUAUAUAUAUAUAUAUAUAUAAAUAUAUAUAUAUUAUAUAUAUAUACUUUAAUAGGCAAUUUCUUACAAGAUUCUAAGGCGUAGACAAUUUCUUUUAAAAUUUUAAUAAUGAAAUAAAAAAAAUAGAAUGAUAAGACUAGUCUAAAAAAAAAAAAAAACAAUUAGAUGGUGAUACUUCAAAAUGCACAUCAAAAAAAUACUGUACAUGUAGCAUUCUUCAGUUACAUAAUAUGUUUAAACAAUAUGUUAGAACUAAUUAAAGUUUUACAUAAUUUAAGGAAUACUGUUUAUUAUCUAUUUUUUUAACUAUUGGAUCAAUCCAAGAUAUCCCAAAGCUAAAAUAUUGAAACUAAUAGGUGUUCAUCCUAUUUCGAUACCCUUCUAACAUUGAUAAUUCACGAAUGUCUUCCAAUAUAUAAAAAAUUAUUAUAAAUAUCCCGCCAUUUAAAGUUUGAGAGUUAAAGUUUCAAAAUAUCAUUUUUUCCUUUCAUCUCUUCUCAAUAGUAGGGAUACUAAUAGGUGUUUCAAAACAAUUUUUGCAAAUCUAAAUCUGACUAUUGAAUAUCCUAAAUAUUAAAUUAAAUUAUUAAUAUAUAUUAAUUAUUAAAAAAUAUAAAAAAUUGUAUUAUAUAUAUAUAGUAUGUUUUUAUAUGGUUGUGGUUUUAUUUCUAGUUUCGAUUCCGGUUCAUGUCCAAUUUGGGUAUAGACUAAAACCGUAAUCAUAUUUGAAUUCGUUGGAUUUUUUUUUUUUCCUUAUACCUAUGACUGGAACCAUCCAUAUUAGCAAUCAGUUAAACUCACCCUAUUCAAAAUCGAGUUCAGAUAAAAUUAUGGAUACCUAUAUUCACCCUAUUCAAAAUCGGGUUCAGAUAAAAUUAUGAAUACCUAUAUCCAUUCACAUUCCUAAUCAAUAAUAGUAAUUUUGAAAUAAAUGAAUGAUUUAAUUAUUUUAUUCUAUUUAAUCCAAAAUAAAUAACAUAACUAUAUACAUAUUUUUUUGUCGAAUGAAAAAAAGAAGAGAGUAUAUAUUGUAUUUUAAUUUUUUUUAGGUAUUUAAGACAGAUAAGAAUAUUGAGAAUGAUUUGGUUUAAAAAAAAGUUGUUAAGCUUUAAAAAUUAAAGAAAGAUCGGAAAAGUCCUUAACUUUUUUUUUCAUUUAAAUUUGUAUACAUAGUUAUUUAUUUGCUAAAAAAUAAAUAGAGCCAUUAUAUUUGAUGAAAUCGUCAACAAAUUUGAUAAAAUUAUCAUUUUUUAUACAUUAAAAUUAGUUACUGUUUAGAAAAACUAAAAAUUAAUGGGAUGUCAAUUAAAAAAAUGAAAGUUGAGGGAGAGCUGUUUAAAAAUGGCAUAUAGUUGAGGGGAUCUUCAUACAUAUUUAACAUAAGAGAUAGCUGAGGGUAAGCUAGUCAUUUUAAAAGUUAACUCAUCUUUAGCCAUAUGGUAAAUCUAACGUCAACUAAACUAACGGUAGAAAUAUUGGUAAUAAUUUUUUAUAUUUAUAGAAGCAUAUAUGAUAUUUUAGACUUAAUUUGGAACGGAUGUGUAUGAAAUUGCCCCAAUAAAUAACGUAUAAAAUAAUUAUCGCAUAAAACUUUGGAAGCAACAAUAUAUAUCAAGAAAAAGAAAAUGUUUUCAUGUAAUAGCAUGUUAUAUAAAAUUAUGCCAAAUUAAAUUUACUAUUCAUUUGAAUUGUUGAUUAAUUUAAUUGAAGAUAACAUGAUUUUUUAUUAAAAAUAUUUAUUUAAAAUUAAUAUUUUUGUACUUUUAUAUGAGAUGAAAUUUUUUUAAUCGAUGGUAAGUUGUUGUUGUUGUCAUGAGUUGUGAUAAAGAAGACUUUUUAUUGCCCAACAAGAGAUGAUAUGGGAAAAUAGUUACACUAGACUAGAAGACGCAUCUAAGUAAAGAGGCACUCUUUUUUUAUCGUCAAAUAAAGCUCAUUUCUCAAGUUAAUAAAGAAAAUUAUAACUAAUGAAAAAAUGAUUGUUGUCCUCAAAUGGAGAACGCACAAAACGAACUCUCAAUAUAUAUAAUUACUGAAUAUAAAAUAUAAUCUCAUUAUUCUUGAAGUUACAAUAUUUACAUAAUUACAUUCUAGAAAUGUACAACAUUUAAAUUCAAAUAUUUUCUAUUUGGAGUGAUUACCAUACUUGAGAGAUUGUCAUUCUUGAGUUUCCUCAGUUGCUCAUGAUUUGAAUACUUGUCAUAGUUGGUGGAUUCUUGAUUUUGAAAAUUUGAUUCAUUCACUUAAGUUCCUUUUCUUCUGGUCAGAAUGGCUCCCCUGGGUCCACUUCCUCCUCGUCCACCUUCUUGUCCCCUUCCUAACCCUUCCCCCUUCUGCCCCUCUAAUCCUUCCCAUCCUACCCCCGCAUCCGUCCUCAAAGUGGUCCCUCGCUCACAUGGGGAGUCACGUGUCUGCCAGGGGGUCACCUUUAAGGAUGCCUUCUUAGCCCCUCGUCCCUUCAGCUUUUCAUCCCACCUCCCCCCCCGAGUUCACCACCCCACCUCCCCCCUUCCCUCACUACUUCCCAAGUAUCUCCUCAAUCCCUCCCUCAAUGGGCGCUGCUUUAGAUGUUUUGAGCGGGGUCACAGAGCUGCCCAUUGCAGAGAGCCGAGGCGUUGUCUUCUUUGCAUGAGGAUCGGCCACCUUGCCUCUCGUUGCAGGCACCCGCCUGGUCCGCCGCGUAGGCCGCCGGAUCCGUCGCUUAGGUCCAUGGAGCCGGGUCCAUCUUCAAGUAGGCCAAGCUUCUCCCGGGCGUUCCUCCCUUCUCGAUCUCCUCCCCCUGGCCUCCCUCCGCUCUCGGCGUGUGUCGUCUUGGUGGAAGUCCUCGGCCCGGUUGAUGGCAACGCUAAGACCGCCCUCUCAACGGGUCUCGCAGCCAAGUUUGGGGGGUCCUGCAGGGAUUUCUUGGUGGCAGACUUUGAUGGCCCUCUCCUAGCGAUGUUUUUCCCCAAUUGGGUUGCUAGAGAAUCGGCCAUCAGCAGGAACCCUUUUCGUUUUGAGGGUUUGAACUUCAAGUUUUCAAACUGGACCGAGGUGGCCGAGCUAGAUAGGGGGCAUCUUCGCCAUAAAGUUUGGGUUCGUCUUUGCCAUUGGCCGAUUCUAUGCUAGAAUGCGGAGGAUGUCAAGGCUGCUGUCAGCGGUUUCGGUGAACUUUGGGAAAUUGAUCCACUUUCUGAAAGGAAACUCGAUGUCUCUUUCUUUCGGGCCAACGUCAGCUGCCAGGACGUUCACUCCAUCCCCGAGUUCAUCUUCCUGACGGUGGACGACAGGAGAUUCCGUAUUCCUAUCAAAAUCGAGUCGUGGGAAGAUGCCAACCCCAUCUUUCUAGGCGAAGACAUGGAUGAGCGCUUGGGAUUGGAGACGUCUGAAGCUCAAGACCAGUUCAUCAGGCUAACGGGCUUCAGCUCGAUCCCCGGUCAGGGAAGUCUGGAUGGGCCCAGCGACUUCCGGGAAGGCUUUCGUUCUGCUGGUCGCCGCAUUCGCCCGGCCUUUGACCGUGCUACAGGGGUUGUUCAUCCGGUGACGCCGGCCGUUGUGGGCCCUUCGAUUUCAAACCCGCCAGAGCUGUUACCCCGGUCCUCGCGCCACCCGCUGUCCACCCCCCAUGUGCGGACAGUGACAGGAUAGCUGGGAAAGCGCCCGUCCUAUCGCUGUCAGCUCCACCUCCCUCGGAUGCUACCCUGGUUGACCCUUCAACUUCGGUCGGGUCGCAGGUACCGUUUGGCCCUGAUCCCAGCAGGCCUGUGGUAGGUCCAUCCAACCCUGUGUGUUUGGCAUCCUCUUCUGGGGGCCUACUCGUUUACGCGGGCAACCCGCCGCCACCCUCAACUUUGGUCCGGUUCCAGGUUCUGCUUGGCCCUGAUCCUAGCGGGCCUGUGGUAGGUCCAUCCAACCCUGUGUGUUUGGCAUCCUCUUCCGAGGGCCCACCCAUUAACGGGGCAUUCCAUCGCCGCCCUCCCCUGGAUCUGGUGGGCCUCAGUUGGGCUCUUCCGACCCAGUGAGCUUGCCGCCCUCUUCUGGGGGCCCUGCCGUUUCUGACUGUCUUCCGCCCCCACCCACACCUGUGGACCCUCCUUUUGAAGUUGCUGCCUAGUUGGAUCACUCGAGUCCGGCUGCGUGCACGGUGGGUGUUGAUCCUAUCGGCUCGAGCUUGACCCCCCCUCCAACAAUUCUGGCAACUCUUCUCAGGCUUCCUUCAAGCUUGGGUCCUUCAGACGCAGCCUUCGCAUCGCUUCGAAGAGCAUGGGAAUUAAAAAAAGCUCCAUCCAACGUGCUCAGGACCUAAUGUGCUCCAAGUUCAAAUCUAUGAAAGCCUCCUAUAAUUCCCCGAGUUCUGCUAUCUCACUCCCUGUUGAUCCCCUCCCUCUCGGCCUAACUACUGAUGCCCUUUCGUGCGUCGCUCCCAAUGUGCCUGCAGUGAACGAGGUUGCCAUUCAAGACUGUCCCGCGGAUCCGCCAAUGGUCGAUAUUGCUUCCUCUCGCCCUAGAGACCCGGCCCUUCCACUCUCUACUCAGAGAGUCGGGCCCUUCUAAGCCGAUUGUGGAAGGAUCGCGGGGUUUCAGACCUGCUCCGGAAGGGGUCUAGGCCCACGUUUCUUCGCUGUGCUGUGUGCUGUUGUUUUCUAUAUGGCUAGAAAUAAAGUUUUUAGAUUUCUGUCCUAGAAUGUCAGAGGCCUAAACGAUCGGGCCAAAUGUACCGUUGUCCGUUCCUUUUUUCAUUUUAGUAAAGCUUCGGUGGUUUGUCUCCAAGAAACCAAACUCUCCUCUGUCUCUUUGGACAAAUUCCGUUCGUUUUGUGGUUACCAUUUACAAGAGUUUCGCACCUUGGAUGCCUCAGGGACUUGAGGCGGUCUUCUCACAGCUUGGAACAACCUUAUGUUCGUUUGUAUUCGGCACUGGUGCGGUUCUCACACGCUCACUGUGCUACUUCAGAGAAAGGUUGACAAGCAACUAUUCUUGAUUAAAAAUGUUUAUGGCCCCACUGGUUCUAUAUCCAAAGUCAACUUCUUCCAGGAACUGAGAAACAUUGGACGUCAUCCUGGCAGUUUGUGGGUAGCACUUGGCGACUUCAAUGUCCUUCUUUCCUUGAACGACAAAAAUGGGUUACCGUCUAAUACCUCGGACAUCCUGGCUUUUAGAGAGGUUAUCUCGGAUUUGGGACUUAUAGAUUUACCUAUUAUGAAUAAAUCUUAUACCUGGUCUAAUGGUAGGAGGAGCCCCACCUUAGAACGUCUCGAUCGUGCUCUGAUCUCGUAGGAUUGGCUUCUCCGUUUCCCAAGAUCCACCCUCAAGGCUCUUCUGCACCCGAGAUCCGAUCACACCCCGCUGAUCCUAUCUGCCUUUACCUUUGUGCCUACUCCGAGCAUCUUCAGAUUUGAGUCCUUUUGGCUCUGUUAUCCUACCGCGUCUGAGAUCGUGACCAGUGCCUGGAACUCGGAUGUGUCUACUAUGAAGCCGGUAAAUCGCUUCAGCGCUAAGCUCACCAAAGUGCGUGAGGAUCUCCAACUUUGGUGUAGGGGUAUUUCUUCUACUCUCAAACAGCAAUCUUUCUCGUGCUUACAGUGGCUUCUUUGGCUUGACUCUGCUGAGGAAAGGAGAGCACUCUCAGCCUUGGAGCGUUCUAUUCGACCUAAACUCAAAAUCAGAUAUGAGGAAAUAUGCCUAAUUGAGGAACUAAAGUGGAAGCAACGAUCGCGUGUUCAAUGGUUAAGGGAAGGCAAUGCCAACGCCAAGUUCUUCCAUCUCCGUGCUAGCUGUCGGAAAAGUGCGAACAAUAUCUCCCAGUUGUCGGACGGCACCGCCACUCUCUCCUCCCAAUCAGCAAUUGCGAACCACCUGUUUUCUUAUUUCUGUAACAUGAUUGGUUCGGUGCAACUCUCUAGCUCCACUAUUGACUUCUCUACUAUUUAUGGUAUCGAGACGGUUGAUCUAUCCUUGCUCCAUGUUCCUUUCUCAGUCGACAAGGUCAAGUCAGCCAUCUUCGCUUGUGCGCCGGAUAAGGCCCCUAGCCCGGAUGGCUUCCCGUUGCUUUUCUAUCGCAGCUUCUGGUCGGUGUUGCAGAAUGAUGUUAUGGAUAUCUUCAAUGCUUUUCAUAAUGGCUCUACGGAUCUAAGUGGAAUAAACACCAGCUAGAUUUGCCCUGUUCCCAAGAAACCCAACGUGCUAUUCGUGACUGACCUUUGCCCUAUCAGCCUGGUUCACAGUGUGACUAAAAUCAUCUCAAAAGUCUUGGCCUCUCGCCUUCAAGCCGUCCUGGAUCAGUUAAUUAAUUCGUAUCAGGCUGCCUUCAUCAAGAGGCGCCACAUCCUCGACAACUUCUUUUGUGCCCACAUCCUCAUCCACCACCUCCAUGUUACUAAAAAGCCGGCGGCCUUAUUCAAGAUCGAUUUCGAACGUGCUUUCGACAAUGUUAAUUGGUGUUUCCUUACCGAGCUUCUCACUGCCAGGGGUUUUUUCGACUUGUGGAUACGCUGGGUCUCCGCUUUGCUUGCAUCUUCCUCGUCGGUCGUGCUUCUCAAUGGAACUCCCGGUCCUUCGUUUCAUUGCAGGAGAGGGUUUAGGCAAGGCGAUCCGCUAUCCCCUCUUCUUUUCAAUCUUUGUAUUGACAUGCUUUUCAGGCUUAUCGAUAAAGUUGUCAGCACUGAUAUUCUGCCAGCUGUGGGUAUCAGAGAAGUUAAAAUCCACUCCCUCUAAUUUGCGGAUGACGUCCUCUUCUUCUUUGAUGGCUCGGUCAGGUCCGCGACUAUCAUCAGGUGCAUCCUCGAUGCCUUCUCCUUAAACUCGGGCCUCAAAAUAAACUUUGCCAAAAGCUCCUUGUCUCCCAUCAAUCUUCCCUCGGAUUAGGCUUCAGCCCUUUCGGUCAUAUUCAGCAGUCCGCUUCAAGCUUUCCCCUUGUCGUAUCUGGGCUUGCCACUCUCCCCGAAGGCUCUCUGCCGAGCUGAUUACCUUCCUAUUAUCGAGAAGAUUGACAAGCGCUUGGCUGGCUGGAAGUGUUCAACUCUCUCCCGAGGAGGCCGUCUUAUCCUCCUAAAUUCGGUACUCUCUUCUUUACCUAUCUAUUUUUGCUUCGUGUUCGCCUUCCCUGUUUGGGUACAAAGAGCGAUCGAUAGGAUCCGUCGAAGUUUUUUUUGGAAAGGUAAGAGCUUUAUCAACAAAUUCCACUACCUUGCAAAAUGGGAUCAUGUCUGCCACCCUAAAAGGGUGGGGGGGAUCCGUAUCUGUAACUUUCAAGCCACCAACUCGGCCUUGUUGAUGAAGGGUCUUUGGAAAUUUUUUUCCUCUAAUUCUUUACCUUGGGUUCAGCUGUUGAAACAAAAGCAUUACAAAAGGCGCCCGAUUGCAACUGCCGCAUCUCCCCCUAAUGGGUGCUGUCCAAUCUGGAGAAACAUGGUUAGGUUAAUUGUCCUUUUCCUCAGCUCGGUUGACUUCAUCUUAGGAGAUGGCAAGGAUACACCCUUUUGGAAUGCGAGAUGGUGUGGCGACAUCACUCUCAGAAAUCGCUUUCCGCUCCUUCACAAGGCUUCCGCUAACUUGAAUCCUACGGUCAAUACUUGGACUCUUCGCUUUGCUAACCUGCCUAACUUGGGCUUUAACUCCCUAACCAAUCCUCUUGAACACCGGGAACUGUUGCUGUUAUCUGCUGUGUCUUCCAGUAUCGUCCUAUCUUCUAACACAAAAGACUCGUUAAGCUGGAGAUGGACUAGCUCGGAAAGGUUUUCGGUCAAAAGUGCAUAUGCUUUUCUUCUUUUUGAUAGAGUCAAUAGUACUACCUUGCCUUUCCUGUGGAAGCUUAAAAUUUCGUGAAGAGUCAAACUUUUUCUUUGGCUAGCGGAGAGAAAUAAGAUCCUGACGGUCGACAAUCUACUCAAGCACGGAUGGCAGGGACCAACGAUAUGUGUACUCUGCAACGCCGAUGCUGAAUCCCUUCAGCACAUAUUGCUUCAAUGCAGUUAUGCUUCAGUUUGGAAUACUCUAAGGUGCCCAAUUGCUACUUUACAAGCCUCGUCAAUCUCUUCGACAAAUGGUAUCGCAGCACCUUGGUGCCGACUAAGGAGGUAUGUCUCUGCUGAGAACAAACUCAACAUCGAUAUAGGAAUUGUUGCAACCUACUGGGAGAUCUGCAAGGAGAGAAACAGAAGAAUUUUUGACAAUCGGCAAGUCCGGUCAGAUGUCCUUGGUAGAUGUAUCCUUGAAACCGUGCUCUGUUGGAAGUCUGUGUUAGGCCCUCCUAGCAGCUAGAUGUUUCUUCUGCUUCUGUUUGUGCUUGUUAUGCCCGUGUCCCUUACGGUUGUGUGAAGGACUCUUUGUUACUUGGUCGUCUGAUGGGCUUUUUGUUACUUGGUGUAUAGACCCAUACAUUGCCCCUUCUCUAAUCCUGCCUCUGUAAAACAGGGUUUACCCCUGUUUAAUAAAAAAAAAUUUGAUUUAUCCAUAGUUAAUUUCUUAAUUGUAUCAUCACUUAAUCCUCCGUUAGUUAAUUAGCAAAAAAUUUUCUUAUUGCAGGAUUUCAAGUAAAAAUUAUUUAUUAUACAUGCUUGCAAAUAUUGAAAAUAAAAAUGAACGGUUAUGAUCAAUUGGUUAAAAAUAUUGAAAAUAAAAAUAAACGGUUAUAAUCAAUCUGUUAAAAAAAGAACUUCUAUCCGUUCAUUUUACAUUAAAAUUUAAAUUUGAGUUUAAAUCGUAAAUUAAAUUAAAUUUUUUAUUUUUGAUAUCAAAUCUAUCCAUAUAUUUUAUAUUAAAAUUUAAAUUUGAGAUUGUAGAUAUUUUCUAAUAAAAUAUAACAUAUAAAUUUACAAAAUAUUUUAUUCUAAUUUUUUGAAUAAAUAUGAUUUGCAAAUUAUUAUUGAUUUAAAAUAAAUUAAAUAAUUGUUACGUGCAUUUCUACGUACGCUCAACUAGUAUAAAUAUGUACACAUAUAGAAUUGAGCUUCUAUGCUUUUAAAAGUACCAAGUUAUCGGUGCUUGUAGAUUUUUCGCCAUUGGAUUAAGGAAACUUGUUGGCCAUAACUAUCCGAUGUGGGACUAUUGGAGUGUCACAGACUCCUCUCGUUUAGGGCCUGACAUCCUCGUCAGCCCUAAACACACACAGCUAAAGAUCACUAAGCGAUAUGAGACUUGUCUUGCUAGUCCAAAGAUUACUAGGCGAUAUGAGACUUAUCUAGUGUCCAAAGAUUACUAGGCGAUAUGAGACUAGACUUUGUCAUUCUGAUCCUGACUUAGCCUGUCGAUCACUGACCAUGACUUAGUCUGUCAUUCUGACCCUAACUCAGCCAAGACUCAUCUCACACUUCCGGCUGGUGAACUGGCUCUAAUACGAAAUAUGACGACCCAACCUGCUAGCUAUAAUAACUUGUUGGGCCCAACCAUCGGCCCAAAAUGUUUAAACUCAGUUAUUAUGUCUAGCUUAAUCAACCUUAUAUACUCCCACAUCUGGCCAUUACUAACCGAUGUGGGACUAUUGGAGUGUCACAAUAGUCGGACUUAGUUAUAUAAUAUAUAUAGUUAUAUAUAUAUAUAUAUAUAUUAUAUAUAUAUAUAUAUUCAGGCGUAUGUGCUUGUAAAAGCACCAAUCACUUUGUGCUUGUAGGUUUUAACCUGUUUAGAUCAGCACUGUUUGAUCAUUUACACCCGUUAGAUUAUACUGCAUUCAACCAACCACCCACUCACCCUAGGGGCCCACAUCAUCCUAACACAUAUUUUUAAUCUAAAGGCCUAAAAAACUUACAAGCCACCAAUGUCUUGGUACUUUUAAAAGCAUCGCAGCCUCAAUAUAUAUAUAUAUAUCGCUCUAGGGCUACUAUGCCAUCGGGAAGUACUAUGAGUGCAUCUAGGCUUUUUUUGACAUUUUUGACUUUGUAAUGCAUCAAGAGUUAUCGGUCUGGGAUAAACUGCGGUCGCUCCUAGGAUAAGUAGGAAAUGAUCAAAAGGGUUUAAUCUUAAGGCCAAAAAGUUGGAAGCAUUAUAUCUCUAUUGCUUCAUUUCCAAAAACAUAAUAGCUCUUAUAUAUAUAUAUUAUAUAUACUAUAAUUUAUGCUACUAUAGCUAUCAAUAGUACCAACCCUUUGGUUACUAUUUGGACUUCUUCGACCGUUGGAUAACAAGGAUGUAUGCGUAGGAUUGAUAGUGUGUCCCGUUAAAUAUGAUAGUGGAUCCCUUAGGGUUGAAAGUGGAGGGUUGGUUAAAAGUAUAUCUUAACGCGGAUGGAAAAUGAUAAAGGGUAGUUAACGGCUAGAAAAUUAAUAGUUACCAACGGCGUCGGUACUAUCAGAUAGUAUAGUAGCCGACCUCUCUCUUCUCUCUCUCUCUCCUCUCUCUCUCUCGUCUCUCUCUCUCUUAUAUAUAUAAUUAUAUAUUAUAUAAUAUAUAUAUAUAAAUAUAUAUAUGAUAUGAGUGCGUCUGUAUGCAUCAGGAAGCACAGAGCGCUCCGUGCUUCCAAGCUUGUUUUCGAUGUUCACAUCUUCGAAUCAACAUAUCGCUCUCGUUAGCACUGAUCUAGGAGUAUUUGAAGUUUUAAAAAAAAAAUAAAAUUUGCGAUUUUACUGAUAUCAUUUGCGUUGGUGAUCGAAGUGGCCUCAAAAUCCAGCGGACUGAAAAUAAAAAUCUUAUAAAAUAUGAUGACAUGACAUUAAAAUUUUAGAUCAAAUUAUUAAAGUCUUGUUUAUAUGGGGGCGCGUAUAAAGAAUUUUCUAUCAAAAAUAUUAAUGUGAUUUAGGAUAUUUGCCUACACUGUUUUAAAAACUUGCAAAACGCAUCGCAUGGCCAUAUAAAAUUAUUGCAUUUUGACCCCCCCUUACGAUCACUAGUGACCAAUGAUAUUAGAAAAAUCGCCAAAAUUUAUUUCAUUAGGUACUUCAAAUACUUAGACAAUCUUAAUAGAGCCGAUCGUCGAUUCCGAAAGUCAAACAUCGAAAACAACUUGGAAGCACGCGAGGGCUUCCGUUCUUCCAGAAGCAUACCAAGCACCACCAUAUAUAUUAUAUAUAUAAUUAUAUGAUAUAUUAUAUAUAUAUAUAUAUAUAUAUAUAUAUAAUAUAUGAAUAUAUAUCUUAUAUAUAUAUAUAUAUAUAUAGUCUAGCUAUAGUGCUUGUAAAGCAAAGUAUGAGUGCCUUGUAAGUUUGUUUAGCCGUUAGAUUCUAAUUCUUAGAUCAUUCAACCAUGUUAGAUUAUACUAUUCAACCAACCUCCACUCAAUCCUAGGGGGCCAGAUAUCCUAACCGCAUAUCUUUUGUCACAUGGCUUAAAAAUCUACAAGCCACCAAUAACUAGUGUUACUUUUAAAAAAUAGGAGCUCAUUAUACAUAUUAUAUAUAAUAUAAAUAUUAUAGAAUAUAAUAUAUAUAUAUAUAUAUAUAUAUAUAUAGAGUCCGGCUACUAUACUCUUAUGAGUACGAUCGCCCUCGUACUCAUAAGUUUAUUUCGAUGAUAGAGCUUCUGAAUCGACAAUCCAUACUGUUAAACAUUAUUUAGAACAUUUAAAACUUCUAGAAAUUAAAUUUUAUAAUUUUUCGACAUCAUUUGCCUUAUGAUCAAAAAGUCACAAAAUUGUCAAUUUUUAACGGCCGGUAUGAGAUACUUGCUAGUUUAACGGUGAAAAAGAAUCGAAAUAGGUUGAAUUUUUGAUAAAAAAUUCUAUUCAUACCCAAAUAAAGAUCAAUAACUCUGAUCUUAAAUUUAAGGAUCCGAUCAUCCAUUUUUAGGAUGUCAUUCGAUUUUAACCGUUCAUUUUAUACUCACUUGAUGGACUUUAUAAUGAUUUCGAAAUUUAUGAAAUUUAUUUUCUAGAAGUUUCAAAUACUCUAGAUCAUGUUUAAUGGUAUGGAUCGUUGAUUCAAAAACUCCAAUAUCGAAAAUAACUUAUGAGUAGUAAGGGUUCUAUACUCAUAAGAUUAUGAGUAUAGUAGCCCUACUCUCUCUCUCUCUCUCUCUCUCUCUCUCUCUCUCUCUAUAUAUAUAUAUAUAUAUAGUCCGGCUACUAUGCUAUUAAUAGCACGAAGCACUUGGUGCUACCAAGUUAAUUUUCUACCGUUAGAUCUACCAUUUUGAUCAUUUUCACCCGUUAGAUCAUACUAUUCAACCAACCACCCACUCAACCCUAAGUAGGCCACAUCAUCCUAACCACACAUCUCUUAAUCCAAUGGCCAAAAACUUGGUAGCACCAAUGACUUUGUGCUAUUAAUAGCAUAGUAGCCUAGUUAUAUAUAUAUAUAUAUAUAUAUAUCGAGCUAGGCUCCUACACUAUUUAUUGUACUGGGGCUCCGGUACUAUAGUCUUAUUUUCAACCUUAAAAUAUUCAAAUCAAUGAUCCACACUAUUAAAACUAAUUUAGGGUAUUUAAAGUUUUUAGAAAUAAAAUUUUAUAUUUUUUCAAUAUAGUUUACUUAUGAUCAAACCGUUUCAAAAUUGUCAAAUUUCAAUGGCUAUUAUGACAUGUUUGUAGUUUAACGGUGUAGAAGAAUAUAAAGUUAUUCAAAUUUUGAUAGAAAAUAAUUUAAACUAUCUAGAUCAUGGUCAACAUCCUUGAUCUCGAAUUCAGAAGUCCUAUACUCAAAUUUUAAAGAUUAUUCAAUUUUCACCGUUUAUUUUGAAAUGAUUUACUUACUAAGUAGACGAUAUCGAAAAAACAAAAAAUUUAUUCCUAGAAUUUUUUAUAUACUAGAUCAUAUAUUAACGGUGUGAAAAUACUCUAAAAUGGAAAACAAGAUUAUAGUACAGGAGCUCCGGUAUUAUGGAUAGUAUAGUAGCCUUAUUCUCUCUCUCUCUCUCAUUUGUGUGUAUGUGUAUAUAUAUAUAUNNNNNNNNNNNNNNNNNNNNNNNNNAUAUAUAUAUAUAUAUAUAUAUAUAUAUAUAUAUAUAUAUAUAGAGAGAGAGAGAGAGAGAGAGAGAGAGAGAGAGAGAGAGAGAGAGAGAGAGUUUUUUGAGAGACAUGUAACAUUCUAUCUGCUUUGUUUUAAUUCAUUUAAAAAUAAAUUUAGUCGGAAAUAUGAAUCAAUUAGAAUUUGAACUUGUAACAUCGGGUAUCAACCACCAACUAAGCCCUUACUACUUGUGCUAGGGACGGUCGUUGUGAGAGAGAUGAGGCGGAAAAUAAAAAGCUAAAUUUAUUUUUAAAUGAAAUACAAAAGCCGAGUUUUAUUUCAAAUCCGUAAAAUAAAGUUUCCUUUUACACCAAACUAAACAUCGGGGAAAAAAAAAUUUCAGGCCUGAAAUUUUUUUUUCAGCGCCUUUUAUGUGGAACCAAACACAUCCUACGAAAAUAUCGAAAAUGUGAACUUCACGUGUGAUUUUACAGCUCCGAAAUUAAUAUAAGGAACCAAUAAACUGGCUAUUGUACUAUCCUUGAUAUUAUUUAUCCAUUUUAGUUUAAUUUUAUGACUGGUUUUGAAGUGUAAAAUCAGAUAACUCAUUUUACACUUGAAUUCCCGUUCUUCUUAUUAUCUUGGUAAAAAUGUAUAUAUAUAUAGAUCGCUUAGCUAGAUUUUGUCUCAUUUUGAUCCGAGAUUUACCCAAUCUUUUAAUUCAUUUGAUUUUAGCUAGCCCAUGGCUUCUUGGCUUCAGAAUUUAACUCUAUCAGUUAUUUCUAAUGUGCUUAAUUUUAGAAUCUGAUAUAAUCUACAUAACUAUAUUUAUAUUUGUUGGUGUAAAUAUUCAAAAAAUAGAGGUUAGCUACAAAAUAAUUUAAAAAAUAUCAACGAGUCGAUCAAGCCGAGGCACGGAUAUCUCGCUCUCUUUAAGGAGAUUCAAGCCCUCUGCGGUUGGCAAAGCCUUUGAACCGAUGCAGCAGAGCACUGACUUGUCCCCUCCAGGAUACAACGGUUCGACCCUCGUCGUGUGGCUUCACCAACUCUGCACAAGUAGAUGAGCGCAAAGCUCCACCAAAACAAACACCUUUCUUUGAUCUUCUCUCUCUCAAGUAUAAUUGAAAUACUUUUGUUGUUUGUUGUUGAGUUGUGUGUUAUAGAAUAGAAAAGAACAUCCCUCUAUAUAUAGGCUCAUAGGAUAUAUAGGAGUUACAUGAAUUAAAAGCUUAGGAGUUUCUCAUACUUUAAAUCACAUUUUGGUUGUGAUUCCAAGUAUGCAAAGGUUGUAGGAAUUAAAUCACGAUGAAAGCAAGGUUAGUGAAGUUGUAACUCCACUAGCAUAGGUUAUGAGAAUUAAGAUUCACAUUAAAUAAUAAAAAUGUAACAACACUAUUAAACAAGUGAUGCGUCUAUAUUCUAUUAAAUACCUCUAAUUAAAUGAAUUGAAAAGUCCAAUUCAAAAAUUCAGAAUUUUAAAGGUUAGAUAUCGAUCCGGCCGUAAUUUUAAUACGUUUUUACCUUUAUAUGUGUUUACAUACUUGCAUGGCAUACGUACAUAUAUUGAUUGAGGUAUGGUGCUAUUAAAACUUAAGAGCAGCAAAUGUUUUGUCCUGCAAACUCAUUUUUUAUGAUGAGGCAUAUGCUUUAACGAUCGACACCAUUAAAUAUGAUUUAGGGUAUUUGAAUAUUUUAGCCAUCGAGUUUCUUAAUCUUUUAAAAUUAUUUUUAAGUCAUCAAUUUUUUCUAAAAAAUAAAUGGUCAAGAUUAAACAAGAUUUUGUAAAUAGGGAACGGUAUUCUUAAAUUCAAUAUUAUGUUGGCCUAGUGGCCCUAAUCUUCUAUUAGAUUUUGAUGAUAACAAAUAAUUACGAUUAUUGGACUAAUCUUCUAUCUUGAGUUUUGUGUUUUAGAUCUCUCUAUAUUCAAAAAGGAUUCAAGAUGGGCAAUAUUCUAGCAUCAAGCUUCACCACUUGAAGCUGUGUUUGUUUCCUUUGUCAAAUAGACAAACUCACUCUCUCCAUUCUUAAUUUGAUUAAUAUUUUGCCUUAUGAUUAGAGUGAGAAUGUCACGCCCCGCGACCAACCGCCAAUUUGGACCGGGUCGCGGUGCCGCCGACAGACCGCCGAACGGACUGGAAAUUCCCCUGUACGCGGACAGAGUCUCCCCAGUACGUCCAAGGCGUCGCAAUCCAAACAAUCCACGAAUGUUCCAACAAGGAACGGAUAUCAAUCCAGAUUGCAUAAGGAAGUAUCAAAUACAUAACCUACUUGUUAUUACAAGCAUUCAUUUCACAGUCUCGUUAUACAUCACAGUUUCUGUUUACAUUUUUACUUCCAAAUUACAAUCUCACUAUUACAUUAGAGUUAUCAAGUUUGAUACAUUUUCUUUUCUUGUCUUCUAGACCCCUAAGCUAAACUGUCUCAGGGUACUGCUACCUCAGUCUCUGUGGUAGGGCGCUAUCUACUGAGCUACGCCCUUGCCUCGCGCUGCUGCGCCGCACACGAACGAUCUGAAAACCCCAAAACAACGUGGGGUGAGAACCAACUCCAUGGUUCCCAGUGGGUACGGCCACCCAAGGGAAAAGCUCGACCGAUAGGUCAAAGUAGGCCCUGCAACAUGUCAGUUCAACAAUAUACGAUGCAGAUAUAUUCAAUUGAAAUACAUGUUAGGCCUAACAAUAUGCAAUAUGAAUCUUUUAUGCUUUUCCAUACUUUACUAGUAGAUUUGCUUGAUUCUACUUAGCUACUUUAGUUCAUUUAUCAACGAGUAGAUUAUUUAAUUCUACUUUUACUUAGCUGCUCCAGCAUAUAACUUUACUCUAAGGUUUCUAUUACCUUAGGAACUCAACACUAUUCAUUGGCUUCUAAGGUUUCUAUUACCUUAGCUCAAGCCUCUAUCUCUAGCUCAUAAGGGUUCCUCUACCCUAUCAUAGCUAACCACCCGACUCGGCUUCGAGUCAAUCAUCCGCGGAUAGNNNNNNNNNNNNNNNNNNCUUAUCCUUUCUAUUAUGCCUGAGUUAGUCCUAGUGGGAAAGUCGGUGAUGUUGAGGCCGAACCCACUGGGAACUUUGUUGUAGUUCUCACCCCACUAUUUCUACAGAGCCGGGACCGAGCGAGCCGGCGAGCGACCGAGGUAAAGGUAUCGCGCCUUAGACAGAGGCCACCAAUGUUGGGUUUCAUUUUGUUAGUAGACACCCUUUCAUCAUCUUUUGUAUGUGAUGAUUAGUAGUGUAAAGAAAAGAAUGUAAAGCUUAUUUUGAGGAAAAUGUGAUGUAAGAAAGAAAUGAUGAAGUUAUGUAAUGGAAUGCAAAGAAUUCGAAAAUUAUUAGAUGAAUGCAAUGUAUAUGAUCCAAAAUGAAUCAUGUUACUUGUGAAUGUUUAAUUUCCUUUUUCUUUCACUUAUGGCUAUUGCUUACCCUCGUGUAAGCCGUUUGUGUAAGUUUCCGCUAGUGCAUUUCUGGUUUGAAUUUGUACAUGUGAUGAGCCUUGGGCGGAUAGGGGAAACUCUGUCCGUUCGGCGUCUGUUUGACGUGCUCGGGUCGGGCCAAAUUGGCAUCGGUCCCGGGGCGUGACAUUUACUGACACUAGGUUAAAUGCCACACACCUAGAUUGUUCGACUCUAGGUUUACUAGUCAACCUAUGUUCUUUAACACUAGGUUAGAUGCCACUCAAUCUAUCUGACAACCUAGUUGUCCAAUCAUCUCUACUCAUCCUAGAGUUAUCAUCUAGUUUAUAUACAUAUACCAUGCAUCAUGCUUUCUACUUAGCAAUUACUCUUUGCAUCAUUACUAACAUGCAUCCUUUACUUAGCAUCCUCAUCCAUGCAUUAUUAUUAAUAUGCAUUUACUUCAUAUCAUCAUGCAUUACUUAGCAUUACAUUAUUAUCAUGCAUUACUUAGCAUUACAUUAUUAUCAUGCAUUACUAGCAUUAUGUCUACUUAGCAUUUUCAUCUAUGCAUUAUCAUUAUCAUGCAUUCUUUACAUUAGCUAGCAUUAUCUAAUGCCAUAAUCAUUAUACUCCACUAAGCAUUGUUAUUAAUAUGCAUUUACUCUAAGCAUUACCAUUUAUCAUCAUGCAUUCCACUUACUUGCUUGCAUUAUUUACUUAUCAUGCUCAUUAUGCAUUCUUUACUUUACUUGCAUUUACUCUAUGCAUAUUUAUUAAUGCACUAUUUAGUCUUGUCUAUAUGCACAUGCAUCAACAAGAGAUUACAUUCCUAAGACAUAAAGGGCGACCUAGUCGCUUCGGUAAGCACAACCCACCUUAACUCGCGUUCCGAUUGCUUGUCGACACUUACAAUCGGCCUCCUGCGGCACUCGGCACCCGUUUGGCCCGAUCUCUUUCGUGACUUAGCGAACGACCUCUGAAUCGCGAUCCGUCUUUUCCGGUGCUUAUUCCUUGACUCCAAGGUACUCCAGUUCCGAUCUCAUGAUUUUUAGACCUUUAUUCCGCGUGCUGCGGCUAUCUGUACCAAAACCGAUCGUUUCAUCAAUAACUUCGCGUACGCUCGUCGGAUUGUCGAACCGAGCGCACCAACGCGUUCGUUAGGUCCCCAAUUAGGUUUCUAAGCACUCAAAAUAGAUCAAAACCCCACAUUAGCAAAAUCCCCAUUUGGGAUGCCCUAAUGCAACAUAGGCUUAAUACCUCGGAUUUGAUCUAUAAAACAAGCAAAAGAAAGCUUGUUUAUCAUCUAGAAGCUCAUCUAGGAGCAUUCAAACUCAUUCUAGGGUGUUUAAAGCAAACCCUAGAAAUCCACCAUUAGAGCUUCAUGAAACAACCAUGGAUUUCAUGGUGUUCUAGCUCUCCACAAGGUUCUAAAUAAGUUAGAAGCUUCAAAACUCUAGGUCCUAGGGUUUUAAAACCCAUUCCACAAAAAUCUACCAUGAGAGGCUUGGAAGCUUACCUCUCCUAGAGCUCCAAAAUGAGGAAGAAGAUGAAGAUGAGGUUGAAGAUGAAGAUCUUCUUCUUCUUCUCCUUGCUUUUCUCUUUUCUUCUUCUCCUUCUUUCUCUCCUUUCCUUUCUUUCUUUCCUUUCUUCUUUUCUUCUCCCUUCGGUUUGCACGAACAGAGAGAGAGAGAGGGCUGUGGGAGUGGGAGAGAGAGAGAUAAAACACUCUCUAAUAGUGUAUUGUAACAAUAUCCCCCUAGCCCCUCCAUGUUUUCUGUUUUUCCAACUUAACCCACUGAUCUGGGUCCCUUGUACCGGUACACGGGCUCUUGUACCGGUACAAGGCCCGACAGACAGCCAAAACCGAGAGCUGGCUCGCUCGGUUUCGCGGAUUUUGUACCGGUACAAGGCCCCCUUGUACCGGUACAGCGCCGUAGCACUGAUCCGUGAUGGUUGUACCGGUACAGCCAUCACUCUUGUACCGGUACAACAGCUCCAGAAUGCUGUUUUUCGAUUCGUUUCGAUUCGAUUUCGCACUGAUCAAUAUCAAAACCCUUCCAACUCUUUUGGAGCUUACUUUUAACCCUUCCAACAGUGUUGGAACAUUAAUGGAUCGCGUCCAACCAAUCCUCUUGAGUGCUUUAGUCAAUUUGGCUAAAGUCCACAAUAUUUCGCCGAGAUCUCGGGGGUUACAGCGUGUACACUGUCGUGGGUAAUGAGGGCCACCACAGCGGGGAGCCUGGCGACGAUCGGGUCCUCCUCGCUGGGUAGACUGGCCGCGUCCUCGCGACUGGCUCCUGCUCCUGGGAUGCCUCGGCGGCCUCCGUGAGUGCGUCUGACUCGCACCCUCAGCCGCUGGCCUCUUGCCCUUGCCCUUAUCUAGGGCCUCGCGUCGCUCCUGAAGGUCUGCUGCUCCGGCCUCCACAAUCAACGCUCGAUCCACAACCUCCCGGUAGGUCUGGAGNGAGAAAUUUUGAGCUAAGUUUAAACUAUUCAUUUUAUCACCUUAUAGAUCACUUAAAUAAAUUUCUAACUUGUGAUUAGGUGAAUAGAAUUUUUAACUAUUCAAAAACUGCUCAAAUUGUAUGUUCUGUCAAACUCACUCUCUCCAUUCUUAAUUUGAUUAAUAUUUUGCCUUAUGAUUAGAGUGAGAAAUUUUGAGCUAAGUUUAAACUAUUCAUUUUAUCACCUUAUAGAUCACUUAAAUAAAUUUCUAACUUGUGAUUAGGUGAAUAGAAUUUUUAAAUAUUCAAAAACUGCUCAAAUUCUAUGUUCUGUCAAGUUGAAAUUUCUGGACCCUGUUCUGGGCGCCCUAAAGUGGAUCCGAAACUUUUGAGACUUUUUGGAUCCUGCCUGUUUGUUGUUCGGGUGAUCCAGAAACUUUUGGGCUCCAUUACUUCAAAUUAGGGCAAUCAAGGCUAUUUGACUUGACAGGUUGCAUGUCAGCCCAAAAGUUCUGACAGCAGGCGGCGCGCAAUCUGGGCGCCCAGAUUUUAUGGAAGCUCAAAAAUGAUCUUGGUAAGCGGCGCACGCAAUCUGAGCUGUCUGGCAAGAAAGUUAGCACGAUUUUCUGGGCGCCCAAAACUUUUGACGGCUCGAAUCCAAAAAAACGGUGCAUGUCAGAAAAGUUGUCCCUCGAGAUCUGGGUGCCCACAAUUUCUGACGGCCCAAAUCCAGAGGAAGCGGCGCGUGUCAGAAAAGCUGUUCCUCGUGUUCUGUGCGCCUACAACUUUUGACGGCCCAGAACUUACGAAGUCAAGAAAAGCUGCUCGUGUCAGAAAAGCUGUCCCUCGAGAUCUGGGCGCCCACAACUUUAGACGGCCCAAACAUACAAAGUCAAGAAAAGCGGCGCACGUGGUCCGACAGGCAGCUGGCGUGCACAACUUCUGGGCGACCGGAAACAGUUUUAGGGCGCCCAAAAGUACAACCGACAGAGGCUGCCCGAGGCUAUAAAUAGAUGGUAUUGAGGCCUCUCUCAACAGCAACUUGAUAGUUCAUUUGAGCUUAAAAACUUCAGUGAUCUUAACACUCUUAGCUCUCAAUUCUCUCUCUAAACUUGAGUGAAAUUUGUAGUGAGAUUUAAUCUUGUAAAAAGAGAGGAAAGAAAAGCCUUGAAGCUUGAAAGAAGGAGUUGGUGUGAAGGCUUGGUGCUUGCACGCAAAAGCAUCAUUUAGUGGAGAUCCAACAUUCUCGAGUGUUGAAAAGUUGGCGGGGACGUAGGCAAAGUGCCAAACCUCGAAACAAAUUGAUCGUGUGCUUUUCGAGUUUGCAUUUCUUUUAUAUGCAUCGGUUUUUAAUUUGCUUGAUUAUUUGGAUUUUUAUUUUAGAAACCUAAUUCACCCCCCUCUUAGGUUGCCAUUUUGAUCCUCACAUUAUAGUUGUAAAUCUUGUUCUACACAUACUAAAAAAAAGAAAAAUUCUGUUAAAAGAUCAGCCAAAUUUAUUAGAUUAUUCUAAAUAGUCUAUAUAUACACUAUUAAAUUGCCAAUUUUAAGAUUGCUUGUUCACUUAAAUAAAUGAUCGAUGCCAGAAAAAAAUAUAAAUCUUGGUAUCUAGCUAGAAAGUUCAAGUGAAGCAUGUUGAUUAUCGAAUUAAUUAGAUGCUUAAUCGAUCAUUNCUUGUUCACUUAAAUAAAUGAUCGAUGCCAGAAAAAAAUAUAAAUCUUGGUAUCUAGCUAGAAAGUUCAAGUGAAGCAUGUUGAUUAUCGAAUUAAUUUUUUGUGGAGUGAGAAUCGGAGAUGGAACAACCGAGCUCUAGCCUAGUCGGCUGAAACUUUUUAAAGAAAGAAUAUUUAAAUGGUCGUAGGAUCGAACUCCCGUUUAGCACUAAUAAAAGUUUGAAAAAGACAGAGAUCUACAGACUACAGAUCUGAUAUAAAAAAUUUAUAUAACAGAAAGGAAAAGAACUGAUCAUGAGUGGGAAGGUUGGUUUUUUUUUUUUUUUUUAAUUAAUUUGAUUUAUUUAUGUAUGUUGCCGUACAUUGGAUCGUGCAUGUGUUUCAAAAAUGGCAGCUACUCCUUGCUAAGCUUUUCAUGUAGUCGGUGGUAGGUGUGAGAGGAUGCGUCCAAAACACUCACAUGGGCUUGUAGGUAGGUGCCGAUUAAUAUACAGUAAUAAUAAUAAUAAUAAUAAUAAUUAUAAUAAUAAUGGAUAAUGAAGGAGAACUAACGUACAAUAAUAUUGUGCCAAAUUUAAUGUGUCUGUAUAUAUUUAAUUAUUGAUUAUCGAUCACUUUGAGAAACUCUUCAACGAGAUCUUCGUCGAUAAAAUUUAGUGAGCAGCAUANAUAUAUGUUAAUUUUAUAUUCAGAUAAUAUUUUUUUAAAAAUAACUCUUCUACUUUUGUGCGAUGUGAAUGUCUUCCACGAGAUCGAUUUAGUACAGAACGGUUUUGAAUUACUCUAGCUAGCAGUCUUCCACUCACAAGUGUGCGGGAAUAAUAUCAGUUGAAUUAUGCUACGUGCAGUGAAUGAAAAGGCGACAAAAUAGAUAACGACGGAGCAACCUCUCAGAUGUUACUAUUUCUGUAUUGAAUAAGUGCGAUAAAAAAAAUUUCUUCCGCUGGCGUCUAAGCAUUUCCUGUCUCAAGAAAGAAGAAAUCGUCUUUAUAACAAAUAUUUAUAUAUCCAUAUAAAAUAUUACUCAAAACUAAUUCUCAUUUCUGUUGAAUCGAGUGAACCCUUCCUUAAUUGGAGCCCGAAUUAAUCCCGACCCAUUCGAGCCAGUUUUCGUUGAGUGAAUUUUGUUUUAUUUAAAGCCUCUAAAGUUGUUGGAUUCAACUAACUUUAUAUAUAUAUAUCCAAAAAGUGUUAUUUACACAUAGUUAACAAACUUGGACUAAUUAAUUAUUAAGCUUUUAAUGCAUCGAUCGUUCAGUGCUUGUUUUGUUUUCUUUUUUUAAAAUUUCUUUUUCUCAACAUUUUCUCUUUGUAAUCAGAUAAACUUUUGUUUAAGAUAUUAUGAACAUUUGAGAGAUUAAGACCAACAUUCUUAAUCUUUGAAUUGAAGAGUUCUCUCAUCGAAAUAACUCCAUUUAAUUUCCACUCUUCAACAUUAAUUCUAGAAAACAAUUAGUACGUAAAUGAGUAUAAAAUUGUUUAGUGCGUAGGUGUUUUAAAAACUUAAUUAAUUAAGACCAUUAAUUUCCUACAGUGUUAAUAGUUGGUUGGGCAUUAAUUAAAAGAAAAUGACUCAAUAAAACUGAUCAAUGACUCCCGAUCGUGUGCUAUCGCCAGUAUUCUAGCUCAGUUCUUAUAUAAGUUCUUGUUGAUUUUAUCUUUACGGACUUCAAAUUUUCUUUUCCUUGGAAAAUAUAUACAAUCGAGAUGUUUGGCAAACAGCAACAUUAAUCCGAAACUUGUGCAUUAGUGGGAAGAAAUCAAUCAAUUAUCCCGUACCCCACCAUAUUAAUUAUAUAUAUAUAUAUAUAAUAUUUCUAGUUUACGUCUAAUAAAAUGGAAAACGAACAAUAAAUAACACCUUAUAAAUUAACUUCAGCACAAUCAGCUUGACCGUUCAAACUGUAAAAAUGUAUAAAAUAUCAUCUAAAAAUUCAGACUCUAAUUAAUUAAUUAGAGUCUAUGUGGAUCUAUGACUUUUUGCCCGUUUUCAAAACUAAUAUAUGAUGAAUUUAUUCCAGAUUUGACAAUGAGUCUACGACCAGCUGGCCAAGCUAACAAAACACUUUUUACUAAAAGACUCACAUUUGGUAAAGAAAACCUAAUAUCUUUCCCUCAAGAUAAUAAUUUAGUAUUUAGGUUAAAAGACACUUCAAAACAUCUAGCCAGAAAAAAAAAAAAAAAAGGGUCAAUUUGCAUUAAAAAAUUCACAAGUUUUGAGCUUUUGCAAAACUGAGCCGCCGUUUUUGAUUAUGCAGGUUCGGACUGGAUUUUUAGAAAACUGACCAAAAUAUUCUUAUUUUAUUCCUUUCUCUCUCUCUUUUUUUUUUCUGUCGUUAUUUUUUUCUCUCUAUGAAAAGAGAGACGGAGGCGGAAGUGGGCCUACCUCCACUCUGCCCCCCACGCCCUCGCCCGCGUCCGCACCCCACCCGCGCUCCUUGCCUCCGACCCUACCAAGACUGCGCUCGUCGCAACCUGCUGAAGCUGCGUCACAAUCCUUCUUCUUCUUUUUUUUUUUCUCUCUGAACCUCCUCCAUUACCUCCGAUGCCCUUCGUAACCCACUUCCACCUCCAUCUUCACUGCAGCAAAUUUUUCAUCUACCAAACCCACUUCUGGGAAGCCGCGUCCUCAUUGCUGCCACCGACGACGAAAAGAAAGCGCUUCUCGGCGCCAAGAAGCUCUCUGGCGAGGGAAGGGCAUGCGACCCACUAUGCCCACCUGGGACUGGCAACAAGUAGGGUGGAGAAGGAGGAGAGCACGACGACACCGGAGAAGAGGGCGAGGUGGGAGCGAGCACGACGUCCUAGAGGGCAGCGAUGAGCACAACCUCAACGAGGUCAGAGACUAGGAGGGCGGGGGUGCACGGGAGUAUUUCUGGUCUAGCACUUUUGUUUGCUUAAAACAAAAAAAAAUUAACUAAAAAUAAAAAACUAGAGAAUGAAGAAGAAGAACUAGAGAAAAAGAAAGAAGAAGACGAAUUACACUGUUUUAGAAGAUCGUUGCACUAUUAUAGAUGUAAGUUGCACUCUUUGAAAUAUAAAUUGCACAUUUUAAAAUUAAAGUUACACUCUUUAAAAAAAAAUUAUACUCUUUGGAAGGAGAAACAGUGUAAUAAAAUAGUGGCGACAAUAGUCGCCACCAUAAAACUAGUCAUAAAAUAGGCCGCUAAUUAUGUAAAGUUUUCGUGGCCACAGUAUGUCGCCGCUAAUUAUCUGGUCCAGGUCCGACGGGGUUUUAGCGGCGACACAAUGUCGCCGCUAAUUAUAUAACUUUUCACGGCGACCGUAUGUUGCCACUAAUUAUCUAAUUUUUGGCGGCGACAAAUUGUUGCCACUAAAUAGUUUUACCAACGGGGUUUUAGGUGGCGGCAUGCGGCGACAAAUUGUCGCCACCAAUACGUUUUUCGUGGCGACAAUUUUGGCUAUGGUAGCGACAUUUAUCACCACUAAAUCUUGUACUUGUAGUAGUGAAUUAUCUUUCAAAGAGUGCAACUUUCGUUUAAAGAGAGUAAUUUUUAUCUUAAAGGAUGCUCUUUAGGAGAAAAAAUAGUGUAACUAUCUUCUAAAGAGUGCAACCUUUCAUUUAAAGAUGUAACUUGCAUCUUAAAGCGUGCUCUUUGGAAGGAAAAAUAGUAUAACUAUCUCUCAAAGAGUACAACUUUCGUUUAGAGAGUAUAACUUUCAUCUUAAAAGGUGCUCUUUGGGAGGAGAAAUAAUAUAACUAUCUCUCAAAGAGUGUAACUUUCGUUUAAAAAGUGUAACUUUUAUCUUCAAGUGUGUAAUUUAUAUUUCAAAGAGUGCGCGUCUAUAAUAGUGUAAUAUUCUUCUAAAAUAGUAUAAUUUUAACUUAACAGUGCAAUUUCAUCUUUUUUUUCUUCUUCUUUAGUUUUUUUUUUUUUCUUAUUCUCUAGUUUUUGACUUUUACUUAAUUUUUUUUAUUGUAUGCAAACAAAAGUGCUUCCAGAGUUGCUCUCGUGCGUCCCCCGCCCUCCUUGCCUUCGACCUCGCUAAGGCCGCGCUCGCCACUGCCCUCUAGAACAUUGCGCUCGCCGCUUGCCUCGUCCCCUUCUCCGGUGUCGUCGCGCUCUCUUUGUUUCCACCUCAUUUGUCACCGCCCUUGGUUGGGCGCAGUGGGUCGCGUGCCCCCUCCCUCGCCAGGGAGCUUCUUAACACCGAGAAGUGCUUUCUUUUUGUCGUCGGCGACGGCGGUGAUGACGGCGGGUUCCCAGAAGUGGGUUUGACGGGUGAAAAAUCUGCUGAGUGGAGAUGGAGGUAGAGGUGAGUCGUGAAGGGCCGCGAAGGCGGUAGAGGAGGUUCAGAGAGAAAGAAAGGAGGAUCGCGACGCAGCCUCGGGGAGGUCAGAAGGAAUGAGGGCGAGGGGUGAGCGGGAGCGGGAGCGGGCGCGGGCGAGGGCGCAUGGGGCGAAGGCAAGGAAAGGCAUUCCAAAGGGUGGCAACGAGCAUAGCCUUGGUCGGUUGGAGGCGAGGAGGGCCAGUGGUGCGCGAAUGCGGGAAGGAGUGGUGUGCAGAGGGGAGGCGGGCCGCCUCCACUUCUGCCUCCGCCUCCGCUUCGCUCUUCGUAGAGGGAUUAACAUGAUAUUCAAGAAGGAGGUCUUAAGUUCGAAACUUACUAGGCCUCUAGUGUUAUUUAAUUUCUUCUCAUAGGUAAGUCCACGUCUUGGGCCUAUUAAAAUAUCUCGAGAUCUGAAGCUUAAACUUUUGAAGACUAACAGUUGUUUAUGAAGACCACUGAACUAAGAACGAUAAUUAUUUCAUAUAAUUUAACAAAAUAAAUAGAUAAAAGUGUAUGAAGAUCCUCAACUAUAGGCAGUUAGAAUUAUGCCUCUCAGCUUUAUUUCUUUUUGUUGACACCUGCUUAGUACGUUGAGUUAUUGUAAAUUUUACUAAAUUUAAUGACCCUCUUGUCUAUUACCCGCUUUACUGAAGAGUCAUAAAAAUUAUUAAAUUUGUCGAUAUCAGGCAUUGUUUGGAUUGGGGAUAAGAGGAGGGAUAACCCCUUAUUCCCUCCUUUACACCCAAACGCAAAUAUUUUACCCGAGAAUAGUAGUUCUCGGGUACCUAAAAUAACUUGAUAUAACUAUUCCCACCAACACCUCUAUUUUUUAUGUAUAACUACCCACUAUUUUUCUUAUUUCAUAUUAUCUAUCAAAACGCUAUUUUUUUUUAUUUCCGGGAACAACCCAAUUUUCAUCCAAACGCUAUUUUUUCUUAUUUUCAUACUUGAACCUAUCCCUGUAAGAACUAGUUCUUACUUAUAAUUGAACCAAGCGGUGAAAUUACUUGGCAAUUGGAGGAAUUAAAUAUAAAGUUUUUAUAUUCCGUUGUAAUGGUUUGGUAUGAAAUCCGGAAUACUCCGGAAUAUUUCACUCCGAUUUUUACUGUUUGAAUAAAAUACCAUAUUUUUUACACCAUUGAAAAAGUGAGUGUUUUUUUUGUUUUACUGGAUUUCAAAUUUAUAAUGCCUACCAAAUUAUCAUAUACGACAAAUUAUUCCGUAUUGAUGUAGUGUUAUUUAUUUUACAAUAUCAAAAUAAUUUAACGUAAGGAAACUUCUCGUUAGAUAUCUACAGAAAAUAAAAAAAAUUUUUUUUUUUUUUGCACAGUUAAAAAUAAAUAAAUACGUGCAAACUAAAAAUAGUAUUCUUGUAACUAACUAUCUUGUAAAUAAAUAUAAAUAAACAUAUGCAAUUAAAAAUUAGGGCACUUGAAUUAAAUAGUCUCAAAAUAGCUUUCCUAAUAUUUCCCCUCUCUCCCUUUCCUCAUCAUCUAGAAACAACCACCAUUAGAGAGCAAUCAAGGGUGACGAUGAUGGGGUAUAGUUGGAGUAGAUCGAUCAAGGCUGUGGCGCCGUUGGUGGCGGUGAUAUGGGCGCCGAUGUUGCUGGGGCUUGUGGAAUUGUUGACCAUCCAAUUGGAGAAUUUUCUAAAGAUAUAUCCGGCACUCGGCGUAGAUCGAAGAGAACGGCGAUGAAGAGGGCGGAGGAGAGGUCGGCUGCAAGUCGACGGAGGAAGGGAGGGAGGCGAAGGUGGAGAAGAUGAGGGAGUUGAGGUGAAGAAGAAGGUUGGGGCAUGCAUUUGGACGUGAAGAACGAAAGAGGUUAGGCCAUUAGGGUACGUAGGUCUUUGCAAGCUCGAGUGCCAGCCCGAAGAUCUCUGGAAUUUUUUCCACUAGUCCGAGUUGUUUUUAUUUUUUUUCCCCUAUUAUUACAGAGUUUUAGGCACCCUAAAACAGUGUAUUGUAAAAUUUUAUAAAAUCUAUCCAAACACCAAACUCUGUAAAAAAUUUCUUUUGAAAAAAAAAACUCUGGAAUUAGCUCGCUCAAUCCAGAGUUUUGGAGGCCUCUAUCCAAACAGGCCCUAAUUAGUUAAAAAAAAUGCUGCAAAUGGAAAGGAUUUCAAUUAAGAAAAAGUAAAGUCCAGCGGUUCAUUUCAAAUGGCCUCUACUAUACUUGCUGUGCAAAUAAUUUACUAAAUAUAUUUAUAUAUAUUCGAUCACCUACUAAGAAAUAGGUUUGAGCCUCACGUGCCAAUCAUGAGGUUGGAUUCCAGUCCGCAAGCGUGCUUUUAUUAGCGAGUUAUCCGAGUCUCCGAGUCUUUGUAUAUAUAUAUAUAUAUAUAUAUAUAUAGAGUGAGGCUAUAAUCUAUCGAUAGCACGGAGCCUUCGUGGCUUCCAGCUCGUUUUCGAUGUUUGUAGACUUCGAAAUCGUCGAUCGAGCUCCGUAAACUUGAUACUAAGUAUUGUAAAUAACCUAGAAAAUACAAUUUUAUGAUAUUUUACUGAUUCAUUUGCAUAGUGAAUGAAAGGGCUCUCACAUCACAGCCUGAAAAAUAAAAAAUCUAUUAAAAUGUAAUAAUAUACAUUAAAAAUUUAAAAAUCAACUAUUGAUCUUGUUUUAUAUAUGUAUAAGAAAGAUUUUCUAAUCAAAAUUUCACAAGUGAUUUGGAUAUUUCUACAAACCCGUUAACUUGCAAACGGCUCACUAUGGCCUAUUAAAAUUUGUUAAUUUUGAAGCCCAUUCGAUCACUAUGCAAAUGAAUAAUGCGAAAAAAUAAUUAAAUUUUAAUUUUUAAGUAUUCCAAUACUGUAGAUCAAUUUAACGGCCGAUCGACGAUCGAAAAUCGCAACACACCAUCGAAAACGAAAGCUGGAAGCAACGAAGACUCAAUGCUUCGAUAGAAAGUCCGCCUCACUGCUAUUAUAUAUAUAUAUAUAAUAUAUAUAUAAUAUAUAUAACACACACGCUAUCUACAAACGUGGGACUGCCGACGUGUUAAUUAAGCAAACUAAAUUUAAAAAAAAAAAAUAAAAAAUAUAUAAUAUAAUUAUUUUUAAAUAAAUAAUAUUUAAAUUUGUGUUAUAUAAGUGUAAUUUUGACAAUUUCUAUAAUGAUCAAACUAAAUAAUAGUUUUUUUUUCCUUAACUUUAGUUCAUAGUUAAGAAUGAAUAUUAAGUUAUUAACAGUAAUAACUAAUUCAACUAUUUAUUUGAUAAAAUUUUCAACUUUACUAUAUAUGAAAACUUAAUUAUUAAAAAAAAUUUAAAUGAUAUACAAUAAGAACAAAAUAGCUGAAAGACUAUUUUAGAAUGAGAAUAGUCACAUAAUUUUUUAAUAAUUACAAUUAAAGAUAUUAACUAUUAAUUAUAAAAAUAAAAUCAAAUGAGAAAGAAACAAUUUUAAUUCUAAAAUUAAACAUAAAGAGUUGGACACUACGUAUUAAAGUGACUUGUAAAUAAUUAAAUAUAUAAAAAUUUGACCAAAUUAUAAAUUUUUUUUAGAGACUUUGAAGAUAAAGUAUGUUAUGAAAACCAAUUCUUAAUAUAUUUUUCGUCUUUUUAGUUGGUGAUCAUUCCAUUUACGAAGAAAAUAAACUAUUAAUUUGUUAAGAUUUACACUUGAAGUAUAUUCAUCUUUUUUUAAAUUUUUUUUCAAAUCUUGACUUUUGCUUAAACAAAUUGAUUUUCGUUGUCUUGUUUAAUAGUAUAAAUAGUUUCAAUUAAAAUAAUUUUACGGCUGUAGUUUAUAGAAUCAUCUCUUUCGAUUAAAUCACUUUAAAAAUUUAUAGGUAUUGACUUCCUAAACAACUCUCCAAUUGCUAAAUUUUGUUAUAUAUAUUAUAAAAAAGAGAUGUGAUUAUAAUUAUAGCUGCAAGCUAUAUAUAUUGUUAAAUUUAGAAUUAGUAUUUUAUUUUUAUCUCUUAAACACCGUUGUUUUGCAAUUCAAUAACUUUUCAUUUUCUUUAUUAAAAAGUGACAUUCCAAUAUUGAAAUAACAAGUUAAUUUGAAAAAAAUUUAAGAACCAAAAGCCAUGUGAGAAAAUAAAUUUAAUUUCAUAAAAAUAAAAUAAUAGCAUGUGCUAAAAAUGGGUAGAAAAUGUCUAAUAAUUUACUUAUAAAUUACACGAUCAUGAUUUAUAUUAUUAUUAUUAUUUGUAUUAUACAUUUAAUUGUAAUUCAAGAUAUUAAAAAAUUCAUAAGCCUAGAAUGAUAUAGACAAAAAAAUGAUUAAAAAAGCAUUAUCAAUACAAUUUAUCUUACUCAAAAGGUUUCAUAUUAAAAUAAAAAAAAAUCAAUUAAUUCAUAAAGUGAAACAAUAUUACUAUGCAACCUUGUAGGGACUGAGAUUUUGACAGCGCAACUAGACUCUCUGUUGAUGAUGUUUAUGUGUGUAAUUUAAUUACAUAAGCACUCGUCAAGUUUCAGGAGAAUAUGAGCUAGAAUGGAGAAGUUACGCGAUUAUUAGUUUUCACUUAAGUGAAUAGUAACUCCGGUUUUCCGGAGAAGCCACGGAGUAGAGUUGGCUUUCGGCGCGUAUCGGACUCCGUUCAUCGCGAUCCAAUAGCUCGUUUCGAUCGGUUCAGCUAUUCUGGAACCACUGGCACUGGCGGAUUUCUGAUCUGAUGCACGAUUUUCGAGAAAAAGGAGUUUUACCGAAAAGAGGGUUUCCGCUCUUUGCUUUUCUGUGCAUUCUAAAGCUUCUCGUACUCCGUGCUUGUGACCUGGAGUAGGGUGAAGAAUGUUUCGAGUCCCUACUAGUGGUAGGGAAGUCAAUUUCUUAUGCGAAAGUUGGUUUAAUGGGUUUACACAUUGGUAUAUGUGCGAUAUAUGGAUUAAUUAGAGAGCGGAUGGGUUUCGUUGCGAAUCCGUGACCAUAUCUGAUAAAAUACGAUUGUAGUUUUGAUGCCCCCGACGUGCUGAACGCAAUGGUGCUGUCGGAUCGAAAAUCCGACGGACGGAUCUCUGGUAAUUGCAAAGUUUUCGUUAAGAGGUCAAAGGUGGCAAUUCGGAAAAUUCGCGAAAGGCGCGACAUUUUAUGUAUCGAAUCGCGUGAGAUCAGACGUUGAAGUCACGUACGCACAAAAUUGUACGCCCUGGCAAGGGGCUGAGGUUUAAAUAAUUACUGGGUUAGAGGGGUUUUCUGUCAAAUGUCCUCUUUAUAUAAUUAGCAUCUAGAUUUCUUUGCCACGAAACCCUAGUAUCUAGGUCGACCUUGUCUCGCAACUGUGCCCUAACGCACUUCAGCGGUCCGCCUGCCCAAACCUUCGCGCACAGCUCCGGCCUCCGCAGGUGCCCCGGCAGCACGAAAGCUUGAACCGCACCCCCCAACUUUCUCUCCCAACCAUCCCUGCGUGGAACCAAUGCUGUGUGACCAUAACCGUCGGCCACCACCUCUGCGCGCCGCCAGCCUUCCGCCGUCCCGCCUCCGGCUCCGCCAAUCCCCACGCGCACGACAGCCUGUCAGCGGGCCUUAGGCGCUCUGCAGCGCGAGCCUUACCUAGCUCAGGCCGACGCCCUGGCCCCCACCGCCUCCACAGCCGCCGUCGCCUUUAGACGACGUAUGCUGGCCAUUCGCCGGCGUCGUCACCGCGCGCGCCCCCCGUCAUCGUGCGCCGCCGGCGGGCCGUUUUGGCCCCUGCGGCCCACUUGUGGCCAAGUCGGGCCGAGCUGCUGACCCUCCCUCCCGCAGCGUCACCACGUUCCCGCCAGCCGCCGCGUCCUCCCAACGGCCUCGCGGCCGACGCUCCCCGCUCGCGCCGCUGCUUCGCACAUCACCCCAUCUCCCAGUGGACCGCCGGACCGCUCCCUCCUCCAUCCUGCGUCCGCCCUGACCCGUGCGGGCUCGGUUGGUCCCAGCAUCGCCGCGCUGAUCUUCCGCCCGCCUCACGGCUAGCACCGACAUACUCCUCUGGCGGCCGCACUCGUCCGCCCCCGGCGCCAGGCCGCCCCGGAGCUUCCUGUCGGCGCGAAAUAUGGCAUGUGCCUUCCUCGGGUUUUGUGGUGAUUAGGCAUAAAAUGCCUGACCGUCCGCCGCCGUCCCGAACGCCGCUGAAUCAUGCCCCCUUGCCUCCCCUGCACUCGCCUGACCCUCCUGCCGCCGGCGCUGAAUGACCGCUCCGUCCGCCUGCAUUCGCCGGCUAAGGCCGCUAAGCUCUUCCUGGACCGCUUAAGCUUGAUUCAGCUUUCCUGCGCAUAUUUUUCUGUUACGAUGACUGUUCCGGCGACAGUUGCUCGAGCAUUAGUUCCGAAUCUCCGAAGUGAGCACGGUGACUCAGUCCAGUACUGAUACACAAGUGCUCAUGGUUUAUUGGGUCAACCCCGAGCCCCUGGUAGCGAGAUAAGCAUUGUUUUUUCAUGCUGGCGUCGCAGUUCACUGAUAAUUUCGCGUCGCUCGUGUGCCCCCAACAGUGGCCGGAAUUGUCUCCGAAAGUGAGCACGGCUACCGCAUGCCGUAGACCUGUCAGUAGUGUCUCGGUUUGGCAUUUAAUGACUCCUAAGUUUGACGUGGGACUGGGGGGGGAAUCCAUAAAAGUGCCGAAAUUCGCAAUGAUAAUAAUGUCGAUUUCUGGGUAACGGGGAGGGCUUUUUAUGUAUUUAGGUUGUUGCGGGCUGCUGUUGGCAGCAAUGGAUGAUUAGUGGGUAACCUCUGGACUGAUUGUCCAAGCCCCGGACCUUUGGCUAAGAUCGAAAAUGUAUUUUUCGGUGCGUUCGAGGCGAAAAUCCGCGACGAACGCGGGUAUCGUUCGAUUAUUCCGACGUGCUAUCGGAGCUUUGUGUAGUCGCUGAGCCUUGUGCUGUCCUCCCUCGCGUCAUUUCGAAAGUUCAGAAAUGAACAGUGAUCGCGACACGGUGGGUUCCGGUGUCGAAAUUGACAACUGUCCCAGGAACCCGAUCCAACAAUUAUCCACACAAUAAUUGUUUGGUGCUGUAUCCUUGUGUUUGUUGCAUGUCGACACCUAAAAUAAGUGUUUUAGAGGCAGCGAAAUGACUCGUGCAUGAUCGGUGUCCUUUCGGAUAGUUAGUGGGUCGCCGGCGAAGCCCCCGGUGCGAUUUUUCGGGAGUUCUUCGCGAUUACGGGUAAAUCGGUAUUGGAACCAUUUCCGUGGAUUGUUUGUGGGUUAUCUUUAAGGUUUCUUAGCUAUGGUUAGACACUAACCCAGUGACCCUCUUACAGGUCCAGUUGACGGUCUUUUGCAAGUCAGGAGACAGGACGCGACAACUUGUGAAGCAGGUGGGUACUUUCAUCCGACAGUUGGUACAGUGUGGCACGCUCGGUGAUGUGCUUACACCUUGCUCUUUUGUUAUUAUUCCAUCGCUUAUAUUAUAUGUUGGCUUUGCAACCUCUAUUGUUUACAUUACACGCUCCACAGUGUUAUUGAUUAUACUCUACUACUCAGGAGGUUUCCAAUGCUUAGUAUAAUGUGUAGGAGUAUAGGCUAUAAAUGUAUGUGAUCAUGUUUUCGCUUGUUUGCUCUAUCUUAGCUAUUCUGUAUACCCUGUUUCAUGACUUAUAGUAGAGCGAUUCCGUGAUAAUCUGUGAGAUUAUCGCGAUCUGUGGGUCGAUUCUAGUAUCAGUAUAUUGAACAUAUUAGGUGAGUUCCUCAGCCUUUGUUGUCGUGUAUGACCGUUGCGUCGGUAAAAGCCUGAAGGGUGAUUGUCGUUAGGUUCGCCCCGACUGGAUGAUUAUAGCUUGUACUCCAAUACUCCUAACUUGUGACAUGAUUGGUCGACGUUUCAUAUCUUAUAAACUUGUGAAUGAUUGGUCGAGUUCAAUAUCUUAUACUUGUUGACAUGAUUCGGUCGAGUUUCAUACUUAUACUUGUGACAUGAUUGGUGCGAGUUUCAUAUUCUGUACUUGUGACGGUGAUUGGUCGAGUUUCAUAUCCUAUUGAUGCUGAGUUGGUCAGUCCUGUAGUAGGUUCAUUGUCGCAGCAUUGCAUAUGGUUUGAGAAGGAUGUCGACGUUGUCCGCAUUCCUAGUUUGACCUGAUGGUCCGUUCUUGGUGCUUCUUUUACAGUUGACGACGCUAUUGCGGUCGAUGGGCCAGGGGGCAGAUUUGUCGGCUGGUGCCGACCGGUUGAUCGUUUGAGGGCAUCAUUGCAUUUGAUCUGCCCGAUUACUCGUCGGCAUUCACGAAACAUCUGGCGGUCUGAUCGCACCCGCAAAGGAAGUUGGUUCUUUUCCGGAAAAGUGGUUGAAUUGGUGAUUAACCUCGUGAGCCCUACAAGGGGUUAUAUGCACUGGAGAGUAGUAGUGCACUGGCUUGAGGUCUGGCGGUGGCUGACAAGAGAGCCAUUGGGUUUUCAGAUUGGAGUUACUUUUGGACUUCUUGACCGGAUUAAGACGCUAUAUGUCUAUUAGUAAGCAGCUCCGCUUUGUCAUGCAUACUUAACAAUUCCUUACUUUAUAGUUGUCUGAGCUGCUGAUAAUGUAGAUAUUCAUGUAAUGCUUCGUUCUAGAUUACAAGUAGUGUAACGGUAUUAGUCUAUUCUUACUUUCUUUCAGUUUAUUGCUAAACUNNNNNNNNNNNNNNNNNNNNNNNNNAAGAAUUAUAUUUUUAAAAUUAUAGUAUUUUAGAGAAUGUACACAAAUCUGUAUAAAGACCUCCUAUAUGUUUGAAAUCAUUUCUGUUUAAUUAAAUUUUAAGAAUAUAAAUUUUUAUAUGCACCCACAGUUUGCGACCUUGUGGUUUAAAAAGUUUCAUUGUUCCUCCCUAUAGUUUAGCUUAUAUUUACUUUAUCAUUCUAUAGUUCGAAAAGUUGCACUUUGCCAUCUAUAGUUGAGUGUAAAUUUUAUUUUUCCAUUAUGUGGUUCAUUAAAAUUUUUGUUACUUUGUUGCUCUAAUUUAUAUAAAUUUUUGGGUAAAUAAAAAUUAAGUCACAGAAAAUUAAAGUAAAACUUUUUAAACCACAGGAUGACAAAAUAAAAAUAAGCUAAACCAUAGGGGUCCAUUUGAAGUUUACCCCAAAGUAUUAUAAUUGAGGGCACAAUUUUAAAUUUAAGUUAGAUUUUAAGUUUACAUUUAAUAAAAAUGUAGUAUAUCUAGAAGUUAUAUUAAUUAGAUGAUUCUUUUAAUAAUUGAUUGAACAGUCUAUACUUAGUAUUCAUAUUGAAUGUCUUUUAGAAUUUUUUUAUACUAUAAAAAAAUUACAAUUGAUUGUACAAUUAAAACUUUAGUUCAAGUUUUAAGUUCAAAUUCAAAUCAAAUUAGAAAUUUAAAAUUUAAAAAUUUCAACACAUUUGAAAUUUUUUAUUGUUGACUAAUUCUUUUAAUAAUUAAUCGAACAAUUUAUAAAAUAUAUUCAAAUUCAAUCUCAAUUUCAAUAACUUUUAUAAUAAAUGAAAUAAAAGUAUAAUCGUAAUUACACAUAGUUACCGACAAAGAGGUAGGGUGAGACGAAACCACUAAACUUAUUUGCUUAUAAUAGAAUAGAAGAUAAGAAUAGAUAUACACACACUAAUGUAGUUACCCGCGCGAUGUGACGGACAGACACUAUCGAAACAAUCAUUAUUUUUAUAAAAUAAAGAAUAUUAGUUUAAAUAGUCUGCAAAAAUUGGUGAAAAACUAUUAAAGAUGAUCUUUUUAUACUUAUUAACUCAACAAUCUUUAUAAUUAAACUUAAUAGUUCAGUCAAGAAAAUAAUAAGAUUAUAAGAAGGGAUAAAUAUAUACACUUCUAGAAACAUCAAGUAUUUCUUCAAUUUUAGAGUUAGCAAUACUCAAUGUAUGAGUAGCACCAGCCAAUUAAUUUAUGAUUGUAAUUUUCUCUCACAUUCCUUAUAAGAGUUGUAGAUUCUUGCUCUCCUGCCAAGAAGUUUAAUUUCAAUAAAAUUUAAAAUAAUGGAAAAAUAAUUCUUAGUUGCAAAUUUUGUAAAUAUAUCAUGUAUAAUAAUGAAGAAUAGUUUUGGUCAUCAAUCCUGCUGUAGAGGCUUAACUCUUAGUGUCCGAUACAACAUUCGAAAAUGAAUGAAGAUGAGUUUAAAAUAAUUUUUGAAUUAUAAUCCAACAUUUUCAAGAAGAAGAUUAUUUAUGCGAAUUAUCGCUAAGUUGGAAAGAGUGUUAGACACAAAUAGAUUAUGCAGAAAUAAAUAACCCUUAAAAAUCUAAGUUAAUAUAAGUAAUCAAUCACUUUGUGACAUCAUUACUAAAAAAUUCAAAAUGCCAACUAUUCUUACAUAUGUUAGAAUUAUUUAACGCAAAAUUCCAUAAUAGCAAAAUUUCAAACCAAUGAAUGCAAACUGUUUGUCUUCGUAAUUGAUUGCCUACUACCAAAAAAAGUGAAAUAAAUUAGACAUUGCACACUCCUUUUGUUCCUAUAAAUUUGCCGCAAACAUCUCAAAUCUCUUAUCUUUUAAAAAUUUCAUUCCAUUUAAAUUCUACACAUAAGAUAAAAGUCAAGAAUUAUAUAUACAUACAAAAGAUGUUGACCUUCUAAAUAUUUUCAACCUUCUACAUACUAAGAGGAAUAAUAUCACUCUCGUAGUUCAAUACAACCGAAAAAUUGACCACAACAUCUUAAAUCCAUUAGUUUGAGAAAUUUCAAAAAAAAUUAAGUUAAUGUAACGAAAUAUUUGGGCAUUUUUAAGAUAUUACAUGCUCUCGAUAAAAUCAAAACUCUCUAUAUAACUGACCAAACUCUCAUUUACAAAUUGAAAAAUUACAUUUCAAACCCUAAUUUUUUUAUAAUUUAUUUGAUCAUAAUAAAUCUUCUUAAAUAACCCGAGUAUGCUCUCAAGUUUGACUUGAAUAAUUAUUAAUAUUUCUAUUAUAUAAUAUGAAGUGUGGGUUACUAUAGUUUUUGCUGUUUAAACUUCUGAACUCUAAAAAGUUCUCAUAAAAUUAAAUAAAAUAACUGGGACAAUUAUUUUCUUUUCAUCCGAAAGGUAUUUAGAGCAUUGGAUCCUUCUCUUAUGUUUUUUUUUUUUUCGAUCUCUUCAAUUUUUUCCCUUCUUUUUUUCUAAAGUCUAAUCUAAUUUUUUAUGUUUUAAUAUAAAAAUUUAAAAUAUAUAAAUAAUUUUUAAAUAGGAUAUAUUAUUUGUAUUAAAUAGAAAUUUUAAUUUUAUACUAUUAAGCAUUUACGUAUAGAUUGCAUAUUUAAAAAUAAAAAAAUUAAUGACGUUUAAGUUAAUUUUAUUAUAAAAUUUAGUUGCGAGAAUCGUAUAAAAUAUACUAUCUACAUUUGUAGAACUAAGUGAAAUAUUCGAAUUUUUAAAGUCACACUACGUACCAUUGAUUGACUCAAAUCUAAUAUAUCAAAAAAUUGAAUAAUCCAAAUAAAAUUUUGAAAGAUUGAAUUUACACUUUUCGUCCUUCAAACUAUAAGACGAGUAAUAUUUUAAUUCUCGAACUUUGAUAUGUUAUGAUUUAAACUAUAAGACAUGUGACACUUUCAUCAUCAAAUUUUAAUUAGUUAUAAUUUUUUACUUGCAAUAUGAGAUAUAUUAUUUUAGUCCUCAAUAUUUAUUACUGUUAUAAAUAUAAUUUAUUAUUCGUAUGGUUUUCACUCUUAUUUUUUUAAUUCUUUUUAUAAUUUAUUCUUAUAUUUUUAUUAUAGCAAUAGUUGCUUAUUUUUUAGUUGAUUUUUUUAAUAUAAUUUCUAAAUUUUUUUAUUAUUUAUUUAUUUUAUUUAUUUUUAUGGAAUUGUUCCACCGCAACGCGCGCGGGUCCUUCACUAGUGUGUGUGUAUAUAUAUAUAAGGCGUUCUUCUAGUAGAGCUUAGAAGCUUGUUCCCAACUAGGGAGAAAAAAAAAAAAAAUUAAAAAAAAAUCACAGAGGUCGACUUGGUGCCCCUUAAAAUGUCUUGGCCACAGAUAUGGUCCAAAGGACAUAUUAAAACCCUCUGUCGCCCUGAUCAAGCCGAAACUGUGCAAGGGUCAAGAAUAAUAGAAGGGUCAAACUUAAUUAAGAGAUCUCAGCCCCACAAAUACUGGAAAAGGCAGUCAAACUUUUUGUAUUAACAUUUAAAAUUUUCAAUAAUUAAACAUAUAUACUCUUAAAAAGUCUUUAAAGCUGUGCGUCGAGGUCAUUAUAAUAGAGCAGGAGAAUCACAGAGUAAGAGAAAAUUAUCCGGCUCCAAGCUCAGGCUUGGUCCUUACUUGGAUGGUGUUUUUUUUUUUAAUUUUCUUUUUAUAAAAUUUUUUUGACGUUUUUUAAAUACAUAUUCUAUAAGAUGGAGUGGUUCUUAUACUAGGGGUGGCAAUCCAGUUCACUGUUCGUNAUAUAUAUUUAAUCUAAUUUUUUUUAAUUUAUUGUUCGUUGGCUAGCUCGUGAGCCAGCUCGUGUUCGGUUCGUUAAUAAACGAGCCGAGCACGAGCUAAAUUUUUCGGCUCGAUACUUUAAAGAGCCAGCUCGUAUUCGGUUCGUUUAAUAAACGAGCCGAACACGAGCCGACCCCAGCUCACUCGUGUUCGGCUCGUUUACCCCCCUACCUUAUACAACAUGUACAGGACCUUUCGUAAACUAGAGGGGUUGUGUUUUAAGCUACGGAACAAUGUUAAGAAUUGAAACAUCCAUCUCCGGCUCACCCCAACCAUCAAGGGCACCGUUAGUUUGAAGUAUUUAAAAAUUGAAAUGUGAAUCGAAAUAAGGGGGUGUUUGGCCUAUCUAUUUAAGAGUGAUUCUGAGCCCAAAAUCACUUUUGAACUCAGUAGAGUGUUUGGGAAUGACAUUCUGAAAAUCUGAUUUUACUUUUGAGAAUCAGAAAACUGAAUUUGAAGGCACCAGAAUCAGAAGCAGAAAAAAGCUGCUUCUCCAAAACUGAUUCUGAUUUUGAAUUCAAACUUCUAAUUUUUAUUUUUAUUUUAGAUUCAAAGUAUAAAUUUAACAUUAAAUUUAAAUUUUGAAAUUUUAAAUUCAUAUUUGAAUUUUUAAAUCUCAACUUUUCAAAUUUAAAAUUUAAAAUUAACAUUUAAAAUUUUAAAUUUAAGUUUCAAAUCUCAAAUUUUAUAAAUUUUAAAAUUCAAAAUUCAAAUUUAAAUUUUAAAUUUCAAAUUUCAAAUUCAAUUUCAAAUUAUAAAUUUUAAAUUUAAAUUUUUAAAUUUUAAUUUAUUUUAUAUUUCAAAAUUAAAAUUCACAAUUUAAAUUUUAAUUUUAAUUUUCAAUUUUGAAUUUUGAAUUUUGAAUUUGAAUUUUGAAUUUCAAAUUUCAAAUUUCAAAUUUGAAACAAAUUUCAAUUUUUAAUUUUAAUUUUAAUUUUAAUUUCAAAUUUAAAAUUUGAAAUUUAAUUUUUAAUUUUAAUUUUAAUUUUAUUCAAAUUUUUAAUUUUAAAUUUAAAUUUUUUAAUUUAAUUUUAAAUUUUAAAUUUGAAAAUUUAAAUUUAGAUUUUAAAAUUCAGAUUUUAAAUUUAAAAUUUUAAAAUUUCAAAUUUAUUUUUGUACAAAUUUGAAACUUAAAAAUUAUACUUUUAAUUAAAUUUAAAAUUUUAAUUUAAAUUCAUAUUUUAAAUUAUUUUAAAAAUAAAAUUUAGUAAAAAUAUUAAUAUAUACAAACAUUAAAAUUUUUUUGCAAACAGAUUUUGAAAAUCACUUCAGAAAAAUCACUUUUUUAUAAAUUCAACCAAACGUUUUACAGCUUUUCACCAAAAUCAAUUCUCCAAACCAAAAUCACUUUUACUGAAAUCACUUCUCCAGAAGCUAGGCCAAACAGGCUCUAAAUCAUUUCCAUUGCUAGCGUUUGGAUAGAUAGAUUAUCAUUUCGAUUCCCAUUCCGAAGGGAUUUGAAUCCCACGAGAGUGACUCCGGCCUCUAUGGUCGAUCGGAAUAAUUUUUGAUUCCGGAGUGACUGAAAAUUGAUUUUUUUUUAACACUAAUAAUUAUUUGAAUUCAAAUAUAAAUCAUAAAAUUUAUUAGAUUAAAUCAUAAUUUCAAAUUUGAAUUUGGCAUGUGAAUUUAAAAUUAAAAUUAUUUUGUUACUUUUAAUUUAUACUUAUAGAUUUAAAUUCAAUACAACGGAAUUAGGUUAUAGGGAUAUAUUUUUGGGACACUUUUGUGUAAGUGUCUCAUUUAUGCCAAAACUUAAAAAAAAACUGUUAAUUCCUAAGUAUAAAGCCCAAUCCAACCAAAAAUAAAAGAUUACUCUAUUUAACCUACCCCACCCAGCCCAUUCGGCCCGAUUACAAACAGAAAUGGAAAAAAAAAAAAUCGAUUACCAUCUCCCAUUUCCCCCUCACUCACUUCACUAAAAUUCUAAAUGAAGAGCCCUUCCCUCUCCUUAUCCUACGCCACUGCAGCCAACGAGAUAGAGUUCCGGCAGUUGCUAAAUACUUAAAUAAGUGUUAGUAAAUUAGCAGUACUCUUUUUAGGUUUUACCGACACUCUUUAACUGUCACUAUAUACUUAGUGACCCCACAUAUAGCAACACUUUUUUACAGUGUCGGUAAUUUAGCCAGCAACACUUUUUUUGACAUGUACCGAUAUUUAAAAGUGUCGCUAUAGAUCGUUUUUGUUGUAGUAACAUUAGCUAGUGGAGAUUAAUGAAAGAUUUACUCAACCUGUGGCAUGUAGCUUAAAGAUGGAAAAGUAUAUAUGAUUUCUUAUAUAAGUGUUUGUGCAUGUGAUAGUGUAGAAUUCGCAUACAUGCUAAAUGACAUAUCAUAUAGAGGCAUGACUAUUAUUGAAACUGUUUAGUUGUUAUUAACUUCAUGUUUAAGCUUAUUGCACGCAUUUUAUCAUGUCUCAGUUGACCUAGUGGUGUAUUUCGCCACUCUCGGUGGCUUACCCACUGGGAACUAUUGUUUAAUACUUCUCACCCCCAUUGGUUGUUGGUUUUUGUUUCAGAGCUUUCUGCAGCGGGAGAGGUUAGGGUUCGCGGUAAGGGAUUGGCGAUUAGCUAGAGCCUUCUCGAUGUUAUUAUAGACGAACCCGUAGAAUUUCUUUCUUUUUUUUUUUGGAGAGAUAGGUAGCACGCUACCUGUUUCGUUUAUUUCAUUUAGAAAUAAACUUAGCUGGAAAUGUGAAUCAACUAAGAUUCGAACUUGGGUCUCGGGUACCAACCGCCAAGCCCUUCGCCACUUGCUCUAGGGACGGUCGGUGUAGAAUUUCUUUCUUGAGUUUAGUUCAGGAGCAUAUAUUUAUUCCUUAUUGUAGUCUUGUUGUACAUCUUGUUUAGAUCUUUGUAAUCUUUAAGAUGUAUUUGUUUCUGAUUUUUUUGUAUCUAGCAUAUUUAUAUUCUUGCUCUGAGUACCAUGUUUAGGGAUGACUCGUACUUUUCGUUUUGAUUUUUGUAGACGCCUUGUAUGCAUCAGAAGUGUUUGGUGUAUACGGCGGGUCUGUGCACGCUCCCGGUGGGCUUCCGUUGAAGCUCGGGGCAUGACAGGAAUAGUAUUAUUCCACCAAAAUGAUGGAAUAGAAAAUCUCUUGCAAUUUCGGAAUAAUCGAAAAUAGCAAGGUUUGAUCGGGAUAAAAUAUCCCAGCAACAAAUCUUUCUAUUUGGCGGAAUAGUGGGAAUAACUGUUGUUAUUUUCGCUUAUCUUCCGAUCCAAACGGGGCCUAAGAAUAAUAAAUCAAAAAGAUAAAAAUUUUUCAUGAAUAUAUAAGCAAUUGCCCCCAUAAUUUUAUUACUGUGAGGGGUGCAUAUGCAAUCAGUUUUUGCUUUUCUAUUCUUUACUUUGACCGAUGUUUUUGUCCUUUGAUAAUUCAAGUUGCUUCCUUUAUGGGCAAAUUCGUCACAUUAUUAUUCAUGAGAGAGAGAGAGAGAGAGAGAGAGAGAGAGAGAGAGAGAGAGAGAGAGAGAGAGAGAGAGCUCUUCUUUUGAGAAGAUUCCUUUUACCGGGAGCAGAGCCCCGCAAAACGUGGUGAUGGCGGCUCACCUUUUGUUCUGCUCCCCUUGAAUUUAUUUUAAAGUAUAUAUAAAAUAAUUUCAUACAUAAUUAUUAGUUAAGUAGUUCUUCUAUACUUAUUAUUUUUUAAUAUCAUUUAUUUAUUUUUAUUCAACGGUUCAGAUCUAACUUUUAAAACAUUAUAACCUACAAUUGUAGGUCACUUUGAUGAGAGAUACCUAUUACAAGAUAUCUCAAAAAAAAAUAUUUUUACUUUUAAUAUAUAAAUAAUUUAGUAAUUUUACCUUCAUUAUAUUAUCAAAUCUCUAUUUUUUUUUCUUUAUUUCCUUUUUUCUCUCUCUCUUUCCCCUUUAUCCACAGUAGAGAUGUAAAGAGGUAGGAUUUGGGACGGAUUUUUAAAAAUUGGAACUCGAACCUGAGCUUGACUAUCAAAUCCGAAACCCGAAUUCGAACCCAAAUCAAACAAAUUUUAGAAAAAUCAUAUCCACACCCAUACCUGACUAAAAAUUCGAAUCCGAACUGUAGCCCGAACCCGAAAAUCUGAACCCAAAAUAUUUAUUUCUCUUUCCAAUAUUUUAAAAUAUAUUAAAUUAAAUCUAAAAUUUUAAAAUACAUAUUCAAAUAUAACAUCAAACAUUUAUAUAUAUUAUAUAUAACGUAAAAUAAAUUCGGAUUCCGAUCGGUUUCAAGUUCGGAUAAGAUAUAAUCAAAAUCCAUACCGGAAUUCAAAUCCAUCACAUUUUCAUUUUUUAUAUUCAGAUCCAAAACUAUAUUUAUUUUUAGUAUAGAUAAAUCCAUUCCGUUUGCUUUCGGUUUUGGAUUUGGAUUCAAAUAAAAUUAUGAAAAUCCGUACCCAUUGACAUCCGUAAUCCACAGAUAUUUUGUCAUUUCAUAUCCGUAUUCCACAGAUAUUUUAUUAGAAAAUAUUACAACAUAUUAAAUACAUUGAAUUUAAUUAUUUUUACCUAUAUUCAAUUUUUUUUAAGUUUGUGAUAAAAAAUUAAUAUCUAAACUAGAGGAAUUUAAAAGUUUCUUAAACAAAUUAGAUAUGUUGAAUUCGUUAGUAUCAACAUUAAAUUGGUUAAAAUAGUAACACAAAAUUUCUCUUAUUUAAAUUUAAAUUUUUGAAUUUAAAUAUUAAAUAUUUAAAUUCUACAUAUAUAGAAAUAUUACUAUUUCUAAAAUUUCUAAAAUUUAAAUUAAUGCCCAAACUAGAAGAAUUCUAAAAUUCUUAAAAUUAAUGAUGUUGAAUUCGUUAGUAUCAACAUUAAAUUGGUUAAAAUAGUUGAUUAAUAUUUCUCUUAUUUAAAUUUAAAUUUUUGAAUUUAAAUAUUAAAUAUUUAAAUUCUACAUAUAUAGAAAUAUUACUAUUUCUAAAAUUUCUAAAAUUUAAAUUAAUGCCCAAACUAGAAGAAUUCUAAAAUUCUUAAAAUUAAUGGCUAAAAUUUGAAAUAUUAAUCAAAUGUUAAAUUAAUGCUUAAAUUAGUACAAAAUUAAUGUUAAAUUUGGGAUAUUAAUCAAAACUUUCUUAAAAUUUUGUUUAGUUUAAUUACAAAAGUACCCUCAGACAAAAUAACCUUUUAACGUGCUACAUAAGGAAAUAAUAUUUUUAACCUUCAUUAAUCAACGGUUAAGAUUUUUUUAUUUUUUAUAAAAUAAAGUACCGAAUCAUUUGUCUUAUUAAUAAGUCGUACGUGUAUUGUUUACAGUUACAUGCAAGACCUUAAUCAUAAGAGUCGUAAUAGGCCUCUCAAAGCUACGAACCAUAAGAAUGGGGAUCAGCAUUAUUAAUUAUAUCCCUUCUUUUUUUCGGUAAUCUAGGCUGCUACUUUUCUUUAUGCCCCCCACAGCAAGGGUGAAUUGGUUACUACCUGAUCUAUUUUACGGAUCUGAUGAUGAAUCUGAUCUGAAGAUCGGUAAGAUAGAGAUGAUGAGGAUCCUAGAUGAAGAGGAUUUAGGGAAAAGAAGCUAGAAGAAGUGAGGAAGAGAGGAUAAGAGAGGGAUCAGGAAGGAAAGAGGAGAGGAGAGGAGAGAAGGUUGGGGAAGAAGGCAAUUCUAUUCCAUUCAUAGUCAUUACACUUUGCUCCCCAAACUAUUUAUAACCACUACAUAGGGGCUAUUCCCUAAUUACAUGUAAGCUGAAGGUUAAUAAGAAAAUUGUAAUACUCGUGUGGGCCAUCUGGGCUUUCAAUCUGCAAUGGUCUGGACCAAGGCGGCACCUCUGGACUCGAGUGGACGGCCCACUGAGCAACCCUCAGCGAUGGAUGGCUUACCGGGUGACCCUCCUGGCUAUUGGUGCCCGAUUGGAGUUCCGACAGCCCGACCCGUUACUCUAACUAUUGCUACUUCUGUUUAUUCGCUGGAUCCCACAAAUCCAUCCUCUCCUCCCCCUUUGACUCCUUGACUCCCCACUCGCUUGCCCUAAUCCACCAUCUUUUCCCCUUCAACCAUUACAACUCCCCCCCUCCUUCGGACGAUCCUUGUCCUCAAGGAUCGAAGUUAGGGAAUUGCGACUUGAGAGACCAGUAAUCUUCCCAAGUCGUUUGGUCCGCCGGGAAGUUACUCCAUCGGAUCAGCACCUGGGAAACUUCCUUGCCCCCACGCCGUACCAUCCUUCGAUCAAGGAUCUCCACUAGUUCCGUUGACAGCUGCCCGUCAUCUCCUGUAAGAGUUACUGUGGUAGAUGUGGGUCUCCCUUCCGGUGGGCUCCUUUUAAGCAGUGAGACAUGGAAGACGGGGUGUACUUGCAACCCUUCUGGCAGGCUCAACCGAUAGGCUACCAAUCCGAUCCUCUCCAGAACUUCGAAGGGCCCAAAAUAGCGGGUUGAGAUCUUGAGGUUCCAUCGCACCGCCACAGUGUUUUGACGGUAUGGCUGUAGUUUCAGGUAUACCUGAUCACCAACCUUAAAUUCCCGAUCCACCCUAUGCUGAUCAGCGAACUAUUUCAUGCGAUUCUGAGCCUUUUUGAGAUGGUCCAUUAGUUCUUGGUUCAUCAUUUCCCUUUUCUUUACCCAAUCCGCCGCCUCCCUUUUUGCACCCUGUGGUAUCCCAGUGAGUAUGUAGCUCGACGGUGGUCUCCCAUAUAGGGCCUGAUAAGGGGUCAUCCCCAGUGAGCUGUGGUAGUUCGAGUUGUACCACCAUUCUGUGUGUGUGAUCCACUAAUGCCACGCCUUGGGAUGCUGGGAACACAUGCACCUUAGGUAGGUUUCUAGGCACCUGUUAAGCCUUUCAGUCUGUCCAUCAGUUUGUGGGUGGUAAGAGGAACUCAUGUGUAGCUUAGUCCCCAUUAUUUUGAACAGCUCUUGCCAUAGAUCACUCGUAAAGAUCCUAUCCCUGUCUGAUAUGAUCUUUUCUGGUAAUCCAUGUAAGCGAUAGAUCGUGUUGAAGAAGGCCUUAGCGACCUCUGAAGCAGUAUAAGGGUGUGUGAGGGCAAUAAAGUGCGCAUACUUAGUGAAGCGAUCUAUUACCACAAUUAUAGAAUCCUUCCCUUCCGAUCUAGGGAGUCCUUCUAUGAAAUCUAAACUGAUCUCAUUCCAAGCUUGCUGGGGUACUGGUAAUGGCUGUAACAACCCUACAUAAGGUUGAUUGUCUAAUUUGUUUUGUAUGCACACUGUACAAUUCCUUAUUAUCUCUUCGACAUCCUUUUUGAGACUAGGCCAGAAGAACACUUGCUUUAUCCUUUGGUAUGUAUGUUGCUGUCUUGAGUGGCCUCCUAAAGCAGAGGCGUGCAUAUGUUGGAGUAGCUUCUGUCUAAUCUCCCCCCCUGACCCUAUGUAUAGCCUUCCUUUAUAGCAGAUAAGCCCUUGAUUAUAGGAGUAGUUCUCGUGGGAUUCAGGUUGUACUGUCAAUUAUGCGAUCAAUCUUCAACAGUCUUCGUCUCCACAAUAGCUUUUAAUUACCUCCAUAAUCCAAGUCGGGGUAGCUACUGAGAUGGCUUGGUUGCACCCUUCCUCUAUUCCCCUGUGCGAUAGGGCAUCUGCCACUCUAUUCUCUCUUCCUUUCUUGUAUCGAAUCACAUAGUUAAGCCUCAUCAACUUGAGCAUCCCCUUCUGUUGUAUGGCCGUGUUGAUCCUUUGCUCCAUUAAGUGUUUAAGACUCUCGUGGUCUGUUUUGAUGACGAACUGCUUCAUGCUCAAGUAAUGCUGCCAUUUGGAUACCGCCAUCAACAUAGCCAAGAACUCCUUCUCAUAUGUUGAUAGCCCGAGAUUCUUCUUACUGAUGGCCUUGCUCAGGUAAGCUACCGGUCUUCCAUUUUGCAUUAAUACCGCACCUACUCCUUGAUCACAAGCAUCUGCCUCUACCACAAAAGGCUUGGAGUAGUCUGGCAUGGCCAGGACUGGAGUUUCUGUCAUCAACCUUUUUAACCUGUCGAAGGCUUCCUGCGCCUCACUUGUCCAAUGGAAGUUGUUCUUCUUCAAGAGAUCGGUGAGGGGUUUACUUAUAGCUCCAUACCCCUUGACGAAUUUGCGGUAAUACCCUGUGAGCCCAAAAAACCCCCUCAAUCCUUUAAGGGAUGUCGGGGUAGGCCAUUGCUGCAUGGCAGCUAUCUUGCUUGGGUCCGUACCUACUCCUUUCUGGGUGAUAAUGUGACCUAGGUACUCAACCUUCUCCUACCCGAAAUAACAUUUUGAUCUCUUCGCAUACAAUUGAUUCUUCUUUAGUAGGCUCAACACUUCCCUCAAGUGGAUGGUGUGGUCCUCGAGUGUCCUGCUAUAGACCAAUAUAUCGUCAGAAAAUACUAAAACGUAUUGCCCGAGUAAAGGAGCGAAUACCUCAUUCAUCACGGAUUGGAAGGUGGCCGGAGCGUUGGUGAGCCCAAAGGGCGUGACUUUGAACUCGUAGUGCCCCAAGUGUGUUCGGAAUGCUGUCUUUGGAACGUCACCGGGGUUCAUCCUUAUCUGGUGGUAGCCCGAUCUCAGGUCUACCUUAGAAAAAUACCUCGAUCCUCCCAAUUCAUCUAGUAGAUCAUCAAUAAUGGGUAUUGGGUAUUUGUCCUUGACUAUGAAUUUAUUUAGCUGACGAUAAUCUACGCAGAAUCUUCAAGUUCCAUCCUUCUUUUUCACUAGAAGCACCAAAGAGGCGUAGGGUAUAAGGACCGAGAUUUUGGCAGUGUAACUAAACUCUCAGUUGACGAUAUUUUUGUGUGUAAUUUAAUUACAAAAGCACUCGUCAAAUUUCGGGAGAAACCGAGUUAAAACGGAGAUUCUACGUGAUUUUCAAGUUUCACAUAAAGUGAAUAGUAACUUGAUUUUUCGGAGAGCUCAAUGCGUAGAGUUGGCUUUUGGCUCGUAUCGGACUCCGUUCAUAGCAGUCCAAUAGCUCGUUUCAACCGGUUUAGCUCUUUUGGAACUAUUGGCGCCGACGGAUUUUGAGUUUGAGGCACGAAUUUCGAGAAAAUUCAAAAAUACAUGUUUUAUAUGUAUUCGUGCGUAGUUUCUUUUGUUGGAGAGUUGGAACGGAUUUCGUCGCGAAUCCGAGAGCGAUCGAGAUGAAAUGAAAUCGUAGCUUUGUUGUCUCCGUCGUGCUGACCGCACUGGUGUGAUCCGUUCACAAAUUUGACGGACGGAUCUACGGAGAUUGCACGAUGACCGAGUUGAGGUCGGUGAGGGUAAAAGUUGCAACAUUUUAUGUACCGAUUCGCGUGAGAUCGCACGUGGAAGGCUAUUUGCGCGUAUUACACGUACUGGGAGAGACUUAGUAUUAAAUACUACAGUUCGGGGGGGCUAACUCGCGAAGUUGCACCAUGAUAUAUAUGUAUUUUAGGGUUUCUUCCGUCUAACCCUAACCCUAGCCAGCCCCCAGCUAUGCUAGUCGCCCCUGCCACCUUCACCUUGCUCCCCUGCCCUAGCCGCGCACCCUCCGCCACCGCCGGCUGAGCCCCGGCCGCCGCCGAGCCACCAUCCAUCUCUCUCUCCAUCCCUCUCUCUCUUUCUCUCGGGUUAGAGCCUGGCCGAGGCUGCAUUGCCUCUGGGUCCGUCGCCGGCGUCGCCCCGACCUCGUCGGAGUCUCCCCGGCCGGUCGCCGCCGCCUCUGCGGGCCACCGCCGCCGUCUUUGUCAACCGCAGCCGCCCAAACCUGCUCGGGCUGAGCCGAGCUUCAGAGGUUAGCCUCCGCACCACCGCCCCUUAGACCACCUCUGCAGCCUUCUCCGAAGCCUCGGUAACCCUCCACGUCGGACGUUGCCGCCCCAGUGAGUCGCCGCCGCUGCCGCGCGCCUUGGGCGCCGCCGUCCCAGCCUGUAGACCGAGCCAAGCUCGGGCAGCCACACCCGAGCCGCGGGCUGCCGCCGCUGUCGCCCGCCGCCUCAUUCUUCCUCCUCCGGCCUUUGGAAACCCGCCGCCGACGUCCCCGUGCAGUUGCUCUGGAACCUUAGCCGGAUCUCGUGCGGCUUGGUUGGUUCCACCGUAGCCGCCGCCGUUUCCAACUGCCAUCUGAGAUGAGCCUCGUAUUCCUCACCUCCCCCGAACCCAUCCCUGGCCCCCGCGUGAGCCGCCAUGCCGCCGGAAGCCGGUCGGAGCAAGCUUGCUCCGGCCAAGCCCGAAAUAGGGCUCAUCUUGGCGGUUUGCUGUUCCGAGCUCCCCGAGCCUCUCUGAUCUCUACGGAAGGGAGCACGAUGAUCGUGGCAAAUUGCUGAUCAUCGUGCUCACCUUAGUUUCUGUCGGGGAGACUCCUUUCGGUUGUUUCGGCGGUGUCGCUCCGUUAGAGCCUUUUUGGCUGUUGUUUCAGGAUUAUGAGUAUUUUUACGAUGAUCCGAGGCUGUUCCGAUGCCUCUGGAAGUGAGCACGGUGAUCGUGGAUCAGUGCUGAUCACAGUGCUCACCUUAUUUUAGAUCAGCGGAUGUCGUAUUGUUCUGUUUGGUGCGUUUUUCCCUUACUGCGCGCUGUUUGCAGAAUCUUCGGGUUGCGCCUGCGCCUCCCGCAGUGAGCCGUUGUGCUCCAGAUCAUGAGCACGGCCUCUGGCACAUUGAGACCUGUCAGUACGUAGACAGACCUUGGAAGUCCUCGGUUUGCGUGAACGAGCUACUUAAUCGCUCAAAUUACAUGAAAUGAUAGGAUUUCAUGUAAUUAGAGGGACUUUUGUACAAUUGUGCACCCUAGGGCCACUGUGGACAGUGUGUAUGAGUGUGUUUGACCUCUGGACUGAUUGUCCAUGAUCCUGUAGCUUUCGCGAAAAUCGAAAAGUUGAUUUCGAUGCAUUUUUCGGCGAAAUUCGCCGAAAGAAUGCGGUUUUAGUUCGGAUUUCUUCCGACAUGGUUUGCUUAUCCUGUGAAUUGUUGCUGAAUCUUGUUGGCUGGUCACCAUCAUCAUUUUGUGGGUUCGGUGAUGAUGGUGAGCGACGGUGGGUUUCGGUGUCGAAAUAGUCGCUUCCGAGAACCCGUAUUCGUAUAAUUAUUCGACGAUAAUUGUGUAGUGGUGUUAUCUUGUGUUUACUGCCAAGACAUCCAAAUUGGUGUGUUUUGUGGCAGCGGGUGACUCGUGGUACGAGUCGGUGAGUUUCGAGACACUUAGUGGGUCCCCACGGCGUCCCGGUGUAGUUUUCGGGACUUCCGGUGAGUUAGGUGAUCGGUUUUGGGAAACCGAUUACGGGAAUCUUGUGUGGGGGGUUUGUCAGUUGUGUACUUCAGGUUAGUGGGUUGGAUACUGACCUGGUGGAUCUUCGUAGGUCCGGUUGACUGUACGCACCCAGGUUUCGGCGCUUUUGUGACAGGUGGGUGCUUUGAGCUGGUAGUCGGUGAGAUCGUUUCACUAUUCCUCUAUUCUUUCAUAUCAGUAUCGUAGUCUCUACAUGUCAGUUGAUUGUUUAUCGUUUAUUUAUCGUACCUCAUUGAUUGCAUUUGGAUAGUUGUGGAUAGACAUGUAGAGCAUGUUGCAUGUAUAUUGUAUCUCUGUGGACCUUGGGUCCAGGCAACACAUCGACUCCUUUGUCGUGUGUUUCGAUCUAGUUUAUCAUGGUUCGGCGUUGUACGCCCUUGCACCUGGCUUCGGCCAUGGCACCGGUCUUUUUUCGCCGGUUUUCGUUUUGAGCAUAUCAGCAUGAUUUAGUUACAGCACUAUGUAUUCUAGACAGCAGGUUGGUUUGGCCACCAACCAAGGGGUGUACGUAUCCGGAUAGGUCGUCGGUGACGCAUGAAUAAGUUGACAGUGUCUGCUCUGUGACAGGCAACGCUUGAGCUCUGUGGACCAAUAUAGCAGCAUUAGAUUGGGUUUGAUCUCGGACUAUUUACCCUUGAGGCAUCCGUUCAGUUGAGUUUUUAUUACAGUAGUAGUUUCAUUCUUGCUCAGUUAUUAUCAUGUUUCUAUUACUACUGUAGUUGCUCUUAUAUCUUAUCAUGCUCAUAUCUGUUGUUCUAUCUCCUUUGAGUUCUGGUGAUUAUGGUUUGCCUUCGUGGCUCUGUCGUACCCACUGGGACACCAUGGUUGCGAUUUCUCACCCGCCAUUCCCACAGAUGAUAUGGACGAGGAGUUGGUAUUUGGGCUCAAUGGGAGGACAAUCUAGCUAGUCGGCGGUAGCGACCGUCACCCUGGUUAUAUUUCUUCCCGUAUUUAGUAGUUAUUAAUAAUAAAUGGUUCAGUUAGAUGUUUGAAUGUUUGUGAUUUCUGUUAUGCAUGAUUAGAGAUUUUGUGGAUCAUUGGUUUUGGUUUUAUGGAUAUUUAGUUCUCGGAUUUGUGUAUUUAUACAUAUUUACGCAUCGUGGUUUUCUACCCCUCGAGGUAAUUGAUUUUUAAAAUAGAAUUUUCGUGUGGGAAACAGUUUUAAAAAGGUUUUCAAAUAAUUUUUAUGAAUGAGUGAAUUAGAGUUUAAAAACAAAAGCUUCCGUGUGGGGAGCACUUUUAAAUAGGAUGUUUGUUGUAUUGUGCACUGCAUCAUCCAGUGCCUAAGGAGUGCUUAGAGGCAUGCAUCAUUUCUAAAGAUCAUUAGCUAUAUGGAAACGCAUAUCAUGAAUUAGUUGUUGAUUGGUAAAUAUAGGUUGUGGUUGAGAUCCUGUUGUAUAGUUGGUACGCCGUGCAAAUACAAAGGAGAUUCUGUCCGAGUGGACAGAAAAAUUUUGUAUUUGUGGCGGAUCUGUACGUCACGUGGGCCAGGUUGAAAAAAAAAAAUUAGCAUGUCUUCCGCAACUCUGUUUCAAAAUGGUAAUGAAUUUUAAAAAGGCUUUUAAAAUCGGCCCCGGGGCAUGACAUAGGGACUGUUGCUCGGCUGAAUCACCUCACCGGCCAACAUUUCCUUGAUUAACUUCUCCAUUUCAUUCUUUUGCUCCCAUUUGUAGCAGUAUGGUCGAAUAUUAACGGGCUGUGCAUCUCUUUGCAAUGGAAUUUUAUGGUCCUGUGGCCUUGUAACAUAUCAUCCCUGUAGAACAUGCUGAGUUCCAUCGAAACGAACGAAACGCGGAGUGGAACAAGUUACAAUGGGUUCUAAGUAUUUUGGAACCUUGGUAUAGUGUAAAAGGACCCGAGAGAGUAAAAUUGGAAAAUCUGGCCAAAUCCUAGAUUUUGGACUCUCGGGGACCGGUCCCUGAAGGAGAGACCGAUCCCCGUACGCGUAGCCAGCCCAAGUAGGUGGAAAAUCGGCUAAGUCCUGAGAGCCGCACUCUCGGGGACCGGUCCUUGCGGGGAGAGACCGGUCCCCGUAAGUGAAAAUUUUUCCCAGCGGCUAAGUCCUGAAAAACCUGCUCUCAGGGACCGGUCCCUGGUGGGAGAGACCGAUCCCGCAUGCGAAACUGGCUCAGUCUGGGCUGAUGUGAAAAAUGGAAAUGAGAGGAAUUUAGGUGCAAUUGUGACAUGAGUUGGGUGUAUAGGUGAGAGGGAUGGGUGUUAGGGCUCAUUUCUCUCACACCCCUACACCAAACCUUUCCUUCUCUCUCUCUAAAAACCCUUUUUCUCUCUCUCAUUCUCUCUAGAGCUAGGAGCAAGGAGGGCUUGCUAGGAGCAAGGAGGGCUUGGGAGGAGAAAAGCUUGGAGAAGAAGCUUCUCUAGUUGAAGGCAAGCUUGGGCAAGAGCUUUUGGAGGAAAGCUUUGGACUCUAAAGGUGAGUUCCAUGUUUUUGAGCUAGGUUUUGGGUUAUUUUCCCUUCUAGCAUGCUUCUAUGAGAUGAAUAGAGGUUUUUCCCCAUAGUAUCCAUGUAGGGACUAGUUUUGGAGAAUAUGACAUUGUAUAAGGGCUUAAACUUAGGAUUUUUAGAUUUUGAGGUCAAAGCUUGGGAUUGAUCUCAUUCUAACCUAAUUGGUAGGUCAGCGAACGCGUUAGCGCGCUCGGUUCGGCGAUACGACGAGUGUAUGCGAAGAAAUCAAGGAAAAAAGGCCCGUUUUGGCUCCAUUUCGUCGUAGCAAGCGGUAUAGAGGUUUAAAAAUCACAAAAUUUGGAUUACGACAUCCUUAUAACACUAAAAGGUGGGGGCUGCUAUCCGAAAACACCGAAUCACUUUCUAUAUCUAUGUCACUUUAUUUGAGCAUAUUGAUAUUGUAGCAUUCUUGCAUAUAGGAUAGUGUGGAUAUGUUCUUGGUUGAAAUGCAUGUAGAUGCUUAAAGAUUAUGUGAAAGGACAAUGAACCAUGUGAACAAUGAAUGUGAAAACCCUAUGUGCAUGUGAAUGUAUGAAAAGACUAUGAUAAUAGUAAACAAAGGUGACAUUGACUAUAGUGACUCGAUUGGCAUUGAAAAGAGAUCGGUUAAACAAUGUUGAACCUAGAGUGGCGUCAUAACCUUUGUGGCCCGGAUAUAGUGGUAUAUAUGUAUGAUAUGGUAGAACCUAUCAUUGGCAUUUGAGGCAUUGUGACUUGAGACAGGUUGGCUAUACUUCCUCAAAAUGAGGAUAGGAUCAUACUCAUAUGUAUUGGUUCCGGCUUGAGGGAGGUCGCUCCUCCUCAAACGGUGUACUCCGGAGUGUAGACACCACGGGGAGAGUGCCCCGGCGAAGAUCCCUCGGGUGGUUGUGCAUGUGCCUCCCCCGGUAGACGGGAUAUGUGGAAUGUGAGUUGGGGGUGACGCAGGAUUACCCCGAGAUGAUUGGGUAAAAGCCAUGGAAAAUAAGAAAUUGGACAUACAUGCAUAAAUAUCAUGUACUUGAUUAUCUAUCUAUCCGCUAACAUCUUUCUUGCAGGCAUUGUAGUAGUUGUGCAUUAGUUGGUUUAUUAUCUACCAUUUUUAAAAUACAUAUACCUGAAUAAACCUAGUGGGUGAGUCGGCGCGGUCGGCGGCCGAACCCACUUGGAACUUCGUUGUAGUUUUCACACCACCACUAACCCUGCAGAUCCGUGCGCAAGCGGGGCGGCGGAGGAUCGAGACAAGGGUAUCGCGCCAUAGAUAGCGGCUUUGGAGUUUUGUAGGCAUAUCCUUUUGGAUGUUCAACUUUUGUAUGUUGAAUUAUAAAUGAUGUAAAGAAAAAAAGAUGUAGGUCCUAUAUUUUGGGUUAAAGGACAAUGUGAUGUAAUUGUGAAUGGAAAGAAUGAAUGUAAAGAAUAGUUUACUUGUAUUUGAUUCAAAUGUAAUCAAAUGACAUGUGUUGAAUGGUUUAGUGUAAUAGCAUAGAUGCUUUCGCUUAUGAUUUGGUUGUUGUUUGCCCUCGUGCAAAUCUUGUAUAAUUGCAUUCAUCUUGUAUUGAAUUGCUUGUAUUAUACAUGUUGUUAGAGCCUUGGGCGGAUAGGGGAAGUGCUGUCCGUUCGGCGUCUGUUCGCGUGCUCGAAUUGACCAAAUUGGCGGCUCCGGGGCGUGACAGGCCUUGUGGGGGGCAACCCCUGAGGUUCUUGGAAAACCAUCUCAAAUUCCAGCAACACCUUCUCCACUUCUUCAGGUAUGGAUUCUUGUUUCCCUUCCUUCAGACUGAUCAGUUUAGCUACCGCAUAGCAGUGUCCUUCGAGGUACUCUUGGUGCCAUUGCCUCGUUGUUAAGUCCUUGAGUUUGGCCUUCUCAGUCAUCCCUUUUAAUUCUACCCUUUUUUCUCCUUUAGAGAUGGCAACAGUCUUUUGCCCGUAAUCAAAGGUGACUGGUGUAUGCUUCCUUAAUCAAUCAAUCCCUAGUAUCAUGCUAUAACCCUCCAAUCUGAUUACUCUUAACUCGGCUGUGUAUUCUUCUCCUUGCAUCUUCCAAGAGAAGCUUGGGCACUUUAGCUUACUCAUCACUUGCUGACCAUUUGCGACGGUCACCAACAGAGGUGUGGUGGUAGUAAUGGAGGCUCGGAUCUCUUUGGCGGUCGCUAUAUCAAUGAAACUGUCGGUGCUUUCCAUAUCUACUAAAAUUGACAAAACUCUCUUAGCUGCUUCUCCUUGUAUCUUAAUAGUAUCUUGUGGAUUUUCUGCACUCAAGGCAUGGAUUGAUAGCCCGAUCUCCUCCUUCUCCUCAUUCACCUCUAGUUCUUCUUGCUCCAUUGGCUCUCGGAGGCUGUCUUCAUCAUAGACUUCAGUCACUUCUUGGGUAGCUAUGACAGUAUUGAUACUUUGAGUCUUGCAUUGAUGCCCUGGUGAGUACUUAUCUCCGCACUUAAAACACAGCCCAUCGGCCAUUCGUUGCUCUAUAAGUCGCCUAUUUGGAAAUGCUCUUUCUGUGCUGUACUUGUUGGCAUAGUUCCUGGUGGCAUCAUUAGUUCUGCUUGGUGUGACUGAACUGUUGCCCUUAUAGCUAUUGGUUUAAGAAUUUCCUUGGUUCCUGAGCAACAUCCUGCUCUUCCUCAUCAUUGCGGCUAUACUUUGCUCUUGCAGUCGAGCUUGCUCGUAUGCUUGCCCGAAGGUGCUAGGGUACAACAUCUUAACAGCUGCUCUAAUCUCUUCUUUUAGCCCACUCAAGAAGCUUGAUAAGAAAAAUUCUGAGGCAAAUUGGGACUUAGUGGUCAAUAAUCUAGACCUAAGCUCCUCGAAUUGUUCUUGAUAUUCCUCAACAGUCCCCUGCUGCACCAAUUUGUUGAACUCCUCCACUAUGUCUCUCAACCCAUUGGAAUCAAAGCGUUUACAUAAGUCGAGGGCGAAUGAGUCCCAACUCACUUCUCCCUUCUCUGCUAGAUAUCUAUGGAACCAAAUAUCUGCUCUCGGUUCCAAGUACAUAGCGGCUAUUUCCAAUUUCUGUGACUCCUGGAUUCCAUGAAUCUCAAAGUACUUUUCACAACGCCUAAUCCAGUUCCUGGGGUUAUCUCCACUAAAAAUAGGAAAAUCUAAUCGCGGUAUGGGUGUAUAAUUGUUGCUCUUAGUAAAUAAUUGAAAUGCAUAUUGGUCAUCCUUGGGUAAAGGAAUCGAAGGUGUGGGCAGUAUACCUCGUUCAUCUUGGUUAAGUGUUGCAGAUGUUCCUUUGGUUGUUGAACAUUGCUGCUGAUUGGAUAAGAGAUCCAUGAGUUGCUCCCAUCUUUUUGUGGAAUUAGCGGCCUCCCUCCGCAGGAAUUCAUAGUGACUUUGUUCCUUGGCUUGCAUAGCUCCAAUUCUCUGUUGCAGCUCCUCGAAUCUUCGAUCGUUCCCUACUGCCAUCUCCUGCAGCUUCUGCUCUAAGGCAUGUACAUGUUCAUCGAGCAAUUUGAGUCUGGUGCCCUCCGCCAUUGUUGUUUUGCUGAUGAAUUUGAAACGGUUACCUCAGUUGGACCCAAUGAUUUCGCAGCCGGACCGCCUUAACAGGAGGACCUCUUACUUCUCUCCUUGCCGAUGAUGUUCUUGAGGCAAUUGUGUUUCUCCUCCCCUUCUGGUAGCCAACCCUUGUAUCCUGGAUUCAACAACCGUGGUUGGAAUAUGGGAUGCGGGUCGAUCGUUCCUGUGUAAUUCCUCAGAUCUCUUGAUCCUGGUAUUACUUGGAACUACUACCUCCCCUGGGACCGAUGCUGCUCUGAUACCAAGUUGUUACCUGAUCUAUUUUACGGAUCUGAUGAUGAAUCUGAUCUGAAGAUCGAUAAGAUAGAGAUGAUGAGGAUCCUAGAUAAAGAUGAUUUAGGGAAAAGAAGCUAGAAGAAGUGAGGAAGAGGGGAUAAGAGAGGGAUCAGGAAGGGAAGAGAAAAAGAGAGGAGAGAAGGUUGGGGAAGAAGGCAAUUCUGUUCCAUUCAUUGUCAUUACACUUUGCUCCCCAAACUAUUUAUAACCACUACAUAGUGGCUAUUCCCUAAUUACAUAUAAACUGAAGGUUAAUAGGAAAAUUGUAAUACUCGUAUGGGCCAUCUGGGCUUCCAAUCUGCAAUGGUCUGGACCAAGGCGGCACCUCUGGACUCGAGUGGACGGCCCACUAAGCAACCCUCAACGAUGGAUGGCUUAUCGGGUGACCUGUUAGAAAAUUGCAUACGGUAAAACGCAGCGGAAAAAGAAAAUCAAACAAAUUUGAUUUUGAAAAACUCUCGAGAUCUAAUCUCAAAAACCACGCAAUUAGGAUCCCUCAUGUUCUUUAAGAUUAAAGGAGAAAAGUAAGAUCGAAUCAUUACCUUUUUCACGGAUAAAUUCUUGCCUCAAUUUGAUGAUCGUGGAAUCGGGUUCUCUUGAAGCCGCACACGCGGCGCCUCUAUAGGUACCCACGAGGUUCUUGAUUGAUCGAUUCCUCACCGGGGUGCUAGCUCCCUUGCAAAAGACGUCUUUCUUGCUUAGAGAUGGAGAAGAGAAGAGAGGAUAGAUGACGACUUAGGUUUUCUAAAAACUCCGUAUAUUAUAUAUAGAGAUAAAUCCUAUUUCCUAAUAAAUAUAAUGACAAUUAAGGAUAAGUAUAAAUCUAGAUUUAAAUUUAUCUUUUCCUUAAUGGUUUAGAUCGAUCAAAUCCUAAUUUGAUUCGACUUGAAUUUAUAUAUAUUUUGAUCUCAUCAAAUUAAUAUACAACAUUUGCAAAUAAGUCCUCUUAUAAUUUACUAACUUUAGUAAGUCCUCUCUUGUAACAUUUACACUUAAUUACACUAAUUUGUAACAAUUACAAAUAGUCCAAUUUAUCAUAUAUUGACAAUUGAGGUCCUCGACGAUUCAAUAAUCGGCGAUCUACCUAUUCGAUCAAUCACAACUCUUAUUGUGUGUGACCCAUAGGUUCUAUUCUACUUGUAGUGAGAUAUAUUUUGAUCACUACAACAAUAUCACUGAAACUCCUUUCAAUGGAUUAAACAAUUCCAACUCAGCCCAAUGAGAAUUAUCGUAAUCUAGAUAAUUCUCAUGAGUCUCACAUUCCACCAGUGACGCCUAGCAGCAUGUAUGGCAUUCCAGUAGAAUGGAAUAAUGAACCUCUUGGUGCAGUUACCGUGUGAUACAAUCUUCUAUCAUGAGUUCGCCGACUUGACGGAGUUAUGGAACAACUCGUCAAACCCAUCGUCUGUCAUAUUUAAAUUUAUUCGACUCCGAUUUUAAUAUCGAACCCUUUUCCGCUAUUUUAUUCUUGGCCUGGCCAAGCUCUUCUAAACUCGGUUCUCAUAAAUCACAUGGACUAACACCCCUAUCUACCAAGGGAGAUAGAUUCCAUCUGAGUGCGCACCCUAUUCCUACAAUGAACCUAUGCAGGCAACAUGCACCUCAAGACGACGAAUGGCUAGGGACCAAGUGUAUGUACAGUCAAACUACAGUACCUCAUUGUGAAUAGCGAGGCACCGCAGGUCAAAGGACCAGUCACACUACUGCAACAAUUGAGUAAGUCACUGACGAUGAGUAGACAUCCAAUGACUUCUGCGUUGGUCACGCUCAGUACCCUUGUUCUUCUAACAACCACCUGCAUAUUGCGUUCAGUGUCCCCACGACUGUCGACUCGAAACUCAUUCUGACCUGAAAGGGAAGCGACUUAUGCACCAAUCUCAUCGGAUCAAUCACCGUCCCCGUGAUGAUCCAUUGAUCGGGAGCAUUUAGGAAUUAAUCACCAAUGACACAUGUCUCAAAUUCUCAACACUUGAAAAUAUAUGUCAUCAUCUUAUUAAUUCCUUGGACGAUUCAUGGACACAUACACAACAUGAAUGGAAAUAAAAAUCCAAAGUUAUUCAUAAUAUUUUAAAAUCAAAUACAAAAUUAUGUCCUAGAAAGAAUACAUGUGUCGGCCUGGUUGGCUUCUAGGGCAUACAUCUAACAUGACCCUCCUGGCUAUUGGUGCCCGAUUGGAGUUCCGACAGCCCGACCCGUUACUCUAUCUAUUACUACUUCUGUUUAUUCGCUGGAUCCCACAAAUCCAUCUUCUCUCCUCCCCCUUUGACUCUUGACUCCCCACUCGCUCGCCCUAAUCCACCAUCUCUUCCCCUUCAACCAUUACAGAAUUAAUAGUGCCUUUGAUAGAAAAAUAAUAAAAAAGAAUACAUACAUUGUAGUUUCAGUUUAUGAUUAUAGCUUUUGUAUUAAUGUAUUGUUUUUAACUGUUAAUUUUUUUCAGAGCGAGGGGGGGAGAGAGAGAGAGGAGAGAGUUUAUGAUCGAUGACAGCUUGUGUAUUGUAUAUUUUUAACUUUUUUUUAUUAGAUAGAAAAAUAACAUUUUAUUUAUCUCAUUUAUUUCUUAAAAAAUAAUUUUAACUAAAAACAUAAAGCAAUCAAUCAGAUCUUAAAUUUUAAAGCUUGGGAUAACAACCACAAAGUUCUUGCCAUUUGCGUAUUAGUUAAUUACCUCUUCUCUUUCAAUUCAUAAUUAGCUUUAUGUUUUUGUGCUUGAUUCCCAAUUUAUUGCUCUGGUUAAGGGAUCACCAAAACGUAUAUCCUUUUCAAUUUUCUUUUUAACUGGGUUUUGGAGGUUCCUGUUAGAUCAUUUUCUCCUACGUACAGAGGGACAAUUAAUUCUUUUUAUAUAUAUUUUUUAUCCUUACCAGAGACUGUAAUUUGUGCCGUGCCCAAAAACUGUUUUAUCCUGCAUGUAAUCAAGCUCCACUGCUAAUAAAAUGCCUACGAAUUAAUUUUUACUACAAAAUACAAAGUUGCUUGUUCUAUCCUUCCUCACUCACUGUUUAUUCUUUAUUAUUUGUAUUUGUCUGGUCCUGAAACAAGUUGCAUAUAAUCUCUUUCAAUAAAAUACACGUGCCAUAUAUAUUUGAUUGAUAGAAAAGCAUCCAUCAUGCAUGAGGUAAUCAAUCAGUGUAAAAGAAAAUGCUCAAUAAUGAAAUUCAACUAUAUAUUAACUUUUAAAAUUAAUUAAUAAGAUGUUAUAAAUUUUAGACUAAAUUACAAAAAAUUUCUCUAGCUAUCAAUACCUUUUUUUUAUUUUUAAAAAUUUAUAUUUUACCAUUUAAAAAAAUAAAAGAUAUCCACUUCGGACCCUACCGUCAGUGUUCCGUUAGGAUUCCAUCUAUAUCCUAUUAUUUUAUAUUUUUUUACCCAAAGUACUUUUGUACCCCUUCUCUCCCCAACGCUGCCUCCCUCCUCGUUGACGAUGUUCUCGGCCGUGCCACCUCGCCUUCGUCCAUCCCGCCGUUUGCGUUCAUACCCAUGCCCCUCCUCCGCCAUCUUAUCCUUGGCCAUCCUCCGUCCUCGCCCACCCUAAUCUCAUCCCUAUCGUAGCGGAAUGGAGGGGUAGCAGGAGUGCAAAAGUAGAAAGAGCAGGUGGAGCAAGCGGAGUCAGAGUUGGCCGGGGUCGAGAAAGGCGCGAAGGAUGGAGGAGAAGAAGCUGCGGAUGAAGCAGGAUCAGAAAGGAGACAAAAAGAAAGAGAGCAAUUUGGUCAUUUUAUUAUCACAAUUAAAAUCGUACCUCUGUAAAUAUUUUUUAUUUUCAAUUUUAAGCAAUUAAAUAUAGAUUUUUAAAAGUCGGAAAGGAAAAGUUAAAAAAAAGUAAAUCAUUACUUAAUAAUAUUUAAGUCAUACGAAAAAAAAAAACAGGUUAAUUGUAUUUAAUGCUCCUAGCUAAUAUUUUAUUGAAUGCUAGCUCCUGGCUAAUAUGUUUUAUUUUUAGUAGAAUCUAAUAAAGGUUUUACUUUUCUUGUGGCCUUAAAUAAUAUUUUCGCAUGCUUUUCGUUACAAAGGAAAUUUCAUAAUUUUUUUUUUUUUUUGUGUGUUUGCUAAACAUGUAUAUUAGAGAUUACCGUAGCUAAAUAAGAAGGCCCCAGACAGCGUCUAGUGGAUUCUGAAUUUCUGAUUUGAGUGCUUGGUGAUUGUUUUUGUCACCGAGUUUAAUUUAUAGUACUUUUUCAGUUUUCCGUUUUUUUUUUUUUUUUUUUUUUUUUUUCUAUUCAAUCAUCUAUGUGUUUUCAUGUUAUAAAUUUAAAUAUUUUUUGUUUAAUGAUUAGAUGAAGGACCGUUUUUUAAAUCUUCAACACAAGCGAUUUCUUGAUGGGUAGUAAUACAUUCUUUUUUUUUUUUUAAUCAAUCAGGAUGGGUAGUCAAUACAUUCUUCUUUUUUUUUUCAAACGAAAAAGACAAGCCGAUUUCUUGAGCAAUUCAUAAAUGGGAUAAAAAAAAAAAAAGCUCAUAUUCUCAUCAUAUUCCCAAUAUCUAGAAAGUCGGAGGACAAUUCAAACAAGUUUUUAAAUAAAUAAUAAUAAUAAUAAUAAUAUAAUAUAAUGAUAAGGAAGAUAAAUAGCAGAUAUAUAUAUAUAUAUAUAUUAUUAGUAUAUAUAUAGAAAUUAAGAACUCUAUGCAAGGUAUAAAAGAAUAAAAAAAAAACUCUGCCAUAUACUAGAAAGAAAAGACUCAAACCUUAAACUUAGUUAAAGAGUAAGCGGACUAACCAACAAAUUAAAUCUACCCGCAUUUGUCACAAAGAGAGAACCAUCAAUAUAUAUUAACAAAUGAAAAAUAUUAUCUGUACAUCUAUAUGUUGGUGUAAAUCUUAUACCUUAUCUAUUCUAAAGUUUAUAAAAGUUCAGAUAAAUUUUAUCAAAAAAAAUGAUAAAACUAGAGGGGGGAAAUGAGAAUUUGGAUUGAUAGGAUGUAAGAUGUACGUUUGGACUCUGUUAGAAUGUCGUAAUAUGUUAUCCAAAGAUUACUUGUGAAUAACAUUUUCAGUAUAAAAAUUUUCGAGUAUGAUUGUAAGUCCAAAGUUUGAUUUUCUUUUUUAUAUUUCUUUGAAAAGUCUUAUAGUCCAUAAUUUGGUAGGAUAUAUAUUUUAGCUAAUAAGUGAUUUAUCUUAUUCUGAAAAAAAUAACUUUAAGGUCAAAUAUGAUACUUCAUUAUAAACAAUUGUUUUAUUUCUCAUUAUUCGAAUGUACAAAUAUUUUUAGUAAAUUAAAAGAUAUACCGAAUAAGAUAUUCAUGCAUUCAAACAUGGCCUACAUUUAGGAUUGCAGAGAUAGUAUUGCUCUUAACAAAUUUUUGCACAGCUAAUAAACCUCUUCCUUCUCCAGUUUUAUCGUGGAUUCGGUUCUUUUGAACGUGGUUAAUAACAACACUAUGAAAUAGGUGACUUCUUUGCAGUUAGGGAGCAUUAAAUUAAUCUAAUUCAACAAUUGUGUAUUCGGUUUAAAAUUAAUAUUCUUUCUAGUAAACUUAAUGCUAUAUAUCCAGUUUUAUUUGGUUCAUUUUGACAUCUAAUAUUAAGCUUAUCAACUAAAAAUUAGACGUCACUAUUUAUUUAAAUUUGUAUAUUUAGUUAAGUUAAAAGUUUUAUUAUAUAUAAUAAUGAAUCUGCUAGUUAUUAACCAUUAACUAGUUUAAUUUUAUUUACUAACAGAUAAUUAAAAUUAUUAAAAUUGCUAAAACUAUCAAUAAUUUUGAUAAAUUUUUAAACCUUUUUAACUAAAAUUAUUUUAAUUUAUAAAAAUUAAAAUUAAGAAGGAUUGGGUUAAAACAAAAGGUACAAGUUAAGACGUUGUUUCAAAAUAGUAAAUAGUUGAGAGGGUGUAGGUGUAGGAGUAAAAUUAUAAUACUUUUCAGAAGUAACUAAAGUUGUUUACUUCUACAUUGUUUGAGGUUCAGAUAGAACAUUCGAAUUGACGAUUGAUUUAUCUGAUAUAGACUAUUUCAAUUCUCUAGAAAUAGAAUUUUAAGAAGUCAUUUGUCUAAAGUCAAGGGGUGCUAAAUUUUUUUUAAGUCAGCCAUUAAAAGUUGUUAAUUUUUAAACCACUUAAUUAUAGGCAAAUAAUUAUAAAAACUUAUGAAAUUUAAAAUCUAACAAAUUUAAAUAUUUAAAUCAUAUUUAAUUUUGUCGAUCGUUGAUUUGAAUGUCUUAUUACCGAAAAAAAAAAGGGCAUGUUUGGUUCAUUAUUGAAAUAGGAAUGGAAAAUAGAAUUGGAUUGAUUUGGAAUGAAAAAUGAAAUGACGAAUCAUCCAAAAAUAUUUGAUUCAUUAUUGGAAUGGAAAUCAGAAUAAAAAUUUAUAAUUUUUGAAAGAGGGUUUUGAUUAAGAGAGAGGAAAGUGAUGAAGAUGAUGAGGUAGAUGUUAGUGAAAGAGAAUUUGGAAUAGUUUACUUUGGAGUGGUCAAUCCGGGAUUCAAAGUCGGAUAGGGUGUAGUGUCUCUGGUGUUCUGCAGCCCGUGGGUUUCAGCAUAUGAGGCUUGUCGACACAUCUGGAGAGUGUCGAGACAAGUCGAAGUCGUUUUGGGCAAAUUGGACGCAAAACAUAUGCAGUGCGAUGCGAGAGGAGAGUUUUGACAUUGGAAUAUGCAAAGUGUAAGAUUUCAGUAUAUAUUGAGUACCGGUACCAGAGAGAGGAGUACUGGUACCCUAGUGGAAUUCCAGAACUAAUGCUCUCAAGUUGCGCCAAUCUGAUGCCAAGUACCGGUACUGCAUCGGGCUGGUACCGGUACCCUGUGUGCGAGCUUGCGGGUUGAGAGGCCGAGUACCGGUAACCCAGUUGGGUACCGGCACUCCAGCUGGAUUUCUGAGUUGGUGAGGGGCCUUUUGGUCAUUGAGGCAUAAUUAAUUCCAAUCUUAUCCUCUACCUCUAUAUAUUUGUAGAGAGCACUGAGAAGGGUGUUUGGUUGCUACUCCUUUUCUCUCUCUAGUUUUUGGUCGAACCCGUGGUGGAGGUUGCGGCUCGAGCCUGGGAGGUUGUCGACGUUGACUCGGAGGGCCGUUCGAGGGCGUGGGCAUCGCGGUUGCGCUGUUGGAGGCCGGGCGAGCACGUGGUUUACUCUCCUUUCGACUUCUCGCCGUAGUUGGACAAGCUUGUUGAGGUGGGUUAAUGUUUACCGAAAACGUCGAAAUUCCUCCUAAGUUCUAGAAUUGUUGACAUAUUUUAUUGGUUUUAUUUUCCUUGCUAGUACUCGAGUUUAUGGAUUAGAGCAUAAAAUCUAAAUUUGUAGUUAAGUUAGUAUUAUAUACAUGUUGAACUUGGAAUUGACUUAGAAAAAAAAAAAUUAAAUCCUACACUGUUAUUUUCUAAAAAGUUACCAGAUUUAGCUUUAGCAGCUGUGGUUCUUUUGUAUCGCUGCUGUUAGUACGCGAUGGAUAUCCAGAUUAGUGUAGGGUGAGUUUAUACUCGUGCUGGGAUGCCGAGCUUAUUUUACAGUAGUGUAUAGACUAUUUCGGACUGUCGGGUGCCGUCGCAGUUGACGGUGGACCCAGAUUUCUGUAUUUUGCAUCAGAUUGUGCCAAGAACACGUGAGCUUUGGUUGUCAGACUAGUUGGACUCAUUUGCAUUAAUUACAGCCUGUGAGAGCCUGAUUGAGCUCGGCAGAAACACGCUUGCAUACUCGGUUGGAUCGCGCCCACGAGUGCCGCUCCGGAGUCAGACUAAAAAGUCAGACUUUUUAGUCUGCCUUUUUGCUUUGCGUUGAUGUCGUUGUUGUCUGGUUUGGACUUGCUCUCCACCGGCUGCCCUCGGGGUGGUGUUCGGUGUAGCUUCGACAGGCAGGACGGGUGUAUUUACAGUCCAUAGUGAAAUUGGGUCAGAGAUCGUAUUUCUUUUAUCUACAGAUAGUUAGUGUUGGUUAGCGAUAGUAUAGUGGCUUAUAGCUGUAAGGUUUCCAACUUUCCUUACCAUCUCUUGCACACUAUUCGAUAGACUUAGUGGGUGCGCCGUUGAGGUUGGUGACUGUACCCACUGAGGAUUACUCUAUUUUGUAGUAGUUCUCACACCCAGUUGUUGACCCUUUUUUACAUAGCCUUUUUCUGCGGCUGCUGCUGUCGCUGAUUCAGACCGUGGGAAGGGAGUUGCAAGCUAGAUCCCUACCCAUCUCGUUGCCGUACUAGAGGAGUACCUUUCACAGGUAGUUUUGGACUUUCUUUGCACAUACUGUGAUGUUGUCGGGGUACUCGCUGGAACGAGUUGUGUUGUAGACUUUUUGUAUAUAUAGGAACCCCUUAAGGUUUUUUAUUUAUAUGUUUAUUUUUAGUUUAGCAGCUCUUUAUCUUGUGAUUGUAGCUUGGUUUUGGUUACAGAUACAGCUAUCGUUUCGUAUUCCUAUGUAUACGGCGGGCCUGUUAGCGUGCUGGGGGAACGGUGGUAAUCCGGGGCAUGACAUAGGGUCAUAAAUGGAUUUGGUCAUUCCUAUUUCGGAGUGAAAUGAGAACCGAAAUCUGAUUCCUAUAAAACAAAUGACAACUAUAGAAACCAACAAAUUCCAUUCCAACUGCACAGUCUAAAUUCCCUUCCAACUAUAGAAGUAAGUACUCUGGCACAGUUCCAGGUAUAUACACCUUUAACUAAAAAAAAAUGAAAAAUCAAAGCAUAAUUUUAGAAAAAAUCGAAAGCUCGAAUUGAUAAAUUCACAAAUUUUCAAUGCAAAUUAGCCAAAAGAAAGAAAAGAAAAAGAAACAAGAAAAGAAAGAAACGAGUGGCCGAGUGGAUGAUGGGCUUGCUGUGGUUGGUUGGUGGUGGUCGUGCAUGUCUGGGAAUUGGAGGUGGAAACGCGCAGACAGCGCACAAUCAAACACGCAGUAAUCGAUGGGUUUCUGCCGCGCACGCCCCACGCCUGACAUUAUUUUCACACAGCACAACUUUUUCCUUUUCCUUUCUUUUUUUUUUUAUUUUAUUUUAUUUAUUUUUUCUCCUGGAGAAAAUAUGCAGCACAAAGCCCUUCUCAACUUUAAUAUUUUUGCUGAAAUUGGUGUGAUAUUUAAUUUUAACGAUUAACUUUUUAAUAGAUUACACUGUCGGAACCACUAAUUACACAAUCUUUUUAGCUGCUUAAUUAUUUUGCAUACAAUUUUGUUAAACUUUACAAUAUAAAAAAAAUCCAUUCGUUUAUUUUUAUAAUUGAAAAAAUUAUGAAAUUAAAGAUAAAUUUAUUCUAUUCUUCAACCUAAUACAUAUAUAGUAACCAUAACAACUGAAAGAGAAAAAGAGAAUUCCUUUAUGUUUUAGAGUUAUACAAAAUUAUGUAGAAAAUAUUCGAUCAAAAUCGCUAUCGAAUUACUGAUCACUUCUUUUGAGGAGAGAGAUCUUUUAAAUGACUGUUUGUGUAAUAUAUUACUUAUACAAGACAUAUGAUGAAAUUCACUGGGUCGAAAUUCCCAAAAAUGCUUUUAAGUUCAGGCAGGUGAUUUAUUUUUUGUUUUUUUGUUUUUAUAAAUGCACAAACAAAAAUGCGACCAUCAAUCUCUUAAUUAAUAAAAGUCCUAAGGGUGCGUUUGGUUCGAAUUAUCCUGGCAGGAUUACAGGCAAUCCUGGCAGGAUAACUGUGUUUGGUUAAUCCGCUAUAUAAUCUAGUCGUUAAUAUAGUAUUACAAAUCGAGCAGGAUUACAUCGAAAAUAUUAACGGGAGGGGGUCGUGUAUCUUGCAUUACUGAAAUCCGUUAAUACUACAUAUUAUGUAAAAUGACAAUUUUACUCUCCAACAACUCUAAAUCUAAUUAACAGCAUUAUUUUUAUCUCUCUCUCGCCUUCUCUCUCCUCUCUCUCGCAUGCCGCUUUCUCUCGCUCUUUCUCUCUCUCACGUCUCUCUCUCUCUCUUGCGCGAGCGCACGAACACCUAUCAUCUUCUAUUGCGUCGUCCUCCCAGGUCUUCCCUCUAUUCGUCAUUUCCGUAAAAAAUAAUAUUCAAAUGACCACAACAAAGGCAAUUUUGGAAAAAACUAUACUUUUAUGUUAGGAUUACUAAAUUUUAUAAAUUGAACCAAACGUAUUAAUGCUAUAAACAUUGUAAUCUAGUAUUAUAUUACUGUAUUAAACCAAACGCGUUAAUGUAGCAUCAGUAGUAAUCUCACGUCGAAAUUUAAAAUACCUGGAUAUGUCGAGAUACUUUGUAAUAUUACAUAACUCGAACCAAACGGGCCCUAAAAGGUAACAAACACUACACUAGAGCACAGUUGGGAUCAUGCACGUGACCUGCCGAAUGCACGGGACGCAUUCUGUACAUCCGUAGCGUACAACAACAACUUGUCAUAAUUUUAGGAGUCCACAACCAAGAAGGUAUCAGAGUAGAUAAACAUACCACAGGUAGACCAGCAUUCACAAAAAUAUGACCACUGACCCAUGGUAUCACAUAAAUCAAACAUAUACAUUACCCUGACAUCUCACAUAAAAUAUACAGAUACAUCACAUGCUAGUCUCACCAAUACAUUGUACAUUCUCUGUGGCGCUGAUAUGGCGCCUCCGUGGCACUGACAUGGGAUUGACGUGGCAUUUUCCGUCAAUUUUAACACCUAUCUAACUGCUGGUCCUUAAUUGUAAUGAAAUUCAGAGAUUAGGGACUUGAUUGCCGAAAAAAAAAAGGUUGGGGAGCAAAUUGAAAAACGGUGCAAAGGUUGAGGACCAAUGGUGUAAUUAACCCAUUAAAUUUAUAAAUUCAAAAAAAAUUUUAAUUUAAGAUUUAAAUUUUAAAUUUAAAUUUUGAUUUUGGAUUCAAAUUUAAAUUGGAAUUCAAAUUCCGAUUUUGUAUUUAAUUUUAAAUUUUUAAUUUUAAAUUCAAAUUCACAUUUCGAAUUCUAAAUUCUAAUUUAAUUUCAAACUUCGAUUUGAAAUUUCAAAUUCAAAAUGUGAAUUUGAAUUCGAAGUUUAAAUUCAAAUUUAGAAUUGAAAUCAAAUCUUAAAUUCAGAUUUAAAUUUUGAAUUCAAAUUUAGAAUUUAAAAUCAAAAUUUUGAAUAUGAUUUUAAAUUUAAAUUCAGGUUUUAAAUUUAAAUUCAGAUUUUAAAUUUAAAUUUUGUUUCCAAAACUUUCAUUUUAAAUGUAAAUUGAAAUAUCAAUAUCAAAAUCAAAAUUUUAAAUUUGAAUUCAAAAUUUAGAUUCAAUUAAAAAUUUAAAUUUAAAAUUUGAAUUUCAAUUCAAAAUUUUAAUUCAGCUUUAAAUUCAAAUUCAAAAUUAUAAUUUCUGGUUAGUAAAAUUUUAAUUUUAAUAUUAUUUUUGAAUUUAAAUUUAAAAUUUUGAAUUUUUAUUUUUAGGGACUAAAGUGAAAAACGUGCAAAGUUUAGGGACCUAAAUUAAUAUGCAAAAGGAUGCCAAUAGGCACUGAUGUGGCGAUUCCGUUAAUUUUAAUAGUUGUUUUAACGGUUGGGACGUAAUUGUAAUAAAAUAAAGAGAUUAGGAACUCAAUUGCAAAAAAAAAAAAGGUUGGGGACCCAAGUGAAAAUUGGUGCAAAGGUUUGGGACUACUGGUGUAAUUAACCAAAAACAAAAAAAUGAAAUAAUAGGAAUGUCUCUGUUGUGAUCGUAUCUCUAUACAAACUCAUAUGGUGGCAAAAUUCGUUGUGCGUCAGCUGGAAUUGGAUAUCAGGUAAAUAGAGUCGUACGACCCAAUUGCAUGGGCCGGCUCAUAGGUCCUACCAAGCUUGCACUGUCGCAAGCCCAAUAUGAUAGAUAUGUAUAGGUAUGUAAAAUAAGAAGAAAAUUAAAUACAUACAAAAAUUCAAGAUCAAAAUAAAAUAACUCACAGAGUGCCAUAGAGAAGAAAUUCUUGAUCAAUCUACGGAAGCAAGAAGUUCGGCUAUGAUCUGGAAGUCAUGAACCAAACUUGGAUAAUUUGGUUUCUUCUCCUAUCUCAGGUACUCUCCCGUAUGGUGUGGAACCGAUGGUAUUUCUUUACUAGAAUGUGUAUGCGAAGGUGGCAAGACCAAUACCCUUUUAUAUAGAGUCUAGAUCGACUUUCCAUCAAAGUCUGAUUAGGAUUCUAUUUAAUUUAAAUAGACGGAAUAGGAAUAAAAUAUACCAUACCAAAUAGUUCUAUAUUUAUUAUGAUUGACCUUUAUCUAUAGUAAAUCCAGAUUUGAAUAUGAUUAUGUCACGCCCCGGAUUACACGUUCUCCGGGCACGCCGACAAAUCCGCCAUACACAAAGAAAUUUUUCCUGUAUACGAAGCGUAGCUGUACCUGUUACACAUACAAUACUACAACCAGUAGUAUAGAGCUGCUCGAAUAAAACUGGUAAAAACAGGAACAAGUUCCAUAUACAUACAUACAUAUAGGUAUACAAAAAGCUCGCCCAGCGAGAUACAACAAGUAUGUAUAAGAAACUCAAAAACUAGCACUACCUGCAGCUGGUAACCCCUCAAAUAGCAGCAACUGGGAAGGGCUCUAACUGGCAACGCCCUUGCCACGAUCAGUCUCCGAGGAAGUAGCAGCCGGAACAGCAGGCUCUGCAAAAAUAGGGUAACAACUUGGCGUGAGAACUACUGUAAAAACAAGUAGUCCUCAGUAGGUACCGCCCUCAACAUCGUCGAUCCACCCACCAAGUCUACAGAAGGAAGUAAAGAUAGUAGGAAAAGCCGGAAGAAAUCUACAGCUAAAUGCCGCUACACUAUCCUGCUCUACACUAACCAACUGUAAUAAAAGUCAAUCCUGACCCAAUCUCACUAGAAACUGUAAGCAUACCCGUCCGUGGGACUGUGAACACACCCGUCCCGCCCUGUUGCGACUAUACAGUUACCUCCACACUAAGUGGUCCGUGGAGAGUAAGUCCAACCUGCACAAAUGACACCAAUGUGAAGGCACAACGUCCGUCUUCGGAGUGGCACUCGUGGGAGCUACCCAACCGAGUAUGCAGCGUAUCUCUGUUGAGCUCAAUCAGGCUCUCACAAGCCAAAGUCAAGUAAAUCAGGUCCAACUGGUCUAACAACCAACAUGUCACGUGCCCUCGGCACAAUCUGACGUCAAAACGGCAAUAUGGGUCCACCGUCAACCCCGACGGCCCCCAAUAGUCUGCAACAGUUUGAAAGCUACUGUAAAAAUACACUCGGCAUCCCAGCACGAGCGUAACUGAAAUCUAAACUAUCUGAAGUAUCCACCACGCCGAUACUGCGGAGAUACAAAAUAACAACGGCUCCUAGAGCUAAAUCCGGUAGUUUAAGCAUGUGACAGGUUCAAUCGUAGGUUUUCUCCUAAGUUAUAUCCAAGUCCAACAUGUGCAAGUAGAUUUAGUAACACUAGGCUCCAAUUCAGAUUUUUGUAAAAGAAACACCAAAUCCAUGAAUCGAGCAAAUAGAAUAUGCAAAAAUAACUACAACGACACAUGCCGACUAUCUCUAUAUACUUAGAAGACAAACCGACGAUUAACCCACCUCAAAAGCUACUCCCAAUCCGGCACGACGUCAAGAACGGUGGAAAUGCACCCUCGCCCGGCCUCCCCGUAGUGCUACGACGACGAAGACACGCUCGAAUGGCACCGCGGCGCGAUGCCAACGACACCGGAACUUCACCCGAGCUCCUCCACCACGGACGAUCAAGCACAAGGGGAAGAGAGAGAGAGCGCACUAAUCCUCUCCUCUCUGAUCUCUCUAUCCUAUAUAGGGAGGGAGAAGGGGUGGUAAUACAAACAAGACAAGAGAAUUACCAAAAAGCCCCUUGCCUACCGUGGUGUACCGGUACACGGGCAUUUGUACUGGUACAAAUGGCAACCCGAGAGCAGUCUGCGCGGGGACAUGCGUUGUGUACCGGUACACCUCUGAUGUUGUACCGGAACAGCAAGAUGUACUGGUACGCCUUGAUGGUUGUACCGGUACAGCAAGCAGAAAAUCUGCAUUUUGUAGAUUCCAGCCCUAACUCAUGCCCUCGCGUCUCCACUGAGUCCAUUCGGCGUCCAUUUCGUGCCAACGCGACUCGGACUUGUCCCGACACUCCCCCGAUGUGUCGACAAGCCUCACCUGCUGUACUCCAGGGAUACCACAUCCUUCCCCACUACAAAAAGUUUCGUCAUCGAAACUUAAGCAUACCUCCACGCUGAGCAUCAAACAGGUAAGGGUAGGACUCCCUCAUCACCGUCUCGGGCUCCCAAGUCGCCUCUCGUUCCUCGUAAUUACUCCACUACACCUUCACAGACGGGAUGACCCAAUUGCGCAAUUCUUUCGUCUCCCAAGCAAGAAUUCGCAAUGGUCGCUCCUCGUAUCUCAGAUCCUUGCCAAUCUCUAGUGGAGUGAAGUCAAUCACGUGGGAGGGGUCGAAAACAUAUCUCCUCAAUGCCGAGACGUGGAAUACAUCAUGGAUACCGGCUAGUCCGGGAGGUAGAGCAAUCCUAUAAGCAAUCGGUCCAAUUAGCUCCAAUACCUCAAAAGGGCCAACGAAACGUGGAUUGAGCUUUCCACGCACUCCGAAUCUGCGAAUCCCUCUGGACGGCGAGACUUUGAGAAAAACAUGAUCUCCAACUUGGAACUCCAAGUCUCGUCUCCUGGUAUCGGCGUAGCUCCUCUGGUGGCUCUGGGCUGUCAAAAGGUGUCGUCGAACAACUCUCACCUUUUCCUCAGCCUCUAGCAAGAUCCCAGGCCCUAGCAUCUUUCUUUCACCCACAUCACUCCAAAACAAAGGGGAUCGACAUUUGCCUCCAUACAACGCUUCAAACGAAGCUAUCUGGAUGCUCGUUUGAUAGCUGUUGUUGUACGCAAACUCAGCCAGUCUCAAAUGUCGAUACCACCCUCCUCCAAAGUCCAGGACGCAUGUCCUCAGCAUGCCCUUUAUAGUCUGAAUGGUCCUCUCUAACUGACCAUCUGUCUGUGGGUGAAACGUCGUGCUGAAGUGCAACUGUGUACCCAAGGCUGUCUGUAGACUCCUCCAAAAGUGCGAAACAAACCUCGGGUCCCUAUCUGAUACAAUCGAUCUCGGCACACCAUGCAGCCUGACAAUCUCAUCCAGAUAUAGCUACGCGAGUCUCUCCCUGGACCAGAUGGUCUGCACUGGUAGGAAGUGAGCAGACUUGGUCAGUCUGUCUACUAUCACCCAUAUAGCAUCAAAGCCACCCUGUGCUUUAGGCAAUCCCACGACGAAAUCCAUCGUGAUCUGCUCCUAUUUCCACUUGGACACUGACAGACUCUGAAGCUUGCCAGCAGGUAUCUGAUGCUCGGCCUUUACCUGUUGACAAGUCAGACACUGAGCCACAAAUUUACCACUGUCCCUCUUCAUUCCGUUCCACCAGAAUUGUGCCUUCAAGUCCUUAUACAUCUUGGUUCUGUCAGGGUGAGCCAUAUAAGGAGCACAAUGAGCCUCUCUCAAAAUAUCCGCUCGGAUCUCUAAAUCCAUAGGCACACACAGUCGGUCCUUGUACUGCAUACUCUCGAACUGUCCACUACGAAGCCCUCAGCCUGUCCCCUCUCUAGCUGCUCUUGAAUCCUCAAUAAGUGUGGAUCUCCACUCUGUUUCUCUCGAAUCCUAUCCAACAGAGUGGGCUGCAAGACCAUAGACAUUAGUCUCGCAGUAGACCCAGGGGACACUAUCUCGCGCCUCAACCGCUGCAGCUUCUCGAGUAACGGCCUCUGCUGUAUGAUCAUCAGACUCAAGUUCUGCACUGCCUUUCUGCUCAACACAUCUGCCACCACAUUUGCCUUGCCGGGAUGAUACUGAAUACUAACGUCAUAGUCCUUCAGUAACUCCAACCACUGGCGUUGCCUCAGGUUCAGCUCCCUCUGGGUGAACAGAUGCUUGAGACUUUUAUGAUUGGUGAAAACCUCACAGUGCUCGCCGUACAAGUAAUGCCGCCACAACUUCAAAGCAAAAACUACCGCGGCAAACUCCAAGUUAUGCUUAGGGUAAUUCUUCUCAUAAUCCUUUAACUGCUGUGAAGCAUAAGCAAUUACUCUACCAUACUGCAUCAGCACACAACCCAAACCACUGUGCGAUGCAUCACUAUAAAUCACAAAGCCUUCCCCCAUCAUAGGAAAGGCAAGGAUAGGAGCUGAUGUCAACCUCUGUCUCAACUCAUCAAAGCUCCUCUGACAAUCCUCACUCCAGAUGAAUCGAAAUCCCUUUCUAGUCAAUCGAGUGAGGGGUGUGGAAAGCUUCGCAAAGCCUUCUACAAAUCGACGGUAAUAUCCUGCCAGUCCAAGGACACUCCUCACCUCAGUCACCGUCGUCGGUCUGGGCCAAUCCCGAAUAGCAUCGAUCUUCUUCGGGUCCAUUGCUACUUCCUCAGCAGAAAUCACGUGGCCCAAGAAAGCAACCUUCCGCAACUAAAACUCGUACUUCUUCAACUUGGCAUACAACUUCUUCUCUCGCAGAAGCUGUAGCACAGUCCUCAAGUGCUCUUCAUGCUCAGCAUCACUCCGGGAGUAAAUUAAGAUAUCGUCGAUGAAGACUACUACAAAUCUAUCCAAGAACAGCUUAAACACUCUGUUCAUCAAAUCCAUGAAUGUGGCAGGGGCAUUCGUCAAUCCAAAAGGCAUGACUGUAAACUCAUAAUGCCCGUACCGAGUCCGAAAAGCCGUCUUGGAGACAUCCUCGGCCCUCACCCUCAACUGGUGGUAACCUGACUGGAGGUCAAUCUUCGAGAAGACACAAGAUCCUUAUAGCUGAUCAAACAAAUCAUCAAUGCGCGGCAAAGGAUACUUGUUCAUGAUGGUCACCUUAUUCAGCUCCCGGUAAUCCACACAUGACCUGAGCGAACCAUCCUUCUUCUUUACAAAUAACACCGGCGCUCCCCAAGGCGACACACUGGGUCUCACAUACCCCUUAUCCAUCAGAUCCUGAAGCUGCGCCAUUAACUCUCUCAGCUCCGCCGGUGCCAUCUGAUAAGGUAUCUUUGAGAUUGGUGCAAUUCCAGGAACUACAUCAAUCACGAACUAAAUCUCCCUCUCCGGCGGCAUCGUCGUCAACUCUGGAGGAAAUCCAUCCGGAAACUCGCGGACUACAAGAAUAUCCUCGAGUCCCGGCGCCGCUGUAGGUACCUUAGUAAUUGCUGCUAGAAAAGCGAUGCAUCCUCUACUCAUCAGCUGUCAAACCCUCUCGAAAGAAAUCCAAGUUGCAAAUAACGUGCUCCUGCAGCCCCUAAAAGUGGACUCCUCUUGGCCUGGCUCGCGGAACGUCACCGUCUUCGCUCCACAAUCAAUAGUAGUAUAGUACCGCACCAGCCAGUCCAUACUGAGCACAACGUCAAAGUCCUGCAGCUGCCCUAACACCAACAGGUCUGCGGGAAUGAUCCACGAAUCCAACUGCACCGGACAUGACUAACAACACUCUGCAACUGUAACACGUGGUCGGGGAUCUGCACAUCUCGUGUCUGUGAUAAUGACCCUAACUCUAGACCAUACAACAAUGCAAAUGCUCGGCUAACAAAGAAAUGCGAUGCACCGGUAUCAAAAAGUGUACGAGCUCUAAUGCCAGAAAUCAAAAUGAUACCUGCCACCACUCGGUCAGCUGCUGUAGAGUCCUCCACUUGGGCUGCAUAGACCCUGCCACUCGGAGCUUGUUGUCGCCGCUCACUCUGACGUGGCACAGACGAUCUGUCCUCCUGGCGGAAACUCGGAGCUGCUUCAAAAGACUGCGGGGAUGCUGGCUGUGCAGAUGCUAUGGAUGGUGCUUGUGACGCCCCAACUUCCCAGGGGGUCACCCAUCCUAGGACUACUCCCGUCCUAGCACGCUUAAUUCUCUUAACCUCUUGGGCCUUGCCACCACCCAAAUUGCUUAAGCCGGGUUAAGAGUUUAGCCCUAUUAUAUCUCAUACAUAGGACUAUCUGGGGUCUCACAAUCUCCCCUCCUUUAAGCCCUGACGUCCUCGUCAGGCUCAGACUCACAAGUACCAGGCGAUGUGAGACUCAUCUCGCUAGCCCGUCAUCCAGACCCUGGCUCAGCCAAGACUCAUCUCACACUUCCGGCUGGUAAUUGGCUCUGAUACCAUAUGUGACGCCCCGACUUCCCAGGGGAUCACCCAUCCUAGGACUACUCCCGUCCUAGCAUGCUUAACUCUCUUAACCUCUUGGGUCUAGCCACCACCCAAAAUACUUAAGCUGGGUUAAGAGUUUAGCCCUAUUAUAUCUCAUAUAUAGGACUAUCUGGGGUCUCACAGUGCUGGUGAUGCUGCUCAAGGACAAGCUGAUCUCAUAUGCCCGGGCUGACCGCAACUGUAAUACUUGCCCUCUCUCUGGUCGCACUGCCGGGGCCAGUGGGGUCCCCCACAGAUCACACACUGUGAUGUCCUCUGUGGCUGUCCCUGCUGACGGAAUCCUCGAGAACGCUGAUGCCCCGAAGACCCACGACCCUAAGACCGUGAUUGUGGCGGUCUCGGCGAACGCCUGCUGCUCGACGGUCCUGCGUCAUCUGGAAAGGGGCACUUCCUGUCCUGACUCUGCCCCACUGCCUGAGUCCUCUCCCGAAUGGAUGCAUCACCCCUCUCUACCCAAAGAGCCUGCUCCAUUGACGCAUCCAAGAUCCGCAACCUCUGCGCCUGAACCAAUCGGAAGAUCUUGGGCCUCAAACCCUACUCAAAGAGGUAAACUCUGUGCGCCUCAUCCCUGGCCACAAUCGAAACACAGUUCAGGAGUUGAGUGAACUCCUGAAUAUACUCUCGGACUGUUCGCUCGCCAUGCUGAAUCCUCUUCAGAUCCUCCUUAAGCUUCUAUUUCACGCUGUUGGGAAAAUACAUCCCGAACAGCAUUCCAUAGAACUUGUCCUACUUCAGCUGCAACGUCACUAAUCAAUAAUCUCGCCUCACCCUCCUCCACGAGGCGUGAGCAUCGCCUGCUAAGCAGUGUACUCCCAUAGGCACCUGCUCCCUCUCAGGAAUGAACAGAUCCUCAAAAAACUUCUCCAUCGCGCUGACCCAAACCUCAACCACCCAAGUCUCCGUGCAACUGCCAUCAAAGGUCGGUGGGUCAAAACGACGGAAACGGGCAAGUCUCUCAGCUAUCCGCUCCUGCUCAGCCUCAGUCAGUUGUGGGGCCUCACCAAAAGCGGCAACUGGCGCUGGGGGAACUGUCGCUGGUAGGGGCACGACUGCGGCUGGUGCUGCCACUUGAGUAAUAGGGGGUGGAGCUGAUGACUCUAGUGCUCUCGGUGUUGAACUCGGGGGCGGAGCUAACCUCUCACACAUCCUCUCCAACAACUCCCCCUGCCGCUUCGUCACCUCUGUCAAGGCGGCCAGCUGCGCUUUCAAAUCAGGGGAUGCACUUGUCUCCGGUCAGACACUCCGCUCCACAACAGGGGGUGCACUCGCCCCUGGUCGGGUACUCCGUUCCGUCUGCUCGGGCAUAUCAGAAGGUCCCGCAUGAUCCUGCGUCAAUUGGGCAAAUUGAAAAACGGUGCAAAGGUUGGGAACCAAUGGUGUAAUUAACCCAUUAAAUUUAUAAAUUCAAUUUUUUUAAAAAAAUUUAAGAUUUAAUUUUUAAAUUUAAAAUUUGAUUUUGGAUUCAAAUUUAAAUUGGAAUUCAAAUUCCGAUUUUGAAUUUAACUUUAAAUCCAAAUUCACAUUUCGAAUUCUAAAUUCUAAUUUAAUUUCAAACUUCGAUUUGAAAUUUCAAAUUCAAAAUGUGAAUUUGAAUUCGAAGUUUAAAUUCAAAUUUAGAAUUGAAAUCAAAUCUUAAAUUCAAAUUUAAAUUUUGAAUUCAAAUUUAGAAUUUAAAAUCAAAAUUUUGAAUAUGAUUUUAAAAUUAAAUUUGGUUUUAAAUUUAAAUUCAGAUUUUAAAUUUAAAUUUUGGUUUCUAAACUUUCAUUUUAAAUGUAAAUUGAAAUAUCAAAAUCAAAAUCAAAAUUUUAAAUUUGAAUUCAAAAUUUAGAUUCAAUUAAAAAUUUAAAUUUAAAAUUUGAAUUUCAAUUCAAAAUUUUAAUUCAGUUUUAAAUUCAAAUUCAAAAUUCUAAUUUCUGGUUAAUAAAAUUUUAAUUUUAAUAUUAUUUUUGAAUUUAAAAUUAAAAUUUUGAAUUUUUAUUUUUAGGGACUAAAGUGAAAAACGUGCAAAGUUUAGGGACCUAAAUUAACAUGCAAAAGAAUGCCAAUAGGCGCUGAUGUGGCGAUUCCAUUAAUUUUAAUAGUUAUUUUAACGGUUGGGACGUAAUUAUAAUAGAAUAAAGAGAUUAGGAACUCAAUUGAAAAAAAAAAAAGGUUGGGCAUCCAAGUGAAAAUUGGUGCAAAGGUUUGGGACUACUGGUGUAAUUAACCAAAAAAAAAAAGAAAUAAUAGGAAUGUCUCUGUCGUGAUCGUAUCUCUAUACAAACUCAUAUGGUGGCAAAAUUCAUUGUGCGUCAGCUGGAAUUGGAUAUCAGGUAAAUAGAGUCGUACGACCCAAUCGCAUAGGCCGGCUCAUAGGUCCUACCAAGCCUGCACUGUCACAAGCCCAAUAUGAUAGAUCUGUAUAGGUAUGUAAAAUAAGAAGAAAAUUAAAUACAUACAAAAAUUCAGGAUCAAAAUAAAAUAACUCACAGAGUGCCAUAGAGAAGAAAUUCUUGAUCAAUCUACGGAAGCAAGAAGUUCAGCUAUAAUUUGGAAGUCAUGAACCAAACUUGGAUAAUUUGGUUUCUCCUCCUAUCUCAGGUACUCUCCCGUAUGGUGUGGAACCGAUAGUAUUUCUUUACCAGAAUGCGUAUGAGAAGGUGGCAAGACCAAUACCCCUUUAUAUUGAGUCUAAAUCAACUUUCCAUCAAAGUCUGAUUAGGAUUCUAUUUAAUUUAAAUAGAUGGAAUAGGAAUAAAAUAUACCAUACCAAAUAGUUCUAUAUCUAUUAUGAUUGACCUUUAUCUAUAAUAAAUCCAGAUUUGAAUAUGAUUAUGUCACGCCCCGGAUUACACGUUCCUCAGGCACGCCGACAAAUUCGCCAUACACAAAGAAAUUUUUCCUGUAUACGAAGCGUAGCUGUACCUGUAACACAUACAAUACUACAACCAGUAGUAUAGAGCUACUCGAAUAAAACUGGUAAAAACAUGAACAAGUUCCAUAUACAUACAUACAUCCAAAUAUACAAAAAGCUCGCCCAGCGAGAUAUAACAAGUAUGUAUAAGAAACUCAAAAACUAGCACUACCUGCAGCUGGUAACCUCUCGAACAGCAGCAACUGGGAAGGGCUCUAACUGGCAACGCCUUUGCCACGAUCAGUCUCCGAGGAAGCAGCAGCCGGAACAGCAGGCUCUGCAAAAAUAGGGUAACAACUGGGCGUGAAAACUACUGUAAAAAUAAGUAGUCCUCAAUGGGUACCGCCCUCAACAUCGUCGGUCCACCCACCAAGUCUACAGAAGGAAGCAAAGAUAGUAGGAAAAGCUGAAAAAAAUCUACAGCUAAAUGUCGCUACACUAUCCUGCUCUACACUAACCAACUGUAAUAAAAGUCAGUCCUGACCCAAUCUCACUAGUAACUAUAGGCAUACUCGUCCCUGGGACUGUGAACACACCCGUCCCACCCGGUUGCGACUAUAUAGAUACCUCCACACUAAGCGGUCCGUGGAGAGCAAGUCCAACCUGCACAAUCGACACCAAUGCGAAAGCAGAACGCCCGUCUCCGAAGUGGCAAUCGUGGGAACUACCCAACCGAGUAUGCAGCGUAUCUCUGUCGAGCUCAAUCAGGCUCACAAAUCAAAGUCAAGUAAAUCAGGUCCAACUGGUCUAACAACUAACAAGUCACGUGCCCUCAGCACAAUCUGACGCCAAAACGGCAAUAUGGGUCCACCGUCAACCCCGACGGCCCCCAAUAGUCCGGAACAGUCUGAAAGCUACUGUAAAAAUACACUCGGCAUCCCAGCACGAGCAUAACUGAAAUCUAAAAUACCUGAAAUAUCCACCACGCCGAUACUGCGGCAAUAUAAAAUAACAACGGCUCCUAGAGCUAAAUCCGAUAGUUUAAGCAUAUGCCAGGUUCAAAUCACAGGUUUUCUCCUAAGUCAUAUCCAAGUCAACAUGUGUAACCCCCGAGGUUUCGGAAGAAAUAUCGAGCUUUAGCCAAAUUGGCUAAAGCAUGCGAAUAAGAUGAAUGGACGAGUUCUAAUUAACAUUUUAUCAAGGUUGGAGGGGUUAAGAUGAGUUCUAAAAGAGUUAGAAAGAUUUUAGCGUUGUUCGGCGCGAAAUAGAGUCGAAAACAAGCUAAAAACCAAGUCUGGAGCAUUGUGUACCGGUACAAGUUGAUGGUUGUACCGGUACAACAAGCGACCCGAAGAAUAGCAGCUCUCGGGUUUGAGUGAAAAAGGCUGUUAAACCGGUGACACGGGAAAGUGUACCGGUACACUUUGGCAGAAUGGCAUAGAAUUAGUCUGCUGCAAUUAUAAAUGAUUGGAGGGGUUUAUUUGCAAUUGUUACCUAAUGUAAUAGCCCUAAACCCCUCUCCCUCACAGCAGAUCUCUCCCUCUCUCUCUCUCUCGUGUCUCUCCCUCUCUCUCAACCGGUUGCAAGAAAAGAGAAGGAAAAAGAGAAGAGAAGAAAGGAAAAGAAGAAAAGAAGGAAAAGAUGGAGGAGAGGAAGAGGAUCAUCACCAUCAUCAUCCUCUUCAUGGUAGAUUUUUGUAGAAUGGGUUUUAAACCCUAGAUCUUUGGUUUUGAUCUACCUACAAGCUUUAGAACUUCGUAGAGGCCAAGAACACAUGAAAUCCAUGGUGUUCUUCAUAAUGCUCUAAUGGUGGAUUUCUAGGGUUUGUUCUAAACACCCUAUGAACGGUUCUAAUGGUCCUAAAUGAGCUCUAAGAACUUGGACAAGCUCUCUUUUGCUUGUUUUAUAGAUCGAAAUCGGAGUAUUGAGCAUAUGUCAUAUUAGGGCAUCCCAAAGAGGGGUUUUGCUCAUAUGGGGUUUUGAUCUAUUUUGACCGCUUGGAAACCUAAUUGGGGACCUAACGAACGCGUUGAAACGCUCGGUUCGACAAUCCGACGAGUGUACGCGAAGUUAUUGACGAAACGGUCGGUUUUGGUACAGAUAGCCGCAGCACGCGGAAUAAGUGUCUAAAAAUCGUGAGAUCGGAACCGGAGCAUCUUGGAGUCAAGGAAUAAGCACCGGAAAAGACGGAUCGCGAUUCGGAGGUCGUUCGUUAAGUCGCGCAAGAGUUCGGGCCCAAACGGGUGCCGAGUGCCGCGGGAGGCCGAUUGCAAGUGUCGACAAGCAAUCGGAACGCGAAUCAAGGUGGGUUGUGCUUACCGAAGCGACUAGGUCGCCCUUUAUGUCUUAGCAAUGUAAUCUCAUGUUGAUGCAUGUGCAUGUAGACAAGACUAAAUGGUGCAUUAAUAAAUAUGCAUAGAGUAAAUGCAAGUAAAGUAAAGAAUGCAUGAUGAGCAUGAUAAAUAAAUAAUGCAAGCAAGUAAUUGGAAUGCAUGAUGAUAAUAAUGCAUAGUGUAAAUGCAUGUUAAAUAAUGAUGCAUAGAGCCAUGCUAGUAAAUGUUAAGUAGAGAGCAUGAUUAAUAUAAGAUGCAAAUGCUAAAUGGAAAGCAUGCUAAGUAAUUAAUGCUAGUUGAUGUAAAGAAUGCAUGUACUAAUUAUGCAUAGAUGGAAAUGCUAAGUAGAGAGCAUAAUGAGCAUAGCAUGUAUAUAAUGCUAGUUAAAGUAGAGAAUGCAAAGUAGCAUCAUGAGAGCUAAGUAAGUGACAUGAUAACUCUAGUGUAAAUAGAGUUGAUUGGACAACUAGGUUGUCAGAUAGAUCGAGUGGCAUCUAACCUAGUGUUAAAGAACAUAGGUUGAUUAGUAAACCUAGAGUCGAACAAUCUAGGUGUGUGGCAUUUGACCUAGUGUUAGUAAACCUAGGUUGAACUAGUAAACCUAGAAGUGGACAUCUAGGCGAAGAUGACAAGAACCUAGCAAGUGUAUCUAGGUUAAGUGAUGUGGACAUAGAACCUAGAGUAUUGGAACCUAGGUUGAUGAGUAUAGUGGUAUAGCCACUAGGAUGAGCUAGGUCGACAGUAUAGGGUUGGCUAUGAACCCUCGACCUGUGGUAAGUGGAUUCCGGAAUCCCAGGACUUAUGAUGUCCCUGGUACAGGCUAGGGCGUUCGUGCGACGAUUUCGCCGCCGAGCUUGGUACCGUGGGUAGAUUGGGGGCGAUCACAUGGAGAUCACCGCCCGGGGCUUGAACCAUUGUGCUGGCGUUUGUGCGACGAUUUCGCCGCCAGAGUGGUUAAGCCAUUUGAGGAUCAGACCGCCAGAGUAGACUGAAUCCAUGCUGGGUAAGUACGAUGCGGGUGCCUCCAGGUGACUGAGUCUGACAUGAUCGUUGUUGGGUGUGGUGCGACCCGUUCGCCGCCAGACGGUAUGUCAUGUCUCGAGCUCACGCUGGGUAUGUGCAACGCGAUCGCCACCGAUGGUCAAGUCUUGUGACUCGAGCCGUGUUCAGCGUGUGCGACGAUUUCGCCGCUAGGAGGCUGAGUCAGAGAGAGUGCGGUAGGCUGUUGAGCAGCCAGUGCGCGGACUAUCCGCAGAUGAUUGACUCGAAGCCGAGUCGGGUGGUUAGCUAUGAUAGGGUAGAGGAACCCUUAUGAGCUAGAGAUAGAGGCUUGAGCUAAGGUAAUAGAAACCUUAGAAGCUAGUGGUUAGUGUUGUGGUCCUAAGGUAAUGGAAACCUUAGAGUAAAGUUAUGGGCUAAAGUAAAAGUAGAAUUCAAAUGAUCUACUAGCUGUUGCAUGAUUUUCAUAUCGCAUAUUAUGAGGCAUGGCAUGUAUUUUAAUUGAAUAUAUAUAUCUAUUGUAUAUUGUUGAACUAACAUGUUGCAGUGCCUCCUCGGACCUAUCGGUCGAGCUUUUCCCUUGGGUGGCCGUACCCACUGGGAACCAUGGAGUUGGUUCUCACCCCACGUGGUUUUGGGGUGUUUUCAGGUCGUUCGUGUGCGGCGCGACGGCGCGAGGCGAGGGCGUAGCUCAGUAGAUAGCGCCCCACCACAGAGACCGAGGUAGCAGUACCCUGAGACAGUCUAGCUUAGGGGUCUAGAAGAUAAGAAGAGAAAAUGUAUCAAACUUGUAAACUCUGAUGUAAUAAUAAUAUUGUAAUUUGGAAGCAAAAAUGUAAACUGAAACUGUGAUGUAAAGAGUGGUUGUAAAAUAAAUGCUUGUAAUAGCAAGUAGAUUAUGUAUUUGAUACUUCCUUAUGCAAUCUGGAUUGAUAUCCGUUCCUUGUUGGAACAUUCGUUGAUUGUUUGGAUUGCGACGCCUUGGACGUACUGGGGAGACUCUGUCCGCGUACAAGGGAAUUUUCGGUCCGUUCGGCGGUCUGUCGUCGGCGCCGCGACCCGGUCCAAAUAGGCGGUUGGUCGCGGGGCGUGACAACAUGUGCAAGUAGAUUUAGUAACACUAGGCUCGAAUUCAGAUUUUUGUAAAAGAAACACCAAAUCCAUGAAUCGAGCAAAUAGAAUAUGCAAAAACAACUACAACGACACAUGCCGACUAUCUCUAUAUACUUAGAAGACAAACCGACGAUUAACCCACCUGAAAAACCGGCACGACGUCGAGAACGGCGAAAAUGCACCCUCGCCCGGCCUCCCCGCAGCUCUACGAUGACGAAAACACGCUCGAACGGCACCGCGGCGCGACGUCGACGACACCCGAACUUCACCCGAGCUCCUCCACCACGCACGGUCAAGCACAAGGGGAAGAGAGAGAGAGCGCACUAAUCCUCUCCUCUCUGAUCUCUCUAUCCUAUAUAGGGAGGGAGAAGGGGUGGUAAUACAAUCAAGGCAAGAGAAUUACCAAAAAGCCCCUUGCCUACCCUGGUGUACCGGUACACGGGCAUUUGUACCGGUACAAAUGGCAACCCGAGAGCAGUCUGCGCGGGGACAUGCGCUGUGUACUGGUACACCUCUGAUGUUGUACCGGUACAGCAAGAUGUACCGGUAUGCCUUGAUGGUUGUACCUGUACAGCAAGCAGAAAAUCUGCAUUUUGCAGAUUCCAGCGCUAACUCAUGCCCUCGCAUCUCCACUGAGUCCGUUCGGCCUCCAUAUCGCGCUAACGCGACUCGGACUUGUCCCGACACUCUCCCGACGUGUCGACAAACCUCACCUGCUGUACUCCAGGGAUAACACAGAUUAAUUGGGCCAUAUUUAUGGAAAUACUAACAAUCUCCCACAUGUCUCAAAUUAAUCAUACUCCAUGAACGGAUUUUCUACACUCCAAAUUUUAUUGCGCAUUAUUGAAAACUUUAUGGUCAAAUAUCUUAGAACUCACUUUGGCACACCCCGAGACCCGCCUAUUUGGUUGGAUUCGGGCCCGCCGACAGAUUGCCGAACGGACAGAGUUUUUCCUAUACGUCCUAGGCGUCACAAUUCAUAUAAUACACGAGGUUCUGACCAGGAACAGUAUUCAAGCACAGAUUGCAUAAGGAAGUAUCAAAAACAUAAAACAACUAAGUUAUUACAAGCAUUCACAUCAUAUGCUUUAUAUUACAUUCUCUUUUACAUUUGACUUCCAAAUACAAUCAACAAUCACAAGGUUAUUACAAGUUGUUUCCUUCAUCUCUACACCCCUAAGCUAGACCACCUUGGGGUAUCGCUAUCUCUGGUCAGAAUGGUAAGGCUCUAUCUACGGAGCUACGCCAUUUCCUCACGCCACCACGCGGCUCGCGUGUGAACCUGAAACCCCCAAAAUAACGUGGGGUGAGAACUAUUGUCCAUAGUUCUCAAUGGGUAUGGCCAUUCAAGGGAAGAGCUUGACUUACCAGGUCCAAGGAGGCACUGCAACAUGUUAGUCGAACAGAUAUCCACAGAUAUAUAUAUAUAUAUAUAUAAUUGAGCUCCUAUGCUUUUAAAAGUACCAAGUUAUUGGUGCUUGUAGAUUUUUAGCCAUUGGAUUAAAAUAUAUGCGGUUAAGACGAUGCGGGCCCCCUAGGGUUUAGUGGGUGGUUGGUUGAAUAGUAUAAUCUAAUGGUUGAAAAUGAUCCGAGGAGUAGAUCUAACAGUAAAAAAUUUACAAGCACCAAGUGCUUGGUGCUUUUACAAGCACCAUAGCUGGACUCUAUAUAUAUAUAUAUAUAUAUAUAUAUAUAUAGAGUGCGGCUAGGAUGCUUAUGGAAGCACGGAGGGCUCCGUGCUUCUACUUUGUUUUCGAUGUUCGGACUUUCGAAUCGACGAUCGGCUUCGUUAGACUUGAUCUAGAAUAUUUGAAGUAUAUAGAAAAUAAAUUUAGCGAUUUUNAUAUAUAUAUAUAUAUAUAUAUAUAUAUAUAUAUAUAUAUAUAUAUAUAUAUAUAUAUAUAUAUAUAUAUAUAUAUAUAUAUAUAUAUAUAUAUAUAUAUAUAUAUAUAUAUAUAUAUAUAUAUAUAUAUAUAUAUAUAUAUAUAUAUAUAUAUAUAUAUAUAUAUAUAUAUAUAUAUAUAUAUAUAUAUAUAUAUAGUAGUACAAGUAUAGAGCGUUAUACGUUAUACUUUAAAUACGUUGAUACGUUGGUUGAUCAUCUAGUUAACUAUGAUGUAAGUUAAGACGAUAGGUAUCGAGUAUAGUAGAUCGGAGAUUCCAAAGAUGAUGGAAUCAAGGUACGGUAUAUGGUGAACGAGAAUUCCAAAGUAGAUGGAAUUGGUUCGAUAGGUGGGCUGAGCCGGAGCUCAGUUAGUAGACGUCUUAUGGCGAGUAUCGAUCCGAGCUCCACUUCCUGCAGAGUGUUUGCGGAGUCGGUAUUCAGAUGAGUUGACAUAUAGUUGGUGUCGGUGUAGCGUGCUGCCCAGCGUUUUUUGACGCGUGUGGGCGCCAGUCCCUAGAGGACCACCCUCUCCUUGUGCGGCGUAUGUGAGCGUCGGCUCUAGGGGUUAUCCCUCUCCUUGUACGGUGUAUGUGGGAUCUCAAACUUCUAAGAAGGCCACCCUCUCCUUGUACAGCGUAUGUGGGCGCCGGUUCUUAGAAGGCGUAGUGUUAGGAGCUUCAAGAAGGCCACCCUCUCCUUGUACAAUGUAUGUGGGCGCCGGUUCUUGAUAACUCAUGAUGUUCAGAACCCUAAGGCCUUAGAUGAAAAGUUCAGAAUUUCCAGGCGAACGUUAGGAUAUUACAGCUGGAUAGAUCCAAGCUGGAUACGUAUAGGAUCACCGAUGGUGGUGAUAUUAGGUGAUUGGAUCCAAGUUGGUGCGAUCUAAGUACAGUAGAUGUGGAUCUAGAGUUGAAGAUCCAAUUGAACAAGUUGGAUACAAGAUGCUGUAAUCCAAGUACAGGUUGGAUACAAGUCCUGUGAUCCAAGUUACGGUGAGCUAGAUGAACUGUAGGAUGAACAGGUGUAGCUGAUAGGUAUUUAAAGUAUAAGAACAAAAGGUUACAGCUCAAGAGAUUAGUUGGAUCUCAAUAGCUGGUAUAUAUAUAUAUAUAUAUAUAUAUAUAUAUAUAUAUAUAUAUAUAUAUAUAUAUAUAUCAUCAUGUUCAUAUCUCGCAAUAUGCAAUAUGAAAUUUAUGCAACUAUGCAACCAACUAGUAGAUCAAUUGAUACUACAUUCAAUUCUGCUAUCCAUAGCUCAUAUCAUCUAGCCUCUAAGGUUUCUACUACCUUAGUUCCAUGCCAUAUACCACUUGCUCUUAAGGUUUCAUCUACCUUAACCAAGCUAUCCACCCGACUCGGCCUCGAGUCAAUCAUCUGCAGAAUACCGCUCAUAGCUAGGCUCGAGGUGAAGGACGUCUCACAAACGCCUCAGCCAUAAGUCUACUCAACUGUAUAUCAACCACAGCCACAUCGCACGACGGGUCGCAAAAAACUGCGCACACCCGCGGUCAGGGAUCUCCUGGUGGGAGAGGAACACGCCGCAUACACUCGCAGCCGAGAUCCCCAAUAGGGAGAGGAACAUGCCACAUACACCCUAGAGUUUGAAGAUUCUUCCGGUGGGAGAGGAACAUGUCGCAUACACCCGCGGCCAAGAAUCUUCCGCAUCACAAUCCUCGAAGUUCUUCCGGUGGGAGAGGAACAUGUUACAUACACCCGCGGCCAAGAACUAUUGAGUACUACAAGUCUUGGGAUUCCGGAAUCUACUUUUCAAGUCUUAAAGGUCCGCUUGCAAUCCUAUAAUGUCGACCUAUCUAGGUUCGACCUAUGCAUAUCCUAGUGGCUACCACCACUAUAAUCCACUAACCUAGGUUCAACCACGCUAGAUUCAUGUCAUCUACACCUAGAUCUCAACUUCUAGGUUAACUUGUUCAACCUAUGUUCUACGACAUUAGGUUCAUGUCCAACCUAUGUUCAGGACACUAGGUUCAAUGCCACUCGAUCUACUUGACAUCCUACUUGUCCACAUCGACUAUCCAUAAAUUUCAUAUUCUUGUUUUCCAAUGUCGAGUUCUCUAAUCAACCUAGAGUUAUCGACCCAAAUUCACGUCUUCAUGAAUCUAGCACAUUCUACAACCUGUCAACAUGUAUAUAUAGUCUAGUAUGAUCCACAACAUGUCAACAUGCAUUUCAUCUAACAUUUCUACAAUAUGUCAUUAUGCAUAGCAUCUAGCAUAUUCUAUAAUAUGUAAACAUGUAUAUCUCAAUGGUAGAUAACAUCAACUAACAUAAUAUGAUUCCUGUAUUCAUAUUAUAAUCCACAACCUACCACUAUACAUAUAUGCAUCAACAUUUACCAUAAAUCAUCAUUAUCAUCCAAUGGUAGUUCAACCUAUGUAACACACUGGACCUUUGCAAAUUGCAAGGUUCAAGUGUUUGGUUGGGUUUCGAGCUUUUCCACACUUGGUGGAGGGUCGUAGAUGGUAUUUCGACCUAAAAGUUCGAUUUCUGAAUUUUGGUUAAGUCCUGAGAAUUUUCACUCUCAGGGACCAGUCCCUGGUGGGAGAGAUCGGUCCCCCCCAGAAAAGUGCUGCGGUAGACUUGAGGCAACCGGUCCCUGGCGGGUAAGACCGGUCCCCGAGUAGGAUUUCGGGGGAGAGACCGGUCCCAUGCGGGGAGAGACCGGUUCCCGAACGUUGAUUUUGCGGGACGAACCGAGAGACCGGUCCCAAGCAGGGAGAGACCAGUCCCUUUCGACGAAAACUGCCCAGAACCGGGCAGUGUGCAGAUUGGAUUGUUGAGGGGCUUAUCAGGAUUUUGUUACAUUAAAAGGCUUUUAGAGCCUUUCUCUUCUCUCUUUCCCUCAUUUCUCUCCCUCACACUCUCUCUACACUCUCUAGAAAGAGAAGAAGAAGGAGAAGAAGAAGGAGGAGUAAAAGGAGAGCUAGCUUGGAGGCCUUGGAGCAUCUUCCUCAACAUCAUUUCUCACCUUUGGAGGCUUAGAGCUUGUGGUUGGAGCUUUGAGGAGAAUCAAUCUUCAACCCUUGAGGAUUUUGAGCUUGGUUGGGAGCAUCCUAGAGGUAAGUGGCUAGUUUUCUUCCUCUAGAUCCUAGUUUUGAAGUUUUAAACUAGAUGAAACCCUAGAUUUUGCGAUUUAGGGUUUAUUUUGAGAAAUUUCGAUUUGAGGGCUUUGAAACCUAAUUGAUGGGUUUAGAACCUUUAUUUAGGUUAGAUUUAAAGAACUCUAACUCCCAUUUGGAGCUUGAGAGAGGAUUUCUUCACUUGAGGUGAGUUUCUCCACCUUAGCCUAUGUUGCUUAUUGAUUGAGCUUAGAGUUGAUCGUAAGAUUCGUUUAACUCUUGUUCCUACAUCUUUAGGGUGCUAGGAGACUAGUGGACACCUUCAUUGGAGCAAACGAAGGAGCGCAAGAGUUGUGUCGGUUUGGCUUCAUGGAAACGGGGCGAAAUGGCCCCCAUACUUUCUAUACUCGUCGUAACGUUAUUUUAAAUGCAAAUCUAUGCUAAAUGAAAUUUAUGUGAAUUUUAAAACACUUAAAAUACAUGUGUUAUGUGUAAGAUAAUUUUCACUCUAUAUAGUAGAGCAUUCUGGGUAUUGUUACAUGCAUUUGAGUAGUGUUCGCACUAGCCGUUUGGAAACAUGCCUUAUAUGUUUAAAGUGGCUCAACUAUGCAUUUAUGAACAUUUGGUUUAAGUUUGGACUUAGUAAAUGAAAGUGUCAUAAAGGGGCACUUGGACUAGCAAAAUAUGAGACUAUUAUUUGAGACUUAGUGAUAGGCCUUGGACAUCUACGACAUUUCAUGUUUUAGACAUGAUUACAUAGAGAUAGGCCUACGAGAGAGUUGUGACGUAUUCCAUAUUGUUAGACAUGAGAACUUGGUACUUGAGACGGAUCUUUUGGUUACUUGCCAUUGUGCUCAUUCGCACUUGCUUGUGAGGGUCGCUCCCUACAAGCCGGCACUCCGGAGAUGGCCAUCGCGAUACAUAAUCGCCGUGCGGGAUUGGGCGCCGACGUGGAUUGCCAUGGGAAAGGCUCAUUCCUAGAGUGGGGAUGUUCACUACCACGGGGCCAUUAGGCUCGGCACCGGCCAGACAGUCUACGGGUAGGUCUCAGGGCCAGACAGCCUUCGGGCAGGUCUCUUCAGAUUUGAUUUUGAGCAUUAAUCAUGCCAUGUGGACAUUGAUUAGAAUAGUAAACAAUGAUAUCUUUGCUAUUUGACUUAUGGACAUCAUACUAGCGAUGUUUGGGUACAUUCAUACGAGAAUAGCUUUUCUUACUUAUGUUAAAUCAUGCUAAGUAGAGAUAUCAUGUGGUAGCAAAUAUUCAUGCUUAAUUACUUGUCGUACAUAUCGCUUUUGCUUAUAUCUGCUUACUGACCCCUUUUUAGUUUGGGCCUAGUGGUGCAUUUCACUGAAGCCAGUAAUUACCCACUGGGAAUUAUUAUUCAAUAGUUUCUCACGCCCCCUGUUUCAUGGUUUUAUUUCAGAGCCUUCGACAUCGGCGGAGGCACGGGAUCGCGGCAAGGGAGUCGCAUAGCUAGUUAGUGGGGAGCUACUUUUGAGCGUAGGUGGUUUACUCUUCCUUUUAUUGUAUUAGAGAGAGAGAGAUUUUGCACCAUGUAUAGAGAGACCACCUAUGUACCUUUCUAGCACUUAUUUUGGGACUCAGUUGUACUACUUUAUGCUUUUUUCUAGUGGACUUUCGGCUUUAUGUUCAUUUCUUUAUUGUAGCUCAUAGAUACAUUUUGCUCUGAUACAGCUAGAUGUUUUUCUCUCUUCUUGCCUUAUUUAUCGUUUUUUUUAGACGCCUUAUAUGUUUUAGACAUAUGGUGGGUCUGGGCACGCGCCGGGCAGGCUUCCUCUGGGUCCCAGGACGUGACAGAUUAGUUUAGUAUCAGAACCUAGGGUUGAGUCUUAGUGGACCUAGCAAAUCUUAGACCGGUUGGACUAUAGGAAAUAGGCUCGUGAGAGACGAGAUCUAUUUGACUUGUGAGCGAAAGUAUCGUGAUUGGGUAUUUUGGAUAACUCUAGAAAGUGGAGUUAAAUCGAAGUGUAUAGCUCCUAACUUCGCGGAGGGUUACGUUGGCGGCCGACAACGUAACAUCGGGAGUUAGUAAUGAAGCACACUUCAUUACUUUCGCAUGAUUUGGGUCAUUACCUUCUUGAGUGGGGAUUCGAUAGCGUGGGUUACUUACUUACGCUUUUAUGAUGUUGUAGUGUGAUGCCGAUUACGCACUCCCAAUCUGCCGGAGCGGAUAACGCGGCAAAUCUGGAAGAGGUCGAGACCUCCGCUACCUCCGGAUCCGGCGAGGUCCGAGGGUUGAGGGGCCAGCUUGCGGCCCUCACUGAUAUGGUGACACAACAGACGGAGGCAGCGCGCCAACAGGAGGCGCGGAUGAAGCGCUUGGAGGACCUCCUACUUCAGCAGGCUACUGCUCGAGAGACUCAGGCCCUUACACCACCAGCACCAGUUGUGGACGUGGCAUCGAGGGCACCGUCACCCGCGCUCGGUUCUUCGCGGGCAGCACCCGUGGUUGUACCCCGGGAGAAGGACAUAGUGGCACCACCAGCUCAGGCGUCACCGACGGGGGCAGUUUUUCCUGUGACGAUUUCUGCAGAGGAAAGGGAAAGGCUGAUGGAGUGCCUCAACGAGUUCAGGAGGUGCAGUCCCCGAAUCUUUGACGGAGAGAAAGUCGACCACUGGAUCGUGGAGAAGUGGUUGAUGCAUAUGGAGAAGCUCUUCCGCGAUACCUUCGUGGAGGAGAGAGAUCGAGUUUGGCUCGCCACACACCACUUGGACGGCGAGGCCUACCGCUGGUGGUUAGAUCUUCAGGAGAACCCCAGCACUGACUUGGUAGCUAUAUCUUGGAAGAGGUUCAAGGAGCUUCUAUUGGCGCACUACUUCCCGACCAGCGUCAAGAGGAAGAUGGAGCAGGACCUGCGCAACUUGCGCCAAGGAGACCGGAGUGUAGCCGAGUACGAGCGGGAGUUUUCUCGGCUUCUUCACUGCGUGCCUUUCGUCGUGCGGGACGACGAGGACAAGGCUCGCAUUUUCAAGCGAGGGUUGCGACCGUCGAUUUUCCGGUUCGUGCAAUCCUCUAACCUCCAAACCUACCGGGAGGUGGUGGAUCGCGCGCUCAUUGUAGAGAGCGGUGCGGCGCAUGUCCAGGAGCGGCGAGAGGCCAUGGACAAGGGUAAGGCUAAGAGGCCUGUGGUUGAGGGUGCGAGCCAGAUGCACUCUAGGAGACCGCCGAAGCAUCCUAGGAGCCAGCAGCGUGGACGCGGCUCAGCAGCGCAGCGAGAAAGUUUUGACCGUCGCCGGCCUUCCCCGUGUGUGAUCUGCGGUGGUCCUCAUUACCCACCGCACUGUCCACAGCGGGCGGGCAGGUGUUUCCAGUGUGGCCAAGAGGGCCACGUUCGGACUGAGUGUCCAAAAGGUUCGUCACCGGCACCGUCGACUGCAUCGACACUGGCUCUACCAGCCCCUAGUCAUGGGACUCCGUCGACACAGUACCAGCCUGGGCGUGCACCCGUCCAGCGCCAGAGCGAGGGAUCUCGACAGGCCCCGAGUGGGCGCUUGUACGCCGCUCAGACCGAGGAGGUGGCAGCAGCCGAGGAUGUGGUUCUAGGUAUCAUUUUACUUGAUGGCAAUAGAGUUCGUACUUUAUUUGAUACUGGUGCAUCGCAUUCAUUUAUAGAUCGGCUGUUGCUGAGUUGCAUGGUAGCCCUUUGGUUUCUUUGUUACAUCCGGGACAUGUUGUAGUACCCGACCACACUCUGGAUAUUAGAGAGUAUUGCCCUAGUUGCCCUGUUCGGAUAGGAGAUUGGAUCAUGCCCGUGGAUUUGCUUGCUUUGCCCAAGCUAGGGGAUUUCGAUGUGGUCUUGGGUAUGGAUUGGCUAACUAAGUACUAUGCCAUGAUUGAUUGCAAGAAUCGCACGGUUACUUUUAGAGAACCGGGGCAGAAUGAGGUUGUGUUUAGAGGAUGCCGGAGUUCACCUUUUGCGAUGUCGAUCAGCUCGUCUCAAGCUAGGCAGCUAAUCAGCCGAGGAUGUGUAGCCUACUUGGCUAGUGUUGUGUUGAGGGGCGUGGAUGACACCCCUAGGAUGGAGGAUAUCCUGGUGGUACGGGAGUUUCAAGAUGUGUUUCCAGCUGAGCUACCGGGUAUGCCACCCGAUAGGGAGAUCGAGUUUGUGGUAGACCUCGUCCCUGGGACUACUCCAAUCUCGAAGCCACCCUAUAGGAUGGCACCGAUGGAGCUAAAGGAGCUGAGGGCACAGCUACAGGAUUUGUUGGACAAGGGCUUCAUUCGACCGAGCGUCUCGCCGUGGGGAGCUCCAGUUUUGUUCGUCAAGAAAAAUGACGGAUCACUUCGCCUAUGUGUGGACUAUCAUGAACUUAAUAAAGUCACGAUCAAGAAUAAGUAUCCGUUGCCAAGGAUCGACGACUUGUUUAAUCAGCUUCAAGGAUCGUGUGUGUAUUCCAAGAUUGACUUGCAUUCGGGAUACCACCAGAUAAAGAUCAAACCCGAGGAUGUAUCGAAGACGGCUUUUAGAAUACGGUAUGGACACUAUGAGUUCACAGUUAUGUCGUUCGGGCUUACUAAUGUCCCGGCAGCUUUUAUGGAUCUGAUGAACCGUGUUUUAAGCCUUACCUGGACAGGUUCGUCAUGGUGUUUAUCGACGACAUUUUGGUUUAUUCCCGAAGUGAUACAGAUCACGAGGAGCAUUUGAGGCUUGUACUUCAAACACUUCGGGAAAAGUAGCUUUAUGCCAAGCUGAGAAAGUGUGAAUUUUGGCUUCGAGAGGUAGCCUUCCUUAGCAUUUAAUAUCGCGAUCGGGUAUAGCCAUGGAUCCUAAGAAAAUCGAGGCAAUCAAGGAUUGGCCAAGACCGACGAGCGUCACGGAGAUUCGGAGUUUCCUUUGGACUGGCCAGUUACUACCGGAGAUUUGUUGAGGGGUUUGCUAAGCUAUCUACUCCCCUCACGAGGCUCACGCAUAAAGGUGUUAAGUUCAUCUGGAAUGAUGCGUGCGAGAGAAGCUUCCAAGAGUUGAAGCACCGAUUGACGACCGCCCCGAUCCUAACCCUGCCGAUGGCUAGAGCAAGGUAUGUGGUUUAUUGUUAUGCAUCACUUAACAGAUUGGGCUGUGUUUUGAUGCAGGACGGUAAGGUGAUCGCGUAUACUUCUCGCCAGCUGAAGGAAUAUGAAAAGAACUACCCUACGCAUGAUUUGCAAUUGGCGGCCGUAGUCUUCGCAUUGAAGUUAUGGCGCCACUACUUAUAUGGCGAGCGGUGUAAAGUGUACACGGAUCACAAGAGCUUGAAAUACAUGUUCACUCAGAAGGAGUUAAACUUGAGACAGCGCAGAUGAUUGGAGCUGCUCAAGGAUUAUGAUCUGACGAUCCUAUACCACCCGGGCAAGGCUAACGUGGUGGCGGAUGCGCUAAGUAGGAAAUCAAAGAAAAACUUAGCAAUGCAUGUUGUUACUCAACCACAGUUGAUCGAGUAGAUGAAGCGGUUGGAGUUGGAGGUGGUGACUCCUGACACGCCUUUGAGAUUGAUGACAUUGGUAGUGCAACCUACACUUGUGGAUAGAAUUAAAGAAAAGCAAGCUUCCGAUGUGGAGUUGCAAAAGAUUAGAGAUAUAAUGGUUGAUGGUUGCACCGGCAAUUUCCUUGUGGAUGACCAAGAAUUGAUCCGUUUUCGUGGACAGAUUUGUGUACCGGCGGAUUUCGGAAUUAAAGAGGAUAUUCUUCAGGAAGCACACCGAGCGCCCUAUGCUAUACAUCUGGGAGGCACCAAGAUGUACAAGAAUUUAAAGUUGCUCUAUUGGUGGCCCGGGAUGAAAAAGGAUGUUGGCGAGUUCGUAGCUCGAUGUCUAACUUGCCAACAGGUGAAGGCUGAACACCGAUUACCCGCGGGGAAACUUCAGAGUUUACCGAUUUUCGUGUGGAAGUGGGAGAAGAUCACCAUGGAUUUUGUGACAGGUUUGCCCCGGUCUCAGGCCGGGCAUGACGCUAUUUGGGUGAUCGUGGAUAGGUUGACGAAGUCGGCGCACUUCAUACCUAUUCAUACUACUUGGACCGGAGAGAAGCUCGCACAAGUGUACCUCGAUGAGAUUGUGCGACUUCAUGGAGUGCCUACAUCGAUAGUAUCGGAUCGAGACACUUAGUUUGUGUCCCACUUUUAGAGGAGUCUACAGGACGCCCUAGGCACUCGAUUGGACUUUAGUACUGCUUUCCACUCUCAGAGUGAUGGGCAGUCGGAGCGCACCAUACAGACUUUAGAGGAUAUGCUCCGAGCAUGAGUGAUAGACUUCCAGGGAGGAUGGUCGCAGCAUCUACCUAUGGCAGAGUUUGCUUAUAACAACAGUUAUCAAGCAAGCAUCAAGAUGGCACCGUUUGAAGCAUUCUAUGGACGGAAGUGUAGAUCGCCACUUCAUUGGAGCGAAGUUGGCGAGAGAUUAGUUUUAGGCCCUGAUGUGCUCCAGGAAGCUGAGGACAAGGUUCGAAUUGCUCGAGAGUGACUUUUGACGGCACAGAGUAGACAGAGGAGCUACACCGAUCGACGAUGGUGAGACUUGGAGUUCCAAGUUGGAGACCAUGUUUUCUUGAAGGUCUCGCCGACUAGAGGGAUCAAGAGAUUCAGGAUUCGGGGUAAGUUGAGCCCCCGUUUCAUUGGACCGUAUGAGAUUUUGGAACGUGUGGGUCCGGUAGCGUAUCGACUUGCUCUACGAUCGAACCUAUCGGGCGUGCACAACAUCUUUCAUGUAUCGGUCCUCCGGAAGUAUGUCUUCGACCCAACUCAUGUGUUGGAUGCUACACCGUUGGAGUUGCGGGACGACUUGAGCUUCGAGAGCAACCCAUAAAGAUCUUGGCUCGCGAGGUGAAGAAACUACGGAAUCAGGACAUUCCGUAUGUAAAGAUUUUUUGGAGCAACCGCAGGGAGCGGCAGGCCAUGUGGGAGCUAGAGAGCGCGCUGUAGGAGUGCUAUCCCCAUCUUUUUCAGAUAGAGUCUUGAGGUAUGUUGUUGCUUUAUGUUUCACGGACGAAACUCCUUUUAAGGAGGGGUGAAUGUAACACACUGGACCUUUGCAAAUUGCAUGGUUCGAGUGUUUGGUUGGGUUUCGAGCUUUUCCACACUUGGUGGAGGGUCGUAGAUAGUAUUCCGACCUAAAAGUUCGAUUUUUGGAUUUUGGCUAAGUCCUGAGAGUUUUCACUCUCGGAGACCGGUCCCUGGUGGGAGAGACUGGUCCCCCCCGUAACAGUGUUGCGGUAGGACUUGAGGCAACCGGUCCCUCGCGGGUGAGACCGGUCCCCGAGUAUGUUUUCGCGGAGAGAGACCGAUCCCAUGCGGGGAGAGACCGGUUCCCGAACGUUGGUUUUGCGGGACGAACCGAGAAAUCGGUCCCAGGCAGGGAGAGACCGGUCCCUCUCGACGAAAACUGCCCAGACCGGGGCAGUGUCCAGAUUGGAUUGUUGAGGGGCUUAUGAGGAUUUUGUUACAUUAGAAGGCUUUUAGAGCCUUUCUCUUCUCUCUUUCCCUCAUUUCUCUCCCUCACACUCUCUCUACAUUCUCUAGAAAGAGAAGAAGAAGGAGAAGAAGAAGGAGGAGUAGAAGGAGAGCUAGCUUGGAGGCUUUGGAGCAUCUUCCUCAACCUCAUUUCUCACCUUUGGAGGCUUAGAGCUUGUGGCUGGAGCUUUGAGGAGGAUCAAUUUUCAACCCUUGAGGAUUUUGAGCUUGGUUGGGAGCAUCCUAGAGGUAAGUGGCUAGUUUUCUUCCUCUAGAUCCUAGUUUUGAAGCUUUAAACUAGAUGAAACCCUAGAUUUUGAGAUUUAGGGUUUAUUUUGGGGAUUUUCGAUUUGAGGGCUUUGAAGCCUAAUUGAUGGGUUUAAAACCUUUAUUUAGGUUGGAUUUGAAGAACUCUAAUUCCCAUUUGGAGCUUGAGAGAGGAUUUCUUCACUUGAGGUGAGUUUCUCCACAUUACCCUAUGUUGCUUAUUGAUUAAACUUAGGGUUGAUUGUAAGGUUCGUUUAACUCUUGUUCCUACAUCUUUAGGGUGCUAGGAGACUAGUGGACACCUUCAUUGGAGCAAAUGAAGGAGCGCAAGAGUUGUAUGGGUUUGGCUUCAUGGAAACGGGGCGAAAUGGCCCCCAUGCUUUCUAUACUUAUCGUAACGUCAUUUUAAAUGCAAAUCUAUGUUAAAUGGAAUUUAUAUGAAUUUUAGAACACUUAAAAUGCAUGUGUUAUGUGUAAGAUAAUUUUCACUCUAUAUAGUAGAGCAUUCUGGAUAUUGUUACAUGCAUUUGAGUAGUGUUCGCGCUAGUCGUUUGGAAACAUGUCUCAUAUGUUUAAAGUGGCUCAACUAUGUAUUUAUGAACAUUUGGUUUAAGCUUGGACUUAGUAAAUGAAAGUGUCAUAAAGGGGCACUUGGACUAGCAAACUAUGAGACUAUUGUAUUGAGACUUAGUGAUAGGCCUUGGACAUCUACUACUUUCCAUGUUUUAGACAUGAUGACAUAGAGAUAGGCCUAUGAGAGAGUUGUGACGUAUUCCAUGUUGUUAGACAUGAGGACUUGGUACUUGAGACGGAUCUUUUGGUUACUUGCCAUUGUGCUCAUUCGCACUUGCUUGUGAGGGUCGCUCCCUACAAGCCGGCACUCCGGAGAUGGCCAUCGCGAUACAUAAUCGUCGUGCGGGAUUGGGCGCCGAAGUGGAUUGCCGUGGGAAAGGCUCAUUCCUAGAGUAGGGAUGUUGACUACCACGGGGCCAUUAGGCUCGGCACCGGCCAGACAGCCUACGGGUGGGUCUCAGGGCCAGACAGCCUUCGGGCGGAUCUCUUCAGAUUUGAUUUUGAGCAUUAAUCAUGCCAUGUGGAUAUUGAUUAGAAUAGUAAACAAUAAUAUCUUUGCUAUUUGACUUAUGGACAUCAUACUAGCGAUGCUUGGGUACAUUCAUACGAGAAUAGCUUUUUUUACUUAUGUUAAAUCAUGCUAAGUAGAGAUAUCAUGUGGUAGCAAAUAUUCAUACUUAAUUACUUGUCGUACAUAUCGCUUUUGCUUAUAUCUACUUACUGACCCCUUUUUAGUUUGGGCCUAGUGGUGCAUUUCACUGAAGCCAGUGAUUGCCCACUGGGAACUAGUUCUCACGCCCCAUGUUUUAUGGUUUUAUUUCAGAGCCUUCGGCAUCGGCGGAUGCACGGGAUCGCGGCAAGAGAGUCGCAUACCUAGUUAGUGGGGAGCUACUUUUGAGCGUAGGUGGUUUACUCUUCCUUUUAUUGUAUUAGAGAGAGAGAGAUUUUGCACCAUGUAUAGAGAGACCACCUAUGUACCUUUCUAGCACUUAUUUUGGGACUCGGUUGUACUACUUUAUGCUUUUAUUUAGUGGACUUUCGGCUUUAUGUUCAUUUCUUUAUUGUAGCUCAUAGAUACAUUUUGCUCUGAUACAGCUAGAUGUUUUUCUCUCUUCUUGCCUUAUUUAUCGUUUUGUAUAGACGCCUUAUAUGUUUUAGAUAUAUGGCGGGUCUGGGCACGCGCCGGGCAGGCUUCCGCUGGGCCCCGGGGCGUGACAACCUAGCAUUCAUCUUAUGCAUUCAUAUGUUUGCAACUAACUACCAUGUAUGCAUCAAUGAUAAAUAACACCUCACUUCGACAUGGAAGUGAGCUAAUAUCCUCGGUGAGCACAACCCACCUCGUAUCGCUCUACGAUUGCUUGUCGACACUUGCAAUAGGCCUUCCGCGGCACUCGUUAUCCAGUUCGGUUCAAACUUGCAAACGAUCACCAACCACACGUCAAUCCGCGUCCUAGGGUUGUCAGGGACCCUUCUUUAACCUCCAAUCAGAGAAACAUUGGGUUUAAUUAGAUUAAAACCCACCAAAUCCCAAAACUCUCAGCUGUAACUCUAGCAUGAUAUAAUCUCCAAUGAACCCGAAAUCUCAUGGGGAAAACAUGCUAGAAUUACUUUAGAGACUACUAGAAUACCAAGCAUAAAGGAUUUAACCAAAUCCUAAACACUUACCAAAAUGAGAACGCCGAGUCGGAAGCAUGCCGCUCCACCGGGUGCACGAAGACUCGAUCCGUCGCCCCACACGUGUUCCCAAGCACGCUCUCCGCCAACUCUCCGAAUUUGGGAGUGAGAUCUAGAGAGAGAAGGGAGAUAUCUAGAGAGAGGAGAGAGCUUCUCUCUUUAGGUUGUGUGUGUGUGUGGGUUAAAAUGGCUGAGGGAGGGAGGAAGGAGAUGAUCCCCCCUUUUUAAGUCAACCCCCACCACUCAAUUACAAGUAUGCCACUGUUACUGUGCAUUUUUCCAGCUCGGGGUCGGGACCUUGGACCUUGGCUAGAGGGUCCGGACCCCGUAGGUCCAGAAAUUCUGCAAAUUUCAGAGUUAGCCAAAAUUUCAGCCUUUUGCCAAUAUUGGUCCGUUUUCGCUCGUUUUCGCUCCGUGGGUCUCCGAUUCAAUUCUAAUCAUACCGAGACCCCCAAAACACAUUUUCGAGCGUGUCUAAAUUAUCUUUUCAUCCACGCCUUGCCGGAUUUUGGUCAAGGUCCAAUCUAGCUAUUCGAGUUCCGUUUUCACGCCCGACGCAUACCGAAAACACUCGAAUGCUCCCGAACUUCACCGGAACCGUUCCAAUAGCUUUCCAAACUAACAUACCCCGUAACGUCAUAAAUAUAGAAGUUCGGUAUGCUACACACUUGAUUUUUAGCUCAAACUAAAAGACUAUAAUAAUAGGAAACAUGGUGGUCCACCUCUACAUAUUAAAAAUUUCCUUCCAUAAUUAUCAUAUCAUAUUCAUCUCCUAGCCGAGUACUUUAUAUGGUACAACUUUAUGAAUGAACUUAAAACUGUAUGUCUAUUCAUUAAUAGACAAAAUUUUAUACCUAUUAAAUGGUCCAAUACAGCUGUAUUAAAUUUUAACUUUAUUGAAAAGAUAGAAUGUUAUAAUCUUAUACAUCAAAAGAACUAAUCAAACUCAUAUUUCUAACAUGAUCUGUAUAUGACCCAAAUGCCAGCCCUUUGGUCAUUGGGUCUGCAAUGAUACACUUGAUACUGAUGUAUUCAAUUGUAACAUAACCUUCCUCUAUCUUCUCUCUCAUGACAAGAUAUUUGGUGUCCAAGUGUUUACACCGUGCUCUCCACGUCGACCGCCGCCGCCUCCCGCAGCCGACCGGUGCGAGCCCUGGCCUCCCCACGUCGACCUCCCCUGUCGAACGCCGGCGCACCCGCCACUGAGUCGCUGCCGGCCAUGCCCUAGCUCCCACUGCCGAUAAGCCUUUGCAGUGCUUUCUUUUGGUUGUUGUUUUGGUUUGUACACACUUUUCCGGCGAUCCGAGGCUGUCCCGAUGCCUCUGGAGGUGAGCUGUGAGGACUGAGAUUUUGGUUAUGUAGCUAAACUCCUUGUUGAUGAUGUUUUUGUGUGUAAUUUAAUUACAUAAACACUCGUCAAGUUUCAGGAGAAAACGAGUUAGGAUAGAAAAGUUACACGACCUUUACUAAUCACUUAAAGUGAAGAGUAACUCCGGUUUUCCAGAGAAGCCAAUGAGUAGAUAUGGUUUCUGGUGCAUAUUGAACUCCGUUUAUAGUGAUCCAAUAGCUCGUUUUCGACAGUUCUACUAUCCUGGACCCAAUGGCACUGACAGAUUUGGGUUUUGAUGCACAAUUUUCCAGAAAAAUGGGUUUUAUCGAAAAGAGGGUUUUCGUUCUUUGCUGUUCUUGCAUUAUAAAACUCCUCAUGCUUUGUGCAUGUGACCUGGAGUAGGGUGAAGGAUGUUUCAGGUACCUACUAGUGGUAGGGAAUUCAAAUUCGAAUUUGAAUUUAAAGUUUAUUGGAUUUACAAAUAUGUCUAUGUGUGGUGUUUGGAAAAUUGGAGAGGGGAUAGGUUUCGUCGCAAAUCGCUGAUCAAAUCGGAUAAAACAAAAUAGUAGAUUUGAUGCCCCAGUCGUGCUGAACGCGCUGGCACAAUCCGAUCGAAAAUCUGACGGACGGAUCUCCGGUAAUCGCAUAAAGUUCGCUGAGGGGUCGAAAUUGGCAAAAAUGGAAAAUCUACGAAAAUCCCAAUAUUUUAUGUACCAUUUUGCACAAUUUUGAACGUCGAGGUGCGUAUGCGUGAAAUACACGCGCCGUGAAGGACUGGGCUAAAAAUAAGGAGCUUAGAAGGGCUAUGUUGCAUAAUGACCAACCUAUAGAUAUUGCGCAACAUUAGGAUUCAUGCAAGGAAACCCUAACCCUAAUCUUCCAGCCCUCAUGUUGAGCCCUAGCAUCACUAGCAACCCUCUGCCCCAGCCGCGACGCACCUGGGCUGCCGAUGAACGACUACGAUCGCCGGAAAAGCCAUUUGUUUUACCUCUCCUCUCCCAUCAUCUCCCGUGCGCGUUGUAGGCGUUGCCUAUGCGACUGCGGCCAACCCCGGUCAACUGGGGCCGAGCUCAGCAUAGCUCGUGGGCCCCCCGCCACCGUUGCCCUAGACCUGCUGCGCCGCCUUCCUGGACCUCCGGUGACCUCCCGCAUGCCACCCCCGUCGCCCCGGAGCGCCGCCGGCCGCCGCCCUGGCUUCCUGCGGCCGCCCAGCCUCAAAUCCGGUUGAGCUUGGGCCCGCACUGCCUCUGCGCACUGCCGUCGCCCUCAGUCGGCUGCGCCGCCCUCCCUCGACCUCUAGCGACCCAUCGCCGUCCCCCCGGAGCUCCCCCGGCCGCCGCCCGACCGCAACUACACCCUGAGCCCGAGCUUCGCCUGUGCGGUCUUGGCUUGCUCCACUGCCGCUGCCAACGCCUUCCGCCAUCGGCCGGCGUAAGCACCGACUCUGCCUGGCCGGCCGCACUCAUCCGACGCCGGCUCCCCACAGCCGGAGCUUCCUGUCGGCCGGACUUGGGCCGUGCUCUCCUCGGCUUGGUGCGGCUAGGGCAUCAUUGCCCGCUGCAGCCGCCGCCUUCCGUCGCCGGCUUACGCUCGUCCCGGCCUCCCUCCGUCGCUCGCACCUGCCUGCAGCCGGCAUUCCCGCCUCCCGGCCGCCGCCGGCCGUGCCCGAGCUCCCCAUGGUUCGGUGAGUUCUAUUUCACUGUUUUGUGCAUAUUCUCGGGUUCAGAUCGCUGUUCCGGCAAUCCGAGGACACCCCGACACUCCUGAAAGUGAGCACGAUGAUCCUUGAUCCGUGCUGAACAUCGUGCUCACCUCCGUUAGGAUCAACGAUGCCCCAGUUUGCGUGUUAGACGCGAUUUAGGUGCUGUGCGUGCUGUUUUGUUGUACUUCGCGUCGCUCGCACGCUCGCCACAGUGGCCGGCUGUGCUCCAAAGUGUGAGCAUGCCCUCCGGCACAUCGGGACCUGUCAGCGGGUGUCUCUGCCAGGCUUGAGGGCCCUCGAUUUGCACUGUCGGGUUAUAAAACCCCGAAAAUCACAUGAAAUGAUGUGAUUUUAUGUAGUCGCAGCGGUUUUUAUGCAAGUUUACGCUAUGUGGUUGCUGUUGGAAGCGUGUACGGGCAGUGGGUGACCUCUAGACUGGUUGUCCAAGGCCCCAGGCCUUUUCGGAAAUCAAAUGUUGAUUUUCGGUGCAUUUUUCGGCGAAAUCCACCGACAGAACUCGAUUUCGGUUCGGAUAUCUUCCGAUGGUGCCUCACGGUAAAUUGUAUAGUCGCUGAGCCUUGUUGGCCAGUCACUCGGGUCAUUUCGAGGGUUCUGAAACGACGGGUGAGUGACGGUGGGUUCCGGUGUCGAAUUAGACACUUCCGGAAACCCGGAUCGGAACAAUUAUCUGACGAUAAUCGUUUCGAUGUGAGGAAGGUGUGUUUGCUGCCAAGUCACAUGAAUAGUUGUGUUUAGUGGCAGCGGGUGACUCGUAGCACGAGUCGGUGAGUUUCGAGACAGUUUCUGGGUCCCGGCGGAGUCCCGAUGAGAUUUUCGGGACUUCCGGCGUGUUACGGCAGUUGGUUUGGGAAACCGAUUCCCAUGGGUUUACAUGUGGGGAUGGUGAGUUAGUGGUUCGUGUUGGAUUCUAACCCGGUGGACCCUUCGUAGGUCCGGUUGAUACUUCCUCUGCAGUCGGAAGACCAGUACCAUAUACGUACUAUUGGGAACUUCGACCCGAAGUCGGUAUAGUGGUGCACGUUCGGUGACAUUCCCUUCACUCUUUCCUUGUUGUUUAUCUUGCAUAUUAUAUGUUGAGCCUAGCACCUAUUCCCUUCUUCUUUAUUGCUCUACUUAGUUGUUUUGCAUACCCAGUAUCAUGUUUUAAAAGUAGAGCAGUUUCGUGAUUAUUGGUGAGAUCUAUGACCUAGUCGGUCAGUGUGUUGUAUCUGGUAUUAUGACCUAAUUGGUCGGUCUUGUAUCUCGUAUCUGCGACCUAUUCGGUCGGCUUACUGCAUUGUUAUCGUGGCCUAUUUAGUCGGUUAGACUAUUUGAUGACCUUUACGGUCAGUAUACCCUGAGGGAUAGGAUUGUCGGCUAGUGGCCGACGGCUAGUUCUGGAUUAUACCGAUGCAUGACGUGACAUCCCUGUGACCUAUUGUCGGUCCUUGUGCAUAUUUGUUAGUUGGCAGUCAGUGGUCGAUACUUGCAUACCUUUGGACGGAUGUUGAGUUGUUCCAUCCUAGUUGACCUGAGUGGUCGGUACUUGUGUUCCUUACGGUUUGAUGACCUAUUGGUCGGUGCGCCCCGAGGGGCAGUGAUUGUCGGCUAGUUGCCGACGGUUGGCUAUUGAGUAUAUUAGCAUUGAUCGCCCGAUACUCGUAUGCAUUUUACGAACGCCAGCGGUCUGAUCCACCGCAAGUGAGUGUUCUUUUCCGAAAAAGUGGUUGGAGGUACCAACCAGUGAGCCCAUACACCUUGGGUUAUUUGCAGGUAGAGUGACAGCUUGAGGUCUGCGGUGCGGACCAACAGGGCAUAGCUUGAGGUCUGCGGUGCGGACUAACAGAGCACAGAUUUCAGAUUGGGUAUUUUUGGACUUAUCGUCCGGUUGAUGCAUACAUACAGUAGCGGUAGUUAUGCAUUUAUAUAUCUCGCUCGUUUAUUUAUCAUUGCUACUGUAGUACCAUACAGGCCUGAGGUGUGCGGACCAAUAUGGCAGUUUCAGAUUGGGUAUUUUGGACUUGUCGUCCGGUUGCAUUCAUACAAUAGUGGUAGUUAUUCAUUUAUACCUCUCAUUCAUAUAUUUAUUGUUGCUACUGUAUUACACUUAUCCAUACCUUUGUUUGUUCUCCUUGACUGGUAAGUACCCCUCGCCCUCUUCGGCUUACGGUACCCACUGGGAGGGAAGACAUAUGUAUAUGUUCUCACCCCCACCCCUCUUUCAGGUGACGUCGCAGGUCCGAGUCGGGACGAUUCGUGAAGUGCGCAGUUUAGCAUUCGAUAGAUCCAUCAGCUCGUCGCUUUGGUUAAAUUCUCAAACUCGUCCUUUAAUAAUUGAUUCAGUAUUUAUGGUUCAGUGGUUUGCUUAAAUUGGACAAAAAUGAUUUUGUGGUUGUAAUAAAGGAUUUAUGGCUUUCUUGCAAAAAUGAAAAUGGUUUUCUACCCCUCGUGGUAGCGAAUUUUAAAAGGAAAAAGGUUUUCGUGUGGAAAACGGUUUUAAAAAGGAUUUUCUGGUUUUCCUGAUUAUUAGUAUUUCAAAACGAGUUUCCGGGUAGGAAACAUUUUAAACUGGUAGAUGUGAAUUUAUGAAUAUUGGUGAUGAAAUAAAUGUGGUUGUGAAUGGUAUAUGGAUAUAUAUAUAUAUGUUCAUAUAUGAUGGUUGUAUCUUGAAUUGUAUAUCUUGUACUUGUGCGACGCCAUACAAAUACAGGGGACUCUGUCCGGGUGAACAGUGGACUCCCUAUACUUAUGGCGGAUCUGGCAUACCUUCGGGGUCAGAAUUUUCAAAAAAAAAAAAAUUGGGCACUUCUGCAAUGACUUUUAAACCAAAAAGGGACCCCAGGGCGUGACAUGAGCCCGGUGAUCGUUGGUCAGUGCCGAUCACAGUACUCACCUCAUUUUAGAUCAGCUGCUUUCGAAGUUGCGUUUUCGGCGCAGUUUUACCCGAGUGCGCUGUUCGCAGAAUUUUCGGGUCACUCCCGCGCCUUCCACAGUGAGUCGUUGUGCUCCGAAUCGUGAGCACGUCCUCCGGCGUGUCGAGUCCUAUCAGUACAUGUCACGGCAGACCUCGAAAGCCUUCAAGUUUCGUUAACGAGCCACAAUGUCGCCUUAUUUAUCUAAAAUAGUGGGAUUUUAUGUAAAUAGAGGGACUUUUAUGCAAUUUUACAUCUUGUGGUUUCUAUGGGCAGUACGUACGUGUGGUAAGUGACCUCUGGAUUGAUCGUCCAAGGUCCGAUAGCCUUCGCGGAAAUCGAACGUCGAUUUCGAUGCGUUUUUCGGUGAAAUUCGCCGGUGGAAUGUGGUUUCGAUUCGGAUUUCUUCCGACGUUGUUUGUUUGCCCUGAGAGUUGUCGCUGAGCUUUAUUGGCUGGUCACCAUCAUCAUAUCAUGGGUUCGGAGAUGACGGGUGAGCGACGGUGGGUUCCGGUGUCGAAAUUGACACUUCCGGGAAUCCGGAUCCGAACAAUUAUCAGGAUUAUUUAGUUGUGAACUCUUGUGUUUGCUGCCAAGACAUCAAAAUCGAUGUGUUUUGUGGUACUGGGUGACUCGUGGCACGAGUCGAUGAGUUUCAGAAUACUUAGUGGGUCCCGACGGAGUCCCGGUGUGAUUUUUGGGACUUCCGACGAGUUACGGUGAUCUGAUUUAGGAAACCAAUCACAGGGAUUUGUGUGCGGUUUGUGAGUCGUGUAUUCUAGUUGUGUGGGUUGGAUACUGACUCGGUGGACCUUCAUAGGUCCGGUUGACUAUAGUGUACUUUGGAGAUAGACGCGACAUUAGUGCAGGUGGGUGCUUCGAGCUCGUACUCGGUGAGAUUGUUUUACCUUCUUCUAUUCUUCUAUUUCAGCAUUGUAGUCUCUACAUGUCGGUUGCUUUGUUAUUGUUUGUUUAUCUAUACCUUAUUGAUUGCAUGAUGAUUAUUGUUGAUAGACAUGUAGAGCAAGCUUGUAUAUAUAUUGUAUCUCUGUGGGCCUUUGGUCCAGGCAACACUUCGAUUCCUUUGUCGUGUGUUUCGAUCUGGUUGAUCGUGGUUCGGCGUUGUACGCCCUUGUAUCUCACUUCGGCCAAGGCACCAGUUUCAGUCGGCUUUCGUAUUGAGCAUAUCAGCAUAACUUAGUCACAGCACUUGGGUGUAUUCAUGACACCAGGUCGGUUUGGCUACCGACCGGAUGUGUACUUAUCCGGAUGGGUCGUCCAGUGGACGGAUGAAUCAGGUCGGUGCAAGUAGUGUGACAGGCAACGCUUGAGGUCUGCGAACCUAUAUAGUAGGCACCAGAUUGGGUACAGUUUUGGUUUGAUUACCUUGAGGCAUACUCAGCAUUGUAUUCUUUACAGUAGCAAUUUUUAUUACUUGCUUCUUAUCAUAUCUAUUAUAGCUACUGUAGUUCACUUUUUUAUCACAGCAUCAGCACUUGUUUACUUUACCUCCUUUGGUUUCCGAUGCUUACGACUUGCCUUCGUGACUCUGUCGUACCCACUGAAAAACCUUGAUUGUGGUUUCUCACCCCCCAUUUCCCUAGGUGGUUCGAGUAAGGAGUUGGCUUUUGGGCUCGACGGGAGGACGCACUAGCUAGACGGCAGUAGCGACCGUCACCCUGAUUAUCUUUUAUUUCCACAUUUAGUAGUUUAAUAAUUAAAUGGUUUAGUUAGAUGAUCACUAUUACUGUUGAGUAUUUGUGAAACUGUUUGACUUGAUGUUUUCAUAUGAUGCUAGCAAUUGGAUUUGUGGUUUUGAUUUUAUGGAUAAUUGGUUCUCGGACUUUUGUGCUUACGCAUUGUGGUUUUCUGCCCCUCGAGAUAGUCGAUUUUCAAAAGUGAAGUUUCCGAGUGGGAAACAGUUUUAAAAAGGUUUUCGAUUGGUUUUUAUGAAUGAUUAAAUAGAGUUUAAAAUCAAAGCUUCCGAGUGGGGAGCACUUUUAAAUAGGAUGCUUGUUGUACUGUACAUUGCAUCAUCCAGCGCCUAGGAGUGUUUAGAGGCAUGCAUCAUCUCUAAGGAUCGCUAGCUGUAUGUAAAUACAUGGCAUGAGUUAAUUGUUGAUUGGUGAAUGUAGGUUGUAGUUGAAAUCCUGAUGUAUUGUUGGUACGCCGUGCAAAUACAAAGGAGACUCUAUCCGAGUGGAUAGAGGAACUUUGUAUUUGUAGCGGGUCUGUACGUCACGUGGACCAUGUUGAAUAAAAAAAAAAUUGGCCGUUUUUUUCGCAACUCUGAUUUUAAAAAUUGUAUCCAUUACAAAAAGGCUUUUAAAAUCGGCCCCAAGGCGUGACAGUUUGCCAGUAAAUAAAAGCUUUGAAUGGUGUACCUGCUGACAGAUUGCAAAAUCUUCCAACUCCUGAAUAGAAAUGGGAUGGAAUCACUAUGGAUUUUGUAAUUGGUUUAUCAAGAUAACAAGGUGGACAUGAUGUGAUUUGGGUAAUCUUAAGCAGAUACACUAAAUUUACUCACUUCCUACCAAUACAAGUGACAUUGUCUAGGGAGAAACUUGCUCAGAUAUAUCUGGAUGAGAUCGUAAGAUUGCAUGGAAUUCCUACCUCUAUAGUGUCGGAUCGAGACCCGAGGUUUAUAGUACACUUUUGGAAAGUUUUAUAGAUAGCUUUGGGGACUCAGUUAUAGUUCAGUACUGGUUUUCACCUGCAGACUGAUGGACAAUCCGAGAGGACGAUUCAGAUAUUAGAGGAUGUGUUGAGAGCUUGUGUCCUCAAGUAUGAUGGUGGCUGGUAUCGACAUUUGGCAAUGGCUGAGUUUGCAUAUAAUAAUAGUUAUUGAGCAAGUAUAAAAAUGGCUCCAUUUGAGGCAUUGUAUGGAAGAAAAUGUCGAUCACCAUUACAUUGGAGUGAAGUAGGUGAGAGAAUAACUCUUAGUCCAGAUAUUUUAGUAGAAACAGAAGAAAAUGUUAGAAUUACUCGAUAACAUUUGCAGACCGUCCAGAGUCAACUGAAAAGCUACGCUGACACACGGCGUCAAGACUUAGAGUUUCAGGUUGGAGAUCAUGUAUUUUUUCAAAGUCUCACCAUCUAAGGGGAUAAAGAGGUUUGGAAAUAUGUGGAAAGUUUAGUCCACGAUUCAUUGGACCUUUUGAGAUACUCGAGCUAGUUGGACCUGUUGCAUAUCAGUCAGUUUUACUACCGAGUUUAGCAAGUGUACAGGAUGUGUUUCAUGUCUCAACCUUAAGGAAGUAUAUCUUUGAUCCAUCACAUGUUAUAGAUUAUGUUCCAUUGGAGGUGACUGAUGAGAUGAGCUAUACUGAGCGUCCGGUUUGAAUUUUUGCACGAAAGGUAAAAAAAUAGCGAAAUCGAAUUAUUCCUUCUAUGAAGGUAUUAUGGAGUUACCAAGAAGAGUGAGAGGCGACAUGGGAGCCUGAGGAUGCGAUGCGAGAAUUUUAUCCCUAUUAAUUUGAGCAGUAGACUUGAGGUACAUUUCAAGUUUUGAAAACGAAACUUUUUUAAGGAAGGGAGAAUGUGAUAUACUGGACCUUAGCAAAUAGGCAAGAUUGCAGUAUAAAUUUUUAGUCAGUAUUUUGUUCUACAAUGCUUGACUGAAUUAGAGACGUUUUGGCGCGAAAUAGACGCUAAAACGGACUUUGACACUCUAGAUUUGACUAUAGAGGACUAAAAUUGAAAUAUCUAAAUUUUGAGGGACCUAUUAGCAUUUUUUCACUUUAAUUAGUGAAGCCCACGUGGGCCUUAGGUUUUCUCCAUGCUUAUCCAUUUCUUUUCUCCAUCAAGAAGCUUUAAGGUAGAGAGAGAGAGAGAGAGAGAGAGAUUGAGCACAAAAAAAAGAAGAAGCUUGGUUCCUUUGUAGCGAGUGAGCGAGUCGAGAGCGCACGCACGUGGAUUUUUCAUUGUUUCGACGUCACGGUUAGUAUCACAAUAUUGUUAUUUAUUCCGUUUAGACUCCUUUGAUGAAUUUCUUAUAGGAAUUAAGUGUUAGAAACUGAUUUUUAUAUAUUUUAGGAGCAGAUUUCGUGGCUGCCAUUCAGGCUAGGAGAGCCGUAGCGGAUCAUUUCCUUAUCCCAACUAUCGUUCCUUUCUUUGGAUUUACGAUAUAGGUGGCUUCCGUGUUGUCAAAACUGGCGGACUAAUUUUUAUGUCCAUGUCAUAUUAUUUAGCCGAUAAGAUGAACUGUUGAUAUAGUUGAGAUAACAGUAAUAUUUUAACACCUAUCAGUAGAGUAAACUGAAACAUAUAUAUAUGUGAUAUUUUUCUAAAAGUCAAUAAACGACUACAGAUAGUGUGAGACUAUAAUUGUAUUUUGGGCACUAUGAUGGUAUUAACAUGAUAUGUUUGAUCAUCGCAUUUUACCACAGUCUGUAUGCUAUGUUGAGUUUGACAGUGAUACUAUACUCGGUUGGGGUAGCGUUCCGCGAGUGCCACUCCGAAGGUUGGGAUAUGAGAUAUUAUUAUGGCAUGAUAGUAGUCUGCGUGGUAGCGGACCACUAUAAGUGGGUGCUGGACAUGAGGCGGCACAGGUUAGACUGACUGUUGAGUCGAUCACUAUGAUUGGAUUUUAUUACAAUAUUUUAUUUAGUACUAAUUGAUACAUGAUAUUUAUGAUUUGUCGAUUUCAGUUAUAUUGUAGAGAUAUGAUAGUAGUAGUUACUCUCAACAAUUAUUCAUAUUAGUACUUGUUUAUUUACACUGCUCAGUCAUUUACUAUUUUUGCCUCUUAUGGACCAAGUGGUGUAGAUUGUCAGCAUUGAUGACCUUACUCACUGGAAACUAUUAAUAAUAGUUCUCAUACCCUCUUCAUUAAUAUUUUAUUUCAGAACCUUCAGCACUAGCGACUGAUCGAAACAAGGGGAUCAUAGAUAGUUAGUAUCUUCUACCUUCUUUGUGUGUGUAGCUAGACCAUCUAUCAGUAUAUAUAGCAGCAUGUAUAGCGGUUUGAGGUUUAGGAUAGUCAGAGUAGUUAUAGCAUUUCGAGGAUUGUUGUGCUGACAAUUAUAUAUCUUUACCUUGUUGUUAUGAUAUAUAGUUUUUAUUUUACUCUAAUACUUAUUGUUGUUAGAUUUUUGUUAAUUUUGUUGGUCAAAGUUUUUUGUCGCUUCGUAUGUAUAACAUGUAUCCUUGCGCAUGCGAUGAGUCUGUUGAUGUAAUCCGAGCUUCCAUUGUAAUCCAAGGCGUGACACAAACUUGUGAGGGUCGCUCCCUACAAAUCAGUACUCAGGAGUUAGCUUUUGCGACAACAUGCUCACCCGUGCAGGAUUGGACGAGGCUCAUUUCUAAAGGGAGAAUGUUGACUAUACCACAGGGCCAUUAGGCAUGGCACAAGUCGAAACGUUACUUUAUGUAAGUCCCGGUUGAUUAGAUAAAAGUUAAUUAAACUUGACAUUGUACGUCACAAUUAGUUGAUAUAUACAUAGUAUAUGGACAUUUUUGUUGGGCACUACACAUUUGUAUAUUUGAUAGUAGUAGAGCUACAUACAUGUUGAUUGACAUAGUCAUUUAGUGAUAUUGUGGUAUUUGAACUUUUACUUCAAUUAUUACAUCCAUGCUUUAUCCUUAGCUACAUAUUAUCUUUGCCUCAAUUGACCUAGUGAUGUAAUACGUUUUUCUCGACGGUUUACCCACUGGAAACUAUUAUUUAAUAAUUUUCAUCUUUAUUGGUUGUUUGUUUUGUUUCAAGACCUUACACUAGAAGAGAGCCUAGGAAUCGCGGUAAGAGAUUAGCGACUAGUUAGAGUCUUUUUGGUGUUGCUAUAAGUGGACCCAAAACACUUUUCUUUUGUUUUUAUUGUGAAAGAUGUACUAACUCAUUUUGUAUAAAGACAAUCUUCUUUUCAUGAAAUAUACCCUUUUCUAUGUACUCUUUUUGUAUAAAAUUAUUAUAUAUCUUGUGAAAGGUUUAUAUUAAUCGUAGUAAAUUGGUUGAAUUAUUUCAUAAUAGUACACAUACUCUUAUUACCUUGUACUGCGCAUGGAGAAUUUGUGCACGUACCGGAUAGACUUUUGCUGAAAUUCGAACGAGACUUUUGUAUUCAAAUUCAAAUUUAAAUUCAUUUUUUUUUUAAAAAAAGGCUAAUCAUCAUCUAUAUAAAGCAACAACAUUAAACAGCCACCACCAUCAUCAUCAUCAUCAUCAUCAUCAUCAUCAUCAUCAUCAUCAUCGCCGCCAACAUCAUCACCACCACCCCCGCUGCAUUGCCGCAUCUCGGCCGGCACCACCACCACCACCACGGCCGGAUCGCCCUCACAGCUCCAUGAUUGAUGAAGCUCCCCUCUGCCUUCGUCGUUAUUCAAGAACUAACUAAUUUCGAACCAUAUAAGAUCAUAAUAGACAGAGAGGAUGCAACUCGAUCGCGCGAGCAGCAGAGUAAAAUCAAAACGGUGCACUUAAUUAAUUAAGGGAACUAUAUAUAUUCGUUCGCUCGUUCGUGAUGGGUAACUAAUUAACGAGUAACUAAAGGUCGUGCAUCUAUCUACUGAUGUUCUCUCUCUCUCUCUCGAUCGAUCGAUCGAUCGAUGGGCCCGGUCGAGCGGCAGAAACUAGCUAGCUAGCUAGGAGCUAAAUAGCUAGCUCGUGGUUCUUAUACAAGUAAAAUAAAUAAAUAAAUGUUUUACUGGUCGAGGGCGUUGGGGCCGGAGCAGUAGUUGAGGAUGGGGUUCCAGAUCCACUGGACCAAGAACCUCCGGCCCCCGACCCCGUUGGCGUUGUAGGCGGCGCCGGUGCGGCGGUCGAGGAGCAGCUGUCCGGUGUAGGCUCCGCCGCCGCCGGUGCCGUAGAUGCCCUCGCAGAGGUCGGCGAUCUCGGUGGGGAAGCAGGGGUCGGCGCCGGCGUACCAGGCGUUGACGAGCGGGUUGGACGCCAUCUCCGCCAGCUCGUGCGCCACCACGCUCACCAUGCCGUCCACCCCGACGUCCCCGUUCGGGGCCCGCUCCGCCCGCGCCCCGGGCACGUAGCUGGGCACCGCGAACGGGUAGGCGCACACCUCCGGGCAGCGCCCCGCCGAGUUGCCCGCCCACGCGUACGGCAGCGCGUAGCCCACGAUGGACGGGAAGGUGAAGUAGUGGAACCCGCACACCUGCCCGCAGAAGUCCUCCACGGCGACGUCGGGGGAGGUGAGCACGAGGUAGAGGCCCCCCCUCGCGUUCACGGGGAGGGGCCGGGUCUUCGCCGUCACGGCGUCGCGGAUGACCCCCUGGAUGUCCAGCCGGGACAGGGAGGCGCCGCGCGACAGCCGCCGGUCGCUCUUCUCCGCGCCCAGCGCCACGGCGGCCGAGAUGUUGGCCCCCGUCUGGUCGGUGUACAGCCGGACCGUGCGCCACCACGCCGCCACGGAGGGCCGCCGGGGGGGGACGCCCGAGGACGAGGGGGAGAUGGAGCGGAGGAAGGACCGGAUGAUGCGCUUCUGCGCCCGGGACCACUGCCGCCCGUACCAGAUCGGGUGGACGGUGAUGUUGGCCGUCAGCACCGGGCCCAUGUGGUAGCGCAGCUGCACGAACUCCGACGAUCCCUCGAACUUCUUGCUCGCGCCCAAGUCCAAGUCCGAGUCCGUCGCUCUCGCUCCGAAUCCCAAGCCACCGACGGUCGCGCUGGUGGUGUUGAGAUACAGGUGAGGCCACGGCCGCCACGCUGCGACUGCCGGAGCAUGCUGCGUGACAUUCAGGACGAUGACGACGACGACGCGUGCUACUAGCAGUAAAAUUUUAGCGAGCACAUUCGGCACACGAGCGGCGGUAGAAUCGCCGGCACGUGCGACGGAGCCCAUCGUGCUUGCAGGAGAUCGGGGGAGAGUGCCGACUGCCGAGUGAAGAAGGAAGAUUUAUUAGUCUGGGAGUGGCAGCGUUGGGUGUGCGUUUUGUGUGUGUGUGUGUAUAUAUAUAUAUAUAGAUAGCUAGCAAUCAACACUGCAGCACAGUGGAGGAGAGUGGGAACUGGGCUUCUGGGGUUUUGGGGACUGGGAUUUUUUUUUUUCUUUUUGCUUUUUGGUUUUUGGUCUUUGUGAUACGUUAUAGUUUAAUUUUGAUUUCAUCUAUUAUAAUAAUAAUAAUAAUAAUAAUAAUAAUAAAGAAAUGGUAAAAAGAAAGGGAGAGAAGGAAAAGUAAAAGGGGCAGGGCAAACGGGAACUAAUGUCAUAUAAUAUCUAGCCUGAAAAAGAAAACUCCCAAACUAGUCAGCUUCUCAAAAAAAAUUCCUAAUGUAACCUUUCUUUUGAUGGAUUAAAAAAUAAAAGUAACAUAAGAACAUUUAUACGUUAAUUAGGACUUAGGAGAGAGAAUUUUUCUCUCUCUCUCUCCUCUCAACCUACUAAUAUUUAAAAAUAAUUAAAAAUUAAUAUUUAAUAAUAGUGAUAUUAUUAUUACUUAUUAUUAUUAGUAUUUAUUUAACUAUAUAUAUGUCAAAUUUGAUCAUAUUGAUUUGUAUAGUUAAAUUAAAUACUAGUAAUAAUAAUAAUAAUUAUAAUAAUUAUUAUUUAGUAACUAAAUGUUUCUAGUGUAAGUGGUAAAGGAUUUGAUGAUUGAUACUUGAGGUUCUAAAGUUUGAAUUAUAGUUGAUUCACAUUUCCGUUGAUUCAUGUUUCUGUUGAUUCAUAUUUCCAUUUAAAUUUAUUUCUAAAAGAAAUAAACGAAGAUGGUAAUAUAUUAUUAUAUUUUUCUGUAAAAAAAAAGUUAAGUAAUAAUAAUAUUUAUUUUUAAAUAAUAUUAUUAUAAUAAAAAUUAUUUAUUUUUAAAUAUUAGUAGGUUUGGAGGAGAGAGAGAGAAAAAAUUCUCUCUUCUAAUUAGCAUUAAAGUCAUCUUUUGUUUUCUAAUUCAUCAAAAGAAGAGUAGAUCACAAAAUUUUUUUGAAAAGAAGGGUAGAUGGGAAUUUUUUUUUUCUAAUUAUUAGACAUGGCAUUCGCUCGCGAACGGGGGAGAUGAUCGAGAGAGCGAAGGGAAAAGCGCGCCGUUGAAAUGCGGAACGGAGGGGGCCAAAGGUGAUUGGCAGUAAUGGAUGACAGAUAGCAUCACUAAUGACCAGCUGUCAGAACAGGUCCCACUUUCCGGAACGGCAUAUACCUCCGCGGCACUUUCCGCUAGCACCCUCCACUCAACCUGCCAUAAAUUUUAACUGUCUAAACCUGGUGUAUUAUUGUUAGAUUUCAUAGGCAGCAAGUUACAUAAUUUUUCUAAUAUUUAAUGAUUAUAUAAUUAAAUUUAAUUUUGACAAAUAUAUGAAAGCGCAAGCUUUUUUGUACUAGAAUAAGGUCACAUGCUAUUUGUCACGGCCUAGAGUUUCACAUGCUACUUGUCACGGCCUAGAGGUUUUUGCUCGCAAAGUUCGUGCGACGCCAUCUUUUUCUAAAAAUAUUGAUAAAUCUUACUUCUUGUUAUUAAUCGGGACCUAUGUGUUCUAUGACUAUGUUUGCAAAAGAGAGAAAACAGGAAAAUAAAGAUUAUUUAAAAAAACUAAAUACUCUUAAUUAUUUAGAAAAAUAGGAUUAGAAAACACUACCUCUUGUGGAUUUGGACUUAACAAUUCCCAUAAUUUAUAGGCAUAUGAUUUAAUAAAUAUUGCCCAUCAUAUCUCACCCACUAACUAAACCUACAUUAACUCAACCAUUAUAAAUGCCAGGUGAAAUCAAGGGUUGCCCAUGACCUUUGAAUUUUUUUUAGAAGUUUUGGAGGCUUGAUGGCAGUAAUUUCAUAUCUCUUUUUCUCCCACAAAAGGAUUGGAAUUGGGCAUCCUUGACGGCCUGUUUUAGCUUGCGGAGUUAGGCCAGGAACUGGACUGCGCAGAAAUUUUUCUAAGUCUCUGACACUCUCCCCUACCUAAUGCGCAGGCGUCCUCAUCACGCGCUACUUCUGGAACUCGUUGAUGAAUGCUUGGUAUUGCCAAAGUGUGUCAAGCCUUCUCCCAACUAGCCUCGCUGUAGGGGAGAUUCGUUCACUUCACCAAGUACUCAGAACUCCGUGGAACUCCACGAUGUCGAAUGAGCCAAGUGCCUAGGAUAGACUCUGCUUGUUUGUCAAACGAAGUGAUUAUGGUUGACGGAGUGUGAUAUGACACGCCAUGGCUUGGAUCCUCCACAUCUUCAUGGUAUAAUUUCAGUCUGCUAACAUAGAAGAUGGGAUGGAUUUUGAGGUUCGCGGGCAGCUGUAGCUUGUAGGAGCCUUUGUCCACAUGCUUGACGAUGGUAAAUAAGCCUUCAUACUUUCGCAAUAGUCCCUUGUGCACCUUGCGCAGGACCUUAAACUGCUGCGACUGAAAUUUGACUAUCACGUGGUCUCUCUCGGUGAACUCCGGAGGUUGCCACUUCUUAUCUACCCACUUUUUCACCCGUCGGGCUAUUUUCACCAAACUCGCACUUGCAAUUUCAUCUUUUUCCUGAGGUGAAUUGGAGAGCAACAGGGCUGCAUAACUGCUCUCCCAUAGCGGCUGUGUAUGAAGCAAGUGGCUGUCGCACAGUCGCCAGCUCGAAGGGACUACAUUUCGUAGAGUUGCUACGUGGCAAGUUGUAGGAAAACUGUGGGACAUCAAGAUGAUGCACCCAAUCCUUUGGUUGGCACUUACAUAGUGUCGUAGGUACUUCUGUUACACAGCAUUCAGCCGCUUCAUUUCCCCAUUCGUCUAUGGUUGAGAAUUGGUGGAGAAGAGCAAAUCGGACCCCAAGAUUUCAAACACUUUUGGUCUGAAACAUGCUAGUGAACUUGGGGUCGCGGUCGCUCAUGAUGCACUCGGGGAUCCCCCAAAGCGUGACAAUGUGAUUGACGAAGAGACUGUUAGAUGUAUGCCCUAAAAAUCAACCGGGCUGACACAUGUAAUUUUUUUAGGAUAUAAAUUUGUAUUUGAUUUUAAAAUAUUAUGAAUGAAUUUGGAUCAUUAUUUUCAUUCAUGUUGUGUAUGUAUUCAUAAAUCGUCCAAGAAAUUAAUAAGAUGAUAAGACGCAUUCUCAAGAGUUGAGAAUUUGAGACAUGUGUUGUCACGCCCGGGCCCCAGCAGAAGCACGUCCGAUGCGUGCACAGACCCGCCGUGUACAGUAAGCACCUCUGAUGCACACAAGACGUCUACAACAACAAGAAAAGAAGUUGGAAUAGAUCCCUAACGUGGCUAUCAUAGCAAGUACAUAAAUCUACUAAAAACAGGAGUCUAGAACAACAACACCCACAUAAGAUAUACAAUAGGUACAUCAUGAAAACUAGUAGAUCUCUAAACAAAAUACAUUAUACAUCUUUCACCUAAAUCGAAAGAAAGAUGUCGAUGGGUCUGAUUAUAAUAACACCGAGAAGGCUCUAACUAGUCGAAAAUCUCUUGCCACGAUCCCUACCCUCUCCCGCAGUAGAAGGCUCUAAAACAGAAACAAACAACAACCAAUAAGGGUGAGAAUUAUUAAACAAUAAUUCCCAAUAGGUAAGCCGUCGAGAGUGGCGAAAUACACCACUAGGUCAACUUAGAGAUGAUAAUAUGCAAUAAGUAUUAAGCAUACAGUUAAUAAUAAAAUGAACAUUCAAUUAUAGUCAUGCCUCUACAUGAUAAUGCCAUUUAACAUGUAUGUAAUUUUCUACUGUCACAUGCAUAAGUAAUUGUACAUGUGAGUCUAUAUGCAAAUUUAAAUGCACAGAUUAGAUAUUUCACUUCAUUUUCAUCAUGUAACUAUACUUCUGUACUAAUUAACAUGUGUGUAUAGAUUUACUUUUAUCCAAUUAAUGAGGGACUUACACAUGAUAACGUCCCGAUUUGUGUCGUGCUUAAUGGCCCCAUGGUAGUCAACAUUCUCCUGCUAGAAAUGAGCCUUUUCCACGGUAAUCCACUUCGGCGCCCAAUCCCGCACGGGCGAUCUGUCGUUGCAAAGGCUAACUCCGGAGUACCGGCUUGUAGGGAGCAAUCCUCACAAGCUUAUGCGAAUGAGCACAAUGGCAAGCAAGCGUGAUCAUAAGCAUGAGGUCCAAAGACCACAUAUCCCAAUCGUUGAUCAUGUCUAAAAUAUAGAAUCACAAUCUUCGACUCAAAAGUCGGGUACUAUAUCAAAUAUGUCAUGUUUCAUUCUCAAUUAACUUGGUGGUAUGUUAUUUAUCUAACGAUACAUAACAUACCUUAAACAUGUAUUGAUUUACAUCUCAUUUAUCCUAUCAUGGACGGAUCUCUACUUUAUUCAUGACCCAACAGGGGUUUCAUAAUAAGUAUACUAUUUCCACUAUGGUGUAAGGUGAACAAUUUACCAAUGUCAUAUUCGAUGAACUACGAGAAUGUCAACUAGAUCAUGAUUCAGGUCAUGCACAUGCCUUGGUACACAAGCGUCCACUACAUUGAGUAUGGUGGUCAUCAUGCAAGUAACUUCAUUCAACUAAGUAAUUAUAUGUAAUUACCUCUUUUUAUUUGCCCAAAGGCGCAUAAAUUUUUUUCGUCAUGUCUAAAAUAUGGAAUGCAACUGACGACCUAGAGGUCAAGUACAAUGUCAUAAUGUCCACUUAGUUGUUCAACUAAGUUAAGUGCAACAUGCUUAACUUCACAAUUUAUCUCUACCAUGAAAUAGGUCAUGUUUGCCCUUGUCUAAAACAAGUAUAUUAGUUGGCAUAUAUGCAAGUUGAAUUCAAUAACUCUACUAACCAUGUAAGGUUCCAUAGGGCAUUCAUUUACUCAUCUCUAUCAUGCAUUCUAAUAUUGCAUAAGAGGAAAUACAGUUACAUUAUAUUUAGUAUACAAAUCUACAUUUUAAGCCUUUAUUACAUAGAGUAUGAAAACUUCUAUAUAUAAUAUGAGUGUAUCAUGUAUUCGAAAAUUCUACCAUGUCAUAACUAGCAUGACUAUGCAUCAACUUAUGUCUUAUAGCAUUAUAGAGGACAUAGAGGGAGUUCACCAAUUUCGGUGAGGUCAAACUCACCGGAUAGCUUCCGAAACCUUAUUUAUUUCUCCAACAGAAUUGUCUCCAAGACUUCUAGCAUCCUAAGAAAAAUUUCAAGGGGGUUAUAAGCUUCUAACAAGCUCACCAUGAAAUUCACCAAAAAUUCAAAGAAAAAUAGGUGAAAAUUUCUUUUGAUCAAGUAGAAUUUAUCCAAGGUCCAAAUCAAAGUUAAGAAGCUUCAAAUCCAACCUACAAGAGUGUUCUAUACUCAUCAAUUCCAUACAAAAAGCUCUCAAAAGAAAAACCCCAAAACAAAUCCUAAUUUCUAUAAAACUAAAUUUUCCAUCAAAAUUUUUUUGCAAAUAUCUCAAAUAAAGAGUACAAGAAGUUACUCAUCUCAAAAUAAGCUCCAACUCAAGCCAUGAAGUGUUAGGGUUGAAGGUUGAUCCUCCAACAAGCUCUUCUCUUUAAUCCCGAGCUCCUCUCCAAGACCAAAAUGCUUGCAUCCAAAGAGGAAAGGAAGAAAAGAGAUCAAACCCUAAGGAUUAAAGGGUUAGAAAAAGGAAUCCUAGAGAGAGAGUGCAAGAACUCACCUCUCCUCCCCUCUUUGCCUCAGCCAACAAAAGAGGAAAUGACGGGGUGAGGGACAUACUAUAUAAGUUGUAAUAAUACCCCAAAAGCCCCUCCAAAAUAAAGAAAUUGCAUUCUGCUCAAAACAGAUUCUGUGGCAUUGAGUACCGGUACACAGCAUUGAGCACCGGUACUUGGCAGUUAGUAUCGGUACCCGAAGGUCAAUCCCGUAGAACCCGAAUGUUGAAAAUUCAGGUUUAUAACUGUGUUUCAGUACCAGCCCAAUGCAGUACCAGUACGUAGCUUAGUAUCGGUACUCACAACCCAGUUCCGCACAACCCGAGAGCUGCCCAUUUCGGCACUUUAUAGGGUUCCGGUACCUGAACCCAGUGCCGGUACUCAACACUAAAUUUUGCACCUUGCAAAUUUUAAUGUUGGGAACCCGUUCUCACGCCUAACAAGCUCUAGAAACAGGUCGACGCACAACCAACAAACCUCAAAACUUUCAGAAUAGCACAAAAGAUUAUUCUUACACUAGAACCUUGCAAUUUGCUAAAGUUCAGUGUGUUACACUCUUGGUGUGCAAAAGAAACAGCCUGCCAUAUCUCGUUCUAGUGCGGAGGCUGAAUAUUGCUUUCUCACCCACACUACUGCCGAGCUUUCUUGGGUAUUAUUGCUUUCUAAAGAUCUUCAUAUAUUUCUACAUUCUAAACCGGUUAUUUAUUAUGACAAUAUGUCACGCCCCGGGGUCCCUUUUGAUUUUAAAAUCGAUGCGGAAGUGCCCGAAUUUUUUUUUUUUAAGCCUUGACUCAGAGAACGUCAGAUCCGCAACAAAUACAGAGAAUCCACUUUUCACACAGACAAAGCCUCCCCUAUAUUUGUACGGCGUCACACAAGUACAAGAUACAACCACAUUGUAUACAAAUCUAAAUACAAUCACCACAUCACAUAAUUCACCUUCACAUUUAGUCAUUCACAAUGAUACAAUAUUUUAUUUUUAUUUUUUUUUUGAGUGAUAGGUAGCAUGCUACCUGCUUCGUUUAUUUCAUUUCGAAAUAAACUUAGCUGGAAAUGUGAAUCAACUAGGAUUCGAACUUGGGUCUCGGGUACCAACCACCAAGCCUUUUGCCACUUAUACAAUAUGUUAUUCAUAAAUCCAUAUCUAUGAGUUUAAAACGUUUCCCACCCGAAAACUCAUUUUGAAACACUAAAAAUCAUGAAAACUGUAAAAUCCUUUUUAAAACUGUUUCCUACACGAAAACCUUUUUCUUUUAAAAGCAAGCUACCACGAGGGGUGUAAGGAUUGAGAUUUUUACAGUGCAACUAAACUCUCUGUUGAUGAUGUUUAUGUGUGUAAUUUAAUUACAUAAGCACUCAUCAAGUUUCAGGAGGAAAUGAGCUAAAAUGGAGAAGUUACGCGAUUAUUAGUUUUCACUUAAGUGAAUAGUAACUCCGGUUUUCCGGAGAAGCCACGGAGUAGGGUUGGCUUUCGGCGCGUAUCGGACUCCGUUCAUAGCGAUCCAAUAGCUCGUUUUGAACGGUUCAGCUAUUCUGGAACCAAUGGCACUGACGGAUUUUAGAUCUGAUGCACGGUUUUCGAGAAAAUCUGAAAAUACAUGUUUCUUGUGUAAUUGUGCAUCAUUUUGGCCUUUUGGAGAGAGAUUGGAUUUCGUGCGUGAACCGGAGAUCAAAAUCGGACGAAACGAAAUGCUAGAUUCGAUGCCCUCGUCGUGCUUGAACGCGAUGGUGCAAUCCGUUCUGAAAUCGACGAUGAACAGAUUGUCGAUAUUGCAUGAAGUUCGCUAAGGGUCGGAGAGUGGAAAAUCGGGAAAUACAACAAAUGUAAUAUUUUAUGUACCGAAUCGCAUGAGAUCAAACGUGGAGGUGCGUGCCAGUGAUUUUACUCGCGCUGUGAAGGACUGGGUUAGAAAUAACCAGUUCCGGAGACUUUGGUGCAAAGUGCAUAAUGGUAUAUAAUAUGGCCUUUAGGGUUUCUAUGCACGAAACCCUAGUUUCUGCCGACCUAGUCCCAGCUAUGCCUAAGGUAGCUUCAGCAGGUCUCGCCUUAGCCAUGCGCAUGCCCCGGCCCCGGCAAGCUGCUCCGGCCACGCGAAAACCACCCUUUCCACCUUCAUCUCCACUAUCUUCAUCCUUCCUGGCGUGGAUCACCCAGGGUCAUCCACUCGCGUCGGCCCUCUCCUUUGGCCGCGCCGACCUCCGCAGCCUCCCCGCCGGUCGCCGCCCCGCCGCGCGCAAAGGCAUUGCAGUCUUGGCAGCCACGGCCAGCCUGUGCAGGCUCGGGCCGAGCCAGGCUGGCUUCCCUCUCGUGCACUGCACGCUGCCUAGAUCGAGCUGCGCCGCCUUCCGGAGCCCGCGACCUCCGCCGCGGCCCUACGUCAGCGUACGCCGCCGGAGCUGCCCAAGCUCCUCGCGCCACCUGCAAUCACCAGGCGAGCCUGGGCAGACACUUUGCAUCCGCGCGCCGCAUCCGCCUCGAGGCGGGCCGCCCCGCCUCCCUCUUCUGUCGGCGACCUCACGCGCAUGUUUCCCGGCGUCCCCGACCACCGCCAGCCGCCGCCCGAAGCGCCUGCAGCCGCCGCCCGAGAGCAAGUCGAGGAAUUGAUCUCCUCCGCCGCGUCACCGGCCGCCUCCCGCCGUCGGCCAGCACCUUUCCCUGACCCCUUCGACCUGCCGCACUCUUCCCCGGCCGACGCGCACGCCGUCCGAUAGCCGCCGGCCGUGCCCUAGCUCCACCAUGUCCGGUACGCUGUUUUCAGCCUGUCUGCGCACUAGUUUCCUGUUUGGAUCAUUGUUCCGGCGACCCGGGGCUAUUCCGAUGCUCCCGGAGGUGAGCACGGUGAUCAUCUGUCAGUUCUGAUCACAAUGCUCACCUCACUUAGGGUGAGAGAGCUCCGGAUGAGUUAAUUAGAUGUGUUGUAGUUUCAGUGCGCGCUGUUUUGUUGAACUUCGUGCCGCUCGUGCGCGUCCCACAGUGGCCGAAAUUGCUCCGAAAGGUGAGCACGGCCUCCGGCACGUCAAAAGCUGUAAGUGGGUAUCUUGUCUCGGCUGUUUGACCUCUAGUUUGCGUAGACGGACCAUAAAAGCCCGGAAAACACAUGAAAUAAUGUGAUUUCUUGGAAUCAGAAGGGCUUUUAUGCAACUUUGUCCGUCGUGGCUGCUGUUGGCAGCAAGUAUGGGCCGAGGAUAACCUCCGGACUGAUUGUCCAAGGCCCCGGACCUUUGCGAAGACCGAAAAUGCAUUUCCGGAGCAUUUUUCGGCGAAAUCCGCCGAUAGAACGCGUUUUCGAUUCGGAAUUCUUCCAACGGUACUUGGGAAUCAUUUGUUUCAUCGCGGAGCCUUGUUGGCUGGUCACCCGCAUCGUUUCGUGGGUUUGGAAACGACGGGUGAGCGACGGUGAAGUUCCGGUGCGGUUUCGGGACUUUCGGUUUGUUCGGUAAUCGGUUUUGGGAAAUCAAUUCUCGUGGGUUUAUUUGUGGGGUUAUGCUUUUAGGGUUUCUUAGUUGUGGGUUAGACACUAACCCAGUGGACCCCCCUUAGGUCCUGUUGACGUUCUUUUGCAGUCAGGAGACAGGCGCGACAGUUGUACAGGUGGGUACUUCGAUCCGACGUUGGUACAGUGGUGCACGCUCGGUGACGUUUCCUUUACCCUUGUUGUUUAUAUCUUUUACCAUAUAUAUGUUGAGCCUUGCACCCAUGCUGUUUCCUUAUUACUCUAUUUAGUUGUUGCCAGGUGUAGUAUCAUGUGUAGGAGUAGAGUAGACUUUAUCUGUAUAUGAUAUUUAUGAUUUGGUUGGUCUGAUCUCCUAUGUGAUCUCCAUGACCUGGUUGGUCGACGUUGCAUCUCCUACACUUGUGACCUGGUUGGUGGUUUCUUGUACCUCGUAUCAGUGACCUGGUUGGUCGGUCCUUUGACUUCUGUUGUCCGAUGACCGUUGAGGUCGGUGUACCCUGAGGGGUCGGAUUGUCGGCUAGUGGCCGACGGUAGUUCUAGAUUAUAUACUUGUGACAUGAUUGGUCGAGUUCAUAUCCUAUACUUGUGACAUGAUUGGUCGAGUUCAUAUCCUAUACUUGUGACAUGAUUGGUCGAGUUUCAUACGCUAUACUUGUGACCUGGUUGGUCGAUUUGGUUACAUGAUGACCCAUGCGGUCGAUGGUUCCAUGUUGAUAUCAUGCUUAGGAGUAGAGUCGACUUAUCUGUUCACUAUAUCUGUGAUUUGGUUGGGCGGUUCCCCUAUUUUGAUAUCUAUGACCUAUUCGGUCGAGUUGUUACAGUUCUAUCUUGACAUACGUAGCCGACUAGUUGUUGAUGGCCUAUACGGUCGGUGUGCCCUGAGGGGCUGGAUUGUCGGCUAGUUGCCGAUGGAAGAUCUUUGAGCAUACUACAUUGAUCGCCACUGCAGGUACGCAUUUCACGAACACCAGCGGUCUGAUCCACCGCAAGAGGGUGUUCUUUUCCGGAAAAGUGGUUGGAUUGCCAACCCGUGAGCCCAGGGGCUUUAUUGCGAGGGUAUAUGCUUCUGACCCAGGGGCUUCAUUGCGAGGGUCAGGUACUGUGCUUCUGACCCAGGGGCUUCAUUGCGAGGGUCAGGUACAGGUUGAGCAGUGUGGCAUGGGCCUGAGGUCUUCGGACCAAUAGGGCAGCGAGAUUGGGUACUUUUGAGCUUAUCGUCAGUUGACGCAUGCAUACAGUAGCUGUAGUGUUUAUUUUCAGUACAUCCUUAUCUGUUUAUUGUAGCUACUGUUUUAUUUACCUGCAUCUAUACUUGUCAGCUCCUUACUUAUCAGCAUCUUUACUUACCAGCACUUAUGUCUAUCUAGUUCUCCGUGUUGUUGUAUAGCUCUCUUCCUGAUCCGGUGAGUACUCCUCGCCUUCUUCGGCUUGCGGUACCCACUGGGAGGGGAGACAUGUUUACAUGUUCUCACCUCCCCCACCAUUUUUCAGGUAUCGCGGGCGAUGAGUAGUGGGACGAGACGUGAGGUACGUGUGUAGCGGUCGAUAGAGCUUCCGACCCAGGUUAUUUCGAUUUAGUUAUUAUCCUUGGUAUUUCUGUUGUUAUAUAGUUUAGUUGGUUUAUGUGGUUCAGUAUUUAUUUACAUUUGAAAAUGUGGAUUUCUGGAUUUUGUAAAAUAAAAGGAUUUCUACCUCUCGUGGUAGCGUUUUUAAAGAAUAAAGGUUCCUGUGUAGGGAACAGUUUUCAAAAGAUUUUUUAUGGAUUUAUGUUUAGACAUUGAAUGUAAAACUGUGAUGUGAAUGGUGAAUGUAUGAAUGUAUAGUUAUCUUUAUACUCAUCUAGUUGUGGUUGUAUCCUGGUUGUACUCUUGUACUUGUGCGACGCCGUGCAAAUACAGGGGAGACUCUGUCCGUGUGAACAGUGGAUCUCCUGUAUUUGUGGCGGAUCUGGCAUACUCUGGGGUCAGAUAUAUAUAUAUAUAAAAAAAAAAAUUCAGACGCUUUUCCGCUUCGUUUUAAACUGAAAAGGGACCCCGGGGCGUGACAGAUUAAAGUGGUAUCAGAGCGAGGUUACAACCACAACACCAUUCACAGGUUGUUUUGAAAAGUAAAAGAAACUGAACCAUUGCUUAGGUUGACCCUUAGGAAGACCUACGGUGUAUAGGCACGUGAGUGCGGGGUUUGGGCUUGUAUCCCGGUGUGCAUUCGAGUUGGGUAAAUUCAGAGUGCAUGGUGUUUUUGUAUGUGUUACGGUUCGCACAAGCUGGUGUCUAAGUUGGGAGUAGUGGCGGUGUACUUUUUCGGACAUCAAGUGGUGGGACGAUAUUCCCCAGGUGUUACCACUCCUGUCAGGUGAGGCCUUGAAGGGCCAAGUGAGAUUUUUUUCGGGCCUAGGCGAGUGUUAUAACUGCCGACGCCCAUGCCACUCUCUCUACUUAGGACACGAGUGCUACUGCGAGUGUCUCUACGGAGACGGUGCUUAGACCAGUUACGGUCGCGACUUCAGUAGGGCUACUAGGGUGUAGCCCAGGGUUUGGAUAGCGGUCGUUCAGCGACUGCAUUGUUAGUGUUGCUUCCACAGACCUUUGGGUAGGGUUGUGAUGCCUACCUAUCCUCCUUGAUUGCUAAUUGGAAUCAGCGGUUCGGGUCUUUUGACCUUUUUCUCGUUCUUCCUUCCUACUAGAGUCGGAUUGACACAAUUUUGGUGUCAAGUUUUCUUUGAGGCAUACAUCGUAUGCGGUUAUUCUAACACCUAAAUUGGUGUGUUGUGGGUUAAUUUGUGGUUGGUGAUAGGUUUCGUCUUGAUUCGAGGGACUCCAGGUUAUUGUCGGAAUUCUCAGAGCUUUGAUUAUAGCUCGGUUGUGGUGCGGAAAUCUGUUAGAGAAACCGUUUCCUAAAGCCUCAGUUAGUACGGUUCGCGGCUUAGUGUAGCUAGCAGCUUUCGGAUGUUGAAAGUUAUAGGACUCCCUGUGAGUCGGUUCAGGGUCGUUCCGAUUUCGAAUGUCGACUUGUAAAGUUGAUGUUUCGAUAGUAAUGGUUGUGAACUCGUGGUUCAGUGAUGAGGAAUCAAGUGGCUUGAUUCUUCAAAGUGUCACACUUCCAACUCGUUGUUGGUAGUGAAUCUUCGGAUAUUUCGCUUUUCUUUUGAUAAGUACAUUGGCUGCAGACAAUAUACUGUCGAAAGUUACGAUGAAAUACCUAUCUUGUCGUUUGGGACUUAUGGAUUGGGUCGAUGUAUUCUCUAGACUGUUUUGUGGGAAAAGCUAGAGUGAUGUCAUCUUUGACCACGUAGCGAGCCUUGGGUUAUUCCUUGGCAGGUUUUGCACAGUUGACUUAUCGUCACUGAUAAAGGGGUUUUGACUCUAGUUCGAGUCUGGGUGUUUGUAGCUCUUUAGUUGUGCUUCCCACAAUUAAAAAGUUUGUUUGGUUAGUAGUAUCGGUCUAUUGUCGAGUGGUUCAGAAUCACAAGUGUGGAGUGACUUGAGCAUGGUUGUUGGCUUUGAUUGUCACCGUAUGUGAUAGCGUAAAAGGUUUGCGACUUGGCUUAACGUGCAAACCUUGAAAUGGCUUGCUUGUCCGGUUAUUUGGUGACAGGUGCCCUUGGGUCUCAAUGAGACAAGUUAUCGGGUGUUGCUGGGAACAUCGAUCGCUAGGGUCCCUUGUAGGACGGCAGCGACAGGGUCUUGUGGAGACCAGUGCUGAGCAUCACCGAUGGUUAGUAUCGCAGUUGCGAUUAGCGACCUGUGCAUCAAGUGGUGGACUUGCAAGAGCAUUCGGUGGUCUGUUGGUACCGGAUUAAGUUUGAGGGGACAAAAUUGUCUAGCUCAAUUGGUAUUGUCAGUUGGAUCUUUUGGGCAGAUGUAAAGUGAGGUCUUGAACCUAGGGCUAUAGAUUGUGGCAGGUGACCUUUCGUUGAUGAGAUUUUGGCAGUUUGUGUGGUUACUGCUGGAGACUGUGGUCUCUAAGGUGAGAGUUUUGACUCAGGUCUUAGAACAACGUUUCAUUUUCACUCAUGGUGAGCAGGUUGACGCUGUUGGAUAGUCGGAGUUUUUCGUUUCAGUCUACGUAAAUAGACUCUAGAUUAAAAUAGUUGUCUCGUGACUUUUCUACGUGAACUUCCAAGGUAGAACGGACCUAAAUUUCUGAAUGUUGAUUAAUUAUCUCAGAAUUGGCAAAUUGGGAUCGAAUAAUCCUAGUCGUGGGACUGUCUUUGUCCGCAGGUUAUAGGAUAGUGUUAAUCCUGGUGAGUUUUGGUCCGUAGAUUUUGGGUUAGUACAUUUUCCCUCGAUUCGUCCAGGUGGAACCGCAGUCCUAUUUUUCCCCUUUCUACGGAAGUUGAUAUAUCCAAAUGUAAUUGACCAGUACUCAAGGGUGAUAUUGCAGAGGUGGAGUAAUAUCCGAAUUCAAUUUCGGUGGGUAUGUGGUCAAGUUUCGGGGACGAAACUUCUUUUAAGGGGGGGAUAAUGUAAGGACUGAGAUUUUUACAGUGCAACUAAACUGUCUGUUGAUGAUGUUUAUGUGUGUAAUUUAAUUACAUAAGCACUCGUCAAGUUUCAGGAGGAAAUGAGCUAAAAUGGAGAAGUUACGCGAUUAUUAGUUUUCACUUAAGUGAAUAGUAACUCCGGUUUUCCGGAGAAGCCACGGAGUAGGGUUGGCUUUCGGCGCGUAUCGGACUCCGUUCUUAGCGAUCCAAUAGCUCGUUUUGAACGGUUCAGCUAUUCUGGAACCAAUGGCAGUGACGGAUUUUAGAUCUGAUGCACGGUUUUCGCGAAAAUCUGAAAAUACAUGUUUCUUGUGUAAUUGUGCAUCAUUUUGGCCUUUUGGAGAGAGAUUGGAUUUCGUCAUGAACCGGAGAUCAAAUCGGAAGAAACGAAAUGCUAGAUUCGAUGCCCUCGUCGUGCUGAACGCGAUGGUGCAAUCCGUUCUGAAAUCCGAUGAACAGAUUGUCGGAUAUUGCAUGAAGUUCGCUAAGGGGUCGAGAGUGGAAAAUCGGGAAAUACGCAAAAGUCGUAAUAUUUUAUGUACCGAAUCGCAUGAGAUCAAACGUGGAGGUGCGUGCACGCGAUUUACUCGCGCUGUGAAGGACUGGGUUGGAAAUAACUAGUUCCGGAGGACUUUGGUGCAAAGUGGCAUAUGGUAUAUAAUAUGCCUUUAGGGUUUCUAUGCACGAAACCCUAGUUUCUGCCGACCUAGUCUCCCAGCUAUGCCCUAGGUAGCUUCAGCAGGUCUCAGCCUUAGCCAUGCGCAUGCCCCGGCCGCCGGCAAGCUGCUCCGGCCACCUGAAAACCACCCUUUCCACCUUCAUCUCCACUAUUCUUCAUCCUUCCUGGCCGUGGAUCACCCAGGGGUCAUCCACUCGCGUCGGGCCCUCUCCUUUGGCCGCGCCCGACCUCCGUCAGCCUCCCCCGCCGGUCGCCGCCGCCCGCGCGCGCCGGCAUUGCUAGUCUGGGCAGCCGCGGCCAGCCUGUGCAGGCUCAGGCCGAGCCCAGGCUGGCUCCCCUCUCGUGCACUGCCGCUGCCUAGAUCGAGCUGCGCCGCCCUUCCCUGGAGNAUAAAAGUUCCCGUGUAGGGAACAGUUUUCAAAGGGUUUUCUGUGAUUUUGUAUCUUAGUAUUUCAAAACCUGUUUCUGUGGUUGGAAAUAUUUUAACUGAUAGAUGUGGAUUUAUGUUUAAAUAUUGAAUGUAAAAAUGUGAAUCUUUGGUGAAUGGUGUAUGAAUAUAUAGCUGUGGUUAUUUGUAUAUUCAUCUGGUUGUGGUUGUAUCAUGUUUGAACUCUUGUACUUAUGCGACGCCGUGCAAAUACAGGGGAGACUCUGUCCGUGUGAACAGUGGAUCUCCUGUAUUUGUGGCGGAUCUGGCAUACCCUAGGGUCAGGUUUUCAAAAAAAAAAAAUUUCAGACGCUUUUCCGCUAUGCUUUAAACUAAAAAGGGACCCCGGGGCGUGACACCGAGACUCUCCACACAUGUCCAGCUGGUGAACCGGCUCUGAUACCAAAUGUAACGACCCAGCCAACUAGCAAUAAUAACUCGUUGGGCCUGGCCAACAACCCAAAAUGCUUAAACCCAGUUAUUAUUACUAGUGUCUAAGUCCCUUAUAAAUCCAAUGACAACCCCUUUCCCAUCCGAUGUGGGACUAUUGGGGUGUCAUAGACUCCCCCAGUUAAGGCCAUGACGUCCUCGUCAGUCCAAUCACACACACAGCCCAAGAUCACCAGGCGAUGUGAGACAGUGGCCGUAAUCGUACCGAGACUCUGCCGGGACCCACGGACUGUCCCGGAACUCUGCCUGGCGGGUUCCCUGGGCAAGCUCGGUCCGAGUCAGCGUAUUACGGCGAUCGGUUUGGGAAACCGAUUCUCGUGGGUUUAUUUGUGGAGUUAUGCCUUUAGGGUUUCUUAGUUGUGGGUUAGACACUAACCCAGUGGACUCUCCUUAGGUCCGGUUGACGUUCUUUUGCAGUUAGGAGACAAGCAUGACAGUUGUACAGGUGGGUACUUCGAUCCGACGUCGGUACAGUGGUGCACGUUCGGUAAUGGUUUCUUACCCUUGCCCUCUUACUAUUACCUAUGUUGAUAUCAUAUUGAGCCUUGCACCUGCUUUUAUAUCUGCAUUCCUCUACUCAGUUAGUUCCAUGUUGAUAUCAUGCUUAGAGUAGAGUUGACUUAUCUGUUCACUAUAUCUGUGAUUUGGUUGGGCGGUUCCCCUACAUUGAUAUCAUAUUGAGCCUUGCACCUGCUUUUAUAUCUGCAUUCCUCUACUCAGUUAGUUCCAUGUUGAUAUCAUGCUUAGUAGUAGAGUUGACUUAUCUGUUCACUAUAUCUGUGAUUUGGUUGGGCGGUUCCCUUAUUUUGAUAUCUAUGACUUGUUCGGUCGAGUUGCUACAGUUCUAUCUUGACAUACGUAGCCGACUAGUUGCUGAUGGCCUAUACGGUCGGUGUGCCCUGAGGGGCUGGAUUGUCGGCUAAUUGCCGAUGGAAGAUCUUUGAGCAUACUACAUUGAUCGCCACUCCAGGUACGCAUUUCACGAACACCAGCGGUCUGAUCCACUGCAAGAGGGUGUUCUUUUCCGGAAAAGUGGUUGGAUUGCCAACUCGUGAGCCCAGGGGUUUUAUUGCGAGGGUAUAUGCUUCUGACCCAGGAGCUUCAUUGCGAGGGUCAUGUACUAUGCUUCUGACCCAGGGGCUUCAUUGCGAGGGUCAGGUACAGGUUGAGCAGUGUGGCAUGGGCCUGAGGUCUUCGGACCAAUAGGGCGGCGAGAUUGGGUACUUUUGAGGUUAUUGUCAGUUGACGCAUGCAUACAGUAACUGUAGUGUUUAUUUUCAGUACAUCCUUAUCUGUUUAUUGUAGCUACUGUUUUAUUUACCUGCAUCUAUACUUGUCAGCUCCUUACAUAUCUCUUUCGUUUAUUAUUGUUGCUACUAUAUUUCCCCUGACCCGUGUUGUUGUAUAACUCUUCCUGAUCCGGUGAGUACUCUUCGCCUUCUUCGGCUUGCGGUACCCACUGGGAGGGGAGAUAUGUUUACAUGUUCUCACCUCCCCCACUAUUUUUUUUAGGUAUCGUGGGCGGUGAGGGUUGAGACGAGACGUGAGAUACGUAGCGGUCGAUAGAGCUUCCGACCCAGAUUAUUUCGAUUUAGUUAUUACCCAUAUUAUUUCUGUUGAUGUAUAGUUUAGUUGGUUUAUGUGGUUCAGUAUUUCAUUACGUUAAAAUAAAAGGAUUUCUGAAUUUUAUAAAAUAAAAGAUUUUCUACCCCUCGUGGUAGCGUGUUUUAAAAAGAAAAGGUUUCCGUGUGGGAAACAGCUUUCAAAAGAGUUUUCUCGUGGCUUCUAUGUUUAAACAUUGAAUGGUAAAUAUCUGGUGAAUGGUGACUGAAUGUUGAGUAUUGUAUAUUCAUGUAUUGUGGUUGUAUCCUGGUUAUACUCUGUUUGUACUUUUGUACUUGUGCGACGCUGUGCAAAUACAGGGGAGACUCUGUCCAUGUGAACAGUGAAUUUUCUGUAUUUGUGGCGGAUCUGGCAUACCCUGGGGUUAGGCUAAAAAAAAAAAAAAAAAAAAAAUCUCAUGGAGCACUUGUUUAUUGAUAAUAUUACUGAAGUAGGAUCUUUGUUUUUUAGUUUUUCUUGUGCUUUNGUCAAAUUUUGUUUCGCCUUUUCGCAGACUUAAAAAAAAAUAUAUAUAUAUAUAUAUAGACUGGGGUCUCAUACGGUCUAGGCGGUGUUUAUGUCCUCUAGGUGACAAGUGUGCCUGUCUCAGAGGGGACAUAAACGUGCCGCANCGUGUUCAUGUUCUCAUGUUGGUCCUAUGUUGGUGUUGAUCUACUCAUAUUUCUAUUGAUAUGUAAGUAUGUAAGUGGUAAGUGUAGUGUCAAAAUGUAAGUUACAGAUUUCUAUUUAGGUAUCUUUUAGAAAACUUUUGACACGGGAUGUGUACUUGGAAAUAAGAAAUUUUUGCGAUGGUGCUCUCCAUCUUUAGGAAAAUAAAAUGUUUUAGGUCUUUAGGUGUAAAAGUUUACAUUUAUUUAUGACUUGGUGUAUUUGGUUGAUUUGAUAUGUAGCUGGCUUUACUCUUCCCAUUCUUUGAUUUGGCUUGUUGGACCCAGCCUUCGAAAUAGCUGGUGAUGCUUGCAUAGAGCGCAGAGCAGGGUUAUGUGUGGCGGACGCUAUGGACUUUUUACCACCCCCUCCACUCAAAAGGGACCCCGGGGCGUGACAAGGGGUAGAAAAUCAUUUUCAUAAUCUCACAAGAAAACCUUAAGUACUUUAUUAUUUUCACAAAACCACAUGUAUCCCGAUAAAGUAAAACCAACUGAAACAUAAUGUCUAAGUCAUUUAUUUUGAGAAAGCAAAGUUAGGAAUUAAACCAAAUCCAUAAGGUUGGGAGCUCUAUCGACUGCUAGAUACAUGCCUCACGCACCGUCCCGACUUGGAUCCGCAACGUCACCUAAAAGGGGGUAUGGGGUGAGAACAUAUACACAUGUCUCCCCUCCCAGAGGGUACUACUAGCCGACGAGGGCGAGGGGUACUCAUCAGUCAAGGAGGAUAACUAGAAAAUUAAAUAACAGUAAUACAAUAGCAAAGAUAAGUAAGAAAACAACAUAUGCAUAAAUAACUAUCGUUACUGUAUGCAUGCAUUAACCGGACUAUAAGUCCAAAAGUACUCAAUCAGAAAUCUGCCAUAUCGGUCUGCUUACCUCAUGCCUGUGCCACUGCCACUCUACCUACAUAUAACCCAGACUAAGCCGCCGGGCUUACAGGUUGGCACGUCCAACCACUUUUCCGGAAAAGAACACUCCCUUGUAGUGGAUCAGACCGCUGGUGUUCGUGAAAUGCAUACAAAUAGUGGUGAUCGAUACUGAUAUGCUGAAUAGCCAACCGUCGGCAAUUAGCCGACAAUCCUACCCCUUAGGGUAUACCGACCGUGUAGGUCACCAAGUAGUCGAAUCGACGAAAUAGGUCACAGUAUCAGAUAUAAAGAACAGAUCGAAUAGGUCACAGAUCUCACGUAUAAUCACAAAUCCGCUCUGCUUCUAAAUCCUGAUACUGGAUAUGCAACUAACCAAGUAGAGCAAUAAAGAGAAAUAGUAAGGGUGCUAGGCUCAACACAUAAUAUGCAAGGUAAUAGUAAGAAGAGGGUGGAGAAAAUGUCACCGAGCAUGCACCACUGUACCGACUUCGGGUCGAAGUACCAACCUGUACGAAUGUAGCACCUGUCUCCCGACUAUGCAAGAACGUCAACCGGGCCUACGGAGGGUUCACCAGGUUAGAAUCCAACCCACAUAUAUGAAACUAAACUUACAAUUCCACCAUUAAACCCACGGGCAUCGAUUUUUCAAAAACCGAUGACCGUAACUUGUCGGAAGUCCCGAAAAUCGCAUCGGGACUACGUUGGGACCCACGAAGUGUCCCGCGACUCACCGACUUGCGCCACGAGUGACCCGCUACCACACUACACCAUAAUAAAGGUGUCCUGGCAGCAAAUACAAGGCUGACAUCGAAACGAUUAUCGUCGGAUAACCGUUCCAAUCCGGGUUUUUGAAAAUGUCAAUUUCGACACCGGAACCCACGGUCGCUCACUCAUCGUCUCCGAAUUCUUGGAACAACAUAAGUGACCAACCAAUAAGGCUCAGAGACGAACAAAUCUACAAUGAGGCACCGUCGAAAGAAAUCCUAACCGAAAUCGCGUUUCGUCGGCGGAUUUCGCCGAAAAACGCACCGAAAAUCGAUAUUCGAUUUCUUCAAAGGCCUCGGACCUUGGACAAUCAAUCCAGAGAUCACCCGCUGCCCGCACACACUACCCACAGAAGCCACGAGGUGGCCAAUUGCACAAAAGUCCCUACAAUCAUCUAAAAUCAUGUUUAUUUUAUGUGAUUUUUCGGGUUUUACUGCUCGAUAGCACAAACCGAGGAUUUUCGAGGCUUGCCGAGACACACGCUGAUAGGUUUCGACGUGUCAGAGACCAUGAUCAUGAUUCGGAGCAUGGCCGCCCACUGUGGAGAGCAUGGGAGCGACCCCAAAAUCGGCAAACUGCGCACGCUGAACCUAAACCACGCUUAACUCACAAACCGAGGCCUCGCUGGCCCCAAAGGUGGGGAGCACGAUGAUCAGCACUGGUCAGGGAUUGUCGUGCUCACUUCCAAAAAGUGUUGGGGUACCCUUGGAUCUCUGAAAUAGUGACCCAAAUCCAAGAGUGUGCACAAAAAUAGUUAAAUAAACUCACCGGACCAAGGGGGAGCUCGAGUUGGCCGGCGGCGGCUGGAUGGUGGGUGCGCCGGCAACAGGUGGGUACGGCCGGUCGGUGGGGGCCGGGGCUCGUGCUGGCUGGCGGCAGGAGGCAGCCGAAGGUGCGGCUGAGUAGCUCGAGCCCACACGGCUAGGGCACGGUCCAGGGUGCAGCGGAGGCCAUGACAACUGUCGAGAUGCUCAGGGGCGGCGGCGACGUGUCACCGGAGGCCGAAGGGAAGCGGCGCAGCCGAUCCUAGGCGGCAGCGGUGCGAGGGAGAAGAAAAGGCAACCCCUCAGCUUGAACUACUCCAGGCUGGUCGCAGGUUGCCAGGAGCGGCAGCGGAAGUGCGCGGGCCAGGAGCUCGGAAGAGCUCGGCCCGAGUUGACCUGGCUUGGCCGCGAGUUGCCAAGCCAGCGACAGCGGCGUGCGAGGAUGACGGAGAUCGGAAGGGGAGUCACUGGAGGUCGGGGUCACGGCCGGGGGAGGGAGCCCGAGAGUGUGGGUCGUUCUACGUGGUCCACAGGCCGAGGUGGUGAGGAUGGUGGAGAGGGAAGGCAAUGCAGCUUUUUCGGUGGAUGAAAGUGCACGGUGGCGACCGGGGUGCUGACGGCGAGGGUAGGGGAAGGUGCAGUGGCGGCUGGGGAGGUCAGCUGAGGGAGAUGAGCUACUAAGGUUAGGGUUUCAUGCAUGAAACCUUAAUGCCUAUUUAUACACAAAGUGUAAUUUUGCAGGAAAGUCCUCCCAAGAUGAAUAUUUUCAGCAAAGUCCCUCACAGCACGUGUAUUUCGCGUAUAUGCACCUCAACGUUCGAAAUUGUGCAAAACGGUGCAUAAAAUAUAGAGCAUUUCGCGAAUUUUUUAUUUUGCCACUUCGACCCCUUAGCGAACAUUAUGUGAUUCUCGAAGAUCCGUCCGUUGGAUUUUCGAUCGGACUGUGCCAGCGCGUUCACCAUGACAGGGCAUCGAAACUACUAUUUUGUUUCACCAGAUUUGGUCACCAAUUUAUGACGAAAUUCAUCCCCUCCAAAGUCCACCAUAUAACCCUACACACACACACACACACACACACACACACACACACACACACACAUAUAUAUAUAUAUAUAUAUAUAUAUAUAUAUAUAUAUAUAUAUAUACACACACACACACACCAAAUUCAAAUUCAAAUUUCGAAUUCCCUUGUUCUCACACCCCAAUAAUCCCACAUCGGAUAGGAAUGUGGAUGUGAUUGGGUAUAUAAGAGACUUAGACAUUAGUAAUAAUAACUGGGCUUAAGUAUUUUGGGCCGGUGGUUGGGUCCAGCGAGUUAUUAUUGCUAGUGUGCUGGGUCGUUACAUUUGGCAUUAGAGCCAAUCACCAACCAGAAAUGUGUGGCGAGUCUCGGCUGAGCCAGGGUCUGAAAGACAAGGUGAUAGGCUAUGCCGGAAUCUGUAUGACAAGGUGACCUGCUAUACCAGGGUCUGGAUGACAAGGCUAGUGAGACGAGUCUCACAUCGCCUGGUGAUCUUGGGCUGUGUGUAUGAUUGGACUGAUGAGGACGUUAGGGCCUUAACGGGAGGAGUCUGUCACACCCCAAUAAUCCCACAUCGGAUAGGAAUGGGGAUGUGAUUGGGUAUAUAAGAGAUUUAGACACUAGUAAUAAUAACUGGACUUAAGCAUUUUGGGCCGGUGGUUAGGCUCAACGAGUUAUUAUUGCUAGUGGGCUGGGUCGUUACACUUGUAUUCAAAUCUCAGAUAUUACACAAUAUUAGUGCUAUCCGACUUGCCUAUAAUCCUAUCUUUCAUGCUCGAACUAAACACAUAGAAGUUAAUUAUCAUUUUGUGCGAGAAAAAGUUGUUCAACAAGAUCUCGACGUUCACUAUGUAGCCUCACAAGAUCAAAUUGCUAAUAUCUUUACAAAAGGGCUAUCUUCUCAUCGAUUCAAUUUUCUCAAGGACAAGCUAAUAGUGCGUGCCCAUAAACUUGAGGGGGCGUAAUGGAGGAUCAACUGAUGAUACAAUUAAGCAAUUAAUUAUGGAUGAAUCAAAUUCCCAAAAUCAGGAAUUUAUAAACUAUGACAAGUAUUCAAAUCAUAAGCAAUCGUGGAAACUCAAGAAUGACAAUCUCUCAAGUAUGGCAACCACUCCAAAUAGAAAAUAUUUGAAUUCAAAUAUUGUACAUUUCUAGAAUGUAAUUAUGUAAAUAUUAUAAUCCAAAGAAUAAUGAGAUUAUAUUUUGUAUUCAAUGAUUCUAUAUAUUGUGAGUUGGUUUUGUGUGUUUUCUAUUGAGAACAACAACCAUUUUCCACCAAUUAUAAUUUCCUUUAUUUAGAUCAUCCUUUUUCUUUACUAUGAAAUUUAUAUCGUUGUUCUUUUUGAAUUUAUGGAUACUAUUUCUCACCUCAUUAAAUAUAGUAUGCUUCUAAUAAUACUAUUCUUUUUUUAAUGAAUCUAUUGACAUUAAUUAAGAUUAAAAAGUGAGAACUUGAUCUGAAUCUGUUUCUUGACCUAAAUUUAUAACAGUAAAUGACUAUUAGCUAUCAAAACUAUUAAUAUUAACAUAUAAUUCAACUUAUUUAAACAAAAUAACUCAUCCAAAAUAAUUAGUAGUUAAGAAAUCAUUAAAAAAAUAAUUAGAAGUUGCGGGACUUAUUUUAAAAUGCCUUAUAAAUAAAAGGUUAUUAGUACAUUAUCAUCUAUAAAAUAAAUUAGCAGAGAGAGGGUCUUUGUUUGCACCAAGGACUUUUUUCAGAAAAUAGUCAUGCAUAUUUGAGAUCUAGACUUGUUAAAAUUUAUUUUGAAAUUAAAUAAUUUUGAAAUUCUUUGUUAUCUAUAGACUGCUAAGAAAAUGUUGAAAUGUUGAGAGUGACCCGUUUAAAUUUUAUGCAUAUUUUGAACCUAAGUAGCUUUAUGGUAGAUAAUAAAGACAUUUUUAUGUGGAUGCUAAAUAUUCCUUUUUAACUUUUUUGUCUUUUUACUUUAUCAUUCGUGAUAAAUUUUGCUUUACCGCCCAGUAGCUCAUACAGUUUGACGCUCUUUUGACGUGCUAUAAUUGCUAUACCAUUUCUUUUUGAUGAUUGUGCUAUGCAAGCUAUUGUAAUAACAGAGUUUUGCAUAAUAUGCGAUUUUUUUUCAACACGGUUGAUUAGCUCUAAUUGAUAAAUUCUUUUUCUUAUCAUAAUAUAUAUAGCUAAAGUUUAGAAAAAAGAAUAUUUUAUUUAUACUAUGAUAUUUAUAUGUUAUUUCUGUAUUUUGUCGAUACUUUAUUCUAUAUACAAAUCUUUACUUCAACCUAUCUAUCCGCCAUACGAUGCGGUAGCUAAACUAGUAAAUAUAGUACAGUACAAGGGCCAAAAAACAGUUCUCUCUAGGGAGAAGCUUUUCCCCCACAAUCACUUUCGUCCCGUGCUCCCAUAAUUUGCUCCGUGAUUCAGGCCUCCACAUAAUUCCCUCGUAUCCCCUCUGCAUGCAAGAAUUAGCGUAUCCGUCAAUCUAAUUUUUUAUAAUUAGAAAAUUUUCGUUAAGAAUUAAAGAUUUCAUUAAAUUUAUGAAUGAUUUUAUCUACUUAAUGAUGGUGAUCGCUUUCCAUCUAAUAAAAUUAAAACAACUAACAAAUAAUAAAGUUCUUAAAUUCAAAAAAAAAGUAUAUUAAUAAUUAACUAUCAAUACAUAUAUUAAAAGCCCAGUUCUUCUGUGGCCUAUGUGGCGCAUCCUCGGCGCUCGAGAGAAAGAGAGAAAGAGAGAAAGAGAGAGAGAGCGAGGCGUGGGGGGGCUGCGCGUGGGCGACCCGCGCCCGUCGGGCGCGCGAGAGAGAAGGAGGGGGAGAGAGAGAGAGAGAGAGAGCAGAGGGAGAGAGAGAGAGAGCAGACAGAGGGGGAGGGGGCUGCGGGCCCCUAUGUGCCCCCCCCCCCAAAGCUGGUUCUCUCUCUUACUCUCUCUCCCCCUCUCUCUCUCUCUCUCUCUAUCCCUCGCGGGCCCCCAUGUGCUCCCCCCCCGCUGCGUUCUUUUCCACUCUCUCUCCCCCCUCUCUCUCUCUCCACGCCCGCCACCCGCUCCCCACUUCUCUCUCUCUCCCCUUUGUUCUCCCACCCCCUCCGCGGCUUCUCUCUUUCCCCACGUGCGCACGACCUGUGGCCCCCACGCGCGCGGGGGAGAGAGAGAGAGAGAGAGGAAGAGAGAGAGAGACACGGGGGGUCCCAUGGGGCCGCGCGUGCGAUCCCCCUCCUCUUUACCUCUCCAUCCCCCCCCGGCUCUCUCCCUAACCUCCCCCCUCUCCCUCUCAUUUUUCCCGCCGGUUCUCUCUUUCUCUCCCCUCUUCCCCAGCGCGGGAGGCGCAGCGGGGAGACGGACAGGCGCGGGUGGGCGGCAGCGGGCGGCGCUGCCGCGGUGCGUACACGGGCGAGGGUGAGCGCCGUGCAAGCAGGCACAAGCCGAGGCCGACGGGCCGGCACGGGGCCUACACGCUGGCGCGGCGCGCGGGCGCGGGCACGGCGCGAGCACGAGGGGGGGGGGGGGAGAGGGCGAGAGAGAGGAAGAGAGAGAGAGAGCCACGGGGGGCUGGCAUGUAUGCGGGGAGAGAGAGAGAGAGAGGAAGAGAGAGGAAGAGAGAAAAGGAGCCAGGGGGAGAAAGAGAGAGAGAAAGAGAGAGAGGGAGAGAGAGUGAAUUUUAAAAUUUUAAAUUUCAAAUUUUAUAUUUUAUAUUUAGUUUUUAAAUUUUAAUGUUAACUUAUAAUAUUUAUUUCAAUUUUAAAGCUUAAAAGUUUAAAACUUUAAAUCUCUAAACUCUAUAAAAUUAAUUAAUUAAUUAAAUUUAUCAAUAAUUAUUUAUAUAUAAUGUAAUUAGUUAAUUUAUUAAUAAUACAUAUAAUAAAUCAUGCUUCAAUCUUCAAAUUUUUUUAUUCCUCUCUAUUUAAAUAAUUUUUUUACUUUUUCUCUCUCUUCAAUUUUUUGAAGUUUAAAAUUUAAAAUUAGAUUUGAAAAUUAAAAAAUUUAGAUUAGUUUGUUAAAAAUAUUUUAGAAAUUGCGUAAAUUUCCGGCAGCAAAGCGCGGGCCUUCACUAGUAUAUAUAAAACUCAAGUUAUAAAUAUCAAAAGUUAAGGAAAUAUCAACUGAAAAUAAAAAUUGUGAGGUUUUUAUUUUUUAAUGGUCUAACGCGCGAAGCUCUUUAUAUAUUUUGAGCAACACUAUUCGUGCACCCCAUUUUGAGUGUAUGAUUAACAUCCAUCCAUAUUAUGGAUGGAAUUCUUUUGCCAAAAUUAUAUUGUUUUCGUACAACUUAUGCAAUACAUUCAAAAUUUAAAAAUUUAUGAGUUAAUAUUUUUAAAUUAUAUAAUUUGAUAGAUUCGAUUGACGAUAACCAAAUAAUUUAUGCCAUCUUGUAUAAAAAAUUCACUGGGUUUAGGAUUUUGCACUCAGUCCACUUGUUUGGAUUUUGUUGAUUCAGUCAAUUCUUUAAAUCUGACAAAAUUACCUCUCAGUCCAAAAUACAUGCAAGUUAUACAUAUUAAACCCUUCGCUACAUAGACCCUCUGUGACAAAUGACUGUCAACAAAAGUGACAGACUACCGGGGAUGAAAAUUGCCGAAUACAGUUAGAUAUUUAACGAAACUGCUAGGGCCAAUAAUAAAAUGCCAUGUGGCUGUUGGUGCACGAUUCAGCCGGGAGUCAGGAUUAAAUAGCAUUUGGUGCACCGGGAGUAGAAAAGAAAAAAGGAAUAAUAGCAUAACCGCAAGGCAUAACCGCAAGCGGUUUCGAGCGGUUUAUAGAUCGGCUGCCUUAAAUGCCGGCCAACAAACAAAAAUAGCAUGGGGAUUGCCUCCUCCGCCACCACUAGCGACAUAUCAGCCCCUAAUACUAUGUAGGCAGCGAACCCUGCAGUAUAAAAUCACGGACUUCCUCCAGGAACAAACCAGGUUCAAGUGCAAGCUCCUAUUCCCGUACAACGGAAUAAAUGAGCUUUAUGCUCAAAUAGAAGAAGCUAUCCGGAAUACAUUUGGAGUUGGGGCAAGGCCGGUAAUGCGGCCUAUAUUUAGAUCCCUUUACCCAGCAAAUAUAGAUGCGGAACAUCCAUAUCCGGCAAACUGAAAAAUACUGAAAUUUGACAAGUUUUCAGGCGAUGAAGCCGAGAACACGGUUGAACAUGUCACAUGAUUUACGGCCCAAUGUAGAUAGUCCGCUGCGGAUCCUUUUCUGAAACUCAGGUUAUUUAAUACCUCAUUAACCAAGACUGCAUUUACUUGGUAUACGAGUUUGCCGGCCAAUUCCGUCCGAGAUUGGGACGAAUAAGAGAGAAAAUUUAAUAAGCAGUUUUAUAGAUCAGAGCCGGAAUUUUCGGUAGCUGAUGUAGCUCAGUUUCGACAAAGAUCUGGAGAAUCGGUUGAAAAAUAUUUGAACUGGUUUAAAAUGGCAAGAAGUCGCUGCUUUGUGAGAAUGCCAGAAUCAGAGUUUGCUAAAAUGGUAUUCAAUGGUCUACAUUUCAAAAUCAGAGACAAUUUUGAAAAUAAGUACUUUCCAAAUCUAUUUGAUUUGGUAGUCGAAGAUCAGCCUAGAUAGAGUCGAAAUAAAGAUUGGAGUCAAGGAAUGGAGAAAAAGAUUUCCUUCGUCGAAGAAUCUUCGGCUCAAGAUGAGCCGAAUAUGUCAGAUGAAGUAGAGGAUUCGGCUGAUGAAGCCGAAAUAUAUGCUGCUGAGAUGGUAAUAAACCGCCAGCCAUAUAAAUGCGCUUUACUUAAACCCACUAAAUCUAGCAAAGCGAAAGCACGAGUAGCAGCAUAUACUUAUUCUUUUGAUAUAUCAAAAAUCGAUUUGAUUUUCGAUCGAUUGCUAAAGGAUGGACGAAUUCAACUCUAAGAGGGCCAAACGAUACUGUAACAUACCGAAUCUCCAAUAGGUUAUACCGGACUUCCGUCAAAUUGACCGGAGGGUGGUGGCGGACGAUUUGGAGAGUAGGUUGGAUGAAAUUCCGAAAUUUUUGGUGUUAUGGUGCUCUCGGGGUUCGGACCCUGUUUGUAGGGUUCGGACCCCGAACACGUGCAGAGGUGGGUUGAGCUGAGUCCUGUUGUUUGGAGGGGCUUAGUGCAAUUGUGUGUGUGGAAGUGUUUAUAUGUCGUUUUUUUUUGUGUUUAACCCCCAUUUCCCUCAUAACCUCAACAUUUGAGAGCUCUCUUUAUCUCUCUAGAUCUCUCUCUCUGUCACGCCCCGCUCCGAAACCACUACCAAUUUGGCACGAUUCGGCCGCGGCGACAGACCGCCGAACGGACAGCACUCCCCACUGUCCGCCCAAGGCUCAACCACAGGAAUGUGUACAAGAAUUCACCCAGGACUUUAAAUUCUAAACAUACACAUUCAGCAAGGGCACAAACAGUGCCAACAACAAGAAGAGCAAGUAAUCCACGAGAUAUACAAGUGAAAUAAAGAGAGUACUUUACUAACUAUUACAUUAGUUACAUUCAUUACAUCAUUUUUCAUCCAAAAUACAUAGCUCUCCAACCUCACCUACAAGAAUCUCUCUCAAUACAUAGGUGACUAAUGCAAAAAGGAAAGCUACUAUACUACCACGGUCUCACUGGUCGGGCGCGACGCCCUUGCCGCGGUCCUCUCUCUGCAGCCCUGAACCUACCACUGGAAAUAGAGUGGGGUGAGAACUAUCUUCCAUAGUUCCCAGUGGGCUCGGCCGCCGACUCUGCCGAUCUCCCCACUAGGUCCAAGUGGGCACAAGUAACAACAGAUAGAUAGAUAGAUAUGUAUCUGAAAGCUGUAAAUGCAGUAGUAGGAAAACUAUGCUACUAUGCCCAUAAUCAUGAAUAUGAAUGCAUGCAUCAUAUAAUAAAGGUUUGCUACCAUGCUAACAAAUUCGAUCCAUGUUCGAAUAGUAAUGUUCAAUGACAUUUAUAAACCUUUAACCUUUUUCAUUUACCCAAUCUGUGGCGAGGCCCUAGGGCUCGCCCAUGACUCACCUUCAAAUCCCAAAGUGGGGAGGGAGCUCCAAGUGCACCCAAGCCCGGGACCGUCUGCGGACCUCCAUGUGGUCCGGACCUCCAAGUGGUCCUAGUCGCACGACACUCCGGAGUACUCGACGACAAUCCCCUCCAUGUGGGGAUUGGAUGGCUAUACCAUCCUAAAUACAGACUGUGAGCUAGAUCUAUCCUCUCCAAGUGAGGACACUCUACAACUAGAGUCAAUAACCCAAUCGAAUCCUCUCCAAGUGAGGACGCCCUACACAAGGGUCAACAAUUAUCGUGGAAUCAUCGGUUUCCGACCUUCUUGCAAUGCUAUUUAGUUUUCUAAAUUCAUUGUUCACAAGGCAUUUUCUAAGGGAUCCACCUAUCCCUAGGUCCAUCGACCUCUAGUGUUAUUUACACUACAUUAAUGCCACUCGUUAUCAUUCGAUGUUUGGAUGCCACUCGUUUGUUCUUUGACAAUAACGCUACUUUCUAUGUCAUCAAUACCCCCAUCGGGUUCAUCUCUAUCUCUAGCAUCAUAGGAUCCACGUACCGACCCAAUCCUCACCUAUCUAGUUACCAAGCGUUCCAAGUACACUAGGUUAUCAUUUAGAAAGCAUAAGGAUGGAGCUACUAUGCAAUCCUACAAUGCAACAUAAAGAGAUGAGAUUAAAUGCAAUCUAAGACAUAGAAAGGAGUUCGAAAGCUUCGGAUGACACCCCCCACCUUUUUAUCAAUGUAGAGGCUUUGGAAAUUCCUUCCGGCGAGCUUCGCAAAAAGGCUUUAGCCUUCCUCGCCCAAAUCCAAGCUAUCCCGGCCCGAUUUUCCCGAGAACUUCACGUCGGUUCGCCGAGUGCCGAAAUCGACUUUGCCCCCGCGUUUUGGGACCUAUCAAUAGGGUUUCCAAGGCUUCAAAUGAGAUCAAUCUCAUACUUUUACAAAAGCUCCAUUUUGGAACCCUAGAUUUGCACCUAUAGCAAACCACCCCAUAAAUCUCUAGACUCUUGGGAUUGAUCUAUUUAGAAGCUUGCUUAGGGUCCCUUUGACCCAUUCCAAGGCAUAAAACCCAUAAACCCUAAGUUCUAGAAGCUAGGGUUUAGUAGCUUACCUCAAGAGCUACACCAAUGAGAAGAGGAGAGGGAGAUGGAGGUGCUCCAAGCCUUCCUCUUGAUCUCCUUCUUCUUCUCCUUCCUUAUCUUCCUCUUCUUUUUCUUCCUCUCCUUCUUCUUCUUCUCCUUCUUUUCUUCCUAGAGAGAGAAAGAGCAAGAGAGAAAUGGGAGUGAGAGAGGGGAAAUGAGAGAGUGUGAGGGAGAGAGAGGGCUCAGCCCACUCAAAUAAAUGCCAUUUUGCAUUUAGACCCCUCAACUUUUAACUCCUUGCACAGCCCUCACUGGGCUGAUUUCGCGCGGAGGGACCGGUCUCCCCGACUUGGGACCGGUCCCCGAGAGCUUCCCUCGGGCGCACGCGUUCGGGAACCGGUCUCUCCCCGGGAGACCGGUCCUUGGGAGACCGGUCCUCACCUGAGAGACCGGUCCCCGAGAGCUUGAUUUUCAGGACUUAGCCAAAUUUUUGGCAUUCUCGCUGGGACCACGUUCGGGAACCGGUCUCUCAUCACCAGGGACCGGUUGCAUCAUGCAACCCCGCAACACCCAGCCGAGGGAACCGGUCUCUCACCUCCAGAGACCGGUCCCCGAGAGCAACUUCUGAUCAAUGAUGCCAUUUGCCUCAUUUGCUCUCGCGGACUCAACUCCAAGGCACUUUUUGUACUUUGGACAUUCUCAACUCCCACAAAGGGUAUACUUCGGACAAUUAGUCGAUCCUGGAUGAAGUACAAUCCUCGUAUUUCGAGAAUUCACUUCCUUACAUCCUCCUCUCCUUAAAAGGAGUUUCGUCCUCGAAACGAACAAUUUUCCUAACUUUCAUUAAACUCAUACCUCACUCCUCAAAUAGAUGAGGAUGGUGCUUUCUCAUCAGCUCCUCGAGUUCCCAUGUGGCUUCGCGAUCAUCAUGAUUGCUCCACCGAACUUUCACAUAGGGGAUUUCUCGAUUCCUCAGCUUUCGCACCUCUCGGGCGAUAACCCCUACCGGAAACUCUUCAUAACUCAAGUCUUCUUGAAGUUCCGGAGGUUCAUAUAGCAUCGCGUGCUCGGGAUCGUGAAUGUACUUGCGGAGAUUGGAGACAUAAAAUACAUUAUGUACAUCCGCAAGCUUCGGCGGUANCGUGUAGCGUCUUGGAGACAUUAGCCCCUGCAACGCAAUUAUUUAUCAGUCAUCUUAUUCAACUGCCUCGUCGCUCUACGACGCAUGACGACUCAUUCACAAAAUCAGGCGGAAGCACACAAGCGUACUCGUCCUAGACUCUUGGCAUCAUGUCGUCGGCCGCCGACACAACCACCUCAAGUCAAGAACUCAUACAACUCGAAUCCGCCUCUAAUCUCAACUAGAGACCCAUACCAACUUCGACCCAAUUGACUUAACUUCCGCCAUCGCUAUAGGUUCACGUUCCGUUCACGCACCUAUAUCCUUAAGGCUUGCCAACCUAGGGUCUCCUAGGUCUUCCUAACUCCCUUUACUUGCUCUUAUUGCUCUGAUACCACAAAGACUGUCACGCCCCGCUCCGAAACCACUACCAAUUUGGCACGAUUCGGCCGCGGCGACAGACCGCCGAACGGAUAGCACUUCCCCUGUCCGCCCAAGGCUCAACCACAGGAAUGUGUACAAGAAUUCACCCAGGGCUUUAAAUUCUAAACACACACAUUCAACGAGGGCACAAACAGUGCCAACAACAAGAAGAGCAAGUAAUCCACAAGAUAAACGAGUGAACUGAAGAGAGUACUUUACUAACUAUUACAUCAGUUACAUUCAUUACAUCAUUUUUCAUCCAAAAUUACAUUUGAUUUCCAAAUACAUAGCUCUCCGACCUCACCUACAAGAAUCUCUCUCAAUACAUAGGUGUACUAAUGCAAAAGGGAAAGCUACUACACUACCACGUCUCACUGGUCGGGUGCGACGCCCUUGCCGCGGUCCUGACUCUGCAGCCCUGAACCUACCACUGGAAAUAGAGUGGGGUGAGAACUAUCUUCCAUAGUUCCCAGUGGGCUCGGCCGCCGACCCUGCCGAUGUCCCCACUAGGUCCAAGUGGGCACAAGUAACAACAGAUAGAUAGAUAGGUAUGCAUCUGAAAGCUGUAAAUGCAGUAGUAGGAAAACUGUGCCACUAUGCCCAUAAUCGUGAAUAUGAAUGCAUGCAUCAUAUAAUAAAGGUUUGCUAUCAUGCUAACAAAUUCGAUCCAUGUUCGAAUAGUAAUGUUCAAUGACAUUCAUAAACCUUUAACCUUUUCAUUUACCCAAUCUAUGGCGAGGCCCUAGGGCUCGCCCAUGACUCACCUUCAAAUCCCAAAGUGGGGAGGGAGCUCCAAGUGCACCCAAGCCCGGGACCGUCUGCGGACCUCCAUGUGGUCCGGACCUCCAAGUGGUCCUAGUCGCGCGACACUCCGGAGUACUCGACGACAAUCCCCUCCAUGUGGGGAUUGGAUGGCUAUGCCAUCCUAAACGCAGACUGUGAGCUAGAUCUAUCCUCUCCAAAUGAGGACACUCUACAACUAGAGUUAAUACCCAACCAAAUCCUCUCCAAGUGAGGACGCCCUACACAAGGGUCAACGACUAUCGCGGAAUCAUCGGUUCCCGACAUUCAUACAAUGUUAUUUAGUUUUCUAAAUUCAUUGUUCACAAGGCAUUCUCUAAGGGAUCCGCCUAUCCCUAGGUCCAUCGACCUCUAGUGUUCUUUACACUACAUUAAUGCCACUCGUUAUCAUUCCAUGUUUGGAUGUCACUCGUUUGUUCUUUAACAAUAACACUACUUUCUAUGUCAUCAAUACCCCCAUCGGGUUCAUCUCUUUUCUUUCGCACUAUAGGAUUCACGUCUCGACCCAAUCCUCACCUAUCUAAGUUACCAAGCGUUCCAAGUACACUAGGUUAUCAAUUAGAAAGCAUAAGGAAUUGAGCUACUAUGCAACCCUACAAUGCAACAUGAAGAGAUGAGAUUAAAUGCAAUCUAAGACAUAGAAAGGAGUUCGAAAGUUUCGGAUGACACCCCCCACCUUUUAUCAAUGUAGAGGCUUUGGAAAUUCUUGUCGGCGAGCUUCGCAAAAAGGCUUUAGCCUUCCUCGCCCGAAUCAAUGCUAGCCCGGCCCAAUUUUGCCGAGAACUCCACGUCGGUUCGCCGAAUGCCAAAAUCGACUUCGCCCCCGCGUUUUGGGACCUAACAAUAGGGUUUCCAAGGCUUCAAAUGAGAUCAAUCUCAUACAUUUACAAAAACCUCAUUUUGGAACCCUAGAUUUGCACCUAUAGCAAAUCACCCCAUAAAUCCCUAGAUUCUUGGGAUUGAUCUAUUUAGAAGCUUGCUUAGGGUCCAUUUGACCCAUUCCAAGGCAUAAAACCCAAAAACCCUAAGUUCUAGAAGCUAGGGUUUAGUAGCUUACCUCAAGAGCUACUCCAAUGGGAAGAGGAGAGGGAGAUGGAGGUGCUCAAAGCCUUCCUCUUGAUCUCCUUCUUCUUCUCCUUCCUUAUCUUCCUCUUCUUUUCCUUCCUCUCCUUCUUCUUCUUCUCCUUCUUUUCUUCCUAGAGAGAGAAAGAGCAAGAGAGAAAUGGGAGUGAGAGAGAGGAAAUGAGAGAGUGUGAGGGAGAGAGAGGGCUCAGCCCACUCAAAUAAAUGCCAUUUUGCACAAAAGCCCCUCAACUUUUACCCCUGUGCACUGCCCUUACUGGGCAGUUUUCGCGCGGAGGGACCGGUCUCCCCGACUUGGGACCGGUCCCCGAGAGCUUCCCUCGGGCGCACGCGUUCGGGAACCGGUCUCUCCCCGGGAGACCGGUCCUCGGGAGACCGGUCCUCACCUGAGAGACCGGUCCCCGAGAGCUUGAUUUUCAGGACUUAGCCAAAUUUUUGGCAUUCUCGCUGGGACCACGUUCGGGAACCGGUCUCUCACCACCAGGGACCGGUUGCAUCAUGCAACCACGCAACACCCAGCCGAGGGAACCGGUCUCUCACCUCCAGAGACCGGUCCCCGAGAGCAACUUCUGCCCAAUGAUGCCAUUUGCCUCAUUUGCUCUCGCGGACUCAACUCCAAGGCACUUUUUGUACUUUGGACAUUCUCAACUCCCACAAAGGGUAUACUUUGGACAAUUAGUCGAUCCUGGAUGAAGUACAAUCCUCGUAUUUCGAGAAUUCACUUCCUUACACUCUCUCUCUCCUAGGGUUGGCUCCAAUGGUGGAGUGGUGGUAGAGUAGAGCUUGCUUGGUGGUGAAGCAACUCUCUUGUGCAACCUUGGCUUGGAGAAAAGCUUGGUUUGAGAUAAGUAUUAUGGGAUUUAGUGGUUUUGAUGUUAGGGUUUGGUUAUUUCCUUCUAGUAGAUGCUUCUAGAGGAUAUGGAGGUGGAUUGGUUCAUGGAUCUCCAUGUUUUGGGGGUUAUUUGGUGAAGAUGAAAACCUUAGGGUUAGAAUUAGGGUUUUGGUAGAAUUGAGAUCUAACUUGAAUUUGAUCUCUUGUAGUCCUAAUUGGUGGAUAAACUGACGCGUUGGAACACUCGGUUUGAAGAUCCGACGAGUCUACGUCAAGAUAUGUGGGAAAAACCUCAUUUCGGUUUUGUUUGCCGUCGGUCGAGGAAAUAGGCGGCCAUAAAUCGCGGGACUUGAAUUGUAGUCUUACGGCAUCACUAUAGGUGGGGGGUGCUGUUCGAAAUCAUCGAAUUUCUUACUAUGUCUAUGUCGCCUUUUCUUGAGCAUAUAUGUGUAUUAUGGCAUUCAAGCAUUGUAGGAUAUUGGGCUAUGGUUGGGAAUCUUUAUAUGCUUUCAAUGUUAGUGACCAUAUGAAUAGAUAUUGAACCAUGCAUGUUAAACCCUGUAGAUGUAUGAAUUGGAUGAAUGUGGACUAUGACAUUAGUAAAUAAAGGUGACAUUAACAUUAACCGGUGUGAAUUGUGUGGUAUGCUAGAUAAGGUAAACCCUUAAGAGUAUUGUGGAAUGUUGGAUUAUGGCAAUAGUGACAUUGUGACAUUAGUGACAUUGUGACUAGAGGUAUGAAUAGCUCCAAAGAUAUGGUAUGCUAGACGAGAUAUAAAACCUAUGAGCAUUGUGGUAUAAAACCUAUGAGCAUUGUGGUCGAAAGCCUAUGAGCAUUGUGGCAAGUAUGGCAAGUGUGGCGAAGUAUGUGUUAUGCUAGACAAAGUAACAUCUUUUUGCGCAUUGUGGCAUGUGGCUUUGUGACAAAAAUAGCAAGUUUGGCCAUACAUCCUCAAAUUGAGGAUUGGAUCAUACUCACAUUGGGUCAUAGCUUGAGGGCAGUAGCUCCCCCUCAAGCGGUGUGCUCCGGAGUUGUCACCACUAUGUGUAGCGGAAUCCUCCCCAGAAGACGGUCCCUCGGGUUGUAGCGGUAUUCUCCCCGAUCGACAAGGAUUUUGGUUGUGAGUUUUGGGGUUAACCAUGUGUUAACCGGGAUGAUUGGGUAAAAGCCAAGGUAAAUGUGGAUUGUAUUAUGGAUCCCGUCGGGUUGUAGCGGUAUUCUCCCCAACAGGAAAGGGACUGGGUUUGGUAAGUGAAAGAUAUGCAUCAUCAUCAUGAUGAUAUCACUUGUUAAUUUAUUGCUUGUUCAGGCGUUGUAGUAGCAUUGCAUUAGUUGGUUUGCUAUCUAUCUAUCCUUUUCCUACAUAUGCCUGAGUAGACCUAGUGGGCGAGUUGGCGGGGUUGGCGGCCGAACCUACUGGGAACUUUAUUGUAGUUCUCAUCCCACUAAGCAUGCAGGUCCUUGCGCGAGUGGGGCGGUCGAGGAUCGCGGCAUGGAUAUCGUGCUCUAGAUAGCAAACUGUCGUUGUAUAUAGAGCCACCUUAUGUAUUUCAUCUAUUAUAGUUGAUGAAUGGAAAAUGUAAUAAUUUCAUUUGAGAGAUGAUUAUGUAUAUUGGAUGAAUGGAUGUAAAGAAAAUGUAUAAGCUUUGUAAUUGAUUCAAAAUGAUCAAGUUACAAUGUAUGGAUGUAAUAGCUAGAUAACUUUCACUUGCGAUAGUGUUGCUUGCCCUCAUGCAGGCCAUGUAUACUCCAAUUCUACCUUUGUUUGUAUUGCUAUACAUGUUGGGUGGAGCCUUGGGCGGAUAGCGGAUAGGAAAGGUUCUGUCCGUUCAACGUCUGUAGACGUACCCGAACCGACCAAAUUGGUGUUAAGUCUUGUGUGUUGGCAAGUUUCGUGAAGUGAGUCGGAGUCUUGAAGUAUCGAUAUGUAUCGUCGAAGAUCGAAGAAUCCAAGACUUCGAAGAGAUUGGAAAAUAACUCACGACGUGAAUCACGAUGCUCAGGUAAAGUUUUAAUUCAUGUUAUGGUGAUUCNCGUACCCGAACCGACCAAAUUGGUGUUAAGUCUUGUGUGUUGGCAAGUUUCGUGAAGUGAGUCGGAGUCUUGAAGUAUCGAUAUGUAUCGUCGAAGAUCGAAGAAUCCAAGACUUCGAAGAGAUUGGAAAAUAACUCACGACGUGAAUCACGAUGCUCAGGUAAAGUUUUAAUUCAUGUUAUGGUGAUUCAUACUUAGUUAUAGGCAUUAGAAUCAUAUAAUCAAAGUUUAGUGGAUUAGAAAGUGUAUUGGAACUUUGCGAAACCCGAAAUGUGAAAAAAAUCUGAAAACUACACUGUGUACGGGUACACAUUGAAAGUGUUACUGGUUACAAACUGUGUACGGGUACAACCAUCAACGUGUUACCGGUUACAAACUGUGUACGGGUACAACCAUAUACAUGUUACCGGUUAUAAGACUGUUUUGAUUUUCUGUUCCGUCAUCGUGUAACCGGUAACAACUUAAGUGUGUACCGGUACACAAUGUAAGCUUUUCUGCUCCGUCAUCAUGUACCGGUGACAGCCUCACGUGUACCGGUACACAAUGCAAAUUUCGGAAAAAACUUUCUAAUCCGACUGCGAUUGAUUUUAAAGCCUAUAAAUAAGCUAUUGGGGUUCUCUAACUCAUCAUGCAUCAUGAAAAUACAUAUUUGAGAAACCCUAGAGGCUCGAAAUUCAUCAAAAACCUAUUUUCUUUAUAAAGCCUCUUUUAGGUCAAAUCGAGAUAUUGGAAUUUCAUAUCUAUAUGUCGAUUUGAUCUUUGCAUCGCUUGGAGUUCUCUUCCCUGGCUUUUAUCGAUACUCUAAGCGAAGGAUCACCAUAGCAUGAUGCUCUUCAUGAACGGUGUCAUGGAUUCGGCAAUGUUGAAGGUGAUUCGUGGAUUCGGAUCGUUGGCUCGUGGAUUCGAGUGGCGUCGUGGAUUCGGCGUGAUAGAAGCUUCGUGUAUUCGAAGUGGAGGCGUUCGUGGAUUCGAACGUGAGGGCGUGGACAACCCAGAGGAUUGCGUGAGAUUUAUAGGAAGUUAAGAGAGGUUGAGUCCGUGGAGUCGGUAAUCACCUUGUAAUCUUUUCUUUUAGUGAAUUAUUUUUUCGCAUGUUUGUCCCGUGGGUUUUUCUCCAAGUUGGAGUUUUCCCACGUAAAUCUCGGUGUAAUUUUUAUUUUCCGCAUUUAUUUUUAUCGCAUUGAGAUUUGUGGUUUUUGGCUAUUACACCUAUUCACCCCCCUCUAGGUGUUAGAUACAAUCUAGAUAGAUCCUUGGGCACCCCAUAACUUUCAAUUGGUAUCAGAGCGGGAUCUAGAUAAAUUGUUAUCUAAUGGCCGAAGGCGGAAACAUUAAUUGACCAUCGCUCUUCAAUGGCACAAACUAUGCCUAUUGGAAAGUUCACAUGAGAGCUUUUCUAAUCGCAAUCGAUGAGCGCGUUUAGCAAUAAAUAGAAUUUGGAUGGAAACAUCAUAUUGAAAAGGUCGAGAAUGUUGAAACGCCAAAACCAUGAAACAAGUGGACAAAAGAUGAAAACAAGGCAUCUUCGUUUAACGGCAAGGGCAUAAACGCUUUAUUUAAUGCAUUGUCUCAAACGGAGUUUACUCGUGUUUCAGCGUGUGGAACCGCCAAAGAAAUUUGGGAUACUCUAUAAGUUACGCAUGAAGGAACGAGCUUACUAAAGGUCCAAAAAUUGCAAAUGUUAACAAGUAAAUUUGAUUCAAUUUUUAUGGACGAAAAUGAGACCUUUACCGAGUACUAUACGCGUCUACAAAACGUUGUGAAUACAUGCGCUAACUUGGGAGAGAAAAUUCCGGAUGCUAAAGUUGUUAGAAAAAUACUUAGAACUCUUCCAGAACGGUUUCGGGCUAAGGUAGCGUGAUCAAAACGGUUAAGCAUCCGGAUGAGAUGAAAGUAGAGGAGUUAGUAGGUGCUUUGCAAACUUAUGAAAUGACUUUUCCUACUAAUCAAUUUUCUUCCAAGUCUUCUCCUAAAAGUACAUGGUUGCACUCAAAUCGACAAAGAAAGAAGACGACGACUCUGAUUCCGACGGAGAUAUUUUGCUCGCCGAUUUCGAACAUCAAUUAGCGCUCCUAAUGAAGAAGUUCCGACGGAAUUUUUGAAAAAAUAGAUCGGACAAGGCUUCAUCCUCUAAGCAAAAAUUCUUUUCUAAGCAUUCUCCUAAUUCUAAAUCUAAGGAUAAAAAACUUGCAAAGUCUUCAAAAGAAAAAGAUGAAUUUGAAGGAAAAAUCCAAUGCUACAAAUGCAAAGGCUACGGACACAUUGCAACGGAUUGUCCUUCUAAGAAGACUUAUGAACAAAAGGCUUUGCAAGCAAAGACUUGGGAUGACUCUUCCUCUAGUGAAUCAUCUUCAAGUGACGAAGAAAAGAGUGAUCAUGUUGCUUUAUUUACUAACACUUCUUUAUCUUCGUCUAACGUUGUUUGUUUAUCCUCUAUUGCUACUAAUUCCAAUGUUUCUCUUUCUUCGCAUGACUCUUCGAGCGACAAUGGCGAAAGCGAGGAGGAAUCAAACGACGAGGACUUAGCGGAAGCGUAUAAUCAACUCCUUAUUGAAUAAAAAAAGAUGGCCAAGCAUAAUAAGAAGUUGAGGCGUUGUCUAUUGGACAUUGAGAAAGAAAACAAAAAUUUGAAGAUUACAAAUAAAGCUCUUGAGAAGGAAAGGGAAUCAAUUUUGAAAAAUAAUUCGGACCUUCAAAAGAAGCUUGAUGAAGCGGAAACAAUGAUCAAAUAUUCUAAUGAUAAGAUUGGUUUUCUAGAACAACAACAUAAAGAAAUUCGUUCAUCCAAUCAAGUGUUGACUAAACAAGUUUAUCAACUUAACUCCGACAUUCAAAAAUUUUCUUCCGAAUCGAAGAAAUUGGAUCAUAUGCUAGGAUUGGGUCAAACGAACAAGCUUGGUCUUGGUUAUGAAAGGACAUAUGUUGAGAAGGAUCAAACGGCGAUAUCUAAAGUCUCAACAACUUUGAAAGAGAAGGUGUGUCAUAAAUGUGGCAUCAAAGGACACAUCAAAAAGAGUUGUCCAAACAAGGAUUUGAAACGUCAAUCCGUAUUCUCUAAACCUCAAUCGGCAUCAUCUACAACUCGACAUCCCCCACGGAAUCAAAAGCAAAAUCAUUUAAGUCAAACGCCUCUAGGGAACCGGUUUUCUAAUGCACAAUGUUAUGUUCGACCGAACCCAAAAGCAAACCGGAUUUCUAAGCCUCAACGACAAGUUCAACCGAAGCCUGAAGCAACGAAACGACAAACGGUUGAUUCAAAAUCAAAACAAAUUGUGAUUAACGUCGACAAACCAAGACAACCAACAAUCCGACAAGUUUGGAUCCGAAAAGGUGAUAUCUUUCCUUGCUCUUUAUCUUAGUUUGUUCUAUUGUUUAUAUAAUGCUUUGUUUGGUGCUUAUUGCAUAUUUUUAUUCAUUGCAUUACAUGUUUAGACGAUUUUUGGUGCUUGAAAUUUAUUUGUUUCAAAAUUAUUUUGAGGAAAGGUGAUUUGGAAUUUAAAAAAAAACUCUUUCUUUGAGAUAGGAGAUGAUUGAAAAUCUUACUUUAGGGAGUAUUUUAAAUGUGACUUAACCAGAAUUCAAAUUGAAUUAAAUUCAUAUUAAUUAUCGGUUUUACUCUACUUUUUAUUAUUUUGACGAUAAUUUAUUAUAUGAAUUCUUAAUACACAUAUUCAUCAAAAUUUUGAAAUCAAAUUUGAUCUCUUGGUGAUUAAUUCAUCUUGGUUGUGUGUGUUGGAUAUGAUGGAUGGAUAUUCUCUNGGUGAUUAAUUCAUCUUGGUUGUGUGUGUUGGAUAUGAUGGAUGGAUAUUCUCUAAUUGACUAAAAUUCGUCAAAAUUAUUUUCAAUUGUGAGAUUGUCUAAUUUAUGGGGAGUUUUGAAUUAUUUAAAAAAUAUACAUAUAUAAAAAAAGGGAAACUCCUAUGUUUAAAAGAUGUGGAAAAAGCUACAUCCAAAAGGAGUGUGAAACUACCACCACAUGUAGAAAAGAGCUACCACCCCGGUCGUCCGGUACGUGUGUGAAGCUACCACAUGAAGAUUGAAUUAAAUAACCGAAAAGGUUGAAAAAAAAUAAAUAUUUUAGAAUUUUCGGAGUUGUAAGGUGUUAGAAUGAAAAGAUGCUCAAAAAGCCACCCCCGGUGCUAUAUUAGUUAAAUCUCUAUUUUGAACGAUUUGCGACAAAUUGAGGUCAAUUUGGUUGAAUUUCUAAAAAUCAUUUUUCAUGAACCGUUACAUCUUGAUGGUUUUGAAUCAUUAGAUUAUUUUUGAUAACAUAAUUUUGAUGAUUCGAUGCAUUUUGAAAUCCUAUAAUAUUUUAUCUUCAUCAUAAUAAUUUUUGGAGUAUAAUUUUUAAUUUUUAUGAAAUUAAUAUAUUUUGAGGAUUGUCGGAAGGCCGUGUUAUAUAGCCUCUUGGCAAGUUUUGGCACGUCAAUCUCGAGUGCUGCAACGAAUCAAAUGAUGUGUGCUUUGCUUUUCUUUCAUUCUCUUUUAGGCCUAUGACUAUGACAUGACUACUCUUAUACUUUCUAAUAAGUUUUCUCUUUAUAUGCUUUGUCUUUGGCAAUUUUUGAGAAAAAGGGGGAGAGCAUAGAUGAACAAGUGUUGAUCGAGAACAAAGGAGAAUAAGGAAUAAAAUCAAAGGAGAAGAGGAUGAAUUCAAGAACAAAGGGGGAGAUGUGAUCAUCGAGAACAAAUGUGGAGAAGGUAUAAGAAUAUAAUGUUGUUAAGGUGGAGAUGUGAUCUACAUUGUUUUUGGAUAAAUUGUUUUGCAGGAAAUCAAGACUUCAAGACUCCUAAUUGUGUCUAAGUCAUAGAGUCUGUUUUAGGAGUUUUGAUGUACUUUUGCAUUUCAUAUUGUAUUUGGAUCACAUGCGAGGGGUUCAAUGUUUUGGUGAUGACAAUUGAACUUCGUUUUUCUUUAAGAUGUAAUUUUUGAGUAGUUGUGAGUUUUGUUACGAAAUUGCCAAAGGGGGAGAUUGUUAAGUCUUGUGUGUUGGCAAGUUUCGUGAAGUGAGUCGGAGUCGUGAAGGAUCGAUAUGUAUCGUCGAAGAUUGAAGAAUCCAAGACUUCGAAGAGAUUGGAAAAUAACUCACGACGUGAAUCACGAUGCUCAGGUAAAGUUUUAAUUCAUGUUAUGGUGAUUCAUACUUAAUUAUAGGCAUUAGAAUCAUAUAAUCAAAGUUUAGUGGAUUAGAAAGUGUAUUGGAACUUUGCGAAACCUGAAACGUGAAAAGAAUCUAAAAACUACACUGUGUAUGGGUACACAUUGAAAGUGUUAUCGGUUACAAACUGUGUACGGGUACAACCAUCAACAUGUUACCGGUUACAAACUGUGUACGGGUACAACCAUCAACAUGUUACCGGUUACAAGGCUGUUUUGAUUUUCUGUUCCGUCAUCGUGUAAGCGAUAACAGCUUAAGUGUGUACCGGUACACAAUGUAAGAUUUUCUGUUCCGUCAUCAUGUACCGGUGACAGCCUCACGUGUAUCGGUACACAAUGCAAAUUUCGGGAAAAGCUUUCUAAUCUGACUCCGAUUGAUUCUAAAUCCUAUAAAUAAGCUAUUGGGGUUCUCUAACUCAUCAUGCAUCACAAAAAUACAUAUUUGAGAAACCCUAGAGACUUGGAAUUCAUCAAAAACCUAUUUUCUUCAUAAAGCCUCUUUUAGGUCAAAUCGAGAAAUUGGAAUUUCAUAUCUAUAUGUCGAUUUGAUCUUUGCUUCGCUUGGAGUUCUCUUCCCUGGGUUUUAUCGAUACUCUAAGCGAAGGAUCACCAUAGCAUGAUGCUCUUCAUGAACGGUGUCGUGGAUUCGGCAUAAUUGAAGGCGAUUCGUGGAUUCGGAUCGUUGGCUCGUGGAUUCGAGUGGCAUCGUGGAUUCGGCGUGAUAGAAGUUUCGUGGAUUCAAAGUGGAGGCGUUCAUGGAUUCGAAAUUGAGGGCGUGGACAACCCGGAGGAUUGUGCGAGAUUCAUAGGAGGUUAAGAGAGGUUGAGUCCGUGGAGUCGGUAAUCACCUUGUAAUCUUUUCUCUUAGUGAAUUAUUUUUUCGCGUGUUGGUCCCGUUGGUUUUUCUCCAAGUUAGAGUUUUCCCAUGUAAAUCUCGGUGUAAUUUUUAUUUUCCGCAUUUAUUUUUUUCGCAUUGAGAUUUAUGUUUUUUGGCUAUUACACCUAUUCACCCCCCUCUAGGUGUUAGAUACAAUCUAGAUAGAUCCUUGGGCACCCCAUAACUUUCAAUUGACGUUCGCGGGGCGUGGCAGAUACCCUACGGAGAAGAGUUGAAAAGGAGGAGAUAUUGUAAAUUACUACAACAGAAUUAGGUUAUAGGGACACAUGUUUGGGACACUUUUGAGUAAGUGUCCCAUUUAUGCUAAAACUUAAAAACACAUCUACUAAUGCCUAAAUAUAAAGCCCAAUCCAGCCAAAAAUAAAAGAUUACUCUACUCAACCCACCACACCCAGUCCAUUUGGCCCGAUUACAAACAGAAAAGAAAAAAAAAAGAAAAAUUAAUUACCAUCUUUUCUUCUCUUUUCGCUCAAUCCACUGAAAUUCUAGACGAAGAGCCUUUACUGUUGUCCUCCUCCGCCACCGCAGCCAACGAGAUAGAGUUUCGGCGGUUGCUAAAUGCUUAAAUAAGUGUUGAUAAAUUAGCAGCACUCUUUUACGUUAUAGCGACACUCUUUAACUGUCACUAUAUACCUAGCGACCCCACAUAUAGCAACACUUUUUAAAAGUGUCGGUAAUUUUAGCUAGCAGCACUUUUUUGAUAUAUACCUACAUUUAAAAGUGUCGCUAUAGACCGUUUUUGUUGUAGUGAAUGGCACCAUUCAUGGAGCCAUAGAACAAAUGAUUGUACCGCCUUUAACAGGUAGAUUUAGAAGAAAAUAAAUGAAGGUUGGCUAAUAUUUGUCGACCAAGAGAACAAAAAUAUGAAAGUUGACAAAAAUCCUUUUCCCUCGCAGGUCAAUAUGAUGGAUAUCAAAGGGAAGGCUCCUGCGGACAAGAAGACAGAUGAUGGUAUUGCCUACACUGAGAGGAUAUUACAGCUAUCCAUAAGAUGCAAGACCGAAAUGACAAAAAGAGAUUGGGAGGCGAUUAUUCAUGAGAAGAAACUAUACGGGGAAUGGAGAGAGUUCAUGUCAUUCUCCGAAGAAUAGAAAGAUAUACGCGAAGCAGAGAACAACUCAAAAGAAGGUUCGGAAGAAGCCUCCAAUGGUUCCGAACAGGACGUUGAUUAUGUGAAAGACAAGAGAGACCUAUUAGUGCAAAAGGUCUUAAAUGAUUAUUACAACAGUCGAAGGGAAGAGCGUAAUAGCCGAUGGAGUUAUCCUGAGAAAUCAUUCGGCUUUCAACAAAGAUUCUCAGGAUAUCGGCCAAACUGGCAACAUCAGAUCAAGCCGAGACCUGAACCUGAAUUUGAAGGGAUGACCGAGGGUGACAUCGAGUUCCUCGGUCGUAGGUUAGUCAAUGAACUUGGCAUUCAGCCUUGGCCGAGACUAUAAGGUACCGGACUUCCAAAAUUACGAAGUUACGGUGUAUAAUGGUUUGGAUAGCCAUUUGAAUGGUUCUGGUGAAAUUCGAGAGCAUUCGGGCGUUUUUAGUGCGCUCGGUACGCGUAGGCGUGAAAACGAAACCCGAAAGGCUAUGUUGGGCCGUGGAUUAAAUCCGGCGUUAGCGUAGAUGAAGAGAUGAGGUGAACAUGCUCGAAAACAUGUGUGGGGAGUCUCGGUGCGAUUUGAAAUGAAUCGGAGACCUGCGGAGCAAAAAUGAGCGAAAACGGAGAAGAAACGGUGAAAAUGCUGAAAAUUUGGCUAAAUCCUAAAGUGCUGGAAUUCUGGACCUAGGGGGAUGGGUCCCUCAGCCAAGGAGCGGUCCUUCAGGUACCGGUCUCUCUAGCCAAGGACCGGUCCCCGUACGCGAGAAUGCCUAAAAUGGGCUGUGUACAAGGAAGCAUUGUUGAGGGGUUUUUAUGCAAUUUUGCAUUAGUAGGAGCUAUAUGAGUGGUCUAGGGUUUAUUCUCCUCAUUCCUCUCAACCCUAACACCCAAAACACUUCUCUCUCUCUCUCUAGAAGCUCUCUCUCUCUUCAAGGAGGAAGGAAAGGAUGAGGGAUUGGUGGAGAAGAAGCAAAGGAGUGGGAUCAUCAUCUCCAUCUUCUUCUUCUCAAGCUUGGAGCAAGCUUUUGGAGGUAAGCUUGAUGUCCAUUUAUGGUGAUUUCUUAGGGUUUGAUUUAAAUACUCUACGAAUGAGUUUGGAUGAAUCCCUUGGUCCUAAUUAGAUGCUAUUUGCUUGAAUCAAGACCCGGUUUAGUGUAUUCUUGCAAAUGGUGGUUCUAGGGCUCCAAAAUGGGGGUUUUUGUAAAUAUGAGGGUUUGAUCUCAAUUGACCCUCCGUAAACCUAAUUGCUAGGUACAUGAACGCAUUGGUGAAGUCGGUUCGGCGAUUCGUCUAGCCGGUGCGAAGAUAUUGAAGAAACGGACUAUUUAGCUUCAUUUCCGCCUGGAGGGCUGUAGCACAUAACCGAAGACCUAUAAUUUUCAGAUCCGUGGUUCGACGCACGGUUGGUGCGCAACUGCAAGAUUGGGCCGUGCCGGAUACGUGUGCCGCGGGAGGCCGAUUGCAAGUGACUACAAGCAAUCGGAGAGCGAAUCGAGGUGGGUUGUGCUCACCGAAGCGACUAGGUCGCCUGUAUGUCUAAGAGAAAUGUGAAAUCAUAUUGUAAUACACUGAACUUUUGCAAAUUGCGGAGUUCGAGUGUGUCAAAUGAUAUGUGAAACUAUCCUACAUGUUCUAAAAGGCUUGGACAAGUUUUUGGACAAGUUAGAGAGUGAUUGGAUGGCUAAAAGUAAGAAAGUGCAUUGCUGUGGCAUUUCUCUCGAAUUUUUGCAUUGUGUACCGGUACAACAUUAAUGCUGUACCGGUACAGCAUGCAGCAGAGGCAGCAGGUGCGUGGCAGCAGGGAUUUUUUGGUCUUUUGGCAUCUAAUCUUAUCCCUAUAGCUAUCUGGUCGACCCCUGAAGUUGCUGGAAGGCCCUUAGAGAUCAGAACAAGCUUCUUCUCUCUCUCCCUCUUUCUCUCACUAGGGUUUCUCUCUCUCCAAGUAAAAUUCGCCGUUACGCGCCGAUUUUGCGUCGAGCUCGUUGCUCGCUGAUUGGAGGACUCGAGGGAAGUCUUUGGAACAUGGAAAGAGGAGUUUUGCUGAGUUUUCUGUGAGGUUACCACCAGGGAAAGCUGAAUCCCAGCUUUAGAGAGAUAAUUAGCUCACUAUCUCUCUAGUUUGUGGUUUAAUAUUGGAUUUUGACGCGUUUUGGUUCCGUUGCUACCAGCUGUGUUAGAUUGAGGUUUCAGCAGCUAGAGAUGACCUAAUUAGCUGUGAAUUAUCCACUUUAAGCCUGAGAUAAGCUGCUUUGAAACCUGAAUUAAGUAAUUAGUUGUUAUGAAGCUAAUUCGGAUCUAAACGAAAUUUAAUCGGGUAAUUGAUGCAGUUUGGAAAUUGUAUCUUCGCAGCAGGUUUUCAAACCAAAUUGAGCUAAAUUUGUGAUCUAAGGAACUUGUUUGCAGGGUGUUCCAACCAAAGGUAAGCUGAAAUUUCAGUUAGGAACCUGAAUAUGCAAGGUUUCAGCUAUAGGAACUAGUAUACAAGCGUUUUGACGCCGUUUUGAGGUUGUUCGCAGCAAGAGCGCGAUCGAGCCUUAGAUCAUCUUCUGUUGGCAUUGAAGAGCAAUUGAAGAGCAAUUGGAGGCUUAAUUUGAGGUACUAAUGUGACCCGAAACAGGGAUUUAAGCUAGUACUUUGUAUUAAGUGUGAAUUGUACCGAAAUUGGAUAUUUCGAUUGUAGUAUUGAUACAACUUUCGUACCUUGAUACCGCAGGAUUGAGGCUUCGUUGAGCUUGAUUUCGGGACUCUUGUGGACUAAAUUGGAGUCUUGUAUUAGGUGGGUUUAACCUAACCAGAGCAAGUGAAGCUCCCCUAUGUUCUAUAUGAUACUAUAGAAAUAGCAUAUGAAUGCAUUUGGCGUAACUUGGGAAUCGACAUAGAUUCAGAACAUUACCACCAUCAUAGUUGAUAUAUGUAUGUGUAGUGAAUUGAAAUCUCUCUUAAGUAGAGAAAUGCAUGCAUAGAAGUAAAUAUGUUUAUGUUUGACUCAGUUGAAUGAUUCAUGAACAAUCUAGUAUGUUCUUAAAGUAGAGAACAAUAACAAUCUUAUGACUUUAUUGAUUAUAAAGUAGAGAACAAUGACAUACUUUGUGACUAUAACCAUAGUGCUAUGAUAGUGGAAAGUUUCGAAUGCUAUAAGCAAAUUAGCAUUACUAUAAGGGAAGUGAAUUCUCGAAAUCCGGGGAUUAGACUUCGUUGGGAAUCGACUGAUUGUCGAGUGUGUAAGCUCCGGAAAGUCCGAAGGUGGUUAUAAUGCAUAAAGUGCAUUGAGGAAAUGUCCGCGAGAGCACCAGUGCAAAAACAGCACUGGAGCAGAAAUGCUCUCGGGGACCGGUCCCUGGCAGGGAGGGACCGGUCCCAUCGGGCUGGGCUGCGGGGGUCUCUGAUGAGACCGGUCCCUGGCGGGCAGGGACCGGUUCCCGAACGUUAACCCUACGAGACAAGCCGAAAUUUGGCUAAGUUCCGAGAAUCCAGCUCUCGGGAACCGGUCUCUCGGACAAGGACCGGUCUCCCGAGGACCGGUCUCUCGAGCAGAGAUCGGUUCCCGAACGCGAAAACCCUUCUGCCCGAAUGGGAGGCCUUCGGGGACCGGUCUCCCUGAGCUGGGACCGGUCCCUCACUGCGAAAAUGGCCCAAGGAGGGCUAUUUCAGAAAAUGAAAAGUUGAGGGGGCUAUCUGGAAAAUGGCCUAUAUGAAGGCUUGGGGACCCCUCUCUCCAUCUCAUUUGCUCUCUCUCCCUUUUACACUCUCUCUCUCUCUUUCUAGAAAAGAAAAGAAAGAGAAGAAGAAGGAAAGGAAGAGAAAGGAGAAGAAGGAAAGGAGAAGGAGUAGGAGAAGAAGAAGACAAAGGUGGAGACCACCUUCCUCAUCUACUUCUUCUUCUUGGACUAAGCUUUUGAAGGUAGGCUUUAAACCCUUUAAUGGUGUGUCUAGGGUUUGGGGGUUUUAUAGCUUAGAAAUGGUUCGAAUGGGACCUAUUGAAGCUAGGGAGAUGGUUCGAGCUCGAAAUCGAAGCUCGCACCGCGGAUUUCUCCAUUGUUGAAACCUAGGGCUUCGAUUUGGGAUUUUGGCAAAUUUAGGGUUUUGAUCUAAUUUAAUAGGUCGCAAACCUAAUUGCUAGGUCUCUGAACGCGUCGACGAAGAUGGUUUGUCGAUCCGUCGAGUGGGUGCGGAGUUAUCGCCAAAGAAGACCUUCGGAGCUUCGUUCUCGCUUAGAAGGCCAACGAGGCGUCGAAGCGUCGGCGAAUCACAUUUGAAGACUCACGGCAUCGCCACGAGGUGGGGGAGUGCCAUCCCGAAGCAGUCGGGCUGCUCUUUAUGUCUGAGUAACAUUGUCGAUCAUUUACAUAUUGUGAUAUAGCAUUAUAGGGUAUUAAAUGUGAUUGUACAUAUCUUCGCAUGCUAGUGAUAGUUCGAGUUGUGGAUAUAAUGAAUGAAAACCUAGUAUACAUGAGUAGAAUAUUAUGAGAUAGUUCGCCCUAUAUGUGAUGAAUAUGUCUAUGUGAAUAAGAACCUAGUGUAUUGGAAACUAGUGUAUCAAGAACUUGUCAAGAGAACGAGUGGCAUCUAGUAAACAGUGAACCCAGAACGAGUGGCACCUAGUUGGUAUUGAACUUGAGAACUUUAGUGUGGUUGAGACACUAUGAGAUUAAGCAGAUGAACACCGGAUGUUAUAGUGACGCCAAUCCCAGUUGGUUAGGGUGUUCCCAGUUAUGAGAUUGGAUCGAGCUCACUUAGCCUGUCUGCACCUGUGGAGGUAGCUCCUCACAGGUAGUGCACUCCGGAGUUUGGCACGCGAGGGGGCCAGUGUAGUGCCCUUGGACCAGUGUAGUGUCCGCAGGCGGUCUCGGGGAAGGUGAAUAACUAGCCACCUCUCCUAUGAGACUUAGAGACGUGAGACUGUGAGCGAACCUUGCGUUCGCCGUGAGAUUGGGUAAUUGGAUGAAUGAUUUCAUUAUUGAGCAUGGUAGUCUGAUAGCCAGCCUUCUUACUAUGAGUCGCAUGCAUGCAUCAUACUAGAUUGAGGCAUUGAUAGAUCAUAGCUCCUAGUUGCUCAUUACUGUUAAUGCUUUCAGUUUUAUAUAUCUAUCUAUUCGCAUAUCUAUCUGUGCCUGCUUAGACCUAGUGAGGAGAUCGGCGGAGUCGGUGGUCGAACCCACUGGGAACUAUUCGUAGUUCUCACUCCACCAUAUUGCAGGUCCGAGUUCGAGCACCCCCGGUGAGGAUCAUGGCAAGGGCGUAGCGCCCUAGCGGUAUAUGUAUAUAGUUAGCUUACCUCCUUUUGCAUUAGCCCUACCCUAUACUUAUGUUCGAGAGUAGAUUGAUGUAUAGGGUGAGGUUUUGAGAAGAUUGUAUGUAUUGUACCUACGUUUUGGAAGAAUGUAAAGGAUGAAAUAAUUGUAUAAAGCUAAAUGAAUUAAUAGUUAAGUACAUCUCUUUUAUCACUUGUAUGCUUUACAUGUGUUGCUUGCUCUUUGUUGAUAAGCACUGUUUGUGCUCUCGUGGUUGUUGUAUGAUUGUGUAUGUAUUCAAGUUGUUUCCUGGGAAGUUGUUGUACACAAUCUAACUGUUUGAGCCUUGGGUGGACAGAGGAGGUGCUGUCCGUUCGGCGGUCCAUUCGCCGCGCCCGAACCAGACCAAAUUGGUAUCGGCCUCGAGGCGGGGGCGUGACAAUUACUCUUACAUGAUUACUACUCUAGUGGAUACUAGCUAUGUUCAAUAUCUGUUAUAUUGAAAUUCCGAUCAGAGGAUCGAGAGUGAGAACAUUGCAAGAUAAAACGUGAUGAUUGAGAUGUAUUGGAUUAUGGACUUUGCUUACUUGCCAUCGUGCUCAUUCGCACGCGCUUGUGAGGGUAGCUCCCUACAAUCCGGCACUCCGGAGUUGGCCUACGCGACAGUUACUUGCCCGUGCGGGAUUGGGUGCCGAAGUGGAUUGCCGUAGGGAGUGUAUACUACCACGGGGCCAUUAGGCACGGCGCGAGCUGGACUACCUUGGGUAGGUCCUUAUGAAUAAAAUGAAAGUACUAAAUGACAAAGAAUAGUAAUGAAUGCUCAUCAGUUAUAGUGUACAGUAUUUACUUACAUAUCCAUGUUUAUGUUCAUGUCUAUAGUAGUUGCUAUGCUUCUAUUAUUCAGUUGAUUCAUUACUGCAGAAAUCAUGAUUACAUGUUGAUUACAUGCCUAUUGCCUGCUAGCAUUGCAUAUAGAUAUCAUGCAAUUAUCGCUUUUACUUUCAUUUAGUACAUCAUGAGCCUAGUGGUGUAAUUCCCCGAGGCUGGCGGCUUACCCAUUGGGAACUAUUGUUAAUAGUUCUCACGCCCUUUGGUGGUUGUUUUUACAGAGCCAUCUACAGGAGAGGCUAGGGAUCGUGGCAAGGGAGUCGCGUCUAGCUAGACAUUGCUAGGAGCAUGCUAGUCGAUCACCUUGCUACUCGGGCUACGACCGAGGGUGAUGUCCCUAUAUAUAAAGAGAGACCACUAUUGUACCUACUUUUUGUAUAUGUACUGUUGAACCAGAUAUUAUAGUUCUGUUACUUUUUUUUUUAGUUGAGAUUUUGGAUUGGUUACUCCUUGUUCCUCUAUUGAUAGUAUUUGGAACUUAUACUUUGCUCUGAUAUCAGGAUAGGAUUUUUCUAUAUUUUUCUCCUAUCGCCUUACUUUCUUGUAGACGCCUUAUAUACUGCAGGUGUAUGGCGGGUCUGUGCACGUACCGGAUAUGCUUCCGCUGGUACCUGGGCGUGACAGAUUAUAGUGGUAUCAGAGCCUAGGGUUGAGUCUUAGUAGACCUAGCAAACCUUAGGCUGGUUGGACUAUAAAAAUAGGCUCGUGAGAGACGAGGUCUAGUUGAGGAUUGUUGCUAGCGAAAGUACUUUGAUUCGGUAAUUUAUAAACUCCGAAUGGUAGGAGUUUGAUCGCAAUGUGCAAUUACUAGCUUUGCAGGGGGCCACGUUGGCGGUUGACAACGUGACAUCGGAUGUUAGUACGCGUUACAUUUCAUUACUUUCGCUUGAUUAGUUGGUUUAUACCUGAAGUAAAGUUCAAUAGUAUAGGUUUUAUUAAUCUAUGUUUGUUUUUGUGCUGCAGCUUAAGAUGCCGUUGACUCGUUCGAAAACAACCGAGGCGGCUGAGGCGGCGGAUGCAGAGGAAGUGGGGACCUCCGUUACUUCUGGAUCUAGUGGGAUCCAUGAGUUGCAGGAUCAGCUCGCGAAGCUGACGGAUUUGGUUGCUCAGUAGGCGGCGGCUGCGCGACAGCAGAUGGAUGCUGCGCGUCGACAGGAGGACGGGAUGAAGAGGUUAGAGGAUUUACUAUUGCGGCAGACGACCGACAGAGAGAUUCCUGAUCCUAUACCUACAGUACCAGACAGGGAUACGACAGUGAGAGCACAGUCACCAGUACCAGAUACACCCCCAGUAGCUCCGAGGGUAGAGCCCCGACAGGAGACAGUUGUACCACCACCCGUGCAUGUGGCUGUGGCAGGGACAGUGUUACCUGAGAUGGUGGGGGUUGAGGAGCGAGAACGGAUGAUGGAAAGGUUAAAUGAGUUUCGUCAUUGCAACCCUCGUGUUUUUGACGGGGAGAAAGCUGAUCAUUGGGUGGUCGAGAAAUGGUUGAUGCACAUGGAGAAACUGUUUUAUGAUACUUUUGUUGAGGAGCGAUAUAGAGUUUGGUUUGCGACGCACCAUCUAGACGGCGAGGCUUACAGGUGGUGGGUGGAUAUCCGUGAGGACCCCCGUGUGGAUUUAUCAACGAUUACCUGGACGAGAUUUAAGGAAUUACUGUUGACAACUUAUUUUCCACAAAGUGUGAAGAGGCAGAUGGAAAGGGAUUUGAGAAACCUGAGGUAGGGGGACAGUACAGUAGCUGAGUAUGAGCGAGAGUUCUCCCGUUUACUUCACUGUGUUCCUUUUGUGGUUUGAGAUGAUGAGGAUAAGGCCCGUAUUUUUUAUGUGGGUUUGCGACCUGCGAUUUUCAGAUUGAUCCAGGCGUCAAACCUUUCUACUUACAGGGAAGUAGUGAAUCGGGCAUUGAUCGUGGAGAAGGGGGCGAAAAUUAUGAAGGAAAGAGAUGUGGUGGAUCGAAGUAAAGGAAAAAGGCCAGCAGCUGAGAGCAGUGGUCAGCAAUCCUUCAGGAGACCGCCGAACUAUCCGAGGGACCAGUCGGGCCAGUCGAGAGGUCGAGGUUUUUCAGCAUCCCGUGGAGCACCCGAGCGUCGUCGACAGCCACGUUGUGUCAUUUGUGGUGGGCCUCACUUUCCACCACAGUGUCUACAACGUGGGGGCAAGUGUUUUAUCUGCGGCCAGGAGGGCCACUAUCGUUCAGAGUGCCCGAGAGGUUCUUCACCUACAUCAUCAUCAGCAUCUGCACCUGCAUCUUCAGCUCCGAGCCAGUGGACCCCGACAGCACCCUCGCAGUACAGACGAUCACCGGGACAGCGGCAGUCUGAGAGUCCUCGGCAGGGUUCGAGUGGGCGUAUGUAUGCCGCCCAGAUUGAGGAGGCCGCAGCAGCGGAGGAGGUCGUAGCAGGUAUCAUUAUGCUUUAUGAUAUUCGUGUUCGUGCAUUGUUUGAUACAUGUGCUUCGCAUUCUUUUAUUGAUCGGCAGUUUGCCGAGUUGCAUAGCAUUCGUUUAGCACCUACUUUGCAUCUGGGACGAGUGAUCGUGCCCGACCAUACCCUAGAAGUUCAUGAGUUUUGCCCUCGCUGCCCAGUUAGGGUAGGCGACUGGAUUAUGCCGGUGGAUUUAUUGACACUACACAAACUUGGUGAGUUUGAUGUAGUAUUGGGUAUAGAUUGGUUGACACAAUAUUAUGCGACUAUAGAUUGCAUGAACAGAACGGUGACCUUUAGGGAACUGGGUCAGCAAGAGUUUGUUUAUAAUGGGUGUCAGAGUUCGUUAUUUGCAAUGACUAUUAGCUCUUCGCAAGCACGACAGUUGAUUCGGAGAGGGUGUGUUGCCUAUUUGGCUAGCAUUUCGGUGAGUGACGGAGGAGCCGUCAAGAUUGAAGAUAUCCCGGUUGUGCGAGAAUUCGGGGAUGUGUUUCCAGCUGAGUUGCCUGGUAUGCCAUCUGAUAGGGAAGUUGAGUUUGUGAUAGAUCUUGUCCCUGGGACUACCCCAAUCUCAAAAGCAUUCUAUAGGAUGGCACCCUCUGAGUUGAAAGAACUGAAGGCACAAUUGCAAGAUUUAUUGGAUAAGGGUUUUAUUCGACCGAGUGUAUCUCCCUGGGGAGCCACGGUAUUGUUUGUUAAGAAGAAGGAUGGAUCUCUUCGAUUGUGUGUGGAUUACCGAGAAAUCAACAAAGUCACAAUCAAGAAUAAAUAUCCAUUACCCAGAAUCGAUGAUUUAUUCGAUCAGCUGCAAGGAUCGAAAGUAUAUUCUAAGAUUGAUUUGCAGUCAGGUUAUCAUCAGCUUAAGAUCAAGCCUGAAGAGGUUUCCAAAACCGCUUUUAGGACACGGUAUGGGCAUUAUGAAUUCACAGUUAUGCCAUUUGGAUUGACAAAUGCCCCAGCAGCCUUUAUGGAUUUAAUGAACCGUGUCUUUAAGCCCUAUCUGGACAGGUUUGUGGUCGUGUUCAUCAACGAUAUCUUGAUCUAUUCUCGAAACGAUGAGGAGAAUGAAAGCCAUCCAAGAGUGGUGUUACAAGUACUUCGAGAAAAGAAACUAUUUGCAAAGUUAAAGAAAUACGAAUUUUGGCUCCGAGAAGUAGCAUUUCUGGGUCAUGUCAUUUCAGAGGCUGGGAUAGCUGUGGAUUCAAAGAAGAUUGAAGUGAUUAAAGAUUGGCCUAGGCCGACUAAUGUCACAGAGAUUCGGAGUUUCCUUGGUUUUGCAAGAUACUACCAAAGAUUUGUAGAAGGAUUUGCAAAGAUGUCUGUAACACACUGGACCUUUGCAAAUUGCGAGGUUCGAGUGUUUGGUUGUAUUUCGAGCUUUUCCACACUUGGUGGAGGGUUGUAAAAUGUUCCCCGACCCGAAAAGUUCGAAAACUGGAACUUUGGACAAGUCCUGAGAGUUUUUACUCUCGGGGACCGGUCCCUGGAAGGAGAGACCGGUCCCCCCAGUGAGCAGUGUUGAGGCAGCCUGAGGCAACCGGUCCCUGGCAGGCGAGACCGGUUCCCGAAAGCGUCUUCGCAGUGAGAGACCGGUCCCGCGCAGGGAGAGACCGGUUCCCGAACGCUGGUUUUUCGGGUUCGCAGCGAGAGACCGGUCCCUGCUGGGGAGAGACCGGUCCCUCUGGGCGAAAACUGCCCAGUCCGGGCUGAUGUAAUUUUGGGUUUUUGAGGGGCCUAACUGGAUUUUGUUACCUUAGAGGCUAUAGGCAGCCUCUCCUCUCCUCUCACUCUCAUUUUCUCUCAACCCUUUGCAUUCUAGAGAGAGAAGGAGAGAGGGAGAAGGAGAAGAAGGAGAAGAAGAGGAGAAGAGCUUGCUUGGAGCACCAUCUCCUUCCUUAUUUCCCACCUUUGGAGGCUUGGAGCUUGCUUUUGGAGCCUUGUGGUGGAUCAAUCUUCAACCCUAGAAGAUUUUGAGCUUGGAUUGGAGCAUCCUAGAGGUAUGUGGCAAGGUUCCUCCCUCUAGAUCUUAGUUUUGGAGCUUUUUGCUAGUUUUAACCCUAGAAAUGAGAUUUAGGGUUGGUUUUGGGGCUUUUUGACCUAGGGCUUUUGAAGCUUAAUUGAUUGGUUUAGAACCUUCCUAGGGCUUGGAUUGGAAGGGUUCUAGCUCUCUUUUGGAGCUUUGGGAGAGAUUUCUACUCUUGAGGUGAGUUUUGCCCCUUUUUGCUCCUAGGUUAAUGUUUGAUCUCUCGGAUGGUCGUAAUGCCCUCGUAUCUCUUCGCUGAUUACUUUUAGGGUAUUUUGGGACUCGGGGACAACUUUGUUCGGCUCAUCGAGACCCUACGCGACGGUUCGGUGGGUUUGACCUAGCCUAUGAUAUGAAAAAUGCUCAUAUAUGGCAAAUAUGUUUCGUAAAAUAGAAAUUCAUGCAUUUUCAUGUUAAAUGUAUUUAAUAUGAAUUUUAGAAUGCUUAACAUGCAUAGGUUAUGUGUAGUAAAUUUUGGGACCUCUAUAUAGUAGAGAGCAUGCAUAUGUGGCCUAGCAUUCUAGUUGAGACUUGAAAUUAUAAUCCCUAUUAUGAAAACGAAUCUUGCUUUCAUGCAUUCAAACUAUAUACCAGUUGUGACAUUAGGGAUUAUUGGAAGCCUAGAGAGGCUUAGAGAUUUAGAGGAUAUGUGAGAUUGGGCCAAUGUCAUGAAGAGGCAUUGGGGCCCGGGACAUAGCGAGCGUUAAUGUUAAUGUCUUAAUUGAAACAUGACCAGUUGUGAAGCUUAAGUGUCAUAAAGAGGCACUAAGCAAGUGCGUGUUGGGACUUCCCAUUAUGACUUUGAACUAGAUCUUCGGGAUGCUAGUGACUUUACCAUGUUAGAGACAUGAGGAUUGGAUACUUGAGACAGUGACUUUGCUUGUUUGCCAUUUGUGCUCAUUCGCACAUGCUUGUGAGGGUUGCUCCCCACAAGCCGGCACUCCGGAGUUGGCCUAUGCGACCUAUGUUCGCUCGUGCGGUAUUGAGAAGCCUACGGGGUCGAGUGGGACAGACACAUUCCAAGAGUAGGAAUGUCGGGCUACCACAGGCACUUAGGCGGCACAAGCUGGACUACCUUGGGUAGGUCCCUAAUUGGAAAUGGAAAUCGACAUGGCUUGAGAAUGAACAAUCACUACUAAAUAGGCAUAGUAGUUGGAUUACAUUUACAUGCAUAUAUCAUAGGGUUGAGACAUGUAGUAUACUUGACAGUUACCUACUUCAUCACAGUGUACUGGGUUGCCAUGAUAGGGCUUAUACAUUAUGUAUGAAUAAAGGGUCGUAACAAUAAACUAUUGCCAUUGGUUGUUUCUCCUUAUGAUAAAAUAGCUGUACAACAUCUUGACAUCUUGCUUAUGAGGGAUAUAGUAGUAUAGCAUUUUACUUAUGCUCUCUCUUUCAGCAGUUUAUUACAUGCUUCUUUCUAUUGCUUGUUGCUAUUACGCUUCUUACCCUUGUUUUUGGGGCCUAGUGGAGCAGGAGCUGAGGUCAGUAAUUGCCCACUGGGAACUAUAAAUUAUAGUUCUCACGCCCUCUUUUUCUUGAUGUUUUUCAGAGCCUUCCACGCAGGGUGAGGCCAGGGAUCGCGGGAAGGGAGUUGCUUCGAGCUAGCUUCCUUCGAGGACGAGUCGCUAGGUGGUCCACCUCUCGAUUUAUGUUUUAUUUUGCGAGAGGUUGAGCGUUUUACCAGUGUACUAGAGACCACCAUUUUUGUACAUUUGAGACAGAUAUUGUACUUCUUAUGACUCCUUUUACUGUCUAGCUUUACUUCUUUACCUUGGUGUAGAUGAUAGAACUAUAUUUGCUCUGAUAUCAUUAGUUGCUAGUUAUUUCACUUCUUCUACUUGUUUUAUUACUUGCUUUUACUUCCGCUUUUAUUGUAGACGUCUUAUAUGUGUUGACAUAUGGCGGGUCUGGGCACGCUACCGGGAGGGCCUCCGCCGGUCCCGGGGCGUGACAAUGUCUACGCCUCUCACUCGACUUACACAUAAAGGAGCUAAAUUCCUGUGGAAUGAAACCUGCGAAAGAAGCUUUCAAGAGCUGAAGGAACGAUUGACCACCGCCCCGAUUCUAGCACUGCCUGUCACUGGAGUAGAUUAUGUGAUUUACAGUGAUGCGUCGCUAAAUGGAUUAGGGUGUGUUCUAAUGCAGAAUGACAGAGUAAUUUCUUAUGCAUCUCGCCAAUUGAAAGAUUAUGAAAAGAACUACCCUACACAUGAUCUUGAGUUAGUAGCUGUGGUAUUUGCUUUAAAACUUUGGCGCCACUACCUCUAUGGCGAGCGUUGCGAGGUUUACACCGAUUAUAAAAGCUUAAAGUAUUUGUUUACUCAGAAGGAAUUAAACUUGAGACAACGUAGAUGGUUGGAGUUGCUCAAGGAUUAUGAUUUGACCAUCCUCUAUUAUCCAAGAAAAGCUAAUGUUGUAGCAGAUGCUUUAAGUCGAAAACCGACGAAAAAUUUGGCGAUGUCGAUAACUAUGCAACCGCUGUUGGUAAAGGAAAUGGAGCAGUUGAAUUUGAAAGUUGUAGCUCCUGACACGCCUUGGAGACUUAUGUCCUUGGUGGUGCGACCUACCCUGAUCGAUCGAAUUAAAGAAAAGCAAGCUCAGGAUGAAUUCCUGCAAAAGAUUCGAGCAAAAAUCACUACUGAUCAUGUUAGUGAUUUUCGAGUGGAUGAUCAGGGACUGUUGAAAUUCGGUGAUAGACUUUGUGUACCGGGAGAUUCUGGUAUUAAAGAAAAGAUUCUAGAAGAAGCACAUCGUGCGCCGUAUUCUGUACAUCCUGGGAGUACGAAAAUGUAUAAAGAUUUGAAGUUAACUUACUGAUGGCCUGGAAUGAAAAAGAAAAUUGCAGAUUUUGUGGCCAGAUGCUUAACCUGUCAGCAGAUUAAGGCUGAACAUGAACUUCCUGCAGGAAAACUACAAAGCUUACCCAUACCAAUGUGGAAGUGGGAGAGGAUCACUAUGGAUUUUAUUAUUGAAUUAUCUCGCUCACAGGCAGGUCACAAUGCCAUUGGGUAAUUGUGGAUAGAUUGACCAAAUCUGCCCACUUUAUUCCGAUUCAUACAGUUUGGUCAAGAGGGAAGUUACCUAGAUGAAAUUGUUUCUGAUUGAGAUAGAUUGACCAAUUCCGAUUCCGAUUCCGAUUCCGAUUCCGAUUCCGAUUCCGAAAUUGUUUCCGAUUCCGAUUCAUACAGUUUGGUCAAUCUAUCUUUGUGGAUAGAUUGACCAAAUCUCGCACAAGUGUACCUAGAUGAAAUUGCGCGAUUACAUGGAGUACCAGCCUCUAUUGUUUCUGAUUGAGACACCCGAUUUGUUUCACAUUUCUGGAGGAGUUUACAGGAGGCCUUGGGUACCCGAUUGGAUUUUAGUACUGCUUUCCACCCCCAGAGUGAUGGGCAGUCCGAGCGUACCAUCCAGACCCUUGAGGAUAUGUUGAGGGCCUGUGUGAUUGAUUACCAGGGCAGUUAGCCACAGUUCCUACCGAUGGCUGAAUUUGCUUAUAACAAUAGUAAUCAAGCAAGCAUUCAGAUGGCACCGUUUGAAGCCCUUUAUGGUAAAAAGUGCAGAUCACCACUUCAUUGGAGUGAAGUGGGGGAGAGAUUAGUUUUGGGUCCAGAUGUGUUACAAGAGGCUGAAGCUAAAGUUCAACUUGCACGAGAACGUCUACUGACAGCUCAAAGUCGACAAAGAAGCUAUGCGGAUAAACGUCGGCGAGAAUUGGAAUUUCAAAUUGGCGAUCAUGUAUUCUUGAAAGUCUCACCAUCAAAGGGGGUUAAGAGAUUUGGUAUUCGAGGGAAGUUAAGUCCUCGAUUUAUUGAACCCUACGAGGUGUUGGAGCGGAUAGGCCCCGUAGCGUAUCGGCUUGCUUUACCGCCGAACCUAUCGGGAGUGCAUAAUGUGUUUCAUGUUUCUACACUUCGAAAGUAUGUUUUUCAUCCAAACCACGUACUUGAGAGUAUCCUAGUGGAUUUACGAGAAGAUUUGAGCUUUGAGGAGCAUCCAGUGAAAAUCCUAACUCGAGAAGUAAAACGGCUUCGAAACCGCGAGAUACCCUACGUAAAGAUACUUUGAAGCAAUCACGAUGAACGGGAAGCCACUUGGGAACUUGAGAGUGCAAUGCAAGAGCACUAUCCCUACCUUUUCUCGACGGAAUCUUGAGGUAAGUAUUUACAAGUUUCGCGGAUGAAACUUCUUUUUAGGAGGGCUGAAAUGUAAUACACUGAACUUUUGCAAAUUGUGGAGUUCGAGUGUGUCAAAUGAUAUGUGGAACAUCCUACAUGUUCUAAAAGGUUUGGACAAGUUUUUGGACAAGUUAGAGAGUGAUUGGAUGUCUAAAAGCAAGAAAGUGCAUUGUUGUGGCCUUUCUCUCGAAUUUUUGCAUUGUGUACCGGUACAACAUUAAUGCUGUACCGGUACAGCAAGCAGUAGAGGCAGCAGGUGUGUGGCAGCAGGGAUUUUUUGGUCUUUUGGCAUCUAAUCGUAUCCCUACAGCUAUCUGGUCGACCCCUGAAGUUGCUGGAAGGCCCUUAGAGCUCAGAACAAGCUUCUUCUCUCUCUUUCUUUUUUUCUCUCUCUAGGGUUUCUCUCUCUCUAAGUAAAAUUCGCCGUUACGCGCCGAUUUUGCGCCGAGCUCGUUGCUCGCUGAUUGGAGGACUCGAGGAAAGUCUUUGGAACGUGGAGAAGAGAAGUUUUGCUGAGUUUCCUGUAAGGUUACCACCAGGAAAAGCUGAAUCCCAGCUUUAGAAAGGUAAUUAGCUCACUAUCUCUCUAGUUUGUGGUUUAAUAUUGGAUUUUGACGCAUUUUGGUUCCGUUGCGCCGUAUUCUGUACAUCCUGGGAGUACGAAAAAGUAUAAAGAUUUGAAGUUAACUUACUGAUGGCCUUGAAUGAAAAAGAAAAUUGCAGAUUUUGUGGCCAGAUGCUUAACCUGUCAGCAGGUUAAGGCUGAACAUCAACUUCCUACAGGAAAACUACAAAGCUUACCCAUACCAAUGUGGAAGUGGGAGAGGAUCACUAUAGAUUUUAUUAUUCAAUUAUCUCGCUCACAGGCAGGUCACAAUGCCAUUUGGGUAAUUGUGGAUAGAUUGACCAAAUCUUCCCACUUUAUUCCGAUUCAUACAGUUUGGUCAGGAGAGAGGCUCGCACAAGUGUACCUAGAUGAAAUUGUGCGAUUACAUGGAGUACCAGCCUCUAUUGUUUCUUAUUGAGACACUCGAUUUGUUUCACAUUUCUGGAGGAGUUUACAGGAGGCCUUAGGUACACGAUUGGAUUUUAGUACUGCUUUCCACCCCUAGAGUGAUGGGCAGUCCGAGCGUACCAUCCAGACCCUUGAGGAUAUGUUGAGGGCCUGUGUGAUUGAUUACCAGGGCAGUUAGCCACAGUUCCUACCGAUGGCUGAAUUUGCUUAUAACAAUAGUUAUGAAGCAAGCAUUCAGAUGGCACCGUUUGAAGCCCUUUAUGGUAGAAAGUGCAGAUCACCACUUCAUUUGUCACGCCCCGAUGCCGCUACCAAUUUGGUCCGGUUCGGGCGCGUCGAACAGACGCCGAACGGACAGCACCUCUCCUGUCCGCCCAAGGCUAAACAACCAGAUCAUGUACAAACAAGCGCCCAGAAAUGCUUAUAUAACAUACAUGAUCGAACAUAGCGCACACAAGUGCAAUCCAUCUAAGAGCAAGAACCACAAGUAAUAUACUAGUGUAUAAAGAGAGAUAGUGUAACUAUUACAUUCAUUCAAUAGUCACAUCAUUUGAUUGCAUUACAUUUUUCAUCUACCAAAAUGUAAAUACAUAUUUUCCUCAAAAUACAAGUAGCUCUCCCAUAUCUAUCGAAACAUCAUCUAGUACACGAGGGUACUCUAAUGCAUAAAGGAAAAGCUACCAACUAAACUCACUUAGGGUGCUAUGCCCUUACCGCGGUCCUCGCUUGACUCGCCUCUGUGUGUACCUGUACUCCAAAACCACACGGGGUGAGAACUAUAUAAAUAUAGUUCCCAGUGGGUUCGGCCGCCGACGCCGCCGGUUUUCCCACUAGGUCUAAGCUGGCACAGAUAGAGAGAUAGAUAGAUAUAUAAAGGUAAACUGCAACUACUCUAUCAUGCCACCAAUGAUAAUAAUGCAUGCAACAACUACUAUCAUGCUAGUAUCAUGUCAUGAGUGUAUAAAGGAGCAUAGUAAUGUAACUACAACAUACACUAUGUCUACUCAAGGUAAUAAUGCAAGUCUACUAUGCAUUUCAUGUUUCUUACCCAAUUCACUUGGUUAACCCGAAGGUUAAACCCUCGACUCACUCUCAAUCUCAUAGGUGAGGAGAAACUGCACUCGCACACCGAGACCGUCUGCGGGACAACUACGUCUGCCCCUAGUGAAGUACUCCGGAGACUCAUGCUUCGAUGGAGCGACCACCGACAAGCAAAACAGACUAGUGAGUAUGAUCCAAUCCUCUCAAGAGGAUACCCUGUCUACUAGGGUCAAUGUGCCUCUGCUGCACAGUCAUGAUAUAUAAUCAAUGUUGGGACCUCUACCAUCCCUAGGUUCAUGUCAAGUUUACUACCUUAGACUCAAUGCCACUCGUUCGAUCAUUGUAGUAAGUUUUCUACUAAUUGACAUGCCACUCGUUCAAGUUUAGUGUCUCUACUACACUAGUCCAAUGCCACUCUACUAGGCUAUGUCCAAGUUCGGCUCUUUAUGCCGCUAUAGGAUUCUAUGCCAUAAGACCCAAUCCUCAUGCUACCCUAGUCUAGGUGUUCAACUCAUAGGUACACUACUAAGGAGCAUGUAAGGAAAAAGGAAAUAUAUAUUUAUUAAUCCUAUAAUGCAAUAUGAUCAACACUUAUGUAACUUAGACAUAAAAAGAAACCCGGAUGUUCCGGAAUGACACCCCCCACCUUUAGUGUUUACGGAGGCUCUAAAAGUGUGCCUCGGCGUCCUUUACGACGAAGCCUCGGUCUUCUUGUCCAAAGCGAUGCUACAAGGCCUCAAAUGAGAUCAAUCCCAUACUUUACCGAAAAACCCUAUUUUGGUGCCCUAGGGUUAGCAUCAAGCUAAACCCACCUCAAAACCCUAGAUUCUAGCUCUAAUCCUUCCAUUCAUGGUGCUAGGGAUCCAUUUGAUCCCAUCCAAAGAGCUAAAACCCAAAAACCCCAAAUCUCACAAGCUAGGGUUAGAAGCUUACCUCUAAGGUGCGUGAGUGACGUGAACCUAUGCGUUGUGGCGGGAGUUGAUUCGAUUGGGUCGAAGUUGUUGAUAAUAUGUUUCUAGUAGUUACUAGAGACAGGUUCAAGUGGUAUUAAUUCUCGACUUGAAGUGGUUGUGUUGGGCGGCCGACAACAUGACACUAAGAGUUUAGAACAAGUACACUUGUCUGCUUCCGCCUAAUUUGCGAUGUUGAGUCGUUUUAUCUCGUAAUUGCGUGAGUUUAACGGGUUAAGAUGAUUGACCAAUGUUUGUGUUUCAGGAGCUGAUGUCCCCGAGACGCUACGUGCGUAGAUCCGUUGCGGCACCACCUCCCGUGGUGCCAGAGCAGGCUGGACCUCCGGUGGCGCCAGAGCCUGCUGGGCCUAGCGAGGUGCAGGAGUUACGAGCGCAAGUUACCGCGCUAACCAGUCAGGUCGAGCGGCUCCAGGAACUUUUGGAGCGGCAAGUGGCGGCGGCGGCCGCGACGGCAGUUGAAGGCCGUGGUCCGCCCGUGCACUCGGCUCGCGCGCCUAAUGCGGCUGAGGGUGUGGGCAUUGCGGCAGCUCCGGCGGCGGCGCAUCCCCCUCCAGCAAGUGUUCCUCCGGCGGCUUCGGGUUCGGCGAUACCCGAUGCGGCGGCCGAGGAGAUGGAGCGAGAGCGUUCGUUGACGGCUAUUAUUAGAUUCAAGAAGUUCAACCCGCCAAUCUUUGAAGGGGAGAAAGUGGAGCCGUCGAUGGUGGAAUCAUGGAUUGACUCAAUGGAGACACUUUUUGAGGAUCUCUAUACCUCGGAGAAAGACAAGGUGUAUCUCGCCACCCAUUGCCUCGAGAAAGCGGCGAAGGUGUGGUGAAAGCGGGUGAAGCGAGAUCGGCCUUCUGACCUUCCACCUAUGUUAUGGGAGGAGUUCAAGAGGGAAAUGUUUGGAAAUUACUUCCCCGACACCGAGAAGCGGAAGUUAAAGGAGAUGUUCCACAAACUGAGACAGGGGGAUCGUUCCGUGGCGGACUACGAGCAGGAGUUCUCCCAUAUCAUAGACUGUGUCCCAGACGUGGUCAAGGAUGACGGGGACAGGGCCGAAUGGUUCUUGCGGGGACUUCGGCCAUGGAUAUAUCGGGCAGUGCAAUUGUUCCAGCUCACGACUUUCGCCGAGGUUUUCAAUAAGGCGCUGUGGGCAGAGCAUGGUGAUGCCCACGUGCGAGAGGAGCGCGAGGCGUCCGAGAAGGACAGGGGAAGAAACGACCUGACGGUAGCUCUGGGGGACAGUCAAGUUCCAAAACGCCCCCGAAGUACCUGAGAAGGCAGUCCGAGAGCCAGGGACCCUUGCGAUGUGUAAUCUGCGGUGGGGAGCAUCGCGCAGGGAAUUGUGAGCAUAAGGCGGGACGGUGCUUCAGGUGUGGUCGGGCGGGGCAUAUUAGCCGUCAGUGCCCAAAGGGAUUGUCACCUGCCCCGACUGCAGCAUCCGCCCCGGCGGCUCCGAGGCAGUUUGGUGGAGUUCCGCCUGCUGCCAUAUCCACGGGACGUGCAAUGGCGCCGCAUCAGCUUGAGGUGACCCGGUCGGCUACGAGUAGUCGAGUGUUUGCCGCUAAAGUGGAGCGACCUGCUGGGGUCGAGGAGCGUUACAUCGUGCCAGGUAUGAGUUAAUUAAAGCAAUCAUAUGCUUCUGCAUGAUGUAGACUUAAGAAAUUGCAUGCAUUUACGUUGUGGCCGUUUGCUACUAUUUGUGCAUUGGUAUAGUAGGGACCAAGUGAACGGGUUGGUGUAGAUACCCGAGCAUGCUUAUGUGGUGAGAGUGUAGCGCCUGCUGGAGCAGGUAGAUAGCUAGAUAGCACUAGCAAAAUGCUGGUGAUGAUUGUUGGACGAAAAGUAAGACUCGUGGUAGAGCGAUCGAUUAGUGGCCAAGUAUUGGCACGUGGGCCUAGUAGUGCCUCGAAUUGAGGUGGGCGAAUCAUGCCAGUGUGGCCGGUGUGCAUAGGCAGGGUUGCGUAAUCCUGGACUUAGAGUACGGCGUAUAGAGCGCUCGAGUGUAGAUACUAGUAGAGUGUGGAUUGGAUUCAGCCGAGAGAGUGUGAUGGGAGUAGCACUUCAGCAUUGCUAAGUGUGAAGCGAGCCAUGAAACUCAUAAGGCUGGCGGCUCGCACUAGGUGUUUAGGAGCCCAUAGUGGUACUUAUAGCUCGAUAGAGUAUGUCGUGUAGGACGACGACGGUGGGUAUCGCUUGGGGACGAUCCGUGCCUAGACCAUUUGUGGACUGUGGAGCCUGGGCCCUUUGGGCAGGCGCAGUUAGCUGUGAGUGACAGCGGGUCGGUGCCUACGGGUAGGGCAGGGUUUUGGUCAGAACGGUAGUCCGAGCUUAGACCCGGGAGCGUGGAAUGCCACGUAUUGGAUCGUGAGAUCGAUGAGAUACCGAGAGUUUGAUUAUGACCCAACUCGAGGACUUGACGUGGUUUGGAGUCAUGGUUGCUCCUGUUCGGAGUGCGUGCGAAUUUUCUAAUGAGAAUUUCGCCCAAUGAUGAUUGGGUCUACGAUCCGAGCGAGAGACGCUAUGCGUAGUUGCGAUAGGUUUAGCCGCUAGGCCUACGUAGUAUUUGUGACCGUUGGUCCCCUGUGGGAGCUGACGUAAUUGGUUCAGCCGAUGACUCUGUGGAUGAGUUGGAGUAAGGAAGUGAAUUCUCGAAAUACGAGAAUUGGACUUCGCUCAAGAUCGACUAAUUGUCGAUUGAGAGUGCUUCGUAAAAGCCGAAGAAGUCAAAUGCACCAAAAGUGCAUUGCAAUGGAGUCCGCGAGAGCAUGGUGCAAGAAUCUAUACUUGGCAGAUUUGCUCUCGGGGACCGGUCCCUGGCGGGAGGGACCGGUUCCCGAACGUUGUCUGCGCAAGCUUGCUCUCGGGGACCGGUCCCAAGAAGGAGGACCGGUUGCCCCGAGGUUGAGGGUUGCGCAGCGCGGGGCAACCGGUCCCCUGGCAGGAAAGACCGGUCCCCGAGCGUGAAACUUGCCCAGGCAGGCUGGGUUAUGUUGGAGGAGUUGGAGAACUUGAAGAUAGCGCUCUUUCGUGGAUUGAGGUUCGAGAGAUGUGCCGCGGUAGGCCAUCUCAUAGUAGAGCAAUCUGAGGUUAGAAGUGGCAAUUGAGAGGUAAGGGAAAGUGGUCUCUUGGAGACACUUGAAUACCGGAUAGCCACAUGGAAUUGUGGACAAUGCUCUCUUGAGGAUUGGAAGUCGAGAUAUGCCGGGGUAGGCCAUCUCGUGGUAGAGCAAGGUCCGAAUGUGGUUAGAACACUCGCGAUUGGGUGAUGCACCAAUGAUAUUGCUUUUGAGCAAUGUUGGUGAUCGAAUCGGAAUGCCCCGAGGAGGAAAGUGAAUGCAAAGAAGAGUUCUUGCAUGCCGAAUGGUGAAUGGUGUUGGAGCACGUAGAGUCGUUGAGCUUCGACUUGCGCUACCACCAAGAAUGGCGGAGACUCGUAAUGCACUUUCGGAGCUACGCUUAGCAAGAGUGAGUGAAUCUAGUCUCACAUCCCCCGUGGUAGACCUUUGGAUGAUUCCAAUGAGUGAAAGGCCACCCCGGAGUAUAAAAGUGCAUUAGAACCCUAUGUCGCUCGAUACGUCGAGUUGAGGUGUGAAUUGGGUUUGAAGUGAGUUAGUUUCGAGGACGAAACUCCUUUUAAGGAGGGGAGGAUGUAAGGUACCGGACUUCUAAAAUUAUGAAGCUACGGUGUAAAUUUGAUUGGAGAGCCAUUUGAAGGGUUCCGGUGAAGUUCGGUGAAGUUUGGAAGCAUCCGGGCGAUUCGGUGCGCGUAGGCGCGAAAACGGGACCCGAAAGACUAUGUCGGACCAUGAACUAAAUUCGGCAUUAGCGGGGAUGAAAAGAUGAUGAAAAUACGCUCGAAAACAUGUUUGGAGAGUCUUGGUUCGAUUUGAAAAGAAUCGGAGGUCAAACGAGCAAAAACGAGCGAAAACGGACCCCAAAAACGAAAAAGGCUGAAAUUUGGCUAAGUCCUAAAAAUGCUGAAAUUCUGGUCCUUCGGGGACCAGUCUCUCACUGCCUGGGACCGGUCCCAAAGUGCGAAAACCACCCAGUUUGGGUUGUUGCAAGGUUGGAGAAGUAAAGGGGCUUAUUUGGAAAUGUUACAAUAUGAGAGGGGGUUAAGAGAGCAUUUUCUCUCUCUCUUUCUCUCAUUUCCCUCACUCCCUCACAUUUCUCUCUCCCUCUCUCUCUCUCUAAAUGAAAAGGAAGAAGAGAAGAAGAAGAGGAAGGGGAAGGAGACAAAGAAGAAUAAGAAGGAGAAGAAGAUCAAGGAGAUCAACUUCUCCAUCUUCUUCAUGAGCUUGGAGUAAGCUUUGGAGAGGUAAGCUUAAGCUCUUUAAUGGUGAUUUCUUAGGGUUGGGUUUUCAUACUCUAAGAAUGGUUUAGAUGGAAUCCUAGCAAGUGUAGUUGAUGUUUAAUACUUGAAUCCAAAGCUUUGAUGGUGGAUUUUCCCUAGUUGCAAUAUAAGGCUCCAAAUGAGGACUUUAAUGGUAGAUCUCUAAAGAGAGGUCUAAAUGCCUUGGAAAUGGUUUGAUUGGAACCCCAGCAUGCUUAGAAGAUGCUUAAUGCUAGGAUUUAGAGAUUUGUUGGAGUUAAUUGCAUGAAUGCAAACCUAGGGUUAAAAUGGGAUUUUUGUAAAUAUAGGGGUUUGAUCUCAUUUGACCCUCUGUAAACCUAAUUGCUAGGUAUACCGACGCGUUGGCGAAGUCGGUUCGUCGAUUCAUCGAGCGGGUGCAAAAAUAUCGAAGAAAAGGCUUGUUGAGGUACAGAUUGCCACAGCUCACGGCGAAAGCUUCCUAAAAUCGCGAAAUCAGAAUCGUGGGCUCGUGGCAUCACCUAAAGGUGGGGGGUGUCUAUCCGAAGAAAUCGGGCUUCCUUCUAUGUCCGAGUUAGAUCUUUGGUCAUAUUGCACAUAUGUUUCUUAUGCAUUAUAGGAUGUAUGUAUUAUUAUAUUUCUACUUUCCUUGAAUGCAUGUCUAGUAUUGUAGUAUUAUGGACUUGACACCUAAAUCUAGAAUGCAUGAGGACUAAGGUUUAGACAUGAGAUCCUAUAAUGAAAAGAAAAUAAAGAACUUGGACUUGAUAAUGAAACUAGUGACAUGUGAACUAGUGUAAUGGAGAUUGUAUGCAUGUAGCAUUAUGAAUGGAUUGCAUGCUAGUUGAUAAUGGCAUAUUAGCAUUAUGAAGAUGUAUACUAGAUGUAUGAUGCAUGUUGGCUUUAUAGAACAUAUAUGCUAGAUGAAAAUGAAUGCUAACCUAUUGUUAAUUAUGGAGAUUAUGAGGCAUGUGGCAUCUAAACCUAGUCUCGUGAACCUAGGAUAGAUUGAGUGGCAUUAACAUAAUGUUGUUAAACAUAGGUUGACAUUAAACCUAGUGUUGUGGAACCUAGAGUUGAUUAGACCUAGGUAAGUGGCAUCGAGAUUUAGUGUGGUUGAGACACUUGACAUGGACCUAGGGAUAGGUUGAUUAUCAAGUGAUGGUUAACCUAGUUGACAGGGUAUCUUCAAUUGGCGAGGAUUGGAUCAUACUCACAUAGUCUGUUUUGGGCUUGUGGCGGUCGCUCCCCACAAGCAGUGCACUCCGGAGUUGUCACACGAGCAGGGUAGCUCACGAGCGGGGUAGCUCAUCGGGUGGGAUACGAGUGGGGUAGCUCCUGUAACGCCCCGGGACCGGCGGAGGCCCUCCCGGUAGCGUGCCCAGACCCGCCGUAUGUCUACACAUAUAAGGCGUCUACCAUAAAGUGGAAGUAAAUGCAAGUAAUAGAACAAAUAGAAGAAGUGAAUAACUAGCAACUAAUGAUAUCAGAGCGAGUACAGUUCUAACAUCUACACCAAAGUAAAGAAGUAAAGUUAGACAAUAAAAGGAGUCAUAAGUAGUACAAGAUCUGUCUCAAAAGUACAAAAGUGGUAGUCUCUAGUACACUGGUAAAACUCUCAACCUCUCGCAAAAAGAAAUAUAAAUCGAGAGGUAGACCACCUAGCAACUCGUCCUCGAAGGAAGCUAGCUCGAAGCAACUCCCUUCCCGCGAUCCCUGGCCUCACCCUGCGUGGAAGGCUCUGAAAAACAUCGAGAAAAAGAGGGCGUGAGAACUGUAAUUUAUAGUUCCCAGUGGGCAAUUACUGACCUCAGCUCAAUGCACCACUAGGCCCCCAAAAAAAAAAGGGUAAGUACAAUAAUAAUAGCAAUAAUAACUGCGAUAUGAAAGCAUAAUUAAAAGGCUAAAUUAUUAAACUCGAGUAUACACGAUGUCAUGGUGAUAUACAUCUACGAUAUCAAAAUAAUAUGACAUUAAUCUUGAAGAAUACAUUAUGCAUAAGUUCUGUCAUGGCAACCAAGUAUGCUUUAAUGCAAAAGGAGACUAUCAAGUAUACUACAUGUCUCAACACUAUGCUAAAAGCAUAUAAAUGUCAUUCAACUACUAAACCUAUCUAGUAGUGAUUAACCAUUCUCAACACCGUGUCGAUUUCCAUUUCCAAUUAAGGACCUACCAAAGGUAGUCCAUUUGUGCCGCCUAAGUGCCUGUCGUAGCCCAACAUCCCUACUCUUGGAAUGUGUCUGUCCCACUCGACCCCGUAGGCUUCUCAAUACCGCACGAGCGAACAUAAGUCGCGUAGGCUAACUCCGGAGUGCCGGCUUGUAGGGAGCGACCCUCACAAGCAUGUGCGAAUGAGCACAAAUGGCAAGCAAGCAUAGUCCAAGUCUCAAAUAUCCAAUCCUCAUGUCUCUAACAUGGUAUGGUCACUAGCAUCCCGAAGAUCUGGUUUAAGUCACAAUGUGAAGUUUCAACAUUUGCUACGCCUAGUGCCCCUUGAUGACACUUAGGCAAUUUGAUGUUCAACAUGUAUUCCAAAUCCCUCAAUGGCCCUAUCCGCUAGGUUCUCACAUGUCCCGAGGUCAAUGCCGCUUGAUGACAUUAGCUCUCUAGUUCACAUACUUUCUAAAUGGCAAUUUUAUCAACUUUCACGUCACAAGUAAACUUAAGUUUAAAUACAUGAAUCCGAACUCAUUUACACUAUAGAAGCAUGAAACCAAGUCUCAUAAAGAAUGCUAAAUGCAACCAUAGAUCUCCCAAGCAACUCUCUACUACAUAGAGGUCCAAAAUUUCAUCAUAUGUAACAUAUGCAUUUUAAGCAUUCUAAAAUUCACAAUAAAUACGUAUAACAAGAAUAUGCAUGCUUUUUCAUUUAACGAUACUUAAUUAAGCACAAAUGAGAAUUCCUCAUUGUGUGGCUAGGUCAAACCCACCGAACUGUCGCGUAGCGCCUCGUUUCGCCGAACAAAGUUGUCUCCGGGUCUCAAAAUACCCUAAAAGUAUUGAGCGACAAGAUACACGGGCAUUACGAUCAACUAUAAGCUCAAACAUUAACCUAGAAGCAAAAAGGGCCAAAACUCGCCUCAAGAGUAGAAAAUCUCUCUCAAGCUCCAAAAGAGAGCUAAAUCCCUUCCAAUCCAAGUCCAAGGAAGGUUCUAAACCAACUAAUUUAGGUCCAAAAGCCCUAGAUCAAAAAUGCCCAAAUAUGAGCCCUAAAACCUCAUCUAGGGUUUCAUCUCAAAGAAACCUCCAAAAUUCAAAUCUAGAGGAAAAGAUCUAGUCACUUACCUCUAGGAAGCUUCAAACCAAGCUCAAAGUGCUCAAACUUCAAGGAUCAACCCUCAACCAAGCAUAAACCCAAGCUCCAAUGGUGGGAAAAGCCUCCAAUCAAGCAAAAAAAAGCAAAAAAGAGGUUUAAUCUCUUAAAAUCCUACCAAAAUCCAAAUAGAUCAAAAGAAAAUCAAAGAGGGCUCCCUUACCUCUCCUCUUGCUGGUCCCAAGCUCAGGAGAAGACCUCUAGGGCGUGGGGGGUACUAAUAAGAAGUUCACAAUCGCAAAAAGCCCCCUGCAGUUCAAAACGCACGAAAUCAGCCCCCUUGUACCGGUACACGGGCUCUUGUACCGGUACAAGGUCCACGAAAUCCAAACCCGAGUCUCGGGUUGCUAGGCUCUGCGGCUCUGUACCGGUACAAGCUCCGAUGGCUGUACCGGUACAACCAUCAACCUUGUACCGGUACAAGCACAGCCUUGUACCGGUACAAGCCUGCCAGAACUCAAUCCGAGAGUCAGCCAAAUCCCCUUUUUUCGGGUUUUGGUGCAAGGCUUUGUACCGCAAAUCUCGGGACACGUGCCAUAGGUCGGAACACAGUCAACGACCCACCAGAAAAUCUGGAAAAGCUCAGAACACGGCCAAUCACUCGAACCUCGCAAUUUGCAAAGGUCCAGUGUGCUACAGCUCCCCACCCAUUGGACUGGGAAGUGAGUCGGGAGAAGGGCGGGGUAGCUCUUCUCCUGUGAGAUUUGAGCGGGGUAGCACUUUACCUCUGAGCGGGGUAGCUCUUUACCUACGAGCGGGGUAGCUCUUGACCUAUGAGUUUGAGUUAGAGUCGGGGCGAAGAGCGGGGUAGCUCUUGCCCUUAGGCAUUUGAGUCAUGAGUUGGGCGAGGAGCGGGGUAGCUCUUCACCUAUAAGACUUGAGAUCUGAGUCGGGUAAGAGCGGGGUAGCUCUUUACCUAUAGUGUUAGAGUUGUGGGACGGGUGAAACAAGGGCGGGGUAGUCCUUCACCUAUGUGAUUUGAGACAAGGGCGGGGUAGCCUAGUAGAUUGGGUAAAGACAUGAAUUGCAUAAGUGGAUCCGCAUUCAUACCAUGAUUAGACAUAGUACACUGCAUAACUAUGUUGUAGUUGUAUAUAUUUCAUUGUUAAAGCAUACUAGCAGGAUAAAUGAUGUUGCAUGCAUUCCUUGCAUUUGGUGGCAUAGUAGAUAUAGUAGCAGUUUAUUUCUUAUAUCUCUCUAUCUAUCUAUCUGUCACGCCCGGGACGAUGCCAAUUUGGCCGACCGAGCACGUCAAACAGACGCCGAACAGACAGAGUUUCCUAUCCGCCAAGGCUCAUCACAUGUUACAUUUUCAUCAAUAGAGAAAAGCACUAGCGGAACAUACACAAAACGGCUUACACGAGGGUAAGCAAUAGCCAUUAGUGAAAGAAAAAGGAACGAAACAUUCACAGUAAUAUGAUUCAUUUUAGAUCAUAUACAUUGUAUCUAUCCAACUUGAACAUCCAAAAUCUUUCAUUCUUUCAUCAUUUCUUUACUACAUUUACCUCAAAAUGAACAUUACAUUCUUUUCUUUACUUUGCUUAUACAUCAACAUCUUAAAUCAUCAAAUACAAAAGAUGAUAAAAGGGAAACUACUAACAAAAUGUAACCCAACUCCGGUGGCCUCUGAUACGGUGCAUACCUUUACCGCGGUCGCUCGCGGCUCGCUCGGUCCCGGCUCUGUGGAAAUAGUGGGUGAGAACUACAACAAAGUUCCCAGUGGGUUCGGCCUCAACAUCACCGACUUUCCCACUAGGACUAACUCAGGCAUAAUAGAAGAAAAUAGGCUGUAAAUAGUAACCAAACUAUACUUAAUGCUAAUAUGCCUGAACAAUUAGCAGGAAUAUUGCUCAACAUUAACAAAUGCAGGUUAUGCAUGUUCUUUAGUUCUUUGCACUUUACACUUUGUUCUUUCUCUUUGUUCUUUAUUCUUUACUCUUAAUCAUUAAGGCUAACCCGGCGUUCGCCACAUUAACUUGCUUCACAUUAAGUCCAUCAUCGCAGGAACUCACCAGCUAGGACCGUCCUUACGGGUUUACUCCAACCCGGAUGCAUAACUCCGGAGCGCAUCGCCCGAGGGGGAGCGACCACCCUCGAGCACGGAACUCAUAGCAAGUAUGAUCAUAUCCUUAACUCAAAGGAUUAUAAGUUCAAUCUUGACUUUACACUAGCUCUAGUGUUCUUUACAUCACUUUAUGUUGCAAGCUCAUGCAAUCACAUUCUUUACAUUUUCAUUACUCUUGCUAACUCUAGCAUUCUUGUUCUUAUUGCCCACUUUACUUUAACUUUACACUUGGUCACUUUCUUCAUUCUUUACAUCACUUUAGUUCUUUACAUUACACUAACUCUAGUGUCAUUUCACAUUAGCUUCAUCGAAUGCCACUCGAUCUAUGUCAUUGUGUCACUCUGUUCUUUUGCUCACUUUGGGUGCUCACAUUUUUUCUCAUGCAUACAUCUAGGGUUUUGACAUUAUUAGGUUCUCAACCAUCUCAUUAUGCAAGUUGUGUUCACAAUCAUGCAAUCAUCACAUUUCAUCAUUACUUUACCCUAAUAUGCAUGCAACAAUAUAAAUUCAUAUGCUCAAGGAAUGACACAUUAGGCAUAGAGAGAAUUUCAAUGAGUUUGAGAAGCACCACCCACCUUGUAGGUCACUUUAGGUGCUUCGACGAUUUUCUUGGGAUUUUUAAUCGCCCGGUUCACUACCUGCGGCAAAACGAACCCCUAUUAGGCCAUUUUGCCCAUAACUUUUCAUCGGCUUUUCGUAACGUUAAUCCGAGCGCACCAACGCGUCAGAAAUACCCCCAAUUAGGUUUUUAGAGGGUCAUUUGCACUUAGAAACCCUCAUGAGCAAAAGCCCCAAUUUGGUGCCCUAGCUCCAAUGCAUAUACAAAACCUAGGGUUUGAUCUCAUUGGGAAGCAAAAGUAGCUUCAUUAUACUCUAAAUAGUCCAUUAGAACCAUUCUUAGCCUUUCCAAAACCCUAGUUUGGAUUUCACCAUUAGAGGUGGUCCAAGCUCACCUCUAAAGCAAACCUAGGUUUUGAUCUCUAAAGAAGCAAAGAGAAAGCUUCAAAAACUCUAAACAAUCCAUUAAAACCAUUUCUAGGUUCAUUCAAGCCCAUUUCUAGGAUUUUAGCAUGAUUAGGGUUGAAGCUUACCUCAAAGCUUUCCCUAACUUGCACUAGAGAGGAAGAAGAUGAAGCCUCUUUGCUCCAAAAGCUUCUUCUUCACCUUCUUCUCCUUCUUUUCCUUCCUUUCUUUCCUUCUUCUUCUUCUCCUUUGCCUUCUAGAGAGAGAGAGGGAGAGAAGAGAGUGUUUGAGAGGGUGGGAAUGAGAGAAAAUCUCAUUAACCCUCAAUACAUAGCUAUUGGGUUGCAAAAUUGCAGCUAAACCCCUCAACUUUCACUUUAAUACACUGCCCGAACUGGGCAUUCCGCGCAGGCAGAGACCGGUCUCCCCGAGCAGGGACCGGUUCCCGAACGUUGUCCCAGCGCAGCCAGAGCUGCUGCGCGCAGUGCAACCGGUCUCUCCUUAUGGGACCGGUCUCUGGGGGACCGAUCUCUCAGGCAGAGACCGGUUCCCGAGAGCUGAUCUUCCAGGACUUAGCCGAUUUUUCGGCUGUCUCAUUUCAUACGCGUUCGGGGACCGGUCUCUCCCCUCAGGGACCGGUCCCCGAGAGCUGAAAAUCUGCAGCUUUGCAGAAUUCAAUUCUUUAGCUCUCGAAAACCUUCCACAACUCACUUUUAAUCAUUUUAACACCUUCGGACUUUCCGAGGUGUUCCAUCCUCGCACUUUGGUCAAUGUGACUAAAGUUCGACAUUUUAUUUUCCGAAUUUUCGGUAUAUUACACUAUCUGUGCCGCUUAGACCUAGUGGGAAGAUCGGCGGAGUCGGCGGCCGAACCCACUGGGAACUAUAUUUUUAUAGUUCUCACCCUGUGUGGUUUUGGGGUACAGGUACACACGUGAGCGGAUCGGUAGGUGAUCGCGGUAAGGGCGUAGCGCCCUAGCUAGCUAAUAGAGCUUUCCUAUUGUACUAGAGCACCCUCGUGUGCAUGGUUAUAGAUGACAUGAUGUAUUUUAGAUAGCUAGCAUUAUAUAUAUGUGAGAUGAUUAUGUAUUCAUUUUGGAAGCUUAAAUGUAAUCAAGUUGUAUUAAAGGUUGAAUGGAUGUAAAUGUUGAAUGUCAAAUGUGAUGUAAUAGAUAGUUAUAUCUCUCUUUUAUUCACUUGUUUAUACUUGUGAUGCUUGCUCUUGUAAUGUUCGGCAUUGGUUGUGCCCUCGCUAUUGUUUUGAUCAUGUAUGUAUUCAAGUUGAUUUCCUGGGAACUUGUUGUACAUGAUCCUGUUGUUUAGCCUUGGGCGCACAGGGGAGGUGCUGUCCGUCCGGCGUUUGUUCGACAUGCCCGAACCGGACCAAAUUGGUAUCGGUCUCGGAGUGUGACAGGUACAGCCACCGGGCUUGUACCGGUACAGGGCCGCAGAACCCCACAACCCGAGCCUCGGGUUUGGCUUUUCGUCAGUCUUGUACCGGUACAAGGACCCGUGUACCGGUAUAAGGCGGCAGAUUUCGUGCAGUCCGAACAGCAGGGGGUUUUUCGCGUUUGUGCCUAAUCUAUUUAGCACCCACGCCCCUUAGGGCUUCUUUUGUGCUGGAACCUGAGGAGGAGAAGGUGAGAGGAGCUCUACCUUGCUCCAUUUGGUUUUGAUCUCCGUUUUAGAUGGAUUUUGGUGGAUUAAUCAUUUUCUUUUCUCUUUUUAUGCUUUUCCCACCAUUGAUGAAGCUAGAAGCUUGGAUUUGAGGCUUGGUAGAGGUGAGAUCUUUGGACUUAGAAGGUUUAGAGCUUGGAUUGGAGCAUUUUAGAGGUAAAUGACUUGUUCUUUCCUCUAAAUUCCUAGCUUUGAUGAUUUUUUUUGGAAUUAAACUCUAGAAUGAGGUUUUAGGGCUUAUUUUGGGCAUUUUGAAUCUAGGGCUUUUGGAGCUAGAUUGAGUGGAUUAGAGGCUUCCAUUAGGUUGGAUUGGAAGGGCCCUAGCUCUCUUUUGGAGCUUUAGACGAGAUUUUUGCACUGGAGGUGAGUUUUCCUCACCUAUGAUUGUAUAGCUUAAUGAUUGAGCUUAGCGUUGUUCGUAUGGUUCUUGUGACACUUAUUCUUAUACCUUUAGGGUGCUAGGAGUGUGGAGGACACCCUCGUUGGAGCAAACGAAGAGUUUCGUUGUCAUCGGUGGGUUUGACUUCAUGAAAAUAGGGCAAAAUGGCCCCUAUACUUUCUAAACUUUUCGUAAAGUAUUUUUGAAUGCAAAUUCAUGCUAAACAUGAUUUAUGUGAAUUUUAGAACGCUUAAAAUGCAUGCCUCAUGUAUCAUAAAAUUUGCACUCUAUAUAGCAGAGCUAUAUGUGUAGAUUGCAUGCAUUGUGAAUGGUGUUUGGUUUUGCAAGUUGAGAACAUGUCUCUAUGUUAGAAUUGAGUGGAAUUAUGCAUCAUGAACAUAUUGAUACCAUGUUUGGACUCGUUGAAUAAAAGUGUCAUAAAGGGGCACUAGAAUUAGUAAACUAUGAAAUUGCAACAUAGAGACAUAUUGAUAGGCCAAUACAUAUCUGCUCUAUUCCAUGUUAGAGACAUGACGACAUAGAGAUAGGCCAUGGGGACAUUCGAUGUAUUCCAGGUUUUAGACAUAAUGACUUGAGAGAGACGGAUCAUUGCUUGCUUGCCAUUUGUGCUCAUUCGCACAUGCUUGUGAGGGUCGCUCCCUACAAGCCGGCACUUCGGAGAUAGACAUCGCGACAUAUGCUUGCCCGUGCCGGAUUCGGCGCCGAAGUGGAUUGCCAUGGGGGAGGCUCAUCCCUAGAGUGGGGAUGUUGACUACCACGGGGCCAUUAGGCACGGCGCAAGCCAGACAGCCUUCGGGUGGGUCUUAUAUGAUUGGGACUUAGUGACAGAACAUACUAUGUGAACUUGAAAACUAUUAAAGUGGACUUGGACUAGAAUAGUAAACAAUGACAUCUUUACUAUUUUUGCGUUGAGGACAUCGGAUUAGUUGCAUUCUAUGCUUAUGCAUGUCAUACACAUCCAUGUACAUUCAUGAUAUCGUUGCUUAUUACUUAUGCAAACCUGCUAAGUAGAGACCUUAUGUUAUAGUAAAUUACAUUGUAUUUACCUUUCGCUUUACUACAUUGUUAGUCACUGACCACUUUCCUUGUAGCUUUGGGCCUUGUGGUGCAUUCACUGAAGUCAGUAAUUGCCCACUGGGAACUAUUUUUAAUAGUUCUCACGCCCCUGUUUUCUGGUUUCCUUUCAGAGCCUUCUGCACCGGCGGAGGCACGGGAUCGCGUAGCUAGCUAGCGAGGAGCGGUUCUUUGCCUAGGUGGUUUACUCUUUCUUUUUGUAGAUGAGAGAGAGUGAGAGAUUUUGUAUUCAUGUAUAGAGACCACCUAUGUAUCUACUUUUAGCACUUGUAUUUGGGAUUUUCUUUGUACUACUUUAUGCGUUUAUUAGUGGAUUUCAGCUGUACUCUUCUUACCUUGAUGUAGAAUUUAGACUUUAAUCAUGCUCUGAUACUCUUAGAUGUCUAUUAUUAUUGCUUUUAUUAUCGCUGUUUUUAGACGCCUUAUAUGUUUUAGACGUAUGGCGGAUUUGGGCACGUGCCGGGCAGGCUUCCGCUGAGUCCCGGGGUGUGACACUCCGGAGCUCAUCGCUCGAGGGGGUGCGACCACCCUCAAGCCAAGAUUUUUAGGUGAGUAUGAUUCAAUCCUUAACUUUAAGGAUGUCAAGUUCAAUCCAUUCCUUAACUAUAAGGAUGCUGUGUCACAUAUGCCAUUUUCUAGCAUUCUAUAACUUUCAUUAGUACCACACACUAAAUGUUCUUUAUUCUCAUUCUCAUGCAUUCUUGACUGGUCAAUGCCACACACACUAUGUGUUUAUCUCUUGAAUUCAAUACUCUUUGAUGCCACACUUGUACACUAGCAUUCAAAAUUCAUUGAUGCCACUCUACUAUCGAUGUCAUAAUGUCAUUUGUUUUCUAUGUCAUCUAAAUCUUUGUCUCCAUUCAUGCAUAUAUAGGGUUUUAUAUGUUCUCAAGAAUUCACAAUAUUUUAUAUGCAUCUUAUACUCAAAGCAUGCAAUCAUAUAUACCCACUCACCCUACAAUGCAUGAUGCUCAAUAUACACAUAUGGUCAAGAAAUGACAUUUUAGAUAUAAAAGAAAAUUCGAGGAUUUCGAAAAGCACCACCUACCUCGUAUGGUUGUAAAGGUGCUACGGUUCAAGUUUCGUGAUUUUUGGGCGCCUAUUCUCUCGCCUGCGGCAAAACGAAGCCAAAUUAGGCUUUUUCUCAAUAACUUUCCGUAGAUUCGUCGGAUCGGCGAACCGAGUCUACCAACGAGUUAGAAAUACCCCCAAUUUAGUUUCUACAAGGUCAAUUUACUUUCAAACCAACCUAGGGCAAAAUCCCCAAUUUUGGUGCCCUAACAAUGCUAUAUAGCAUCAUACACCACUUUGAUCUCUAAGAUAAGCAAAAAUAAGCUUAACAUCCCCUAGAAACUCAUCUAGAUCCAUUUAAAACUAUUUCUAGGGCAUUUGAACCAAACCCUAGGCAUCUACCAUGAGAGCUCAUGAGCAUACAUGGAUUUUCAUGAGUUUCUAUGGUCUUUACUAGGUUUCCCAUUAUGUAAGAAAAGCACUCUAAGCCCAAAAGCACUCUAAGCUCUACCUUGUAGGAGAGCCCUAGACCCUUCAAAACACCAAAUCUCCUUCAAAUCCACCUUCAAAUCUCCUCUUGAUCCAUCUCUAAGAGAGUUCCUAGAGAGUGAGAGGGAGAAAAAUGAGAGAGGAAGGUGUGUUAACUGCUGUGAAUGAGAAGGGAGGAGGAGGGAUACUUUUAUAAGCUGCUACAAUAGCAAAUAGACCCUCCAACUCUUUCUUAUUUGCAGCAGACCAACCUGCUGUUUCGCAGCACUGCAUACCGGUACUUGGGGGGCGUCACCGGUACGCCCCUGUUCAACUGCCCAAACCCGAGAGCUGCUAUUUCUCGAGUUGGCGCAGGGUACCGGUACUACCUAAUUUAGUCACCGGUUAAUAGCUUAACAGAGGCCAAACCCAAGAGCUGCUGCUCUCGGUUUGCAGCCCGUUACCGGUACUGUCCUGGUGCUUCACUAGUUAACAAUGCUCCAAACUUGAGUUUGGCAGAGCUUCGGCUUCAUUUCGCGCCGAGCAAUGCUAAAAAACCAUUCAAACUAACUUGAAACUCAACUCCAACCCUUCCAGCAUUGUUGGAAUGUCAACUGGACUUUGUCCAACUAUAUCUCUCGCACACUUUGGUCAAUUUGAUUAAAGUUCGAUAUAGUCUACCGGAGUUUCGGUAUAUUACAUUCUCCACCCCUUAAAAUUAGUUUCGUCCGCGAAACUAAAUACUAUCUUAGCUCGUCGACUCAAAUAAGUGAGGAUACAUCUUUCGCAUAGUCUCCUCGAGCUCCUAAGUGGCUUCACGCACCGCAUGGUUGCUCCACUGGACCUCUUUACAUAUGGAAUUGUGCGACUGCGUAACUUCCUUUCCUCUCGAUCGAGAAUACAAACCGUAUAUUCCUCAUAAGUCAUAUCCUUACUCAAUUCUACCAGGUUCGUACUCCAACACAUGCGUCGAAUUUCGGAUAUACUUGCGGAGAUUUUGACACAUGAAACACAUUGUGAACUCCCGCAAGCCUCGGUGGUAAUGCAAGCUUGUAUCCGACCGCGCCAACGUGCUCUAAUAUCUCGAACAGUCCAACAUACCGGGGACUUAGCUUCCCACGGUGUAAGGUACCGGACUUCUAAAACUAUGAAGUUACGGUGUACAUUUAAAUGGCUCCGGUGAGGUUGCGACGGAAUGUAACAUACCGAAUUUUAAAUAUAAAAGUGAAAAUAAAUAAAAAUAGUAUGAGAUACUAUUUUUAUUGGAUUUAGAGAAGUGAAAUAUAAGUUGGGAAUGACCUGUGCUGAAAUCGGAGCGACAACAGAAGAUUUAGAAUUUUCUGUAAGAAACGGGGCAGAUAAAUUAGCAGAAAAUGCACAGUGUCAGAAAAUUAUGAAAAUUAGCGGAGAUAUCAGAAAUAUUUUUAUGAUACUGGAUUUAAAGUUCCAUGCCAUUCUGACACCCGGAAGGUGAAAAAUAGAAUCCGAAAGCUAUCUGAUAAAGAUUGCAGUUCGGUACAGUUUUCAGUGACCAAACGGGGUCGAAACUCAAAUAUUAAAAUUUCUUUGGACUCGUUAAGUGAGACCGAACAUGACUGUCAAAUUUGAGCUCAAACGGAUGUUCAGGGAGUUCCGGCGAAAGAUAUCAGAUUUCGAACUGCCUGGAGUGAAUAGUAUUUUGGGGGAGUUUACUUGGAGGUGAAGUUUCCUCCUAUAUAUAUAUAUAAGGGUGUUAUGUCAUUUCCCUCAUUCCUCUCUAUUUGAGCCAACAUAAGAGAAAUCUCUCUCUCUCUCUCUCUCUCUCUCUAGGAUUGGCUCCAAAGUGUGGAGUUGGUAGAGAAAAGCUUACUUAAAGGUGAAGCUUUCCUUUUCUUCACCAUUGGCUUGAAGAGAGCUUGAGUUUGAGAGGUAUGCUUUGUUAGCAAUAAUGGUAGAUUGCUAAGUAAUGAUUUGUAUGUCUUAGAAAUGGGUUUAGUGAAACUCCUAGAUGCUAAAUAGAUGGUUGAUGCUCGAAUUUUGAGAUUAAAUGAUGAAUUCUUGCAUAGUUGCAUCUUAGGGCAUCAAAAGAGCGGUUUUUGCUUGUGAGGGGUUUUGAUCUAAAUUGAUCAUGUAUAAACCUAAUUGCUAGGUAAACGAACGCGUUGGGGAAGUCGGUUCUGCGAUUCGUCGAGCCUACGCGAAGUUAUUAAAGAAACGGACGUUUAGGUUUCGUUUCUGCAUAGAGGGCCGAGGCGACGUCGUAAAAUCAUGGAAAUGGAUUUGAAGCAUCGUGGCACAUAACCGAAGACCUAUAAUUUUCAGGGCUGCGAAGCGGAGCACGGUUGAGGCGCAGUUGCAGUAUCGGGCCGUGCCGGAUACGGGUGCCACGGGAGGCCGAUUGCAAGUGUCGACAAUCAAUCGGAACGCGAAUUAAGGUGGGUUGUGCUUACCGAAGCGAUUAGGUCGCCCUUUAUGUCUAAGAAACUAAGAAUCCAUGUUGAUGCAUAUAAAUGUAAAUGAAGCAUGUAAAUGAUGCAUGUAGCUAAAUAAUGCAUGUUGAUAGUAUGAUGUAAAUGCUAAAUAGAAUGCAUUAUGAGCAAGUUACAUAAUGCUAAAUAAUGUAAUGUAGAAAUGCUAGAAUGCAUUAUGAGCAAGUUACAUAAUGCUAAAUAAUGUAAUGUAGAAAUGCUAGAAUGCAUAAUGAGCAAGUUAUAUGAUGCAUGUUUAUAGUAUGAUGUAAAUGCUAAGUAGAUGCAUAUAAAUGAUAUAUGAGAUUAUAAACGCAUGAUUAGCAUUAUGAGAUCAUAGAUGCAUGCUUAGCAUUGUGAGAUUAUAUAUGCAUAUGAACUUGGUUGAUAACUCUAGCUUGAUUAGAGAGAUAACAUUGGAAAAUGAGAAUUGAUAACUCUAGAAUGAGUAGAAUGCUUAAUUGGACAAUUAGUAUGUGAAUUAGAUCGAGUGGCAUCUAACUUAGUGUUAAGGAACAUAGGUCGUGAGUAGACCUAGAAUCAAAUAGAUCGAGUGGCAUCUAACCUAGUGUUAAUAAACAUAGGUCGUGAAAUGAAAAGUACUUAACCUAGAGUCAAGUGAACCUAGGUUGGAAAGAAUAAUGAUCCUAGUGUAAUAAACCUAGGUUAAGAAUGUGAAAGCAAUAAACCUAAUGGGUGAACUUAGGUUGAGUAAAGGCUUAGACCUAGAGAGGUCAGUUCCAUAGGGUUAAGACCAACCCCUAUGUGAUGUGAAAUGGAUUCCGGAAUCCCAAGGCUAAAAGGAUACACCCAAAGUGGUGUCGGGUGUGUGCGACGAUUUCGCCGCCCAAGGGCUAAAGAACCAUUGUCGUGGCGUGUGCGACGAUUUCGCCGCCGGAUGGUUAGCCAGUUUGUGGAUCCUACCGCCUGUUGAUUGAACCACUGUCGUGGCGUUUGUGCGACGAUUUCGCCGCCGGGUGGCUUAGUCAUGGACCUAGGCCGUUGUUGGGUGAGGUGCGAUUCGUUCGCCGCCAGACGGCUAGGAUAGGAGUACGGUGAGCUGUUGCCAGCUGAGGUGCAUGUGAGAGUUCCUUCACCUCGAGCUAGAUAGUGCGCGGACUAUCCGCGAUUGAUUGACUCGAAGCCGAGUCGGGUGGUUAGCUAUGAUAGGGUAGAGGAACCCUUAUGAGCUAGAGAUAGAGGCUUGAGCUAAGGUAAUAGAAACCUUAGAAGCCAGUGGUUAGUGUUGUGAUCCUAAGGUAAUAGAAACCUUAGAGUAAAGUUAUGAGCUAAAGUAGCCAAGUAUAAGUAGAAUUCAAAUGAUCUACUAGUUGCAUGAUUUUCAUAUCUCAUAUCGUGAGGCAUGGCAUGUAUAUUUCAAUUGAAAAUAUAUGUCUGUUGUAUAUUGUUGAACUAACAUAUUGCAGUGCCUCCUCGGACCUAUCGGUCGAUCUUUUCCCUUAGGUGGCCGUACCCACUGGGAACCAUGGAGUUGGUUCUCACCCCACGUGGUUUUGGGGUGUUUUCAGGUUGUUCGUGCGCGGCGUGGUGGCGCGAGGCAAGGGCGUAGCUCAGUAGAUAGCGCCCCACCACAGAGACCGAGGUAGCAGUACCGUGAGACAGUCUAGCUUAGGGGUCUAGAAGACAAGAAAAGAAAAUGUAUCAAACUUGAUAACUCUGAUGUAAUAGCGAGAUUGUAAUUUGGAAGUAAAAAUGUAAACAGAAACUGUGAUGUAAAAAGUGGUUGUAAAAUGAAUGCAUGUAAUAGCAAGUAGAUUAUGUAUUUGAUACUUCCUUAUGCAAUCUGGAUUGAUAUCCGUUCCUAGUUGGAACAUUCGUUGAUUGUUUGGAUUGCGACGCCUUGGACGUACUGGGGAGACUCUGUCCGCGUACAAAGGAAUCCCCGGUCCGUUCGGUGGUCUGUCGUCGGCGCCGCGACCCUGUCCAAAUAGGCGGUUGGUCGCAGGGAGUGACAGAUAAGAUGGUAUCAGAGCAUAAAGUAGAGAAUGGGCUAUGGUUUAGCUGGACCUAGGAGACCUAGGAUAGUAAACCAUAGGAGAAUAAGGCUCGUGAGAGACGAGGACUUGUGAAUUACGGCGAAAGAUUGAUCGAUUGGGUCAGGUUAGUAACCCUCUGAAACGGAUGUUAGAGGUGGAUUCAAGGUUCAGUUUAUUCUCAGCCGAGGAUGUUCAUGUUGGGCAUGCACAACAUGAAACCGGGUGAUGAGAAUAGACGUCCUUGCGUGACUUUCGCCCGAUUUGAGUCAGUGUUAGUUGUCUCGUGUUCGACCCAGAGGGUCGAGGGUUGAACGAGUUGUCGUGCUUUAGGAAGCGAUGGCAUCGUGUAGGCGAUCAAUAUAAAGAUCGGCGCGGGAUGAGACAAGUGGUGUCCCUAAGCAAUCUGAAGCGAGCGGAGAAUUGAAACUUCGCUAUCAAUUGGCCACACUCGUGGGAGUGGUGAGGCCACGAGUCGGUGGUGCAGCGUCAGUAGGAGACUACCAUACACCAAAGGGAUCGUGUAAGAGGGACUCCAAGAGUUGGUGGACCAGUGGUGAUCGCACUAGUUUCGGCUCGUCGAGUAUGGCCGGGAGUCGCGGUGGAGGUGUUUCCGUCGGGGUUGGGUGAUCCGACUUCUAGCAGUUCGUUGGUGGAGGCAGUGAGGAGGGCGAGCUUUGGUGGCCCUCAUGACCUUCAAGCUAUUGGAUCCACCCACCUUUGGUGGAGAGGAUGCGGAUCCAUGAACCAUGGAGUUGUGGAUCGACUCCAUAGAGACUCUCUUUAAGGGUCUAUGUGCUGUGGAGCGGGAUAAGGUACGCCUAGCCGUGCGUUGUCUGAAACAAUCGGCGAUGGUGUGGUGGAAAGGCGUCAAGCGGAUUUGAUCGCCUAGUUUCCUUCCUGUCGCUUGGGAUGAGCUUCGGGAUUUGUCGUGUUCUACUUCCCCGUACCCCGUACCCGAAGUUUGCCCAGUCUGGGCAGUGCACAUUCUUGAGUGCAAUUGCAAUCCCUAACCUCGGAGGUGUCUUGUGUUAACUUCUUCAAGAUACGGGAUUACCGAAGUUCUCACCAGGCGCGGUGGGGUGCGCUGCGUGAUGAGAUCUGCAUUCGUAUGGGCGAUGGCCAAGCCAUAAGCGAGGGGAGUGCCGCUGAGGGAUGAUCAGACCUUAGCGUUAGCGACGGCCUCCUCCUCCCCGAGACAGCCUGUGCGUGUGUCACCUGCAGCAUGGUUUGGAGGGUGAGUGAUAAAGAAGUGACAACCUGAGGGUUCGCGGCGAGCGCCAGGUGGCCAUGGAUAGCGACCCGGUUUGGGGAGCCUGCUGCUGCCGAGGAUAUCGCGGCAGAUGUGAUUUAGUUAAAGCAAGCAGGUACUUUUGCAUGAUCUCAAGUUGACGCAUUGUGUCUUUGCCCUGUGGUCAUUUACUGCUAUCGAUGCGUCAGAGUGGCAGGGACCAAGUGGACGGGUAAGUGUAAAUGCCCGGGCAUGCUUAUGCGGUGAAAGUGUAGCACCUGCCGGUGCAAGCAAGGAGCUAUAUGGCACUAACAAGUUACUAGUGAUAACCAGGUGAUAAGACUCAUGGUAAAGGUGGAGAUGGGGAAAUGACUCUCGAGGCAACGAUUAGUGGAUUGCGAGGGUUGAACCAUAAUACCUGUAGACACGCGAGUAAUCCGAGAAUUUCGGAUAUUGUUCCGAUAGAUCGAACGGUGAAAGGAAAGUCAUUGUUGAGAGAGUAACUGGUUAGUUACCAAGUUGUGGCACGUGGGCCUAGUAGUAGCACCUCAACUUGAGGUUAGAAGUUGUGCUUAUUUGGUCGGCGCGCAUAGGCAGGGUUGCCUGAUGCUAGAUUUAGUUUGGAACGCUAUAGAGGCGUGUAGAGCGCUUGAGUAUAGGUACUCGUGGUGUGCGGUAUUCACUCAGCCGAGAAAGUGAGAUGGCAGUAGCACUGUAGCAUUGCUAGGUGUGAAGCGUGCCUGGUAUCACUCGUAGGGGCUGAUGGCUCGCACUAGGUGCUUAGGAGCGGAUAUUGGUAUGUGUGACUCGGUAGAGCAUGUCGUGUAGGACGACGACGGCGGGUAGUGCUUGGGGACGACCCGUGCCUGGACCAUUUGUGGACUGUAGAGCCUGAGCCCUUUGGGCAGGCGCAGUCAGCUGUGAGAGACAGCGGCCCGAUACCUACAGGUAGGGCAGAGAUUUGGUCAGGAUGGUAGUCCGAGCUUAGACCCGGGAGCGUGGAAUGCCACGUGUUAGAUCAUGAGAUCGAGGAUACACCGAGUGUGUAGUGACCCAACCCGAGGAUUUGAGGUGGUUUGGGGUCACGGUUGCUCCUGGUUGGAGCGUGUGCGAAUUCUCCAAUGCGAAUUUCGCCCGAUUAUGAUUUGGCCUACGCUGGUGAGCAAGGGACGCUAUACGUAGUUGUAAGAGGUUUAGGCGGUAGACCUACGUAGGACGGGUGACUGUUGGUCCACCUGUGGAAACCGACGUAAUCGGUUUAGCCGAUAACUCUAUUAGUGAGUUGGCUUGGAUUCACGAACAUAGGGUUCGUGUGGAUUUGUCGCAAGAGCAAGGUAAAGUUGGUCGUGGCUUAUGAUAUCAAGGGCGAAAUGCUCUUGUGCGAUAUUGAGAUGUGGAUAGCCACGUGGGAAUUGGAGCUUGAGGACAAUGCUCUUUUGUGGAUUGAGAUUGGAGAUGUGCCGGAAUGGGCCAUCUCCUGAUAGAACAAGGAUCCGGUUGUGAUGAACCACUCGCGAUUGGUCGAGUCACCAACGAUAUUGCUUCUAAGCAAUGCAGGUGAUCGAAUCGGAGUGAAAUUUUUCGUUUGGGUGUAUAAUGCAAGAGUAGUUCUUUGCAUGGUGGUAAUACACUUUUGGAGCUGCACGUGGCAAAUGUGAGUGAAUCUAGUCUCACAUCUUCCGUAGUGAGCCUAUGGAUAGUUCCGAUGAGCGAAAAGCCACUCCGAGAUGCAAAAGUGCACUGUACCCCUUGUCACUCAAGAAAGAGAAUUAGAGUGUGAAUUGGGUUGAAGUGAGUGAGUUUCGGGGACGAAACUCUUUUUAAGGAGGGGAGAAUGUAAGGUACCGGACUUCUAAAACUAUGAAGUUACGGUGUACAUUUAAAUGGCUCCGGUGAGGUUGCGGCGGAAUGUAACAUACCGGAUUUUAAAUAUAAAAGUGAAAAUAAAUAAAAAUAGUAUGAGAUACUAUUUUUAUUGGAUUUAGAGAAGUGAAAUAUAGGUUGGGAAUGACCUGUGCUGAAAUCGGAGCGAAAACAGAAGAUUUAGAAUUUUCUGUUGGAAAUGGGACAGAUAAUUAGCAGAAAAUGCACAGUCUCAGAAAAUUAUGAAAAUUGGCGGGGAUGUCAGAAAUAUUUUAAUGAGGCUAGAUUUGAAGUUUCAUAUUUUUCUGACGCCCGUAGAGAGAGAAAUAGCAUCCGAAAGCCAUCUGAUAAAGAUUGCAGUUCGGCACAGUUUUCGGUGACCAAACGGGGUCGAAACUGAAAUAUUAAAAUUUCUUUGGACUUAUUAAGUAAAACCGAGCGUGCCUGUCAAAUUUGAGCUCAAACGGAUAUUCAGGGAGCUCCGGCGAAAGAUAUCAGAUUUGGAGCUGCCUGAUGUGAAUAGUGUAUGCUACUAUUGAGGUGUUGACUAUAAGUAGAAGCUACUAGGCUUCUUCCUCCUCAAGUUGCAGCCAGCACCAAGCAUCACACGCACAUGGUGUAGUGAGAGAAACCCUCUCUUUCUCUCUCUAAAUAUCUCUCUCAUCUCUCUAUAUUUCUCGCCCAAAUUCGCGGCGUUGGUGGAGAUCGAGCUUGCGAACGCGUUGGAGGCGACGGAUUGAGCUUUCGUGCGCCCGUUGGAGCGGCGUGUUUUCGUUGCGGCGUUCACAUUGGGGUAAGCUUUUGGGAUUUGGCUUAAUCCUUAGCUUUAAGUGUUCUAUUAGCCUCUAAUGAUCAUUAGUAAGCAUAUUGAUCCAUUUAAUUUGGAUUAUUUGGAGGUUAAUUGUACGUUAGGGCUCCGAAUGGGAUUUUGUAAAAUGUAAGGGUUUGAUCUCAUUUGACCCUUCGUAAACCUAAUUGCUAGGUAACGAAACGCGUUGGCGAAGACGGUUCGGUAAUUCGACGAGCCGUUACAAAGUUAUUAAAGAAAUAGACGUUUAGGCUUCGGGUCCGCCGGGAGGGCCGAUGCGACGUCGUAAAAUCAUGGAAAUGGAUUUGAGGCAUCGUGGCACAUAACCGAAGACCUAUAAUUUCCGGAUUUGUAAAGCGGAACACGGUUGAGGCGCAAGAUCUUGUCGGGCCCAAAGGGUGCCGAGUGCCGCGGGAGGCCGAUUGCAAGUGACGACAAGCAAUCGGAACGCGAGUUAAGGUGGGUUGUGCUUACCGAAGCGACUAGGUCGCCCUUUAUGUCUUAGCAAUGUAAUCUCAUGUUGAUGCAUGUGCAUGUAGACAAGAGCAAGGAUGCAUGUUAAUAAAGAUGCAUAAAGUAGAUGCUAAGUAGAAAGCAUGAUAAAUGGUAAUGCUUAGAGCAAAUGCAUAUUAAUAACAAUGCAUAGUGGAGCAUAAUGAUUAUGGCAUUAGAUAAUGCUAGCUAAUGUAAAGUAAUGCAUGAUAAUGAUAAUGCAUAGAUGAAAAUGCUUAGUAGAAAUGCAUGGUGAGCAAGUUACACAAUGCUAAUAAUGCAUGAUAAUAAUGUAAUGCUAAGUAAUGCAUGAUAUGAAGUAAAUGCAUAUUAAUAAUAAUGCAUGAUGAGGAUGCUAAGUAAGGGAUGCAUGUUAGUAAUGAUGCAAAGAGUAAUUGCUAAGUAGAAAGCAUGAUGCAUGGUAUAUGUAUAUAAACCAGAUGAUAACUCUAGGAUGAGUAGAGAUGACUGGACAACUAAGUUGUCAGGUAGAUCGAGUGGCAUCUAACCUAGUGUUAAAGAACAUAGGUUGGUUAGUAAACCUAGAGUUGAACAAUCUAGGUGUGUGGCAUCUAACCUAGUGUUAGUAAACCUAGGUUGAACUAGUAAACCUAGAAGUGGAUAUCUAGGCAAAGAUGAUAAGAACCUAGCAAGUGUAUCUAGGUUAAGUGAUGUGGACAUAGAACCUAGAGUGUUGGAACCUAGGUUGAUGAGUAUAGUGGUAUAGCCACUAGAUUGAGCUAGGUCGACAGUAUAGGGUUGGCUAUGAACCCUCGACCUGUGGUAAGUGGAUUCCGGAAUCCCAGGACUUAUGAUGUCCCUGGUACAGGCUAGGGCGUUCGUGCGACGAUUUCGCCGCCGAGCUUGGUACCGUGGGUAGAUUGGGGGCGAUCACAUGGAGAUCACCGCCCGGGGCUUGAACCAUUGUGCUGGCGUUUGUGCGACGAUUUCGCCGCCAGAGUGGUUAAGCCAUUUGAGGAUCAGACCGCCAGAGUAGACUGAAUCCAUGCUGGGUAAGUACGAUGCGGGUGCCUCCAGGUGACUGAGUCUGACAUGAUCGUUGUUGGGUGUGGUGCGACCCGUUCGCCGCCAGACGGUAUGUCAUGUCUCGAGCUCACGCUGGGUAUGUGCAACGCGAUCGCCACCGAUGGUCAAGUCUUGUGACUCGAGCCGUCUUCAGCGUGUGCGACGAUUUCGCCGCUAGGAGGCUGAGUCAGAGAGAGUGCGGUAGGCUGUUGAGCAGCCAGUGCGCGGACUAUCCGCAGAUGAUUGACUCGAAGCCGAGUCGGGUGGUUAGCUAUGAUAGGGUAGAGGAACCCUUAUGAGCCAGAGAUAGAGGCUUGAGCUAAGGUAAUAGAAACCUUAGAAGCCAGUGGUUGGUGUUGUGAUCCUAAGGUAAUAGAAACCUUAGAGUAAAGUUAUGAGCUAAAGUAGCCAAGUAAAAGUAGAAUUCAUAUGAUCUACUAGUUGUUGCAUGGUUUUCAUAUCGCAUAUCGUGAGGCAUGGCAUGUAUUUCAAUUGAAUAUAUAUAUCUGUUGUAUAUUGUUGAACUAACAUGUUGCAGUGCCUCCUCGGACCUAUCGGUCGAGCUUUUCCCUUGGGUGGCCGUACCCACUGGGAACCAUGGAGUUGGUUCUCACCCCACGUGAUUUUGGGGUGUUUUCACGUUGUUCGUGUGCGGCGCGGCGGCGCGAGGCGAGGGCGUAGCUCAGUAGAUAGCGCCCCACCACAGAGACCGAGGUAGCAGUGCCUUGAGACAGUCUAGCUUAGGGGUCUAGAAGACAAGAAAAGAAAAUGUAUUAAACUUGAUAACGCUGAUGUAAUGGCGAGAUUGUAAUUUGGAAGUAAAAAUGUAAACAGAAACUGUGAUGUAAAAAGUGGUUGUAAAAUGAAUGCUUGUAAUAGCAAGUAGAUUAUGUAUUUGAUACUUCCUUAUGCAAUCUGGAUUGAUAUCCGUUGCUAGUUGGAACAUUCGUUGAUUGUUUGGAUUGCGACGCCUUGGACGUACUGGAGAGACUCUGUCCGCGUACAACGGAAUCCCCGGUCCGUUCAGCGGUCUGUCGUCGGCGCCGCGACCCUGUCCAAAUAGGCGGUUGGUCGCGGGGCGUGACACACGGACUCCAAAUCUCUUUACACCUCUCAUCGGCGAUACCUUCAAAAAUACGCGGUCUCCAACCGCGAACUCUAAAUCCUUUCUCCGCUGGUCGGCAUAACUCUUUUGCCGAGAUUGCGCCGUCGCAAGUCGUUGGCAGGCAAGGGGAACUUUCUCUUUCGCCUCGCGCACCACAUCAGGUCCAAAAGUAACUCUCUCGCCCACAUCGCUCCAAUGUAUAGGCGAGCGACACUUCUUUCCAUAAAGGGCCUCGAAUGGCGCCAACGCGAUACUCUCUUGAUAACUAUUGUUGUAUGCGAACUCUGCCAUCGGCAAAUAAUCGUGCCAUCCGCUCUUAUAGUCGAGUACACACAUUAGAAGCAUAUCCUCAAGAAUUUGUAUUGUCCUUUCCGAUUGACCAUCACUUUGAGGAUGAAAUGCCGUGCUAAAAUCGAGCCGUAUGCCCAAAGCGUCUUGUAAGCUCCUCCAAAAGUGAGGUGUGAACCUCGGGUCUCGAUCCGAUACAAUAGACACCGGAACCCCAUGAAGUCUUACAACCACGUCGAGAUAUACUUGAGCCAAUUUGUCUCCGGACCACGUGGUAUGAACCGGCAAGAAAUGAGCCGACUUCAUCAACCGGUCCACAAUCACCCAAAUUGCAUCGUGUCCGCCUUGAGAUCGAGGCAAACCGGUCACAAAGUCCAUUGCAAUAUCUUCCCAUUUCUAAACGGGUAUAGAUAAACUUUGAAGCUUUCCCUCCGAAAACCGGCGCUCCGCUUUUACUUGUUGGCACGUGAGAAAUUGCUCCACGAACUCCCCAAUAUCUUUCUUCAUACCCGACCACCAAUAGUGCAUUUUUAAGUCUUGGUACAUUUUAGUGCCACCCGGGUGUAUGCUAUAGGGAGAUUGAUGCGCUUCUUGUAUGAUCGCCUUUCGAAUGUCCUCAUUUUUAGGCACACACCAACGAUUUCUGAAUCGAAGUGCGCCAUCGGUCCCAAUGCUGAAAUCAUCAGCACUACCGCUCUCAACUUCACCCCGCACCUUUUGGGGAUAUGCAUCGGAAGCUUAUUGAUCUUUAAUCCUCUCCAACAAGGUUGGUUGAACCAUUAAUGCGGCAAGGCUAGCCGGCACUCCCGGAGCCACUACCUCAAAUCCAAACCGUUGCAUCUCUUUUUGCAAUAACGGUUGGGGUGUAAUUGCCGAAACAAAAUUCUCUACCAACUUUCUACUUAGAGAAUCAGCCACGACAUUAGCUUUUUCCGGGUGGUAUAGAAUAGUGACGUCAUAGACCUUUAGCAACUCCAACCAUCGCCGUUGUCGCAUAUUUAAUUCUUUCUGGAUGAACAAGUAUUUGAGACUCUUAUGAUCUAUGUAAAUCUCACAAUGCUCACCAUACAAGUAAUGCCUCCACAACUUUAGCGCGAAUAUCACCGCGGCUAGCUCAAGGUCAUUAAUAGGGUAGUUCUUUUCAUAACUCUUCAAUUGACGAGAAGCAUAAGCUAUCACUCGCCCAUUUUGCAUAAACACACACCCGAGACCAAUAUAUGAGGCAUCAUUGUACACUACAAAGCUCUCCCCCGGCAUCGGUAAAGCAAGCACCGAGGUCGAUGCCAAUCUUUCCUUUAAUUCCUCGAAGCUCUAAUCGCAAUCGUCGCUCCAAAUGUACUUCACCCCCUUGUGCGUAAGGCGCGUUAGUCGAGUAGUUAUUUUAGCAAACCCCAUCACAAACCGCCGGUAGUAUCCCGCAAGUCCAAGAAAGCUACGGAUCUCCGCAACACUUGUCGGGCGAGGCCAAUCCUUUAUUGCCUCUACUUUCUUCGGAUCAACCGAAACACCAUCACCCGAUAUUACAUGGCCUAGGAAGGUAACCUCUGAAAUUCAAAAAUCACAUUUCUUUAACUUGGCAUAAAGCUUCUCUUUUUGGAGUAUUUGCAACACGGUUCUCAAAUGCUCCUCGUGUUCCUCCUCACUUCAAGAAUAAACCAACACGUCGUCAAUGAAUACCACGACGCAUCGAUACAACAACGGUCGAAAGACCCGAUUCAUCAAGUCCAUAAUUGCUGUCGGGGUAGUAACCCUAAACGGCAUUACCGUGAAUUCGUAGUGGCCAUACCGCGUACGAUACGCCGUUCUGUGCACAUCCUUUGGUCGGAUCUUCAACUGAUGAUAUCCCGACUGAAGAUCAAUCUUCGAAUAUACCCGCGACUGUCACGCCCCGGAUGUCUCGUUCCCCGGGCACGCCGACAAAUCCGCCGUAUACAAAGAAAUUUUUCCUGUAUACGAAGCGACAGCUGUACCUGUAAAUCAAACACUACUACGAACAGUAGUAGAGAGCUGCUAGAGAAAACAGAAACUAAACAACCUGAAUUUCAUAUAUAUAGUCCAAAUCCAAAAUACGAAGCUACUCGCACUGGCGAGUUAAGUCUACUAUGUACAGAAACUCGAAACAAAACAUCUACCUGCAGUAGGGGCACCUCUAACUCAGCAGGACGGGUAGGGCUCUAACUCGCGAGGCCCUUGCUUCGAUCCUCAUCCGCGGAAGGCGCAGCAGCCGGAACCUGUAGCUCUGCAAAACAGAAGUAACAACUGGGCGUGAGAACUACUGUAAAAACAAGUAGUCCUCAGUGGGUACCGCCCAAAACCACAUCGGUCCACCCACUAAGUCUAAGGACGGGAUCAGAGUGUCAGAAAAGAGGAAGUAAAACUUCUACGCUAGUCGAUACUUCAACUAUCAUGCUUACACUAACCAACUGUUAGUAAAUGUCAAAUCUACCAAUACCAUAUCGGACUGACUAGCAACGCUCCCGGGACUGUGAAUCACCCGUCCUGCCCCGUGCGGUACUAAUCAGGACUCUAUCAACACUAUGCGUCCCGAUGAGAGAGCAAGUCUAACUGAGGUGAGCGACACUCAACGCGAAGAGCACAAAGGCUAUCUCCGGGCAGUGGCACUAACAAUGUGUGGCGCUACCCAACCGAAUGCAGCGUAUCUCUGUCGAGUCAAUCAGGCUUGAAAAGCAAAGUCAAGUAAACAACUUCAAACUGGGUUAAUAACAACAAGGUAACGUGCCCUCGGCACAAAUCUGAAGCCAAAGGUGAUACGGGGUCCACCCGUAAUCCUGACGGAAUCCCAACAGUCCGGAACUAACCUUGAACGAUCCUGUAAAAUCAUUCGGCAACCAGCACGUCGAGCGUAAUAUAUUUAAACUACCUGAAGUAUGGGCUCGGGGAAAAGAAUAACUGCGCGAGUACAUUUUAUAAUGGCUCUAGAGCUACCUAAUCAGACGUUUAAAUAUGUGACAGGUCCAAUCGCAGGUUUUUCUAAUUCAAAUCAAGUUCAACAUGUAUAAAACUACUCAAUUUAAUACACACGCCUCAAUUCAGAUUUUGCUAUCAUUAUACAAAAUUCAGGGGAUUCGAGCUAUAGAAUAGACUAUACCUAGAAUUGAAUUUUGUACACAUGGUCGACAAUUAGAACUUUAGGGUCAAAAACCCGAUGAACCCACCUCGAUCGCUAAACCAGCGCAAGCGAGGAGUCACAAAAAUUCCACAAAAUCCACUGGAAAAACAGGGUGUCAGCUCAAGUUACGAAUCGGCCUGCCACAUCGCACAUCGAGAACUCCAACUCAUUUCUGUCGAAAAAGCAAAAGAGAGAACUAAUUCACCAUGUUACCUUCAAAAAUCAAACAAUAAGGCUCAUGGUAUUCGCUCUCGAAGUCACUUGAAUCAUACGAACACGUUAUCGAAAUCCGACGAUUCCUGCGCCAGAUACGAGCAGAAACACUGAUGAGUCAACGCUGAAAUUCAGCAGAGCGAGCGUUCAAAACUGUGCGUUCAAGUAAUCCAAGGAGGAGUUAGGUACCCACCUCGAAGCGAAUCAGCCCGGGUGCAGUCUGAGGACGCGGUGAAAACCACGCGCUCGCUCGAACUCCUCGCGAUGUACGACUGCAACGUAUCGCGAACGGCUCGACGGCGCGUAUGUCGACGUGAUCCGAGCUUGCGGCUCACUCACAGCUCACUUGUGUGCGUGGGGGUCUCUAUUCACACUAAAGAGAGAAAAGAAAGCAAAUUAAUUAGAGAACCCUCAACCAGAUAAGCAUGCAUGGGGGAGUGCACGUGGCAUCCAUAGCCAUGCACACUUAGUCUAGGUACUAAUAUAUAUAUAUAUAUAUAUAUAUAUAUAGAAAGAAAGGAUACUACAUCCUCCCCCACUAUAAAAGUUUCGUCCUCGAAACUUAAAACAUACCUCAAGACGGAGUAUUGAACAAGUCGGGAUAGGACUCUCUCAUCACCGUCUCUGGCUCCCAAGUCACCUCACGCUCCUCGUGAUUGCUCCACUGCACUUUUACAUGCGGGAUGACCCGGUUGCGCAAUUCUUUCGUCUCGCGAGCAAGAAUGCGCACCGGUCGCUCCUCGUAUCUCAGAUCCUCGCUAAUCUCGAGUGGAGUGAAGUCAAUCACGUGAGAGGGGUCAAAAACGUAUCUCCUCAGUGCUGAGGCGUGAAAAAUAUCGUGGAUGCCGGCAAGUCGCGGGGGUAGAGCUAUCCUGUAAGCCACCGGUCAGAUACGCUCUAAUACCUCGAAAGGGCCAACAAACCGUGGACUAAGCUUUCCACGUACUCCAAAACGGCGUAUCCCUCUGGACGGCGAGACUUUAAGAAAAACAUGAUAUCCAACCUGGAACUCCAAGUCUCGUCUCCUGGUAUCAGCGUAGCUCCUCUGGCGGCUCUGGGCUGUCAAAAGGUGUCGUCGAACAACUCUCACCUUUUCCUCAGCCUCUAGCAAAAUCUCAGGCCCUAGUGUCUUCCUUUCACCCACAUCACUCCAACACAAAGGGAAUCGAUAUUUGCGUCCAUACAACGCCUCAAACGUAGCCAUCUGAAUGCUCGCUUGAUAGCUGUUGUUGUACGCAAACUCAGCUAGUCUCAAAUGUCGAUGCCACCCUCCUCCAAAGUCCAGGACGCACGUUCUCAGCAUGUCCUCUAGAGUCUGAAUGGUCCGCUCUGACUGACCAUCCGUCUAUGGGUGAAACGCCGUGCUGAACUGCAGCUGUGUACCCAAGGCUGUCUGCAAACUCCUCCAGAAAUGUGAUACAAACCUCGGAUCUCUAUCGGAUACAAUCGAAAUCGGCACGCCAUGCAGCCUGACAAUCUCAUCCAGAUAUAGCUGCGCGAGUCUCUCUCUGGAGCAGGUGGUCUGAACCGGUAAGAAGUGAGCAGACUUGGUCAGUCUGUCCACUAUCACCCAAAUCGCAUCAAAGUCACCCUGUGCUCUAGGUAAUCCCACGACGAAAUCCAUCGUAAUCUGCUCCCACUUCCACUCGGGCACUGGCAGACUCUGAAGCUUGCCAGCAGGCACCAGAUGCUCGGCCUUCACCUGUUGGCAAGUCAAACACUGAGCCACAAAUCUGCCAAUGUCUCUCUUCAUUUCAUUCCACCAAAACUGUGCCUUUAAAUCCUUAUACAUCUUGUUUCUCCCAGGGUGAACCAUAUAAGGUGAACAAUGAGCCUCUCUCAAAAUAGCCUCUCGGAUCUCUGAAUCCACAGGCACACACAGCCGGUCCCUGUACCGUAGUACUCCCGAACCGUCCAAAGCAAAUCCCUCAGCCUGCCCCUUGUCUAGCUGCUCUCUAAUCCUCAACAAGUACGGAUCUCCACUCUGUUUCUCUCGGAUCCUAUCCAAUAGAGUGGGCUGUAACAAAAGAGACGUCAGCCUCGCCGUAGACCCAGGGGGUACUAUCUCGAGUCCUAGCCGUCGUAGCUCCUCGAGUAGGGGUCUCUGCUCAGUAAUCCUCAAACUCAGGCUCUGCACUGACUUCCUGCUCAACGCAUCUGCCACCACAUUCGCCCUGCCGGGAUGAUACCGAAUACUAAUGUCAUAGUCCUUCAGUAACUCCAACCACCGGCGCUGCCUCAGGUUCAGCUCUCUCUGUGUGAACAGAUACUUGAGACUUUUAUGAUCGGUNNNNNNNNNNNNNNNNNNNNNNNNNNNNNNNNNNNNNNNNNNNNNNNNNNNNNNNNNNNNNNNNNNNNNNNNNNNNNNNNNNNNNNNNNNNNNNNNNNNNUUGAGUGAAGAGAGAAGAAAAGAUGGUAAUUGAUUUUUCUUUUUUUUUUUCUUUUCUGUUUGUAAUCGGGCCAAAUGGACUGGGUGUGGUGGGUUUAGUAGAGUAAUCUUUUAUUUUUGGUUGGAUUGGGCUUUAUAUUUAGGCAUUAGUAGAUGUUUUUUUAAAUUUUAGAAUAAAUGGGACACUUACUCAAAAGUGUCCCAAACAUGUGUCCCUAUAACCUAAUUCUAUUGUAGUAUAUAUAUAUAGAUAUAUGCAACUAUAACAAAUAAAGUAUAAUUUUUGAGCUUUUUCAUUAGGUUGCAUUUGCAAAUGUUUGUUGAAAUGCAAGCAGCCGAUCAACUCCUAUUGUGUUUUUGCUCGUAGUUUCUACUCCCACUACAACAGAAUUAGGUUAUAGGGACACAUGUUUGCGACACUUUUUAGUAAGUAUCUCAUUUAUACUGAAACUUAAAAAACAUCUGCUAAUGCCUAAAUAUAUAGCCCAAUCCAACCAAAAAUAAAAGAUUACUCUAAUCAACCCACCACACCCAGUCCAUUUGGCCCGAUUACAAACAGAAAAGAAAAAAAAAAGAAAAAUCAAUUGCCAUCUUUUCUUCUCUCUUCACUCAAUCCACUGAAAUUCUAGACGAAUAGCCUUUCUUGUCGUCCUCCUCCGCCACCGCAGCCAACGAGAUAGAGUUUCGGCGGUUGCUAAAUGUUUAAAUAAGUGUUGGUAAAUUAGCAGCACUCUCUUAGAUAAUAGCGACACUUUUUAACUGUCACUAUAUACCUAGCGACCCCACAUAUAGCAACACUUUUUAAAAGUGUCGNNNNNNNNNNNNNNNNNNNNNNNNNNNNNNNNNNNNNNNNNNNNNNNNNNNNNNNNNNNNNNNNNNNNNNNNNNNNNNNNNNNNNNNNNNNNNNNNNNNNNNNNNNNNNNNNNNNNNNNNNNNNNNNNNNNNNNNNNNNNNNNNNNNNNNNNNNNNNNNNNNNNNNNNNNNNNNNNNNNNNNNNNNNNNNNNNNNNNNNNNNNNNNNNNNNNNNNNNNNNNNNNNNNNNNNNNNNNNNNNNNNNNNNNNNNNNNNNNNNNNNNNNNNNNNNNNNNNNNNNNNNNNNNNNNNNNNNNNNNNNNNNNNNNNNNNNNNNNNNNNNNNNNNNNNNNNNNNNNNNNNNNNNNNNNNNNNNNNNNNNNNNNNNNNNNNNNNNNNNNNNNNNNNNNNNNNNNNNNNNNNNNNNNNNNNNNNNNNNNNNNNNNNNNNNNNNNNNNNNNNNNNNNNNNNNNNNNNNNNNNNNNNNNNNNNNNNNNNNNNNNNNNNNNNNNNNNNNNNNNNNNNNNNNNNNNNNNNNNNNNNNNNNNNNNNNNNNNNNNNNNNNNNNNNNNNNNNNNNNNNNNNNNNNNNNNNNNNNNNNNNNNNNNNNNNNNNNNNNNNNNNNNNNNNNNNNNNNNNCAUAUGGAUCCUCAACAAGUGGGAACUACCCUCAACACUGACAGGUAGCAAAGUGUUCACGGAACCCCAACUAAGACGCUCUCGAUUACUCCGUGUAACGGAGCAACCUCACUUGCUCCUCAAAGCAACNAAAGAAAAGACAAACAUUAGCCCGGUUUACCUGACCCACACCACCCAACUAAUCUCAUUAGAAAAUAAAAACCAACCUAACCCGAUAUAUAAAUCCGUAAUCGUCUACAAAAAAUUCAAAGUCAUAUUUACUCUAUGAAUGAUUUUUCACAGCGUUUGUACACAGGGAUAUUGGAUUAAGACAACAUCACCCUCAUCUUUGAUGCUCGUUUUUGUGUUAUCCGGACAUUCCCAACUCCCACAAAGGGUAUACUCUCGACAAUUAGUCUAUCCUGGAUGAAGUACAAUCCUCACAUUUCGAGAAUUCACUUCCUUACAAAAUCCCUGCCCAAGCUUCCAAAGAGAGCAAGAACCCUUCCAACCCAACCUAGAGGAAGGUUCUAAACCCAUCAAUUAGGUCUCCAAGCCCUCAAAUUAAAAAUCCUCAAAAUAAACCCUAAAAUCUAAAUCUAGUGUUUCAUUUUCCAAAAUCUACCAAAAAUAGGUCUAGAGGGGAGAAAUAAGCAACUAACCUCAAGGGGAUAUCCAAACCAAGCUCAAAAUGCUCUAGGUCCAAGAAUCUUCCCUCAAACAAGCCUUAAGUCCAAGCUCUAAGCUUCAACCAUGGUGGAGAUGCACAAAGGGGGAAAAAUGAAAGAUCAAUCCACCAAAAUCCAAGCUAAAAGGAGAUCAAAUCCAAAGAGGGGAAGAGAGAGGCUCCCCUACCUAUUCUCUGCUGGUGCAAGGCUCAAAGAGAGCCCUAAGAGGCGUGGGUACACAUAUAAUGUUGCUGCAAUAGCAAAAACACCCCUGCAGUUUAAGCAGUCUGCGGACUGCACUGCGUACCUGUAUACGGGGCCGCGUACCGAUACACAUCCCACGAAAUGCCAAACCCGAGCCUCGGGUUGGCUGAGAAGCUGCCUGUGUACCAGUACACGGCCCCGCGUACCGGUACAACCAUCAACCCUGUACCGGUACAGCCAUCAACCAUGUACCGGUACACAGCCUGCUGAAGGCUACCCGAGAGCUGACCAAAAAUUCGACUUUUUGGGUUUUGGUGCAAAGUUUCAAACUUCAAUUCUCGGGGCUCGAACCAUAGGUCGGAACACUAUCCACGACCCUCCACGAAGUGUGGAAAAGUUCGGAACACAAAUCAAACACUCGAACCUCACUAUUUGCAACGGUUUAGUGUGUUACAUCCGGUCCCCGUAGCCCGAAAAUGCCCUGCGCGGGCUGUGCACAAAGAAGCAUUGUUGAGGGGUUUUUAUGCAAUUUUGCAUUAGUGAGGGCAAUAUGAAGGGGUGAGAGCCUUCUCCUCUCAUUCCUUUCAACCGUAACACCCAAACACCUCUCUCUCUCUCUAGAAGCUCUCUCUCUCUAUUCAAGAAUGAAGGAAAGGAGGAGGGAUUGGUGGAGAAGAAGACGAAGGAGUGGAUGAACCUUCUUCUUCUCCUUCUCAAGCUUGGAGCAAGCUUUUGGAGGUAAGCUCAAGGAGCUUUCAUGGUAGAUCCUUAGAGAUGGAUUUUUAAUCUCUAGAAUUGGUUUAUUUGGAAUUCUAGCAUGCUAAAUAGGUGAUAAAUGCUAGAAUCUAGAAAUUAAACGGUGGAUUUUGCAAUAGUUGCAAACUAGGGCAUCCAAAGAGGGUUUUGGUAUAUGAGUAGUGCUACUGGUACAACCCAUCUUGGGUUGUACAUCCUACAACUAUCCUAUCCAAUGGCUGAUAUUAGUUACCUUUUGAAAAAAAAAAUCAGUGUUAUCCUCACUCCCAUUUUCUUCCUCCUCACCCUUUCCCCCCCUUUUUUGAUCUCUCUCCUCUUUUCCAGUGCCUGCGGGUUAGAGAGAGAGGGCUGAGCGAUAGAGCGAGAGAGAGAAGAUCUCGAGCGAGAGAGGGGCGCCUCACUCCCCGUUUUUGGCGCCUGCGAGCUAGAGAGAUAGAGGCCUACGAGCGAUAGAGCGAGAGAGAGAAGAGCUUGAGCGAGACAGGGGCGACCUCCGCAAGAAAAGGCGAGAGCGAGAGUAAGGGAAACUUCGUCUUUGAUUCAUUGUUUCUGAGAGGGGAAGCGCUGGUUUGAGAUUAGGUGGGCUUCAGAGCGAUACUUCUUGCAGAGUUGUCGUUGGCGAGGGGAACUUCGUGUUUGAUUUGGUGUCCAAGUGGCCGGAUGCGGAUGGCGCCUUGAUUAGCAUCUUGCAUUUGGUAAAUCUCCCCUUUCUAUUUCUCAGUGGAUGGGUGUGACUUGGGUUCGUGUUGUAGUUAUUACGGAUUAAUUGAUUGUGAUGUUGUAAGCAUUUGAUCGCAGAGAAUUAGUGAUCUUUAAUGUUUAAUGAAACUGGUUUCUUUUUUAUGUUGUUAUACUGUUGAGUGUAUACGUAAUAAUGAACGUGAGAAGAUUGAGGAAUUUAAGUGAAAAAGGUAAAAUUAGGACACAACACAAAUGCUACAGUUCCAAUUUAACAAUUGAAAGGUUCGUGACCAAAGUAAAACUAUGCUAAAAGGUCGAGAUCCCGUGGUGCAGUUUACUCAUAGGUUGAAAAAAGUUUUGAAUUUAAGAGUUUCAGUCCUAAUAACAAUGACAACUAACUAGUUUACUACUGAAGUACAUUUAAUGAACUUGGCCUUUGUCACCAUUGUUUUACUUACAUUUGUUUAGAUGCAUCGUAAAUAAAGUAUAUAAGUGAUUUCUCAAAGUUGAUUUUGCAAAUUUAUUGCCCUUCCUGUAUUGAUGCUGAAAUAUUAUUAUCUUGGAACUAGCGAGGCCAAUUCACUAGCCAGUUCAGAUAGGUUGAUCAGUAAUAUUCUAUAUAACAUGAAAGUCCAACUAUUCGUCUCUUACGCAUAAUUGCUGUCCAAGUGUGCUCAAUUUACUAGCUGCGAUUCCUUACUUCUGGUCCACACUGUCUAAUUACUUCCAGUAUAUGAUGCUCGUCCUUGAGCUGCAAAAACUUAUGUCUCUUUUAUAUGAUGUGUGAAUGGCUUGUAAUUCAAGUGAGCAUUAUCUUAUCAGUCUUAAAAAUAAGACUGAUAAGUUGCGACUAUCUCAUUGGAGUUCUUUGUCUUCACAUUUGUCAUGUACUAACUAAAACGUUUAGGAUUAUAAUAAAAUACUUGUAUUAUUUUGUUAUGCCACAAUAAUUCAUUUUUAGGGCAUAGUAGAAUGUGGUGUAUACAUUAUUAAUUUAGAUGUAUUGAUUUUGAUAAAUAGUUUGCCCGGUCACCAUUAUUCCAAUUGUGUAUUUCGACUGCAUGUGAUGUCUUACAAGUGAGCAAUUUUGUUAAAUUUCUGGGUUGACUGAUUAUUUGAAUUGAACAUUUUUGAGAUAGAUGAAGAAAAAAACAGUGAUGUCAGAGACGUAAAUAUUUCGGCACCAGAAAUUGGAAUGUCUUUUAUCAAUUUUGAAGCUGUUUUUAAUUUCUAUAAGCAUUACGCACAAGAAUUAGGAUUUGGAGUUGUAAAGAGGACAACUAAAAUGAUUGAUGGCAAGGCUACGUAUAUAAUAAUCGCAUGCUCUUGUCAUGGAAAAAUGCAUCGGACCGUGACGAAUCUUCGUCCUCGUCCAUCGUUGGUGAAGACGAACUGUCUUGCGAGGAUAAAUGUGGUAAUAAAUGCGGAUUCAUCUUGUGUAAUAAGUAAAAUUGUACUUGAGCAUAAUCACAUCCUAAGUCCUUAUAAGUCUCGAUUUUUUUCCUGCAAUCGAGUUAUAGAUCCAAGCAUCAAGAGGCGGCUUGAUCUUAAUGAUCGUGCUGGAAUCAGAUUGAACAAAAAUUUUAAUUCUAUUGCUGUUGAAGCUGGUGGGUAUGAAAACUUAACAUUUGGAGAGAAGGAUGCUCGUAAUUAUAUUAAAAAAGUCCGUCGAUUAUGACUUGGUGAAGGUGACGGCGAGGCAAUUUGUAAUUAUUUUAGAGAAAUGCAAGAGAGAAAUGGAAACUUUUUUUAUGCUAUAGAUCUAGACGAUGAUUCUCGGCUUCGCAAUGUCUUUUGGGCAGAUGCUCGGAGUAGAGCUGCGUAUUAAUGUUUCGGAGAUGUAAUUACUUUUGACUCGACAUAUCUAACAAAUAAGUACGAUAUGCCAUUUGCUCCUUUCGUUCGUGUUAACCAUCAUGGACAGUCGAUCUUGUUGGGAUGCGGCCUACUCUCCACUGAAGAUACAGAAUCGUUUGUAUGGCUCUUUCGGAAUUGGUUGUCAUGCAUGUCUGAGCGUGCCCCCAAAGCAAUAAUCACAGAUCAAGAUAAAGCGAUGCAAAAUUCUAUCGCACGUGUCUUUCUUGAUACUCGGCAUCGAUGGUGCUUAUGGCAUAUAACAAAGAAGAUACCGGAGAAGCUACGAAGCUAUGGCGAAUAUCAUUCCAUUAAGAGCGUUAUGAUGGAUGCUAUUUAUAAAUCACUGACAGAAGUCGAAUUUGAGGAAAAAUGGAAGAGAAUGAUAGCUUGUUACGGACUUCAAAAUAAUGAAUGGUUGUCAGGCCUGUACAAAGAAAGACGUAAGUGGAUACCAGUUUAUGUAAAGGAUACAUUUUGGGCUGGAAUGUUCAUGACACAGCGAAGCGAAAGUAUGAAUGCAUUUUUUGAUGGGUAUGUGAACUCGAAAACUUCAUUAAAAUAAUUCGUUGAGCAGUAUGAAAGCGCUAUAAAGAAUAAAGUUGAAAAAGAAGCCUUCAGUUUAGUCAUCCCGUGUAUCAGCUGUUAUGCAUUUGAGAAGCAAUUUCAAGAUGUGUACACGAUUGCGAAAUUUAGAGAAUUUCAGGCAGAGCUGAAGGAAUUAAUGCAUUGCGAGACUUCCUUACCGUCUUCGAAGGGUAGUGCAUAUUCUUAUCAAAUUAAUGAGUAUGGCGAGGGAGGUAAAGAUAUAGUCUUCACAGUAUAUUUUGAUGAGAGUAGCUUUCUAAUAAGUUGUAUUUGCCGUCUAUUUGAGUACAAAGGUAUUUUAUAUCGACAUUCAAUUGCCGUCCUAAUUCAUAGAAAGUUAAUGAUUGUCCUAAAUUCUUACAUAUUAACACGAUGGAGGAAGGAUGUCAGACGGAGGUAUACUCGCGUGAAGACAUGGCAUAAGAACUUAGGGAGCACCGCUGAAAUUUAUCGAUACGAAGAAGUAUGCAGUAAUAUGUAUGACAUUGCAGACAUAGCUGCUGAGUCCGAUGAGAAAUGUGAACUAGCAUUACGUACGUUGCGAGAUUUGAAGACCAAAUUGGAAUACAUUUCAUCAUCCAAGGGAAGUAAUGAUAUUGAAUAUUCGCCGAUUGUGGCAACACCUUCGAAUAGUGUGUCGGAUGAUAGAAGUAACGACCGCAGAGUUAUAAGCCAGCUACCAGUUCGCAGUAAAGGCCGCCCGCCAAGCAAAAGAAAAGAGUCGAUGACCGACAAAGUUGUACAACAGUUGAAAAUGAUAGGCAAUAAGCAACAGGUAUAUCUUGACCGAUCUCAAUCAAUUUUUUGUUGGAUUCUAAUAUAUAAUAGACGACAAUGAUUGAUAAUUAUUCAUGAUAUAUUUUAACAGGUUGGGCAACAUUGUGGCGACAGGAUAUAUAAUGGUGAAUGUUCCAUCUAUAAUCGUCUCUCAUCAUCUCACUCAACCUCGUCCCAACAGAGUGUAAAUAUUUUAUGCAUUACUAUAUAUAGAUUUUUUUUCUAAUAUUCGAUAUAGUUUCGUUUGACUAUUUAUUUUUAAAAUUCUGGAUCUCUUAUUCUACAAAAUCAAUUGGUUUAUUACAACAGGUUCAUCUACAAAGUCCUAAGUUUAACAAUUCGUCGCGAAGUAACUUACCUUAUGGGAUCGGUGUACACACCGGCCCAGGCAUUAUCGUAAUAGUAAUAGAAAUUAUAUUUCUUAUCGACGGUUCUUUAAUACAAUUUUAUCUAUAUACAAAUAAUGUGGUUUAAGUUUUCUUUCUUUUAAUAUCAGACAACGUGGGGCCCUAAAAAUAUAUCCGUAUCAUCAGAUCCUAUCAUGUAUCCUCAUAGAGUGGAUAUGAAUCCUCAAUCUACAAAUCAGAAUCUGGCCCUUCGGACGUACAUGCCACACCCAAUUCAUUUGCAAGAGGUAUUGACAAAGUCUUGAUACAAUCUAUAUAUAUUGGUGGCUUUAAAUUAUUCCUAUUAACCUUUUAAACAGUUGCAGGAAAAGAAAAUCCCGCAGGAACAUGAAUUUCAGCAUGAUGGAAGAGCACCGCCCACAUGAAAGCACCAGGCAUUGUAUUCACUGUACUGUUACAGAUUCAGAAUUAAUCUGUAUUGUACCUGCUUGUUCAGGCGUGUCGAUUUAUAAACAGUGAUUUAACAAUCUUUCGUAUUUUUCGUGUUGCUGUUGUAGCACUGGAUGUAAGAUUGACAACAAUGUAAUGGCGUGCUUAUAUUCCUCAUAUCUAGCAAUAUUGAAUGUUCUUGCUUUCUGUUUAGUAUAUGAGUCAUGUGUGUAUAUAUUGGUGAAUUUGUGUUGUAUUAUUAUACUCAAUGUAUAUUUAUAUAUAUUUAAAAUGCAUUUAAUACUGCUUGUACAUGUUAGAUAUGAAUCUGAAGAAUCUAAAAGGUAAAUAACACCUAUUGUUAAGGAUUUUUUCUAGGUUGGCGACUUUCGUGAAGUUUGAUGGAGUCUCGAAGAGUUAGAAGACGAAGUUUGAAGAAAAAAUUGGAGUUUGAAGGUCAAAGACUUUGGUCACAUUUUUGGGAUCUCAGGUAUGAUUAUAAAUAGUUUGUGGUGAGAUUUUAUUAUUAAAAUAUGUUUAGAAGACUUAGAUUGUGUUUUUGUUGAUCAAACUGGACUUUUCUAAAAAUCUCAGGGCUCAAGGACCGGUCCUUGAUCAGAAGGACCGGACCCAUCAAGCUUCUCUGCGUAGAAGUUUUGGGAGACCGGUCUCUGGUCUUGAGGACCGGUUCCCGUAAGUGGUUUAUCUUGUUGCGCAGGGAGGGACCGGUCUCUGAAUUGAAGAUCGGUCCCCGUACGCAUGUUUCUCAGCUACGCAGCGAAGGACCGGUUUUCAACUUGGAGGACCGGUCCCCCAAGGACCGGUCUCCUCGGGAGGACCGGACCCUGAGACCGUUGUCAGUUUUUAAAAUUAAGUUUUUGAAAUCCUAGUCUAUCUAGAAGUCUUCUAAACCUAUAAAUAUGAUAUGAGGAUCCCCAUAUGACGUGAGCUUAGAGAGAUAACCUUUUAGAAACCCUAACGGCUUGAUUCGGAGUUUUUGAUCUAUGUAUUCAACAUCAAGUUCUUAGAUCAUCGAUUUGAUUCUUUAAUUUUGAUUAAAAACUUCUUUAAGGAUCAAAUUGGUGAUGUCAUAAUUAGGGUUUCUCCUCAUAUUAUAUGUGCUUUCUAAGAUCUUAAAUCACCACAAAUUGUUAAAUCCCUACGAGCUUCGGAUGGAGCGUUAGCGUGUGGAUUUCGCGUGGAGGCCGUGGAUUCGGUGGGCAUUUCGUGGAAUCGAGGCAUGUUUUGCUGCAAGGACUUGCGGUGUCACGCCGCGCGACCAACCGCCAAUUUGGACCGGGUCGCGGCGCCGGCGACAGACCGCCGAACGGAUCGUGGUUUCCCCUGUACGCGGACAGGGUCUCCCCUGUACGCGGACAGGGUCUCCCCUGUACGUUCAAGGCGUCGCAAUCCAAAUGAACAACGAGUGUUCCAACUAGAAACAGAUAUUAAUCCAGAUUGCAAAGGAAGUAUCAAGUACAUAACACUAACGCUAUUACAAGCAUUCACUUAGUACAACUCAGUUUCAGUUACAUUUUACUUCCAAAUUACAAUCUAAUUAUUACAUCAUUUAAUUUACAAGUUUGAUACAUUUUGAUUCUUGCCGUCUAGUCCUCUAAGCUAGACUGCCUCAGGGUACUGCUACCUCGAUCUCUGUGGUAGGGCGCUAUCUAUUGAGCUACGCCCUCGCCUCGCGCCACCGCGCUGCACACGUACAACCUGAAAACACCCCAAAACCACGUGGGGUGAGAACCAACUCUAUGGUUCCCAGUGGGUACGGCCACCCAAGGAAAAAGCUUGACCGAUAGGUCCGAGGAGGCACUGCAACAUGUUAGUUCAACAAUAUACAAUAGAUAUAUAUAUUCAAUUGAAAUACAUGCCAUGCCUCACGAUAUGCGAUAUGAAAAUCAUGCAACUCUAUGCAACAACUAGUAGAUCAUUAGAUUCUACAUUUACUUGGCUAUUCUUAGCUCAUAUCUUUACUCUAAGGUUUCUACUACCUUAGGUUCACACUCGAGUCCCCUGGCUCCUAAGGUCUCUAUUACCUUAGCUCAAGCCUCUAUCUCUAGCUCAUAAGGGUUCCUCUACCCUAUCGAAGCUAACCACCCGACUCAGCUUCGAGUCAAUCAUCCGCGGAUAGCCCGCGCACCGGCUGCUCAUCAGCCUACCGCCCUUUCUCUGUCUCAGCCCCCUAGCGGCGAAGUUGUCGCACACGCUAAGCUCGGCUCAAGUCGCACGACUUGACCAUCUGGUGGCGAUCGUGUUGCACUUGCCCAGCGUGAGCUCGAGUCCUGACACACCGUCUGGCGGCGAGCGGAUCGCACCACACCCAACAACGGUACAUGUCAGACUCAGCCACCUAGAGGCGCCCGCAUCGUACUUACCCAGCAUGGAUUCAGUCUGCUUUGGCGGUCUGAUCCUCAAAUAGCUUAACCAUCCUGGCGGCGAAAUCGUCUCACAAACGCCACAGCAAUGGUUCAAGCCCCGGGCGGUGAUCUCCAUGUGAUCGCCCCCAAUCCUCCCUCGGUACCAAGCUCGGCGGCGAAGUCGUCGCACAAACGCCCUAGCUUCUACCAGGGUCAUCAUAAGUCAUGGAAUUCCGGAAUCCACUUUCCACAGGUCGAGGGUCCAUAGCCAACCCUAUACUUUCGACCUAGCUCAUCCUAGUGGCUAUACCACUAUACUCAUCAACCUAGGUUCCAAUACUCUAGGUUCUAUGUCCAUGUCACUUAACCUAAAUACACUUGCUAGGUUUUUGUCAUCUUUGUCUAAAUGUCCACUUCUAGGUUUACUAGUUCGGCCUAGGUUUACUAACACUAGGUUCGAUGCCACGCACCUAGAUUGCUCGACUCUAGGUUCACUUGUUUAACACUAGGUUUGAUGCUACUCGAUCUACCUGACAACCUAGUUGUCCAAUCGACUCUACUCGCACUAGAGUUAUUGUCUAGUUCAUAUACAUAUACUCCUAGCAUAUUCCCUAAUACCGAUUAUGCAUUCUUUACUUUAGCUAACAUUAUUCACAUGUCAUGUCUAUCAUGCUUACUACUUAGCAUUUUAACGUCUCAUUCAUCAUGCUUUCUACUUAGCAUUUUACUCUCUAUGCAUUAUCAUUCAUCAUGCAUUUCUUGUCCUUGUCUACAUGCACAUGCAUCAACAUGGAGAUACAUUGCUAAGACAUAAAGGGCGACCUAGUUGCUUCGGUAAGCAUACCCACCUUAGUUAGCUUUUUCGAUUGCUCGUCGACACUCGCAAUCGGCCUCCCGCGGCACUCGGCACCCGUUUGGGCCCGAUCUCACAGUUGCUCCCCAAGAGCGCGCCGCUUCGCCGCUUCAAGUGCUAGCGAUCUUCGCCUUGCCGCUACGGUGCUCGGGAUCCGAUUUCACGAUUUAUGGACGUCGCCUCGGCCUCCCAGGCGGAAACGAAGCUCCGAGCGCCCGUUUCUUCAAUAUCCUCGCAACGGCUUGUCGGAUUGCCGAACCGACUUCGCCAACGUGUUUCGUUACCUACCAAUUAGGUUUACGAAUGGUCAAAUGAGAUCAAACUCAUCUGUUUACAAAAACUCCAUUUUGGGUGCCCUAGAUGCCAUUACUAGCAAAUCCACCAAAUCGAUCUAUGAUUUGGGUAUAACCCAUCAAAAUAGCAUGCAAGGGUUCCAAACAAACCAUUUUUAGAGAUCAAAACCCUAUCUUUAAGGAUUUACCAUGAGAGGGCUUGGAAGCUUACCUCUCCAAGAGCUCCAAGAUGAGAGGAAGAUGAAGAUGAAGAUGAGGAAGAGGCUCUCCUCCUUGGUCCUCUCCUUCUUCUCCUUCCCUUUCUCUUUUUCUUCUUCUCUUUUUCCUUCUUCUCUUCUUGCCCCUUUUCCUCUGCUAUGAACGGAGAGAGAGAGAGAGAGAGAAAAAAAUAGUGAUGGAGAGUGUGAGGGAGUGAGAUAGAGAGAGAGAGAGAGAAAGGCCUCUCUCAAAUAACCCCUCAUAUGGCCAUUUUGCACAUAAGCCCCUCCACUUUUUAUCUCUUACAUAGCCCUCACUGGGCGUUCUGCGCGCUGAGGGACCGGUCUCCCCGACCUGGGACUGGUCCCCGGGGCCUCCCCCCGCGGGCAUGCGUUCGGGAACCGGUCUCUUCUUGAGAGACCGGUCCUCGGGAGAUCGGUUCCUUUCAGGGAGACCGGUUCCCGAGAGCUGAACUUUCGGGACUUAGCCGAUUUUCGGCUCUUCUCACUGGUGUCGCAGGCUCGGACCGGUCCCUCCUCUGCCAGGGACCGGUUACAUCAGCAACCCCACUGCCUUCAGCUGAUGGGACCGGUCUCUCACUUCCAGAGACCGGUCCCUAAGAGCAACUUCAGCCCAAAAAUGCAGAUUGCAUUAUUUGCUCUCGCGGACUCCAUUCCAAUGCAUUUCUUGGGUCUCGUGCACCAUUAGCUUUUCCAAAGCUUAUCAACUCGACCCUUGGUCGAUUCUGGACGAAGCACGACUCUCGGAUUUGGAGAAUUCCAGGGUAUGACAUGCGGUGUGGUCGGUUGGAGGAGUCCAAGCGAUCGAGGACCGCCAAAGACAAUCUACAACGAGAAUUCGAUAAAUUGAGUCAUGUAUUUUUGUUAAAUCACUUGUACUCAUGUUUUCUUAGUGGAUUUUUUUGUGUGAUUGGUCCCGUGGGUUUUUCUCUUCGGUUUGAAGUUUUCCCACGUUAAUUCUCGGUGUGCUGACUUUAUUUUCCGCAUUCGCUUUUAAUUCGCAUCGAGUUUAUUGAUUUUUACCGUUUACACCUAUUCACCCCCCUCUAGGUGUUAUUUACCUCUUAGAUUCUUGGGAUUCAUAUCUAACAAGUGGUAUCAAAGCGGGUAUAGGUUGUAAACUAUGGCUGAGGGAGGUAACAUUAAUCGACCCCCUCUCUUUAAUGGCACUAAUUACGCUUAUUGGAAAGUUCGUAUGAGAGCAUUUCUUAUUGCCAUUGACGAGAGGGUUUGGCAAGCUGUUGAAUUCGAAUGGAAACACCUACUGAAGUAGUCGAAAAUGUUACGGGUCCCAAACCUAGAAACAAGUGGAUGAAAGAGGAAAAUGAACUAUCCUCGUUCAAUAGGAAGGGUAUCAAUGUUUUGUUCAAUGCUUUGAAUCAAACCGAAUUCUCUCGAGUCUCGGCGUGUGAAACCGCCAAAGAAAUUUGGGAUACUUUACAAAUCACUCAUGAGGGUACAAGCUUGGUAAAGGUUCAGAAAUUACAAAUGUUGACUAGUCGUUUUGAUUCUAUUCGUAUGGAAGAGAAUGAAACCUUUACCGAGUAUUAUACUUGUCUUCAAGAUAUUACCGAGUAUUUCUGUGUCUGAUAAAUCUGCUGAAACUAUUGAUACUAUUGCAUCACAUGAUUCAUCUGAAACCCCUAUCACUUCUUCUGAACUUACACUUGUGAAAGAUCACUCAUUGUCAAAUGUUAUUGGAGACCCUCUUACUAGUGUGAAAACUAGGAGACAGCUUUAGUGUGAAUUUGCUUGUUAUGUCUCUUUAGUUGAGCCAAAGAAUAUUGACGAAGCUCUUCUCGAUGAAUAUUGGAUUAAUGCUAUGCAAGACGAACUUGGUCAAUUCACACGUAAUGAUGUCUGAGAAUUAGUGCCACGUCCUGAGCAACAACACAUAAUUGGUAUCAAAUGGAUUUUUAAGAAUAAGAAAAAUGAGGAUGGUACUAUUGUUUGAAACAAAGCGAGACUUGUUGCUAAGGGCUACUCACAAAUUGAGGAAAUAGAUUUUGAUGAAACCUUUGCCCCGGUUGCUCAGCUUGAAUCAAUUCGUAUUUUGUUCGCGAUUGCCUGCCAUUUUAAAAUUACUCUUUUUCAAAUGGAUAUUAAAAAUGCAUUUCUAAACAAAUUUUUAAAAGAGGAAGUUUAUGUUGAACAACCGAAAGGUUUCAUAGACUCAAAAUUUUCAAAUCAUGUUUUUCGACUGAAAAAGGCACUUUAUGGACUUAAACAGGCACCGCGGGCAUGGUACGAGCGUUUCACAAAAUAUCUUUUAGAAAAGGGCUACAACCGAGGGGGAGCGGAUAGAACUCUUUUUGUAAAGCACUCGAAAAAUAAUUUCAUUGUGGCACAAAUUUAUGUUGAUGACAUUGUCUUUGGGGCAACUAAAGAUAAGGAUGCUAAUGAUUUUGCAAAGUUGAUGACAAGCGAGUUUGAGAUGUCGAUAAUGGAGGAGCUUAAUUAUUUCCUUGGACUUCAAGUUAAACAAGCUAAAGUCGGAAUUCACUUGUGUCAAUCCAAAUAUGCGAAAGAUUUGGUUAAGAAAUUUGGAUUCGACAAUGCAAAGGAUUUUGACACUCUAAUGGGUACAAGUAACAAAGGACUUGGAUUGAAUUCGGAGGGACAGAGUGUGGAUGAGAAACAGCACAGAAGCAUUGUCACGUCCCGGGACCGGCAAAGGCCCUCCCGGUAGUGUGCCCAGACCCGCCAUAUGUCAACACAUAUAAGGCGUCUACAUCAACAGCGGAAAAUAAACCAAAGAUAAACAACACCUAGAGAUAUCAUAGCACAAAUAGAUCUAUCAUCUACAACAAGGUAAAAGGAUAAUACUAAAGCAAUAAGAGUGAAUCAUAAAGUUAUACAAUAUCUGUCCAAAAAGUACACAAAAAAGGGUGGUCUCUAAUACACUGGUACAGCUCUCAAUUUCUCCAAAAUAAAAUAUCGAGAGGUAGACCACCUAUCAACUCGUCACUCGCAGAAGAGCUAGCUCGAAGCAACGCCCUUCCCACAGUCUCUAGCCUCUCCCGGCGUGGAAGGCUCUGAAAGAAAAUAUAAAACAGAGGGCGUGAGAACUAUAAUUUAUAGUUCCCAGUGGGCAAUUACUGACCUCAGCGCAAUGCACCACUAGGCCCCAAAGAAAGGGUAAGUCAAAACGAGGGCAAUAAUAAUGAAUAAUUUGCAUUUAAGAAAGCAUAAUUAAAAUGCUAAGAUACACAUUUAUUUCAUAAUGAACAAAUAUGUCCCUACAUGACCACAAGUAACAAUCAUGAUUUGUUUUAUGAAAUUAUGAAGAUCAUGCUCUACUAUGGUAAACAAUGUUUACAUGAAUGCAAUAAGCAACAUCUCCUAGCAUGCUUCAUGUAUGUAUGUAUACUCAAGUGUCCAACACUAUGCUAGAAGCAAGUCCAAGUAAUCCAACUACUACUCUCUAUUUAGUAGUGAUUAUAACACACUCAACGCUGUGUCGAUUUCCAUUUCCAAUUAAGGACCUACCCAAGAUAGUCCAGCUUGUGCCGCCUAAGUGCCUAUGAUAGCCCAACAUUCCUGCUCUUGGAAUGUGUCUGUUCCAUUCAACCCCGUAGGCUUCUCAAUACCGCACGAGCAAACAUAAGUCGCGUAGGCUAACUCCGGAGUGCCGGCUUGUAGGGAGCGACCCUCACAAGCAUGUGCGAAUGAGCACAAAUAGCAAGCAAGCGUAGUCAAAGGCUAAAGUAUCCAACCCUCAUGUCUCAAACAUGGCAAUAGCUACUAGUAAACCAACGGUCUAGCUCUAUGUCACAAUGUGAUAACCCAACACCCACUGGCUUAGUGCCUCUUUAUGACACUUAAGCAUCACAACUAAUCAAGCCCAAUUCAUAUGCUAUGUUCCAAUUAAGACAUUAAUACCAAUGUUCACUAUAACUCGGGCCCAAUGCCUCUUUAUGACAUUGGCCCAAUUUCUCAAAUAGUCCAAGUCCCCAAGCCUCUCUAGGCUUCCAAAGUCUCUAAUGUCACAAUUGGGCAUAAAGAUUAAAUGCAUGAAAGUAAUGUUCAUUUUCAUAAUAGGAAUCAUGGUUCCAAGUCUCAACUAGAAUGCUAUAUCUCACAUGCAUGCACUCUACCACAUAGAGGUCCAAAAAUGUACUAUACAUUACAUAGGCACGUUAAGUAUUCUAAAAUUCAUAAUAAAUAUAUCUAACAUGAUUACGCAUGUUUAAUCAUUUAACGUUACUCAAAUCAUCACAAAUGAGAUUUUCUCAUUGUGUGGCUAGAUCAAACCCACCAAACCGUCGCGUAGUCCCUCGUUUUGCCGAACGGAGUUGUCCACGAGUCUCAAAAUACCCUAAAAGUAAUGAGCGAAGAGAUACACGGGCAUUACGAUCAAUUAUAAGAUCAAACAUUAACCAUCAAGGCAAAAGGGCUAAAAUCUCACAUAGGGUGAAGAAAAACUCUCACAAGCUCCAAAAGGAAGCUAGAAUCCUUUCAAUCUAAGCCAAAGGAAGGUUCUAAUCCAAUUAAUCAAGCUCCAAAAGCCCUAAAUCCAAAAUGCCCAAAAUUGUAACAUAUCACUAUCACUUCCCCGUAAGUCAUGCCGAGUUCCGUUGAAAUGAGCGGAACGCGGAAAGGAAUGAGUUGCUAUAGGCUAAAAGUGCAUUGGAGCCUAUAUAUAGAGUAUAAAGGGACCCAAGAGAGUGAAACUGUAAUUCUAGAAGAAUUCCAGAAAUUUUACUCUCGGGGACCGGUCCCUUGGGUGAGAGACCGGUUCCCGAACGUUGGUCAGCUGAGCAGAGGAAAAAAUCGGCUAAGUCCUGGAAACUGAGCUCUCGGGAACCGGUCCUUCGGCGGGACACCGGUCCCCGGAGACCGAUUUCAUCGGGGGGAGACCGGUCCCCUUCUACGCAGGUUGCAGGGUAGUUCUCGGGAACCGAUCCCUGGAGGGGAGAGACUGGUCCCCAAGCCCGGAAAUGCCCAGUAAGGGCUAGUUGCAAAUAUGAAGUUGAGAGGGGUUUAAGUGCAAAUGUUGCAUGAGAUGGUUGUAUAGAGCUAAGGGUUAGGGUUAGCUCUCAUUUCCUCACACCUCAACACAAACUUUCCCUCUCUCUCUCUAAAAUCCUUCUCUUCUCUCUCCCUCUCUCUCUAGGGCUUGGACUAAGAAGGGUUUUGGAGGAGAAAAGCUUGGAGAAGAAGCUCUCCAAGGUGUAGAGCAAGGUUGAUCAAGGCUUUUGAAGGAAGCUUUGGACUCCAAAGGUGAGUUCUCAUGGGUUUUGUGCUAGAGUUUGGAUUUUUCCUUCUAGUAUGCUUCUAGGAGAUGGAUUAGAGUAUUUUCCCCAAGUUUCUCAUGUGUAAGGACCUAUAUUGGGGAAGAUGACUUUGUUAAGAGACCUAUAUUUAGGAUUUUGUAAUUUUGAGGUUCAAACUUGGAUUUGAUCUCAUUUUAACCUAAUUGGUAGGUCUACGAACACAUCGGUGCGCUCAGUUCGGCGAUACGACGAGCGUGCGCAAAGAUAUUAAGAAAAUAAGCUGAAAUAGUACAGAUCGUCGUAACUCGCGGCGAACAAGCCCAAAAAUCGUGGAAUCGGAACCGUGGCAUCCUUGUGACACAUAAAGGUGGGGGGUGCUAUCCGGAAACACCGGAUCUCUUUCUAUGUCUAUGUUCUUUUAUUUGAGCAUAUUGAUAUUAUAGCAUUCUUGCAUGUAGGGUAAUGAACAGCAUGUGUUGGUUGUAACAAUUAUCUGCUUGAGAUCAUUGUAGUGAUAUUGAACUGUGUAGAAAAGGAAAGUGAAAUGCCCUAUAUGCAUGUGAAUGUAAGAAAUGACCGUGACCGUAGUAAACAAAGGCAACAUGGACAUUAGUGACUCGAUUGAGAUCGAUAAGUGAAUAGUUAAACAAGGUUUAACCCAAGUGAUAUUAUGAGAAUUGUGGCAUCAGGACCACCAUGACAAUGGCAAGUGACAUUAUGUGCGUGAAUAGGUAUUAACCAUUCAUCGGCAUUGAGACAGUAAGAAUUGUGACAGGUUGGCCAUACCUCCUCAAAUUGAGGAUGGGAUCAUACUCACAGGUAUUGGUUCCGGCUUGUGUGAGGUCGCUCCUCCACGAGCGGUGUACUCCGGAGAAGAAAUGCACCACGGGUGGACGUGCCUGGCGAAGAUCCUUCGGGUGGUUGUGCCUCGUGCCUCCCCCGUUAGAUGGAUACGUGGACUGUGAGUUGGGGUAAACCAGGAGCACCCCAGGUUGAAUUGGGUAAAGGCCAAGGGAAAGUGAAAAAGGACAUGCAUGCAUAAUUAUCAUGUAUUUGAAUAUGAAUAUCUAUCUAUGAUUUGCUUUCGUGCAGGCAUUAUAUUAGAAGUGCAUUAGUUGGUUUGUUAUUCUUCUUUAUUGAAAUACAUAUGCCUGAAUUAGACCUAGUGGGCGAAUCGGCGUGGUUGGUGGCCGAACCCACUGGGAACUUCUUCUAGUUCUCAUUACCACUAACCCUGCAGAUCCAUACGCGAGCGGGGCGGCGGAGGAUCGAGGCAAGGGAGUCGCGCCGUAGAUAGCGACCCCGGAGUUAUAUAGGCAUACCCUACUCUUGAUGUAUUCAACUUUUGUUUGUUGAAAUUGUAAAGUAAAAGUAAUGUAAUGUAAAUUAUAUUUUGGGUAAUACAAGAAGAAUGUAAAUGUGUUGGACUACUUGUGUUUGAUUCAAAUGUAAUCAAAUGACAUGUGUAUUAAAUGCUUAAUUAGUUUCGAUGCUUUCACUAUAGUUGUUGUUUGCCUUCGUGCAAACCUUGUAUAUCUCGCAAUUCUCCUUGAGGUUUUGCUUGCAUUAUACUUAUUGUUGGAGCCUUGGGCGGACAGGAGGGGUACUGUCCGUUCGGCGUUUGUCGCGUGCUCGAAUCCGACCAAAUUGGCGGAGCUCGGGGCGUGACAUCAACACCCCCAUCGGGUACAUCUCUUUUUUUUCGCAUCAUAGGAUCCACGUUCUGACCCAAUCCUCACCUAUCUAAGUCACCAAGCGUUCCAAGUACACUAGGUUAUCAUUUAGAAAGCAUAAGGAAUGGAGUUACUAUGUAAUCCCACAAUGCAACAUGAAGAGAUGAGAUUAAAUGCAAUCUAAGACAUAGAAAGGAGUCCAAAAGCUUCGAGAUGGCACCCCCCACCUUUAAUCGAUGUAGAGGCUUCGAAAAUCCUUCUUGGCGAACUUUACGAAAAGGCUUUUAGCCUUCCUUGCCCAAGUCAACCCUAGUCCGGCCCUAUUUUGCCGAGAACUUCACGCCGGUUCGCCGAAUGCCGAAACCGACUUCGCCUCCACGUUUUCUGAUCUAACAAUAGGGUUUCCAAGACUUCAAAUGUGAUCAAUCUCAUACUUUCACAAAAACCCCAUUUUGGAGCCCUAGGUUUGCACCUAUAGCAAACCACCAAUAAAUCCCUAGAAUCAUGGGAUUGAUCUAUUUAGAAGCAUGUUUAGGGUCCAUUUGACCAAUUCCAAAGCAUCAAAACCCAAAACUCCAAAGUUGAGAAGUUAGGGUUCAAGAGCCUACCUCUUGUGCUACACCAAAGAGAAGAGAAGAGGGAGAUGAAGGUGUCCAAGGCCUUCCUCUUGAUCUCCUUCUUCUUCUCCUUCUUGUUCUUCCUUUUUUUUUUUUUCCUUCCUCUCCUUCUUGUUCUUCUUCUUCUCUUUUCCUUUCUAGAGAGAGAGAGAGCAAGAGAGAAAGAGAGAUAGAGAGGGAAAUGAGGGUGUGAGGGAGAAAGAGAGGACUCAGCACCCUCUAAUGAGGGCCAUUUUGUACUUAAACCCCUCAAUUUUCCAUCUAUUGCACAACCCUUACUGGGCAGUUUUCGCGCAGAGGGACCGAUCUCCCCGACUUGGGACCGGUCCUCGAGGGCCUCCCUCGGGCGCACGCGUUCGGAAACCGGUCUCUCCCCGGGAGACCGGUCCUCAGCUGAGAGACCGGUCCCCAAGAGCUCGAUUUUCAGGACUUAAUCAAAUUUCGGCAUUUCUCGCUGGGACCACGUUCGGGAACCGGUCCCUCCCUGCCAGGGACCGGUUGCAUCUAGCAACCCCGCUACACCCAGCCAAUGGAAUCGGUCUCUCACUUCCAGAGACCGGUCCCCGAGAGUAACAUCAGCCCAAUGAUGCAGUUUGCAUCAUUUGCUCUCGUGGACUCAACUCCAAGGCAUUUUUUAUGCUUUGGAUAUUUCUAACUCCGACCAUGGGUAUUCACUCGACAGUUAGUCGAUCCUGGAUGAAGUACAAUCCUCGGAUUUCGAAAAUUCACUUCCUUACAUUAGAGCCUUUUGAUGAGCAUGAUGUUGAUCGUAGUCGCUGUGACGCCCCGACUUCCCAGGGGGUCACCCAUCCUAGGACUACUCCCGUCCUAGCACGCUUAACUCUCUUAACCUAUUGGGCCUUGCCACCACCCAAAAAGCUUAAGCCGGGUUAAGAGUUUAGCCCUAUUAUAUCAUAUAUAUAGGACUAUCUGGGGUCUCACAGUCGCGGACGUGGUAGGUGACGUGGUCGAUGGAGUAGGAGGAGAGCAUGAUAUUAUAUUUCUAUAUUAUUGUAAAACUUGCUUUAAUUUUUGAUAUUCUGUUGUGAUUAUCAGGUAUUGAUACUUUAUUGAGAUUCUGUUGGUACUGAUGUGUGUAUUGUUAAUGCUGAAUUAUUUGUAUUGUUGGAUUGAAUUUGUUGUUGCGUUGUGAUGUUGUAUUGUAUUGUUGUGCUGACCUCGUUGUGAUGUUGUAUUGUUGAUUGAUCUGGUUUUUUGCGCCAGAAAAUGGUUAAGUGCUGGUAGUUGUAUUGGACACGGUGAACCAUUCACCCUGUCCAAUACAAAUAACUGCAUCUUAGCCAAAAAAUGGCUAAGUCGCAGAUAGUUGUAUUGGACACGGUGAACUAUUCACCGUGUCCAAUACAACUACCUGCCCCUUAGCCAAAAGAUGGCUAAGUUCUAGGAAUUUUGUAUUAGACACUGGGAAUGGUUCACCGUGUUUAGACACGGUGACCCGUUCACCAUGUUUAGACACGGUGACCUGUUCACCAUGUCCAAUGUAUUAUACACACUAGCAUGGGGCGUAUAAUACAUUGGACACGGUGAAUCAUUCACCGUGUUUGAAUUCGGAUUCACCGUGUUCAACUUACAUACCUGGCCCCAGCCUGCCUGUGUGGCGCCGACGUGGCGCCUGUGUGGCAAGGGCAGGACCGUUUUUGCAAUUUCAAGGCUAAUUUUAAAAUAAAAAUUUGCCAGGGGGGCUAUAUACAAAAAAAGCCCCAUGUGUCACGACCCGCGACCACCCACCAAUUUGGCCGGGUCGCGGCGCCGCCGACAGACCGCCGGACGGACAGGGUCUCUCCUGUACAUCCAAGGCGUCGCAAUCAAACAAUACGAGAGGUUUCCAACCAGGAACAGUAUUCACUCACAGAUUGCAUAAGAAAGUAUCAAAAACAUAAACUACUAAGUUAUUACAGCAUUCAACUUAGAUGCAUUUUACAACAUUAUUUUACUUCUUCAAUCAAAUUCCCGAUACAAUCAUAAUUAUUACAGAUUCUUUUACAGCUUAAAUAAAAGUUUGUUCUUGUCUUUAAACCUCCCAAGCUAGACCACCAACUCGGGUACUGCUAUCUCAGUCUCUNCUAAAGUCUCAUUUAUCUCUAUAUCUUCUCGUUGUAAACUCGCUUCUCUCCAUGGCAAGGUUUACGGCUAAAACUCGACCAGGAAAACCUACGGGAACUGCAUCGCCGGUUCCAUAGGUCGUUCCUGAACCGAGUGGUGCGGGAGCUUGUACCGAGCCGGAGCGGUUCACGUCGCCGCCUUUGGGAUCUUUGGGGGCUCCUGGAGUGGCGAAGAGAGAGUACCCACCCUCGAGUAUGCUCUGGAAACCUAAUUUGAACAUUGACACAUUUACAUUGCUGUAUCUUCCAUUUCCGAUUUGUUAUAGGCGUCUGUAUAUUAAGAUAGUUGGAAUUAUUAAGAUGUUUGUAGAUAACAACGGUCUUAUUUUAGUGUGUAAUGCAAUCUAUAAAGUUGGAAAAAUUUCAUUUUCUGCAAAGUCGUGUCACCGAUGGAAGUAGAAGACUUCAUAUUCUGUAGUCAUGUUAAUGGAAGAAGAAGGUGAAUCAUGAAGAUGCGUUGCAGCCAGAUGGCUUAGAGCAGGUUGCAGGAGUAGAUGUUUCUCUCUCUCUCUCUCUCUCUCUCUCUCUAACACAAAUAUGCUUGAGCGAGCUCUUUUACUGUCAAGCUAAGGCUCAUUUUGUUUAUUAAACUUGAAAUUCUAGCUUGAGGUACAAUACAAUAGCAAACUUGAGCAGAGCUCGAGUGGCUUGCCGUCCUUUGAUUCAUUUGAUUCUCCUCCUUGCUAUUGAAAUUGUUAAGCAUUCUAGAAGUUGUGUUGACACGCUUGGGUUGGUACUUGUAGGACUGAACAACCCCCCUUUUGAUGGGAGAAACACUCAUUAUGUAUCACAUUGCAUAAGAUGAAUGAGAGAUGAUUUGUUUAUUGAGGAAUUAUGUUGGCGGAAAUUGUCUUCCUUUGAGUGAGGUUUAUGAACAGACAAAAUUAAUGGUUGCGUGAAAUUUAGGAAGUCCUAGCCUUGGAAGCUAGGGGGGUGGCGGUCGAAGAUCUAGUGCAGAUUUGUAGGUUAUCAAGUUCAUUGAUUAAUUGAGUAGGUCAAUCCUCUUAGAGACUAUGUUUAUUGGGGUUAUAGAAGGGUGGUCUAUUCCUGUUUUAGUUUUGAGGAUAUUUAACUUGUAUAUUGAAUUAAAAAAUAAAACUUUUAGGAAACUUCCUUAUUGAUUUUUUAUUUUUUAUUUGUUUUUAAAUUUUGGUGGUAUCUAAAUUGAUCUAUCCAUUACUUUGAAAUGAUUCAAAAUUAGACAUUGUGUUAUUUAUCUUUUUGGCAAGGAUGACAACAUUCCACUUUACGUAUCCGUAAUUCUGUUACAACUUAUUUGCAACAUAAUAUGAAAAUAAAGGGUGAAAGUCAUUGCUUUCCAACAUAUAUUGUGAUAAAAAGUGGGUAAAGAACAUAGUUCUGAUUGCCAAUGUUUUUGACUUGUGCUAAUAGGACGGUUGAAAAAGCCAUGCUUGCUAAUACUUAGAAAUUUGAAGUAUGUUGGUUCUAUGAUGCGUUUUCUUGAUUCAUUGUUAUGCUUAUUUAAUUUCUCUUGUAGUUAGAUACUGUGAAUAAAGCCUUAGUGAUUAUGUAAAAAUUGAUGCAGGUUCAAGUUAAGGUGUGGCUUAUAGUUUGUUCAUCGUGGAAACAAUUGCCUAUCUUUAAUACUAUAAAUCAACAAGUUGUCUGUUUGAUCUCACUUGGAUAAUCAAUUAGAUGAAUAUUAUCUUCUUGUGGUAAACCAAGUGUUUCAAGGUAAAGAGAGUCUAUUUCUAUAUGUCAUGGAUUUGAAGGGCUUACACGACUUUGCUUAUUGUGCAGAGGAAAUAUUACUGGAAAAUGUAGAACUUAUUCUCGAGGCCUUUGACUAUCUGCAGUUGCCUUUUGCUUUAAAGAGUGGUAUUGCUCUUUUCAUUGGUUAUCUAUGUUGAUUUUUUGCAUCUAUAGUCAUCUAUUUUCUUUUAGCAUAUUGAGCUUUAUGUUUUAUCUUUCGUAAAGCAUGCCCAAUCUUUCUCAUAUUCCAAGAAAUCUGAAUAAUUUGGAUGUGGCUUUGCAAAGAUUAUAUUGGAAUGUACCAUGAAACUUUUACCAUGUAAUUAGCAAUGUUGAUUAAUCACCCACCUUAUCUAUUUUUUAUGUGGCUUUUUAUUUGCUCUUGUAGAUCUGCAUAUGGUUCCGAUUCAUAUUAUUACCUUAAAGUAUAAAACAUGCUGUGUGGUUUGAUUUAGAUUAUUAUCACCUUAUUAUUAUUGAUGCUUUAGAUUAUUCGACAACUCACAGUAAUUGUCUCAUAUCCAGAAGGCUUAACAUUUCUUUUUCUUUAAUUGGUGACCUGUCUAGCUUAGAAUGUUCUCUUUUCUAGAUGUCCUUGUCACAUCCUGGACCCCAGCGGAAGCCUACCCUGCACGUGCAGAGACCUGCCGUGUGCACAAGGGUAUCCCCCAUUACACACAAGGCAUCUACAAUCAUAAUAUCCACCAAGAUGAAAUACAUAUCCUAAACAUGGUGAUCAGAGCGAGAAAACAUAAACUAAACUAGAAUAAAUACACAUCAAACAACUAGCAUCACAAGUACAUCUCUCAAGUACAUAAUCCACUACAUACAACAUCUCCAAAAUGAAUACAACUCAUAGUAUACAUCAAAGGUACAUCUCAUGGACUCCAUAGUAGUCUAUAAAACGUGCACAUAUUUUGUAAAGCACAUAUUUUCUAAAAUUGCGCAACAGCCAAAUCAAAGCUUUUGAGAUAUCCUUUUCUUUCAACGAUUUGUAAUUUAUAGAAACAUGCUUAAGCCUUAUUUUGAAAAACCAUACAAAAAGGGAUAACACAAAUAAACUAACUGAUGGUGGGUCGCUUACCUCUAAAUAAUUUGAGUAUAGUUCAGCCGAAAGCCAAGUAUCAAUUUAAUCAACGAAAUCUUUUCAAAACGAAAUGAUGUCGAACAAGAUGUCGUCGACUACGAAUCAAAUUGCACCAAUGACGAUCAAGAAUUGCAACACCGACCAAGAACGAUGGCAACGGUGUCGAAGGACGAGGGGAAGCAAGAAGCUGAGCGCGAGUAUGUGUAUGAGAGAGAGAGAGAGAGAGAGAGAGAGAGAGAGAGAGAGAGAGACGGUAAUAUGCAUAAGAGAGAGAAGCGGUUGGUUGGAGAGGGUGUACGGAUACGAUAAAAAGAUAGAGAUUUUAUCUUAUAUUAAUCAGGUUAUGGGCCAAUUUUCACAUAAACCCUCAAUGCUUAUAAUUGAUGCUAAGUCCAAAUAUAUAAAUAAGUAAAAUAUGAGGUAUUACAUAUGUGCUGGUGAAUAGAUGAAUUGGAGAAUUUUUUGUACCAUUACACAUGAAUUACCUUCUAUGGUGUUUAUUUGCCUGAUCUCAUUUCUGCAAUUGACUUCUAUAAUAUUGCAGGCAAGGUUGGGAAAUUGAGCAUCAAGAUUCCAUGGAAAAAGCUUGGAUGGGACCCUAUCAUAGUUGUGUUGGAAGAUGUCUUUAUCUGUGCUUGCCAACGAGAGGAGAGUGAGGCAUGUUUAUUUAUUUGGAUCUUAGCAUGUUUUCUGAUAUACGAAUUACACUUGAUAGCUUCAUUCUCAUGCUUAUACGAAUUACACUUCGUAGCUUCAUUCUUAUGCUUAGCUUCUAUGGAUAAUCAAUAAUAUGAAGGUUGUAUUUGUUUGGAUAAAAUUUUUCUUUUUGUUAUUCUUCUCAUGCAGUGGAGUUCAGAUUCAAUUGAUAGAAGAGAAUUAGCUGGAAAAUUGGCAAAGCUUAACGCAAUUGAGCUUGCAAAGUUUUCGAGAAGAGUAUCUGGUAAGCCUUUGUGAUAAGCAAUUUCCAAUUGCUCUUUGAUUCUUUCAGUAGAUUUCAAAAUCUCCAAUCUCAGGUUUCAUUCUUAUGGAUUUCUUUUUAUAGUGUAGCAGUCUAUGUUGCACAGAUACGAAUACAGGGAUAUGGAUACGAUACGAUACGGAUACGAUAACACGACAAUUCCUAAAACUUCUAGAAUAAGAUAUGUGGGGAAUACUUGAAUAAAAUCUUAUUUUAAAUAUAUUUAAAUAUAUGUUGAUUCAGGAUAUCUGGAUUACAUUAAGGAAUAUAUUCUGAUACACAUUAUCUUUUUAUAAUUGUUCUACACCUGCUCAUAAAAAAAAGAUUAUCACUGGUAUGAAAUAAUAAUUCAACAUGUAUCAACCAACUAUCAUCCAACUUGAUCAAAUGAUAACUAUAGAUAUUUAGUCACACAAACUAGAUAAUUAGCCAUUUAACGUGUAUGCCUGUUUUAUUAGUUCUAUUAUUAAAACAGUAAUAAAAGAAAAAUAUGCUAACAAUUUAAUAGAAGACGAAAAAUCAUUCUCUAUAGCUUUUGUUACUUAGUGCUAGGUUGAUAAAUUAGAUGAAAGAGAGUAAAAGAGAAGCAGUAAAGUACUGAACCAUGGGUUAAUAUUUUGUGGAGAUAGAACGAAAGGGAGCGCCUUCUACCAUUCAAGAGAAAAAAGAUGGAAGAAAUGACAAAUUGAAUAGAGAUUCACAUUUUUCUCACUCUUUUCCUUAUUUCCAAUAGGUUUGGAUGUGGACUUUUCGAAAAAUUUUUAAGUUCCGAUCAUCUUGCCAUAACACCCCCUCCCCUGGUAUCGCUCCCAUAUUUGAGCUGUAUCCGAUAUAUAUAUUUUUUAUUUUUUAAAAAAUGCCGGAUACUUCAUUCCCGUAUCGGACACGUACGGCCGCAUAUCAGUAUCCGAUACGUGUCCGAUAUGUGUACGUCAUGAAAUUUGAAGAAGCGGUGCUUCAUAGGUAGCAGUUCAAUCCUUCGAACUAAUGUGGCUUGAACUAUUUUAUCUGUCCUUGCUUCAUUGGCUUAUUUUCUUGCUUUUCUAGUUCAAUACUCUUCUUCUAGACUAUCCCUUGGCAACUUGCUAGCUAAUCUACCAUUGAAUUUGGAUAAUGCUUGGGUUUCCCACAAGAUGAUCCAUGACCAUCUAUCACUGUGAUGUGGUUGUGAUGUCAAGUGACAUAUACGACAGUCUACCUUGUCAAAACCUUGGUGUGCUGCAUGCUGCUUUGAAGAAUUAGGAAGUAGUUAGUUCUAAUUCACCUCCUAAUGACUGAUCUAAUAGUUUGCUUUGCUGGAAAUUAAAUCACAGAGACAAGUGAAUAUAGCCAAAGCUAUUGGUUGAAGAAGAAAAGAAGCAAGAAAAUAGAUAACAUGCAAACUAGUCUCCUUUCUGGUCAAUAAUUAGAACUAAUUAUCCAACAGUAGUAUCCGCUGUAACUGAGUACAUUCUUAUCCUGGUGGCCUAUUUACCUGUUUUUAGUAAAAUUAGGGCGGACUCCUGUAAAGAAGGAAAAAAAAAAAUCUAAUCCACCAAUCAUUUUCGUAGGCACUGAACAUCAAUUGUGUGAGUAUUAAACCACCUAGAGGAUUACUCGUGCACUAAAGCUUGAAUAAACUCGAUCCCCCAUUGUUUUUUUUUUAUGUGUUGGAAUUUAUGUAAAUAGUAGGCUAGAACAGAUACAAGAGAAAGUGAAGUCGAAUCUGCUUUUGGGACUGUAUUUGCAAUGUAUUUGGAAUAGUUCUUUGUUAGAUAUCUUUAUUCUGUGGUUUCAUCAUCAUUUUUUGGUGAUUAGAACUGUCUCUAUAAAAUGAUUAGUGAAAGGGUGGUUUGAUACCCGUUGCAUAAAAGUGGAUAGGGCACUCGCCAAUAUGAAGCUAGAUAAGCAAAAGGAAGAGCAUAUUAUGGAAAAGCAUCAAUUGAAAGGUUGAGAAUGAAUGGAUUAGAUCAACACCCAUAUUCAAACCUCCUUUCUAACCAUUAGCAAGAACUUGUUUUAGCUAAAUAUCGUGAGGAAUUUGGACCACUACUUUAAUAUAUUCAGAAAGCAUUGCUGAGGAACUUCAAUAUCAACGCGCUUAUUAGCUAAAAUUGAGUAAAUAGCUCUACGAACAAACAGAUCGGAUUGAAUUGGAUAAUGGAAAGAUUUCUAGAAGUUAUAUGUUUUGUCACCACUUUGUGGAAAUCGUUAGGUAUGAAAAUGUAAGAGCCAUCUCUUUCUCAACAAUGCCCUUAUCAUUUGAUCUAAUAAUGGUCCCUUAGAAAUAAAUUUGGUAACUACUGAUGACUCUUAGAUAGAGUAGUAAAACAGAAAGAUCCAUAAGCCUAUGAGGUCGCUUUUGCAACAGGAUAAUCAAUGCUGAAUCGUCUUUACAUUGAAUGGUUCGGUGUUUGAUGAUCCCUACCGUAUCGACCACAACUUCUGUAUUUAUUAUCGCCUUUAUUGCUGGUCCUUCAUUAGAUAUUGAUAGUAUUCAUGAACUUGAACUACAGAAGUCCACCGGUCUCCAUUAACUAUAAUUAGGAUGGCUAUGGAUGAGGUGGAAAUUGUAACUAGCCGAGUCAAAAAUACAAUAUGCCUAGAAAAAUAGAAGUUAUUGUAGUGCUGAUUUAGUGACCUCAUUAGUGGUUGGUUCUUUAUGUUACAGUGCAUCAUUUUCUAAGUGCUUGCUCUUUAGUGGAUUGAUUGAGCUCUUGUGGAAAGGUGGGAAAUACUGUUACCUAACAAUUACUGCAAAAGAUAUGAUUGACAUUAAUUGACAAAGUGGUCUAGUCCUGGCAGGAUACCAGGUAGAUGGCAUAGAAUUUCUGUUAAAUGAUAUGUGCCUCAUUACUUGUCUUUAUACUUUAGAACAAGGAUUUAAGUGUCGUGACACGGGGUCGUGCUCGAAACUUGCUAGCACGAUACGACAUGGUGUGUGCCGGGCCGUGCCGAUGCGUGUCGGUCACAAAAAAUAUGUGUGCCGACACAUAAUGCAUUGAAAUAUUUAUUUUCUUUAGCAACAAAAUAUUCUAACUGUUUAUUAUGUAUUUUUAUCAAAUCUUUUGAACUUUAUUGAGAAAUUACUUACUAAUUUAAAGAAUAGAGGGUUUUGAGAUGUGUCAUCAGUACGGGGUUUGUAUCGUGCCGAUAUCUUGUUGGCACGAUACGACAUGGUAGAUACGACCCAUGCCGAUGGGCACUUAAAUUCUUGCUUUAGAAUUUAUGCUUGAAAAAUAUAGCUUGCCAAAGUUUGUUUUGAACCAAGGAUUAAAGUGCCUAUCGGCAUGGGCCGUAUCCACCGUAUCGUAUCGUGCCAACAAGUUAUUGGCACGAUACAGCCCCCGUGCCGAUGGCACAGUUCAAAACCCUCUAUUCUUUAAAUUAGUAAUUAAUUUUCUCAAUAAAGUUCAAAAGAUUUGAUAAAGAUACAUAAUAAACAGUUAGAAUAUUUUGUUGCUAAAGAAAAUAAAUAUUUCAAUGCAUUAUGUGUCGGCACACAUAUUUUUUGUGACUGACACGCAUCGGCACAGUCCGGCACACACCGUGCCGGCAAGUUUCCGGCAUGACCCUGUGCUACGGCACUUAAAUCCUUGUUCUGAACAAAAAGCUCAUGCUUAUUAUAGGUGCUCUUCACUGCUGGUUCUAUAUAUUUUAUGGUAUUAGUUAAAAAAAACCUGGUUAGCAACAUUAACUUGCGUACAUGAUUCAAAUUUUUGUUCGUUCUUUUCAUCUUAAUGUUGUGGUUGUGGUGCGUGCUCAGCAUGUGAUAGCACAUCCCUAGUCAUUAGUUGCUGGAAUCUUAUCAGCAAGAAAUUUUUUCUUUUCUUGCAAGAAAUACCUUUAUCAGUUAUUGCUACCUAAGUUCUAAUUGAUUCUCUUUUCUCUAGAUAAUCAAACUGGCCAGUCAUUCAUUUCUUACGUUUCUGCAAAGGUAAGUGCAUUUUUCUUUUUGGCCUUAAGAAGGAGCUAACAAAGUCUGUAUAGACUACAGUACUCUUUAAAUUUGUGUUGACCCAUGGUUAACAAAACUACUUGAUGCAAAUUCACUCCAAUCACCAUCUCAAUCUACAGAUUCUUGACAACAUCCAAGUUUCAAUCCAAAAUGUUCACAUCAUAUACAUCGAUUCUCAUGAAGAUCAGGUGACGAUUCUCUCUUUCAUGUAUAUUCUAUAACUAUAAUUCUAUGGUAGUUUCAUGUUCUCCGGAUAUAUCAAUCAACAGAUUCUGAUUUUAUUAUUCUAACUCUUUAUCUUUCACUGUUCCGCUCAUGUAUCUAUUGGUUGUUACUUGCAAACUUCCGGCAACUGCGUCUACAUGGUAGAAAGUCAACAAUGAUUAACACUAUUUCACUGAAUUUAAAAUCUUAAGAAAUGUAUAAUUCAUAAGCAACGUGAAUUGUGAAUAUCCUUGUCUUCCUUGUCAGUUGUGACUAUUAAUUGGUAAUCAUUAACCUACAAGUUGGUUUUAGUUUAUUAGAGUCGGAUAAUUGCAUAAAUGUGAGUUCAGUAACUCCAGCUAGAUCUGCAUUUAGUGCAUUUGAGUUGGUUAAUGGUACAUGAAUCAGGUGCUUUUGGUUGUUGCUCAUGUUUUCCUGUUAGUUUUCGAGUUUUGAGAUAAAUUUUCAUCUAUAUUUUAGCAUGGUUUGGAAUUUCAUGCUAGAGCCAAAAUUCUGAAGAUUAAGGCAGGCUAAAUUUGGGAAUCUGUGGUCAUAUCAACUCAUAUAGUCAUAUCAACUGAUUUUUGGAGCUCCACAGAAAUCAGAAAGUGCUUUAGAGUUCCCAUCUGUUACCGUGCUUGUUUGCAAUGAGAUGUUGGUGGGGCCUUGUGCUGGUGAAAUCUUACUUGAACAUAGAUCUGACCAUCCUUUCGUAGGAUCAGAGCAAGUAGGAGUAGGGCGCUGAAAUUCUUUUGGAUUUUUGUUGAGCUUUGAAGCACUCCAAGUCUCUGAUUCACAAAAUGUUGGCAAAUCCUCUGAAGUAGUUGGUUAGGAGAUUAUCUACUCGAACUUAUCUAUAUUUAAAAAGUAAGACGAGGUUACAGACAUAUAUGAUCAUGUUUGAAAGUUCUAGAUAAUGAUAAACACUAUUUUCAUCUUAAAGAACUUUUAUCUAUCAGUGAUUUUCCACACAAUUAAUAAAAGGAGUGGUCAAUAAGGUGACAACAAAGUGACAAACAGAUAAUUAAUUAAGAUGCCCUUCGGCCAUCUUGCAUUUCUUCUAUUGUUUUCUUAUUUCUCUGUGAUUUCUCAUCUUUUCCUUUCGUUUUUUUGGCUGGAACUAUAGUGGUGCCUACUGCCUACUUCUGCAACAAUUACUGGUGCUAAGAUUUUAGACAAACUUAGAGCUAAUCCCUUAUCAAAUCUAUCACACAUAUCUUGUGGAAGGCCAUUAAGUAUCUCGUGUCUAUUUUAACUUAGAAACUUCGCUUCCUCUGUCCUUUUUCAUACUACACCACUUGAUCAUUCAGGCAACUUAAAACAUCUUGCCAUUUUGAGCCUCCUUACUAACUGAUUAGUUGUUUAUAAUCACUUAAAAAUGUCCACACUUGGUGUACAGUCUAUGCUUUUUAAAUGGCCAUUUUUUCUAUUAAUGUUAUUACUAUUUAUCAUUUAAGAAGCAAAUUAGAUAGCAACGUGCUGUGAUGAGAGGUGCCUUAGCAAACAUAUUAACAUCCCUCCUUUUGAGCUGUAAGGAAUUGACCUUCACUUUGUGAAAGGAGAUGGUUUUAUCCAGUGGUGCUGUGCACUAAAAUCUAAACAUCAAUGUUGUGCUCCUUUUUACUCUAUUACAACCAUUAGUUGAGAGUAUGUAAGCUGAAACUAAGGUUAUUGCAAUUGCUAAUCUAAUAGGCAUACAACUAGGUGGUUUUGCUCAAAAAGUGUCUAGCGGUUGCUUCUGACAACACUGCAGAAGAUGUGGAGAUUUUUUUAAGCAGAUUAAAAAGGCUACUUACAUAGUAGCAAGAAUGAUACUUCUUGUAGGUCCACAGGGCAACACCAAGUGCAUUAUUAUUGUGAAAAACAAUAUAACAUGAUACUACAUUCUGAAUUACUAACUAAUAAUCAAUGUUUGAAAAAGCACAUAGCAAAUACAUAGCUGUUAUGAAGGUGAAGCCGUGAAGGCAUUGAAAAUGUUGUUACUAACUCACUUUUUUGCAGAAAAUCAACUUCCACUAUGUAAUUAACAAUAAAAUCUACUAUGUAAAGAAUUUGUAGCUUUGCAAAUCACCAAUUUACUAUGUAAAGCAAGGAUUUAACUGUCGUGGCACGGGGUUGUGCCGGAAAUUUGCCAGUACGGUACGGCAUGGUGCGUACCGGGCCGUGCUGAUGAGUGCCGGUUACAAAAAAUGUGUGCCGACACGUAACGGCAUGAAAUAUUUAUUUUCUUUAGCAACAAAAUAUGCCAAUUAUUUAUUAUGUAUUUUUAUCAAAUCUUUUGAACUUUAUAGAGGGUUUUGAGUUGUGCCAUUGGCAAGGGGGCCGUAUUGUGCCGAUAUCUUGCUGGUGCGAUAUGACACGGUGGAUACGGCCCGUACCAAUGGGCACUUCAAUCCUUGAUAUAAAGAAUUUGUAGCUUGUCAAAUCACCAACAAGAAAACUAGCUAAUUCACCCUAAUUAUUUUACUGUAUACUGCGUCUCCUCUUCUUUUGUCUUUAGUCACUCUUACUCCUUACCUCCGACAAAUUUCAACAUCCUCUACUAUAUUUUUGUACACGAAGACAUGCUGUGUGUUAAUUAAUGGCCAAAUACCCAUUAAUGUCCAAAUUCAAAUUUUUUUUUUCAAGUUGGUUAAAUGCGAUAACCAUACCACCUUCAACAUUAUUCAGCGAUGGUGGGCAAACAACGACCAUGUGACGCCUUGCUUCCCAGAGGGGUCACUAAUCCUAGAACUACUCUAGUGUCACGCCGCGAGCCCGAGACGUAACAGACGACGUAUAUCUGCAAUUAUUCAAUUACAAACAUGCAAGGCAACAAAACAUGCCGAUAUUGAGCAAAAAUAAUCUAUCACGAAUUUACAUUAAAUACCAAUUCAAUUUGAAUCCAUAAAACUAAAUUUAUAGUUGAAAGUUCCACAAAUAAUCAACUAAAUUCACCAAAUUUUAUAAUAAUUCUAACCAAGCAUAAAUAUUAAAUGUCAGUCACAAGUAAAAUUUAAACUAACUAAACUAUCCAAUUUGUUAACAAUAGUUAAUAGCUCCGAAACAAACGAAUCUCAAUGUCUAGCAUUCACUCGGUCCUAUCCCCCACAAGCUGAUCAGACUCCAUUCCUGGAUAAGCAACCAUACACCACAUUAAUUGAUUAAGCAUGGAAACAAAAUGUUUUAUAAAUAUUCAGUUGUAACUUAGUUACCAAAAAUAUAAAGAUGACUGAGUUUAGCAAAAUUCAAAGUCUCAUUUGGAAUUUUGAGCUUUAUAAUUAUAUUUCACAAAAGGAUAAAGAAUAAUGAAAUUUAACCAAAAGCAUUCUUAUUCUAAAAUUAGAAUUUAAAACGGUAACUAGCGACCUGUUGACAAAGGUCCUAAAACACACAUUAAAAGCACCCGAAGGCGUGAUCGCAUAACAAAAUCACCUGAAGGUGUAUCUAAAGAACACCUGCAGGUGCGUCACAAAAUGGCGCGUCACAAAAUUGCACCGGUGGUGCAUCACAAAAUCGAAGCUAGCUUCUAUCACAAAGUUCAUGCUGACAUGGCCAACAAUAUUCAUAGCAAUAUACCAAGAGACAUCAUCUUUUGAGAUUAUUUACCGAGUCAAUAUUUAAAAGAGAGCAAUUAUCGAAUACUAAAUUUUUGCCAAAUAAGCACAAUAUCGAAAGUACACAUUUUCUGAAAUUGCAUAGCAAUUAGAUUCAAGCCUUUUAGAAAUCUUUUGACGAUUUGUAAUUUAACCCAUUAAAUAAAAAUCUACACAAAAGAGAGUUCUUGUUUUCAUAACAUAUUACUAGAAUUUUACCAAAAUAAACUAACAGGCGUUAGGUCACUUACCUCUAAUUAACCCGAGUAUUGAUCAGUCAAAGGUUGGGUAUCAAAUUAAUCAAUGGAACCUAAUGUAAGAACAAAAUAUCAUUAUAAAAGCAAAACACGAAAAUAGCCAAAGCUUGGUUCCGAAUGAGUUUCUAAAAAACAUUCAAUACAUCUAACAUAGGACUAAUUAGUUCAUAAGAAAUAAAGUAACUCCCAACAACAUAAUUUGGAUAGGCUCAAAUAGAAUACUACCACAAGAUGAAGUUGCUAAAAGGCCAAUCUUAUAUAGGAAAAAGAUUAACUCCCAACAACAUAAUUUGGAUAGGCUCAAAUAGAAUACUACCACAAGAUAAAGUUGCUAAAAGGCCAAUCUUAUAUAGGAAAAAGAUUUCGAACAUGAUAAGUUGAGGAAUAACAACUAUCAAUUAAAAGAAAGAAUUUGAUGGGCUAUCUUAUUCAAAAAGAUAGUGCAACAUGAAUAGGAUUAAGUUUUUAAAGAAAAAUAGAAAAUGAAGGCUUAAAUGCUCAAAAGGAUAAUUUUUAAAUCAUAUAUUUCCUAAUUGUAAUCCAAAUAGGCCAAAUUUGGAAACAAAAUUUAUAUCUAUAUUCUCUUAGGCAUUACGUCGAACACUUGGUAAUAAGGAUUUAAGUGUUCAUCGGCACGGGCCGUAUCUACCGUGGUGUAUCAUGCCAACAAGAUAUCGGUACGAUACAGCCCCCGUGCUAAUGACACAGUUCAAAACCCUUUAUUCUUUAAAUUAGUAAGUAAUUUUCUCAAUAAAAUUCAAAAGAUUUGAUAAAGAUACAUGAUAAACAAUUAGAAUAUUUUGUUGCUAAAGAAAAUAAAUAUUCAUGUCAUUAUGUGUCGGCACACAUGUAUUUUUUUGUGACCGGCACGCAUUGGCACGACCUGGCACGCACCGUGCCGGCAAGUUUCCGGCACGACCCUGUGCCACGACACUUAAUUUUUUGCUCUUGGGUCUAGCCACCACCCAAGGAUUUAAGUGCCGUGGCACGGGGUCGUGCUGGAGACUUGUCGGCAUGGUACGACACGGUGCAUGCCGAGCUGUGCUGAUGCGUGCCGGUCAAAAAAAUUCUUGUGUGCCGACACAUAAUACUAUGAAAUAUUUAUUUUCUUUAGCAACAAAAUAUUCUAACUUUUUAUUAUGUCUUUUUAUCACAUCUUUUGAACUUUGUUGAGGUAAUUACUUACUAAUUUAAAGAAUAGAGGGUUUUGAGUUGUGCCAUCGGCACGAGGUCUGUAUCGUGCUAGUAUCUUAUUGGCACGGUGCAGCACGGUGGAUAUGGCUUGUGCCGACGGUCACUUAAAACCUGCCACCACCCAAAAUGCUAUAGGUGGGUUAAGAGAUUUAGCCCUAUUAUAUCUUAGAUAUAGGACUAUUCCAAAUUGUAGGGGUGUCGCAGAUUCUAAUUUCUAUUUCGAGCCCAACGUGUCCUAUAAUUGGUAGUGGUUUAGGUUUCCCUCAUGGCUGCUGAUAUACCUAUCAUGAUAGCUACUUUUUUGAGCAAUGUUAUAAUUAUCAUUAUUUAAGGUGGAAACUCUAAUGCUGCGUUGCUUUUGGAUUAUUUAGCGGGGACUUUUCAAUGACUAGAAGUCUCAUUGCUUUUUAUGAACUUGGUUAUAUACUGUUUUAUAAAGUGUCACCAUUUCACACUGUUCAAGAACUUCAGGUUUCUUAACUUUGUCGACUUCUUUUUAAGUAAAUCAUCCAAAUAGUCUUUACAAAUCCAAGAUAAAAGUUUGCGAUAUACAUGCUGAUAGCCUUAUAGAAGUGUAUCUUUUUACAUCUGUAUUCCUGUAAAAUCUGAAAUUUCAUAUGCUCUCCAUAAACUUGAUAACUUGCAUGGAUAUAGCCAUAUCCUUAUCAGGAUACCCUUCUUUAGAAAUCAUUAUGUAGUUCAAACCAAUUCCUGCACGAGUUGGGUAACUUCUUUAACUUUCAAUGAGGGUACCUUAGCAAGAAGUUGCAAAUUUAAGAAAUAAUUCAAAUUUUACAAGAGUAUAUAAGAAAAUAAAUGGUUAUUUUUGUUUGGCCUUUAAUUUAGAUGUUUGUAUAAGCUCUAUUCCAAAUAUGUUGGAAAUGAUGGCUGCAUUUAACUUCACACCUAUUAUUUGAUAUGGAAGCAAGCACUUUCAGCAAGGCACGAUGGAAGUACAUAUGGCCCAUGGUCUCAGUUGUAAGGACCUCCUUGAUAAUCCAUACCUCUCUAUGUAUAAUCUAUAACUUUGUAUGCCAUUAGAAUUUCUUUUCUUGCCAUUGUUAGGAAUUAUUUCUAUAGUUCUCUCAUUUGCAUGUCUUUUCUUAUAUGCUCUCAAAUUUCUCAAUUUUCUAUCCAAGAGAGAGUAGUUUCUAUGUUACCUAUGAUUCUAUGUUACCUAUGAUUUUUUUUUUAUUUUUUUAUUUUGAUGUUUUGUAGGAAAACUUUAUAUUUGGUUUGAGGUUCUCUACUCUAACAAUAACGACGGACACCCGCAAGCUUGUUUUUUCUAUGUGAGUUCAUAAUUACAAUCAUCCUUUCAUGUAUUGUGUCUUGAUAAUUAUGUCAUGGAUUGUCUGUGCUGUGAGAUACUAUUUGUGCUGGUCAGCAUGUGUCGUGCUGGUGGUGAAUCGACAUUGGUAAUGGCGAAUGACUGGCUUGAGUGCUUUUGCGAGCUUGUAUUGCGGUCCAAUAUCUUCAAUGAAGAUGAUUAAGGGAGGCGGGCAGCGGUUGUAGAUGCAUCGAAGAAUAAAGAGGAGUACAGACCCUAAAUUUGAUUUGAUAUAAAAUAUGGGUUUCUAAUGGACUUGGAUGCAAAGCGAAGCUCGUGUAGGUUUACCUCAAAACCUAUUCAAACCGCAUUGUCUCAACCGACUUUGGCCAUCGAUGCCCCUCCCAACUCAAAUCAAGAGUUGAUAUAUCCUACCGAAGCAACUAGACUGUCAUAGAAACUCGCGAACCAUAAAGGCCCUUCAAUUAGCAGCAUAGAUCUUGGCGGUGCCAUGAGAAAGUGGUCCGUGAUGGAUAUGAUCAUCACAUGUUUGUCUAUCUUUGCGUGCAUUCAAUUUAAUAAGUAUACCAUGCAAGUUAUCUUCUUUCUGUUGCAAAUUUUGUUUGGCUUUGUCUUUAUAAUGAAAGGUGGUUUAUAUUAGUUUGUCUGGCUGCUUUUAUUAACCUCGUUAAAAACUAUGGCUACCUUGAUUUUUUUUAUGCGCAAGGAGGUUGCAAGAAAAACUUAACAGUUUAAAGCAGGGGCAACAAAUUUGGCUAGUUUUAAGAAUUAAUGAGUCACUUUCUCCCUGCUUAGUUAUCUUUUAGUUCUCUCCGUAACUUCGUCAAAAUGUUUGGUUGGAGAUGAACUAUAGUUUGCACAAGGAUUAAAGUGUAAAACCCCUUUCCUGCACCUAGCGGAAUACUGUGAUACAUAUCAUGGUACCAUGCGAUACUUUUAGUUGGGCGCGCGGGUGCCACAAUACGUACCAUGUACGCCGACCUAUAUCUUAAUAUUUGUUAUUAUUUUCCCUUUUUUAUGUAGUACAUGAGUUUUUAUCUCUCUCAUUUGUUUUUUUGGUUCUUUUUUCUUUUAUACCCUCUAACUUCCUGUUAUCAUUUAAUUUGUAGAUAAAAUCUAUUUUAAUAUAUUAAGCUAAUUUAAAAUUUAAUCAAAUUUAAAAUUACUUAUCUAAUCUAGUUAAUUUAAUCUAAUUAUGGAUUUGGAAUCUAAUCUAAUCUACUGUAGAUUUAAAUUAUCAGAUCCAAUAUCUAAUUAAAGCCUAGAUUACAUGAAACUAGUUUAAAUAUAAAUUUUUACAUCCUAAAUUUACUAUCUAAUUACUAUUAAUAUAGACGCAAUGUAUAAACUAUCUAUGAUUAUAGAAUUACUAAAUUUAACCUAGUUUAUACUAGGGGUGUAAAUGAGCCGAACACGAGCUGGCUCGUUAAAGUAUCGAGCCGAAAAAUUCAGCUCGCAUGUUCGGCUCGUUAUAUAACGAGCCGAACACGAGCUGGCUUCGAGCUAGCGAACGAAACAAUAAAUUAAAAAGAAUUAAUUAAAUAUAUAUAUAAAAAUAAAUUUAUAAAAUUUUAUCCAUUAGACUUUGAUCUUAAUAUUUGAAACUUACAUAUAAAUGAGUCUUUUAUAAUUAAACGCCCAUUUAUAUUUUAUUUUGCUAAAAAUUAAAAUAAUAAAAAUAUAUACAUUAUAUAUAUAAUUGUUUAUUUAUAUAUAUAAAUAUAUAUUAGAUAAAUUAUAUAAAUAUAAAAUAUAAGUAUUCGAGCUGUUAUCGAGCCGAACACGAGCGAACAGACCCUAACUCAUGUUCGGCUCGUUUAUUAAACGAGCCGAAAAAUUUAGCUCGUGUUCGGCUCGUUUAUUAAACGAGCAAAAAAAUUCAACUCGUGUUCGGCCCGUUUAUUAAACGAGCGAUUCGAUCUUGAACUCAUUUCGAGCCGAACAUGAGCUGGCUUGCGAACAGCGAGCUGGAUUGCCACCCUUAGUUUAUACCUAUAUUUACUUAACCCAUUAUCUCAUAUAAUCUAAUCUAUCUAAUCUAGAAUUACCUAACCAAAGGUAAUAUAAUCUAGAAUUGGCUAGAUUAGAUGGAAUUAUUUUAGAAAUAGAUAUUUUUUGUUUACUGGUUAGCUUUGAUAUUUUUCUUUCUAAAUUGUCCAAAUUACUCUAAUCUACUAUAUAUGUAAUCUAAUUUAGAAUUACCUGAUCUAAUCAUAAGCUAAUCUUGUCAUGCCCCGGGGACCAUUUUUGAAAGCCAAUUCAAAAAGGGCUAUCUUUAUAAAUCAGAGUUAGCGAAAAACUGCCCCUUUUUUUUUUGAAACCUGGAACCCAAAGACAUGCAAAAGACCAGCCACAAAUACAGAAAAUUUUCGGAACAAACGGACAGAGCAUCCCUGUAUUUGCACGGUAUAGUAUAUAAUCCAAUUUAACAACCAGAUCUCCAUUCACAUACACAACAACAGGAUGUAUAAGGAUCAUCAUAUUACAUCAAACAGCUAGUUGUCCUUAGUCACAUCCAUUCCACAUUGAUUCACAUUCAUCCUAGAAGUUGAAAUUGUCUCCCACACGAAGUCUUACUUUUUAAAACUCUUAACUUUGCGAAAAAUCUCAAGAAAACCUUUUAAAAACGUUCCCACACGAAAACCAUUAUUUUGAAAACGCUACCACGAGGGGUGGAAAACCAUCGAUAGAAAUCCGAGUUCAAAACCAAUGUGUUAAAAAACCACGAAUGUCCAAAACUAUGAGCACCCAAAACCGUCAUAAGUACAAUAUCUAAAAUUCGAAGGUAUAGAAUAUCUACUGAACCACAUAUAAGCCUCUACUAACGGUGUAAUAGGGUAACACUAUACUAUCCACAAGUAUGUCUAUGCUAAGUAUUGAGUAUAAUCAAAUCGUAUACCGUAUGUCGGGAAACUCUAUCUAGGCACUCUAACUAUGGCCUCACGCACCAUCCCGACCAAUCCUACCUGGUCACCUAUGGAAAAAUGGGGAUGAGAAACCAACAAAGGGUCUCCUAGUGGGUACCGCAAGCUGACGAAGGCAAGCGUACUCACCGGUAACCAGAUAUAGGUAAAUAAAGGCCUACUGUAGUAAUGUAAGUGUGAAGAGAGAUGAACUGUAAGUAAGCAUACAACAACCACUACUGUAGCUAUAUGCGUCAACCGGACGGAAAGUCCAAAUGUACCGAAUCUGUACCGCCGUGUCGGUCCAACGACCUCAGGUAAGCCACAAUCGCUCUGUCUGGCAUAUAACCCUAGCAAAUAGCCGUUGGUGAUGCAGGACGGGUCACGGCCUGCAUCAGUUGGGCUCAUGGAUUGGCAACCAACCACUUUUCCGAAAAAAAACACCCUCCUACGGGGGAUCAGACCGCUGAUGUUCGUGAAAUGCUGUCGAGCUAUGGCGAUCGAUGCGAGUAUGAUCAAUAGCCAGCCCUCGGCGAAUAGCCGACAAUCACCGCCCCUCAGGGAACACCGACCAAUAGGUCAUCGAAACAACACUGAUAUACGAGCACCGACCACUCGGUCAACCGGGAUGGAUAAGGUCAACAUCCUCACAAGUAUGCAAGUACCGACCCCUUAGGUCAACAAAAAAGUAUGAGGUUAACAAUGACAAGAGUAUAAAGGAACUGGCCACCCUGGUCAUCUAGGAUGUAUCCACGAGAAUCGACCACUCAGGUCAACAACAACGAGUCCAAGAGAGCCGAUCACUCAGGUCAACAAUGAGGUAUGCACAAGAACCAACCACUUAGGUCAACAAUGGCGCAUCUAGGGGAACCGACCACUCAGGUUAACAAUAAUAUAUAUACGAUCAUGUAUAGGCAAUGUCACGCCCCGGGGCCUCUUUUGUAAAGCUUUUUCAAAGAAUAGUCCAGUUUGAAAGUAAAGCCAGUGGAAAAUGCCUUUAUUUUUUUUUUUUUAAAUACAAACUUGCCAUGGGACAGAACAGACCUGCCACAAAUACAGGUUUUCCUCUGUCCACGAGGAUAGAGUCUUCCAUAUAUUUGUACAGCGUACCACUACACAAGUUGUUGCAACACUAACAUUCAAACUAUACGAGUUGUUGCAAUACUAACAUUCAAUCGCAUAAACAGCAUUCACAAUGCAGAUGCUCUCAAUAAUCAAUCAGCUAGCAAUCCUUGAGAUGAUGCAUACUUUAAGCACUCCUUAGGUGAAGGACGAUGCAAACGCACAUUACAACAAUCAACUCUAUCAUUUACAAAUGUUUCCCACCCAGAAACUUUAUUUUGAAAUACUAAGAAUCGAUGAAGUUGUAGAAAUCAUUUGAAAACGGUCUCCCACACGGAAAAUCAUUCUUUUAAAAAAACAGACUACCUCGAGGGAUAGAAAACCACAUAUCAUAAAACCGAAAAUACUAUAUCACCUGGAAUCCCAAAAGAAUCACCAUCCCAAAUACUUGCAAAUAAAUUAAUAUCCACCACAAGGAAUGUUCAAGAACCAACAACAACACAAAUAGAUAACUGAACCACACUUUCUAAUUUAUUAGCAAUAAAUGAAAUGGGUCGAAUCGAGAUAACCAUAACUGAUGAAGAUAUGUUGGAACCUUUAGAGCUCGCUAGCUAUCGCACCUCACGUACCGUCCCGACUCCCACCACCAAGAUCACCUGAAAAGGGAGGGGUGAGAAACCAACAACGGUCUCUCAGUGGGUACCCCAAGCCGAUGAGGGCGAGUGUAUUCACUGGAAAGAGAAAUACAACUGAGAUAGAUAGCUACUCAUGUGCAAUAGUGGAUAAGGAAAUAUAGAUAUGAACAACAAUAAUCACCUACCGCUACUGUAAAUAAUAAACAUAUGCAUCAACCGUAUGAAAACUGAUAUCCAAACAUCUCGCUAUAUAGGUCUAAAGACCGCAAGCAGUGCCACAGUAUGCUCACCUACUGGCACACAACCUCAGCUAGCACCUUGUAGGGGCUCACGGGUCGAAAAGAUGACUACUUUUCCAGAAAAGAACACCUACACGGUGGCCAAACUAUUGGUGUACGUGACGUGCCACAUGAGAUGUGACGAUCAACGCGAAAUGCUCAAUAGUCAACAAGACAGCAAAAAGCUGAGAGUAAGUUGAUAACCCACACAUGUCCAAACUAGAUCACCAGAUCGGCGAACCGACCAACACCGACCAAUCAGGUCGCACAGAUAGAGAUCAUGCAAUAAUCCAACACCACUCUACUGCUAAUAUGCGAAAGAACGAAAGUAGAGUAAAUAAAUCGAAAGUCUAGUGGUUUAAUACUCAUCAAGUAUGCAAAAGUAACAGGAAAAUUACCAAGCUAGCACCACUGUACCGACUUUGGAGCGAAGCACCUACCUGUAAUCAUAGCAGCGUCUAACACUGAAGGUGUGCUGGGACGUCAACUGAAUCUACGAAUGACCCACGAAGUCAAGAUCCAUUAAGUUGACUUCAAAACACUAAACACACAACCCCAGAACUGCCGAAAGUUCCAAAAAGUCCACCGAAGCACUUCCGAUUAGGGGUUUCAAUCCAGCUCGCUGUUCGCGAGCCAGCUCGUGUUCGACUCGAAAUGAGCUCGAGAUCGAAUCGCUCGUUUAGUAAACGACCCGAACACGAGCUGAAAGAUUCAGCUCGUUUAAUAAACGAGUCGAACAUGAGCUGGGGUUAGCUCGCUCGUGUUCGGCUCGAUAACAGCUCGAAUACAUAUAUUUUAUAUUUAUAUAAUUUAUUUAAUUUAUAUUUUUAUAUAUAAAUAUAUAAUAAUAUAUAAUAUAUAAUUUUAUUAUUUAAUUUUUAGAAAAAUAAAAAUAUAAAUGUAAGUUUAAUUAUAAAAAGACUCAUUUAUAUAUAAAGUUUCAACUAUUAGAUCAAAGUCUAAUGAAUAAGAUUUUAUAAAUUUAUUUUUUAUAUAUAUUUAAUCUAAUCAUUUUUAAUUUAUUGUUCGUUGGCCAGCUCGUGAGCUAGCUCGUGUUCGGCUCGUUAAUAAACGAGCCGAACAAGAGCUGAAUUUUUUGGCUCGUUUAAUAAACGAGCUGAACACGAGCUGGGGUUAGCUCGCUCGUGUUCGGCUCGUUUACACCCCUACUUCUGAUUGCCACAGAGUGUUUCAGAAGGUACCAUAGCACAAAUCUAGUCACCGGCUGUCUCGAAACGCACCAAUAUGGGUGUUCGGAUAGCCGCUAGUCCAAAGAAUACAGAUAUGCAAAAGUGCACUUAAUGCCAGUCCGGGUUCCCGAAAAUGUUGUUUUCGAUACUGGAACCCUCCGUCGCUCACUCUGUCUUCAUAAACUCGAGACAACGAGUGUAACCAGCCAACAAGGCUUCGUGACAAAUCUGGGGUGAUAACACUACUAGCAAGUGGACCCCACAACGGUCACUGCGUUUCGUCGACAAUUUUGUCGGAAAACACUUUGGAAAUCGAAUUUGAUUCUGUGAGGGCAUCGGAAGCUUGGACAACUAGUCCAGAGGGUUACACUAAGUGGCCUCACGCUGCCCAAGACAACCUCUAUUGUCACAAUUACAUAAAGGCCCCUAAAUAAGAGAUAUAAGCUAAAAUACACAUUAAAUAGUGCCGAAAGAGAACAUUGCGCGUCUGCGAGACCAACCGAGGGCACCAGUGGAUAGGUCUCGACGUAGCGAAGCCUGUGCUUACUGUCUGGGGCAAGAAAAACAGCCGAGGAGCGCUUCGGGGCCAAGAUUACAGCAAAUAAAUAAGGCCUCGGGAGCGACAACGCAAAAAACAGCAAGCCGAUGCUUCUCCGAUAGAAACCGAGGUCAGCACGGUGAUCGGUGAUGACUCUAGGUCAUCGUGCUCACCUUCCGGAGAGUAGAGGGUUCCCGGAUAGCUGGAAUAGUAGAUAUGGCCAAAACCUCCCUAUUUUGGGCAAUGUAGGGAGCAACAAGCUCCGAUCGGCUGCUGGCGGCAUGACGGCGAGCGCACGGCCCAGGGGUGAGUGCUGAGGGUGAGGGGAGUGUGGUACUCACCUUGGCCGGCGGCGGGGAGCGGUGGCGGCGACGGCAGCGGCGGCGCUGGGAGGAGCUUGGUCCACUCGAGCUAGGGUUCGGCUUAGGAGGAUCUUCCCAGUGAGGGCGACGGUCGGGAAGGCAAGGGCGGCGGCGGUGGCGGUGUUGCAGUGAGGCGCGGCUGCCUCUGCCCGCACCCAACCAAGGAAGGCUGCAGCGGCCACGGCGGUGAUGGGGGUUGUUAGAGGGGGGUGCUUGAUGUCUAGGGGUGCCGACGGCGGUGAUCCUUAGAUGCGGUCUCCUCGAGGCUGCCUGAGCCGAAGAAGGGAAGGGAGAGGGAGGGGAAAACCUUGAGAGGGAGAGAGAGAGAGAUGGUGGCUGAGGUUUGGCCAGCCGGAGAAGGGUCACCGGCGGCUAGGGUGUGCGCGGCACUGUCAGAGGAGGGAGGGGAGGCGAUUAGGGCUCCGGGAAGGAGAGGGGAAUGCUAGGGUUAGGGUUAUAAGGAGAAAACCCUAGGUGCUUCUUUUAUACACAAAAGUAUAAUUGCAGAAAAUAAUUGCAGAAAACGCCCUGAAAGAUCAAAAUUCCUACCCGACUCCUUCAGGGCGCGCAUGUAAAACGUGCGAACGCACAUCCACUUGCGAUCCCACGCGAUUCGAUACAUAAAAUAUUGGGUUUUUCGCAAAAAAAUCCCAAUAUGCCAUAUUGACCCUUCCUCGAACAACGUGCUAUUUCGGAUGAUCGGCUCAUUGGAUUUAUGAACGGAUCGCACCAACACUUUCGGCACUACCAGACCAUCAAACCUGCGAUUUUUUUUCGCCUUGGCGAUUCGCGACAAAAGCCAUUCCUCUUAUCCACUAUAUAUAUAUAUAUAAGUUAUAUAUAAAUUCAAAUUCAAAAUCAAAAAUUCAAAUUUCAAAAACUCAGGUAUUACAGGCAACCUUUACUGCUCUACUUCUAUGUUAUGACAAGCGAAAGAGGAGUAUGCUAAGUAGAGCUACAGUCGAAGUCAUGUGGUGUAAGGCUCAAGUAUAAGAUAUGCAGCAAGUAAGAGGAAAGGGUGGAGGAAACAUCGCCAAGCGUGCACCACUAAACCGAUUUCGGAUUGAAGUAUCCACGUGUGUCGCAGUUGCACCUAGCUCCUGCGAUGUGCAGAACCGAUGAUCGGACCUACGACAGGUCCAUCGAGUCAGAAACCAAACCUAUCGACUCAAAAUAUAUCGCCCACAAAUCCAAAACCACCUGCGGGAUCGGUUUUGGUUUCCCAAAAUCGAUUCCCGAACUCACCGGGAAUCCUGAAAAUGCACCGGGAUGCUCGUGGGACCCAUGAAACCUCCCGAAACACACUGACUCAUGCCGUGAGUCACCCGCUGCUUUGAAACACAUCCAUUUGAGUGUCCGGGCAGCAAACACAAGCACCAAGGUCAACUCGGUCGUCGUCGGUCGACCGCUCCGCUCCGGGCUUCCGAAAGUGUCCACUUUGGCACCGGAAGCCUCACUGCUCACCUGUCGCCUCCGAACACACAAAGCGAUCCCGGCGGCGAGCCAACGAGGCUAGGGGAUGAUUUCUGGGGCGCCCACGCAGCCCGAAACUUAUUGCGGCGCGAAAUCGCGUUCUACUGUCGUUUUCGCUGGAAAACGCACUGAAACCCCUCCGCCGCUCAUCCACCGCCUCCGGACUUUGAAGGUGGCGGUAGCUACCAGCCAACAAGUCUUGGCGGGGUCUCUAGGGCAUCCGGAUUGCAAAUAUGCGAAAUCCGCAACUUAAACCGCCUCCGAUCGGCGAAUAUUCGCAAAACGAUGUCAUGGACUCAUGGGACCCUAUUUUCACUCCACAACGGCUCCCCACAACGGCUCCCGGACCUUUGACGAUCAGUGAAGAGGUCACUAAUAGCGAUUACACGCUGUACGAGGCUGUGCGCAGGGUCCCUAUUGCAUACAACUUGCAAAAAACCCAUUAUAGCAUUAAUUACUAUACAAAUAAUACAUAAACACGAGUUUCGAGCUCAUUACCCCGAUCCGUGUCACAACGGAUCUAACCAACCAGUCAAUUUGAUUCGUCUCGACGUGAUGAUGCUCGUGCUCGCUGUCACAAUUGACGACCGGAAGGCUUCGAAGCAGCGGAAACAAGCCCCCCAAUUGCUUGAUCCCGGAAGCGGCCGAGUCCCAUACGCGCACCGGAGCUUCAUUGAUCGCAGCAAAGGUGAGUACGGGACUCCACGUGAUCCCAGGAGUGCGGUGCUCACAUCUCGGGUGCUUGCUGAAGUCUUUGGUGGUCGAAAAACAAAGAUCGCCCAAAUUAGCCCUUGAAAUCCACCUUGGCAGCAUCCAACAUAGGGCUAGGGCAUCACGGGGCCGACAACUGGCGGCACGGCAUGGGGGUGCUCCGGCCAGGGGAGGGUCGCCGCUGUCAGGGGAGUCGGUCGGGACCCCUAGCCGGCGGCUGGAGGCACUGGCGGCGUGGCGGCGGCACCCUAAAGUGGACAUGCGGCUAGGGCAUUGUAGAUCCCUGCAGCAGCGGGUUGGGACGGUGAGCGGCGGCGCCGGUGGACUCUUUGGGACCUUCGGCGUCGUCUUGUGGCAAUGCGGUGCGGCGGCGGUCGGGUGUCUCCCCAUGGCCGCACAGCUCUGCGAAGCUCCUCCUCAGCCAUGGCGGCUCCCUAGGGCACGACGGUGCCGGGGAAAUGUCGGGGGCGGUUGCCCGGGGUUCGGGAGGAUGAUGGCGGCGGUCCCGGUGGUCGGUGGCACGGUAUUAAGGGUGCUCGGGCUCCUACCCUUCACACCUCUCAAUGUUGGAGAGUGAGAGGAAGAGAAAGACGAAAGGCCCUUCUUCUUCUUCUCCGGCAGCCGGCGACAGCGAUGACGGCGGUGGCUGACCUCUCAGGUGGAAAAGAAAGAGAGGAGGAAGGUUGGGGUCUAGGGUUUUGGGUUCCCAAAAUCCCCAAAUCCACACUCUAAUCCUAUAUACCACUAUUUAUAGGGGAUAAUUGCUCCAAAGUCCCCCAACUCUCAAAAUUUGCCUUCCAGUCCCUCUUCAUUACGUUCCUCUCGCAGAAAGGUCCCUGCCUGCGAGUUUUCCACGCAAAACAGAGCACCAAUCGCCUCUAAAAAGCAAGAACAAUGCGGAAUAAAUGCCCUCACAGCGAUAAAAGCUGUUUUUCUUGAAAAUCGUGGGUUGAACAUGAAAUCCGUCAAUGCCAUUGGCUCUGGCACAGUCAGACCAUCAAAAAUAAGCUAUUGGAUCGUCCGAAAUGGAGUCCAAUUUGCGUCUGAAGCCCACCUCUCUCCUCGAUCACAAUCGGAAACGCGGGUUACUAUUCAUUUUAAGUGAAAAGUAAUAAUUGUGUAAAAUCUUUAUUUUAAAUCAUUUUUCGCUGAAAUUUGACGGGUAGUUUUAAAAUUAAAAUACACACGAUAACAUUUAAAAAGAUGUCAAUUUUACAUAGGGGAAAAUCUCAGUCCUCACAAAUCUACUACAAAUUUUAACUAAUGUUGCUAUUUUUAAAUAGUUUAAUAUAGAAUUAGCCAAGAAUAUAUUAGGUAAUUUUAUCAAAUACAACCGUAAGAUUAAAGCUCAUUAUAUUAGCCAAUUGGUAUGUUUGAUAUGAGAUAAUUGUUAUCCUAAAAUAACAUCAUAAGACUUUAUUGGGACCAAAAGAAAUUAAAAUACAGCCGUGCCAAAGCAUGCCAUUAGGAGACCGUGCGGCGUGCAUGCUCAUCUGCAUGCAAGCAUGCCGUGUGUCGGCAUGGCACCGUGCCCGUGCCUUCCCGUGUUGAUAGCUAGCACACCCCCGUGCCACGACACUUUAAUCCUUGCUGUUUGCAAAUAACUUUCUUUGUUUCAAUGCUGGUCUGAGUAUGGACAGAUUGGAUUUUAGUACUUGGCAAUACAUUCAGUUAUCCAACCGCAAGCAUUCUUUCAUGGGACCUGUAAUUAUAAUAUUUCAUCUAGACAACAUCUCUCUUAGUGGAUUUGUUUUAUAGCACUAGACCAUGACAACAGUUAUCUACAGGAAGAGCGGGAGGUGGAAGCAGUGGUAGCUGGUCUGUAUUUUUAUGUAAUAUUUGUGUAUCUAUACUCUUUGUUUUAUCUAUGAGCGUCUACAGAUGAUGUAUUUAUGUUUUCUCUGUGCCCUUCUUGUUACUUCUAUAGUUCUAUGGUUCCAUGUACUUAUCUGUUGUUGUUUAGCUUCUAGUGUUGCUUAAGUUGAAUGGGAAUUUUACUUUUCAAUGAUACAGGUCAUCAAUUGGGAGAUCAAGAGUUGGCCAAGUCAAUAAGAUUGUUGUGAUCUCUACUGUUGAAUUCUACUGUAAACGGCUUGAAGAACACAAUUUUUUCAGUAUUGAUGAUCUCACCGAGUCUCAGCUAUGUUGCAAUUUGGACCAUGAAAGAGAGGACUACAUCAUAAACCCUUUUGAUGUAUUGGUGUCUGUGCGAGUAAGUGAGUUGUUAGUUUUUAUGUUCUCCUCAAAUAUAGUCUGUAGCCAGUUUUUCUCAUGAUAGUUAUUUGUAGUUUUGUACAAGACUUGGUUUCUUGCACGCCAAUUAUGGGGUUCUUUAAAUUAUUUCAGUUACUUGUUAAGUAAGAGAUAUUUGCUUUUGUAUGUAGGCUAAUAAAUCUGGGAUGGUUGAUGGUGGUAUACCUCAAUAUGAUAUUACUGUUGAGCUAAGUGAUUUGGUUUGUUCCCUAACAAAACACAGGCAAAACUUACAUUAUUGAUUCUUUUUGAAUUGUUUUCAUUGAGUUAACAUAAGUUGAUAUAUAUAUAUUUUUAAUCUUUUAGGUUCUAUCGUUGAACGAAAUUCAGUUACGACAAAUUUUUGGCCUUUGGGAUUACUUCACUAUUUGUGGACUUCGAAAGAAGUAUGCACAUUUAUAUUACGUUUUAUUGAUAGAAUAUAUAUAUUUUUCCUGCUUGUCCAUUAGAUUUACAAUUACAAUAAUCAAGCAUGAAAUUUGAGAAUCGUGUGAAUGCAAGUUUUUAUUAAUUUAUGUUAUUAGCUCUUUUGAGACGUUUAUGAAGCUUGUGGAGAACUGUACAUAUGUAUUGCCUACAAUGCUGACAGCUAUAUUGCUUGGCCGCUUGUGUCUUUGGUCUGUUCGCUUGGUUUUUCUGUCUGAUUAAUGCUAUUGUGUUGUCCUACUCCUAUCUAAGCACUACAUCCUUUAGGACCAAACUUAUUAAUGAGAUUUUUUUUGACAAGCGGUAUUUCAUAGGCCUAGUGACAAAACUAUGGUGAGUAUUUAUUUAAGUUCAUGGCAUUUCUAAAUUGAGAAUAAUAGUUAGAAUGAUUAAUCUAAAUUAUUGUUACAGUUCAGGCUCUAUUAUUUAUAGAUAAAGCAUUAACACUGCUUAAUGUCCUUACUAUGAUUUUUUAGUUGUUAUUUACUUAGCACGUGAGUUUUUCUAAGAUCAGCAUUUGAUCUUCUAAUUUCUAUUUUUCCAUAUUAGCUUAGAUUCUUUCAUAUGCAGUCUUAUUAAUUGUAUAAAGGAUUAAAGUGCCGUGGCACGGGGACGUGCCGGUAGGUAGCUGGCACGGUAAGGCACGGGCACGGUUACGUGCCGACGCAUGGCGCACGCUUGUGUGCCGAUGAGCACACGUGACCUCCUAAUGGCACGCGUUGGCACGACUCUAUUUUAAUUUUUUUUGGUCCCAAUAAGGUCUUAUGAUGUUAUUUUAAAAGUUUAGAGUUAUAAUUAUCUCAUAUCAGAUUUACCAAUUUGCUAAUCUAAAAUUAAAUAAUGACCUUUAAUUUUACAGCUGUAUUUGAUAAAAUUACCUAAUAUAUUCUUGGCUAAUUCUAUAUUAAAGUAUUUAAGUAUAGCUAGAUUAGUUAAAAUUUAGCUAGAUUAGUUAAUUUUACGGCUGUAUUAGAUAAAAUUACCUAAUAAAUUCUUGGCUAAUUCUAUAUUAAAUUAUUUAAAUAUAGCUAGAUUAGUUAAAAUUUAGAGUAGAUUAGCAUAUAUGGAUUAGAGUAGAGUUUAUGUAUAGUAGAUUAGAGUAAUUUGGAUAAUCUAGAAAGAACAAAAUCAAAGCAAACCAGUAAAUAAAAAAUAUUUAUUUUUAAAAUAAUUUAAUCUAAUCUAGCCAAUUCUAGAUUAUAUUACCUUAGGUUAGGUAAUUCUAGUUUAGAUUAGAUUAGAUUAUAUGAGAUAUCAGAUUAGGUUAAUAUAAGUACAACUUUAGUAAUUCUAUAUCAGAUUAAGUUAGACAUUACAUUACAUUAGAGUAAGUAAUCUAGAUUAGGUAAAUUUAGGAAAUAUAAAAUCACCUAAAUCAAAUCUAAUUUUAAAUCGUAAUAUUUAAAUUUAAAUUUAAACUAGUUUAAUGUAAUCUAGGCUUCUGAUUUAGAUUAAAUUAGAUGAGGCUGCAUGAUUCUAGAUUAGAAAAGUUUAGAUUAGAUAUUGGAUUUGGUAAUUUAAAUAUACAGUAAAUUAGAUUAGAUUCCAAGUCCAUAAUUAGAUUAAAUUUCCUAGAUUAGAUAAGUUAUUUUAAACCUGAUCAGAUUUUAGAUUAGCUUAAUAUAUUAAAAUAGAUUAUAUUUGUAAAUCAAGUGAUAAUGGUGAGGAAGUUAGAGGGUAUAGAAGCAAAAAGAACAAAAAAACAAAAGAGAGAGAAAUUCACGUACUAUAUAAAAAAAUAGGAAAAUAAUAACAAAUAUUAAGAUAUAGUCGGCACGCACGGUGCAUAUGUCACGCCUCAGGUCCUUUUGGAAAGCUAAUUUUUGGAAAAUCCAUCCAAGUUGAAAAGAGAGUUGCGGAAAGCUUUUUUUUUUUUUGUUGUAAACCUUGCCCGAGACAUGCACAGACCCGCCACACACACAAGGUAUCCUCUGUCCAUGCGGACAGAGUCUCCCUUGUACAUGCACGACGUUGGAGCACAGAUACAGAACCACAAGCAAGUGAACAAGAUAAUUUAAUUGUACAACUACCAAUCAACCCAAUACCAAAAUCCAGAACCGACUAAACCACUAUAUUAGGAAGAACCCAAAAGAAACUAAACUCCAAACACACAUGAUAUCACAUAGUCACAACAAGAUGACAAGGUACUGAGAUAAGUAAAAUUUGACGCUGAGAUCCAUGGCACAAGCUAUCUAGGCGCUAACCAACCGUGUCCUCACACUGCGCUCAGACCUGCACUGUCAGCGAUACCUGUAAAAACAGUGGGGUGAGAAACAUAUAAAUAUGUUUCCCAGUAGGGGCAACCAGCCGACGAGGGCAAGCCGCACUCACUGGCAAACCAAGGAGUACGAUAAGCAAGAUAGCUGUAAAUGAGUAAUCAACCACAGUAGCAAAAAGGUUAGACAAACAGAUGUCAUGAACUGAGUACAAGAAUAGUAUCGCUAUUGUAACAUGAAUCAGAUACUGAAACGAAGAAUACAAAUCAACCACAAUAGCAAAGAAAACUAGUGAGUAGUCAUCACGAACAAUCAUGUACGAAGUACCGCUACUGUAAACAAGUCAUGCUAACAUAAAGGACCACCAACUACGGUAGCAAGAUGGAGAAUGCACAAUAACAUGACCCACUCAUGAUGGAAGUUGCUACCGUAGGCCAAACAACUGCUAGAUACCAUGCAAGACUCAAAUCGAGAGACUAUGCAUCAACUGGACAUACGAAUAGUCCAAGGUAUACCCACUCUCUAUGGUCCGUUAUAAAGACCCGUCCUAAGCUCGCCCAUAGGUCUCGAGGACCGCAAAUUAAGUACCACUCCGGAGGGACACAUCAACCUGCACCCAAAGUCGCUAACUCUGUCUAAGAGUGGUGUAAAUCAAGUCUGAGGGUGAGAACUCAGGGUGGCGAACCCUGUCUAUGAAACAUCACCUCCCACUGGGCUGGCAACUGAAGUACCCUGGGUUAGUAACUCUGUCUAAGACUCCUUCAGUGCCGUACAACCUAUAGUCAUAUGUAUAUGCUCAAAGCUCCAAUAAUCUAGACUCAACAGUCAAAUCACUGCCCGUAGGCGACAAUAGGAGCUAAGAGAUAAUCACACUGGAUGCCAAUGAAAAUACCAACAUCCAACUGUCCGGAUCGACUAGCAUGCUAUACUAAACGAGUAUGUAGGAAGGAUAAGGAUAAUACAAGUGACAGAGGUGAGCAUGCUAAAGACCCAAUCACGAUGAAAUACGUCAUUCGACCCUUAGGCCAAAAUCUGCGGAACUGAACACCGACCGACUAGGUCAAUCUCAUGGAGUAACUCUCCAACAAUAAGGUCAGGUUUCACCGAAGAUAAAUCAACCGAUCAACAUGAUCAUAUCUCAACAAGGAGUACGCACCGAUCUAUCAGAUCUAAUCAUACAUAGGUGGAUAUUCUACUAGAUCUUCACCUACUCUACAUGUCAUACACGAGAUACGAGAGAGCUCAAUCAAGAGUCUACCAAUCUAUAUGAUAAUCAACAUGACAAUCAAUAAGCAUGUAGAGUAAAAGCAUGAACCAAUGUGAAGUCAAAAGUUGUCCUACUCAAUUAAUAGAAGGGAUCAAGCGAAAAGAAAACCGAGUAAGAUACAACUUUAUCGACAAGAGGAAUGGAGCACCCACCUCACCAACUACCCGAGUCCUCGACUCGAUCAGUGUAUCUAACGGUCACCUGUACAGGACAUGCGAUCACCAAAUGCCACAAUGAGUCUCCUACAUGUCAUCUAUAUCAAUUCGACACGAUCAACCUGUACUACUAUAACAUUGUGCGAUUGGAACAUUAGUUCCAUAAACCGGCAUACAAGCCAAGUCGACUCGACUAGGAGUCACCUCAAUGCAUACACUGUCCCAUAAAGCACCACCUUAGGUAUUGGGACGAUCGCACAUCCAGUGCUCGAUAAACUGAACUACAACCAUCAUACAAGGCUACAAUUGAACCUAUAGGUGUCGUUCCGAUGAUCCGAACACCACUUUGGUGUCGAACCAUGCACACAUUGUACAAUUGGCUCGAUGAUGCUCGCAAUAUUGCAACAUCACCAAUUGGUGACAUAAAGCCACCCACAAUGUGCACCCACUAUGUGCCACGACACAAGCGGAACAUUGAACAUUCCUACCGUUCUGCCGAACCCGUCGAUUUUCAUAUAAACCCACCGGGAUCCCACUUUGAUCAAGAAGCAUUCUGAGACACACCCAAAACAUCUUAAACUCGCAUCCACUGUCCCCAAACACCCUAUUUAAGGUGUUGGAACAGCCGCAGACAAAGCGAACCAAAACGGGAGCCAUAGCUCCAAAUAUGGCUUGAAGUGGGUCCGGCGGUACCUAUCGGCAUUCGAACCACCCACAACGCACUCGUUGCCAAAGGGGACACAAAACACAAGGAUAUACCAGCCAAUGAGGCUCAACAAACAUUCCGGACAGCCACAUAAUCAACUUCGUGAUAACGAAGUAGAGAACCGCGCAAUUGAUACGAUUUCGACUCGAUUUUGUGUCAUUUCGCACCAAAUCGACCAUGGAAUGUUUCUAAACCUCGAACACUAAGUCUGAACAUUUAAUACCAUCAAGCACUACUGCCCAACACAUUUCAUGAUGCGAAAAUGGAGUUUUCGGAAAUCUUACCAACUUUGCAUGAACCGGGAGUCAACCAAUGGUGCAUCGAGGUAUAUGACUUGUUGCUAGCUGCCACAGAUCAACAGUGGAGCUACCAUGAAGAAUCCGAAGACAAGAAACGGUUGCGCGAAGUCAAAACGGGUACACGAUAGAUGCGCGUCUCAGCUAGAUGUCCGUAUCACUCCACCGAGGUGAGCAUUGCGAAGAUGGAUGUUCGCUGAUCGUCGUGCUCCCAAGGUUGCCAAAUCCGACCACUGGAUUGCCCAGAAAAGCCAAAACAAGAACUGUCAAUUUGCCGAACACAUGGUGGGCACUAUUGAAAACAGUGGUUCGGGGUAUCGUUACCUGAAAAUCAGGGGAGCACGGGUUAGCACAAAUGCCAAGAAGUGCCGUGCUUACCAACAGAUAGUCACCGGAGAAGUCGGAUGGCUGGGACGGUUCUUCGGUAAAGAUCAAGGCCUAUAAGUCAAGUCAGGGCAGCGGUAAUAAAAUAGCUUCAACCGGGGGUUAGCAAGCCUAAUGGAGGGUUGGAAGAGUUGUAGAGGGACACUAACCCGCAGGGGGAGGCCAUCGGAGGUCCGGCGGACGGCGGCGGCGCUUGGGGCCGCGGCGGCUGCAACAGAAGCAACGACCCAAAACGGGUCGUGCACUACCGUCGCGCGGGGGUGGCACGGUUGGGGUAGGUGGCCGCAGGGGUUCUCACGCUCAGACGUGACGGCAGCGAGGCGCUGGUGAGGCGUCGGCGGCGUCAGCUUCAAGCCGAGGAAGGAGGGAAGAAGGGGGUGCUGUCACCUCUCUCUAUAUAGGUAUCAAUAUGCAGGGAGAGAAAGAUGGAGGGACUCUCGGCCGGAGUCUUGCCGGAGCACGUCGAACGCCGACGAAGAACAAAGGGGUGGCGGCGGCGGCGGCGGCACCAGGUGGGAGGGUGUGCAGGCUAGGUUAAUUAGGUGGUUAAUUAGGUAUCCCCUAACCUUUAUAUAUAUAUAUAUAUAUGUAGCUAGGCUCCUAUGCUUCGAAAGUACGGAGACCUCCGUGCUUGUAAGUUGUUUUCGAUGAUGGGACAUUCGAUUUGGUGAUCGGUUCCAUUAGACAUGAUCUAUGCUAUUGGAACUAUUUAGAAACCAAAUUUCAUAAUUUUUUGACUUCGUUUGUCUAGUGAAUGAGUAGCCUCAAAAUGAACGACUGGAAAUAAAAAUCUCAUAAAAAACAAUGAUAAAGGACUCAAAUUUCAAAUCGAAAGUAUUGAUCUUGCUAUUGAUGUUAAGUAGAAUUUUCUAUUAAAUUUUCAUGUAAUUUGGAUACUUCUACAUCGUUGACUUAAAAACGUGUCACAUCGGCCAUUAAAAUAGUCAUUUUUUGGACCUUUUGAUCGCUUGGUAAAUAAUGUCAAAAAAUUAUAAAAUUUGGUUUCUAGAUAGUUCCAAUAGGGUAGAUUAUACCUAACGGAGCUGAUCGUCGAAUCGGAUAUCCUAUCAUUGAAAACAACUUACAAGCACGGAGGUCUCCGUAAUUUCGAAAGUACAUGAGACGUGCNUAGAGAGAGAGAGAGAGAGAGAGAGAGAGAGAGAGAGAGAGCGCUAGGCUCCUAUGCUUUCGAAAGUACGGAAGCCUCUGAUCGGUUUUGUUAGACAUGAUCUACGCUAUUGGAACUAUUUAGAAACCAAAUUUCAUAAUUUUUUGACUUCGUUUAUCUAGUGAAUGAGUAGCCCCAAAAUGAACGACUGAAAAUAAAAAUCUCAUAAAAAACAAUGAUAAAGGACUCAAAUUUCAAAUUGAAAGUAUUGAUCUUGCUAUUGAUGUUAAGUAGCAUUUUCUAUUAAAUUUUCAUGUAAUUUGGAUACUUCUACACCGUUGAACUUAAAAAUGUGCUACAUUAGCCAUUAAAAUAGUCAUUUUUUGGACCUUUUGAUCGCUUGGUAAAUGAUGCCAAAAAAUUAUAAAAUUUGGUUUCUAGAUAGUUCCAAUAGGAUAGAUUAUACCUAACGGAGCCGAUCGUCAAAUUGGAUGUCCUGUUAUCGAAAACAACUUACAAGCACGGAGGUCUCCGUACUUUCGAAAGUACAGGAGACGUGCUCUUUAUAUAUAUACAAAUACUACUAUUGUAACAAUUGCAUCUAACACCCCUUUUGCGCAGAAGUCCCUCCCAUAAUAAAUUUUGCAGUUUAGCAUACAAAAUGCCAUACUUCUCUUAAAAAGAUCCUUCAACUGAUUUUUCCCUCUCCUGCUUCAACUGUAUGCCAGUUUCCACAUAAGUUUCAAAAUUUCGAAAAACUUGAGUCCACACGAUCCUCCUUGAGUCUUUUUCCACAAGAGUCCAUCCACUCAUAGAAAUUCUAGAAUUUCUCACAUGAAAUGAUAACCCUUUCGCGCAUUGCCCUAUUUUCACAUUUCGCAAAAAUUGCAAUUUCUUCUCCAGAAUAUCACCAAAUCGUGCCAAAUUGCAUUGGGCUCCAUUAUUGGACUUACUAUUCUGGCGGACCAUGAAAGUGGCACUUUUCGUUUCAUCGAAAACCGCAUCAGAUUGCAAAAUACAACCCCUUUUUUAAAAGUUUACCGUAAACAUAUCUUGGAUACUACAGCGUAUCGCGGCACCUGUGUGCCCAACUGAAAGUAUCGCAGGGUACCACUAUACAUAUCGCGAUAUUCCUCUCCUUGCAGUAAAGGGGUUGUACCAUGCCCCUUUUUUAGGGGCACGACCGUGCCAUAUGGCAUGGGUGGGCACUUUAAUCCUUGAUAUAAACAUCCAACUUCUCAGAUAUAUGUAAAUAGCAGUGUGAUAGGCAAGGUUUUAAGUGCCCGUCGGCACGGGCCGUAUCCACCGUGCCGUGCCGUGUCAACAAGAUACCGGCACGAUACAGACUCCGUGCCAAAGGCACAGCUCAAAACUCUCUAUUCUUGAAUUUAGUAAGUAAUUUCCUCAAUAAAGUUCAAAAGAUGUGAUAAAAAGACAUAAUAAAUAGUUAGAAUAUUUUGUUGCGAAAGAAAAUAAAUAUUUCAUGCUGUUAUGUGUCGGCACAUAAGAAUUUUUUUGACCGGCACACAUCGACACUACUCGGCACGCACCGUGCCGGCAAGUUUUCGGCACGACCCCGUUCCACGGCACUUAAAUCCUUGGUGAUAGCAUUCAGUUUGCUAUGUUUAUAACUUUAUAUAAAAUUUACUAUUUUUGGCACUCCAGUUGUAUAAGUAAUUUUGCAUUUUACAUUAUGGGUACAUUGCAUCAUUAGUCCCUUAACUUAAGGCAGACUUUCAUUUUGGCCUCUGGACUUUUAAAGUGCUGUUCUGAAAAAAUCAAUCUGGCCAUCCAAUUUUAAAUAAAGGAAUGGCCUCAGCUCUGUGAAUGGUAUGAUUGAGAGAGAGGAUGAUGGGUUGAUGAAUGGGGCGAUGCAUGGAUGCAGGCAAUAAUUUCUGUUGUGAUUGACGAUGGGGGGUUAAUAGUACAAAUAGUAUGAGGUGUCUAAUGCAUGCUCUAAAAUUAGGGUACCACGCCAAGACUGUAAAUUCAGGAACUGGUGAUGCAUAUUACCUUCUACAUGACCCCUAUACAUGAACAGUUUUAUAUCUACUUCACUGUGGACUCUUUAUAUUUUAUGAUUUUACAAACAUCUUUGGCGGAUCCGUUUCAACUUUUCUACUUCUAGACUGGAAGUGUUUGAAAAUUCUAAAGUCUAAUAUAAAUAAACUAAUUAUUUUCUUUAUCAAAGUUACCAUUAUGCUCUCAUUGGAAUAUUUAGGUGUCUUACCUACAGAUCAGAUAACCUGAACCUGUUAAAGGCUGUUUAAAUUAUUUAGGCCCUAUAUGGACGUCCAAAUGAGUAUUUCACUGAAAACUUGUGCUCUGUGGGUGUGUGGGGAUAUUCUUUGAGCAUUGCAACCUACCACCUUACUAUUAGUCCAUGCAAGGUUGUGAUUUUCAUGAUUUUUUUAGGAUAUUACAUUCCGCCUAUGGGUUUAUUUAUCUUGUACUCAUAAAAUGGCUUCAAGGUAGCAUUUUUAUGCUUUUAUAGGCAUUUAAUCAUACUCAUCUGCCAAUGCAUUGCCUUUUAGUAGAAAAAAGAAGUGCCUAACGAGAUGUCCAUGCAUUUAAUCAGCCUCUUAAGUCCUAUUGAAUAAAAGAAUAUCUGAGUACAAUGCUUCUUUCCAAGUGAGAAAGUUAUUUCCUUGAUUGAUGUAUAGCGUUAGAACCUAUCUGAUUGAAUCUUUAUGUUCUAAAUAUGUAAAAAGUAUGCAACUAAUGGAACUUUGAUAAUUUGAAAAUAACUUCCUUACCAUUGAAUAUAUUGAUUCUACUACCUAAUUGUUUGGUUUUAUUGGCUCUGAGAAACUAUUGCAUGUAACCAUGCAUCUGUAAAUUUGUGCAUUGCAAAUUUAUUCUGUCCAUUACAUUCAAUUGUUCAAUCUCCGUCAUACAAUGAGUUGUAGUUUCUUUUGCUUAAUAAUUGGAUAAUUGGGUUAACACUUAACAGUACAAGAUGCAUUGAUGGUUUAUGAAGAUGUGGUGCACAGAUUUAUGGAUGCACCAGGUGUGGGAAAUGACCUUUUAGGAUGUGAAUUGAAUGAUUUGAAAUGUUGGGUAGUGAAAUAAAAAAUUGUAAUGGUGGGUAGUCAUUUCUAAUUUACUCAAGUUUUUGUUAGUUCUGUAUAUUUUUACCUUCUAAUAAAAUUUGUGUUGAUAAGAUCCUACUGAUUUAAUCUAUUGGUGAACCAAAAUAUGAUCUGCAGGGUAAAGUAACAAAAAUUUUCCGUAUAUAUGUUUAUCGUCAACUCUUAUAUUCUCUUUAUUGAUUUCUGCAGAUAUGGGCGUUACCGUCCAUCUCAAAGCUCUUUAUCGAAGAAAGUUGAAGGAUGGCAGAUAUUGUGGUGGCAUUAUGCACAACAAGCUAUUUUAGCAGAUGUUCGUCAAAGAUUAAGAAGAAUUUCAUGGAGUAAUCUUGGUCAGAGAUUGUGAGUUCUUUGAUUAUCAUAUAUUCAUAUCUGAUAUUUGCUUUUUACCUUUAGGUCUUCUAUAUCAUGGCAUGUAUGGCUUUUUGCUAGAGAAAUCACUACUACUCUUAAACCUCUUAAUGAUAAUAAGUUUGCUUCAUUUCACUUCUUUGUUUCCAUUUCUAAACAGUUAAAGCAAGAUUGUUCUUAAGCUUGAUUAUACCUCUAUUUAGUUCUUAAUACUGGGAUAUGGAAGAUGUACUCUGGUUGAUACACAAUGAGAUCCAUUUAGCCAGCUUUUCUGGGUUGUGUUACCUGAGGAUAAGCAAUUCAGUGUAGCAGUCUGGAACGGAGUGAAAAAUCCACGGCCUAAGAGUUUGCUAAUACUUAAACUAGGUUUGCUGAACCUUGUUCACCUUUUCAACACAACCUAUUUUAAUUCUUCUUAACUUGUAACUCUAAUAACUAAUAAAUACUUGAUGCAGGAGAGAGUUUGGUGUCUAGUUCAGGAUUUAAUUGUAAAAACUUUGAAGGAUGUGUAAUUGUGUAUCUGAACUGUCUCACAAGAGGUGGUCUUACGGAUCUUCCCAACUCUCGAAACUCUAAGAGAAGUGACUAUCAUUUUCUUUCAAUGACCUAAGAAAUACUUGAGGAUUUGAAAGAGUUUUUCUUUCUAUGUUAAAGGGAUUUUUGUUUUCUUUUUGGAGCUACUUAGGGCUUGGAAGGAAUCGUUAGCAUUGAAAGGAGAAUAAAGUUCCUAGAGAAUGAAGUAAUGGAGGAGAAUUAGAAAACCAGAAAUUAACAAACAAGAGUGGAAUUCAAGGAGGAAAAACACAAAGAAUUCUUUUCCUCAAUAUUUGACGAGGGAGCCUACCGUGCUGUAUGGAGAAAAAUAGGGCACAAUUCUGCUUGGGUAUUUGUAUGUAGCAGUAGCUGUAGGGUGUUGGUAAUGCGGUGAGAUUUUCAUCGUUUCUUCAGUGAGGGAAAGGUCUUCUCAUGGUAGAGAUAGCUGAGUGAAGAAGAAGAGAAGGAAGCUUGGCCAAGAGGGGGAUUUACAAUUAGGGAAACCAAACUACCAAUUAGGGAAACCCGCCUAAUCCAAUAAUCAAAAUUUAAAUACAUAUCAGUCCUAUUAUGGGAAAAGGAGAGCUCAAAUCUUAAUUUUGGCAGGACAUAAUCCAAAAAUUAAACCCUAAUUGACUCAAAUAAACUAAUCUAAGGCACAAAUUGAACCCAACAUAAUUAGUUCAAGACCAAAAAUAACUAAGCUGGGAUUAACUUACAGUUGACUCUAAUAUGCUGUUCUAAAUGUCCUAAUUUUGUGCUAAUAAGCACCAUUGCAAUCUAAAAUGUCCCAUGCCAGUUAUAGGUCUUGACUGCUAAUAAUCUAUAGUAAAUACCCGUUUAGUGACUCAAAAAUGCGAUAAUGAUUUCAAACACUGCAAAAUUGGCUAUAGCUCUUCAAUACUCUUGAUUUGCCCCCUUGAUGGCCUCCCUGGAGGCAGAGUAGAUAGCUUUCAAUCUCCUGUGCUAUCGGUGCUGUUCUAAGGUACGAAUGGAAAUCUAGAAUAAAACCUUUAGCUAGUAGAAGGUUGACCUAGAUAAUUAUCGGUGAUUUCAAUAUAGCACUUACAGUCACAUAGAUUAAAUAAUUUUUUAGACUAAUGCUGUUCUCCAAUGACCAUUCUUAGUAAAGAGAACUUGUCCGAUCAUUUAUCUUGCGCGUACCUCGUUUCAUGGCUUUGUGUAGAUUACAGACUGUAAUCAGCCUUUUUUUCUGGACAGGUAAGUUCUCCAGUAUGUAAUUCCUAAUUUCUGCUUUCUAACUUUCUGCAGUAUAUAAACUAAGUUUGUGUUUUCCUGUCCUUGGUCUUCGCUUUUAUGCAUGUGGUGCAAUUCUUGACACUCGAUGGAUGUGUUGCAAUUGUUGUCACUCUGUUUGUCUUGGAGACUUAAUUAUUGAAGUGUUUGUUAGGGAAACAAUGUCUUUACCAAGUGCAUUCUAGCAGAUAAACUUCUAUUUCUAGACAAAUCUCUGACUUUCUGUUCAGUUAUCAGACUUCAUGCUAUUUAACAUGAGUAUAGAAACUAUCUUAAAUGCUUCAUUUGAUGAACAGAAACUACCGUCGGAGGUACAUCGAUUUGUAUAGGAGAAAGCUGGAACUACUACAAAAUGAGCAGGUACUUCUUUCUUUUGAUGCAAUAUACACCUUUUUCUCUUAUUUAUAUUGAAUUCCUUUUUUCAACGACACAAAACUACUUGUCUGAUUGCUCAGAUGUCUUUCAAUAAGCAGGAUUUUAUAUACAUGUUAUUAUAGCUAUUUGGUGGUUUUAAAUCCAAUUCAUAAGUAGCUAGAAUUCUUUUGUCCUUUUCUUGAUACACUACAGGUAAUUCUUUACAUGCAUAUUUUCUGUUUUGGAAUUAAUAUAAAUGAGUCACAUGGGAAUUUCCACUAAAUCAACAUAGGAAGCAAUAUUUAGAAGCUACUCCAGUUCCUUGAUGCAUCUAAUCACAGAUUGUAUGUUCUCUCUCCUUUUUGUUUCUUCUCUUUUCGUUAGAAGCAGCUUAUGGAGCUGAUUUGUUAUUUGUAUCAUUUCCAUGUACAACAAAUGCUUUACACAAUAGCUGCACUAUAUUCUUGAUUCUCGUUAUCUUGGUUUCACUUGUUUUAUGGUUUCUGUCUUGUGCCAUUUUGUUUUGAUAGCUUGUGCAUUACACAUUUUUGGGAUAAAUAAAAUUAACUGGUGACACUGAAGAAAUUUUUGACACUUCAUAUUUGCUUUUGGUGCCUUUCAGCUUUUAUGAACCUAAAUAUUCUAGUCGACAAUUGUAUAUUUCAUGUCAGGUAAUGCAUAUAUAGGAAUCUGCAGUUACAGUUUGGUUUUAAUUAUUUGAAGUGUUAUAGACACUGGUUCGGUUUUAGUUAUUUAGUGUGUUUGUGAGACCCUAAGUAGUCAUAUAUAUAAGAUAUAAUAGAGCUAAAACUCUUAACCUGGCUUAAGCAUUUUGGGCAGUGGCUAGGCCCAAGAGGUUAACAGAGUUAAGCGUGCUAGGAUGAGAGUAGUCCUAGGAUAGGUGACCCGUUGGGAAGUCGGGGCGUCACAGCUGGUAUCAGAGCCAAUUACUAGCCGGAAGUGUGAGAUGAGUCUCGGCUGAGCAAGGAUUGUACAGCGAGGAGAGCGAGACUCUCAUGCUGUUGACUGUUGUGGGUGGAGCGUAGCUCGCCACAAGGUUAGAAUGUGAGACCCCAAGUAGUCCUAUAUGUAAGAUAUAAUAGGGCUAAAACUCUUAACCCGGCUUAAGCAUUUUGGGUGAUGGCUACGCCCAAGAGGUUAAGAGAGUUAAGCAUGCUAGGAUGGAAAUAGUCCUAGGAUAGGUGACCCCCGGGAAGUCGAGGCGUCAUAGUGUUAUAGACAAUGAUUAGUUAUUAGCUAUGAUGCAUGGAUGGUUGUAUUUGAGUGCCCUGGCUGUAUACAAUAUCUACUGGAUAUAGUUAUGUACCCGAUAGCGGUCGAUUCUAUGUGAGACACAACAUGAGAAGUAUCUGAUUCUCUAAAAACUGAAAAGAUAAUAUAUAUAUACAAGGAUUAAAGUGCCGCGGCAUGAAGGUGUGCCAAUUGUUGCCUGGCACAGUAUGGGCAUAGGCAAGCCUCCAUGCUGACACGUAGGACGCUUGCGUGCCAAUUGAUACGCAUGACCUCCUAGUGGCACGCUUUGACACCAUUUUUCUUUAAUUUUUUUGUUCCCGAUAAACUUUUAUAAUGUUAUUUUGCAAGAUUUAGAAAAUAAUUAUAAAUAUUGGCUAUGUAUAGCUUACUACACUCGGCAAUUAAUAUAGUAGUAGGUUUUUUAUAUAUGUAAAGUAAAAUAUUAACUAUUGCUCAUAGAGAAUAAAAAUUAAAAAUCGAUUAACUUUGAAAAUUCUUUUGAUUUUACCUUUUCUUUCAGAAUGUUAAAAAUUAUUAAAAUACAAAAUUAGGGAAAAUUUUUUUUUCUUAAAAUAUUUAUGGAAUUUGCAAGAUUCAUCCAUAUUGAUUUGAUGAGAGACUGCUUGAUGACUAGAUUAACUAGAAUCGCACUACAAUUGUUAAUAAUUUCUUUUAAUUUUGAAUCUUUUAAAAAUAUUUAUUAAAAAAUUGAAGAAAAAAUUAUUUUUUAUUUUUUUAAGAAAAAUUGUGAGGUCUAUCCCUAAAAAUUUAACAAUAAAUCAUAUGACGAAUAAUUAAUCAAAUUUAAAUAUCAAUUGCUUCAAUUUAGUUUUUUUAUUUUAUUAGUAUUUUCCUUCUUCUAAAUCCAAAAAUAGAAUUGUCAAAGUUAAAAAAUUUAUGUCGUAAAUCUCAUACCCAAUGCUAGAUUUAUCUAAAAUAAUUAAAAAUCAGACUACAUAAUGACUUAAUCAAAUAGAUCUAUUUUUACAUUUUUGUAAACUAUAAAUAAAAUUUUUGCAUAAUUUUAAAUUACUUAAAAACUGGAAGUUUAAAGUUAGAAACAUUCAAAAUGUAUGAAAAAUUUAAAAUUGUAAUUUUUUUUUACUUACCUAAGAGGUAUAUCUUCGAUUUUCUUUUUCUUUGCCUUUUCUUAUAAGAUUGAAGUGAUUAAAGUAGAAACAAAGUAGAAAUAGAAGGGACUAAAAGAAGAAAUUAGAGAAAAAAAUUAUAAUAAAAAAAUGGUGGGAAAAAUAGAAAGAAAAAAAAGAUAGAAAGAGAUAGUGAGAAGAAAAGGAAAGACUGCAAGAGUGAGUUGAGGAGAAGAUAAGUAGAAGAGAAUGAAAGAGAGCGAUGUGUGUGGGGCAAAAAAAAUAAUCCAAAAGUAGGCCCAAAGAAUAAAAAAGGGGGUUAAAAUUUAAAACGUUGCAUGCCCUUAUAGGCAUGGUCGGCACGGGGCAAUACUAUAAACCCUGCCUAUUUAUGUCUUCGAUACAGUCGCGUGAUAUGGCAUUGAUACGGGUGGUAUCCUGGAACGACAUAAUGGGUUGGUUUUAAAGUUGUAUUUGAUCCCUAUCCAUUGCCCAUAUUCAACGGCCCUUAACAAAUUUUUAAACAACCAAUUUUUCUGGUUCAUUGCUUUAUACUUUCAGCACAAAUAAAUUAUAAUUUUGAAUUGUGCCAUUUUACAAUGCUAUAAAUUUGUAGCUAAAUGAUAAAUAUAGUUAUUUUUUAUUCUCGUAUCUCACACAUCGUAUCUUAUUAUUUUGGAGUUUGUCGUAUCACCAUAUCCCUAUCAUGUGGAUAUUCGUAUAUUUUACCUGUUUCUGCGGAAUAUAGGUUAUUAGCAUCUUUGACUUUUUUCCCCGCCAUCAAUUUGUCAUUUUUCAGAUUUGUGUUUUAUGCUUGUCAUUUUUUAUUUGAGUUAUUAGUGUUAUUAAGGCUCUUACAUUAAAAAUUGGAAUAUUUGCAGGUUGUCAGCAAAGAUAUCCUGCAAGAGCUAGAAAAGAUGGAUAAAGAGUGUGACAUUGAUGAUAUUCUGAGCUACAGAUCUUUUGCUGAGCGACAACUGCAGGUAUCUGCUGGUUAUGCAUUGCUAUUCUAUAAAUGCUUUACCAGUUAUGUUGUUUUCAGUCUUAUCUUGUUCUAUGCUCCUGUUUGCUUGCUUUCUUCUGAGCCUCCAUUACAGGAUCUUUUGUUAAAAUCAAAAUCUUCUACUUCCGGAGCAAACAAUAUUAUGUCUUCUCAAGAAAAGAACCAGAAUGAUGAACAAUCUGCGAGUAGAGCACGCCGGUGGUUAAACUGGUUAUCUCUUGGCAUGCUUGGAGCUGGCGGAACAGCCGACACUAGUUCGUUUGCUGGUGUCGUUUCAGAUGAAAUUAUUAAGGUCAGUUUUGGUUCCUGUAUAGUAUGUUCUGUGUAGUUCUUGGAGCUUAUUCAUUUUAUUUUAUUUUUUUCAGGAUAUAUAUGAGGCAACUGAAUUUCAUCCAAUGUCUUCUUGUAAUGGAGAUUCUUCAGAUAGAGAUAAAUGUCUUUCAUCAUCUAUAAGGCUCAGUGUCUUGAGAAUACUAACCUCAAUCAAUUCCAGGCACUGUUACCUUUCUUGCAUAUCUCUAAGUUUAUUUAUUAUGCUCGCGACAUCAUUAUAAAUUAUUACAUUUGCCCAUGAAAUGUAUUAUAUGAUAUAUAUGUUUUGAAAAGUGGGUACUAAUCGGUAAUGUUCACGUAAAAUCCAUCUUGAAGUGAUUCCAGCACUUGAUAGUGUUGUGAAGAACGGACUCAUUUGACAUAAAGUAAAAUCCAUCUUGAAGUGAUUCCGAUAUUUCAUAGUGCCGUGAGGAAUGACUUAUUUGCCAUAGUAUUGAGUUAAUUUCCAUUGAAGGAUGAUGUGGCUAAAUUUAUUGUUCUAGUAGAUUGCGAUUUUAAGAGAAACUAAUUUUGCUAAUUUAGGCUUUGUUUGGAGGCACAUUUCUCAGCACAAGGGUCACUUGAUAUAUGUAAUUGGUUAAGUAUUCACUAAUUUGAGACUCUUUAUCGAUGCUCCUUUUUUGCCUUCUUAUAUACUGGAAGUUGGGAGAACUACGGUAUUAGCUUCACAAAUUUUUUUAUGUAUAAUAACUAAGCAACGCUUGUUAGACGAGCUGUGACAAAAUUGUGUUGGUCAACUUAUGUAUACAGUUUUGUUAUUUGAAGGCCAAUUGUGUGCUUGGUCCCUACAGGACUCUAACUGUCAACUCUUUUCCCUUGUAAGUUUCACAUGAUUACCAAUUUGAGACCACAACAUAUCAGCUAAUGGUCGGAAAAUAAAAUAUAUUGGUUUCGAUCAAAGGUUCAUAAAGAAAUGGUUACUUUUGUUGGCUAAAAUUUGUUAUAUGUGAAUCGUUUAUGGUAAUCUUUACAUUUCCCAAACUAUUUGCGCCUUUAAACUUUUUAAUCUGUAGAGAAAAUUUGAAAUAAUUUUAGCUUCUAGAGAGAUACUUAUAGCAGCUUAUUAGUGGCUCUCUGCUCAUGUGGUUAUUGGACGGUUAGUCCAGGUACAUUGAAGUUUAUGGCAAGUAAUUUCUUUAUUUUCAUGAUUGACAUAAUUAGAAUUUGUGAUUUCUUGGAGUUCACUGUUUUAGCAGUAUAGAAAUAUCAAUAGAUAUUAAAAACGGAUUUCAAUAUAUAGUUGUGUCUUAUAAGGCCUAACUGGCCUACUAACUAGCCAAGCGUAUUUAAGGGUCUGUUGGCAUAGAAUAAAAUGCUUAAUCAAGCUGUAAUGCUAGUAAGCUAGCUCUAAAAGAACAUAUUCUUCAUGUUUCUAACAUUUUCUUAUGUCGAACCAAUGCGGUGUGACAAACUCCCUUGUUAGAGAACUUCACAUCUUUAUGUGAUUUUCUCACUGGUCUCCUAGUUCUUUCAUAAUAGAUAUUCUCUUUGCUCCCUGGACUAGACAUAACUUAUGAUAUCUGCAGUUUGGUGGCAAUAUGAACAAGUCUAUCAAAUUGGUGCAAAAAUGUUGAACUGUCACACCAAUAUUAGUAUGCCAGCCUUACAUAUAGAUCAUUUACUUCCUAACAUCUUUGGUUGUGAGACAAUGAGUGUGAUAAAGAAAUGGGACAUUCCACCUUGAAUUUAAGUAACCAAUCUUAGAAAUAUAACAUAGUGAUUACAUUAACACUGACGAUAGACAUACUAUUGACUUCAUUAGAAUGCUUUCUAUUUCAUAUGACCUAUCAUGACUAGAUAUGUAGAUAUGCAGCGUAGAUAUCAGUGAAGUGGUAGGGCUUCUGUUCCAUUUGAUCUAUUUUACAUUUUGUUUUAUCAUUUGUUAUCUAACUUCCAAUACCAUGCACAAUAACAAUAAGAUAAUAAUUAGACAUGCCUCAUGUUGUUAUGAAGCUUUGCUAGGAGCUGUAUGUUGUAGCAUGUCUCCACCUGUGUCUAACUUCCAACUAGUUGUUGGCAUGUCCUAUUGCCAUAGUAAUAGAAAUCUUAGAAGUAAUAUGGACCUUGCAUUGUCAAUAUUUUAGGGUUUCAUCUUUCUCUAACACGUAUCAACCUUUUUGAUGAUGCCUCUAAUUUCUUCUCUUGCUGUUGAAGGGGCUCCUUCUGUGACAUCCUAAGGCUUGAGAAUAGUCCCAUAUCGACAACUAGAUGUGGGGGUAUAUAAGGCUGGAUAGGCUAGACAUAAUAAUUGGGUUUAAGCAUUUUGUGCCGUGAAUUUGGCCCAAUGAGUUAUUGGGUCCACAAUGCCCAGUUAAUUGAGCCGUGGGCUCUGUGAUGGGCGACCAAUCUGGGAAUUGGGUCGUGAUAAUUAUGAUAUCAGAGCCGGUUCACUAGUAGGAAAUGAGAGAUGAAUUUCGGCUGAGCCAAGGCCUGAAUGACGGGCUAAGUCAGGGUUUGAGAAUGACAAGGCUACGGAGACAAGUCUUACAUUACCUGGUGAUCUUGGGUAGUGUGCGUAAUUGAGCCCGACGAAGAUGUUAGGUCAUAAAAGAGGGGGAGGGGAGUCUGUGGCAUUCCAAGAUUUGAGAAUAGUCCCAUAAUAGUCCUGCUUCAGAUAGCCAUGGCUAGACGUAGGGGUACAUAAGGCUGGAUAGGCUAGACGAAUAACUAGGCUUAAACAUUUUGGGCCAGUGGAUUUUGGCCUAUCACGUUAUUGGUCCAGGGUACCCAGUUAAAUCGAGCCGUGGGCUCUGUCAUGGGUGACCACAUGGGAAUUGGGUCGUAACACUUUCAAUCUAACAUUCUAAUUACUGUAAAUAUAUACUACAUUGGAAACUUAAUUCUCGUGUUAUGGUACAAAAUGGAAUUAAGUUUUUUAUAUAUAGACAAAAUAUCCUAAUAUGAUAAGAACAUUUGAUUAUUAUGAUUCAAUGAUAGUAUAAUGGAAAAAAAAUAUUCGGAGAAUGAGAAUGAAAAAAAAAAAAACAUGAUAAGGAUACCUAGAGGGAUGAAAUUAAUAAUGGAAAUUUGAUACAGAUCAAAAUGUUAUUAAGCUCUUCUAUGACAUCUUUCCAAUUAUUUACUUUUAUUUAUCUUAUUUAUAUUUACUUUUUUUAUCUUAUUUAUUCGAUAAGCUGUGCAACAUAGCAAAGUGUCUGAAGCUUUGAUUUCUAGGUUCCAACAUGGAUGCUCCUAGAUACUGGGUGAAACUGAUUCAAGACUAAUAAAUUAAGUCUUUGGCUUUAGCUGAGAAUAAUACUGUGUAUAGUAUUGACUGCUCGAGAUUUUAGUCAAAAUAGUGCCCUCCCUACUUUCACAUGAAGAGAAUGUUAGACAUAUUUGCCAUGGAAUAAUCCAUUAUCAUAAGUUAACAAGUUGUGUCAUUUUUCUUCAUGAGAUUUUCCUCGCAUUUGAACUGUGCAAAGAAGAUUCAAGUGAAUUAUUUUCAUUUUGUAGUAUCGCUAUGCAAUCUUUUUUUUCUUGUUUCUUUAUGAAUUAUGCAUUCACUUGCCUCAUGAAUUCACAAUCAUUUGUUUAAAGUUAAUUUUUUCAAUCUUUCAUCAGUGUGUUAAUAUUUAUUCCCAAUGUUAUACUAUAGGAUGUGUAACCAAAAAAUUGCUGAAGUACAGUUCAGUGGACUUGGUAUUGAAUGUGAAUUUUUGAAAGAUUCGGCUGCUAUUCUUGCCUCGAUUGAUUCUGUUAAGAUAGCCAACCCUGUGAAUGAUAAUAUGAUUUUAAUAGCUGAAAAGGUCAGCUUUUUUGUACUAUUCUUUUGAUUUGUUAUCUUUUCCUUUAUUUUUUUUUUCCUGCGGUGGUACCUUUAUAAUUUCAUUUGCUUGUAGAUUGCCAUUCAGGAUGGCUUGGCAAUGCGUUGGCUACCCUUCUUCAGUGUUCAGAUCGACUUAACAGAGUCGAAUCAUCAAUCGCAACUUUCAGUAAACGUACUUAGAUGUUCUUUUCAUACCCUAUAUGAAGCCUCACGGUGCUUUGCAUGGUCAGCUGUAACAUUUUUUAAAGUCUGUCAUUGAAGUAAUGGUGUCUGUGGCUCAGGUUAUGGUUCAACCUUUUGAAGUUUCCUAUGAAUCAGAUUUCUUCCUCAACCUUUUGCAACUUUACGAAGUGUUGGCUUCGUUCCAGUUUCAGCACGAUAGGGUAAAUUACUUUGUGCCAAAUGUCUUUUUAAUUUUCCUUUUCAUCUUUCUAAGAUGUAUCAGUGUUAUUUUUUUUUAAUCUCUUAGUGUUGUGUGGAAUGAAUAAAAGAUAAUAUGCUAUAAAUUUGCAUAAGAUGGUUCAGAUUAUGUCAAACAAAGAGCAUACAGUUUACUAGUGAGGUGGAAUGAUUAGCUUGGAAACUCCAGAACAAGGUGAGCAAGGGCUUAGAUUAAAGCAGUAGUAAAGGAUGUGGUAGCUCUCACAAUGAUUAAUUGCAUGGUAAUCCAGGUGUGAGUGGGCGUGAAGAUUUCAUGCAGCUGCCUUUGAUUCAAAAGCUAUUGUGCUUUGUUGUAUCAAUUAUUUACCUUAAUGCACCUCAUUCUUGGUAUUGGCUAUAUGAAAUUCUAUUUUGUGCAUUAUAUGCCAUUAAUCACGCUUUAAAUUGGAAAUACAGAAGUAUUUUCACUUUUGCCAGUGCCAAGAAUGAGGAAAAUAAUUUGACGAAAUAGAUUAGUAUUCUUAUUUAGAUGAUCUAUUCACCUGUGGGCCCACAUGUCUCAACUCUCAUGUGUAAUAGUAUAUCUGUUCUCAGAUAAUAGUAACUCUCUAAGUGAUCAAAACUCCCGUCUUUUCUUUAUUGGCUUUAUAAAUGCUGUCUUUUUUAAUUAGCUAUAAAUGAUUCAAGGUCUACACAUUACUAUUCGCAGAUAAUAUUUUGGUUGUCCAUCAGUCUGCCAUUACUGCUGUUAAAAUGUUUAAAUUGGAUGGUUGACAAUCCCACGAAUCAUGAGUCAUGAAUCUUUAAAACAUUGUAAAUUAGAACAUAGGUCACUAAAUUUAUCUGAUUUAUCUAAUUUAUGGUGGUUUCAUCACUUCAGCAAGUCAUGUGAUUGUCACACUGUACAAUUCUGAAAAGUUCUUAUUGUAAGGGCAUGUUUGGUUAUCCGUAAGUGAAAGGACGAAAGUGGCACUCUCAAAAGUGAGAUCACUUCAUAGUUUGGUUUCUCGAAGUAAAUAAGCAAGUCACUUUUUAAAAGUGGACAACAAAAGUGAAUUAUAUGUUUAUAACUAACUCUUUCUUGACUUCGGCUCAAAAUAUUCCGAAAUCAUCGAAAGUGGAAAAUCCAUGUAAAGUGAUGGAGUUUGAUGAAAAACAAAUUUUGUUCUUAAUCUUAAUAAUUGAAUUAUUUUUAAUUUUCGAUCUAUACUUAAAUUAUUUUGAAAUUUGAACGGUAAAUCCGAAUUUACAUUUGGAAUUCAAAUUAUGAAUUCAAAGUAAAAAAUAUUAUCAUAAGUUCAUUACGAAUUAAGAUUUGAAUGCAACCUAUGUAUUCAAAUUUGAAUUUAAUGAUUGAUUAUUAGGUUUUAUUUUAAAUUCAAAAUUUGAUUUUUGAGUUUAAUUGUCACUUCAAAUUUAAUUUUGAUUUUUUAUAUAUAAUUUCAUUUAUGGUUUUCAACUUGAACUUUAAAAUUGAAUUUAAAAUCCAGGGUAAAUUACACUUUUGGUCCUCAAACUAUGAGAUGCAUGACAUUUUGGUGCCAAAAUUUAAUUUGUUGCAAUUCUGGCUCAAACUUUUUGAAUUGUUGCAAUCAGUUUCACAACCCAAUUUAGUUGGCUAAGUAUUGACAAAUUGUUAAUGUAUAAGUGAUGUAGUAUCUUGAUUAUUUUCACAUCAUCAAUCACAGUACUUCCACAUCAUUUCGUCAUCAACAAUUUGUCAACAUUUGGCCAACUAAAUUGUAUUUUGGGACUGAUUGUAACAAUUUAGAAAGUACGAGCAUGAAAUUGCAACAAAUUAAAGUUUGAGGACCAAAGUGUCAUGUGCCUCAUGGUUUGAAGACCAAAAGUGUAAUUUACCGUAAAGUGUGAUUGUAUGUUUUGACUUUAAAUUGUAAAUUCAUCUUUAAAUUCAUGUUUGAAUUCAAAUUUAAAGUUUAAGAAAUUCACAUUUUAAUUUAAUUUUUUAAUUCAAAUUGUGUGUUGAUUUAGAUUUAAAUUGAAGUUUUAAUUUUUAACUAUAAAUGUUAAUUCAAAUUUAUGUUUAAUUUUUUAAUUUAAUUUAGUUAUGAGUUUCAAUUAGAACUUUGAAUUUGAAUUGUGAGUCCAAUUGGACAUUAUGAAUUUAAAUUUUAAAGUUUUGAAUCUAACUUCAAAUUCAAAGUUUACAUUCAAAUUAUGAAUUAUGAAUUCAAAUGUCAUUUCACGAUCAAGCAGAUUUGAAUUUAAAUUUAAGUUCAAGUUUGAUUUCUAAAUUUGAUUUCUGUUAUGAGUUUUAAUUUGAAAUUUACAGUUCAAUUAUACAUUUGGAAUUUGAGUUGUAAAUUUAAAAUGUAAAUAUAAUUUCACACUCAAAUCAAAAUUUUAAAUUUAAAUUGUGACAAAAUUGAACUUAAAUUUUAAAUUGAAUUUAAACUUACGACUCAUGUACAACCAAACAGAAGUAGCCACGAUACUACAGAUUUUCCUUUUUCACUUUACAGUGAACCAAAUAACUAAAGUCAAAAGUCACUUUUUUAAACGUGACUUUCUUAGAGGUGACUUUUUCACUUCAGUGGCUUGCGAGCAACCGAACAUGCCCUAAAUGUGAACAACAAGUGUAGUUGGCAAACUGUUACAGUUUUCAUAAAGUGUAAAUAGGCUGUAUCAUAAUGGUGCUAUUUGAUACUACUUCUAGCAACUCUGUUUUAUUAAUUUUUUUUAAUUUACUCUAUGAUUUGAAGGUGCUGUCUUCACUCAACAGGUUUGAUAAUUAUAAGGCCAGAGUACUAUCAAAAACUGAGUAUGUUAUCUUUAUCAAAGUGGUUUCAUUUAACUUAAGUCAAUAACAUUGAACUUUCUUGUCUGUAAAUAUUCUCACUUUCUACUUUGUUGUAGGUAUAUAUCUCAUAAUCGUAAAAAGCUUCAUUGGGACGUUAGUUUUUGCAAUAUUAUCAUUAAACUUCCAUCGCAUAGUGAAGGUUUCGAAGCACUAAUAAUGGUAUGUAUUGAUAGGAUACACAACUUUCUUUUCCCUGUAUUUGUAUUUUUCAAUUUAAACUAAUCUAUGACACAAAGGAUUGUGAUAUGAUGUUUGUGAGUAAAAAAGUUAGGACGGUGGCGGAAAACUAUUUUGUUUGGUUCUGACUGGUGAGUUAUAUGAUUGACCCUUUCAAAUCAAUGACCUAUAGUAGUAUCUCAUAUUUAGGUUUUCCAAGUACUUACAUUUUCAAAAUGUUUUGAAAGCAUCUUACAUGUUGAAAAAUCACCAAAUUCUUUUUAGUGAAUUUAAAAAACAGGCUGAAAGGUGUGAAAAAACUAUUUUAAAUGUAGCAUCUUUUUAUCUUAAUUGGAAUUUUAUUUAUAUGUAGUUAUGUACCGGCAAGGAUCGCCUGUGUCGGUGGCAUGGGCCUGGCACAUGGCAUGGGUCCGUGCCACCUGGUACUCGGAAACUGUGGGCAUGCCACCUUGUAUUGCGGGGUACCACCCUCGUAUCGCCUCGUAUAGCGGCGUGCCGCCCCUAUAUCACCCCGUGCCUAUUCAUGCUGAACUAGCACGGUUUGACAUGGAUCUAUUUAUUGGUUUUUUUUUUUAAUUUUAAGGGGUCAAAAGAGAUCUUUGAUGGUGUCAUCGUUGUUCCUAUACCAGUGUCGGUUACGAUAGUAUAUGUACAUCACGAUACAAUUCGCUAUAUUGAAUAUAUUCGCAAUGAUUACGAGCUGUACUAGCACAAAAUGGGCUUUCACCUGUAUCAGCAAUAUUUAUAUAGUCAAGGGAUCAAUCUAGUAACUAAUGAUGACAAUCACCAAUAUGAUCCACCUAGACACUCUGGGUGUGUUUGGUUUGAAGUCGGAGUCGGAAUCGGAAUCGGAAUCAAAAUAAGCUGGAAUCGGAAUCGGAAUGACUCAUUACCUAAUUCUGUUUGGUUCAUCACCUGAAUCGAAAUCGGAAUAAAUCAUUCUCAUUGUCGGUGUUUGGUUCAGGUGGAUAUAAAAAACGUAAUCAAAUUAAUAUAUUAACAUUAUCUUUAUAAUAUAUUAAUUUAAAUUUAAAUUAAAAAUUAAAUAUUAAAAAUUUACAUCAAACUUUUGGAAUAAUGUCAAAAUUUUAAAUCUAUUUUUUUAAAAAAAAUUUAAUCUUUGAAGUUGAGUGGAUAAUUCAAAAUAUGAAACUAAAUUUUGAUUUAUUCAAAUUCAAACAUAAAAUUACAAUUUAAAUUUUAAUUAGAAUUCAUAAAUUUAAUUUAAGUUUGAAAUAAAAUUUGAAUAAAACUUUAUAUAAAUUAAAAUUUAAUUUAAAUUCAAAUUCAUAAGUUAGAUUCGAAAUACUUGAUUAAAUUUUAAUUUUUAAUUUAAGUUCAAAUUAAAAUUUAAAAUUAUAUAUUUAAUUUUUAAAUUUUAACUCAUAUUUUAAUUUAAAAAGUUGAAAAAAUAAAUUUAAUUGGAAUAAAUAUCCAUUCCGUCCGGAUUCAACGUCCAAUCCGACUUCUUAGGCCGGAUUGAAAAAAGAGGUGAUUGGGGGAUUCCCAUUCCACUCGGGAAUUGGAAUCGGAAUGGGACUCCCGCGUACCAAACACCCACAAACGGAUUCACCCAUUCCGAUUCCGAUUUCAGGGUGAAAAAGAAGCGAACCAAACACGCCCUCAAUGUACUACUAGUGAUGAAAGAUAAAUGUUUAGACUUUAGAGUUAUGAUUUGAGCAUAUUGAAUUUAUCUCUAAUAUUAUUUGUUGUUAAUUAUUGGUCAUAUACUAGUAUUUAGGUGCUUUCAUGAGUUGUAUAUGACCAUUUUUACAUGGACUAGAUGAUAGAUACAAUUUGGAUCAAGUUUAUAUGCAUUACAAAUCUUAAAAUAUCCUAAAAAGCUAACAUUACUUUUAAAAAAGUUUUAAAAAAUCCCUGCUAAACCCUACUAGCGUGCCACUAGCACAGGGGGCUGUACAUGGGUAUGACCCAUGCUGCUUUGCCAUGCCGUGCCGAUGGCAUAGCGACACGGGUCGUGCCGGUGGCACGACAAUCCUUGUGUAGUUGAUUAUUUGGAGGUUAGAUAGGAAGACACACAAUUUUUUUAGAUUGUAUUGCUAUGCUCAAUUUUUGGUGAUUUUAACUCUUUUUCAGCUUAAUUCAUCUCAUAGUAUGAGAAUUCAUUUUGUAGAUUCGGUCAUAUUGAUUAAUAUUGUCUGAACAUUUAUAAUAACCAUGCUUGAUAGGUUGUGGGAGUUGAAGCUUUAUAUGUAAGAUCUGUGGAUAAGCACAAGCAUGGUUCUCUCAUAUCUAAUAAUGAUUACAGUGAUGAUUUUAUAUCUAAGGAAUGGCUGAGCGGUUCAGUCGAUAACACCUCUCUCGGUUAUCAAUUUCAAUAUCUAUAUGACCAUUUUGAGGUUGGACUAACUGGAUUUGAGGUCAGAUCUUGUACUCAUUAUUGUGCGUUGCUUUUGCUUUUCGUAUUCUCGAGAAACUUCUCGCUUCAAUGGCAUUUUUGCAGCUGAAGGUACUGCUGAAGAAUGUACAUAAUGCUAUCUCCAUUAUUGACAAGUUUAAUGCCUCCGUUCUAUUUGCACUGUGCAAUUUGUUAGAUGAAUCAAUGUUGAAGCAGUUGGAGGUAAUUUUCAUUCUCUACAGUUCUCUGUCUUCAAUUAAAUAGAUUGGUCUGCUUCUCUUUACAUUGGCAAUAUUUCAAUAGUUACUCUCUGGUGGAAUUAUGCUUCCCUUUUGUUUUUAUUUUUCUAAAACUCAAAUUUUGAAUGGAGGACACUAGCACGAUAGAUUGUUAUGAAAUGACACAUUUAUGCCACUUGUUUGGCCAAAAAAGAUGAAAUUUUGUUAGUUUUUUUGUUUUUUCCUUGCUUUGCUCCUUUGUUUUUUAAAAAAGAAUAAGUUUGCUUAAGUGUCGUGGCAUGGGUUUGUGCCGAAAAUUUGUUAGUACGGCACGACACGGUGCGUGAUGGGUCAUGCCGAUGCGUACUGGUCGCGAAAAAUGCAUGUGUGCCGACACAUAAUGCCAUAAAAUAUUUAUUUUCUUUAGCAACAAAAUAUUCUAAAUUUCUAAUUGCUUAUUAUGUAUCAUUAUCAAAUCUUUUGAACUACUAAUUUAAAGAACAGAGGUUGAGUUGUGCCAUAGAUACGGUGGCGGUAUCGUGCCGAUAUCUUGUUCACACGAUAUGGCAUAGGCAUACGACGUGUGCUGAUGGGCAUUUAAAUCCUUGAUCAUAGGUGUCGGGAGAGCCGCACCCAAAGUUCUUGGCUGCGAUUCAUCUAGGUUGCAUAACAUUUAGCUCUGGGGCUUUUGGAGCGUCGAUUCCGCUAACCGACUCCCGAAUAGACUCUGAACAUCGCCUGAUGCUUCAAAUGUUUCAGCCCUACACAAUCCCGAAACACCAUUUUAAGUGAGGGAUAGCGGCACAUAAGUUGCAUCAUUAUAGGUGCUGGCCACAAAACUUGCCCUCCAACAGAAAAACAUCGAUUUUGAUGUCGGAACCAGCUUUGCGCAAGUCUAGCUAGAAAAAGCUUCAGGAUUGACAUUGAUAGUCUGUCACGCCCCAAAACCGAUGAGUAACAGACGCUACAUACUUGCUAGAACAACAAAUAUGUAAGGCUACAGAACCUAACAAGAAUCAAACAAAAUGAUAAUCACAAAAAUUCACUAAAUUAUGCGAUACUGAGAAAAGAACAAAACAGAAAGAAAUAAAAUCAGAUGAUAAUCCACAGGAACCCACUUUACAUCUACCUAACUAUACAGACAAAAUAACAAAAGAAAGCAACUCAAACGACAAACUUCGACUAGCGUUCACUCAGUCUCGCCCUUGCUCGGUAGAAGAGUCUCGAAAUCUGGAUAAGCAACCAUACACCACAUUAGUAUGAUUAAGCAUGCAAAAUAGAAAAUUUUCUAAAUAAUCAAAUAUAAAUUUUCAUACUGAAAAUAUAAUAGUGAUGAUUGAGUUUUACAAACUUUUACAUAUUACGUUUCAGAAUUUAUGAAUCUUAAACAAGCAUGUUUUACAAAAGACUAAGAGAAAUAAGGUUUUAACAAAAACAUUCUUAUUUCAAGAAUUAGAAUUCGAAAUGAAAGUAUUCAGUAACUAGCUACUCAUUGGCUGAGGUCCUAAACACACAUUAGAGGCACCGAAGGCACGAUCACAAACCCGAAGAUGAAUCUAAAUAACAUGCGGAGGCUCAUCACAAAAUUGUACUUGAAGGCACGUCAAAAAAUUGCACUCGGAGGUGCACAAAAUCGAAGCUAGCUUCUAUCACAAAAUUCAUGCUGACAUGGCCAACAUCAUUGUAGCAACAAUUUGUAAUUUAUAUAAGCGUNCUGGUGGAAUUAUGCUUCCCUUUUGUUUUUAUUUUUCUAAAACUCAAAUUUUGAAUGGAGGACACUAGCACGAUAGAUUGUUAUGAAAUGACACAUUUAUGCCACUUGUUUGGCCAAAAAAGAUGAAAUUUUGUUAGUUUUUUUGUUUUUUCCUUGCUUUGCUCCUUUGUUUUUAAAAAAAGAAUAAGUUUGCUUAAGUGUCGUGGCAUGGGUUUGUGCCGAAAAUUUGUUAGUACGGCACGACACGGUGCGUGAUGGGUCAUGCCGAUGCGUACUGGUCGCGAAAAAUGCAUGUGUGCCGACACAUAAUGCCAUAAAAUAUUUAUUUUCUUUAGCAACAAAAUAUUCUAAAUUUCUAAUUGCUUAUUAUGUAUCAUUAUCAAAUCUUUUGAACUACUAAUUUAAAGAACAGAGGUUGAGUUGUGCCAUAGAUACGGUGGCGGUAUCGUGCCGAUAUCUUGUUCACACGAUAUGGCACAGGCAUACGACGUGUGCUGAUGGGCAUUUAAAUCCUUGAUCUUAGGUGUCGGGAGAGCCGCACCCAAAGUUCUUGGCUGCGAUUCAUAUAGGUUGCAUAACAUUUAGCUCUGGGGCUUUUGGAGCGUCGAUUCCGCUAACCGACUCCCGAAUAGACUCUGAACAUCGCCUGAUGCUUCAAAUGUUUCAGCCCUACACAAUCCCGAAACACCAUUUUAAGUGAGGGAUAGCGGCACAUAAGUUGCAUCAUUAUAGGUGCUGGCCACAAAACUUGCCCUCCAACAGAAAAACAUCGAUUUUGAUGUCGGAACCAGCUUUGCGCAAGUCUAGCUAGAAAAAGCUUCAGGAUUGACAUUGAUAGUCUGUCACGCCCCAAAACCGAUGAGUAACAGACGCUACAUACUUGCUAGAACAACAAAUAUGUAAGGCUACAGAACCUAACAAGAAUCAAACAAAAUGAUAAUCACAAAAAUUCACUAAAUUAUGCGAUACUGAGAAAAGAACAAAACAGAAAGAAAUAAAAUCAGAUGAUAAUCCACAGGAACCCACUUUACAUCUACCUAACUAUACAGACAAAAUAACAAAAGAAAGCAACUCAAACGACAAACUACAACUAGCGUUCACUUGGUCUCCCCCUUGCUCGGCAAAAGAGUCUUGAAACCUAGAUAAGCAACAAUACACCACAUUAGUAUGAUUAAGCAUGCAAAAUAGAAAAUUUUCUAAAUAAUCAAAUAUAAAUUUUCAUACUGAAAAUAUAAUAGUGAUGAUUGAGUUUUACAAACUUUUACAUAUUACGUUUCAGAAUUUAUGAAUCUUAAACAAGCAUGUUUUACAAAAGACUAAGAGAAAUAAAAUUUUAACAAAAGCAUUCUUAUUUCAAAAAUUAGAAUUUGAAACGAAAGUCUCCAAUAACUAGCGACCCGUUGGUUGAGGUCCUAGACACAUUAGAGACACCGAAGGCAUGAUCAUGAAGCGCAAGCACUCGAGAUGAAUCUAAAUAGCACCGGGAGGCGCAUCACAAAAUUGUACCCAAAUGCGUGUCACAAAAUUGCACUAGGAGAUGCAUCAAAAAUUCGAAGAUAGCUUCCAUCACAAAAUUCAUGUUGAUAUGGCCAACAUUGUUAUAACAAUAUACCAAGAUUUUAUCAAAUAAGUACAAUUUCUAAAGCACAUAUUUUUCUAAAAAUUACACAGCAGCCAAAUAAAAUUUUUUUAGUAGUUUUUAUCUUUCGACGAUUUGUAAUUUAUAUAAGCACGCUUAGUCCUUAUUUUGAAAAACUAUACAAAAAGUGCAUUUUGUUCGGUAACAUAUUUCAAUAAUUUUUAUGAAAAAUAAACUAACAGGCGUUAGGUCGCUUACCUCUAAUUAAUCCGAGUAUCUUUCGGUCAAACAUCGAGUAUCAAAUUAAUCAACGAAAUAUUUUUGAUGGCGAUGAAGGAAACAACGACGAACGAGGUGCCUUUGGCGAUCCAACGAUGUUGGCCCCAAACAAAAAGAUGCUGACGAAGAUCAAAGAGUGCGUUAUUGGCGGCGGUGGCUUUGCUGUCGAAAGACGAGAUUGAGGAUCGUGCAAGAAAAAGAGAGAUCGCGCGCAUGUGCGAAAGAUGUGCGUGCAUAUUAGGUUGAACCAGAGCAGGAGAAAGAACAACCGGUUGGGGAGAAAAAGAGAGAUUAUUAGCCUUUUUAUUAAUUAGGGUUGCAUAAUUGCACAUAAACCCCUAGACUUUUUAAGUUGAGUAAAAUAACUUUUUUAAGUUGAGUAAAAUAAGCCUCUUUUAUCAAAUAAAUAAGAAUAAAAAAAUUGGGUAUUACAUUUUCCUCCCAACAAAAAUUUCGCCCUCGAAAUUUUUACUGUCGAGCUAAAUGAGAAGUUUUAAGAACAAAAUAAUUCAUAUUCCAUUUUAAUAUAACUUCUGUCCUCGAAAUCCGAAUAGUUUGCUCAGACAGUUGAUAUGACAAUUACUCAUUUCGUCUUAUUGUUCUGAUAUUGAAGUUCACAUGACAAUCGCUAAUAAAAUUUUAUAAAAUAUAAUCUACCUGCUUAUCUCAUAUACAAAUAUAAAAAAAAUUAAGGCUAAAUUACAGAAAACCCCUUUGUCAAUACCCGCUUUUUCACUUUCCCCCCCUGUCAUUUAAAAACCUACACUUUGCCCCUUUGAAAAAUGAGAAAUGUUCACUUUGGCCCCCCGCCGUCAGUAUUCCGUUAGGGUUCCGUUUAUAUCCUAUUAUUAUAUAUUUUUAUACCCAAAAUACCCUCACCUCCCUGCCGCCUCCUUCCUCGCCGCCCUACACCGCCGCCUCGCCCUACACAGCCGCCUCGCCCUCCUCUGCCACCUCGCCCUUGCCUACUCCUCCAUUCGCGUCUACACACAUGCUCUCGUGCUCCUUCGCCCUCGCCCUCGCACGCCUCUUCGUCCAUGCCCACUCCGAUCUCUUCCCUAUCGUCGCCGAAAUGGAGCGGCAACACGAGUGCAGGAAGAGCGUGGGAGCAUGUGGAGGAAAAUGGAGUCGGAGCUGCGGUUGAGCGAGGCGCGAAGAACGGAAGAGGAGGGGCGACGACUGAGCGAGGUUGGGGGAGAAGACGAAGAUGGUGAGGGGCAUUUUGGUCAUUUUGUCACGGUGUACCCCCCUGUGAACAUUUUUUCAUUUUUCAAGGGGGCAAAGUGUAGCUUUUUAAAUAAUGGGGAAAAAGAGGUAUUGGAUAGGGAGGUUUUCUGUAAUUUAGCCAAAAAUUAAUAUCGAUCAUCGAAUUUUACAUUGUGCUUUUGCUGUGCACUCUAAUACUUAUCGAAUAUUAAUAUCGAAUAACUCUUUAACAAAAUAAUAAUUCGUAACAUUUUGCUAGAAUUCUACUGUAUGUAAUCUCACUCCAAUUCAAUAAAAAGAUUUUCAAAUCAAAUUCUGAUCCUCCAACUUAUAUUUCAUUCAAACAAAACAGUGGAAUAAUGUCUUCAAUACUCUUGCAUCAUUCUAUUAUCGUUUACAUAUAAAAUGCUUUCCUUAUCUCACAAAUAUUUGAAAUUCCAUCAGUACAUUUCCCUUCCUUUCAUGAUAUCAAAUUUUGGUCUCUAAACGUUUAGCAAGUCACUCAUAAUUAUCCUCUACUUUUGUUUUCUGCAAAUAUUAUGCUUAUGAAAUAAUUUUCAUGAACUUCAUACAAUAUAUAUGAGAUACCAUAGAGAUUACUAAUAGUUCCUAAGUCCUGAAUCACGAAACAAGUAAAUUAUAGUCUCAAUUGUAUCAUUCUGUGAUUGUAAAAUCAAACUUAACAAUAUAAUAUUCUAGAACUCAAUUAAAUUUUGGGCUGACUAGUUAAAAUCUAAUCAUAACAUAUCCAUCAUGAAAGGACAAGACAAGUACAAUCAUCACUAACAAAAUGCCAUAUGAAGGAAUUAAUCAUAACGGAAAGGCCUAACACAAUUCGAGACAAAUCAUUAGAAAGAUUAAUCUAAUUGCAACCACAAUAUAAAAUCACCCUAUUUCAUAGGUCAAUCAAGUUGACUAAGCUAAGGGUUUGAUCAAAAAAUAGAGCAACAAUAAUACAGAUAUAAUUAAUUUAUGAAAUGAAAUACCUUCUCACGUAUAUUAAAGAUUUGCAGUAAGACAGAAACAUGUGAAAAGGCACAACAUACUUUCUCAAUCACAUAAUCAAAGAAUAAAAUAUAGCACAUUGAAAAUCGAAUUCAUAGUGAGAAACUUUUUAAUGAAAUGAACUUUAUUGAAUACAGCACAAUGACAAGAUUCUUAGCUUAUGCAUUACAAUUGUGAAUCAAAAUAAAAAGAUUAGAACCUUAACUGGAUUAACCAUAGCUCAUGAUCAAACAAAUAACAAAGAUUAGCCAACAAAAUAAAGAAGAAGAAUACACAUAAGGUCAAAACUAUUACUAAGAUAGAAAUAAUGAAUUUCAAUCACGAUUACUUAUGAUAUCAGAAUAAAAAACAUAAUCAAAAUUCUAACCUUCCAAAACCAAACCUCUACCCCACUCGCACAUUCUUGCAUGUUCUAAGAUGAACCUUAUUAGUUAUUAUCCUAUUGAUCAAUUUUCUACAAUCCCUGUAAAUCUUAAACCUAAGCUCAGAUACCCUUUUUUUGUCACGCCCCAAAUCCGAGACGUAACAGGUGCCACAUACCUACUAGAACAACAAAUAUGUAAGGCUACAAAACCUAACAAGAAUCAGACAAAACGUUAGUCACAAAAAUUUACUAAAUUAUGUGGUACAGAGCAAAGAACAAAACAAAAAAAAAACAAUCAGAUGAUAAUUCACGGAAACCCCCUUUACAUCUACAUUACUACACAGACAAAAUAACAAAAGAAAGCAACUCAAACGACAAACUUCGACUAGCGUUCACUCAGUCUCGCCCUUGCUCGGUAGAAGAGUCUCGAAAUCUGGAUAAGCAACCAUACACCACAUUAGUAUGAUUAAGCAUGCAAAACAAAAAAUUUUCUAAAUAAUCAAAUAGAAAUCUUCAUACUGAAAAUAUAAUAGUGAUGACUGAUUUUCACAAACUUUUAGAAAUCACGUUUCAGAAUUUUGAGUCUUAAAGAAGCAUGUUUUACAAAAGACUAAGAGAAAUAAGGUUUUAACAAAAACAUUCUUAUUUCAAGAAUUAGAAUUCGAAAUGAAAGUAUUCAGUAACUAGCUACUCAUUGGCUGAGGUCCUAAACACACAUUAGAGGCACCGAAGGCACGAUCACAAACCCGAAGAUGAAUCUAAAUAACAUGCGGAGGCUCAUCACAAAAUUGUACUUGAAGGCACGUCAAAAAAUUGCACUCGGAGGUGCACAAAAUCGAAGCUAGCUUCUAUCACAAAAUUCAUGCUGACAUGGCCAACAUCAUUGUAGCAACAAUUUGUAAUUUAUAUAAGCGUGCUUAACCCUUAUUCUAAAAAACUACUUAAUAAGGGAUUUCCAUUUAUAACAAAUUUCUAUAAUUUUUAUUAAAAAUAAAUUAACAGGCGUUUUGUUGCUUACCUCUAAUUAAUUCGAGUAUCAUUCGGUCAAACAUCGCUAAUCAAAUUAAUCAUCGAAAUAUUUUUUAAGACGAUAAAGGAAAACAACGACGAACGAGGUGCCUUUUGAUGAUCCAACAAUGUCGACCCCAAACAAAAUGACGACGACGACGAUGAAAGAGUGCGACGUUGGCAGCAGUGUCGAAAGACAAGAUUGAGGAUUGUGUGAGAAAGAGAGAGAUUGUGCACGUGUGCGAAAGGUGUGGCGUAAAUAAGGUUGAACGAGAGAAGGAGAGAGAACGACGGGUUAGGGAGAAAAAGAGAGAUUAGGAGCCUUUUUAUUAAUUAGGGUUGUAUAAUUGCAUAUAAACCCAUAGACCAAGGAUUUAAGUCCUGUGGCACGGGGUCGUGCCGAAAACUUGUCGGCAUGAUGCAUGCUGAUGUGUGCCGGUCACAAAAAAUAUGUGUGUCGACAAGUAAUGGCAUGAAAUAUAUAUUUUUUUUAGCAACAAAAUAUGCCAAUUAUUUAUUAUGUAUUUUUAUUAAAUCUUUUGAAUUGCAUUGAGAAUAUUAGUUACUAAUUUCAAGAAUAGAGGAGUUUGAGUCGUGCCUUCGACACAGGGGCUGUAUCGUGCUGAUUUUUUACUGGUACGAUACGACACAGUGGAUACGGCCCGUGCCGAUAGGCACUUUGAUCCUUGCCAUAGAUUUUUUAAAUUGAGCAAAAUAAGCCGGCUUUAUCAAAUAAAUAAAAAUAAAAAUAAUUUGGUAUUACAUAGUCAAAACAACUUUCCGAAUCAUCGCUUCAGCCCUCAAACACAAGUUCGACACUAAACGAUAAGUUUAGGAUGCAGAAAGACCAAUUACUCGUGCUUAGGAUGUCGUUUUCGCUAAUCGGCGUUCGAAAUGACACUAAUAAUCGAUCCAUGUCACCGGCACAUCACUUUAGCCACAAGAGGUGACGAAAUGCACCAUCUUUGGCGUCGGGACAGCGUUAUGGAUAGACUGUCCAAAAUUAUUCAACUCAUAAAUUAUUUUUCUUCAUAUUAUAAUAUCGUAUUUCAUAUAAUUAUUUUGUACUUUGAACUAUUAGAUAUAUUUUUGUAUUAAAUUGUAGAUAAUGUUCUACACAAAUUAAACUAUUGAUCAUAUGAUGUUGAGAAUUUCAAACGGCUCGUUUAAGGCUCGAGCUCGCUCGACUCAAAAUUAAGCUCGCUCGAGCUCGACUCGAAUUAAUUCGGCUCGAAAUUAAUUUCAAGCCGAACUUGAGCCGAGAUAAGCUCGCUCGAGCUCGGCUCGUUUCCACCCCUGCGGAUAGUGCAUGGCAAUACAAGACAUGACCACAAGGCUUGGCUCCAAAUGAGGCUCCGAGGUCCUGGAUUGCGCUGAUUUUGGUGCCGAGACAGUACGUGCACACGAUGAGCCCUAAAGCUUUCGUCCUAGCAAAACGCGCCUACGAGGGCUCGACCAUGAAUACUUGGCUAGCAAGAAGGCCAAAUGUUUUCAUCCAGAUUCAACAUGUUCAACUCUCCUAUGAUGUCUAACGACACCCAAAACGCAACGAUGAAAACAACAACACUAAUUAUGUAAACACAUGCGACAAUGAAUCAAAUAGGGGAGUUGAGAUUAUUUACCUACGUCCAAGCCUUGGCUUCGACCUGAGGCGCGCAUAGGGAAUGUCGACGACUCUGGCUUUCGUCUCGGCCAUUCGAUGGUUCUGGCGCGUUGUUGUUGACCAAAGGAAGAAGAAAUUGCGGUGAUUGCGGAGCUUGGCCACGGUCGCACAAGACCGAGGGCAAAGGAAAGAUCGGCUUGAGGAGGUGAGCACUCGGUUGCACCCGUGGGUGCUAGCUGCCGUCGUGGAGGAGGAGAGCCGUUUGUCAUGGACAUAGAAAUUUUGCUCGCAAAGCCCGUGCGGCACCCACCUUUCUUCGCAUAGAUGGACAAGCCUUGCUCCCUGUUGCUAGUCUGGACCUUUCCGUCCUACGACUAAGUAUGCAAAUGAAAGAAAAGAGAGGGAUAGAGGUUAUCCAAAAAAAAAACUAAGUACUCUCAAUUAUUUAGAAAAGGAGGAUUACAACACACUCUCUCUCUUAUGUGCUUUGGCCUUAGCCAUUCCCACAAUUUAUAGGCCUAAGAUACAAUAAAUUUAGUCUACCAUAACUCAUCUGCUAACUCACCCAUUAAUACAUAGUAAUGUGCCCUCAUGAAUACAAAGCCCAAGAGUUUUCUAUGACUCUUGGCAGUUUUUCAAGACAUAAUGGUAGCAGUUUUGUAACCUUUCUUCUCCGAUAGAAGGGCUGGAAUCGGGUCUCAUUGACAACCUGUUUCAGCUUGCAGAGUUGGGCAAGGGACUAUGCUGCGCAGAAAUUUUUCUAAGUCCCUGACACGUCGAUGACCUAGGCUAUUGGCAAUUGUCGACACCUGUCUCUAAAAGACCCAGCAUGCCUGUCACUAAGUGACAUAGGCUGUCACGCCACGAGUUUGUAGCGGAAGGCUACGGGGCGCUAACAGACCCGCCGAACGGACAGAGUUUUUCCUAUCCGAACGAAGUGGCAACAUAACUAAACAAUCAUGAAGUAAUACAAGGGGUUAUCCCGAAUAUUUUUCACAUUGCAAGAACCAAAAGGAACUAUUAAGGAACCAAACGAUAUGUAUUAGAGCACUAUAUACAAGCUGAUCCACUGUUCAUAGGAUAGUAACAUCAUAUAAAACUCAAAUCCCAAAAACUAAGUACAAAUAGAUGGGCCUGGCCCUCGCCAGUCCAAAAGGUGGUUCAGUGUAGCUCUCUAUUUGGUAGUCCACUACAGUCUAAGAAUGAUAGUAGGAGAUGCUAUCUACAGCGUGAUCCCCUUAUCUCGAUUAGUGGAUGGUGCACCUAUCUUUAGAAAGCAAACCACAAGAGGGUAUGAGAACUACUAAUAGCAGUUCCCAGUGGGUACGGUCGGCGACAACAACGACCUUCCCACUAGGUCUCAUUGAACACGAUUAAGUGAAAGAGCGGUAAAGAGUAAUAUAGAACAAGGACUGAAGCAUGAUAUAACCAAAGUAAACUUUUAAGCAAAAAGGUAAAUGAACUAUUCUAUGUGCAUGGAAACAACAUGAACUAUUCCAACUGUAUGUAAUAGUCUAUGCAUCUAGAAAGCAAAUGCAAGUAGUAUUUUAUUUUUAUGCAUAUGAUGAACAGGAAAAUAAACACUCAACUACAUGUCAUAUUCUAUUUCUUUGUAUCUUCUCUGUUAUGCAUAACCAUUCUAAAUACGCCAUCUAUGCAUGUGAGUGAAGAAAUACUGUCAAGAUACCCAAUCGCAACGACCGACUCAUAGGUCCGGUCAAGUCUGCACACGCCUAGUGUGCAGACACACUCCCGCAGGUUUGACGGCGACUCCUAGGCUACUGUCUCUGCUAUCACUGGCCAGCAUCCGGAGCGGGACUCGAGGGGAGUGACCCUUACCGAGUAUUGUAGCGUGUAAUAUUGUCAUGCUCAAGGUGGCAUCUGCAGGCUAUAGUCCAUGUGAUGGUCAAAGAGUCACAAGAAACUACCCAAUGGUCUCAACUCCAUAAAAUGUCCAAAGGAUCAAGCCACACAUGUCUCACGAGUCCUUGACCUCUAACAUGCAACUCAUGGCAUGCACAAUGCAAAGAAAAGGAAAUAUCUCAUGUCCAUACAUAAAAGGUCUAUAUAGGAUGAUCAAUGCUUUGUAAUUCAUGCAUGUAUGUACAUGUAAGGUAUAGGUUGUCAAAAUAGACAUAGAAAGAAAUUCGCCGUUUUCGGCGACUCGGAACCCACCUCAACUAGCUAGAUCGGCUAUGGCAAGGACUCCACCGUUCACGUACUUCUCCCUAGCUCACAACGAAACCACUAAACAAGGCAAGAAUUUCCAUAAUUAAUACAUAACAUCGGAUUUCUAAUUUACCCCGAUUCGCCUGAAUUGAACGCAAAAUACCCUCUAAUUAGAUGAGCCCAACGCUAUUCGCGAAUUUCUAUACGCCUCUUUUUAAUUGGUGAAUACCAAUUUCAAAGUUCGAGGCGCGAAUUGCACCAAAAAAUCUCACCAUGUCAUCCUUUGUUUUUCUCCCUCUUUUUUCUUUCUAUUUCUUUCUAUUUCUCUCUUUUUCUCCCCUCCCUCUCUCUCUCUCUCUUUCUUUUUUUUUUUUUACAGUCCCUGAAUCUUUUUAAGGAUACGUCGGGCCAGGGACCGGGUUUAGACGAAUCGCUCAAGCCCAACUUCUGCCCAGCUUAGCCCAACCGUUCAUCUGGGUUUGGGUUGGGCGACACCCUUUGAGUUCCCAGUACUUUGAGUACCCUCAAUACCCACUGAGAACUCGAAAACCGUAAAUACUCCCGAGUAAUACAUCCGAGUAAUACAUACAUUAUUACCUACUCAAUACACCAUCACCCACUCAACUUUUCCGUGGAAACCCGGAUAUUUAUCACCCCAACCGAUUCCGGUACUGUGUGUUCUCUCUCACACAAACAUACGACAAACAUCCAACAUUAAGAGUAAAGAUUCAUCACAUCAUGAAUCAAAAAACUCUCUUGGAGACGGAGAAAGAGAAACAGUAAAGGGAAACGUAUGAAUCAGCAUCCUGCGCUUCCAGGCCCGAUCGUUGUCCCUGUUUCCGAACAGGUAGAAGCUCGUCCUUUCCACCCGCGGCGUGCCCGAAACGCUUGUUUUUGCGAUUCAGGCACUGUGGGACGACGUCCCCGUCGUAUACUUUGUUUGGGGUUUUUUUUUUUCUUUUUUUUCUUUUUUUUUUCUCUCUCUUCCCUUCGNNNNNNNNNNNNNNNNNNNNNNNNNNNNNNNNNNNNNNNNNNNNNNNNNNNNNNNNNNNNNNNNNNNNNNNNNNNNNNNNNNNNNNNNNNNNNNNNNNNNNNNNNNNNNNNNNNNNNNNNNNNNNNNNNNNNNNNNNNNNNNNNNNNNNNNNNNNNNNNNNNNNNNNNNNNNNNNNNNNNNNNNNNNNNNNNNNNNNNNNNNNNNNNNNNNNNNNNNNNNNNNNNNNNNNNNNNNNNNNNNNNNNNNNNNNNNNNNNNNNNNNNNNNNNNNNNNNNNNNNNNNNNNNNNNNNNNNNNNNNNNNNNNNNNNNNNNNNNNNNNNNNNNNNNNNNNNNNNNNNNNNNNNNNNNNNNNNNNNNNNNNNNNNNNNNNNNNNNNNNNNNNNNNNNNNNNNNNNNNNNNNNNNNNNNNNNNNNNNNNNNNNNNNNNNNNNNNNNNNNNNNNNNNNNNNNNNNNNNNNNNNNNNNNNNNNNNNNNNNNNNNNNNNNNNNNNNNNNNNNNNNNNNNNNNNNNNNNNNNNNNNNNNNNNNNNNNNNNNNNNNNNNNNNNNNNNNNNNNNNNNNNNNNNNNNNNNNNNNNNNNNNNNNNNNNNNNNNNNNNNNNNNNNNNNNNNNNNNNNNNNNNNNNNNNNNNNNNNNNNNNNNNNNNNNNNNNNNNNNNNNNNNNNNNNNNNNNNNNNNNNNNNNNNNNNNNNNNNNNNNNNNNNNNNNNNNNNNNNNNNNNNNNNNNNNNNNNNNNNNNNNNNNNNNNNNNNNNNNNNNNNNNNNNNNNNNNNNNNNNNNNNNNNNNNNNNNNNNNNNNNNNNNNNNNNNNNNNNNNNNNNNNNNNNNNNNNNNNNNNNNNNNNNNNNNNNNNNNNNNNNNNNNNNNNNNNNNNNNNNNNNNNNNNNNNNNNNNNNNNNNNNNNNNNNNNNNNNNNNNNNNNNNNNNNNNNNNNNNNNNNNNNNNNNNNNNNNNNNNNNNNNNNNNNNNNNNNNNNNNNNNNNNNNNNNNNNNNNNNNNNNNNNNNNNNNNNNNNNNNNNNNNNNNNNNNNNNNNNNNNNNNNNNNNNNNNNNNNNNNNNNNNNNNNNNNNNNNNNNNNNNNNNNNNNNNNNNNNNNNNNNNNNNNNNNNNNNNNNNNNNNNNNNNNNNNNNNNNNNNNNNNNNNNNNNNNNNNNNNNNNNNNNNNNNNNNNNNNNNNNNNNNNNNNNNNNNNNNNNNNNNNNNNNNNNNNNNNNNNNNNNNNNNNNNNNNNNNNNNNNNNNNNNNNNNNNNNNNNNNNNNNNNNNNNNNNNNNNNNNNNNNNNNNNNNNNNNNNNNNNNNNNNNNNNNNNNNNNNNNNNNNNNNNNNNNNNNNNNNNNNNNNNNNNNNNNNNNNNNNNNNNNNNNNNNNNNNNNNNNNNNNNNNNNNNNNNNNNNNNNNNNNNNNNNNNNNNNNNNNNNNNNNNNNNNNNNNNNNNNNNNNNNNNNNNNNNNNNNNNNNNNNNNNNNNNNNNNNNNNNNNNNNNNNNNNNNNNNNNNNNNNNNNNNNNNNNNNNNNNNNNNNNNNNNNNNNNNNNNNNNNNNNNNNNNNNNNNNNNNNNNNNNNNNNNNNNNNNNNNNNNNNNNNNNNNNNNNNNNNNNNNNNNNNNNNNNNNNNNNNNNNNNNNNNNNNNNNNNNNNNNNNNNNNNNNNNNNNNNNNNNNNNNNNNNNNNNNNNNNNNNNNNNNNNNNNNNNNNNNNNNNNNNNNNNNNNNNNNNNNNNNNNNNNNNNNNNNNNNNNNNNNNNNNNNNNNNNNNNNNNNNNNNNNNNNNNNNNNNNNNNNNNNNNNNNNNNNNNNNNNNNNNNNNNNNNNNNNNNNNNNNNNNNNNNNNNNNNNNNNNNNNNNNNNNNNNNNNNNNNNNNNNNNNNNNNNNNNNNNNNNNNNNNNNNNNNNNNNNNNNNNNNNNNNNNNNNNNNNNNNNNNNNNNNNNNNNNNNNNNNNNNNNNNNNNNNNNNNNNNNNNNNNNNNNNNNNNNNNNNNNNNNNNNNNNNNNNNNNNNNNNNNNNNNNNNNNNNNNNNNNNNNNNNNNNNNNNNNNNNNNNNNNNNNNNUUGGAGCUUUUUGAGUUCGCUUCGAAUGUCCCAUGGCAUGUCAGUAGCGACGCUUUCCUCCGAUGCUGUGGACAUCUUCGUUAAAUGAGUUAAAAGGUAUCCGCCAUCUCGGAUGCUACCUUCACCCAUUUUCGCAUGAUUGGUCCUUCCAACAGCCACAAGGCGGGUCCCUCAACGAGCCCGAUCUUGUGAUUCGCUGUUAGGGUCUUUGCUUUUUGCUUCGUUUGAGGGGCUGUUUGGAGGGUCCCAACGUCGACGAUUCCCGCAUCGGAUGACGACAUGGGUUCCUCAACUCUAACGGCCUCUUAUACAAACUGUCACGAGACUUAGGUUUUUUCGGCCAAAGCCCUGCUGCGUGCGCCCACCUUUCUUGCAAUCGAAGAGGACAAGCCUUGCCGUGUCCCUGUGCUAGCCCGGACCUUCGCCGCUCUACGGACUAAUAUGCAAAGGGAACAUGACAAAAAGAGGCAGAGGUUCUCUCAAAAAACUAAGUACUACACUACUUAGAAAUGAGAAUUACAACCUACAAACAGCAUACAAACACACUCUCUCUUGUGUGUCAUGGCCUUAGCCAACCCCACUAUUUAUAGGCCAAAAGGUGCCUUUUCAACUCACCCACUACCACAUAACUCAUCCAUUAUUACAUACAUAAUGAGCCUACAUAAUGAGCCCUCAUAAAUGCCAAAAGCUCAAGAGUCACCCAUAACUCCCAUGAGUUUCAUGACCCUUGAGUUUCCCACAGCGGGUUGGGUUUGGGUCUACUUGCCAACCCGAUUCGACCCGUCUUCAACCCGAACUCGCUAAGCAGAUUUGGGCCAGGGACCGGGCUGCAUAGGAAUUUUUCUAAGUCCCUGACAAGGGGCUGCCUGCAGCAGCAGCAGCUUGCUGCUGCUGCUGCUGCUGCAGCACAGCCAACAGCAGCUGAUGCUGCAGCCAGCGGCCAGCAGAGAGAGAGAGUGAGGGAGAGAGAGAAAAAGAAGGAAAGAGAGAAAGAGGAAAGAAAAAAAAAAGAAAACUUAUGCACGAUUUCAUGCUGAAAACAAUCUCUAAAACCCUUUUUCAUCAACUUCUUCUUCUUCUCCUUUCCUUUCUCUUCUUCUCUUUUUCCUCCUCUCCUACAAGCAAGCUGAGAGAAGAGAAGAGAUAAAGAUGAAGGCUCUUAGUGGAAUUCCACUAAGUUGCCAAUAUGCAACUUAGCCCACAACUUAAUAUAUUAGCGUUGUAAUCCCCCGUAGUAAGAAAUUUGACCUUAUUCAUUCGUUUUCGUGUCAAUUUUGUGCUAAAAUGUUUUCACCUUAUUGAAGCUCUGCACUCGCGCUGAUAGGCAUCAUACACUGCGUCCAUUGGGCAAAAUCAGUAUUCUACAUAGGCCGUAGACACUGAAGCAUGACAAUUCCCUUGAGAGGCUCACCACCUUCAGGUGGCAUUGGAAAGCAUGACAAAUCCCUUGAUAAAUCAAUGAGGGACAAAAUCGUCAAUCUCACGCAAGAAUUGACAAUGUACAGAAAAAUUGUAUAAUAUCUCUCACAUUCAGUAUUGAUUUGCGCGACUCAGGUGGCAUUGGAAAGCUUAUUCAAUAAGGAAUCCGUUGAGCAUAUAUUUGAAUGGUAAAUAAUGAAACAUGUUUUCUCAAAAUAUCAGAACUUCUCAACCUUAGUUUAAUCCAACUAGUAGGAUUCCUAAAAUAGAUAAGAUCAAAAUUCGAAAAAUCUUAAAUUCAUAAAAUCAUGAUAAAAUUUCCUUGCUGGAACUCAAAAUCAAAAUUGUUAUCAUACCUGGAAUCAGGGACGAAGCUAGGAUUCAAUCUUGAGGGGGGCCAAAAUAUAUUUAAAUAAAAACUUUAGUAAUAAAUAAUAAACAAAAUUUUUCCUAAUUAAAAAAUUUUUAUUAAAAAAUUAUUAAUUAAAUAAAUAAUGUAAAAGUAUGAACUUUAUUUUUUUUUUCAGAAUGUUAAACUUCUAAUUAUUUUAUUUAUAUUAUUACAUUAAAAUAACUUAGAAAUUUUACUAAAUCUAAGAGUAAUUUUUAGUUUUUAGUAAAUAAAAUUAACAUAGCUAUUAAAUUUAGUACAAUUCUUGAUUUAGUCAAUAAAAGAGCGACCUAAGAUAAAUAAAAGUUUUAAAAAUUAUAAUAAAAUUUUAGAGUAGAGAAAUUAUUCAAAAGACUCUGUAAGCAAGAAGAUUUUAAUAUAUUUUCACCCAUAAAAAGAGUAUAUCGAUUAGGAGAAAAAGAGAGAGUUAUGUUGCCACCAUACUAUUAAGUAAAUUGAAAAACUAGGGGGCCAAAUCUAUCCAUGGUACACCAAAAAAAAACUUUGAAGGACCAUUAAGCAAAAUAUUGAAAAGUUGAGAGGGGCCAUGGCACCUUGGGCUUCACAUAGCUUCGUCCAUGCCUGGAAUCACAUUAUUUAUGAUCUAAAUAUUGCACCAUAUCUAUAAGCUUGUCAAAAUUCAAAAGCAAAAUUUAUACUGCAUUGAACAUUAACUAAAAUCCAUAUAAUAAAAUAAUAGAAGUGAUGGCUAGGGGUAUUUCGUACUUCCCUGCUUCUCACAUAGUAAAGUUGUUCUAGAUGUUAGGACAAAUGAGCCACUUCGUUGAAAAUGCAUUAUCCAAAUAUGGGGCAAUAAACAUGGCUAUAACUACUCUAAGAGGCAUAUCAGCAUUGAGCGGCAUAGCUUGACAGCUCAGUAUGCAGACACAAAGCAAGCUGGGCCUUAUAUUUUUCUGGUAAGCUAUUGAUUUGCAUCUUCGCUGACCGGGUAGAUAGAACAUCCAUUCCUAGGCUUGAUGGUGGAAUCCUUCAAUAUGUUGAUUGUUAUGAAUUCUCUAGUUUUAUUUGAUUAUUUUCUUUGCAUUGCAAAAAAUCUCCUCGCGAUGGCUAGAUUUGUGUAACAUUUGUCUAAAUCUCUGUUUUUUCAGGUUGAUUGUGUCUUGCCAGUUUUGGACGUGCACUUUCUCCUGAAGACCUAUAUAUAAAUGUAUCAUGGGAGCCUGUGGCAUCUUGAAAAGAAAUGAUGAACCAGCUGGAAUCAAUGUUUUCCAUGUAACUAAGAUUGAUGUACCCACGAAGCUACCCUCUUUUAACUUUUCUGUUGCUUUCAGAUUAGACAAGUUGAUUUUUGAUGUUGAUCUUGAAGAUAAUGCUGAGGGAAGUUCAGUUGUCUCCCUUGUCAUCGGAGAUAUGGACAUCAGGUUUGUUAUUUUGCCGAACUCACUUGUAACUCAUUUCUUUUUUAUAUUGGAGUAUGCGUGUAAUAAUAUAUUGCAAAAGCAGGUAUCACAUAUGGAAAUUUACAGAAUUAUGGAUCCUUGCAAAGAUGUUAAAACUUGAUGCUUCUAAUUUGAAGGCUGUACCGAAGUUUAACAUCUUAUGCCUAUCAACAAAUAGCAUGGACAGCAAGCUCCCGCAUACAAAUGUUGAUUAUGCAGGGGAUGCAUGGCCUUCGUCUCCCGAAUGUUGCUUAAAGUUGCACUACCAGGCAAAAGAGGAUGCAUCUAAUGUUCACCAUUAUUAUGAGCUGAGAUUAUGCAAUAUCCAUUUUCAUGUACAUCCUGAAAUAGUUGGUCAAUUUCUGAAUUUUUUUGAUAAAAUCAACUCAGUAUCUCCUUCAUUAGGUAGUGAUGGUUGGGAGUCCUUUAUAGUGAAACAAAAUAGUAAGGACUCUGAAAUAGCUGGUGUCCAGCUUUCUAGAUUUGGCUUCUCCAAAUUUGUUGGUACUGAUGAUUCUCUAUUUGCUGGAAUUCCUCUUGAUCAGUUUCCUUUUCUGGGUAUGGAGGAAAGAGAAUGUCCAAGAACUUUAAAUUCAAAUUUUAGCAACAGACCAGGAAUUGUUAACAAUUCGAAAUUGAGAUCUUUGCAUAAUAGCAACGCUGUAACGCUGGAUCUUUCUCUCAAUGGAUUUCGAGUACAUUUCCAUGAUUCCUCCGGCAUUGUAGGGACGAUAACUUUUCCUGCCUCUGUAUCAUCACUUUCAUUUGCAAGUUCUGAUAUUUGGGACUUACUCUUUUCAUCUCAAGGGAUAAUGCUUAUGUCAUUUUGUUCUUCCACAAAUAUCCAUGAACUUCUCUUGGGGCCAUCUUCACCAAGUAAUACUUCGAUACUGAACAUUCGUGCCAGAAAGAAAACGUCUGAUGCAUUAUUUCCUUCCGCUGAAGUAAAUAUCAGUAUUCAGAAUGUUGGCUGCAUAUUAUCAUCCAAGUUUCUUGCUAUGGUGGUUGGGUAUUUUUCCUUGCCUGAUUGGGGCUCUGGUAGAAAUGAUCAUCAUAAUAAUGGAACUAACGAAUUUCAGAAACCUCAGACUGCAAAUACUGAUAUCUCAUACAAAUUUGAGAUAGUUGAUACCAGUCUUAUUUUACCUGUGGAACAUAGUCGGAAUGACUGCCUGAAACUGGAGCUUCCCCAUUUAUUCUGCAAUUUCAUCCCAUUUAGUAGCUCUGCAGAAGCUGCUAAGGACAUUCCUUCACAUAGCUUGAUUUCCGACUGUUCAUUUUCUGAUAAAGUUGACAUUGUUGAUCUAUUUGGAAGGAGUAUGUCUUUAUCUCUUUUGCUAAUUACUGAUCGAACUGAUUUCCUGAUGACACUUGAUGAUUACAUGUCUAUUGGAACUUUGCCCCUUAUUGAAAAGCUUGAUGCUGAUAUCUGGAUUCGAGUACCUAGUAAUACAAUGAUUUCUUCUGAACAAACUACUUUGCCGACUUCCAUUAUGGUCAAAACAGAGAGUUGCCACUUGAUUGUUGAAGGUAUAAACGCUCUCCAUCAACUGCUUUUCGAACUUAUAUUGCACUUGUAAUAAGUAGCUUUAUCGCACUGUUGCUCUCUUGUGCAGAUUUAUGUUUCUUACCUGGAAUUCAGGUCCUCGUUCAUGUUAUUGAUCAGUUAUCCUCUGUAAGUAAAGAAUCUAAAAUGUACAAAUCUGACACAUUGCAAUAUUUGCAACUUAAGAGAAACAUUAUUAAUAUGGAAAAUGCCGGUUCUGCUGAAAUAUCCAGUGAAUCCUUUAUCACCGUAAAAAUUUGUGCCAAGGAAGUCUCAAUGUUGUUCUCUCACUCAAGGAACCAGGAAUCAACUUCACCAUUGCAGGUUGCCAGUGCUCACAUCGAAUUCAAUUUAUCUGCUGUAAUAAUAAAUGAUGCUGCAGAUUGUCUUGAUGUCACUAUCUCCUCUCUGGUUCUGCAGUCAUUUCACACCAGAAAUACAUUAUUAUCAUUCACGUCUGAUAGUUCAAGCUCUUUGCAUAUACAUUUCAACUUCUCUAGGCACACCACAGGAGGAAAUGAAGUUACAGUUGCUCUACCAUAUCUUGACGUUUGGUUAUAUUUAAUUGAUUGGAGGAAUCUCAUCAAUCUUCUCUCCUCAUGUACAAUCCAAACAGAGAGUGCAUUAAGCUCAUCUAUGGAAAAUCCACAAUCUCUGCCUAAUGAAUUGGAUUCUCCGAUGUCACCUUGUUCUGCAUCUGAAUUCAUUAUAAAGGAUGAUCCUAAGUUGUCUGUUAGAUCUGAUAACUUUACUCUUUCAUUGCAUUUACCUCUCUGGGAGAUGGAAGGAGAUGAUUCCGAGCUUUCUAAGAAUGAAGUGCCGCAAUUAUAUUCUGGCGAGCAGUCUGAUUAUCCCUUUACUCGUCGUUUUCCUUCCCUUGAAUCAAAACACAAUAAGUAUGUAAAAUUUACUAUUCAGAGUAAAUAUUGUGGUGUGGCUAUAGGUGAGAGCUAUGCAGAGUUGAGAUCUAAUUUGGACAAGGUGAAGGUAAUGCUGCAAGUGAUUCAAUAUGAGAAGGAUGUUAUCUCGAUUCCUUUUAUACAAGUGUCACAAGUGAAAUUGGGACUUAACUCACACAGAAAAGAAGACUUAGUACACCUUAGUUCUGAAAUACAUGCGGAAUUGUUGGAUGUUGGCGUCUCGCAUAAAAUUUUAAGUUUCUGGAAUGGUACUAGUCUGAAAUUUCCUGAAGCAGCACCAUCUUCCUCUCUCGUCUAUCAUUGCAUGACACUUGAAGUUCACUUAGGAAAAGGUUCUAUAUUAUUAAGUGAUGGAAAGGUAUGCUAUUUUAACACUCCUGUUGCCUCUACUUUUACAUAUGUUUCACAUUUACGGUUGCACUUAUUGAUUCAAUUUUUAUGCUUUUUAAUUAAGUGGAAGCGGUUUAUCGUUAAUGUGAUCCGUCUCUAAGUUAUCGUUGCUUCUAGUUCUUCAGGAAUUCAUGGUAUUGACUAGUUUGUAGGAAUUGGUGCUUAUGUCUUUUACUUAUCUGAAACAAAGAUGGAACUAUGAAGGCUUGUUUCUGGUCAUAUUUUCAGUUUGAUCCAACUGUUCUCAACAAGCGUUUUCAAUGGUUUUGGGUUUGUACUUCUCUGUUUUGUUUCUGACCAGGAAAGUCGUAAAGAGGUUAUGUAAAAUCAGAAGGUUAUAGAAGGUUAGGAUCUAUCCUUUACUGUAAUGCAAGGAUUAGAGUGUCGUGGCACGAGGGGAUGUCGGUUGUCGCCUGGCACGGUACGGCACAGGCAUGCCUCUGUGCCGACACGUGGCACGCUUGCGUGUCAAUGGAUAUGCAUAACUUUCUAGUGGUGCGCUUUGUCAUAUUUUUUUAGUUUUUUUGCUCUCAAUAAACUCUUAUAAUGCUAUUUUGAAAGAUUUAGAAAAAUAAUUAUAAAUAUUGGCUAUAUAUAGCUUACUACACUCGGCAAUUAAGGUAGGCUUUUUAUAUAUGGAAGGUAAAUAUGACAAUAGCUCAUAGAGAAUAAAAAUUAAAAAUCGAUUAACUUCUAAAAUUCUUUUGAUUUUAUCUUUUUCUCAAAACUUAGAAAAUUAUAAAGGCUAAAUUACAGAAAACCCUUCCCGUCAAAACUCGAUUUUUCACUUUCCCCCCGUCAUUUAAAAACCUACACUUUGCCCCUUGUAAAAUGAAAAAUGUGCAUUUCACCCCCUACCGUUAUUGAUCCGUUAGGGUUCCGUUAUAAAAUAUCUUUUUAUGCCAAAAAUACCCCUCCGCCCGCUUCCCUGUUGCUUCGCCUCCCUCCGGCUCGCCGCUUCGCCGCCACCUCGUCUCCUCCACUGCCUCGCCCUCGCCCUCGCCCUCGCCCAUAUCCCCUUCGUCCUCCUCCGCUGCCUCGCCUUUGCCCUCAUUGCCCUUGCCUACCUCUCCAUCAGCGCCCACCUCGAUUUCCUCCCUACUGUCGCCGAAAUCGAGUGGCGGCGAGGGUGCAGAAGGAGAAGGGGAGCAGGUGGAGAAGAAAAUGGAGAGAAAUCGCGGCCGAUCGAGGUGUGAAUCGCGGCGGUUGAGGAAGAUGAGGGAGGAGACGAAAAUGGUGAGGGGCAAAAUGGUCAUUUUACACACCGUACCCCCUCUGUGAAUAUUUUUUAUUUUACAAGGGGGCAAAGUGUAGGUUUUUAAAUGACAGGGGAGAAAAGUGAAAAAUCGAAUUUUGAUAGGGGGGUUAAUGUAAUUUUGCCAAUUAUAAAAUACAACUUUAGAGAAAAUUAUUUUUUCUUAAAAUUAUUAUGGACUUUGCAAGAUUUUUGCAAGAUUCAUCCAUAUUGAUUAGAUGAGAGACCAUAUGAUGAAUAGAUUAACUAGAAUUGCACUUCAAUUGCUCCAAUAUUUUUUUUUAAUUUUGAAUCUUUUUAAAAUAUUUAUUAAAAAUGUGAAGAGAAAAUAAUUUUUUAUUAAAAUUUUUAAGAAGUAUUGUGAGAUCAAAAUAGAAUUUUCGAAGUUAAAAAAAUUUUUGUCAUAAAUCUCAUAGCCAAUGCUGGAUUAUCCAAAAUAAUUAAAAGGCUAAAUUACAGAAACCUUCCUGUAAAUGUAACGACCCGACUUACUAGCAAUAAUAACUCAUUCGGCCCACACCACUAGCUCAAAAGAAUUUUUUUUAUAAAUAAUCCUAUCAAUUUUUAUAAUUGUAAAAAUAGUUUUUUUUAAAAAAUAAUUAUAAAAAUGGACCUCUAAAUGCCGUGAAGAAUGCGGUGAAUGAUUCACCGCAUUCAUAACUUCCUUUUAGGAGUAGAAAAAAAAUAAAAACGGUGAACCAUUCACCGCUUUUACCAUCGUAGAAAUGUAGAAAAAAGUAAAAAAAGAAAGAAAGCGGUGAAUAGUUCACCGCUUUUAAAAACGGUGAACCAUUCACCGCUUUUAUAGGACCAUAUUUACAAAUAAAAAUUUAACAGGUCUAUUUUUAGAAUAAAAUUUUAAGAGAAGACUAUUGCACUAAAAAACCCAGCUCAAAAUGCUUAGGCCCAGUUAUUAUUACUAGGGUGGAGUCUUUUUAUAUACCAAAUGACAACCCCAUUUUCAUUCGAUGUUGGACUAUUGGUGUCACGCCCCGGGACCCGGGGUAGGCCCGCCCGGUGCGUGCCCAGACCCACCCGGUGCGUGCCCAGACCCGCCAUAUGCCUGCACAUAUAAAGCGUCUACUACAAUAGUGAAUAAAAGAACAAGAAGUACAGAGUAUCUAGAGAUAUCAGAGCAAUUGUACAGCUAGAUUCUAUCAACAAGUAGAGUCAAAAGAGAACUAGUCCACUAAAGCAUAAUGCAAACUAAUACAUUAUGAAACUCAAGAUACAAAAGUAGGGUAGUCUCUAUAACAAGGUACAAAACUCUCACAACCUCUCCAAAAGAAAACAAAAAAGAGGUGGACCACCUAUCGCCAAAUCCCUCGAUAGCUAGCUCGAGGCGAAACUUUUUCCGCGAUCUCGAGCCUCUCUCGGAGUGGAAGGUUCUGAAAGAAAACAUAAAAUAGGGGGGCGUGAGAACUAUAAUUUAUAGUUCCCAGUGGGCAAUUACUGACUUGCACCAAAUGCACUACUAGGCCCAAAACAUAAGCAGAUAUGGAUAACGGAAAUUAACUGCGGUAAAUGAAGCAUAUAAUAAAUGUUACUCUACUAGGCCACAAGUAUUCAGAAUGUCAACAUGGAGUACAUCUACUCUACAUGAUCCAAUAUGCCGAUACAUAAACAAAUAUGCUAUGAUGCAACAAGUAAUACUAUCAAGUAUUCUACAUGUCCCGAAGCCCAAUAAUCAAACUACUCUAUGCUAUCAAGUAGUGAUUAUCACUUAUUGUUUACUAUUCUAGUCAAUGUCCACAUGUCCCAUAACAAGUACUAAUCUGAAUACAAGGUGGUCUCUCUAUACAUGGUGCAAAAAAAUCUCUCCCUCUCUCUAACACAAACAAAAGGAGAAGUAACCCCUAUAGCAAAACGGACUCUCUCCGAGCUAGCUACGCGACACCCUUGCCGCGAUCCCGUGCCUCCGCCGGUGUCGAAGGCUCUGAAAGGAAAACAUAGAAACAGGGGCGUGAGAACUAUUGAUUAAUAGUUCCCAGUAGGCAAUUACUGACUUCAGUGAAAUGCGCCACUAGGCCCAAAACUACAAAAAAGGGGGUCAGUGUGUAAGCAUAAACAAAAGCGAUAAAUACAACGGGUAAGUAAAGAUGAAUACUACUCAACCAGUAUGUCGCUACUUAGCAUGAUUUGCAUAAGUAAUAAAACAACUACCAUAGGUAUGUAUAUGAGAGUAACCAAUAUGUAAAUGCAUGAGUAUGCAACUAUCCCAAUGUCCACAAUGUGAAUAGCAAUAAUAUCAAUGUUCACUAUUCUAGUCAAUGUCCAUUUGUCACCUUAACUGUUUUAUGUUCCACUCUGAUAAGACCCACCCGAAGGUUGUCUGGCAUAAGACCCACCCGAAGGCUGUCUGGCUUUACCGUGCCUAAUGGCCCCGUGGUAGUCAACAUCCCCACUCUAGGAAUGAACUUUUCCUACGGCAAUCCACUUCGGCGCCCAAUCCCGCACGACGAACGUAUCGCGAUGGCCAACUCCGGAGUGCCGGCUUGUAGGGAGCGACCCUCACAAGCAUGUGCGAAUGAGCACAAUGGCAAGCAUGCGUAUUAGUCUGUCUCAAGCCUCAAGUCCUCAUGUCUAAGAACAUAGAAUAUAUCGAAUGUCACAAAGGCCCAUCACUAUGUCGUCAUGUCUCUAACAUGGAAUGUAGUCGAUGUCCAAUGGCCUAUCACUAUGCCUCUAUGUUGCAUUUUCAUAGUUUUCUAGUUUCAAGUGCCCCUUUAUGACACUAUUGUUCAAUGAGUCCAAGCAUGGUAUUUAUGUUCAUGAAUACAUAAUUCUACUCAUUUCAAACAUAGGAGACAUGUUCUCAACUUGCAAGGCUAACCACCUUUCACAAUGUAUGCAGUCUACACAUACAGCUUUACUAUAUAGAGUGCAAUUUCAUGACACAUAAAGCAUGCAUUUCAAGUGUUCUAAAAUUCACAUAAAUCAUAUUUAACGUGGAUUUGCUCUUAAAAAAAACUUUACGAAGAGUUUAGAAAGCAUAGGGGCCAUUUUGCCCCGUUUUUAUAAAGUCAAACCCACCGAAGAUACUGAAACCCUUCGUAAGCUCCGACGAAGGUAUCGAUUAGUCUCCUAGCACCCUAAAGAUGUAGGAACAAGGGUCAAACAAAUCUUACGAUCAACCCUGAGCACGCUAGCCAGGAUGAGACAAAGCUUCCACAACAGAUUUAGGAACGAAACCGACUCUAGAGAGGUAUUGAAACAACGAGAAGAGGAUAACAAACAGUCAUAAGAAACAAACGAUGAAAUAGGGUAAGUACACGUACGUUUGCCUUUACGAAGAGCAAUGGAAGAUUAGAGUCAAAAGCAAGGUCGGUGAUAGUAGUGACUGGAUCUUUCGACGAAGAAGCUGGUGGAGGAUCUGAGUCAGGAGUCGCCAAUCUCCUAGAAUAGACAUGAACAAUAGGGGGUCGAACAGUUGCCAAUAGAGCAGUAAUAGGUGUUGCAGGACUGGACACUUGUCUGAUGGUGUAAACAAGGAGAUCAUCUUCCUUCCCCCGACUUUCAUAAAGAGAUGAAAAAGGAAAGAAUGGAGUAGAUUCAAAAAAUGUAACAUUUGCAGACACAAUAUAUCGAUCGAGAGUAGGAGAGAAGCAUCGAUACCCCUUUUGUAGACGAGAAUACCUAAGGAAGACGCACUUAAGGAACUUUGGAUCCAAUUUAGUUACCUGUGGACAAACAUCUCGCACAAAACACGUACUACCAAAAAGACGGGAUUCAAUAGGAAAUAAAGAUUUAGAUGGAAACAAAACAGUAGAAGGAAUAUCACCAUCCAAGACAGACGAAGGCAUGAGAUUAAUUAGAAAACAAGCUGUGGAAACUGCAUCAGCCCAAAAGUGUUUAGGACCUUUAUUUGGAAAAGAAGGGCACGAACUACCUUAAGGAGAUGUUGGUUUUUUCUUUCAGCAAUUCCAUUUUGGGAUGGAGUGUGAACACAUGAGGAUUGAUGAAGGAUGCCAUUCUGUGUCAUAUAACUGUGAAAAUUUUCUGAAAAAUAUUCUUCGGCAUUGUCACUUCGCAAUAGACGCACAUAAACCUUAAAUUGUGUUUUGAUUUUAGUACAAAAUGCAAAAAAAAUUGAGAAUAGUUCUGAACAAUUUUUCAUUAAAUAUAACCAAGUAACACGAGAAUAAUCAUCCACAAAGAUAACGAAAUACUUAAAUCCUGAUUUGGAAACAAUAGGACACGGACUCCAAAUAUCAGAAUGAACUAACUCAAAAGGGGAUGAUGCUCGUUUAUUGACUCUAGACACAGAAGGUAAACGAUGAUGCUUAGCAGACUAACAUGACUCACACUCUAGACUGGACAAAGACUGUGAAACUGCGGAAACAAUUUCUUCAAGGUGGAUAACAAAGGAUGUCCCAACUGACAAUGGACUUCAAAAGGAGUUAAAUUACUGGAGCAAGCAAGAGACCUCGGCACCUGGUUGUCAAGGAUAUAGAGACCUCCGGACUUAUGUCCUCUACCAAUAAUCUGCUUCGUCGUAAGAUCCUGAAACAAACAAUGAUUGGGAAAAAAAUAAGACAACAAUUUAAAGCUCGGGUGAGUUUACUAACAGAUAGUAAAUUGAAAGAAAACUAGGGCAAAUAUAAAACAGAUGACAGAAAUUGAUGACGUUGGGUUUGCAAUGUUAGAACCCAUGACACAAGAGGUAGAUCAAUCAGCUAAAGUAACAGUAGAAGAUGUUAUAUGAGACUGAAAGGCAGAUAAAAGACUAGAGUUACCUGUUAUAUGGUCUGUAGCACCAGAAUCAAUGGCCUAUUUGGAAUGGGAAGACACAAGGCAUGAUGUGGAUUACCUGACUUAGCGAGUGCAGUGACAGGGGAACUGGUGGACUUUAAGGAUGCCUGAUAUUGGGAGAACUGUGCAAAUUCUUCAGCAGAGGAUGGGAUUGUAUACUCGCCGGCUACCAUGUUGGCCAUCUGAGAUCGUUGGUUCUUAUUUUGAAGUUUCAAAUAUGUGCGCUUUGUAUGACCAGGUUCAUGAUAAUAAUAGCAAACAACUCCAAAAUCUCGAUUAGAGGCAGUCUCUCCAUGACGGUGAUUAUGUCUAUUGGUAGUAAUCCCUCUAUUGCCCCCUCUGCUAUUAUGCCGUCCAUUAUCAUAGCGAUUCACAAGCGCGCUAUUAGUAGAUUGAGAAAAUUGAGGAGUCUUCGUACGAAGCACUCGGGUGAAAGUAUCAUGCGAAGAGGAAAUUUCAGAGCUAGAAAGAAUCUGAGAUUUAGCUGUCUCAAAUUCUGGGGGUAAACCGGUAAGAAAACUCAUAACCGCCAUUUGUUUGCGUUAAACCUGCUGCACUUUUACAUCAGGACUAAAGGGUAACAAAACAUUAAACUCUUCAUAAACACAUUUAAAGUCCAUAAAAGAGGCUAUGAGAGACCUAUCCUGCUUCUUAGAUCGGUAAAAUGCCUUACAAACAUCAUAUAUACGGGAGAGGUUUCCUUUGCCGGAGUAUAAAACAUCUAAAUAAUCCAGCAAUUCUUUCACAAACUCAUAAUGAUUAAUUAGACUAAUUACCUCACUUUGAAUGGAGUUCCUGAGUUGUAAGAACAACCGAGCAUCUUCCCUCAACCAAGCUUGCUUUGUAUCAUCGUUCGGUGGAUCGCUAGUUAGGUGAUCAUCCUUAUCAAUGCUUCGUGGAUAAACACGAACCGUCUUGCCCCAUUCUAGAUAGUUGGAGCCAUUGAGUUUGUGUUCUAUGAUUUUGGUCAUUACCGGGAUUACAUCGGUAAUCACAGAUUUUGGCUCCUUCUUAGCAGACACACUUUCAGACAUGGCGUCUUGGACAACGAGACCAAGUCACAAAGCAGCGAGGCAAAUAAAACAAUCCUAGGUAUGUCACCUAAGGAUCAAAACAGGGACCAGAUGCAUGAACCUUAGACUGCAGCAGUAGCACUGAUGCUGUAGCGCCGUACUGCAGAAGUACUAUAGCGUCGUACUAUAGCGAUGACUGUAGCAGUACGUAGUGGUAGAGAAAAGCAAAAAAAGGACGAACAACGCCGAUGAGAUCCGGUGAGGGACAACACUGGAUCGCUAUACCUUAGAAUUAGGUUUUGGCUCUGAUACCAUGAAGAAUAGAAUACAAAUUCUUCUCAUUCAUUCAAUAAUGAAAUAUAAAGAUAUAUAUACAUAAAUAUUUCUAUAAUAAGAUAUUUAAUAAGGAAAGAUCUCUAAGGAAAGAUGCCUAAAACUAUGCUAGCAAAAUAGGAACAUAAUAUAUACAAGGAUUUAAGUGCCGUAGCAUAGGGUCGUGCCGAAAACUUGCCGGCAUGAUACGGCCCGGUGCGUGCCGAGCAGUGCCGAUGCGUGCCGGUCAAAAAAAUUCUUGUGUGCCGACACAUAAUAGCAUGAAAUAUUUAUUUUCUUUAGCAACAAAAUAUUCUAACUAUUUAUUAUGUUUUUUUAUCACAUCUUUUGAACUUUAUUGAAAAAUUAUUUACUAAUUUAAAGAAUAGAGGGUUUUGAGCUGUGCCAUUGACAUGGGGUCUGUAUCGUGCCGGUAUAUUGUUGGCACGGUACGACACGGUAGAUAUGACCCGUGCUGACGGGCACUUAAAACCUUGAUAUAUACAAUUUUGACUUUCCAAAACAUUAACAAUAGCUUUGAAACAAAUGAAUCUCAGUAUCUAGCGUUCACUCGGUAUCACACCCUAAUAAUCCCAAUCGGAUAGGAAUGGGGAUGUGAUUGGGUAUAUAAAAGACUUAAACACUAGUAAUAAUAACUGGGCUUAAGUAUUCUGGGCUGGUGGUUGGGCCCAACGAGUUAUUGUUGCUAGUGGGCUGGGUCGUUACAUUUGGUAUUAGAGCUAGUUCACCAGCCGGAAAUGUGUGGCGACUCUCGGCUGAGCCAGGGUCUGAAAGAUAAGGUGAUAGGCUAUGCCGGAGUCUGAAUGACAAGCUGACCGGCUAUGCCAGGGUCUAAAUGACAUGGAUGACAAGGCUAGCGAGACGAGUCUCACAUCGCCUGAUGAACUUGGGCUGUGUGUGUGAUUGGAUUGACGAGGACGUCAGGGCCUUAACGGGGGGAGUCUGUCAUCUCACAUCGGAUAGGAAUGGAGAUGUGAUUGGGUAUAUAAGAGAUUUAGACAUUAGUAAUAAUAACUGGGCUUAAGCAUUUUGGGCCGGUGGUUGGGCCCAACGAGUUAUUGUUGCUAGUGGGUUGGGUCGUUACACUCGGUCCUAUCCCCCAUAUGCUGAUCGGACUCCAUACUUGGGUAAGUGACCAUACACCACAUUAGUUGGAUUGAGCAUGCAAACAAAAUAUUUUAUAAAUACUCGGUUAUAAUUUCAUUAACAAAAAUAUAAAGAUGACUGAGUUUAGCAAAAUUCAAAACUCUUAUUUAGAAUUUUGAGCCUUAUAACAAUAUCUCGCAAAAGGAUAAAGGUAUAAUGAAAUUUAAACAAAAGCAUUCAUAUUCUGUUAGAAUUUAAAACAAAAUUCUUCGGUAAUUAGCGACAUGUUGGCAAAGCUCCUAAACACACAUCAAAUGCACCCGAAGGCGCAAUCGUUGGGCAAAAUCACUUGAAGGUGUAUCCAAAUAGCACCCACAGGCACAUCACAAAAUUGCACUCGAUGGUGUAUCACAAAAUCGAAGCCAGCUUCUAUUACAAAGUUCAUGUCGACAUGGCCAACAAUAUUCGUCGCAAUAUAUCAAGAGACAUCACAUUUUAAGAUUAUUUACCCAGUCAAUUAAAAGAGAGCAAUUAUUGAAUACUAAAUUUUUACCAAAUAAGCACAAUAUCAAAAGUAGACAUUUUCAGAAAUUGCAUAGCAAUAAGAUUCAAAGCCUUUUCGAAAUCUCUCAAAAAUUUGACGCAAGUUCAAAUUUGCGACAGGUACAAAUGGAAUGGAAAUGAGUUGAUAAAAUUGGUUUUUUUUAAUAUAGUAUAAAUUUCAUCAUUUGAAAUGAGGGUCAUUUCCCACUUAAAGAAAAAGGCCAUUGUUCUCCGUAUAGGCAAAAUUAAGCUUCACAAUGAAUGGAUCAUAUUGUAGCUGUGCAAAUCUGUUUUUUAAGAGAGAAAGGUAGUUUUGCAAAUCAUUAAACAUGCUAAUUGUGUGAUUGGGGCUUAUAUGGGCUGACAUUAAGGAACCCGUGAUGCUGAGAUUCCAAAAUGCUCAGGUAGUAUUGUCUAGACCAAGGUUUAAAGUGCUGUGGCACGGGGACGUGCCGUUAUGUCCCUGGCACGGUACGGCACAGGCACGCUUGCGUGCCGACAUGUGGCACACUUGCGUGCGGAUAGAUACGCAUGACCUCCGACUGGCACGCUUUGGCACGAACUUAUUUUAGUUUUUUUGGUUCCAAUAAACUCUUAUAAUAUUAUUUUGAAAGAUUUAAACAAAAUAAUUAUGAAUAUUUACUAUAUAUACCUUACUAUACUCAUCAAUUAACAUGCAUGAAAACUUUUUGUAAGCACAGUACAGCUAUACCUGAUGUAGAAUGAAAUUAAAAUAUAAUAAUAAAAUUCACAGUACAAUAAUUAUUUAAAUUUACAUCUUUACAUAGAGAUAACUGCUUAAUUCCACAUAGAUCGUCGCGCUUGAUCAUAUGGCAUAUUGUUAUCUGCAGAUACAAGAUUUAUUUGACAAUGUUGAUAUAAGUAUUGCUGGUAUUGUGAGAAAUUCAUAUAUUCCCAAUAUUACAUCUAUAUUUUUUAUUUUUUUGUUCUUAUUAAAAAUAUCUGAUCAAAAUUUGUUUAGGAAAUUGAUUUUUGUUCCUUUGAUUUAUCAAAAGUUUCGCAGUGCGACAAAUUUUGACAAAAUUUUUUGUUAAAAAAAAAUGGAUGUCUGUGGUGGAAGCAGACGGCCCGAGCCUGCAAAAAAUUUGCUCCUAUAUUGAUAAAUAAGAAGUUAUAAAAAAGGUAUCCGUCAAAAAGCAAAAAAGAAGUUGAAAAAGAGACAACAAAGUGAAAAAAAUGACAAUGUAGGUGGCCUAAGGGGGGGGAGGGGGGGCUCCAAACCCUAGAGGACAAAAGGAAAAAAAAAAACCAAAAAAAAAAAAGCCAAGAAGGGGGGUCCAAGACCCCCCCUGUACCGUGCCCCCUUCUUGGGGGCACGGUACGGCACGCCCCUGUGCAGUACGGCACAGGCGGCACUUCAAUCCUUGGUCUAGAGACUCAGGCAGAUAUAAUUUCAACAUUAAGAUACACUGCUUUUUAUUUAAAUCGCAUGGGAAUUUCUUCGUUGAUUUAGUCAUUUAGUUUGUGCACUCAUGUAGAAGGUCGCAUUGUUCUUUUUUUUUUCUUUUGGGUUGGGGGGGGGCGGUGGUGGGUGNAGUACGGCACAGGCGGCACUUCAAUCCUUGGUCUAGAGACUCAGGCAGAUAUAAUUUCAACAUUAAGAUACACUGCUUUUUAUUUAAAUCGCAUGGGAAUUUCUUCGUUGAUUUAGUCAUUUAGUUUGUGCACUCAUGUAGAAGGUCGCAUUGUUCUUUUUUUUUUCUUUUGGGUUGGGGGGGGGCGGUGGUGGGUGGGGUUGUUGCGGAGGGUAAUAGAAAUGAGUUAAUCAUCAAGUAAUAUAUUUUCUCAAUAUGUAGCUUUUCCAUUGGAUGCAGCAUAUACAUAAAUUAUUUCUAAAUUAAUUGGUAAUGUCCUCUUUAUCUUUUACCUACUAUCUGUUUUUGUGUAUAGUGGUGCUGUCAUGGACCGAUUCUCGAGACUUUAACCAAAAACAUUUUUGUGCAAAUCAAGAUGAUGAAUGAUAAGCUAGAGGCCUCUGUUGUUGCUGACCUGUUACUAAACUACAACAACAUUGACAAGGUAUAUUUGGAUUCAUCCUUCACUUCCUCUCGAUUGUGCAUGUGAUGUCUUAUGACAAUGCAACCUUUGUAGGUUAUAUGGGAGCCUUUCAUAGAACCCUGGAGCCUUCAGUUAAACUUGACUAGAAAGCAUUGUGGGAAUAUCUUGAACACAUCUUCAAGCACAGAUGUAUGCCUGAAAUCAACGAAGCCGCUAAACCUGAAUAUAACAGAACCAUUGAUUGAGGUAUUGUUUAUGCUAUUCUAGGUGGUUUCUUAUUUAGAGUUCCCUGAAAAGUAUACCCAAUUGCAGUUGUAGUGCAUAUAUGAUUGUUUUUGUUGUUUGCAAUUUUGCUUAUUUCAGUGAUCUUUCACAGGCUAUCUUCAGACUCAAUCAGAUUAUGACCGACUCUUUGAACCCAAUUGAUGGAGGUGCACUACAUGAAGAUCAGCAUAGUAUGGGACUUGGAAACAGUGAUGACAUACAAACCCGAAGAUACGCCCCCUAUAUUCUCUGUAAUGAUACAUCCUUACCAUUGACAUUCCAUGUGUUUCAUGGGUCUGUGAAUACAGAUGAUAUCGACAGCUUCUCAGUUAUAGAUGAAAACUCUGUGGCACCAGGAUGCUCCCUACCGAUUUAUGUUGAAGAAACUCUUGAUGAAUUUUUCUUCCAACAUAGAUCUGCUCAUUCUUCUGAACAGCUUAUUGAGAAAAGGAUGAAUUCUGUGGCACAUCAUUUGAUAUCCAUUCAAUUUGAUGGAACUUCUGAACGUUCGAAACCUAUAUCAAUGGACUUUGUGGGUGUAAAUUACUUUGAAGUUAAUUUUUCAAGAUGUAGCCAACCCUCCAAUACUGAAAUAGAGAGAGAAGAUGAUGCCUUGUCAUAUAAUCGAAAGACUGAGGGUAGGUACGAAAGAGGCCAGGGCAACGACUUAAUUGUCCCUGUGGUACUUGAAGUUUCAAUGCAGAACUAUAGCAAGAUGAUACGUGUGUACUCAACGGUAUGUGUUAUUUGAAUGCAUAUAAUGAUUUCGUAGAUUUUACUUUACUACAAGCGGACUAUUUUUCAGGUUAUACUUUUUAAUGCAACAUCAAUGCCCUUGGAGUUGCGUUUUGACAUACCAUUUGGUGUUUCUUCUAAGGUAGACUCAUGACUCCAUUUGUGGCUUAUUCAUUUAAAUACAUGAAACUUAUAAAUUUGUUAUUAUGAUUCCUACCUUUGGUUUGGGAAGAAUUUUUAAUUGCUAAUGCUAAGAGAGCAACGAAGAAAUAAUCUCCGUAUCUCUCGGUCCAACUUAUAAAUUUACAAAACUAUUUUCUUUUCUUUUUGUCACCCUGAAUCUAUUUUGCUACGUGGUAGUAUACAGUCGUGGAGAAAUAGCGAAAUCCAGGAUGUUUUAUGUAUAGACAAAGCUGAAGCCAUAACCUAAUUUUUGUAAAUAAAUACAAUAUCAUAUCACCUAUUAGAAUAUAUAUGUCAUGAAGAGUAAAGUUGUGAGGGAACGUGUGAUGGUUCUUUAUAUAAGAAACCCAACUUGUAGGUCAAGAUUGAAAAUAUUAGUAGUUGUACUUAGACAACAGUAACUAGUGUUUUAAAUGGCGGCCGCUAUGCCCGCUAUAGCGGCUGCUAUAGCGGAUUUUAUGUGCUAGUGUUACGCCAUAAUCUUUAAAGCCAAAUUUAGCGGAUUGGGUUCAUAGCAGCCGCCUUAGUGGCUUAGGGUCCCCUAAAGCGGCUGCUAUAAAGCAGUCGGAAAGCGGGUGGUAUGAGCCCAAAACUUAAAAAAGCGUAAACGGGUUGAACAUCUAAUUUGGUCGGGUUCUCAAGUGGAUAACCAGAAUACUUCUAGUGAAGGAGAAGAAGAAUGCCUUCCUGAUAAAUAAGAUUUUAAUCAUUUAUCUAAGAUAUCCUUUUUGACAUCCAUUUACAAAUUGUUUAGAUUGUUAAUGGAUUUUAGAUUUUCGAAUUUUAUGCCUUUUUGGUUUGCUAAAUCAUAAUAUUUUAAAGUUAAUCUUAAUAGAAAAUGACAUUAAAUAUGUAUAGGCUUUCAAUACUAAAAAAAAGAAAUGAUUAGUUGUCUUUUCUUCAAAACUAUAUGUAUUUUUUAUAACGAACAUAAACACAUAAGUUUGUUUUUAUGAAACCCGCUAUGGGUUCACAGUGCUUGCUAUGGCACGCACUAUGCGCUUUUUGCUAUGAGAUCCUCCAAACGUUAUGUGCCCGCUAUUCGCUAUUUACAACCUUUGAUAGUAACAUUCUUCGCAUUAGUCUUAAAAUAAAUAGUAAAUUGUGUGUUUUUCUAGGGUUUUCUUCAAAAAGAAGUCAAAUCUAAAUACCUUCCACAAAUUCUUGUUUGACCAAACAAGGAGAAUGAGAGGUAAGAGAAACGAUGGGAUGGAAAGAAAACGAAGGGUUUGGUGAAAGUUUUAUGAUGGAAAUUAUUCAGAAGGAUACUCUUAACUUCCCACAGACAAGAUAAUUAACUUCCCGGUUGACUUUUUAUGGGAAGUUGGGAGAGGCCCGAUUCUCAGCAACUCCAUCUAGAAAAGUCUGCCACCCGAAUGCCGCCUUUCUGCUUCGGGCCUAAAAGUGAUUUAGCAUGGGCAAAAAUCAUUGCUGAAUCUUGGCUAAGUAGUGCAAAUGUUCUAACUAAAAAAACUUUGUCGUUUUGUUUCUUUCUUUAGCUUUAGUCCUGCUUUACUGAAAGUGAGAUUGUAUUACUCAAGUCUGCUAUUAAUCCUAUAAGAUUUUACCGGCUUAAUUUACUUGUCAGAUAAUCAUCUUGUUAAUCUUCUUUGAGAAUCAAUUUCCUUCUAACUAAUCCUCUCUUAGUCUCUUUUUAAGAAUGAAAGACAUGAAACCAGGUUCUUUGCUUUUUCAGAUAUUGGGACCUCUACUACCAGGUCAACAGAUUCCGCUGCCUCUGCAUUUGUCUGAGGCUGGUAGAAUAAGAUGGCAUCCAGUUGGCACCAGCUACUUGUGGAGUGAAGCACAUUCGCUAUCAAGUAUGCUGUCACAGGAAAAUAGGCUUGGAUUCAUGAGAUCAUUCGUUUGCUAUCCUUCUCAUCCUGCUAGUGAUCCAUUUCGUUGUUGCAUAUCGAUUCAAGAUUAUAGCCUGCCUUCAUCUGUUAGUUACCAAAAAUAUCCACAGAUCUUUGAGAAGAAAUUGAGUAAGAAACAUUACAUACGCCAAGUGAAGCUGACUACUCCUUUGUUGAUUAAAAAUUAUCUUCCUGCAAGCUUAUCCUUGACAAUAGAUGGCUGUGGAGUUCCACAUUUUGUUUCCCUUUCGGAGGUUAGCUUUAUGCUUGUGCAUGAUUUUUAUUUUGUAUAGCUUUUGCAAUAAGUUAUAUAUAGUAGUAUUUAUUUAUUUAUUUAUUUUUUAUUACAUCCUAUUUCGGUUUUGCAGGUAGAUACUGCUUCUAUUUUUCUUGUUGAUUCAACAUAUGACCUUGGAAUUACCUUCCACAUUCAAGGAUACAAGCCUACUGUAUCGAAGUUCCCUCGUGCAGAAUCAUUUUCUGCUAUCGCUAAGAUGAAUGGCUUAAAAUUUUCCUUAACAGAAACACUUAUAUUUCAUUCUGACGCCUCCUGUAAGUGCUUUAUCUUAAUAUUGUUGGUGUGUAAGACUGCCAGAUAUGUAGGCUAAAAGACAAAUAUAUGAUUAUUUGCUAUAGGUUCUAUAAGUGUUACUCUAGAGAAAGCAAUGGAUGCAUACUGUGGUGCGCGAGAAUUAUGCCUUUCUGUUCCCUUCUUGUUAUACAAUUGCACAGGUCUGCUACUUACCAUCACAGAAAGUAACCAUGAAAGGAAUGGACAUGCCCUUAUUAUUCCUCCCAGCUAUAGUUUAGCUGGGAAUGAAAGCUGUUUGGUUGGAAAACAGGGCCUUGCUCUUCUGCCCUCUGAGUUAGAAUCUAACCCAUGUCCUCAUCUUAUUAGAUAGAUCUAUUAUAAACAUUUUUACAAUACCUCUGCUCAGAACUUACUACUUUUUUGAACAGGUACUUCCCAUCUAAAUUCAAACGAAUAAAUGAUCUAGAUCUAUCUGGUGCAUCUUAUUCAUCAAGAAAGGUACGAAUUGAUGGAGCACGUGAGACUGAGGGAAGCAACAGAGAGCCUAAGCCACAAAUGUAUUCUCCUCCUGGCCAUCUUGCUGCUACUGAAUUUAUCGUUAAGCUUAGUGCAGCUCGAAGUCAGAGCAGCACUGUGAAUUCUCAGAGCGCAGCUUGGUCAAGUCCAUUUACCCUUGUCCCUGCAAGUGGUUCAACUAGCAUUGUCGUUCCUCAACCGUGUAAUUCUGGUGCAUAUUUAAUUUCUGCAACAGUAAUAACUGUUUCUGGAGAACUCACUGGGAGGACGAGGGUGAUUACUUUUCAGCCAAGGUAUUUUUCUCCCCCUGUAAUACAUAAGACAGAUAUUCCAACAUUUGUAGAAUGAUAUUUCACUUAAAUGUAGCACUCCGAAGAGCAUUUUAUUUGUUAUCAUCCAUGAUAAUAACUGCAGUAUUAAAUAUGUGAAUUCACGAGAAACUUGUUGCAUAUAGAGAUCUAUUAUUUAUGUGCCAAAGGCUCUUCGCUGAGCAGAUCAAUUGGACCUUCAAUGUGUUGCAACAUUUUAUAUGUGCUAAACUGAGGAAAUUCAAUUAGGAUGCAACCAAGCAUUCUUGCAUCAUAAUAUUGGUUUUUCUUUUGCAUUAUUUUCAAUCUUAUGGGUGCAAAACGGCUGGACUGCUUUGGGACAAGUGAGUUCAUGGCCUCAUAUUAUCUUCGCAGGCUUAGGUUUUCUGUUAUGCUUUGUCUAUUGGCCUGAAACUAAUCGAACUUGAGCAUUGUGAGGCGGGGAGAGUUUAAUAAAUGGCCCGAACAUGAUUGUGGCUGGAACCAAGCUAGCCCAUAAUGUAGCCCAAGCUCGAUCCUAACUGUGAACCAAGAUUUGAAGUGUACGGCACGGGGCGGCAUGUACUAUGACCCCAAUUUGGGGGCAUGGUACGGGGGGCUCUCCAGAACUCCCCUAGCCGCGAUACCCUCUUGGGUAUCGCUCGAGACAGUCCGGUACCCUCCUUUUUUUUUUUUUUUUUUUUUUUUUUUUNCUUCGUUUUCUUCUUUCAUUGCUUUGAUCUUCAAAAAAAGACAAAGAAAUAGCAAAUUGAAGAUCUACUUAUAAGGUAAGUUAAAAAAAAAUUAUAAUUUAACUUUUUGCUCAUAUAUUUUGAAUAUUUCUAAUUUGUGAGGCUACUUUUCUGAAGAAAUAUAAAAUUAGGCAAUUUUUUUUUUUGUAGUUUACAAAAAGUUGAAAAUAGAUCUACUUGAUUUAUUUAUUAAAUGGUCAAAUAUUUAAUUAUUUCGGAUAGAUCUAGUAUUUUAUAUGAGAUUUUCAACAAAAAUAUUUUUAUCUUUGAAAAUUCUAUUUUUGGAUUUAGAAGAUUGAAAAUGCUGAUAAAAUCAAAAACUAAUUAAACCAAUUGAUACUUAAAUUUGUUUAAUUUAUUUGUCAUAUAAUUUAUUGCUAAAUUUUUAUGGAUAGAUCUAACAAAUUUUCUUAAAAAUUUUAAUUAAAAAUAAUUUUCGUCAAAUAUUUUACAAAUAUUUUUAAAAGAUUCAAAAAAACAAUUGUGGUCCUAUUUUAGUUAAUCUAAUUAUCAUGCGAUCUCUUGCAAAUGUUCGUUAAAAUUUUGAGAAAAAAUGAUUAUCUAAUUUUGUAUUUUAUAAUUUUUUUAACUUUCCAAGAAAAUAAAGAUACAAUUAGAAGAAUUUUAAAAGUUAAUCAAUUCUCACAAUUUUUCUCAAAAUUUUGGAAAAAAUAUUUUCUUCAAAUUUGAAAUAUAUAAUUAAAUAUUUUUUAGAAUAAUAGAAAUAAAAAAUAUUAUCAAUGUAAUUGCGGUCCUAUUCUUGUUGCUCUAGUCAUCAUAUGAUCGCUCAUUGAAUCAAUAUAUGGAUCUUGCAAAUUUUCAUAUGAAAUUUGAGAAAAAAUAUAAUUUUCUAUUAUAUAAUAUUUUAAAUUUUUGAAAAAAGAAUCAUAAAAUUAGAAAAAAUUACUUAUUUCAAACUAACAUUAUAAGAGUUUACUGGGAUUAAACAAACUAAAAUAAGUUCGUACCAAAACGUGCCACUAGAAGUUCAUGUGUAUCUCUAGGCCACGUGUCGGCACGUUGGCGUGCCUGUGCGUACCUUGUCAGGCAACAAUCGACAUGCUUCCGUACCACCGCAUUUUAACUCUUGCUGUGAACUAUCUGUUUGUUUCUGGCUGGACCAUGCUUAGGUCUAAAUAAUUUAGACUUUAGAAGAAAAUUUGUUUUAGGACUCAGCAUGGCCUGGACUAUUUGACUACCUUGGUAUUUUAAUGAUAUAGUAAUGUUAAAAUAGCUUAACAGUGCUUGUGGCUUGUUUGGCAGGCUCAUAUUAGGGUGAACUACUUCCCGUUUGAUCUUCUUGCACUUCAAAUAUACUUUUGUAAACAAUUCUCAAAAGAAUAUAUGUACUAAGUUCGCUGUAAGGUUCCUGUGCAGUUAUGUGCUUUUACAACUGUAAUGGACAGCCAGGCAGAAGCUGCAUCAGUACAUUUGCAUUAACAUGGUUCAGUUAAUGCAUUUAUGCUCUGUCUUAUACUUAAUUACUAGGCUGUUUGAGGCACUUUAAAAGUUUAAAUUGUAUGGAUUCUUGUCCGGUACCUGCUGCCAUGCUAAGAAGUAAGAAUUAUGAGGGGGUGUGAUAUUAAGUAAAAAAUUUAUCUCAUUAUAGAUAGUGCUAGUUAGUUGAAAAUACAUGUGUAAGUUCUAGAAUGUUGCUUCAUCUUGAAAAUAUUGCUUACGCUAAUACUAGUAGAAACAUUAACUCUGAAUGCUAUUCCCUACUUGUUUGACAUAGGUUUGAAGGAUGCUUAUAUUUCACUCAUUAAUAUAUUUUACAUGUGAAUUUGUUUUGUUUUAUCUUGAUAGCUCUACUAACCUAUUUUUUACUUUAUCAAUUUUCUUUUAGAUAUGUGAUUUGUAAUGCUUGCACCAAGGACUUGUUUUUCAGACAAAAAGGAACAAGCAACUUUUAUCGUUUGGGUGCUGGGAAACAUUCUCACCUCCACUGGCCUGAUGCAACAAGGUAUUUUUCAUGGACUUCUAUGAAAUUUGUUUAUUCAAGAGCCAUGAAAUUUCUAUUUUAUAAGGUAAAUUAGGAAGGCCACAAAUUUUUUUUUUCUAAUAGAGGGUUACAUUGAAAGAAAGGCUAAUCCUAUUUAGCUUGACCAAUAUGUGGAUCCAAACCUUAAAUCAGUUAAUUUUAGUGAAGAUAAAGAAACUUUGCUGGAUGGGCAGCAAAAGUGAAAUCAGAUAAGAGGCGGGCAAAAAUGAGGCUCUGAAAGCAAAACUAAAGAGUUUAAUUGGUUUUUUUGAUUCGUACCAUAUCAUGCCAACAAGAUAUGGCCACGAUACACCCUCUGUGCCGAUGGCAUAGUUCAAAACCCUUUAUUCUUUAAAUUAGUAAGUAAUUUUCUCAUUAAGUUGAAAAGAUUUGAUAAAGAUACAUAAACAAUUAGAAUAUUUUGUUGCUAAAGAAAAUAAAUAUUUAAUGCCAUUAUGUGUCGGCACACAUGUAUUUUUUUGUGACGGGCACGUAUCGACACGGCCUAACACGCACUGUGUCGUACCCGUGCCGGCAAGUUUUCGACACGAUCCAGUGCCACGGCACUUAAAUCUUUGCUUUUGAGUAUCUGAAACUUUUUUGUUUUAAUGAUUCCAUUACCAAUCUCGGUAGAAGAUGAGUAGUGGCUAAAUUUCAUCUUUAGCACUAGUAUGGUAGCAGUUUUACAACCUAGUAGUGGAGAGCAAGGAUAAAAGUGCAAUGACAUGAGGGCGUGUCGCUGUUUGCCUGGCACGAUGCGGGACAGGCACGCUUGCGUGCCGACAUGUGGCAUGCUUGCGUGCCGAUGGAUAUGCAUGGCCUCCUAUUAGCACAGGCCUAUUUUACUUUUUUUUGUCCUAAUAAACUCUUAUAAUAUUAUUUUGAAAGGUUUAGUUAAAUAAUUAUGAAUAUUGGCUAUGUAUAACUUACUAUACUUACCAAUUAACAUACUGGUAAGUUUUUUUAUAUGUAAAGUACAACUAUACCUAAAGAAUAGAAAUUAAAAUAUAUUAAUUAUAUAAAUUUACAUCUUUACAAAGAGAUGACUAUUUAAUUCUACAUAAAUCGUUGCGGUGGAUCAUCAAAAUUUGUUAGAUCUAUUCAUAAAAAUUUAGUAAUAAAUUAUAUAACAAAUAAAUUAAAUAAAUUUAAGUAUCAAUUGAUUUAAUUUAACUUUUAAUUUUCUCAGUAUUUUCAAUUUUCUAACUCCAAAAAUAGAAUUUUAUAUUAGAUGUGUCUUGAAAUUUGAUUAUCGAGUUUGAUUUUGUAUCCUGAUUCGCCGAAAGUUUCGCUGUACGAUAAAUUUUGAAAAAAUAAUUUGUGAAGAAAAAAAUGAAUGACUGUGGUGGAAGUGGAAAGCUUGGGCCGAUAGGCCCCGAUGGUAAGGAGCAGAGUCCCCCGCGGGGUGGGGGUGGAAAGUGUGCAAAAAGAGGGGGAAAAAGUCCCACAACAGCCAAAAAAAAAGAAGAAGCGGCACGAUAUGUGCCGUACAAUACUCGUUGGGGUAUUACGCUGUCUUGCGUGAUACCCCAGCGGGUAUCGCGGAAAGGGGGGGUGGGGUGGUUGGUUCUUGUGAGACCCCCCUUGUACCGUGCCUUUAUAUAGGGGGCACGGUAUGUGCCGCCCCGUGCCGUACAGCGCAGGGCGGCAUUUUAAUCCUUGGUGGAGAGGUUUUAAAAGCUGAAGAGGGGAGAAGCAAUGAAAAUUGGAAGAAAUAGCAAUUUUUAAGCAAGAUAGGGGGGAAUGCAAAAGGGUCUGUUCCACAAGAAAAGAAGCCCGGCACGAACAGGGUGGAGAAUGAAUUAAUUUGGCUCUUAUGUGGUAGGAUUUGAAAAAAGUUGGACUAUCAUUGCAUAAGAUGUGGAAAGAUAUGGAAAUAACUGUAGGUCUACUGAAAAAUAUAUAUUUUGUUUUUAUAUACAUUUAGAGAGUCCUUUUGUCACGCCCCGAGACCGCUACCAAUUUGGUCCGGUCCGGGCGCAUCGAACAGACGCCGAACGGACAGCACUACCAGUGCCAACCAAGCAAGAGCAAGAUACAAGUAUGAGACAUACAAGUAAAUAAAGAGAAAGUUCUAUCUAUUACAUUCAUUCAACUUAAUACAUUUAAUUCCAUCUUUUACAUUCUUCCAGAACAUAUGUACAAUCACUCACAAACCUCACCCUAUACAACAUCUACUGUCAAACAUAAAUACAGGGUAGAGCUAGUAUAGAAAAGUAGGCGGCUAAUGCAACUAGGGCGCGAGGCCCUUACUGCGAUCCUCACGCUCGCCCGGGGCACUCGAACUCGGACCUGUAUAAAGUGUGGUGAGAACUAUCUUCCAUAGUUCCCAGUGGGUUUGGCCGCCGACUCCGCCGGUCUCCCCACUAGGUUCAAGUGGGCACGAGUAGAUAAACAGAUAGAUAGAUAAAGAAAGCUAUGGAAACAGAUAGUAAAACUGCGCUACUGUGCCCGAAUCAUGUAUACGAAAAAUGCAUACAAAAUAAAAUAGAUAAUCAACUAGCUCUUCAAUCAACUAGCUCUUCAUAUGUCCAAGAAGUAAGGCUAUUUACUUAUUCAUUAGUCUCGUGGCUCAUUCAAGGAUCCGCCUACUACUCACAUAGCCAUCUCGAUACUACGAAUCCGAGACUGUCUGCGGGACCCCACAUAGGCCAUCUCUCGGGACCCCAAAUAGUCCAUCCCUAUCCCACGGGACUCCAAAUAGGCCAUCCCUCGUGAGUGACUCCGGAGCGCACUACUUGUGUGGAGCGACCACCACAAGUCGGGAACAGACAAUGAGUAUGAUCCAAUUCUCCCACCUCAAGGGUAUCCUGUCCUCUAGGGUUACUAUCACCAUAGUCAAUGGGUUUUAUAUACACUACGACUGACAUAUGCCACUCGUUCUCUGUUUAAUUAACAACUAGAUGCCACUCGUUAUUUUAUUUCAACUAUUGCAUCAUUCUUUCACCGCUGCACCAUAGGAUUACAAGUCUCGACCCAAUCCUCAUCAAUCCCCUAUAUCCAGCAACUAAUGCAUAAUAUGAUAUCAGCUAGGAAAGCAUAAGGAAAGGCAAUGCACAAUUAUCCUACAAUGCAUGUGAACACAGGAUGCAAGGUCUCAAAAUACUAAGACAUAAAAGGGAGCCCGAUUGCUUCAGGAUGGUGACCACCCACCUCUUGGUGAUGCCGCGAUGGUAGAAAACUCGAUUUCACAGUCCUUGGUCGACGCUUCGAUGUCUCGGGAUGGAUGGGUUUAAGCAAUAAAACCCAAUCUCAAGAAAGCCACUAUGGAUGGGUUUGAAGCUUACCUCUAUAUCAAGCUCCAAGCUUGCUCUAGCUUGAAGGAGAGAGGGAAGAAGAUGAUCUUUUUCUCCUUUUUGGUCUUCUCCUUCCACUUCUUCCUCUUUUCCUUCAUCUUCUUCUUCUCCUUCUUCUUCUCCUCCUUUUCUUUCUAGAGAGAGAGAGGGAAAGAGUGUGAGAGGGUUAGAGAGCAAAUGAGAGAAUGAGAGGGGUCCCUUACCUCUUAUAUAGGCCAUUUUACAAAUAGGCCCCUCAACUUUCCAUUUAUUAAACAGCCUUUACUGGGCUGAUUUCGCAGUGAGGGACCGGUCCCAGCUCGGGGAGACCGGUCCCCGAGAGCCUUCCUUCUCGGGCAAAAGGGAUUUCGCGUUCGGGAACCGGCCCUUGCCUGAGAGACCGGUCCCCGUCCGAGAGACCGGUUCCCGAGAGUUGGAUUUUCGGGACUUAGCCAAAUUUCGGCUAUUCUCGCUGGGCUAACGUUCGGGGACCGGUCCUUCCCUGCCAGGGACCGGUCGCAUCAAGAAUCCCCCGCAAGCCCAGCCUGAUGGGACCGGUCCCUCCCUGUCAGGGACCGGUCCCCGAGAGCAAUUCUGCUCCAGUGCAGAUUUUUGCACUGCUGCUCUCGUGGACCUUUCCUUAAUGCACUUCAUGCAUUAUAAUCGCCUUCGGACUUUCCGAAGCCUACACGCUCGACAAUUAGUCGAUUCUAGCGAAGUCUAAUCCUCGAAUUUCGAGAAUUCACUUCCUUACACCUUUCGACGAGAAAUUAAAUCCAGUUAGGGAUUACAUUGGCAAGAUCACAAAAGUUAGCGUUCAUAUGCUCUAAUCAUGAAUCUUCUAGCCAUGAAUACUUCACACGAGCUUGCAUAUAUUCUAACUUUCUAGGCAUGAGUACUUCAAAUAACUAAAACCAUUGUUGACAAUGACUCACGAUACUUAUGCGUAUUCAAACUUUUGUAAUUUUCUUGAUGCUCUAUAAGUCACAGAUCUAACAAUGGGUAGAAAGCAGGCUGAGAAGUUUUUGUCGGGUGUCAGAAUAUCAUGGAUAUAAUCUUAGGGCAAUCUUGAUAUAAGCCUGAUAUAAUGGACCGAAGGAAUUUGAAUAUUAUUUGGUAUUGUCGGAACUGUAGUUAACUGUUGUUCUCUUCUAAGUUCAGUGUUUACGUGUCUUGAAGAGUAUCUUUGACAGUCUAAUAUUGUCUUAUUGUCUUGUUUUUUAAGAGAAAAUAUUGUCUUAUUGUUAUUAACACCAUUCUAGUUUUUGAUGAUGUGAAAGAAUGUAGUUUGCAAUGAAUGUAUAUAGUGUGCCUGAGUGCGGUUUAUUUAGAGCCCACAUUUUGUGGUUGACGAAUAAGUCUGCAAUUUCUUUACAAGGUUGCAGUUGGCCUUCUAACAUCAAGCCUAUCACCUCUAAACAUGUAGCUUAAUCUCUGGAAAUACGUAGUUAAGAUGUAACGAUAAGCUUAAUACUCUAGUCUAGUAUUCCUAAAAUAUAACUCCUGACCGUCUUCUGGUAUUAUAAUAAAUUACUUUGUAGGAAUUCAGAGAAUGAUUUUCUGUAUUGUGGUUUCAUUACAUCUUUUGGGUUCACAUAAGCUGUAUCAGGUUUUCUGGAUAUGAGAAAUAUUUGCUUAUAUCCUUAUCUAUCAAAUUUGAAGUGUUUCAAACUUUUAUAGUUACAAGUUAUGAUUCCAUGUUCUUCUUUUGUUUUACUUUAUCAUUUUCUGUGAUUGUUGCAGAGAGUUGGUUGUUUCUAUUCGAUUUGAUGAACCAGGGUGGCAAUGGUCAGGCAGCUUUCUUCCUGAUAGAAUAGGAGAUACUCAAGUGAAAAUGAGAAACUAUGUCUCUGGCGUAUCAAACAUGGUUCGAGUUGAAGUACAAAAUGCUGAUUUGGGCAUCAGCAAUGAGAAUCUUUUUAAGAGAACUAAUAGUAAUUCAACUACACAACUUAUUCUAUUGUCCGAUGAUAAGACUGGGUUUAUGCCAUACAGGAUAGACAAUUUCUCCAUGGAGGUAAUCAAUCUUUUUGAAUUGCUUAAUUUGGAAUUCGCUCCUGCUUUCUCCUCUUCAUGGAAAUAUUAUUUCUCCUGAUUUGUGUCUGAUUUAUCGGGGCGUUCUUGGGAAAUGUCAAAUGAUUUGUCCUUAUCAAUGCAUUUAUAUCUAAAUCAUAGAAAUUAACCAAAACUGAAAGAUAAUUUCUGGCCGGACACCUGAUCCAAACUAUAGCUCUGAUAACAAACAUUAAUCUACUAAUUGUGGCUUGUAGGCAGGUUUUCCUGGUGAGUGGUCACCUCUAUUAAUUGUAACAGUUUCCGACACAAUAAAGCUUUCUGGUAUAAGUUGAUAGCACUCGACAACGUCCACAUUACUUGUUUCCAAACAACUGCUUUGUUGAAUGACAUAAAGGAUGGAGCUGUGAUCAAUAGAUUACUUAUUUCCAACUUUUAGUAGAGGAAGUCCUUUGGCCUUUCAGAUAAAUUUAGAUAGUGAAGGCCCAAUUUAUCUUUAGCAUCUAGGUCAGUUGUUAAACUAGUAAAGAGUUGCAAUUCACCUUAGUGUUGAAGUGGUGGAAGGAAAUACUAGGAGCCUUGGAGAUAAACAACCAUGGGAAAAGAUAUACUGCCACUUAGCUGUUAGAGUUGGAUAAUCCAGCUGAAUGCUGGACAAGGAUUCAUGUUUUUGUUACCAUUUUUGUUCUUAUUGUUGCUGUUCAUACUUUGUAUGUUGUCUGAUUUUGCUUGGCGUAUCAAGUAUGGUAGGUAUCAAUUUCAGGUACAUACACUUGAAUGUUAUCUAAUUUUGCAACAAGAAUUAAAAGCAAUCAGAAGAUUCAGAACUCAUGUAUGACUUCACAUUGUCUGUGUUAAAGAUUAGAGUGUGUCACUGAUAUAAAAAUAUGAUAAAUUGUAGUUCAUCUUUUUUACCGAUUUGUAAUAUGAGUUUUUUACUUAUCAAAGCUUGUCUACUAGUGCUUGUCUACAGGAACACAAUGCCUUCUAGUGUAAUGCGUGCAUGAGUCUUAAAUGCAGUACUAAUAUACAUGUGAGUGCACAGAAAAAUAUAGACUUAUUUUAAAUAAAUUUCAUUCAAACUAUAUGAUGGAAAUAGGGCUCUAAAACAUUCCUGGUUCGUCCUAUGAUUUGUUGAAAAUUCUGUGGGUAAAGUAGCUGUAACUUUGGGAUUCAUCAUAUGAUUUGAUGAAAAUUUUGUGGGUAAAACAGUUACUAGCUUAGAGGUAGUAUUGUAUCUCAAGUAAUAUGUAUAUUGAAAAGUCUGUAACUGCUUUAAUUGUUAGCUUAAUUGUACUUAAGUAUUUUGCUUAGCUAGAAAUUAUUCAAAACAAUAUUUAACUCAUUCUGUGUUUGUUUGUCUUCUUUUUCACUUAUUCUCUUUUUUUUGGGGGGGGUUUUGCAUAUCAAUUCUUGCAAACUUUCUAAUCUGUAGAUAAGUCUCUCAAAACUUGUUAUUUUUAUAAAAAUCCCUAAAAAACCUCUAUAUUAUGAAAAUCGGACCCUAGGUUGGACGAACCACACAUUUGAAGAAUAUUUGGGAAUAUUCCUUAACGGUGUCAACUCUCUUACAACAAAAUAACCUUUGCAAGCUUCUGGAUGCUUUUUUGCCAUAGCCUUAUUCCUAUUUAGAAAACGUAUAAUUGAAACUAGCAUGAGUAUCUUUUAAUAUUUGUCAUGAAUAGCAUUAUAAGCAAGGAUUUAAGUGCCUAUCGGCACGGGCUGUAUUGUGUCAACAAGAUAUCAGCACGAUACAACGGCUGUACCGAUGUCAUAGCUUAAAACUCUCUAUUCUUUAAAUUAUUAAGUAAUUUUUUCAAUAAAAUUCGAAAGAUUUGAUAAAGAUACAUAAUAAACAGUUAGAAUAUUUUGUUGCUAAAGAAAAUAAAUAUUUCAUGUAAUUAUGUAUCGGGACAUAUAUAUUUUUUGUGACCGGUAUGCAUCGGCACGAACCAGCAUGCAACGUGUCGGCAAGUUUUCGGCACAACCCCGUGUCACGGCACUUAAAUCCUUGAUUAUAAGGUGGGAAGUAAGAGGCAACUGCCACCACUAUAGAGAUUCGCAUUGCCAAACUUCGUCCUCAUUGUCUCCUUCAUGGAUCAAAUUCAAUGUGGGUAUGGUAGGGGAAAAGAAUGGGGAAGAAUGGAAUCUUUUUAGGGCUCAGUGUUACGCCCCGGGCACUUUUGGAAAGCUAAUUCUUCCAAUUUGAAAACAGAGUUGUGGAAAAGCGUACAAUUUUUUUUUUUUUUUUGAAACCUUGCCCUCGUCGGCUGGUUGCACCCACUGGGAAACAUAUUUAUAUGUUUCUCACCCUACUGUUUUUACAGGUGUUGCUUAUAGUGCGGGUCGGGGCACGGUGUGAGGGCGUGGUAGUUAGUGCCUAGAGAAUUCGUGCUGUGGAUUUCUAUUCCUAGCCUCAGAUUACUCCUACUUCACUCUGUUGCUAUCAUGUAAGAAUUUAUGUGAUUGUGAUUUAAGUUUAGUUGCAUUUGGGUUUUUCCUAUUAUAGUGGUUUAGUGGAUUCUGGAUUAUGGUUUGGAAUUUAUUUUCCUGUGCUCCUACGCCGUGCAUGCGCAAGGGAGAUUUUGUCCGCAUGGACAUAGGAUGAACUGUAUAUGUGGCGGGUUUUUGCAUGUCGCGGGCAAGGUUUUCUAAAAAAAAAGUUUUAUACGCUUUUCUGCAACUCUUGUUUCAAAUUGGAAGUUUUGUCUGUCGCACCCUAAUAAUCUCACAUCGAAUAGGAAUGGGGAUGUGAUUGGGUAUAUAAUAGACUUAGACACUAGUAAUAAUAACUGCGCUUAAGCAUUUUGGGCCGGUGUUUGAGCCUAACGAGUUAUUGUUGCUAGCGGAUUGGGUCGUUACAUUUGGUGUCAGAGCCGGUUCACUAGCCGAAAAUGUGUGGCGAGUCUCGGCUGAGCUAGGGUCUGAAAGAUAAGGUGAUAGGCGAUGCCGGAGUUUGAAUGACAAGGUGACCGGCUAUGUCAGAGUCUGGAUGACAAGACUAGCAGGACGAGUCUCACAUCGCCUGGUGAUCUUGGGUUGUGUGUGUGAUUAGACUGACGAGAACGUCGGGGCCUUAAAGGAGGGAGUCUGUCACACCCUAAUAAUCCUACAUUGGAUAGGAAUGGGGAUGUGAUUGGAUAUAUAAGAGAUUUAGACACUAGUAAUAAUAACUGCGCUUUAGUAUUUUGGGCCGGUAUUUGGGCCCAACGAGUUAUUGUUGCUAGUGGACUGGGUCGUUACACUCGGUGAGGGUGAUUUAGGAGAGGUAGUGGGAGAGGCGACCUGUGAUGGAGAAGAGGAAGCAGAGCUUGCUGGCUAGGAUAGACUAGUGUAGGGUACUUAUUUGUAAAUAGGAAAGCUUCUCAGUAUUAUCCUUUUUCUCUUUUUCUCUUCGCUUGGUGCAAAGAUCAAGCAAAGAGAUUGAGAGAAGUACGUAAAAACCUUAGAGCUUGAUAUGUCCAACUUACAAUAUGUAGUUGAUACUUGAUACUCCUUCUAUUCACUAGACAAAGAAGUCCAGAAAUUUCAGCCUUUUUUAGUGCUGUCCAAUUUUUAGUUGAUAACUACUUUCUUAAGUUUUCCUGUUUUCUUAUUGAACGAUAGGCCAAAGAGCUUGACCCUUUUGGGUUUCGUUGAUGUGAAUAUAUAAUUACAAGAGGUGUAUACAUGGCAACCUUCAUUACCAUAUAACCUUACACUAUAUAUAGAAUAUACCAUAUAUAUCUCGUUAUACAUGUAAUGUAAUAUAUGUAUGCUAAAUAUAUCCUAACAUCCUCUCGCAAGCUGAGCAUCCUUUGCACAGAUGUGAAGAUUGGUUCGCAAGGUUAAAAAAUGGGAAGUGGACAAGGGCUUGGUGAAGAUGUCAGCCAGUUGCUUAUCAGAAGAGAUAUGGACCAAAUCCAAGUCACCCUAGUGAACUUUCUCCUUCAUAAAUGAUGAUCAAGCUCAAUGCGCUUCGUACGAGCAUGUAAGACAAGAUUUGUAGCGAGAUAUGUUGUGCUAAGAUUGUCGCAAUAGAUUCAAAUAGACCGCUGGAGGGAGAUUCCAAGAUCACGAAGGAGAUGUCAGAUCUAAACGGUCUCAGCAAGCGCAUAGGCCACAACGCGAUACUCCGCUUCAGAACUAGAGCAGGAAAUAGUAGGUUGCUUCUUUGCCAACCACGAGAUAAGAUUAGGUCCAAGAAAGAUACAGUAGCUGGAAGUGGACCGCCGCGUAUCUAGACAAGCAACCCAAUUAGCAUCAGGGAAAGCAACGAGAGAUGGAUUGUCGCAACGGGAGAUAGGAAUGCCAUAGGAUAGUAUCCCUCGGAUAUAAUGAAGCAGACGUUUGACAACUUGCAUGUGAGGCUCACGACGUGCAUGAAGAUACUGAGCAACAAUAUUAACAACAUAGGAGAUAUCCGACCAUGUGAAAGUAAGGUAUUGUAAUGCACCAACCAUCUGACGAAAGAUGUAGAGGUCAUCAAGUGGUUGCCUUUCAUGAGACGAGAGAAGUGGCAGGUGAAAGAAGAGUAGAAACCAGCUUAUUAGCAAGAAAACCGUGAUGCUCAAGUAGUUGAUGUGCAUAUUUCUAUUGAGUCAUAAAAAGACCAGAAGGGGAGCACUUGAGUUCAAUGCCCAAAAAAUAGUGUGAAGGUCCGAAGUCCUUUAUCGCAAACUCAAGUUGUAAAGCACUGAUAAGAGACGCAACCAGAGAAGAAUAACUCCUAGUGACGAUAAUAUCAUCAACAUAUAGGAGAAGAAUGAGUCCCAGAAGGUGAGUGGCAAGUGAACAUCGAGGGAUCUGUAGUGCUGCUAAUAAAACCAAUCUCCGAAAGAAAGGAGGUAAAAUGCUGAAACUAAGUCCGAGGUACUUGCUUGAGUCCAUAGAUAGCCUUCUUGAGUCGACAGACAUGAUUAGGAAAGGAAUGAUGUACAAUGUUUUUUCACAUGAACUUUUCAUAAAGAGAGCCAUGAAAGGCAUUCUUCACAUUAAGCUGUCAAAGUGUCCACCCAGAAGAGAAAGCAACAGAAAGAACAGUACAAAUAGUAGUUGAUUUCACAACUGGAGAAAACGUUUCAUCAAAGUCAACAUCCUGUCGUUGCUUGCAGCCCUGAGUUACCAGUCGAGCUUUAAGACGCUCAGGAGAACCAUCCGCCUUCUGUUUGACCUUGUAUACCUACUUGUAGCCAAUAAGAUUGAUUGACGGUGGAGAGGGAACAAGGUCCCAAGUAGAAUUUUCCAAUAGAGCAUGAAACUCCUCGGUCAUAGCUGCACGCCAAUUUGUAUCUUGGAAAGCCUCAAUAAAGGAGUUGGGCUCGUAAGGAAAUAAUGAUUGUUUAGAAGCCAAGAGUGAGGUAGAUGCAGUCAAAUCCUUUGUCAUGGAUCGAGUGAGAAUAGGGUGUAUGCGAGAAGGGAUAGGUGGAGCUAUAGGUGAAUUAGGUAAGGUAGAGGACGAAAUGGGUGGUGCAAUAUCUAUAUAAAGUGGAGGCUGAAGGGUCAGAUGGUGAUGGAGCAAGUUCGGUAGGAGGACUGGGUGUUGUAGUCUUGGAGAGGCGUCGGCGGGUAUAGACACGGAGCUCUUGGUGACCAGCAGCAGAGGUAUCAUUUUCAUAUGAGUUCAAGUUGGUAGGAAAUUGAGGUAAGUACUCAAAUGGUGGUGAAACGGGCGUAGGAAGGUGAUCAGUGCAAGAAGCACUAGUACCAUCGGUAGUGCUGAAACACGUGAAAUUGAAGCCAGAGAUGGCAUCAAGAAGAGACGGAGACUUAUCCAGUAAAGGAGGAUUAGAGAGAAUUUUGAAGCAGUUGAAAAUUUGAAUUCACAGGCACUAAAAAGUUAGAAAAUUUUGAAAGAUAGGAAAAAGAAAAUACUGUUUCAAAAAAUGUAACACGCCGAGAAAUAAAAUAUUUUCCAGUGCUCGGGUAUAGGCAGCGAAACUCUUUCUGUCUAUCAGACAGUCCUAAGAAUACACAAGGAAGUGAUUUGGGAGAGAGCUUAUGAUCAGCAACAUCCUGUAGAUCAGAAUAACACAAACACCCAAACACCUUAACAAGUUGCAAGUCAGAGAGAGCACAAUCAUGCAAAAUAUCGUAUGGUGAUUUCCCUUUUAAAACAGUAAAUGAAGGAGUGCAAUUGACAAGGAAAACAGCAAUUUGAAGAGCAUCGGCCCAAAAACGAAGGGCAUCGAAGCUUGAAGAAGAUUUCGGAUGAUAUUAGUUAAAUGUCUAUGUUUUUCCUCUCUGCUGCACCAUUUUGUUGUGGUGUAUGAGGACAAGAAAACCUAUGAAUAAUCCCAUUCUAUAAAAAUAAAGUAGAAAAUUUAUCAUUCACAUACUCCGUACCAUUGUCAUAUUGAAAAGUUUUAAUUUUUCGAUAAAAUUUCAACCAUCGCCUUGAAAUUUUUCAAAAACCUCAUGUUUAUAUUUUAGAAGAUAAACCCAAAAAUAUCAAGAAUAAUCAUUCACAAAAAUUACAUAAUACUUAUAGCCAGAAAAUCGAAGGAACAAGAGACUGUCAUAUAUCAGAAUGAACAAGUUGAAAAGGAAAAGCAGAUUUUGAGUCAGAAUCAGUAAAAGACAGUUUGACAUGUUUUCCUAUGUGACAUGCAUUGCAAAUAGACAAAUUUAUUCCAGAACUACCAUUAGUAAUAUUAUUUGCUUUAACAAACUUUGAUGGAACAGAUAAACUAGGCUGACCUAAACGUCUAUGCCAAAUAUCUCCACUAAACCUAGAUGCAACACAAGCUAAUAGUUGUUUAUUCCCUAUAAUUGCAACUCGAGAAGAAAUUGGAUAGAGUGAAGUGCUCGAAAUACGGCAUCUGUGAAGCUUCUUCCCUGUUUCCUUGUCCUUUACAGCAAAGCUAGAUGAGUCAAAUUCAAAAAGAGAUUUGUUAUCAUGGCAAAAUUGACGAACACAGAGUAAAUUUCGUUGAAUAGAAAGAACAAUAAGAACAUUCUUGAGACAAAGGAAGUGGAAGCAGUUUUCAAAUGUGUUUCACUUGUCUAAGUAAUAUUCAGCAAAUUUUCAUUACCAGCUAGAAUCUUAUCUUGCCCAGUAUAAUGUUUAGAUGGUAAGAGAAUAUCUGGAUUAGCAGUCAUAUGAUUGGAUGCUCUAGUGUCGGGAUACCAAACCUCCUCACUGGGCUCAUGGAGGCUUAUGGCAAUGAAAGUUUGUGGGAUAUCAUCUGCAAUGAAGGAAUGAUUGAAACAAUGCAUACAUUGAAGACCAGAGUGAUGAAAUUUACCACAGAUCUGACACUCUGUGCCAGAUCGGGAGACAGUAGACUGUCGAUUAAAUUGGUUAUGGCUAGGUUGAGGAUGUGGAUAUGCUCCAUAAGAUCCACGGCUAGGAUUAGAGUUAUGUCUACCACGUUGUUCUCGGCCUCCACGAUAUCUACCCCCACGACCUCCAUGGUUGUGUUGACCACAAUUUGUAUAGAAGGCUUCACCAUCAAUAGGAGAAGUUAUAGGUGGUGUCGUCAAGAUAGUACGACGUUGAACUUCAGUUUCUUCUUGCAUAAGGAGUGGGCGAAGGUGUUAGAAGACAGAUUUUUGCAAGGUUUAAAGUGCUGUGGCACGGGGGCGUGCCGCUCUUUCCCUGGCACGGUACGGCACGGGCACGCUUUCGUGCCGACACGUGGUACGCGUGCGUGCCGAUGGAUACGCAUGACCUCCUACUGGCACGCUUUGGCACGGACUUAUUUAAGUUUUUUUUGUUCCAAUAAGGCUUUAUAAUGUUAUUUUGAAAGAUUUAGACAAAUAAUUAUUAAUAUUUGCUAUGUAUAGCUUACUAUACUCAUCAAUUAACAUGCAUGUAAUCAUUUUGUAUAUAAAGUACAACUAUACCUGAUGUAGAAUAGAAGUUAAAAUUCUUUUGUUUUUAUUUGAAAAGUACAACUAUUCUUUUGUUUCUAUAUAUUGAUUCGAUUAGGAAAUAUAUAAUGACUAGAACAACCAGAAUAGUACCGCAACUACCUUUAUUUUUUUUUCUUUAAAAAAAAUAUAUUGAUCAAAAUUUGUUUAGAAAAUCGAUUUUUGUUUCCCUGAUUCACCGAAAGUUUUGCGGUGCGACAAAUUUUGACAAAAUUUUUUGUGAAGAAAAAAUGGAUGUAUGUGGUGGAAGCGGAGGGCUCGCCCCCCGCGUGGGUGCGGGGGGCUUCGCCCCCCGCGGUAUGGAUCGGAUAAGUAAGAAGUUAAAUUAUAAGUUUUUAAUUUAAUAAAAGAAAAGGCAAAAAAAAAAAGAGUUGACAAAAAGGCAUCACAAUGUCAAAAAAAUAAGAGAAAAGUGAAAAAAAUGCAAUAUAGAUGGCCUGGGAAGGGAGGGGGGCGUCCGUAUCCAAGAGAACAAAAAAAAAAGCCAAAAAAAAAAACCAGCGGCAAGCCGAUACGUGCUGGCGGCACGCUGGUGCGUGCCGCUUUGUCUCGAGCGGCACGCAACAGCGUGCCGCGAGACGUAGCGGCACUUAAAACCUUGGAUUUUUGUUUUGUGUGUAUUAAGAGCACUUACAAAGCCUUUAUAGUCCUCUGGUAGUCCUAGAAGAACAGUCAUGGCCAAAUUAUGAUCAGACUUGGGUUCACCAAUUGCUUGAAGGGCAUCACCUAUUGACUUGAUUUUUUGCAUAUAGUCAGUCAUCCCUAUUGAUCCCUUUUUGAUACUUCAUAACUUAGAUUUUAGAGAAAAGACCGUAGAGGCUACCUUGUCAAGGAAGUAUGCCUCAUGACUUUCCACGCUUCACAAGCUGUUUUAGGUGAGCUGGAUAUGACCAUCUGCAGAAUACUAAGGGAUAGAGAAGCAUUAAUCGAGGACAGUAUAGUUGUGUCUAGAUUAAAUAUUUAGGAUUCAUAGUUAUUUUCUUAUCAGCGGCUUCAAUAACUUGAGGAGGAAUAAUAGUGGUCCUAGUCACAUGUGAGAAAAUAUCAAAACACUCUAAAAUAUUAAGAAAAACUUGUUUCUACACUAAAUAUGUGGACUUAGUGAGUUUUAACGACACAAGAUUUUGAUAUUAAUGACUGGGAGAGUAGAGGUUGAUGAAAAUAUAUUUGCCACCACAAGAGGAGCCAACCGACACCAAGGAAGCAAUAGGGAAGUCGAGAGCCCAAGAUAAGCCGCACCAAAAACACUAGAAAAACAAGCGGGGAGAUCAUUGAGAGACAAAAAAGAGAUCACAAAUAGGCCGAAAUUACUGUAGCAUCAGUAUUGUAGUGCUGAAAUUACUGUAGUGCUGGUACUGUGGCAGUAAGGAAAAUUAUCAUGAGAGAAGAAAAGGCAAGAUCAAUGCCGAUGAGAUCCGACGAGUGAGAAGGGUGGCACUGGAUCGCUAUACCCUAGAGUUAGGGCUUGGCUCUUAUACCAUGAAAGAUAGGCCAAAGAGUUUGACCCUUUUGGAUUUCAUUGAUGUGAAUAUACAUAAAAUUACAAGAGGUGUAUACAUGGCAACUUUCAUUACCAUAUUAACUUAUACUAUAUAUAGAAUAUACCAUAUAUGUCUCGUUAUACAUGUAAUGUAAUAUAUGCAUGCUAAAUAUAUCCUAACACUUAUGUUUCUCUGUAAAACUUGAAACAUUCACACCUGUGCAAGUAGCACAUAGCGCGAUUAAACUUCUGAUUGAACUAUUGAAGUAGUUAUAAUUUUCAUAUCUAGUACUUGUGUACUUCCAUAUUCGUGAUGUAUUUCUAGUUAAAAUGGCAUUUUUAAUUUUGGUAUAGAGAUUGCGGGUUUACCAACAGAGGUGUGAAUCUAUUGAAACAGUAGUUUAUCCAUACACAUCUUGCCAAUAUGCUUGGGAUGAGCCUUGCUACCCUCAUCGUCUUAUAAUUGAGGUAUGCGAAAAUGAUUAUUUCGUUCUUACAAAAAUUGCCAUAGUUGUCAUUGUGUAUACAAACAUUUUUCGUAUGUUGUUUGUUAGGUGCCUGGGGAGCGAAUAUUGGGAAACUACAGUCUUGAUGAUGUAAAUCAAUACAUGCAUGUGAAUAUCCCUUCAACAUCGGAGGUACUCAUGUCCUUACGUUGUAGGGACUUCUUGAAGGAUUAUCAAGCACCUGAAUCAUAUUUCUACUGCUUUAUAGUUCUAACCAUAUUAACAUUUAUCAAGUUUCUCUUAUAGUUGCACUGGGAUGACAGUAUCGAUUUCGAGGAAUGCUUUAAAAACAAUUAUUGCGACACACUAGGAAACUAACAAAGAAAGUGCACAGCGAAUAUUGUCUUCUAAAGAAGCUUUUUGUUUAAUUACCUUGUUCUAGUGUCUGAUAAAUCUGUGGUCCAAUCAGAAAAAUUUUGAAAAUUUCUAUUGAAUUAAUUUUUUUACUAUUUUGCUGAAAAUUUGCUUCCAAAACUGCCUAGUAGUAUUGACAAUUAUUAGCUUUACAAUAAUUCCAUUCUUAUAUAUGUUUCCAUUUCCACUUCGGGUGGCACUGAUAUUUUACUUAGUUUGGACUGCAUCCUAUCUUGGCCAGGUCAUGUCUCAAUUUAACACAUCAUUAUUAUUUUACCAAUCUUAUAUUAUGGUUUGUGUCCACUAUUAUAAAGUAAUCAUGACCAUCCAGCAUGUGUAGAUCUAUUACUCAGCCGCACACAACUUCUCUUACUUCCAUAAAUGUCCUUUUACGGGCUCUGAACUCACCUUCUACUCUGGAGUAAAUUUGGAAACAGAAAGGGCACUUAAUUGCCCCCAUUGCUUGGGGAGGGCAUUAUUUGUGAGCAUUUUUACAGUGAUCUUCAGUAAGCCGGCGUAUCAGAAUAUAUUUUAGUGUAUCCUGCAUUGCAAACUACUCCUAACAAUGAGAAAAGCUGGUAUUUAUCUCAUUCAAUCAUCAAUUGAGUAUCUAAGAGAAACUGUGCGUGAGGUUUAGAAUUUGUCAGAGCAUCUUACAAAAUCAUGAAAUGCUGGAUAAAGAAACUUUUGUCACUAGUAAGAUAGAUCUUGCAUCUUACUUUUCAUGCACGAUUUACUAAUUUUCAGAAGCUUCUGAUAUGCCUUUGCUAAAACUGUAUCACUUUGAGCUUAUUAUUACCUUCUUUUUGACUUUUAAUUUUGUUUGCAGAAAUCUGAUAGAAGACUCUGUAUCUCGGUGCAUGCAGAAGGGGCUAUCAAGGUAGUUCUUAAAUCUUUGCAUGUUUAUAUGAAACGCAAAUUCAGUCUUGCUAUUUAUUAUUGACCUUUCCUUAUGUUCAUGAACUACAGGUGCUGAAUGUUGUUGAUUCAACUUGUCAUUCUAUAAAGGACAUGGAAGAAAUUGGUUUUCUAGGAUUCAAAGAAAGAAUGGAUGUUGAUCAGAAACAGGAAUAUCAAGUUAAUUUCAGUGAGACUCUGACAAUACAGUUGCCAUUUAUUGGGAUAUCAUUGAUAAGCUCUUCUCCUCAGGUAGAUUGUUUGUCUAAUUUGGUUGAUUAUAAUUAGGUGUAAAAAUUAGCAUAACAGCACCUAUUACGGAAUGUUUAGCCAGUUUUUUCUGAUUAGUCUGGGUGUUCUAAAUAGCGUCCGCCGUCCGGUAUGGCCAGUUAGCCGCUAUAGCAGUAGUUGAGCAUAAACACUACGUUAUGUGACAUAAGAUAGAAUUUAGCAGAUUAGGAUUAUAGCAACCACUACAGAAGCCAUAAUGGCUGCUAUAGCUGGUCUUUUUCUCAAGCCCCAAAUACUUAAAGAUUUAGGCAGGCUGAUUUUGGUCUGAAAUCAGUAAAAACUUGAAAAACUAUUUGAUUGAAGGUAAUGAAGUAAUUAGUGGGUACCAAGGGAACUAUUCAGUCACAUUCCUUGUGGAGACCAAAUGAGAAAAUUGGGGUUUCCCUGAAAAGCACAGUGGGGGCCACUGAGGAUCACCAGGCCUGCAAGGAUCACCAUAUUAAGGAGAAAUAUAAUUAGGAAUAUAGAUGUAAAGAAAUUUGUAAGUAAUACACUUGCAUAUUUGGAACUGAUAUAUUUUUUUUUAUCAUGUUAACUACAAAUGCAAUCAGGAAUAUAAGAAUUUAAGUAAUUACUAAUUUAUAUCCCAUUAUGGGUUUAUAGCUGCUGCUAUGGCACCUGCUAUCUACUAUAAAACCCCUCAAAAGUUGUGUGCCCGCUAUGCGCUAUAUGCAACCUUGAUUUAUUUUUAACUUUGCAGGAGUUGCUUUUUGCUUGUGCGAAGAUGACCACAAUUGUUGCAAUGCGAAGUUUGGAUCAGCAAAAGAUUUCUCUCAAAAUAGGAUCUAUUCAAAUUGAUAAUCAGUACUCCGAUAGUCCGCAUCCUAUCAUGCUGUCUUUUGACAAUAAAUACAAGGGAAGAUCCUUCUUCAGAAGUAAAGAAAUGCAGCUGGGGCUUCAAAAUGGUUAUAUGAACUAUUCUAGUUCUGACACUACACUCGACCCUAUCUUUUAUGUAGCUGCCUCCAAAUGGAGGAUUAGAGAUACCUCAUUGGAUUCUUAUGAAUACAUAAAUAUAUGGUAUGUUUCUUUUGUUGUUUUAUAAUUAUAUGGUCUCUCUUUCUCUCUCGCACAAACCUGAACUUAAGUAACUUGUGUAUUACAGUUUGGCCCCUUUGUGCAUCGAGCUUGAAGAACGAGUUCUUUUCAGUUUGGUUGACUUUUUUAGAGCUGUUUAUACGAGACUACAAGGCCGAAGCCUAGGAAAAGAAAUUGAACUGUGGAUUCCAGAGUCUAUUACUGAUGCUUCAAAAGAGUGCCUGGAAAAUGUCAGGGAGUAUAGGUACAAAAGUAUGUUAAGAGAUUCCGACUAUGUCGAAGGACAGAAUAAGAGUGGAUUACUCCCUUCUGUUGUUCCUAUUGGAGCUCCUUGGCAACAAAUAUACCUUUUAGCUAGAAGGCAGAAAAAGUUAUAUGUGGAAAUGUUUCAGUUGGCCCCUAUAAAGUUAUCUUUAAGGUGCUAUUUUCUCUUCUAGAUUAUUUUGUUGGCUGAUAAUAGAUUUUCUCUACUUUUCACAUAUUUUUAGCUUCAGUUUCAAUGAUCUAGGAUAUAUGUUCACACUUUUUCAUUUAAAUAAUCAGUAUCUUUGAAUAACUUCUUUUCUUAUGUUAAAGCUUUACUAGCAAUCCGUGGAUGACUCAAAGUGAAGUAGCUUCAGAGAUGGAUACCAGGUCUCGCAACAGUAGUACCACUAUACAGGUGAAAAUGCUUCUUGCUUUUUGAAGGUUACUGCUCAGCUAUUACUUACAGUGUGUAAAAUUCUUGUAUUUUGAUGUUUAGCUAUCGAUAGCGAAGGAAGAUAUUUAAUUGAAACUCUUGCAUUAUGUUGAAUCUCGCAGAAAUGAUUCUUUUUAAUAGAUUGUCUAUUAACAGUGUUUGGUAAGGGGAUAGGGAUAGGGAUAGGCCCUUAUCCCCCCUUUUAUACCCAAACGCUAAUUUUUUACCCGAGAACAAUAGUUCUCGGUUACCUAUAAUAACGGGUUAUAACUAUCCCCACCAACACCUCCAUUUUCUAUAUAAAACUACCUAAUAUUUUUCUUAUUCCAUAUUAUCUAUCCAAACGCUAUUUUUUUUUCUCCCCGGGAACAAUCCAAUUUUCAUUCAAACGCUAGUUUUCUUAUCUCCAUACUUGUACCUAUCCCUGUUAUAGCUAGUUCUUGCUUAUAUCCGAACCAAACGGUACUUAGGGAAUUACAGAAUUCCAUCAAACUGUCCCACUAAUCAGUAUUCAAUUUGUUCUGUUUCUAUUUGGGUUGCCUGUUUGGUAUGACAUGUCCUUAGUCAUAUCACUUGGUUUUGUACUAUGUAAUUGAAGUUACAAAGAGUAGAAAAUAUAAGAGGAGAUCAACAUGAUAAGUGGUAUAGUUUUAUCUACUUAAGUUGGUCUUCUAAUGUUUGUGAUUUGAACUCGAGCAUGUAAACUCCGUUGUAGGAAUUUUUAUAGAACUGUGUGAUAACAUUACAAAAGAAUAAAUGAAUGUCUUCUUAAAGAUGUCAUAAAUAUCAAGCUAGUUAAAAUGGUAAUAUUUAAAUAUUUUAAGGUGCCUUAAUAUACUUUUCUUAACACUAUAAUGGUGUAAAUUAUUCAAUGGUACAUAGCAGCAUUAUGGAUGUUGGAUGGUAGGGAGGAGAUUGUAAACUCAUGGUGGGCAUUGAGUAUUUGCUAUCACUUCCUGUUUUCUUAGUAGAUUAAAACUCGAUAUUCAUUAUGCAAUCAAUAAAAUCACGUGAAAUUAAUCCGAAAGUAAGUUUUGAGAACCAGAUAUCACCAAAGAUCAAUAUGAAGCUGAGAGUAUUAAUAAAUGAGUGAAAUUUCUAACAUUGUAUAUCACCAAAAGGAAAAUACAUCCCUCUUAAUGUGCUACCUUUCUCUUUCUUUCCCUUCUAUCUCUCUUUAUUUUCUAACUCAUGGCAAAUUAAGAGUUUUCCUUAGGCCCUUUGUGGAAUGAUGUUAUAUGAUGUGUUCAAAUUAUCAUGAGUGCCAGAAUGUGGCUGACGUAGUAAUUCUGAUGCACGAGUGCCACAAAUUAUUGAGCCAUACUAACACAUAUUAAGGUGUGCCGCGAUGCAUUAAAUUUUGCCAAUUCAGUAGCUAAAUGUUUCUUUGCACUGUAUGAUCUUUUUAGCAAACAUCUACACUACAACUCAGAAAAUAUGGAUUAAGGAUUAAAGUGCACAUCGGCACGGACCGUAUUUAUCGUGCCGUAUCGUGCCAGCAAGAUAUCGGCACGAUACAGCCCCCGUGCCAAUGGCAUAACUCAAAACCCUCUAUUCUUGAAAUUAGUAAGUAAUUUUCUCAAUAAAGUUCAAAAGAUUUGAUAAAAAUAUAUAAUAAAUAAUUGGCAUAUUUUGAUGCUAAAGAAAAUAAAUAUUUCAUGCCGUUACGUGUCGAUACACAUAUUUUUUGUGAUCGGCUCUCAUCGGCACGGCCCGGCAUGCACCGUGCUAUACCAUGCCGGCAAGUUUCCGGCACGAUCCCGUGCUACAGCACUUAAAUCCUUGAUAUGGAUCUUAAUUAUAAUUAAAUAUAAGCCUGAAAACACAAGAAAAGGAUAAAAAUGCACGCCAAUUUGUGAGUCUGUGAGAGCCAGGAUUUAAGUGCCGUAGCACGGAGUCGUGCUUGAAACUUGCCGGUACGGUACGGCACGGUGAGUGCCGAGUCGUGUCGAUGCGUUCCGGUAAAAAAAAUUCUUGUGUGCCGACACAUAAUAGCAUUAAAUAUUUAUUUUCUUUAGCAACAAAAUAUUCUAACUAUUUAUUUUGUCUUUUUAUCACAUCUUUUGAACUUUAUUGAGGAAAUUACUUAUUAAUUUAAAGAAUAGAGGGUUUUGAGCUGUGCUAUCGGCACGGGGUCUGUAUCGUGCCGGUAUUUUGUUGGCACAGUGUAUACGGCCCGUGCCGACGGGCACUUAAAACCUUGUGUGAGAGUGAUUGUCCGUGCCAUCAGCAUGCAACACCGUGUCGGAAAUAGUGUCAUUUAUCACGGCUGUACCUUGCCUACCAGCUUUUGUCAUGGAAGCAUGCUUUUGCAAGGGCGAUCCUUGAUACAAAUUACUAUAUGCUUGUUCUAGAUUUUGUGGUUAUCACUAACACGACUUCCUUCUUACUGGUAAAUAUUAGAAAAUUUUGCUUAUAUCUGGGGAAACUUAGAAAACAACAAUACAGCGAUUAAGAAGUUCGAAAUGAAGAUUGUAAAGACAUGUUUUAUAUCUGUUAACUUGAAGAUAUUAAAGAUUUAAGUCAAUAAAAAGGUCUCUCUAUAUCCAAACUCAAAAAGUUCUCAAGUAUAUCUUUUCCUAUUGCAUGUUAGUAAUAAGCUCAGAAUAUAUGAUUGCCAUACCUCUCUCAAAUUUUGCAGAUGCUUACUCCUCUUGAAUGUUUUAACCACUGUUUUGUAUUUUAGUGGGCAAGUUGACACUCAUUUUUUUCAAUUUUAAUUUUGUUUUUGUACUUUGACUUCUUUAAUCUAGAAUUUUCUUUGCAUUAUGCUUUGUUCUGCUGUAGAGAGGUCUGAUGGCCCUUGUUGAUGUCGAAGGAGUUCCUGUUCAUCUUGGAGAAUUAAAGUUGGAAAAUCUGAUGGCUAGCUGGAAAUCAAUCCAACAGAUUCUUGCUAGUCAUUAUACGAGGCAGUUGCUUCAUGAACUGUACAAGGUGAAAUGGAUUCUGCUAUCUGGUUAUUCACUCACUAAAUUGUACCUUCUGUUCAAUUUUGGUUACCGUCUCUUGUUCUUAUCCUCGGUGUAUCUUUAAAUAGUUCCUAUUCACCUGUUAAAAUUUUCAUUUGUAUACUAAUGAAAUCUGUACUUGUUGCCCUAGUUGUUUGAUGAACCUAUCUAUGCAUGCAUCCAUGGGCUUUAUAAACUACUUGAUCAUUCUUUCACUUAGUAUAUUGGCUCACGCCAUCAUUGGGAUUGAAAACAGGCCUAGUAAAAUUAUACUUUCUCAGAGAUGAAUGCCACAUGUGCCUCCUGUAGCCAUUAUCCAACACUUUCUAUCUGAAUGCAGAUACUUGGUUCAGCUGGUGUUAUAGGAAAUCCUAUGGGUUUUGCACGGAAUGUCAGAACCGGUUUCAAGGACUUCAUAUCUGCUUCGAGCAUAGGGGUCUUGCAGGUGUGAAGCAAUUAUUAUUAUUAUUAUUAUUAUUAUUAUUUUCCUUCUUUUUAAUUGCCUGGAUCAUACGUAUUCCAUAUAAUUAUUUGAUGGCCAUCUUCAAUAUUUUUAUUCUCAGAGUCCUGCUGAACUACUCACUGGAAUAGCACAAGGCUCGAAAACUCUUUUUAAUAGUACUGUCUAUGCCAUAAGCAGUACUACUACUCAGUUCACUAAAACAGCUUACAAGGUAACAUUCAAUUCUGUGAUUCAACCAGACCGCAGAAAAACUUUUCGACAACACAUUAUAACCUUUUCUUCUUCUUCUUCUUCUUCUUUUUUUUCUUUUUUUUUUUUUUCUUUUUUUGCGCAGGGCAUUGUUGCCUUUACUUUUGAUGAACAAGCUGAAUUGGAUGAGCUGAAAAAUCAUUUAGAUUUACAUGGCAAGGGUGUACUGAAUGGGCUUCUGGAGGUGUAAUUCGUACCUUAUCUUUUGAAUAGAUUGUCCUCUGUGACAAUAAAUUUUGUGCCUAAUGAACAUUUACUGGCAUUACUAUAUUCAUUUGUGGGAAAACAUGCUUAGCAGAAUAUCAGAAAUUUGAUACGGUGGAAUAUAAGAAGAGUGCAACUUUUCUGUGUUCAGAAUUGGUCUACAAUUUACUUGUUGGAUUAUUACAGCUGUUAUUUGACAAAUAAAAUUUAAACUAUUUAACAGGACUUUAGCUAUUAUCUUUUUAUCCUAAUAAAUCUUAUAUAAGGUGGCAUAGCGCCGUGCCGCGGCAAGCAGUGCCGUGCCGCACAAGACAGGGCGGCACAGCACAGUAUGCCACAUCGGGACUGCUUUUUUUUCUUUUGCUUUUUUUUUUUGUUUUUUUUGUUCUUUGGGGUAUCCAAAGCAUUCUGGGUACCCCACACCCUCCCAAAGGCAUUGCAAAUCGAAAAUUUACUUAUUAGGUAAGUCAAAAAAUUAUAAUUUAUUUUUUUUUGUUUAUCAAUAUACGGGAAAAAGAUUUGUCGGAGCCCUCCGCUUCCACCACAGACAUCUAUUUUUUCUUCACAAAUUAUUUUAUCAAAAUCUAUUGCACUACGAAAUUUUUGGCGAAUUAAGGAAACAUAUCAAACUCAAUAAACAAAUUUUGAGCCACAUCAAAUAUAAAAUUUUUCUUUUGCGCUAGAAGAUUGAAAAUACUGAUAAAAUUAAAAGCUAAAUUAAAUCAAUUGAUACUUAAAUUUAUUUAAUUUAUUUGUUAUAUAAUUUAUUGCUUAAUUUUUUGAUAGAUCUAUUAAUUUUUUUUUUUGUAUUUUAUAAAAGAAAGACUGUAAUAUGGUCAAAAGAAAAAAAGAAAACAAACAUCUUUGCAUUUUAAAAAUUUCAACUUGUAAAACUUUCUAUUCUGCAUCAGAUAUAAUUGUACUUUACAUACAAAAAAGUUUACAGGCAUAUUAAUUGAUAAGUAUAGUAAGCUAUACAUAACAAAUAUUCAUAAUUAUUUAAUUAAAUCUUUCAAAAUAACAUUAUAAGAGUUUAUUGGAAUCANAGAAAACAAACAUCUUUGCAUUUUAAAAAUUUCAACUUGUAAAACUUUCUAUUCUGCAUCAGAUAUAAUUGUACUUUACAUACAAAAAAGUUUACAGGUAUAUUAAUUGAUGAGUAUAGUAAAUAUACAUAACAAAUAUUCAUAAUUAUUUAAUUAAAUCUUUCAAAAUAACAUUAUAAGAGCUUAUUGGAAUAAAAAAAACUAAAAUAAGUCCAUGCCAAAGCGUGCCAGUAGGAGGUAAUGUGCAUCCAUCAAUACGCAAGCGUACCAUGUGUCAGCACGGAAGUGUGCCGGUGCCAUACAGUGCCCAUGCAGACAGCGGCACGCCCACGUGCCACGGCGCUUUAAACCUUGGUGUUGACAUUAGAUUUCAAUUUGAUUACAAAUUUCAUGUGAUUUCAUUACAUUGCAGAAAUGAUUGUUUCUAUGUAUUAUUAGUUAUCAAACCUUUGUGUUGUUGCUCUCUGCAAAACUGCUAUGUGGAAAAACAUAGCAGAAUAUCUGAAAAUUGAUAGAGUGAAAUAUAAGAAGAGUGCAACAGCGCCUGUUUGUUCAGAAUUGGUCGACAAUUUACUUUUUGGAUUCAUACAAUUGUUAUUUGACCAAUAAAAAUAAAAUUAAUUUAUAACAGCUAUUACGGCUAUCUUUCCUCCGAAUAAAUAUUAUGGCUGUAAAAAGAAUUUUUAUUCUCACGUGUUUGAUGUUAUAUUUCAAAGUGAUUACAAAUUUCAUUUGUUUCGGUACAAUGAAGAAAUGAUUAUUUCUUUGUAUUGAUUAUCAAAGUUUCUUGUUACUCUCUCAAACAAAUCAAAGUGAUUUUCUUUUUUUUCUUUUUUUUUUUAUAUACGAACUUAUAUUAGUGUAUGUAUUAGCUUGUUACAAAUAUUUAGUCACAUUAGUCUAUGUAUUAGCUUGUUAGUUUUACCUUCUCAUUUUUCAUUUCUUGCUCCUAUGGUUAGUCAAUGCAAUUGGGGUUGUGUAUGAUCCAUUUUUUGCAGAAACUGCUGUUUUGCUCGUGAUCAUGCUUCUAUUUUUUCGAUUUCCUUCAAUUCUCUCAUCUAAUCUAGAUCUCAACUGUUGUGCAGGGUCUAACUGGGCUCCUCCAAUCCCCAAUAAGGGGUGCUGAGAAGCAUGGCCUUCCAGGAGUUGUUUCAGGUACUUCCGUUUAUGGAAACCCUACUAUUUAUUUCCGUAGCAUUCGUGUACUGAAAAACACUAAUUCUUGUUCCAACAGGAAUAGCAAUGGGUACUGCUGGACUUGUGGCGAAGCCAGUGGCCAGCAUUCUCGAAGCCACAGGAAAAACUGCACAGAGCAUUAGGAAUCGAAGCAAUCCCCAUCGAUUCAAUUACUUUCGCGUCCGUUUCCCACGGCCUUUGACAAAAGAGCUGCCUUUGUUGCCAUACUCGUGGGAAGAAGCCAUCGGAGUGUCAAUGCUCGUACAAGCAGAUGGAUGCAGGCUUAAAAACGAAACUUUUGUUCUGUGCAAAGCACUGAAACAGUCGGGGAAGUUCAUUAUCCUUACCGAAAGAUUACUUUUGGUUGUUUUUUGCCCUUACUUAGUCGAUCUAGGAGCAUCGGCCUUUAUUGGUGUUCCUCCUGAUCCAGAAUGGGUGAUAGAAACAGAGAUGAAUCUGGAGAGUGUGGUUCACAUAGAUAGGUCAGAGGAGGUGGUGAAUAUUGUUGGAAGCACUGCAGAGACGCUACCCAAGCAGAAAAGAGGUGGUGGCACAAGGAGUAAUAGGCCAUGGAGCCUGCCUUCCACUUCUACACCUCUCUUUCACGCAAGUGUGGAAUUGCCAAAUAAUGAAGAAGCUGAGGAUGCUCUACAGGUCGUUCUGUCUGUGAUAGAAAAAGGAAAGAUGCGAAGGUGGGGUCUGCGUGUUGUGCAUCGAAGUAAUCUAGGCUGAGAGUGCCUUGCUUGUACUGCCUAUCGUAAGAAGAUCCUUAUGCCGCACUGACACCUGAACUUGUUCGUAUCCACUGCAGCUGUAAAUCAGCAUAAGGAGCUGUAGAGUGUAAAUAGAUAGAAAUCAUAGGAAAAAGACCAUUGUAAUUGUUAUAGAGAAAAGAAAGGUGAGCUUUUGAAGUUUAUACAGCUAUAACGAAUUGAAACAGCUUUUCUGUACAUAAAUAACAAUUAGUUGUAGACUUCUAGCUUUUUUGUGCAUAAUAAAAGCGGCAGUAUGUAUCGGUAUAUUCCUGCGGUUGUCUUCCUUUAGAGAGAGGCUGUUGUACUCCUUGCGGUUCUCUCCCUUUAGUGCGGCUAAUGCACUGUGUGUUCUUCUUUGUUUUACUCUUUUGUGGUCUUCCCUUAUUUAAAUCGUUUAAAUAUAUUUGUGUUCAUUCAAGUUAAUGUUCACUAAAUUGUUAGUUGAGGACGUGGGUAUAUGCAAAUGUAGGGUGGUCCUCCCAGCUUUUUACGAAUUAAAAUUUAGUUUUUACGAUGACUCCAGAGGAAGAUUUCUCCCUUCUAACCUUUCUGAUAUUUCGUAUAAACGUAAUGUCUGCGACUACUAAUGACUUGUCUCACACGAUUAAUCUUUUUUGACUUUCUGUGCGGUAGUAUUCAUGAUUCAGAUUAAUACUUAAAUAUGUAUAUGAGUAUCACGUAUUGAAGAUUCAUGGCUUGCAGUAGACACAAGCAUUGACGGUUAAUUACCCUUAUAAAAUGUUAAAACACUUUCGAUUAAGAGACCUCUAAAAUGUUGAUAAUGAAAUAGAUUGAAAUCAAAUAAAAUAUGAAUAUUAUUAAAUAGGUUGCUAUACAAUCACAUGGCUUAACUAGAGGCAUACCCCCAAUGUAAAUGAAUAGAACAUAAAUAUGAUGGUCAAUUGAAUUUGGGGCCGCACAGUUUAACGACAUGACUAUCGAUUUGAGUUUGAUUUUGAUUGCACCUCAGUGAUGCUAAGAUUGACUCUCUCUCUCUCUCUCUCUCUCUCUCUCUCUCUAUAUAUAUAUAUAUAUAGUAGGGCUACUGUGCUAUUAGGAGCACAGCAGCCCUUGUGCUCCAAACUUUCUAACCACCCAUCAAGUUUGAUGGGUGGUUAGAAUGAGAAAGGGAGGAGAUAUUGAAGAGAAAUUUAAGGAUAAGAGAAAUUGAAACACUCAAUUUCUCCCCAAUAUCUCCUCCCUCUCUCAUUCUAACCACCCAUCAAACUUGAUGGGUGGUUAGAAAGUUAGGAGCACAAGGGCUGCUGUGCUCCUAAUAGCACAGUAGCCCUACUCUAUAUAUAUAUAUAUUUUUAAGGAUUUUUUUAAGUUGGCGGAUUUCGUGAAUCGAAUGAAGUCUUGAAGAGUUGAAGACAAAGGUUGAAGAGACGAUUGUGUAAUUCAAGAUUAAAAGACUCGUUCGUGAUGCUCGAAAUCUUAGGUAUGAAUGUUAAUAAUUUGUGGUGAGAUUCUGUAUUUAUAAAAGUGUUUGGAAGACUUAGGAUGAUUUUAAAAUGUAAUAACUGGACAAAACUGAGCCUUUCAAGGUUCAGGGUCUGGUCCCUGGACAGAGGGACCGGACCCCGUAGGUCCUCUCUACUUGAAGACUACGAGGGACCGGUCCCUGGACAGAGGGAUCGGACCCCGUACGUUGAAAUUUAUGUUACGUUGUGAGGGAUCGGACCCCGUAGCUUGGUUUUUUCUGAUAUGCAAAGAGAGACCGGUCCCUGGCUUCAAGGAUCGGACCUUGCAGGACCGGACCCUAUGGGAGGUCCGGACCUUGAGACCGUCGUUUGUUUUUAAAAUCGUGUUUUUGAAAUCCUAGUCUAUCUAAAAGUCUUCUAAACCUAUAAAUAAGCUAUGGGGAGUAUCAUAUUAUUUAUGCUUAGAAAGAAAACCUUUUUGAAACCCUAAAAACUCGUUUUGGAGAUUUUUGGUCAAUGUUUUAAAAAUAAGUUUUCGUUUUUCGAUCGCCGACUCGAUUCUUUGGUUUCUAUUCCUAUGUCUCUUUGAGAAUCGAAUCGGUGAUGGAUUGAAAGGUUUCUCCUCGUAUCUUAUUAUCUUUCUAAGAUUUGAAUCACCACAAACUAUUAAUCUCUACGAGCCCCGGAUGGAGCGUUGGCGCGUGGACUUCACGUGAGGCAGUGGAUUCGAUGGAUGCAUCGAGGAUUCGAGGCAUUGUUGCUGCGAGGAUUUGCGGCGUGAUCGGUUGUAGGUCUUCGAUCGAUCGAGGACUGAUGAAGAUGAUCAAAAACGAGGAUUCGGUAAAUUGGGUCGUGUAUUUUGGUAAAUCACUUGUACUCAAUUUUUAAAUAGUGGAUUGUUUCGUGUGAUCGGUCCCGUGGGUUUUUUUCUCCGAGUUGGAGUUUUGCCACGUAAAAUCUUGGUGUGUUGAUUUUAAUUUUUCGCAAUUAGUUUAAAUUUGUAUCGAGAAUCUUUGUUUUAUCGUUUACACCUAUUCACCCCCCUCUAGGUGUUAUUUUCUUUUAGAUCUUUGGGAUCCAUAUCUCACAUAUAACACCUAGAGGAGUAGUCUACUUUCUGCAUUUAUCAUUUUUCUAGGAGUAGUCUAUUUGUAAUUCUUUUACUUUUUCCGCAUUUACUAUCUUUUUUAGGAGUAGUUUGCAAAGUAGAUCUUCCUUCGAGUACGUCAUGCUGGCGUACUCUCUUUUGUAAACAUUUUUUGAUUUUGAGCAAUAUAUAAGCUUUUCGGCUCUUCAGCCGAACUAGAAAUUCCUGUGUAAUCCGUACACUUGGCUGAUUCAGUUGAACCGAAUUUUUUGUGUUGAAUCGAACUCGAUUGAUCCGAUCCCUCAUCAAUUGAAUCGCUUGAUCUGCGAUGGGCGCAAACUUCGAGGGUCAUCAUUUGUAGCCAUUUCAUCUCCUCGCACACUUUUUGAAGGAGGAUCUUUGACCGGGUCAGCGGUCGGAGAAUUCGGCUCGCAGCAGUAUGUAUAUAUAGAGUUGAGCUAGAAUACACUUAAAAGCACCAAUCCAUUGGUGCUUUUAAGUUUCUAACCUUUAGGUCUACCCUUGACAAUUAAUAACCUUUGGAUCAAAUACUAUUCCACCUACCACCAUCAUAAGGGUAGGUAUAGAUGUAGGGCUACUAUACUCUUAUAUAAGAGUAUAGAUGUAUUAUACCGAAACUUCGGUAGGUUAUAUCGGACUUUAGUCAAAUUGACCAAAAUGCGAAGUCGGUCGCUUCGGAACGCUUCGGAAAGCCGGAAAUGCAUUGGAAUGGCACAUAAGGGUGUAGAGGACCCUGGUGGGCACCAUAGAAGAAAUUCAGAAAAUUUCGCAUUCGGGGUGUCUACGGGGUCCGGACCCUGUGCAGGGUCCGGACCCAGUAGCCCAAAACUGCCCAAUGCGGGGCAGUGUGAAAAGGAGCUUGUUGGAGGGGAUUUAGGCAAUUGUGUUUGAGUGGAGUGUACAUGAGUGGUUGUAGCUCAUUUCCUCUCAUUUUCCUCACCUUUACAACCCAAAGCACACACACUCUCUCUCUCUAAGAAGUCUCUCUCUCUCUCUCUCUCUCUCUCUCUCUCUCUCUCUUAGGGGUGGAUCAAAAGGAGGAUUUGGAGGAGAAGGAGGCUAGAGAGUGAGGCAACUACUACUUCUUCCUUGGCUCAAGAAAAGGAAGCUUAUUGAGGUAAGCUUCAUGAGCUCCCAUGGUAGAACUCUAGGGUUUGGUUUAAAUGCUUUAGGAAUGGCUCUAGAUGAAUCUCUAGAUGUUAUCAAGCUUGCUAUUGCUUGAAUCAAAAUGGUUUUAUGUAGUGUUCUUGCAAUGGUAGAUUCUAGGGCUUUGAAAGAGGGCUUUUGACCAUAGAUGAAUUUGAUCUAAAUUGAGCCUAUGUACCUCUAAUUAAAGGUAAAACUGACGUGUUGGGAGACUUGGUUUGAAAAUCUGACGAGUCUACGCAAAGAAAUUGAGGAAAAAGUCUAUUUUGGCUUCAUUUUGCCGCAGUCGAGAGAAUAAGCGUCCAAAAAUCAUAAGAAUCGAAUCGUAGCACCUUAGCAACCCUACAAGGUGGGUGGUGCUAUCCGAAAUCCUUGAAUUUUUUUUUAUGUCUAAAUGUCACUUCUUGAGCAUACUUAUGUAUAUGAAUUUCAUGCAUUGUAGGGUUGAGUUGAGAAUGUAUUGUUGCAUACUUUGAGUACAAGAUGCAUAUGAGAUGAUAGUGAACUAUUGAGAACUUGUGAACCCUAUGAAUGUGUGAAUUGUGACAAGAACCUAGUGAUGUACAGAUGACAUUAUGACAUGAGUAAAGUAGUAGUGUGGCAUUAAUGAGUAUAAUGAAUGCUAGAGUUGAACACUUAAUGUGUGUGGCAUUAAUGAGUCAUGAAUGCUAGAAAUGAGACACUUAUUGGUGUGGCAUUAAUGAGCAUAACAAAUGUUAAAGAAUGAAACACGGUAUUAUGGCAUAUGUGAAUAUAGCAUCCUCAUAGUUGAGGCAUCCUUAUAAUAGUUAAGGGUUUGAUUGAGCAUUACAUCCUUAUAGUUAAGAAUUGGAUUGAAUUUGGUAUCCUUAUAGUUAAGGAUUGGAUCAUACUCGCCUGUAAGUCUUGGCUUGAGGGCGAUCGCACCCCCUCGAGCGAUGCGCUCCGGAGUAGUCAUCACUGGGUUGUAGGAGUCUCCCCAGAGGACGGUCCCGUCGGGUUGUAGGAGUCUCCCCGAUAUUAUGAAUUUGAGUUGGUGAGUUGUAGGCGAAAUCUACGGGUUAACCAAUGGAUUGGGUAUUGGAAAUGAAAUUUGCAUGCAUCAUGAGCAUCCUUUAUUGAUUGUAUCUUGUUUAGGCAUAUUAGCUGCAUUUGUAUAGCUUCGCUACUUAUCUAUUUGCUUAUUUCUUCUAUUAUGCCUGAUUUAGACUAAGUGGGAAAGUCGGCGAGGUCGGCGGUUGUGAUAUACCGAACCUUAGCAAAUUGGCAAGGUUACAGUAUAAGUUUAUGCUUGAUGGAGUUGGAGACGUUUUGCGCAAAAUAGACGUAAAAACGGACUUUGAAACUCAAGAUUUAUAUUGUAGAAGACUAAAGUUGAAUAUUUAGUUAUGGAGGGGCUUGUGGGCAAUUUUGUUUUAUUAAGAGGUGGAGUUCACGUGCUCCCCCAUCCUUAUCCUUCCUUUUGUUGCUUUUUUAUUGCCAAGUUUUAAGCUAGUUAAUUAACAGGGUAGAACUUGGUUUCGUUCAUAUGAGCUAGCGAGCGAGGCGAGCGAGCGAGUGAGUCGAUAGCGUGCACGUGUAAUUUUAGCGUGUCGGUGUCGUGGUUGUGUCGUUGGAGGAGACCAGGCGAGCGUGUAGGUUGCCUUCUUUCGACUUCUCGCCGUUGUUGAACGUGCUUUUGAGGUGGGUUAAUGUUUACCAAAAUCGUCAGUUUUCCUCCUAAGCCGGAGUUGACAGUAUGUAUUUUUGGCUUUGUAUAUCAUGUUUAUUAGCUCGAUUCGUCGAUUUGUAUUGUUCAUAAAUGAAAUCUGAAUUGGAGCUUUAAAUGCUAGUUUUAUUAUACAUGUUGAACUUGGAAUUGACUUAGGAGAAACCUAUAGGUUCUACACUAUAAUUUUCUGAAAACUAUCAUAUUUAGUUUUAGGAGCUGUAGUUUAUUUGUAUCGCCGUAGUUUGUAGCGGUGGAUACGCAGAAUAGUGUCAAAUGAAAUUACGUUCCUACUGGGAUGUCGAGUUUAUUUUUACAGUAGUGUAUAGACGGUUCCGGACUGUCGGGUGCUGUGGUGCUUGACGGUGGACCCAGUUUGCUGUUUGUGCAUCGGAUUAUGCCGAGAGCACGUGAGUUUUGGUGGUUAGACCAGUUUGACCCUUCUGCUUUGAUUGUAGUCUGUGAGAGCCUGAUUGAGCUCGGCAGAGACACGCUUUCAUACUCGGUUCGGUAGCGCCCAUGAGUGCCACUCCGGAGUCGGGUUUUAUAAGUUUGCGUUGGUGUCGUUGUGUUCUGGUUGGACUCGCUCUCCACUGACUACCCAGCGUGGUUGUUGUUAGUGUAGCUUCGACAAGUGGGACGGGUGUGUUCAUAGUCCCUAGUGAGAUUUGGUCAGAGAUUGUAUUUUUCUACAGAUAGUAGUGUUGGAUCAUGAUAGUAUAGUGGCAUAUAGCUGUAGAUUGUUUUCAGUUCCUUUACUAUCCUUGGGCAUACUUUCUGUAGACUUAGUGGGUGAGCCGUUGAGGCUGAUAGCGGUACCUACUAAGAACUACUUCUUUUUGCAGUAGUUCUCUAAGUUUGGCAAACUUUAGAAAGACAAGACGCGAGAGUCGUGAAUUAUCGCGAAAGUCAGCGAUUGAUUUAUUCUAACUCACCCUAGAGCGGAGUGAGUGAUUGAAGGAGUGUCUGUUUCGGUCAGAAAAAUUAUGUCGGCUGCAAACGGCAUAAUUUUGAGUAGAAAUAGGGGUAGUCUUCUAGACUUUCACUUCAUUGGGUCGAGAGUAUUUGUGUUUUGUAUCUAACCCUUAUUUUACUUUCAGGUAGCUAUGUAUUGACGCCGAGAUCAACCGCCGACGCGGGAUCGUACUGCACCUUCAGAAAUGCCUGAGUCGGCAGAGCCGAGUGCACGGCUAGAAUCGAGCGCACCCCUUGAUCUGAAAGAGCAGUUGGUUGCCUUGACUGAGGUGACGAGGCAGCAGGGAGCAUUAUUAUAGAGGAUGUAUGAGACAUUAGCUCCGCCGCAAAGCAUAAUACGGAGAGCACCAGAGCAGUCAGCCCCACUCCCGACUAUUCCAGUGGCCGCACCAGCCGCAGCUGUAACCCCACAAAUGACAGUUCCUAUAGAUCCAGUUACAUCUUCUGGAGAGGUAUCAUAGAUGUCUGAGGCUGAGCAGGAGUGGAUGACUGAGAGGCUUGCUCGUUUUCGCCGUUUUGAUCCGCCGACCUAUGAUGGCAGCUGCAUGGAGCCCUGGGUUGUAGAGGGCUGGGUCAGCGCGACGGAGAAGCUGUUUGAGGACUUGUUUAUUCCUGAGCGGGAGCAGGUACACUUGGGAGUGCACUGCUUGGCUGGCGAUGCACAUUCUUGGUGGAGGAGGAUGAGGCGAGACCGAGGGUUGGUGGCAUUGUAGAUGAAGUGGGAUGAGUUCUGCGGAAUGCUGUAUGGGAUGUACUUUGCAAACAGCGUGAAGCAGAAGCUCAAGGAGGACCUGAAGAAGCUUCAGUAGGGGGAGCGAUCCGUUCAGAAGUACAUCCGUGAGUUUACUCGACUCGUGAACUGUAUUCCAUUUGUAGCCAGAGACGAGAGCCACAGGGUAUAUUUGUUGAGCGAGGCUUGAGACCAGAGAUCUUUAGGUUGGUACAGGUGCAGAGGUUGAGGACCUUGGAUGCGUCUAUUGAGCAGGCUUUGUGCGUGGAGAGCGGUGAUGUGUUGAUUCAGGAGCGGACUCAGGUGCCGGGGUAGAGUCAAGAUAGGAAGCACCCGGUUCCAGAUAACGGAGGACAGUCGAGCAGUAGACGUCCGCCGAGGCCUCCAUGAUCAUGCUCUCAGGGUCGUGGGUCUUCGGGGCCUCAGCGUUCCAGAGGAUCUCGUCAGCAGGGACAGUCGCAGGGAACGCCGCAGUGUGUGAUUUGUGGAGGACCACACUAGCCUCGACAGUGUGAGCAGAGAGAGGGCCGGUGCUAUGGAUGUGGACAGCCUGGACAUAUGAGGGCAGCGUGUCCCCGAGCAGCCUCACAAGCACCAUCGACAGCAUCAGUACCACCGGCACCUUAGCAAUUUUAGGGAGUAGCAUCGAGUUACCGCCAAGAGGAUAGGGUGUCUAUGCCGCGGCAGGGUGAGCGGCGACAGCAGGUCCCGAGUAGCAGGGUAUAUGCAGCUCAGGUGGAGGACUCUACAGCAGCCGACCGGGUGGUGGCAGGUAUCAUUUUGAUUUCUGGUAUUAGAGCCCGUACCCUUUUUGAUACCGGUGCAUCACAUUCUUUUGUUAGUCAAGUAUUUGCAUCAUUGCAUGGUUUAGAGGUAGGGCUUUUAUUGCAUUCACGAGAGGUGCAGAUUCCCGACCAUGUUUUGUAGGUAGCAGACUAUUGUUGGUCGUGUCCGGUGUAGUUAGAUUCUUGGAUUAUACCAGCAGACCUGUUGGUCUUAGGGCAGCUGCAGGACUUUGACGUUGUGCUUUGCAUGGAUUGGCUGGCACGGUGUUAUACUACUAUCGAUUGCAGAGCAAGGACAGUGACAUUCCGCAAGCCAGGCCAGGAGGAGUUCGUGUAUAGGGGCUGCAGGAGUACGCUGUUUGCCACUUGGAUAUCGUUGACGAGGGUGCGACAGCUGAUGAGUAGAAGAUGUGUUGCUUUUCUGGCGAUGAUUGUGGAUGUGCCUACGACGGCACCGGGACUCAAGGAUAUUCCUAUCGUCCGUGAGUUUUCAGAUGUUUUUCUCCCUAAGUUGACGACGAUGCCGCCGGAUAGAGAGAUCGAGUUUGUGAUUGAUAUAGUUUCUGAAACUGCACCAAUCUCGAAGGCACCCUAUCGGAUGGCACCGGCAGAGCUGAGAGAGCUAAAGGCGCAACUGCAGGAUCUUAUGGAUAAGGGGUAUAUGAGACCCAAUGUAUUGCCUUGGGAGCGCUGGUGUUAUUCGUGAAAAAGAAAGAUGGUUUCACUUAGAUUGUGUGUGGAUUAUCGGGAGCUGAAUAAAGUAACCAUUAAGAACAAGUAUUCUUUGUCGCGCAUCGAUGAUCUAUUUGAUCAGCUGCAAGGAUCUGUGUCUUUUCGAAGAUUUAUCUCCAGUCAGGUUACCACUAGUUGAGGGUGAGGGCCGAGAAUGUUCCCAAGACUGCUUUUCGGACUCGGUACGGGCAUUAUGAGUUCACUGUGAUGCCUUUUGGAUUGACGAAUGCCCCUACUGCAUUUAUGGAUUUGAUGAACAGAGUGUUCAAGCCGUUCUUAGAUAGAUUCGUGGUUGUGUUCAUCGAUGAUAUUCUGAUAUACUCCCGGAGUGAUGUGGAGCAUGAGGAACACUUGAGGAUAGUGUUACAGCUUCUGAGUGAGAAGUUGUAUGCUAAGCUGAAGAAGUGCGAGUUAUGGCUUCGGGAGGUUUCUUUCUUGGGCCAUUGAUUUCUGCGGUUGGAGUAGCAGUGGACCCGAAAAAAAUUGAUGCUAUUCGGGAUUGGCCCAGACCGACGACGGUGACUGAAGUGAGGAGUUUCCUUGGACUAGCUCGAUAUUACCGUCGAUUUGUGGAAGGCUUUGCGAAGCUUUCCACACCCCUCACUCGAUUGACUCGAAAGGGAAUUAAGUUUAUCUGGAGUGAGGACUGUCAGAGGAGCUUCGAUGAGUUGAGACAGAGAUUGAUGUCGGCUCCUAUCCUUACCCUUUCAGUGAUGGGGGAAGAAAUUGUGAUUUACAGUGAUGCAUCGCAUAGUGGAUUGGGUUGUGUGCUGAUGCAGCAUGGUAGGGUAAUUACUUAUGCUUCACGAAAACUGAAGAAUUACAAGAAGAAUUAUCCUAUGCAUGACUUGGAGCUUGCUACGGUGAAUUUUGCUUUGAAGUUGUGGCGGCACUACUUAUAUGGUGAGCACUGUGAGAUUUUCACUGAUCAUAAAAGUCUCAAAUAUCUAUUUACCUAAAAGGAGUUGAACCUGAGGCAACGCCGGUGGUUGGAGUUGUUGAAGGACUAUAAUGUUAGUAUUCAGUAUCACCCCGGCAAGGCGAAUGUGGUAGCAGAUGCGUUGAGCAACAAAUCAAUGCAAAGUUUGGGCAUGAUGAUUACUCAGUAGAGGCUGUUACUUGAGGAGCUGUAGCGGUUAAGACUCGAGGUAGUGUCCCCUGGGUCAACUACAAGACUGAUGCCUAUGGUCUUGCAACCCACUCUGUUAGACAGGAUCAGGGAGAAACAGAGUGGAGACUCUCACUUGUUAAGGAUUCGAGAGAAACUGGAGACGGGAUAGGCUGAGGCCUUUUUAGUGGACAGUUCGGGAGUACUGUGGUACAGGGACCGACUGUGUGUGCCAAUGGAUUUAGAGAUCCGAGAGAAAAUUCUGAGAGAGGCUCAUUAUUCACCUUAUACGGUUCACCCUGGUGGAACCAAGAUGUAUAAGGAUUUGAAGGUACACUUUUGGUGGAACGAAAUGAAGAGAGAUAUUGGCAUAUUUGUAGCUUAGUGUCUUACUUGCCAACAGGUAAAGUCAGAACAUCAGUUACAUGCUGGCAAGCUUCAGAAUCUACCAGUGCCCGAAUGGAAAUGGGAGCAGAUCACGGUGGACUUUGUCGUGGGAUUACCGAGAGCACUGGGUGGUUUCGAUGCUAUUUGGGUGAUAGUGGACAGACUGACUAAGUCUGCUCACUUCCUACCAGUACAGAUCACCUGGUCCAGGGAUAGACUUGCUCAGCUAUAUUUGGAUGAGAUUGUGAUGUUGCAUGGUGUGCCAAUCUCGAUCGUAUCAGACAGAGACCCGAGAUUUGUCUCGCACUUUUGGAGGAGUCUUCAGACAGCCUUCGGUACACGGUUGCAUUUCAGCAAGGCGUUUCACCCACAGACGGAUGGUCAGUCUGAGCGGACCAUUCAAACUCUGAAGGACAUGGUGAGGGCAUGCGUCCUGAACUUUAGAGGAGGGUGGCAUCUACAUUUGAGGCUGGCUAAGUUUGCGUACAACAACAGCUAUCAAACGAGCAUUCAGAUGGCUCCGUUUGAAGCGUUGUGUGGACACAGGUGUCGAUCCCCUCUGUAUUAGAGUGAUGUUCGUGAAAGAAAGACUCUGGGGCCUGAGAUUCUGAUAGAGGCUGAGGAAAAGGUUAAAGCUGUAUGACGACAUCUUUUGACAGCCCAGAGUCGACAGAGGAGCUACGCUAACACCAGGAGACGAGACUUGGAGUUCCAGGUUGGAGAUCAUGUGUUUCUGAAAGUCUCGCCGUUCUGAGGGAUACGCAGAUUCGGAGUACGUGGAAAGCUCAGUCCAUGCUUUGUAGGCUCUUUCGAGGUAUUAGAGCGAGUUGGACCGGUAGCCUAUAGGAUUGCUCUAUUCCUACGACUGGCAGGGAUUCAUGAUGUUUUUCACAUCUCGGCAUUGAGGAGAUACGUGUUUGACCCCUCACACGUGAUCGACUUCACUCCGCUGGAGCUUGGCAAGGACUUGAGAUACGAGGAACGACAUGUGCGAAUUCUGGCCCGUGAGUCGAAAAAAUUGCGCAGCCGGGUCAUCCCGCAUGUAAAGGUACAGUGGAGUCAUCACGAGGAGUGUGAGGCGACCUCGGAGCCAGAGACAGUGAUGCGGGAGUCCUACCCUUACUUAUUAGAAACUCAGAUUUGAUAUAUAUUUUAGGUUUCGAGGAUGAAACUUUUUUUUAGGAGGGGAUGAUGUAAUAUACUAAACCUUAGCAAAUUGGCAAGGUUACAGUAUAAGUUUAUGCUUGAUGGAGUUGGAGACGUUUUGCGCAAAAUAGACGUAAAAACAUACUUUGAAACUCAAGAUUUAUAUUGUAGAAGACUAAAGUUGAAUACUGAGUUAUGGAGAGGCUUGUGGCCAAUUUUGUUUUAUUAAGCGGUGGAGUCCACAUGCUCCCCCAUCCUUAUCCUUUCUUUUUUUGCUUUUUUAUUGCCAAGUUUUGAGCUAAUUAAUUAACAGGGUAGAUGUCACGCCCCGGGUCCGGCGAAGGCCCUCCCGGUAGCGUGCCCAGACCCGCCAUAUGUCUACACAUAUAAGGCGUCUACAACAAAAGCGGAAGUAAAAGCAAGUAAUAGAACAAAUAGAAGAAGUGAAAUAACUAGCAACUAAUGAUAUCAGAGCUAGUAAAGUUCUAACGUCUACACCAAAGUAAAUGAGUAAAGCUAGACAAAAAGAGAAAUCAUAAGUAGUACAAUAACUGUCUCUAGUACAAAAAUGGUGGUCUCUAUACAUAUAUGGGGACAACUCUCAACCUCUCACAAAAAGAAAACACGAGAGAUAGACCACCUAUCGAACGAUCCCUCGGUAAGCAGGCUAGCCCGAGGCGAUACCCUUUCCGCGAUCCCUGGCCUCUCCCUGCGUGGAAGGCUCUGAAAAACAUCGAGAAAAAGAGGGCGUGAGAACUAUAAUUUAUAGUUCCCAGUGGGCAAUUACUGACCUCAGCUCUAUGCACCACUAGGCCCCAAAAGAAAAGGGUAAGUACAAUAAUAAUAGCAAUAAUGACUGCGAUAUAAAGGCAUAAUUAAAAUGCUAAAUUACUAAACUCAAGUAUAAACGAUGUCAUGGUGAUGUACAUCUACGAUAUCAAAAUAGUAUGUCAUUAACCUUUAUGAAUACAUUAUGCAUAAGUUCUGUCAUGACAACCAAGUAUGCUUUAAUGCAAAAAAAGAGACUAUCAAGUAUACUACAUGUCUCAACACUAUGCUAAAAGCAUAUAAAUGUCAUUCAGCUACUAAACCUAUCUAGUAGUGAUUAACCAUUCUCAACACCGUGUCGAUUUCCAUUUCCAAUUAAGGACCUACCAAAGGUAGUCCAGCUUGUGCCGCCUAAGUGCCUGUGGUAGCCCAACAUCCCUACUCUUGGAAUGUGUCUGUCCCACUCGACCCCGUAGGCUUCUCAAUACCGCACGAGCGAACAUAGGUCGCAUAGGCUAACUCCGGAGUGCCGGCUUGUAGGGAGCGACCCUCACAAGCAUGUGCGAAUGAGCACAAAUGGCAAGCAAGUAAGGUCAAAGUCUCAAGUACUCUACUCUCGUGCCUCUCACAUAGCAAGGCCACUAGCAUUCCAAGGGUCUAGUCCACAGUCUCAAGGUGACGCUCCACGCACACUCUCGCUUAGUGCCUCUUUAUGACACUUAAGCAUCACAACUAAUCGUGCCCAAUUCAUGUCCCAUAUUCCAAUUAACUAGGUUCACUUUAGCCCAGGCCCCAUGCCUCUUUAUGACAUUGGCCCAAUCUCAAAUAGUCUAAGUUCUCAAGCCUUCUCUAGGCCUCUAAAAUUCCUAAUGUCACAAUCGGCAUAUAGGUUAAAUGCAUGAAAGCAAGGUUUCAUUUCCAUAAUAGGAAUCAUGGUUCCCAAUCAUAACUAGAAUGCUAAGUCUCACAUGCAUGCACUCUACCACAUAGGGGUCUAAAAUUUUACUAUACAUAAUAUAUGCAUGUUAAGCAUUCUAAAAUUCAUAUUAAAUACAUUUAACAUGAAAAUACAUGAAUUUCUAUUUUACGAAACAUAUUUGCCAGAUAUGAGCAUUUCUCAUAUCCUAGGCUAGGUCAAACCCACCGAACCGUCGCGUGCUCCUUCGAUUCGCCGAACGGAGUUGUCCACGAGCCUCAAAACACCCUAAAAGUAAUCAGCGAAGGGAUACACGGGCAUUACGAUCAAUUAUAAGAUCAAACUUUAACAACCUAACAAAAGGGCUAAAACUCACCUCAAGAGAAGAAAUCUCUUCCAAAGCUCUAAAAGAAAGUUAGAACCCUUCCAAUCCAAGCCCAAGGAAGGUUCUAAUCCAAUCAAUCUAGCCUCAAAAGCCCUAGAUCAAAAAGCCCCAAAAUCAACCCUAAAUCUCAUUUCUAGGGUUCCAAGAGGUAACAUCUACCAAAACAAGAAUCAAAGGGUAGAAUCAAAGUACUAACCUCUAGAGAUGCCUCAAAAUAAGCUCCAAAUCUUCUAGGGUUGAAGAUUGGUCCACCACCAAGCCCUACAAGCAAGCUCCAAGCCUUGCAAAGGUGGGAAAGAGAGAAAGGGGUUGAGCUCCGAGCUCCCUCAAGUUAGCUCCCCUUCUUCUUCUCCUCCUUCUUCUUCUUCUUCUCUCUCUAGAAAGUGUAGGGAGAGGGUGAGAAUGAGAAAAUGAGGGAGGGAAGAGGAGGAAAUGGCUAAUAAGCCCAUCUAGUGUAACAAAAUCCGGAGAGACCCCUCAAAAACCCAAUAUUGCAUCAGCCCGGUCUGGGCAUUUUUCGCCCAGAGGGACCGGUCUCUCCCCAGCAAGGACCGGUCUCUCGAUGCGAACCCGAAAAACCAUCGUUCGGGAACCGGUCUCUCCCUGCGUGGGACCGGUCUCUCUCUGCGAAGGCGCGCUCGGGGACCGGUCUCGCCUGCCAGGGACCGGUUGCCUCAGGGCUGCCACAAUACUGCUCACUGGGGGACCGGUCUCUCCUUCCAGGGACCAGCCCCCGAGAGUAAAAACUCUCAGGACUUGUCCAGAAUUCCAGUUUUCGAACUUUUUAGGUCGGAAAACAUUCCACAACCCUCCACCAAGUGUGGAAAAGCUCGAAAUACAUCCAAACACUCGAACCUCGCAAUUUGCAAAGGUCCAGUGCGUUACAGUAGAACUUGGUUUCGUUCUUACGAGCGAGAGAGCGAGUCGAGGGCGUGCACGUGUAUUUUUAGCGUGUGGGUGUCGCGGUUGUGCCGUUGGGGGAGACCGGGCGAGCGUGUGGGUUGUCUUCUUUAGACUUCUCGCCGUUGUUGGACGCGCUUUUGAGGUGGGUUAAUGUUUACCGAAAUCGUCGGUUUUUCUCCUAAGCCGAAGUUGACAGCAUGUAUUUUUGGCUUUGUAUAUCAUGUUUAUUAGCUCGAUUCAUCGAUUUGCAUUGUUCAUAAAUGAAAUCUGAAUUGGAGCUUUAAAUGCUAGUUUUAUUAUACAUGUUGGACUUGGAAUUGACUUAGGAGAAAACUAUAGGUUCUACACUGUCAUUUUCUGAAAACUACCAUAUUUAGCUUUAGUAGCUGUAAUUUAUUUGUAUCGCCGCAGUUUGUAGCGGUGGAUAUCCAGAAUAGUGUAGAAUGAAAUUACGCUCGUGCUGAAAUGCGGAGUUUAUUUUUACAGUAGUGUAUAGACUGUUCCGGACUGUCGGGUGCCGUGGUGGUUGACGGUGGACCCAGUUUGCUGUUUGUAUAUCGGAUUGUGCCGAGGGCACGUGAGUUUUGAUGGUUAGACCAGUUUGACCCUUCUGCUUUGAUUAUAGCUUAUGAGAGCCUGAUUGAGCUCGGCAGAGACACGCUUGCAUACUCGGUUGGGUAGCACCCACGAGUGCCACUCCGGAGUCGGGCUUUGUGCGUUUGCGUUGGUGUCGUUGUGUUCUGGUUGGACUCGCUCUCCACUGACUACCCAGCGUGGUGGUUGUUAGUGUAGCUUCGACAGGCAGGACCGGUGUGUUCACAGUCCCUAAUGAGAUUGGGUGAGAGAUUGUAUUUUUCUACAGAUAGUAUUGUUGGAUCAUGAUAGUAUAGUGGCAUAUAGCUGUAGAUUGUUUCCAGUUCCUUUACUAUUCUUGGGCAUACUUUCUGUAGACUUAGUGGGUGAGACGUUGAGAUCGGUAGCGGUACCUAUUGAGGACUACUUCUUUUUGCAGUAGUUCUCACACCCAGUGUUUGACCCCUUUUUGCAGAGCUCUUCUGCGUCUGCUGCUGUUCCUGACACUGAUCGAGGGAAGGGCGUUGCGAGUUAGAUCCCUUCCAGAUGACUUGCAGAGCUAGAGGAGUACCUUCUACAGGUAGUUUUAGGAUUUUUAUGUGUUAAGGAUUUUGUAUUGGCAAGUUUCGUGAAGUGAGUCGGAGUCUUGAAGGAUCGAAGCGGAUUGACGAAGAUUGAAGAAUUCAAGAUUUCGAAGAUUUUGGAAAGUAGCUCACAAUGUGAAUCACGACGUAAAGGUAAAGUUUUAAUUCAUAAUAUGGUGAUUCAUACUGUAACGCACUGGACCUUUGCAAAUUGUGAGGUUCGAGUGUUUGGUUGUAUUUCGAGCUUUUCCACACUUGGUGGAGGUUGUAGAAUGUUUUCCGACCUAGAAAGUUCGAAAACUGGAAUUCUGGACAAGUCCUAAGAGUUUUUACUCUCGGGGACCGGUCCCUGAAAGGAGAGACCGGUCCCCCAGUGAGCAGUGCUGCGGCAGCCCUGAGGCAACCGGUCCCUGGCGGGCGAGACCGGUCCCCGAGCGCGUCUACGCAGUGAGAGACCGGUCCCCGAGCGCGUCUACGCAGUGAGAGACCGGUCCCGCGCAGGGAGAGACCGGUUCCCGAACGAUGGUUUUUCGGGUUCGCAGCGUGAGACUGGUCCCUGCUGGGGAGAGACCGGUCCCUCUGGGCGAAAACUGCCCAGUUCGGGCUGAUGCAAUUUUGAAUUUUUGAGGGGCCUCUUGGGAUUUUGUUACAAUAGAGGGUCUAUAUGACCCAUCCCCUCUGUAAUAUACCGAAAAUUCGAAAAAUAAAUAUCGAACUUUAGUCAAAUUGACCAAAGUGCGAGGACGGUACACUUCGGAAAGUCCGAAGGUGUUAAAACGAUCAAAAGUGCGUUGUGGAAGGUUUUCGAGAGCUAAAGAAUCAAAUUCUGCAAAACUGCAGAUUUUCAGCUCUCGGGGACCGGUCCCUGGUGGGAGAGACCGGUCCCCGAAUGCGCAGGAAAUGGGACAGCCGAAAAAUCGGCUAAGUCCUGAGAAACUAGCUCUCGGGAACCGGUCCCUGCCUGAGAGACCGGUCCCCCAAGGAGAGACCGGUUGCACUGCGCGCAGCAGCUCUGGCUGCGCUGGGACGACGUUCGGGAACCGGUCCCUGAAGGAGAGACCGGUCCCCACCUGCGCGAAUUGCCCAGUUCGGGCAGUGUAUUAAAGUGAAAGUGGAGGGGUUUAUUUGCAUUUUGGCAACCCAAUAGCUAUGUUAUGGGGCCUAAUGAGAUUUCCUCUCAUUUUUCCCCUCUCAUUCCCUCUCAUCUCUCUUUCUCUCUCUAGAAGACAAAGAAGGAGAAGAAGAAAACAAAGAAAGGAAGGGAAAGAAGGAGAAGAAAGUGAAGGAGAAGAUUAAGGAGCAAAGAGGUUUCAUCUUCUUCCUCUCUAGUGCAAGAAAGGAAAGCUUAUAAGGUAAGCUUUGAACCCUAUUGUAGUAAAACCCUAAAAUGGGCUUUGAAUAAACCUAAAAAUCGUUUUAAUGGAAUCUUUAGAGUAUUUGAAGCUUUUCCUUUGCUUCUUUAGAGAUCAAGACCAUGAAAAUGGUGAGGCUUGAGGUGAGCUUCAUCACCUCUCAUGGUGAAACCCUAAGUAGGGUUUUGAUUUGUCUAAAAAUGAUUCUAAUGGACUAAUUAGAGUAUAUUGAAGCUACUUUUGCUUCUCUUUGAGAUCAAACCCUAGGUUUGAUAUAUGUAUUGGAGCUAGGGCACCAAAUUGGGGCUUUUGCUCAUGGGGAUUUCUAAGUGCAAUUGACCCUCUAGAAACCUAAUUGGGGGUAUUUCCGACGCGUUGGUGCGCUCGGAUUAACGUUACAAAAAGCCGAUGCAAAGUUAUGGCCAAAUAAGCCUAAUUUGGCUUCGUUAUGCCACAGGUAGUGAACCGGAUGUCUAAAAAUCCCAAGAAAAUCGUCGGAGCACCUUUAGAAGCCUACGAGGUGGGUGGUUCUUCUCAAACUCAUUGAACUUCUCUCUAUGCCUAAUGUGUCAUUCUUUUGAGCAUGUAUAUAUAUAUAUGUUGUUGCAUGCAUUUUAGGGUAAAGUGAUGAUAAAAAUGUGAUAUUGCAUGAUUGUGAGUACAACUUGCAUAAUAUGAUGAAUGAGAGCUAUGUGAACGUCAAAAACCCUAGAUGUAUGCAUGAGAGAAAAUGUGAGUACCCAAGUGAGGCAAAAGAACAGAGUGACACUAUGACAUAGAAUCGCUCAUGAAAUUUUCUUUCCAAUUCGUCCCAACCUUGGACGGAAUUGGCUGAUAAACUUGUAUACUAAGUAAACGCCGUUUUAGUUAAAGACGUGUUAAAUAAUCGAAGUUUCAAAAAUGAGUCAGCGGCCGCUUCUCUACAUUGGGCCGUGAACCGGACUAUAUGCUCGACCGUAUUCUCGGUCUCAUCGCCCGAGAACUUGUCGAACUUCGACAGUUUCUAGUUUGGCGGAUACGGAUGCUCUGUAUCUAUGUUAGCUGGAUACAGGGAUCGAAAAAUAGGCCGCAUAGCCGGCCUAGCCCCUAUUCCGAAGAUAUCCGAAUGACUUCCUCAAUCUGAGCCUACAGCGGAGCUUGUGCUGAGCCAAAUUUGGCCCUUGAGGAACUCUAGAAUUUUGUAUUGCAGGGUUCGCUCCUUGCAUAUCAUUAGGGGCCUGCCCCCAGCCCUAAUCCCUAUAUUUUGGGGUUGAUAAGCUGGUAAAGGAGGUAAACCCGAUGCAAUCUCCGACUAAGGGUUAGCGUUUAUAUUCGCCGGCCUGUAAGCAACCUGGAAAGGUGCCAUUUGCGGUUCCACCUGUGAGACCGCCAGCAUGACUGGAUUUUGUUGCACCGGCACAUUUAGGGGCCCUUGUUGCCCCCCAUAAGGUUGCUCGUUUCGGGUAAAUAAUUGUCUGAUUCGACCAUUAUUUUUAUUAUAGGCCGUUAUAGCGGCCAGCACCGCAUCUAGUUGAGCGGUACUUUGAUGGAUAUUUUGAUCUAAAGUUUACAGGACUCGGCUCAUCUGGCCGACUGCCUGAGUUAGACUCGGCUCUUGAUGAGCCGACUGUCCACUAGUUUCUCCUUCAACUGGCAAAACUGCUUGACAUUCGCUAGCAUUGUCUGAAUCACUAGGUUGAUUACUCCCAGAAUUUCUAGGAACAACCCUAUUACGUAGAUUCAUGGCGUUAUCAUCAGCUAUGAUUUAUAUAAAAUAUAAAUUUACCUAAAAAUGUGUCCCACCGGGCGUGCCAAAAAAUUAUUGGUAGCCUAAUUUUCCGACCCUUGACCCAGUCAAAUAUCUUCCUCGGGAAGCGUGUCGGGGUGAGGAACGGCUGCGGAUAGUGACCCUCGAAGUUUGCGCCCUUCGACAGAUCAGGCGAUUCACCUGACGAAGGAUCGGAUCAGCCGAGUUCGAAAACCUUUACUGUAGAAUCGGUUCGGCUGGAUGAGCCGAUUGUACGAACUGUGUAGGGAUCAAUGUCGGCAGAAGUGCCGAAUGGAAGAAGUACACAGUAACUGGUCGGCUGAAAGAGCCGAAUGAAAGAAGUACACAAUGACUGGUAAGCUGAAAGAGCCGAAUAGAAGAAGUACACAAUGAUUGGCCGGCUGAAAGAGCCAAAUGCCUUUAUAUAAUAAUAAAAAAGAGUGUGCCCGAAGGGCAUACAGACUCAGAAAUAUAGUUUACAACAGAGUGAUGCCCGUGGGGCAGACAGACUCUGCAAAUGUAGUCUACAACGGAGUGAUGCCCGUGGGGCAGAUAGACUCCAGGGUUCUAUUUAGCGAACUACUCUUAGGAAAGCAGUAAAUGCGGAAAAGAAAAAGAUUACAUUUAGACUACUCCUAGAAAAGCGAUAAAAUGUAGAGGAAAUAAGGGUGGUCUUCUCGUUCAGGGUGGAGAAAGACCUUUAUUACAGGCUUUGAAAUUACUAUUUAUAGUGAUGUCUUCUAAGCCCACAUUAUUGGUCGGUUGAAAGUAGUGGGGGGAGUGGUUGUAACCAUGAUCGUGGAAGUUACGCCCACUCCUCAUGGAAGUUACGCUCCAUCGUAGAAGUUAUGCCCACUUCUCAACCGUUCCUGCCUAAAACCUUCAGGCGCCUUAUUGUCGACUCCUGGUGUACCACGUAUCCUUAUUGGCUCAUACGCGGGUUAGGUCGGCAUGUUAAUUUCAAUUUUGGCAUCAACAACACCAUUAAACAUGAUCUAGAGUAUUUGAAACUUUCAGAAGUACCAAGUCAUUUGUACUUGUAAGUUUCGGCCCUUGGAUUAAAAAAUGUGUGGUUAGGAUGAUAGUGGCCCCCUAGGGUUGAGUGGAUGGUUGGUUGAAUAGUAUGAUCUAACAGGUAUGAAUGGUCAAAGGAGUAAAUCUAACGGCAAAAAACUUACAAGCAUCAAUUAGUCCGACUUCAUAUAUAUAUAUAUAUAUAUAUAGUGUGAGGCUACUAUGCUUCUGGAAGCACGGAAAGUCUAAUCUAGAGGGAGAGGAUGAGCUACCAACCUUUUAGAAGCUUCAAACAAGGUUCAAAAUCCUCCAAGAGUGGAGAUCUCCCUCUCCCCAAGCUCCAAGAUCAAGCUCCAAUGGUGGAAAAGCUACCAACAAGCAAAAGAAGCAAAAAAGAGGUUUAAUCCACCAAAAUCCCAGCUAAAAAGGGUUAAAAAUCCGAAGAGAUGGUGAGGAGGGGUACCCUACCUUCUCCUCCCUGUGAUCUGAGCUCAGGAGGCGCCGUAAGGGGCGUGGGUCCUAAAUAGAUUAGGCACAAACGCGAAAAACCUCCUGCAGUUUGGACUGCUCAAAAAUUGCCUCUGCGUACUAGUACACGGGCCCGCGUACCCUGCCACGAAAACGCCCAACCCGAGCCUCGGGUUGGCUGAGACAAUGCUACAGUUGAUGGCUGUACCGGUACAACCAUCACCCCGCACCGGUACACCAGCCUUUGAAGGCUACCCGAGAGCUAACCAAAAUCCAAUUUUUUUUGGAUUUUUGGUACCAGCUUAAAACCACAAUUCUCGAGAUGCGAGCCAUGGGUCGGAACACUGUCUACGACCUUCCAGAAAGUCUAAAAAAGCUCGACACAUCGAUCAAACACUUGAACCUCGCAAUUUGCAAAGGUCCAGUGUGUUACAUAUAUAUAUAUAUAUAUAUAGAGAGAGAGAGAGAGAAAGAGAGAGAGAGAGAGCACUAGGCUGGAAUACUAUCAAUAGCACCAAGUUAUUGGUGCUAUUAAUUUUUUAGAUCUUGGAUUGAGAAAUGUGCGGUUAGGAUGAUGUGGACCCCCUAGGUUGAGUGGGUAGUUGGUUGAAUAGUAUAAUCUAAUGGGAAAAAAUAAUAAAAAGGUUAAAUCUAAUUGUGGAAAUACUCGCAUCGAUAGCCACCAAACCCUAGUGCUAUCGAAUAUGUAUCCGCGCGACUCUAGAUAUAUAUAUAUUAUAAAUAUAUUAUAUUAUAUAUAUAUAUAUAUAUAUAUAUAUAUAUUAAUAUAUAUAUAUAGAGCGGGACUGCUGUGCUCUCAGAGAGCACGGAGGCCUCCGUGCUCCUGACCCUUUUUCGAUGAUUGAAAUUUUCGAAUCGACGAUCGGCUCCAUUAGACUUGAUCUAGCUAUUUGAAGUUUCUAGAAAAUAAUUUUUGCGAUUUUUUGAUAUCAUUUACUCUCGCAAUCGAAAGGAUUCAAAAUCAAUAAUUUUUAACAGGUUGAAAUAAAAAAUCCUAUAAAAAAGUUGUGAUAUAGCCCACUAAAAUUUUUCGAUCAAAAAUAUUGAUCUUGUUGUAGAUAGAUAAAGAAUUUUGUAUCAAAAAUUUUCUGAUUUGAAUACUUCUACACCGUUAAACUUGAAAACGGAGAUAUCAACCAUUAAAAAUUAUUGAUUUGAAACUUUCGACACUAGGUAAAUAAUAUCAAAAAAUCGCCAAAAUAUUUUCUAGAAACUUCAAAUACCCUAGAUCAAGUCUAACGGAGCCGAUCUCAUUCGAAAAUCCAUCAUCGAAAUGGCUCAGGAGAACGGAUGGCCUCCGUGCUUCUGAGAGCACAAGCAGCCCUGCUCUCUCUAUAUAUAUAUAUAUUAUAUAUAUAUAUAUAUAUAUAUAUUAUAUAUAUAUAUAUAUUUGUCAGGCCCCGGGCACCAGCGGAAGCCCGCCCGCGCGCGGUCCAGACCGCUGUAGUCUAAACAUACAAGGCGUCUAAAUAAAGUGGUAAAUAAAACAAUACAAGAAGAUCUAGGAGUAUCAGAGCAAAGUAACUACGAAAUGCUACAACAAUAAGAAGACCAUAAAACUGAUAAUCCGCUAGUAAACAUAUAAGGUAAUAUAAAAGCGGUCCAAAGCAAGUACAAAUCUGAAUAUAAGGUGGUCUCUCUAUACAUGGUGCCAAAACUCUCCCUCUUUCAAAUACAAACAAAGAAGGAGUACCACUAUCGGCAAAACGGGCUCUCUCCCGAGCUUGCUACGCCGACACCUUGCCGCGAUCCGUGCCUCCGCCGGUGCUGAAGGCUCUGAAAAAACUUAGAAAAGCGGGCGUGAAAAACUAUUAAACAAUAGUCCUAGUGGGCAAUUACUGACUUCAGUGAAAGCGCCACUAGGCCCAAAACUACAAACAGUUGAGGUCGGCUGUGUACAAGUAUAAGCCAAAGCGAUAAGAACAACAAGGAAAUAAAUAUGAAUAACUAUUCAACCAUGAUAUCUCUACUUAGCAUGAUUUGCAUAAGUAAUGAAGGCAAUUACUACAGUAUGUGCACAAGAGUAUCCAACAUGCGAAUGCAUAAAUAUGCAUAUCCAAUGUCCACAAGUAAAUAGUAAAAAUGUCAUUGUUUACUAUUCUAGUCAAUGUCCACUUGUCACUUUAAUUUUUACUGUUCAACUUUGAUAGACCACCCGAGGUGUCUGGCAUAAGACCCACCCGAAGGCUGUCUGGCAUAAGACCACAUCCCAAAGGUUGUCUGGCUUUACCGUACCUAAUGGCCCCGGUCGUAGUCAACAUCCUCCCUAGCGAUGAGCUUUUUGUAAUGCACUGGAUCUUGCAAAUCGCAAGAUUCGAGUGUUUGACCCGUGUAUGGAGCCUUUCCACAGUUUUCGGAGGGUCGUUGAUAGUGUUCCGACCCCUGGCACGCAUCCCGAGGAUGUUGGAGUGAGACUAGGCACCAAAAUCCCAAAACUGAAAUUUUUGGUCAGCUCUCGGGUAGCCUGCAGCAGAGAUUGUACCGGAACAAGACUGGGCUUGUACCGGUACAAGGUUGAUGGUUGUACCGGUACAGCCAUCGGGCUUGUACCGGUACAGAGGCGCAGACCCCGCGACCCGAGCCUCGGGUUUGCAAUUUCGUCGGCCUUGUACCGGUACAAGAGCCCGUGUACCGGUACAAGGAGACAGUUUUCGUGCAGAUUGGUCUGCAGGGGUGUUUUUGCUAUUGUAGCACUUCUAUAAGUGCACCCCACGCCCCUUAGGGCCUCCCCUGUGCAGAGACCAGCAAGAGUUGAGGUAGGAGGAGCUUUCUGUCCCUUCUUUUGCAUUUUUACUCCUUUUGCUUGGUUUUUAUUGGGUUUUCUCUCCUCUAUUUGCAUCUUGGUGGCUUCUCCACCAUUGUUGAUGACUUAGAGCUUGGAGAGGAGCUAGUGGCUGCGGAGAUCUUCAACAUCACUUGGAUUGGAGCUAAGUUUGGAGCUUCUAGAGAGGUUAGAGACUUGAUUUCUCCCUUUGAUUCUUGAUUUGAGGUUUUUGUGAGAUGAAACCCUAGAAUGAGGUUUUAGGGCUUAAAUUGGGAAUUUUGAAUAUAGGGCUUUUGAAGCUAGAUUGAGUGGAUUAGAGGCUUCCAUUUGGUUGGAUUGGAAGGGCCCUAGCUCUCUUUUGGAGCUUUAGAGGAGAUUUUGGCAUUAGAGGUGAGUUUUCCUCACCUAUGCUUGAUUAGCUUAAUGAUUGAGCCAGGUAUUGAUCGUUUGGCUCGUAUGACACAUGUUUCUAUACCUCUAGGGUACUAGGAGACUAGAGUACACCCUCGUGGGAGCGAACGAGGAAUUUCGUCGUCAUCGGUGGGUUUGGCUUCGUGGAAAUAGGGCGAAAUGGCCCCUAUGCUCUUUCUACUUGUUGUAAAAUAUAUUUAAAUUUAUUUCUAUGCUAAAUGGAAUUUAUAUAAAUUUUAGAGCACUUAAAAUGCAUGCAUUGUGUAUUAUAAAAAUUUCACUAUAUAGUAGAGCUAUAUGAGUAGAAUGCAUGCAUAAGGGAAAAGUGUUUAUUUUGCAAGUGGAAAAUACAUCUCCUAUGAGGAUUAUGACUUGAAAUAUGUACUUUGAAACAUAGUUGCCAUGCUUUGACAUAGAGAACAAGAGUGUCAUAAAGGGGCACUUGAAACUAGUAAACUAUGAAACUGCAACGUAGAGACAUAUUGAUAGGCCACUACAUAUCUGCUAUAUUCCAUGUUAGAGACAUGAUGACAUAGGGAUAGGCCUAUGAGAUUGGUGACAUAUAUUCCAUGUUAUUAGACAUGAGGACUUGGUACUUGUGACAGAUCGUUUGACUACUUGCCAUUGUGCUCAUUCGCACAUGCUUGUGAGGGUCGCUCCCUACAAGCCGGCACUCCGGAGAUAGCCAUCGCGAUUCAUAUUCGCCGUGCGGGAUUGGGCGCCGAAGUGGAUUGCCGUGGGACAGGCUCAUUCCUAGGGUGGGGAUGAUGACUACCACGGGGCCAUUAGGCUCGGCACCGGCCAGACAGCCUACGGGUGGGUCUCAGGGCCAUAGACAGCCUUCGGGUGGGUCUCUUCAGAUUUGACUUUGAGUAUUCAUUAUGACAUGUGGACAGAUGAUGACUUAGUGUACUACUUGGACAUUGACUAGAAUAGUAAACAACGGAACUUUACUAUUUCGCAUUGUGAAUAUUAGGAUAGUUGGAGACUUUCACUUCAUGCAUAGUUGCUUCGUACUUAUGCUAUUCAUGCUAAGUAGAGAUAUCAUGUUGUAGUAAAUUAUAUUUUACUUACCCUUCGCUUUUCUACAUUUAUAGUCACUGACAUCUUUUGUAGCUUUGGGCCUUGUGGUGCAUCACUGAAGUAAGUAAUUGCCCACUGGGAACUAUUUUUAAUAGUUCUCACGCCCCCAUUUUAUGGUUUACUUUUCAAAGCCUUCGGCACCGGCGGAGGCACGGGAUCGCGGCAAGGGGAUCGCUUAGCUAGCUAGCGAGGAGCGGAGGCACGGGAUCGCGGCAAGGGGAUCGCUUAGCUAGCUAGCGAGGAGCGGCACUUUGCCUAGGUGGUUUACUCUUUCUUUUUGUAGUUGGGAGAGUGAGAGGUUUUUGUAUUCAUGUAUAGAGACCACCUAUGUAUCUACCUAUAACACUUGUAUCUGGAAUUUUCUUGUAUCACUCUAUGUUUUAUUUAGCGGAUUUACAGUUUUAUCCUUAUCCCUUGUUGUUGCAUUUAGACUUUUAUUAUGCUCUGAUACUCCUAGAUGCCUUUUACUACUGCUUUUAUUAUUGUUGUUUUUAGACGCCUUAUAUGUUUUAGACAUAUGGCGGGUCUGGGCACGUGCCGGGCGAGCCUCCGCUGGGUUCCGGGGCGUGACAGAUUAAUUUCGUAUCAGAGCCUAGGGUUGAGUCUUAGGGGACCUAGCAAACCUUAGGCCGGUUGGACUAUAGGAAAUAGGCUCGUGAGAGACGAGAUCUAUUCGACUUGUGAGCGAAAGUAUUAUGAUUGGGUAUUAUGAUAACUCUAAAAAGUUAGAGUUGAUUGGAGUUUUUGGCUUCUAACUUCACGGAGGGUUACGUUGGCGGCCUACAACGUAACAUCGGGAGUUAGUUGUGGAUAACACUUCCUUACUUUCGCAUGAAUUGGGAUUUGUCUUUUGAGCGGGGGUGCGAUAGCGUGAGGUCGAGACCAUGCGGCAAACUUCGAGGAGGUCGAGACCUCCGCUACCUCCGGAUCCAGCGAGGUCCGUGAGUUGAGGGGCCAGCUUGCGGCCCUCACUGAUUUCGUCACUCAGCAGGCGGAGGCGGCCCGACAGCAGACCGAUGCGGCGCGCCGACAGGAGGCGCGGAUGAAGCGUCUGGAGGACCUACUAUUGUAGCAGGCGGCAGCUUCCAGGGAGACUCAGGCCCCUACACCGCCAGCACCAGUUGUGGACGUUGCACCGAGAGCGCCGUCCCCCGCGCCCAGUUCUUCGCGUGCGGCGCCUGCGGCCGCACCCCAGGAGGAGGUUUUGGUGGCACCACCUGUGCUGAGGCCCCCGGUUGGAACAGCUUUUCCUACCUUGGUUGAGGGGGCGGAGCGAGACAGACUGAUGGAGCGCCUCAACGAGUUUAGGAGGUGCAGCUCCCGAGUCUUCGACGGCGAGAAAGUCGACCACUGGAUCGUAGAGAAGUGGUUGAUGCAUAUGGAGAAGCUCUUCCGUACACCUUCGUGGAGGAGAGGGAUCGAGUUUGGCUCGCCACUCACUACUUGGACGGCGAGGCCUACCGCUGGUGGUUGGAUUUUCAGGAGCACCCCAGCACUGACUUGGCAGCUAUUACUUGGACGAGGUUCAAGCAGCUUUUUCUGGCGCACUACUUCCCGACUAGCGUCAAGAGGAAGAUGGAGCAGGAUUUGCGCAGCUUGCGCCAGGGUGACAGGACCGUAGCCGAGUACGAGAGGGAGUUUUCUCGGCUUUUGCAUUGUGUGCCCUUCGUCGUGCGGGACGACGAGGACAAGGCCCGCAUCUUCGAGCGAGGGUUGCGACCGUCGAUUUUUCGGUUUGUGCAUUCCUCUAACCUCCAAACCUACCGGGAGGUGGUGGAUCGCGCGCUCAUCGUGGAGAGCGGCGCGACAGAGGUCCAGGAGCAGCGAGAGGCUAGGGACAAGGGUAAGGCCAAGAGGCCUGCGGUGGAGGGUGCGAGCCAGACGCACUCUAGGAGGCCGCCGAAGCAUCCGAGGAGCCAGCAACGUGGACGCGGCUCAGCAGCGCAUCGAGGAGGAUCCGAUCGGCGCCGGCCUUCCCCGUGUGUGAUCUGCGGUGGCCCCUAUUACCCACCGCAGUGCCCACAGCGGGCGGGCAGAUGUUUCCAGUGUGGCCAGGAGGGCCACAUCCGUACCGAGUGCCCGAGAGGUUCUUCACCGGCACCGUCGACUGCAUCGGCACCGGCUCUACCAGCCGUCAGCCACGGGACUCCGUCGACACAGUACCAGCCUGGGCGGCCACCCGUCCAGCGCCAGAGCGAGAGAUCUCGACAGGCCCCGAGUGGGCGCAUGUACGCGGCUCAGACCGAGGAGGCGGCAGCAGCCGAGGAUGUGGUUGCAGGUAUCAUUUUACUUGAUGGCAUUAGAGUUCGUGCUUUAUUCGAUGCCGGUGCAUCGCAUUCAUUUAUAGAUCGGCUGUUUGCCGAGUUGCAUGGCAUCCCUUUGGUUCCUUUGUUGCAUACAGGACAUGUUGUUGUACCCGACCACAUCUUGGACAUUAGAGAGUAUAGCCCCAGUUGCCCUAUUCGGGUAGGAGAUUGGAUCAAGCCUGUAGAUUUGCUAGCUUUGCGCAAGCUGGGGGAUUUUGAUGUGGUCUUGGGCAUGGAUUGGUUGACCAAGUAUUAUGCCACGAUUGAUUGCAAGAAUCGCACGGUUACUUUUAGAGNNNNNNNNNNNNNNNNNNNNNNNNNAGAAUGAGUAUUACCUACUAUGCAAUAAUGAAACCGGCAAGUAUACUAAAUGUACCAAUUCAUAUCAUGAGCAUGUCCAAGGCCAAUCAACUACAAUCCUACAGUAGUAGUGAAUUGUCCGUAUACAACACCGUGUUGAUUUUCAUUUCCAAUUUAAGGACCUACUCAAGGUAGUCCAGCCUUGGGCCUUAAGUGCCUUGGUUAGCCCAACAUGCCCUACCUCCUUGGAAUGUGUUGUCCCACUCCGAACCUGCGCGUAGCUUCCAAUACCGCACGAGCGACACGAAGUCGCGUAGGCUAAUCUGGAGUGCCGCUUGUAGGGGAGCAACCCUCACAAGCAUGUGCGAAUGAGCACAAAUGCAAGCCAGCGUAUCCAAGUCUGCAAAGUGUCCAACCUCAAUGGUCUCUAACAUGGGAUUCAUAACUAGCACCCGAAAGACUAGUCUAAUUCACAAGAGCAAGUCGAACAUUCAUUACGCCUAGUGCCCCUUGAUGACACUUAGACAACUAAUGUUCAACAUAACCCCACAUCCCCCUCCAUGAAGCUCCUAACUUCACUAGUUCCACACAUGUCCCGAGCCUCAAUGCCGCUUGAAGACAUUAGCUCUCCAAAUUCACAUACAAUUCUAGUUGAUACUCUAUAUGGCAAUUUGUCCAACUUUCAUGGUCUCAAAUAAACUUAGGUUAAAUGCAUAGUCCAAAUCUUAUUUACAUUAUAGAAGUUAUGAAAACCACACUCUCGUAUAGAAUGCAAUGCAACCAUAGGCCCACCAAGCUAUCUCUCUUACUACAUAGAGGUCCAAAAUUCAGAAAAAUAUAUAGAUACAUAGGCCUUGUUAAGCAUUCUAAAAUUCACAAUAAAAUACAUACAAUAGAAUAUGAAUGCUUUUCCAUUUAACGAUACUUAAUUAAGCAACAAAAUGGAGAAUCCAUUGGUGUGGCUAGGUCAAACACCGCCACCGAACCGUCGCGUAGGGCCUCCCGAUUCGCCGAACGCAAAGUUGUCCCGAGUUCAAAAUACCCCUAAAGUAUUGAGUCGACAAGAUACACGGGCAUUACGAUCGACUAUAAGACAAACUUUAACAAAUUAACAAAAGGGCUUAAAACUCACCUAAUGUGUGGACAAAUCUCUCCUUAAGCUCCAAAAGAGAUGCAAAGUUCCUCCCAAAUCCAAGCCCAAGGAAGGUUCUAAACAACUAAUUACAGCUCCAAAAGCCCUUAGAUUCAAAAACGCCAAAAAAGCCCUAAAAUCUCAUUCUAGGUUUCAUCUCAAAACCAUCAAUAAAAAGUCCAUACACCAAAGAGAGCGAUAAUUGGAUUACCUCUUAGAAGCUCAUCUAAGCCUAAACUCGUGAAAAAUCCCAAGAUCUUCCCUCAACAAAUCCACCCAAAGACUCAAGCCUCCAAGCUUCACAAAUGUAGAAAAGCAAAGAAAAGUGGAAAAGAGAAGGAGCAACACUUAAAUCCCAAGCUAAAAAGAAUCAAAUCCAAAGGGGUGAAGGGGAAGUGCCCUACCCUUCCUUCCUGCAAAGGUGAGCUCAAAGGAGGGCCCUAGAGGAUGGGCUGAUAUAUAGUAGACCCACAAACGCAAAAAACACCCUGCAGUUGAACUGCACAAAAUCAGCCUCCUUGUACGGUACACGGGCUCUUGUACGCGCGGUUACAAGGCGCCACGAAAUGCAAACUCCGAGGCUGGUCGCGGGGUCUCGGCUCUGUACCGGUACAAGCCCGAUGGCUGACUGGUCAACAACCAUCAAUUCUUGUACCGGUACAAGACCAACCUUCGUUCCGGUACAAGCUCUGCUGCGGGCUAACACCGAGAGCGGUCCAAUGAGAUCCCAAUUUUGAUUUGGUACCAAGCUUAAAAACCACAAUUCUCGGGACUUCGAACCGCAUAGUCGAACACUGGUCCAACGACCCACCAGAAAGUCCUGAAAAAGCGCGACAACACCAGAUCAAACACUCCGAAACUCGCAAUUUGCAAUAGGUCCAGUGUGUUACAUCACCCCUCCAAAAAAGGGAUUUCGUCCGCGAAACUCAAAAACAAACCAAGGUACCUCAAGCCCUCCCAUCUAAAAAGAUGGCGAUAGCGCUCCCCGCAGUGCGCUCUCCAACUUCACAAGUUGGUCUCGCGCUCAAUCGUGGUGCUCCAAAGCAACCUUUCACCGUAGGGAAUUCUCUGGUCCGCAAUCUUUCACCUCGCGAGCCAAAAUUCUCAAGGGUUGCUCCUCAAAGCUCAAAUCCUCCCGCAGCUCCCAUAGGUGUAGCAGCCAAUACAUGACCGGAUCGUGGAUGUACUGUCCGAAGGACCGAAUAUGGAAUACAUUGUGUACACCCGAUAGGUUUCGGCGUAGAGCGAAAUCUAUACGCUACCGGGCCUACAAACGCUCCAAAACCUCAUACGUGUCCAAUAUAAUCGGGGCUCAACUCGCCGAAUUCCAAAUUUCGAAUUCCUUUGGUCGGCGAGACCUUUCAAGAACACCAUGGUUCCCAUCUGAAAAUCCAAGUCCCCUCGCCGCCCUGUCACAUUAACUCCUCUGCCUACUCUGGGCUGUCCACAAAUCGCUCCGACCGCAAUGCGAACCUUGUCCUCUGCCUUCCUGGAGCACAUCUGGCCUAAAGGCCAAGUCCACCGCCCACUUCCACUCCCAAUGAAAUGGCGAUCUACACUUCCAUCCAAUACGUGCCUCAAACGAUGCUAUCUUGAUGCUUGCUUGAUUAACUAUUUGUUAUAAGCAAACUCUGCCAUCGGUAGAUCGGCGACCAUCCUCGACAUGAAAGUCGAUCACCGCAGGCUCGAAGCAUGUCCUCCUGAGAAUCUGUAAUCGUAACGCUCGACUGGCCCUCACUCUCCUGGGGGUGAAAGCAUAGUGCUGGAAUCCAAGCGCGCACUCUGGCCAGAGCGCCUGUAAGCUCCCUCCAAAAGUAGGACACAAAACGGGGGCUCGAUCUGAUACUAUGGACAGUAGGUACCCCGUGUAAAAUCGCACAAUCCUCAUCCACAAUAAAACCUGUGCGAAGUCUCUCACACAGUCCAAGUAUGGAUACGGUAAUGAAGUCAGCGCGACUUCGUCAACCGCUAUCCACGAUCAAAGCCCAAAUAGUGUCGUGCCCCGCCUUGUGAGUUGGCAAUCUCCUUGUCCACAGAAGCCAAUGGGAUCUUUUCCCCACUUUCCACACGUGAAAUCGGUAGGCUCUUGCAGCUUCCCCGCAGGAACUCGGUGCCCCCAGCCUCACCUGUGUUGGCAAGUUAAGCCAUCUGGCAACAAACUCAACCCACAUCCUUUUUCAUCCCGGCCACCCAAUAAAGUAUUUCAAAUCCUUUACAGAUUUUGGUGUCCUCCACGGAUGUAUACCAUAACGGCUCGUGUGCGUCUGAAGAAUACCUCUUUGAAUGCCAAGUCCGCGGUACACAAAAGUCGUCCCGGAAACGCAUCAAUCCAUCACCGUCUAAGGUAAAUCACCGAUGAACCCAUCCAACUAUCUUAGCUCAAUCUUUUGCAACUCCGAGUCGGCAGCUUGCUUUUCUUUAAUUCUAUCCAACAAUUGUAUGGUUUGCACCAACCAAUGUCAAUCAAUCCUCAUAGGCGUGUCAGGAGCCACCACCCUCCAAUCUCCAAACCGCUUCAUCCUGUUCGAUCAACACGGCGGUCGAGAACCCACAAGCAUCGUAAGUUUCAGUCGAUUUCCGACUUAAUUGGCAUCUGCCACCCACAUUAGCCUUGCCCCCGGGUGGUAAAGAAUAUCAAGUCAUAAUCCUUGAGUAUCUCCAACCAUCCGCCUGCCUCAGUUCAACUCCCUUCUGAGUAAAUAAGGUACUUUACUUUUGUGAUCCGUAUAUAACUUCGCAUCCGCCUGCCGUAUAUGGUUAGUGGCCCGCCAUAAGGCUUCAAUGCAAAGACCCACGGCCGCAACUCCAAGCCCGUUAGUGGGGUUAAUUCCCUGUUCAUAAUCCUUCAAUUGGUGAGAUGCAUACGCGAUCACUUUCCCUGUCCUGCAUCAAAACACAGCCAAUCCAUUAAAGGUAAGCAUCCACUAUUAAAUUCACAUUACCCUGCUUGCCAUGUAGUUGGCAGAGGUUAGGACGGGCAAAGCGUCCAAGUCGCUGUGCCUUCAACUCUGGAAUCCUUUCACACGCCAUCAAAUUUCCAAAAAACUUGGGCCCCUUAUGCGGAGUCUCGUGAGGAGUAGAUAAUUCUCGCAAAUCCUCGACAAACCGUCGGUGAGUAGCCGCCAGAACCAAUAAGCUCCGUUAUCUCGGUCACCUCGUCGGCCUCGGCCAUCCUUAAUAGCUCAAUUUUUCUCGGGCCAGCUAUGCCUGAUCCUGAAAUCACGUGGCCCAAAAACGCCUACUCUCUAACCAAAAUUCACACUUUUCAACUUGGCUAGAGUCUUCUUCCGAAGCAACUUGAAUAAAGUCUCAAGUGGUUUCUGAUCCGACGUCAUACGAAUACACUAAGAUGUCGUCGAUAAAAUACGAACCUGCUCUAAAUAAGGCUUGAAAACACGUUCAAUCCAUCAGAUCAUAUCCAUAAAAGCUGCCGGGGCAUUAGUAAGCCCAAACGGCAUAACGGUAAACUCAUAAUGUCCAUACCGUGUUCUAAAAGCCGUCUUCGAUACAUCCUCAGGUCUGAUCCUCAACUGGUGAUACCCAGACUGUAAGUCAAUCUUGGAAUAUACACAAGAUCCCUGGAGUUGAUCAAAUAGAUCAUCAAUCCUCGGCAAUGGAUACUUGUUCUUAAUCGUGACUUUAUUGAGUUCACGUUAGUCCACACAUAAGCGAAGUGAUCCAUCCUUCUUCUUCACAAACAAAACCGGUGCCCCCCAAGGUGACACACUCGGUCGCACAAAACCCUUGUCUAGAAGAUCCUGCAGCUGUGCCUUCAGCUCCUUCAAUUCUGCUGGUGCCAUCCUGUAGGGCGCCUUUGAGAUUGGGGUAGUCCCGGGGACGAGAUCUACCACAAACUCAAUCUCCCUAUCAGGAGGCAUGCCUGGAAGCUCUGCUGGAAACACAUCUCCAAACUCCCGCACUACGGGAAUAUCCUCAAUCCUAGGGGCGUCACCCUCACCCCGCAACACAACAGUAGCCAAGUAGGCUACGCAGCCUCUACUAAUCAAUUGCCGAGCUCGAGAAGAGCUAAUCGUCAUCACAAACAAUGAACAGAUCCUCAAAUAACUUCUCCAUCGCACUGACCCAUCCCUCAACAACCCAGGCCUUAGUGCAACCGCCAUCGAAAAUCGGUGGAUCAAAACGGCGGAAACGAGCCAACCUCUCCGUCCACCGCUCCUGCUCGGCCUCUGUCAACUGUACUGGCCCCCCAGCAGGCGCAACUGGCACUACUGGAAAGGCUGCUGGCGGAGGUACUGCUGCAACUGGUACUACCACUGGAGUAGUCGGAGGUGGAACAGAUGGCUCUGGUGCCCUCGGUGCCGAACUCUGGGACGAAGCUAGCUUCUCACACAUCCUCUCCAACAACUCCCCCUGCUGCUUCGUCACCACUGUCAGGGCGGCUAACUGUGCACUCAAGUCCGGGGAUGUACUCGUCUCCUGUUGAACACCCGGUUCCUGCUGGACACUCGGCUCCGCAUGCUCAGGCAUCUCGGAAGGUCCCGCACGAUCUUGCGACAACUGGGCACGCUCCCAUAACGACGGUCGACCUCGGCGACGAUACAUAGCUGAAAGGAACAAAUCGGGGUCAGAUGAAAUAUAAACACUCUCGACCCAAUCAACGAAAGUCUUGAAGGCGGUCCCUGUUUUCCUCCAAAAUUAUGUUGUCUGCAGCGAACAUAAUUUCUCAUGCCAAAACAGGCACUCCUUCAAUCAGUCACCCCACUCUAGGAGGAGUUAGAACAAUUAAUCAUUGACUUUCGCAAUAAAUUACGCCUCUCGCGUCUUGCCUUCCUAAGGUUUGCCAAACUUAGAUUUUCUAGGUCCCAACGACCUAAUGCUAAGCUCUGAUACCAACUUAAUCUGUCACGCCCCGAAUUACACGUUCCCCGGGCACGCCGACAAAUCCGCCGUAUAUAAAGGAAAUUUCUCCUGUAUACGAACCGACAGCUGUACCUGUAAACCGUACAAUACUAACAAACAGUAGUAUAGAGCUGUUAGAGUAAACAGAAGCUAAACAAAUGGAGAUCCAUAUACAUAGUUCAAUAACCAAAAAUACAGAGCUACUCGCACUGGCGAGUUAAGUAUACUAUGUACAUAACUCAAAACAAAACAUCUACCUGCAGUAGGGGCACCUCUAGCUCGACACGUCUGGUAGGGCUCUAACUCGCGACGCCCUUGCCUCGUUCCUGAUCUGCGACAGCAGCAGCCGACGACGAUGGCUCUGCAAAAAUAGGGGGUAACAACAGGGCGUGAGAACUACUGUAAAAACAGGUAGUCCUCAGUGGGUGCCGCCCUCAACAACAUCGGUCUACCCACUAAGUCUACAGAAAGGAGCAAAGAUAGUAGUAAAUGUAGGAAUAAAAUCUACCGCUAUGAAUCACUACACUAUUAUGCUCUACACUAACCAACUGUAGGAAAUGUCAAAUCUGACCCAAUCCAAUCGGGACUGUAAACCUACCCGUCCCUGCCCAGUUGUGACUAUCCAGCUACCUCCACACUACUAGUCCGUGGAGAGCAAGUCCAACCAGCAUGAGCGACACCAACGCGAAAGCACAGCGCCCGUCUCCGGAGUGGCACUCAUGGGAGCUAUCCAACCGAGUAUGCAGCGUAUCUCUGUCGAGCUCAAUCAGGCUCUCAAAAGCCAAAGUCCAGUGACCGACUCAAACUGGUCUAACAAUCAACAGGUAACGUGCCCUCGGCACAAUCCAACGCCAAAAAGGCGAUACGGGUCCACCGUCAACCCCGACGGCACCCAACAGUCCGGAACAGCCUAAACGCUAUUUUAAAAAAUUCACUCGGCAUCCCCGCACGAGUGUAACUGAAAUCUAAACUACCUGAAAUUCUCAAUAUGAUGAUACUGCAACAGUAUAAAAUCAUACAACGGCCCCUAGGGCUAAAUCAGGUAGUUUAACAUAUGCCGAUUGUUAUCGCAUUUUGUCCUAAGUCGAAUCCAAGUCCAACAUGUAUAUUUAUGGUUACAAGUCAUGUUCUCAAUGCUGAUUAUUUGUAGCCAUGAUACGAUCAACAACCUGAGUUACAAUAUGAUUUACCAGAAACUCGAAAAUCAUAUAUGUCGACUAAUAUAUACGUAGGAAUAAACCGAUGUAACCCACCUCGAUCGCUGAACCCCGGCAGCGAGGAGGUCACCAAAAAUCCCCAAAUCCAGUGGAAAAAUCAGGGUGUUCAGCUCAAGUUCGAAAUCGCCCUGCACACUUCGCAACAAAGACUCCAACUCAAAUUCUGACCGAAACACAACAGCAGAGGAGAAUAUAAUUUCAACCCAGCUAACCUUCAACAAAUCCAGCAAAUAAGGGCUUCGUGGAUUUCUGUCAAAGUCCAGAAUCCAACGAACCAAGUCCCGUCGAAAUCCGACGUUCCUACGCCGAGUACGAGCCGAAACUCUGACGGUCGACACUGAAAAUCAGUAAAAUCAGCACGCGAGCUCAAAAUCGUGCGUUCAAGUAAUCCAAGGAGGAAAGUUAGGUACCCACCUCAACAGCGAAUCCAGCGCCGGUGCGACGUCGAGGACGGCGAAAACACCCCCUCGCCCAGCCUCCUCGCGAUGUAACGGCCGCAACCAUAUGCUCGAAUGGCUUGGCGACGCGACGUCGACGUGGAAAUCGAGCUCCGCGGCACGAACCGAGCUCCUCCUUGCUUCGGCCGAAUGGAGAGAGAGACUUAAUUACAGAAGUGCAUGCACACCCUCUAAAUAGAUAAGCAUGCAGUGCAUGCAUGGGGCACGUGGCAUCCAUAUAUAUAUAUAUAUAUAUAUAUAUAUAUAUAUAUAUNCCCCCAGCACGACUUCUGGAGCUAGAGGGAUGAGGCUAGAGCUCAGAGGAAGGGUUUUGCACCUUCGUCAUUUUCUCUCUCUAGGGUUUCUCUCUCCUCAAGUAGAAAUCGCCUAUUCGAGCUUCUUUCGCGCCGCGCUCGACACUCGCUGAUGUGAAGACUCAAGAGAAGUAUUUGGCACAUGGGGAGAAGACUUCUUAUUGAAUUUCUGUGGUCCUAUCACAAGGGGAAAGCUGAACUGCAGCUUUAUAAAGGUAAUUAGCUCAACUUUUCUUUAGUUUGCGGUUUAGUGUCGGAUUUUGACGCGUUAUGGUAUCGUUGCUUCCGCUGAAAUCCAGGGCGUGACACGCCAUAUGUCAACAACAUGUAAGGCGUCUAUAAUAAUGCGAUAAAUAAAACAGAGAUAAUACAACAAGUAUAAUAUCAGAGCAUAAAUACUUAUAAUUUUUAUAGACAAGUAGAUAAAUAAAAGAACUAAACAACUAAUAUAAACCAUUAAGUAGGGUAUACAACACAAGAUCCACAUAAAUAAAACUAAAUACAAAAGUAGUGGUCUCUACACAUAGGGUACAAAAUGUCUCUCUCUCUCUCCAACUAAAACAAAAGGACAGAUGACCACCUAAGAAAAUGCUCUAAGCUACGACUAGCUAAAUGCGACCCCCUUGCCGCUAUCCCUAACCUCUGCCGGAGUGAAUGACUCUGUAAACAAAAGUAUCAACAAAAUAGGAAUGAGAACUAUUAGUUAAUAAUUCCCAGUGGGUAAGCCGCCGACCUCAGCGAAAUACACCACUAGGUUAUAGAGGCAAAGAGUAGUAUAAUGAAACUGAAAUAAACAUCAUGUAUAUUGAACAAAUAUUAAUUUGCUAAGCUACUAUGCCUCUAAUUAGCAUAAAGUUCAACAAGUGAUACUGCUAUUCUAUCAUGAAUGAGUAUGUCCAUAGAGUACACGAAUAUGCACUAAGCAUGUCCAAUAAGUCCACGAAUAUGCACUAAGCAUGUCCAAGGAAUCCAGCUACUAUACACUACCUAGUAGUGAUUGUCACAUUAUUCGGUUUAAAUGUCAUUUUUUAAUUCCAAUUUGGGACCUACACAAGUAUAGUCUAGCUUGUGCCGCCUAAUGGCCCGUAGUAGUUCAACAUUCCCCCACUAGGAAUGAGCCUGUCCCACGCCGACCCAAUAGGCAUCCAAUCCCGCACGGGUGAGCAUAUAUCGCGUAGGCCAACUCCGGAGUGCCGACUUGUGGGGAGCGACCCUCACAAGCAUGUGCGAACGAGCACAAUGGCAAGCAAGCAUGAUCAUCUAUCUCAAGUCUACGAUCGUCAUGUCUAAAAUAAGGUAUAAGCAAUAGCAAUCCAAAGGUCUAUCUCUAUGUUAUAGCGUAAAAGUUUAACCGUUUACUAAGUCGAAUGCUACUUUAUGACAUUAAUGUUCUCUAUAUCUAGUACAUGUCCUUUGUUCAUAAGCAUAUAAAAGAUUGUCAUUUUACUAAAUAUAGCAUGAUUUCCAACAUAGUACAAGAAUGCCACUUCACAUGCAAUUUACUAUACAAUUCUCUCUCUACUACAUAGAGGCUAUAAAAUAUGAUACAUGACAUGUAUUUUAGGUAUCUAAAACUUCAUUUAUGCCUUAUCUAGCAUGAAUAUGCAUGAUUUUUUAUUUUAAACCACAAGAUAAAACAUAGGGGAAGUUCACCCAUUUCAGUGAGAUCAAACCAACCAGAUACCCCUCGCAACCCCUUCGUUUGCGCGAACGGAGUUGUCCACAAGCCUCUUAGCUCCCUAACAAAAAUUCCAAGAAGGUUUGGAGCUUCAAACGAACACACUAAAAAUUUCUCAUAAUCCAACCCAUAAAUAGGUAGAAAAAUAUCUUAAAUGGUUGAAAACUCUUCCAAAAUCCAAAUGAAGGUUAGGAUGCUUCUAAUCCAACCUAAAAGAGAGUUCUAUACUCAUCAAUUCAACCCCAAAGACUACAAAUCAAAAACCCCCAAAUAAAACUCUAGUUUUCCCAAAACUAGGUUUCCUUUCAAAACCCAAGCAAAAACAACAAUCAUAUGUAGUAAAAAGGUUACUAACCUUAGAAGAAGCUCCAAACCAAGCUUGGGUUGAAGUUAGAUCCUCUACUAGCUCUCUUCUUUACUUCUAAGGCUCCUCUAAGGCUCAAGAAGCUAGUCACCAUGAAGAGGAAAAAGAAAAGAGAUAAAAAACCCAAAUCAACAUGAGUUUUGGAGAAGAAAUCCAAGGGAGAAAGAAGGAAAAACUCACCUCUUCCUCUCUAGUCUCAGCACAAAGAGAGACAUGUGAGGGAGAGAGUAUGUUAUAAGCAUGAUGUAACAAUUCCCUCAAGACCCCUCAAAAACACAGAAAUUGCAAACUGCACAAACUGCAGUUCCUGCACUGCAUACCGGUACGCGGGCUGGAGUAUCGAUACCCGGCCACAAAUCCCGCAAACCCGAGCCUCUGUCAAGCAAACAGAUUGCAAGGUACCGGUACCCGCGUGAUGCAGUACCAGUACCAGGCUCCAGUACCGGUACUCAAGCGAUGCAGUACCGGUACUCUGCCUCGUAGAGCUCAAAUCCGAGAGCACAUCUCUUGAUUGCGCGACGGGGUUCCGGUACCUCUCUUUGAUACCGGUACCGAGCACCCCAAAACCUGCAGUUUGGAGGUUUUGGUGCUAAGUACCCACUCUCGCUCUUCAAGAUGCGAGUAAUAGGUCGGAACACGAUCAACGACCCUCAAAAAUACCAGGAAUAGCUCGAAAUACUAUUCUAACACUAGAACUUUACAAUUUGCUAAAGUUUAGUGUGCUACAGUAUGCCUGGGGGCGUGCUGGCCCAAGUACGGCCCAAGACUAUAGGUGGGCCAGAAUGCAGGCUAAGCCUAGCGCGACUCAGCAUGUGCAGGCCAAACCUUCUCUCGGCGCAUUCAAGUGGACUAGGGCUCUGGCCCUGCACACGAGAGGACCCUACAGGCCCAGGCAUGCCCCCGAAGGCGUGGGCAGGCCCCUGCAGGCCAAACGUGUGGGUUGGCUACAUCAUCCUAGUGCGCUAGCCAGACCUACAUGCAACCGUGCAUGCAAGAAAGCCUAAUCUAGCCUGGCUCACUGCUCUUGGUCAGCCCUACAUGUGAGCCCCCUCUCCUGUAUCAUGCACUUCUAAAAUCGAGCGGAAUCUACCAAUUAUGACUCAAAAAAAUAGCCAAUUUUAUUUAUUUUCUUUAUACAAAUCAAUGCAAAUUUAUCGUUUAAAAAAUAAUAGUUAAAGAUCUAUUCGAUAUCAAAAAAUGGAUCAUCGAACGAAAACAAGCACUAUAAGUCUCUGAUACCACUGCUAGAAAAAAUAUAGUCAAAUCAAAGCGCAAAAAUCACAUAGAUUUUUACAUACCUCUUUGAUAUGGAAUUAAUGUUGCAAUUAUCAGGAUCUGAUCUCGUCUUGUUUUACAAACUCCUUGAUCCGCCAACAAUCUGUCUCAAUUUCUUACACAUUGUUCUUUUUUGUCGCGAUUCGGCUACUAGAGUCGAUCGCAGCACACCGCCCAAAUCCCUAGGGUUUCUGAUAGUGCCCUAGAGCGAACCCAGGAGAGAGAAUUUUGUGGAGAAAUUAUUCUAUUUUUUUUUGUAUAUCAUAUGUGGCCAAUACCAAGGAUUUAAGUGCCGUGGCAUAGGGUCGUACCGGAAACUUGCCGGCACGGGGUCGUGCUGGAGUACAGCAAGGUGCGUGCCGAGCCAUGCCGAUGCGUGCCGAUCAAAAAAAUUCUUGUGUGCCGACACAUAAUAGCAUGAAAUAUUUAUUUUCUUUAGCAACAAAAUAUUCUAACUAUUUAUUAUGUCUUUUUAUCACAUCUUUUGAACUUUAUUGAGGAAAUUACUUACUAAUUUAAAGAAUAGAAGGUUUUGAGCUGUGCCAUCGGUACGGGGUCUGUAUCGUGCCGAUAUCUAGUUGGUACGGUACGGCACAGUGGAUACGGGCCAUGCCGACGGGCACUUAAAACCUUGGCCAAUACCUUAUGUAUUUAUAGACCAUAGGGGAGAUAUUAAUUCUAAUCCUAUUUUAACUGAAUCUCACACGGAUAGAGAUUUAAACAUAUUAAAAUCUAUCUAUUAGAUUUAUUCCUUAUUCUAUGUGGACUAAAAAUAUUUUAGAUAAGUCCCGAUGUAGACAAAUUCUAAUAAAAAGUUUAAGCGAUUGUAAAACAUUGGCACUUAAACAUCAUAAUACAAUUUUAUGUAUUACUGGCAGUAAAGACAUUGCAUCGUUUACUUCUUAAGCAUAAAGGCAUGGUAGUAUUACUUGAUUACAGUCUUUUUAUUCAAUUAUUGUUAUUCCAACAUUCUUAUUACUCAUUCCUCAGUUAUCCUAGUGUGGUAGUGUGCCCCACUCAGCAGCGAUACCUACCGGAGAUUAUUUUACAUAGUUCUUACACUCAUUGUUCGUUACUACCUUUGCAAAGCAUUCUAGCACGAGAGAGGUCCGGGAUCAUGGCAAGGGCAUUGCUUGAUAGCUAGAGCUGUCCCACCCACUUGAACCACAUCAAGGUGGUCCGUAUUUCACCUUUUGGGAGUUUAGGUUAAAAUAGUUCUCACAUUCAUUGUUCGUUACUACGUUUGCAAAACAUUCUAGCACGAGAGAGGUCCGGGAUCAUGGCAAGGGCAUUGCUUGAUAGCUAAAGCUGUCCCACCCACUUGAACCACAUCAAGGUGAUCUGUAUGGAAGUUUGUGUGUGACGGAGAAGGUGAUGAGGUUUUUAUAUUAGACUAGCUCACAUUUUGUAUGCGUUGGAGUUGUAUGCUAUUUUGGAGAUGAGUUGUGUUAGAGCUAUGUUCUUAUUCGGAAUAUAUUUACGUUGGAUUGCAUCUAUUUACGUGAAGUUGAUGUACGCUCUAAGUUAAUUCAAUUGUUAUGUAUGUACUAUUGAUAUCUAACUAGUAGAAUACACACUAUAUUUUAACGGAUGAUUGAUUGAUUGUAGUCUUAUACUUGCAGUGAUGAUCUACUACGCACGGCCCCCAAUUAGACUUUCGCCAAAACCCUGAAGCGCAACAGCAGUAUUCUUGGAAGCCUAUAGCAAUACUAUUUUUAGAAAUUCCAAUCCACAGCAGUCCAACACAAUUAAGUGCCCUCUUCAAGCAGAAUCAUUCAAGCACAGAAAUUUUACCACCAUACAAAACAAAAAGAAAAAAGAAAAAACGAUAGAUAAUAUGCAGCAACAAGGCAACACCAAAUAUACAUAUCGCACAAUGUUUCACACUCAAAUGCCGCAAGAAAUCAGGCAGCAUGGCAAAAUAUGUAUUAUUGGGUGCAGAAAACAAACAGCAAAGAUUUAUUACAUAGAGCAAGCAAAAAACAUAAAAUACUCUUGGAUCCCCAAUUUCAAUCCGAAAAUUAAAAAAAAAAAAAAAAAAAAGAAAAAAAAGAAAAGAAAUCUUCUCCCUUCAGACGUAUAGCUUUGGCUUUGCAAUAACGACAGAGUGGCUGAAUCUUCACUACACAGCAUAAUCUACCGAUACAUUUAAAUAAAAAACAAAGCUCGGCGGAAGAGCAUUUUAGGACUUCUAAGGCUGCAAAAAGCUGGCAUAUUUGGCACCAAGGAAAAGCCUCUGCACGCAAAGGAGUGCAUUCUUUCUCACUUCAGCAUUUUCGUGAUUCAUGAGCUUCAUGACCCGCUCUUUUGCCUUGAGGUCGGUAGCAACUAUCCGCCCAGCUGGGUGGUACUGAAUGAAUUGGGACAGGUCAUAGCAAGCAACGGCAAGUGCUGUUGGGUCACUCGACGUAUCAAGAAUUGUGACGAGGACUCGCAGGAUCUGCAGCACAAUAUGUACAAAUUUCUAGUAAAAUACGAAGAAAGAUACUUCGGUCUUACAACAUAAGCCGAUGCUUAAAAGACAACUGAGAAUGAAAACCAUUUGUUAAUUGGUUGUUUAGGGUCAUGACAAUGACACCUACGAGUGACAAGAAAUAAGCAAUCCCAAAUUUGAAGAAUAUAAUUAUCCAGAAAUCAACUCACCUGCACAAUGCACUAUCUUGAAAGUCAAUGAUUGUUAGCAACUUAUUAAGGUAAAACUGUAAAAAACUUGGGCCUGUUUGGCCAAGCUGUUGGAAAAAUAAUUUCUGCAUAUUGAUUUUGGUUUGAAAAAACAAUUUUGGUUAAAAAUUGUAAAGCGUUCGGCUAAGCCUAGAUGGAAAACGAUUUUUUUAAGUGAUUUUGUAAAGCUAUUUGGCAAAAAAAAAAUUGCUGUUUACAAAUAAUAAAUUUUCUUUUUUGCUGAAUUUUACUUUAAAAUAAUUCAAAAUUUAAAUUUAAAAUUUAUAAUUUGAAAUUUAAAAUCUAAAUUUGAAAUUUGAAAUUUGAAAUUUAAAACUUUAAAACUUUAAAUUUAAAACUUACAAUUUUAGAUUUUAAAAUUUUAUAGUUUUAGAGUAAGAAGUCUAAUAAAAGCAGAUUUUCACAGCUCAAAAGCAUCCCAUCACAUAUUUCAACUCUCGAUGGGAAUUUAAAAAAAAAAAGGAAUGAGAGCCUGGACCAGGAAAGCUUACUAACACUGAAAAUUAGGAACAAGACACAGAAAGCAUCAUCCGUUAUGUACACACAGUGUUAACUGACCCAAAAGAGUUUAUACAUCAAAAUGUCACUUAAACCAGAGAUUCUUCCCAUUAUAUUUACAAAACCCUGUUACUAGACUUCAAAUUAUGGGCAAUUGCAUACUAUAGACCAGUUACUAGACUUCAAAUUGCAAAUCUUGGUUGCAACCUAUGGUUGCAAUGUUGCAAAAGGUCACAAUAGCUUGAAAGCCUUCCCAAGGCUUCAAAUGUUUAAAAUGGCCAUAAAAGCAUAGUAAAAGGUUUGCAUUUAACUUUUAAAUAAAUAGUCAAGAUAAACAAAUACCUGGAAAUCAUUCUCUUCGAAGUUUGUAAUGUUCUCACGCCAGAAUCCAGGAUCCUUGUGCAUAGGAGACCAGUCAAGAUUACCCAGAAGGACUUCUUGCUUAUAUUUCUCAAAAGAACUCAAUCUUUUGAUGUUGUCUCUGAGCCCUUCUUCGAGCUGAUUCAGUGCUUCCAAUAAAUCCUGAAUCCCAUCAAGAAACAAUUGAAAACACACAUCACGGAAAGUUUCUCGCAAAUACAAUAUAUAUGAAAAGGGGGAAAAAAGGGUUCUACCCUAGUUCUUAGGUCGGACUGAGUAUUUAUGAGAAAUCAGUUGGUGGUUUGUUAUAUUAUAAACUUUCUGGAAAGAAUUGAAGCAUCACGGCUAUCACAUAUUAUGAAUUUAUUAUGGCAUGAGAUUACUGACCGCAGUUUGGAUUUUAAAAACACAUAAAAAACAGAGUUUCAAGAGCAAAUGAUUUUCCAAAUCUAGCUACACAAUAUUUGAACCAAGGAGCAACACAAUAUAAAACCGAGAAUAUGAUAAAACAGCUCAAUGAAAUAGCACCGAAAAUUAAGAAUCUGAGGGUUAAAAUCCUACUUUGCUCCCUGCCCUCCCUCAUGCACCCCCGACCUCUUGUACUCACCAGUACACAAAAGACCAUAUAAUAGAAAUAUGAGACAGCUUAUUUCAACGUACUUGCGUUUCGUUUGAUUAAGAAAUUUUAUUUGAACCACGAAUAAUAUAUGGCUAGACAAAUCUCCUUUAUUCACCCACAUGGCAUAUCCAAUAUAGAUACGGACAUGCCUAAAGCAUUUAAAGCAUACAAUCACCACAAGAAAUCAAUUUCAUGCGCUCUAUUAUUAUUGUAUGUAAUGUUAACAGAAGUCAAAAAUUCACCUCAUCGCUCCAUGCCUGAGCUUUUAAACUUUGGACUAUUUGUGGCAAUCCAAGAUCAAUCAUUUGAGCCCCAAAAGCACCCUUUGAUAGCAAAUUGCGGAAGGUCAAUACAAUAACCCUAACCACCUUCAAUACGUACAAGCCAUUAACGAUGUUAGAUACUUAUUUAGUGUAGAGCAUUAGUAUAAUUUAGCGUAGAUUACUAGUAUAAACAUAAAAACGUGAACAAACUUACUUUCUCUUUAGUAGAUCCUUUUACAACCUCUACAAGUCUUGGAAGGACCCUAGUAGUGGCCAUGUACUCAACUGCCUUACCAUAAUAUGACAGAAGCCAGAUACAGAGGCAUGUUUCAUAGAGAAGCUGCAAAAGGACAAUAAAUUUGGUAUGCAAACACCAGGUCAUGGCACAUACGACAGAAACUGAAAACAAUUACAUUCAAAGCACAACAGGUGACGGAAUCUGCAGGUUGAUGCUAUUGACCAUAUAGUAAUAUGAUAGGACAAAAGCACAAUACAAAAUGAAAUAAAUUACCUGAAUAGACUGCUGAGUGGAUGCUGGAGAAAUUAAAGGAACAAGCAAUUUUAUGCCGUCAGCUGCGACAAAUGAAGCUCGAACACUGCGUUCUCUAAGCAAUGUUGCUAAGCUAUUUAUAGCUGUCGGAACAGAACUGCCGGGGUGAGAAGGAUUCCUCAACUGCAAAAUAAUGCGAUUUUAUCAGGAAUAGAAGAUGAAAUUUAACUUACAGUUCUACUAUCUUCAAUUGGCAAGAAGCUUGACAAUUUCGUUCCACUCUCGCAAGGUCAUCGGUGGCUAUUUAUGUCUACCUUCCAAGGGUAACAAAAGGAAAGAAAAAAAAAAACAAUUCACUUUAGAUGUACCCAGAAUUCCAUCACAUAAAAAAGGAAAAUACAAAGUAUGAUGCAUAUCUGACAAUCAGCUAAAGUAUUCAUAGCUGCCAAUGGGCUGAAGUAGUCAGCUGAAAUAUAAGUACUCCAAUAUGAGAUUUUCCUUGCUGGUACUGUCAUUAAAAUAUCCCAAAAACACAGUACAUCAACAUGCUAUUUGGAAUAGAAGAUAACCAACAUAUAUAUGAAUAUGCUACAUAAGGCGUAUAGUAAGGAAUGUGCAAUCAACAUGCAUAUAAUCGAAAUGCCAUGUUUCAUAUCCAUAAUAUGAGUUCCUAAUGUCAUGAUUAUCAAGGAAGCAAGGUGAAUCAAGAAAUAGAUGACAUAGAAGGAGUUCAACGAUUUCUGGUUAGGUCGAACCCACCAAAUGGUUUCUCGAAAGUCUUUUGUUUCCUCAAUCAAAGUUGUGUAUAAUGAAUAUGUACAAUAACCCUAGAAAUCAUUGAAUUUAGGGUGUCAUGAUGUGUAAUAUCGCGACCUUCCGGAAGCAUCUUUUGGAGUGUCGAUCACCCUCGACUCUCUCAUGUGCAUUGGGAGGGCCGAUCACCCUCGACUCCCAUUAUGCGCCGGAGUGCCGAUCCUCUCAAUUCCGCAUGUGGUACUUGGAGGGAUGAUCUCCCUCGACUCCCAGUGCACCAAUUGGAGAGUACUACGAUCUCCCUCGGCUCUCUAUGAGGUGUAUGUCAACUGAUUGGAGAGUAGUACGAUUUCUCUCAGCUCUCCAUGAGGUGUAGUGUAAAAUAGAACCAAUCAAAUAAAUGGUUAAAGACAUGAGGUAAGUGGAGAAACCUAUAACUAGCGGCAUAGUAAGCAUCUGGAACACUUAAGGCAUGGCAGUUGUAAGAUUCACUUAUUGCAUUUCUAGUAUAGAAAUAUUUAUUGUUAUCAAUAUCUAUCUACUAAUGCCUCCUUUGGACCGAAUGACUGUAGAGCACCAUUCUUAGUGGUUGCACCCACUGAGAACUAUUUGUAGUUCUCACCUCCUGUAGUUUACAUUUCUACGGAUCUUAGCAUCGUUGACAAAGCAAGUGACCGCAACAAGAAUGUCACGGAGCACGGGAACAGUAGACCUAGAGAGAGGUCUAGAAGUACCCUUUAUUUUAUGAAUAAUCAAAGAAUUGUACCAUUUUAAGAUCAAAACUUGUAAACUCUAAGGCUACGUUUGGUUCGGGUAUAAGUAAGAACUGCUUAUUCCAAGAAUAGGUACAAGUUCAGAUAUAAGCAAGAACAAGACUAAUUUUGCAUUUGGAUGAAAAUUAGAUUUUUCCUGGGAAUAAAGUAAAGUGUUUGGAUGGUUAGAUUGGAACAAAGGGAAUAAGAAUUAUAAUUUUAAAUUAAAAUUAUUUUAUCUAAUUAAUUAACAUCAAAAUAUUACUUAAAAAUAAUUUAAUAAAUUAAUAAAUUUAAUAGCUACAAAUAUUGUAUAAGAUAGUGAAAAUAUAUUAAUUAAUUAAUUAAUUAGUUAUAAAAAAUAAUUUAACUUUUUAAUUAGUUGGUAAAUUAUUAAUGCUAGAUAACUAGUAAAAAAAAUUAAUUAAAUUAUUAUUAUUAUUAUUUAAGCAAUAAAUAAUAAUUUAAAUAUAUUAAUUAGAUAAAUUAAUAAUUUAAUACCAUAAUUAAAAUUAAAUUUAGACUCUAAUUAACCUUGUUCCCACCUGGGAAUAAGCUUGUUCUAGGGAAAAAGGUAGAACAGCAGUUCCAGUCUUAUACCAUCUUAUUCUAGAAACCCGAUAACUACUGUUCUCGGAUACCAAACGCAACAUUUGGGAACAAAGGGAGGAACAAGGGCUUAUUCCCCUUUUGCUCCCGAAACAAACACUGCCUAAAGAAGUUAAUUUUUGUGAAAUAUACAAUUAGUUGUAGACUUUCAAAUAUUUAAAGUUGAAUGUUUUCAACUUAGUAGUUGUGCUCUGAUAUUAUAUGAUAUUAUAUGUAUACAUAUCGUGUAUGAUUGUACAGGUUAAUGCAUAAUUCCGCUUCGUGAGGGUAGAAAAGGCCUUGGCCAUUUGGCGGAUCUGCGCGUGCCCAAGCGGGCCCAGUUGGCAGUCUCGGGGCAUGACACGGACUUAAAUUAGUUAAAUACCAACCAACAAUACACCUUAAUGUCAUUACCAUCAAAGGGUUGUUAAUAUUAUACUAACAAAAGUAGAAUUCCUAUCGAGUGCAAUUAGGGACAAAAAAUCAAUCCACCCUGAAUCUCACCAAGAUUCAUAUUCAAAUGUACAAAACCCUUCACUUUUUCUUCGAAAAGAGUGAAAUAUUACUCGUGUAAACUUUCAGCCCCCUAUUAACUAUGUUUGGUACGCAAGGUGAACUUUUAAGAAAGAUAUAAAUUUCACCUCCUUUUAAACCUCCAACAAUACAAGGAAAAAGAGAGGGACUAGAUUAAAAGGAUGUUAAGAGAGAUGAAAUUCAUAAUAUAUAGGAAGCGAGAAAAUUUUGAUCUUUUUUACACUAUUUUUUACUCUCUCUUUAUUUUCUCUCUCCCCACUCUCCUCAUUUCUCUCUUUAUUUUCUCUCCCUAUUCUCUCUCCACUUUUUUCACCCUUUUCUCAUUUUAUGUCCUUAAUUUCUCUCUUUAACUCUCUCAUCCCUCUCUCCUUACUUAUCUCCCUUCACUUUCUAUUCCGUAUCCCUCUCUUCACUUCUCUCAUCUCUAUCCAUCUCUCUUCACUUUUUAUCCUCAUCCCAUUCUCUUCUCUCUCCAUUUAGUCCCCACUCUUCCUUCACUUUCUCUCUCCUCAUCCUUUUUGUCACGCCACGCAACCGCCAAUUUGGUCGGUUCGGGCAUGUACACAGACGUCGAACGGACAGAACUUUUUCCCUGUCCGCCCAAGGCUCCACAAGUUCAUAACAUGUAUAAAGAAUUGCCCAGGAAGAAUUACAAUAUACAUGACUUGCGCGAGGACAAGUAACAAGAGCAAGUGAAAGUAACUCCUAACUAUUACAUCCAUUCACUAAACUUGAUUACAUCUAACCAAAAAUACAAAUCCUUUACAUCUGUCUUUAUAUACAAUUUUAGCUCCCAAAAUACAUCCUUUUCGUCAUAUACAAAAGAUGAAAUAAAAGAACAACUAAUGCACGGGUGUCCACUACCUAGGGCGCUAUGCUCUUGCCGCAAUCCUCGACCACCCCGCUCGCGCUCGGAUCUGUAAAAAUGGUGGGGUGAGAACUACAAGAAGUUCCCAGUGGGUUCGGCCGCCAACCACGCCGACUUUCCCACUAGGUCCAAUCAGGCAUGAGUAGAAGAAAACAGAUAGAUAGAUAGUCAUUUCUAAACAAAUGCAGCUACUAUGCCUGGGCAAGGAUAAUGAAACAAUAUAUAUAUGAUGCUCAUAAUGCGUGCAGAUUGCCUUUGCCAAUACCCAAUCCUCUUGGCUAACCCGUAGGUUUAACCCAAAACUCACCAACCAAAUCCUUACUAUCGGAGAGAUACCGCUACGACUCGACGGGACCGUCUUCUAGGGAGAUACCUAUAAGGACUGAGAUUUGACAGUGUAACUAAACCCUCUAUUGACGAUGUUUUUGUGUGUAUUUUAAUUAUAAAAGCACUCGUCAAGUUUCGGGAGAAAACGAGUUAGAAUGGAGAUUUUACGCGAUCUUUACUUUUCACUUAAAGUGAAUAGUAACCUCGGUUUCCGGAGAGGCCAAGGUCUAGAGAUGGCUUCCGGCGCGUAUCGGACUCCGUUCAUAGCGAUCCAAUAGCUCGUUUUCAAUGGUCUAACUAUUCUGGAACCAUUGACGCUGACGGAUUUCAGGUUUGACGCACGGAUUUCGAGAAAACUGGAGAUAUAUAUAUUAUAUGUAUUUUUGUGCGGGUUUUGCCAUUUGGAGAGAGGACUGCCAUUCGGAGAGAGGACGGGUUUCACCGCGAAUCUGCGACCAAACCAGGCAAAACAAAAUCGUGUAUUUGUUGUCUCUGUUGUGCUAAUCUCAUUGGUGCGAUCCAUUCACAAAUCUGACGGACGGAUCUCCUAUAAUCGCGCGUUGAUCAAGGAGGGGUCAUUAAUGGCAAAACGGUAAUUUUGCUAAAAGGUUCUACAUUUUAUGUACAGUUUUGCGUGAAAUUGAACAUUGAGGUGUGUUCGCGCGUUUUAUUCGCGCUGUGAGGGACUCGGGUUAAAAUAUCUGAGUUUGCUAGACUUAUGCGCAAUUAUGCCCUAUGUAUAUAUAUAGUUUCUAGGGUUUUACACAUGCAAACCCUAGCCCUCCUUAGCUUAGCUAACCUAGCCGCCCUAUCCCCCCCACCUCGUGCGCCAUGCGUCCCCAGCCGCCGCCGACCCAGCCCGAGCAUGCUAGUCGCGGCCACCACAAUCUGCUCCUUUCUCUCCCUCAACUCCUCCACCACCUGUGCCGAGGACCACCAAGGGGGGGUCUAUACCCUCGGGCCCCUCUGGCAGUGACCCCUGAUCCUCGGCGACCGUCCCCGCCUGUCGCCGCCUCCUCCGCGCACUGCAGCUGCCACCCUAGCAGCCUACGGCCGGCCUGGGCAAGCUCGGGUCAAGGAGCUUUAGCUCCCUUCCAGCACCACCGCCGCCACCUUUGGUUGGCUGCGCCACCCUCCCACAACCCUCGACAACCUCCCCCGCCGGCCGCCGGCCCUGCGGGCCGCCGCUGCCGCCUCUGACAGCCUGCGGCCGCCCCAGACCUGCUCGGGCCGAGGGUGAAGCAAAGCCUCCCCCUCGCGCCGCCGCUGCCUGGGAUCGGCCGCAACGCUUCCCUCCGGCCUCCGACAGUCCACUGCCAUCGCCCCUGAGCUCCCCACCGGCCGCCAUGGCCGCAGCUGCUCUUGAACACAAUCCCUAGCCCGUGCGGGCUCGGGUUGCUCCACCGCCACCGCCACCGCCGCCCCUCGCCGGCCGGCGCGAGCCCUGACCUCCCCACAUCGGACGCACCCGUCGGCCGGCGGCGCACCCGCCGCAAGCCGUGUCGUAGCUCCCACCGCCCCGGUAAGCUUAGUUGAGGGUUUUUGGUUGCUGUUUUGGGUUUGCGCAUGCUUUUCCAGCGAUCCGAGACUGUCCUGCUUGUGAGCACGGUGGUCGCUGGUCAAUGCUGAUCAUAAUGCUCACCUCACUUUGAAUCAGCGAAUUCCGAAACUGCAUUUUUCGGCACAGUUUUCCACGAGUGCGAACUAUUCGUUGAAUGUUCGGAUCGCUCCCGCGCCUCCCACAGUGAGCCGUUGUGCUCCGGAUCAUGUGCACGGCCUCCGACACGUCGAGACCUGUCAGUACGUGUCUCGGCGGACGUCGGAAGUCCUAGGUUUGCGUUAACGAGCCAAAAAAUCUCCCGAUUUACAUAAAAUGAUAGGAUUUUAUGUAAAUGUAGGGACUUUUAUGCAAUUGUGCAUCUUGUGGCUACUAUGGGCAGUACGUAUGUGUAUGUGGUGACCGCUGGACUGAUUGUCCAAGGUCCGAUAGCUUUCACGAAAAUCGAAUAGCGAUUUCGGUAUGUUUGUCGGCGAAAUUCACCGGCGGAACGCGGUUUCGGUUCGGAUUUCAUCCGAAGGUGUGUUUGCCCUGUGUUGUGUCGCUGAGCCUUGUCAGCUAGUCACCAUCGUCAUAUCGUGAGUUCGGAGAUGACGGGUGAGCGACGAUAGGUUCUGGUGUCGAAAUUGACACUUCCGGGAACCCGAAUCCAAACAAUUAUCAGUCAAUAAUUGUUUAGUUGUGUAAUCUUGUGUUUGCUGCCAAGACGUCCAAAUCGGUGUGUUUUGUGGCAGCGGGUGACUCGUGGCACGAGUUGGUGAAUUUCGGGAUACUUAGUUGGUCCCGACGGCGUCCCGGUGUGAUUUUCGGAACUUCCGACGAGUUACAGUAAUCGGUUUAAGGAAACCAAUUUUGGGGAUUUUGGUGGGGUUCGUGAGUCGUGUAUUUUGGAUUUGUGGGUUGGAUACUAACCCGGUGGAUCUGCGUAGGUCCGAUUGACUUGUUGCGCACCUAGGUUUCCGACGCGAUUGUGACAGGUGGGUGCUUCGAGCUGGUAGUCGGUGAGAUCGUUUCACUUUUCUCUAUUCUUCUAUAUCAGUAUCGUAGUCUCUACAUGUCAGUUAUAUUUGUUUAUCAUUCAUAUCUAUGCCUUGUUGCUUGCAUUACAGUAGUUGUUGAUAGACAUGUAGAGCAGGCUUGCAUAUGUUGUAUAUCUGUGGACCUUGGGUCCAGGCAACACAUCGACUCCUUUGUCGUGUGUUUCGAUCUAGUUGAUUGUGGUUCGGCGUUGUAUGUCCUUGCAUCUGGCUUCAACCAACACAUCGACUCCUUUGUCUGCAGAUCAAUAUGGCAGCACAAGAUUGGGUUUAAUUUUGGAUUAUAUACCCUUGAGGGUUUUUGUUACAGUAGUAGUUAGAUUCUUGCUCAUUUACUUUCCUGUUUCUAUUACUACUGUAGUUGCUCUUAUAUCAUAUUAUAUACAUAUCUGUUGUUCUAUCUCCUUUGUUUUCCAGAGAAUACGAUUUGCCUUCAUGGCUCUGUCGUACCCACUGGAAAACCUUGAUUGUGAUUUCUUACCCCCUAUUUCCCCAGGUGGUUCGAACAAAGAGUUGGCGUCUGGACCGACGGGAGGACGCCCUAGCUAGGCUACAGUAGCGGUCGUCACCCUGGUAACCUUCUCUUUCUGCAUUUAGUAAAUUGAAUAAUGAAUGGUUCAGUUAGAUGAUCACUAUGAAUGUUUGGAUAUUUGUGAACUGGUUUGAGUUGAUGUGUUUCUUUUAUGCAUGCAAUUGGAUUUAUGAAUCUUUAGUAUUGUAUUUAUACGUCGUGAUUUUCUGCCCUUCGAGUUAGUCGGUUUUCCAAAUGAAGUUUCCGAGUGGGAAACAGUUUUAAAAAGCUUUCGAAUGAUUUUUAUGAUUGAUUAAUUAGUGUUUAAAAACAAAGCUUUCGGGUUCGGAGCACUUUCAAAUAGGAUGUCUGUUAUAUUGUGCAUCGCAUCAUCCAGCGCUUAAGUAAUGUUUAGAGGCAUGCAUCAUCUCUAAGGAUCGCUAACUGUAUAGAAAUGCAUCGCAUAAAUUGCUUGUGGAUUGGUAAAUAUAGGUUGUUGCUGUGAUCCUGAUGUUGUUGUUGGUACGCCGAGUAAAUAUAAAGGAGACUCUGUCCGUAUGGCCAGAGAAACUUUGUAUUUGUGGCGGGUCUGUACGUCACGUGGGCGGGGUUGAAUUCAAAAAAUAAAAAAGAGCACGUUUUCCGCAACUCUGGUUUCUAAAAUGGUAUUUAUUAUAUAAAGGUUUCUAAAAUCGGCCCCGGGGCUUGACAAUACUGCUACGACCCAGUGAUGACCAUUCCGGAGCUCAUCGCUUGAAGAGGAGCGACCGCCCUCAAGCCUAAGACUAUAGAUGAGUAUGAUCCAAUCCACAAGCCAUGAGGAUGCCAUGUCCACUACUGCCACAAUACACAGUGUUCCAUUCACUAGCAUUCAAUGCCACAAGGUGCUAUUUCAAUCGUUUGUCACAAUGUCACCAUAUUUUCUACCUUGGCUAGGUUCUUAUCUCAAUUCAUGCAUCUAUAGGGUUCCCAAGUGUCCAAUGUUCUAUUGUCAAAUCAUAUGCAUCUUUACACGAAAAGCAUGCAAUGAGUAACAACAUGUUUACCAUUUAACCCUGCAAUAUAUAAAUCCUACACAUACAUGCUCAAAUGGUGACUUAGACAUAAAGAGAAAUCUAACUGUUCCGAAUAGCACCACCCACCUCGUAGGGAUGCUGAAGUGCUAGAACCCGAGUUCCACGAUUUAUGGUCCCCGAUUUCCCUCGACCCACGGCAAACGAAGCCAAAAUGAGGUUUUUCCUCAACAACUCGACGUAGACUCGUCGGAACAUCGAUCCGAGUCUUCCAACGCGUCAGUUUAUACUCCAAUUAAAGCUACAAGAGAACAAACCCAUGUUAGAUCUCAUACCUUAUAAAACCCCAUUUUUAAACCUAGGGUUUAUACCAAUACCAAAUACCCAAAUUUCUUGGGGAUUCAUAAGUCAAUCUAACAUAAUAUCUUCUAGGAACAUCAACUUCAAGAGAUUUAGCCAAACCCUAACCCAUAACCACACAAACUCACCUCAACUUCUAGCUUAUUCCUCAACUCCUUGCACGAGAUCUAGCUUCACUCCCAAGCAAGCUUCCUUCUCCACCAAGCUCCACUUUUGGAGCAAACCCUAGGGAGAGGAAGAGAGAAAAGGGAGAGAGUAAAUUGAAUAAUGAAUUGUUACCUUCUCUUUCUGCAUUUAGUAAUUGAAUAAUGAAUGAUUCAGUUAGAUGAUCACUAUGAAUGUUUGGAUAUUUGUGAACUGGCUUGAGUUGAUGUGUUUCUUUUAUGCAUGCAAUUGGAUUUAUGGAUCUUUAGUAUUGUAUUUAUACGUUGUGGUUUUCUGCCCUUCGAGGUAGUCGGUUUUCCAAAUGAAGUUUCCGAGUGGGAAACAGUUUUAAAAACUUUUCGAAUGAUUUUUAUGAUUGAUUAAUUAGAGUUUAAAAACAAAGCUUUCGGGUGGGGAGCACUUUCAAAUAGGAUGACUGUUGUACUAUGCAUCGCAUCAUCCAGCGCUUAAAGGAGUGUUUAGAGGCAUGCAUCAUCUCUAAGAAUCGCUAACUGUAUAGAAAUGCAUCGUAUGAAUUGCUUGUGGAUUGGUAAAUGUAGGUUGUUGCUGUAAUCCUGAUAUUGUUGUUGGUACGCCGAGCAAAUAUAAAAGAGACUAUCCGUGUGGCCAGAAAAACUUUGUAUUUUUGGCAGGUCUGUAGGUCACAUGGGCCAGGUUGAAUUCAAAAAAAAAAGGCACGUUUUCCGCAACUCUGGUUUCUAAAAUGGUAUUUAUUAUAAAAAGGUUUUUAAAAUCGGCCCCGAGGCGUGACAAUACCGCUACGACCCAGUGAUGACCACUCCAGAGUUCAUCGCUUGAAGGGGAGCGACCGCCCUCAAGCCUAAGACUAUAGGUGAGUAUGAUCCAAUCCACAAGCCAUAAGGAUGCCAUGCCCACUACUGCCACAAUACACAGUGUUCCAUUCACUAGCAUUCAAUGCCACAAGGUGCUAUUUCAAUCAUUUGUCACAAUGUCACUAUGUUUUCUACCUUGGCUAGGUUCUUAUCUCAAUUCAUGCAUCUAUAGGGUUCCCAAGUGUCCAAUGUUCUAUUGUCAAAUCAUAUGCAUCUUUACACUAAAAACAUAAGUACCAACAUGUUUACCAUCUAACCCUGCAAUGCAUAAAUUCUACACAUACAUGCUCAAAUGGUGACUUAGACAUAAAGAGAAAUCCAACUGUUCCGGAUAGCACCACCCACCUCGUAGGGAUGCUGAAGUGCUAGAACCCGAGUUCCACGAUUUAUGGUCGCCGAUUUCCCUCGACCCACGGCAAACGAAGCCAAACUGAGGUUUUUCCUAAACAACUCGACGUAGACUCGUCGGAACUUCGAUCCGAGUCUUCCAACGCGUCAAUUUAUACUCCAAUUAGGGCUACAAGAGAUCAAACCCAUGUUAGAUCUCAUACCUUAUAAAACCCCAUUUUUAACCCUAGGGUUUAUACCAAUACCAAAUACCCAAAUUUCUUGGGGAUUCAUGAGUCAAUCUAACAUAAUAUCUUCUAGGAACAUCACCUUCAAGAGAUUUAGCCAAACCCUAACCCAUAACGACACAAACUCACCUCAACUUCUAGCUUAUUCCUCAACUCCUUGCACAAGAGCUAGCUUCACUCCCAAGCAAGCUUCCUUCUCCACCAAGCUCCACUUUUGGAGCAAACCCUAGAGAGAGGAAAAGAGAAAAGGGAGAAAGUAAAUUGAAUAAUGAAUGGUAACCUUCUCUUUCUGCAUUUAGUAAAUUGAAUAAUGAAUGGUUCAGUUAGAUGAUCACUAUGAAUGUUUGGAUAUUUGUGAACUGGUUUGAGUUGAUGUGUUUCUUUUAUGCAUGCAAUUGGAUUUAUGGAUCUUUGCACAAUAGCUAGCUUCACUCCCAAGCAAGCUUCCUUCUCCACCAAGCUCCACUUUUGGAGCAAACCCUAGAGAGAGGAAGAGAGAAAAGGGAGAGAGUAGAGAGUGAGAGAAGGUUCUAGAAAGAGAAAGAGAGCUUUUCUCUUUUGGUCUCAUGUGAGGGAAAUGAGAAUUAAGGGCUAAGAACCCUUAUAUGGAACCUCCCAAUUGACAAUUGCACCAAGGCCCCUCACAAAAUUGCUAUUUUGGACCAAAUGUUCUGCGUGUUCGAGAUACAGAUCUUACACUCAGGGUCCGGACCCCGAGAGCAACUUUCAUAGUUUCGCAGCUAGGGUCUAGACCUUAUUGCCAGGGUCUGAACUCCGAGAGCAAAAACACUCUCAUUCGUCUCGAAACUUUCCGAUUUGCUCUCCAAGGUCCCAAGCACCUAUCCAAACCAUUCCGAAGCAUUCGGAACAACUCACGAACCGCACCAUUUUGUCCAUCACCACACUUCAGUUAAUUUUAACUAAAGUUCGAUACACCCUACUGGGGAUUCGGCAUGUUACACUUUUCUCUCUUCUCUAUGUUCACUCUCCCCCCUCACUUUCUCUCUCAUCCCUCUCCUUUAUCUCCUCUCUCAUCAUUCCUUUUUGCACUCUACUUAUUUCUCUCGCCACUAUUUUCUCUCAUCCAUCUAUCCUCGCCUUGUCUCGAUUCACUUUCUCUCUCCUUAUUUCUCCUCUCUUUUCUCUCUCAUCCCUCCGUCAUUGCUUUGUCGCCCUUUACUUUCUCCUCAUCACUUUCUCUCUCCUCACCUUUUGUCUUCACUCUUUUCUCUCCUCUCUCUCUUCACUUUCUCUCUCAAUUCCCCUCACCUCUUUCUUCACUCUCUCAUCCCUCUUCUAUUUCUUUUCUUAUUCUCUCUCUCUUCAUAUCCUUUCUUCCUUUCUCUUUCAUUCAUUUCUCUCCUUAUUUUAUCUCUUCUCUCUUCACCUUUCAUUUAUGACACAACCAAAAAUCAUUAAAGAAAACUUUUACAAGAAUAACAUUUACUCCACGAAAUAUUACAAGGCGAUUAUUUAACCCCCCAACUUUUAACCCCACACCAAACUAGCCCUUAGAAUUGAAAUUGAGUUCUACUACUUUCUAUAAUGAAUGUAAUUUAAGAGGCAGUUGCUUUUGAGGUAUUUUCAUUUUCUUUUAUCUUUGUUUUACUUAAAACAGUGAAGCUCCAAUUGUAUUGAAGCCAAACUUGUACGUAAAAGAAAAUGAAAAAUUUGUUUUGCGAGGUAGAUUUGGGUCUUUGCCAGAAGGCAGGGUUUCAGAAGGGUUUCAGAAGGAGCGAGAAGCAGAGCACAUUUUGUAUUGGCAAGGCAGAAGGCGGGGUGGGUCUGCUGCUUCCAUAUCUGCCCCAUUUGCAUCCCUAAUGUAAUUUUCAAAAGUAGGAUUGCAGGCUUACGAAGGAGCUUUUUCGAUGUAUAAUCAAUUUUUCAAAAAUCUAUGGUUUUACCUCUAAAACCUCUAGUAACUAGUUUAUUGUUAUUUCUCUAUUGAUUUUCUACAGACUUUGACGUCUAUAGCUAACCAGACCAAAAAGUAAUUCAAACCAACCAUAACUACAAUUUAAUUUGGGCUUUUUUCGAAAAUAACCUUAUAAAAUUUUGUAAUUGGCAAAAUAACCCUCUGAAAAUUUUAUUUGGAAAACUAACCCUCCUUUCGCCACGUCGGCGCCAGGUCGGAGUUUUCUCGUAAAGACGGUGAAUCGGUCACCGUCUACACGAAUUCCUCAUGAAGACGGUAGAUGGUUCACCGCCUUCAUAAGACGGUGAACUAUUCACCGUCUUUAGGCGUAUCCAUCCCCCUCUUUAGAACGAAUACAACACCUUUGGAACUGCUGUGCCCUCAACCUCGGCCCGAACUUGUCGUGAAGACGGUAGAUGGUUCACCGCCUUCAUGAGACGGUGAACUAUUCACCGUCUUUAGAACGAAUCCAGUCUUUACAGCGAAUACAACACCUUUGGAACUUCUGUGCCCUCAACUUCGGCCCGAACUUUGGCGAAGGAGAUAAAACACAGAUAAGACGGUGAACUGUUUACCGUCUUAUUUGUCCUGCACUAAAGACGGUUAACAAUUCACCGUCUUUACUUUUGUCAAGGUAAGGCGGUGAAUCGUUCACCGUCUCCAGUGUUGUGUUAUGAAGACGGUGAACAAUUCACCGUCUUACCUUGGUAUACCCGAACCCGACACCUCUCCCUCACUCUUCGCUCUCUUUCUCUCUUAACUCUCUGUCUCUCUCUCCCUCCGCACCCCGACAGUCGCCGCCGCCCAAGCCGACGUCGCCGCCGCCCAAGCCGCCGUCGCCGCCGCCCAAACCCGAAGCCCCGACACCUCUCCCUCACUCUUCGCUCUCUUUCUCUCUGAACUCUCUGUCUCUCUCUCCCUCCGCACCCCGCCAGUUGCCGCCGCCCAAGCCGCCGUCGCCGCCGCCCAAGCCGACGUCGCCGCCGGUCGCUGUCGAGCCACCGAGCCUUCCCCCGUGCCACAGCAACCCACAUUGCAAGUAAUAUUCUAUCUUAGCAAUUUUUUAGAUUUAAACCUAGUUUAACCUAGUUUAANNNNNNNNNNNNNNNNNNNNNNNNNNNNNNNNNNNNNNNNNNNNNNNNNNNNNNNNNNNNNNNNNNNNNNNNNNNNNNNNNNNNNNNNNNNNNNNNNNNNCUCGUUUGACCUCCGUUUCUUUUCAAAUCGAACCGAGACUCUCCAAACAUGUUUUCAAACAUGUUUUCAUCAUCUUUUCAUCCACGCUAAUGCCGGAUUUAGUCAACGGUCCAACAUAGCCUUCCGGGUUCCGUUUUCGCGCCCUAUGCGCACCGAAGCACCCGAAUGCUUCCGAACUUCGCCGGAAUGAUUCCAAUGGCUUUCUAAGCUAACAUACAUCGUAACUUCAUAAAUUAGAAGUUCGGUAUAUUACAAAAGUGUUCGUAGAGACUGAUUCCUUCAAAUCAGGGUAGCAUAGAAUGAAAUUCAGAAGCUACGGAAUGAUAUGAUUUUACUUGUUGAGGAUUGUUGGAACUUAUCUCCCUCCGUUAGGGUAAAUAGAAGAAUAUGUCUCCAAGUUUCGCGGACGAAACUUUUGUUAACGGGAGGAGAUUGUAAUAUAUGGUAUCUUGGAGUUGCGAUGUCAACUUUGAUUCCCUAGAUCAAAGUGAGGAUGGAGCUAGUUGGACAUCCUUCCCGAGUGAUUUUGGACGCGUGAGAAUGAAUUCUGGAGAUAAAUAAGUGUUUCGGCGCAAAUUGGGCGCGAAACGAAAUGUAAAGAAAAUUGUCAGAUUCCGACGCUAACUUUAAUUAAGAGAAUUAAAGUGAGCAAAGUAAUAUAAAAUGGUGUGAGAUACCAUUUGAUUGGACUUAAGGGUGUAAGAUAUAAGUCUGGAAUGACUCGUGUUGGAAUCGGAGCGAAAACAGAAGAAUUGGAAUUUUCUGUAAAGAAUGGGACUGAGAAAUUAGCAGAAAAUGCACAGUGUCAGAAAAUUAUGAAAAUUGGAGGAUAUGUCAGGAAUAUGUUCAUGAGGCUAGAUUUGAAGUUUCAGAUUAUUCGGACACCCGUAGAGAGAGAAAUUGAGUCCGAAAGCUAUCCGAUCAAGAUUGCAGUUCGGUACAGUUCGCAGUGACUAAAUGGGGUCGGAACUGAAAUGUUAAAAUUUCUUUGGAUCUGUUAAAUAAAACCGAACAUGCCUGUCAAAUUUGAGCUCAAAUGGACUUUUAGAAGAGCCUGCGAAAGGUAUCUAAUCCGUGCGACUAAACGAAAUUAAGUCGAGGGGCAACUUGGUAAUUACACAUGGCUGAGUGGAUUUCCACUAAACCUGCCAGCCAGGAGCCCUCAGCCAUCCUUAUCCCCCUCUGGUUCCAUACGUAGAGAGAGAGAGAAGGAGAAAAGAAGGAGGAAGGGAAGAAGAAGAGAAAGGAGAAAGAGAAGAAGAAAAAGAAAAAAAAAAAAAAGGUAAAAUUUAUAUCCCUCCCUCUCACCCCUCUCUCUCUGCUACUAGUAGUAGCAGCAGCUUGGCAGCAGGAGUAGCACCAGCAGCAGCUCUUGCUGCUGCUGCAAGCUAGGGCAAUCAGCAGCAGCAGCAACCCUUGAGCUGCAAGCUAGAGCAAUCAGCAGCAGCAGCAGCCCUUGCUGCUGCUGUGAGCAGGAACAGCAGCAGCAGCAGUAGCAUGAGUAGCAGCAGCUGCUGCCAGCAGCAGCAGCAGCAGCCUGCGCCAGCAGCAGCAGCAGCAGUGGCACCAAUAUUAGCAACAGUAGCAGCAGCAGCUUAGCAGUGGCAGCAGUGGCAGCUGCUGUCAGCAGCAGCAGCAGUGGCAGCUGCAGCAGCAGCAGCGCAAUCAGCAGCAGCAGCUGCAGCUAGUAGCAGCAGCAGGAAAGAAAAGAAAAGAAAGAAAGGAAGAAAAGAAAGAAUACGAAUGAAAAAUGAGGAAAAGGGAGAAAUGGAAAGAAAAGUUCGAAACUAAGUUGAAUUGUAUAGAAAACGGGUUAGAUGGAAAACUGACCCCGGUAAUGCACUUUUGCAGGAUUGAAGUCCUGACGUGAAAUUGACCGCGUACAAACCAAAUUGAGGGUAAAACAAACUCGUUCGCGAAGUCGGUUCGGCAAUCCGACGAACCUACGCAAAGAUAUCGCCGAAAAGACGUUUUCGGCAUCAAUUGGCACGAGCGCGGGUCGCGGUUCUCGGGAAAGUACGGAAAGUGGAUUUCUCGCGUUCAGGUAUCAGAUGAAGGUAAGUUGAGUUCAUAUCUAAAUAUAAUUGAGUUGACUAUCUUAAAGAAGAGUUAGAUGCUGAAAUUCUUGCUGUUGAUGCAGCCGAAAUACAAGUGUGGACUGAUUGUGCAGUGAGCAAGCAGUUUAGCAUCUGAUUAAGGUAAUCUUGUUCUAAUACUUGAUUAGGAUCAAGUAGAUUGCUUUAGAGAGGAUACUUACCUGAACAUUAUACUGUUAGUAGUGGCCGAAAUGAUGAGGAGGGCCAUUUGAAGCUGUGAACUAGUUGAUCCAGCAUCUAAUGAAGAAGAGGAUCAGUUGAUGCAGUGAACAAGUUUAUUCAACAUCAACUUACAGUAAGUCCAUUUCAGAUUGGAUUAUAGCUAAGUUGGUCACUUUAGAAUGGAUCCAUUUAAGAAUUAGUUGCUGAAAAUCCAGAGUUGAAGCUGAAGUUGCAAUCCUUGUGGAACUUGGUGAAUUGCUGAAGCAGGGAGCCAGAAAUCAGCAAAGGAAAUCUGAAUUUGAGGUAAUCGAUGUAAACUUCAGCUAAGAACUAAUUACAGCUAUACAAAGAUUAAGUUGAAAGGAUUAGAAUGCUGAAAUUUCAGAAUUGGUGCAGCUUUGCUGUCCAAACUGUGAAGUUGGUUGAAGUUGAUCCUUCGAGUGAGUUCUUGAUGCAUUAGCUGAAGCUUUUGCAAUUGUGAGCUGAAAAGAAGCCUGAAGGAGAGCUUCAAAUUAAGAUAUGAUGUGUGGAAUUAAAGCUGAAAAUGAGCACCUGAAUUGGUGCUGAAUUUGUGAUGCUCCAAUGCAGAAUUUCAGCAUUGGAGACUAUUAAUGUUGAGGCUGAGAAGGCACCAAUUCAGCAAUAAAUCGAGAUAAGCAUGAUUCAAGUUGAACUGAGGUUCAAUUAAUUGUAACAGAGGUAUGUUACUUAGGGAUUUUAUGAUGAAUUGAGCUAAGAUAAGCCUAAAGCUGCAUUGCUCAGCUUCUAGUUGAGUACUAUAAACCUGGCUGGUGCCUUGUAUCUAUGUUCAUACCUAGAGAGGAUUAGUAAAGGAGAGAUGUAAUGCUGAAAGUGGCAGCAUAAGAAAUAGAUUUAAGCUUAAUGUUGAAAUCAGCAUUAAGCUGGUAUAAAGGUGUAUGUUGAUAAUGGAUACACACAAGCAAAUUGGAAUUGAAAUGCUAACUUGGAAAAUAUAAGAAUAUGACACCAAUGUAAUCUCUUUUAUUCUUAUGUAAAUGAAAGUUACAUAUGCUCGAAAGUCUAAAUUGACUUUCCGACAGGUCAACGACGCGCUAAUUACGGUAGAGGCCGUUCUAGUUCUAUUUACACCGAGACGCGCAAGAUUGUUCUUGACACAGUUCGAGACGUGGAUUCUAGUUGUUGACACCACUACUGGUGGGUGGUGCUAUCCGAAGUCUUUGGAUCACCUUUUAUGUCUAUGUUAUUCGUUGAGCAUAUUUGUAAUUAUUUAGUCAUGCAUUAUAGGGUAUUUGGUAUUGUGCAAGUGAAAAUGUGAAUUUCUAUCAACAGUGAGAACUUGUGAACUUUAGAGUGUGGAUAUAGAACCCUAUGAAUGUAUGGACUAUAACAAUAGUGAACUUGGUGACAUUCUAACUAGAGGUUUGGUUAGCAUCGAGAAAUGAAUUUGUGAAACUAGCAUAAAGAUCUAGUUAGAGUAAAUUGUGACAGUGUUUGUCAGUUGAAUCCUCUAAAGGGGGAUCAGAUCAUACUCACAUUUGUUAGGUUCAAGUGAGGUCGCUCCUCCUUGAACGAUGAGCUCCGGAGUAGUCAUCUUUACUGGACCAGGAGGUGCGUCUCCCCCAGUUGACGGUCCCGUCGGGUGCAGGUGCGUCUCCCCGAUAUUUGGGAUAGCGUCAGUGAGUUAUUGUUAACCAGAGGGUUAAACAAAAGAUUGGGUAAAGUUAAUGAAAAGCAUGCAUGCAUAUUUACAGUUUUCAUAUACUACUUCCUUCAGCUUUGUACAGGCAUUGUAGUGGUUACACAUUAUAGUUGGUUACUAUCUCAGUUUACUUUUCUUGCCUAUAUAUGCCUGAGUAGACCUAGUGGGUGAGUCGGCGAGGUCGGCGGCCGAACCCACUGGGAACUUCCUUGUAGUUCUCACACCACUAACCAUACAGGUUUCAGUGCGAGCGUUGUGGCCAAGGAUCGAGGCAAGAGCCAGCAGCCUAGCUAGUGGACACCCGAGUACUAGUGGUAUACCAUUUUGGGUUCGUGUAUCAUCUAUUUUGAUAUACAGAGACAUAUAAAUGAAUGUAUUGAAGGACAUGUAAUAACUAAAUGUUUCAGUUAUGUAAAGUUUUAAAUUACAGUGGAUUUCAUGUUUAGUUAGACUUACUAUCACUUGUGUUUGUUGCUUGUCUUCGUGCAAGCCAUGUAUAUUGAAAUGUAUCCUGGGAAUUGUUUAUUUUUUUAUACAUGUAUUCGUUGUGGUUGAGCCUUGGGCGAAUAGAGGAGGUGCUGUUCGUUCGGCGUCUGUGUACGGGCCCGGAUCGACCAAAUAGGCGAUAGCGGGACGUGACAAAGGGCAUGAUGUAAAGUACCGGACUUCUAAAAUUAUGAAGUUACGGCGUACAUUUAUUUGGAAAGCCAUUUGAAUGGUUCCGGUAAGGUUGCGGUGGAACGUAAUAUACCGGAUUUUAAAUAUAAAAAUAAAAAUAAAUAAAAAUAGUGUGAGAUACUAUUUUUAUUGGAUUUAGAGGAGUAAAACAUAAGUCAGAAGUGACUUGUGCUGAAAUCGGAAUGAAAACAGAAGAUCUAGAAUUUUCUGUUGGAACGGGGCAGAUAAAUUAGCAGAAAAUGCACAGUCUCAGAAAAUUAUGAAAAUUGGCAGAGAUGUCAGAAAUAUUUUUAUGAGGCUAGAUUUAAGGUUUCAUAUUUUUCUGACACCCAUAGAGUGAGAAAUAAAAUUCGAAAGCUAUCUGAUAAAGAUUGCAGUUCGGUACAGUUUUCAGUGACCAAACGGGGUCGAAACUGAACCAGUGAUCGUCAGCUUGUUAAGUUAAGUAAAACCGAACAUGACUGUCAAGUUUGAGCUCAAACGGAUAUUCAGGGAGCUCCGGCGAAAGAUAUCAGAUUUCGAACUGCCUGGAAUGAAUAGUGUUUUGAGGGUGUUAAUUAAAGAAGCCUUUUGCUUCUUCCUCAGCCGACUACACCCAUGGCCACACACACACGCACGCAUGGAGGGGGGGGAAGAAACCCUCCUUUCUCUCUCUAGAGAUCUCUCUCAUUUCUCUAUAUCUCUCGCUCAAAUUCGCGGGGUUGGUGGAGAAGAUGCUUGCGAACGCAUUGGAGGCGACGGAUCGAGCUUUCGUGCGCCCGUUGGAGCGGAGUAUUUUCGUCGCGGCGUUCACAUUGAGGUAAGCUUUUGGGAUUUGGCUUAAUCCUUAGUUUAAAGUAUUCUAAUAGCCUCUAAUGAGCAUUCUAAAUAUGUUUGCUCCAUUUGAUUUGGAUUAUUUAGAGGUUAAUUGUAUAUUAGGGCUCCGAAUAGGGUUUUGUAAAAUAUAAGGGUUUGAUCUAAUUUGACCCUCCGUAAACCUAAUUGCUAGGUAACGAAACGCGUUGGCGAAGACGGUUCGGCAAUCCGACGAGCCGUUACAAAGUUAUUAAAGAAAUGGACGUUUAGGCUUCGGGUCCGCCGGGAGGGCUGAGGCGAUAUCGUAAAUUCAUGAAAAUGGAUUUGAAGCAUCGUGGCACAUAACCGAAGACCUUUAAUUUUCGGAUCGUGGAUUGGAGGCCGUUCGGGUGGUCGCGCGAGAGAUCGGGCCAAACCGGGUGCCGGGUGCCGCGGGAGGCCGAUUGCAAGUGUCGACAAGCAAUCGGAAUGCGAAAUGAGGUGGGUUGUGCUUACCGAAGCGACUAGGUCGCCCUUUAUGUCUAAGAAACAUACAAAUUCAUAUUGAUGCAUGUUAAUAAAAUGACAUAGCUAAUGCAUGUGGACAAUAUGAUGCAAAAUGCUAAGUAGAAUGCAUGAUAAUGUGAUAUAAAUGAUGCUAGUUAAAUGUAUGAGGUAAAUGGCAUUUGCACGUUAACGUAAACUAGAGAACAUGCUAGUUGUAAUGCAUAAUGAAUUAAAUGCUAAAAGAGUGCAUGAGAUGCUAAGUAUAUACUACUUUGGAUGAUGAUUAAAUGUAUAUUGUCAUAUCAUAUAAUGUGCAUGAUGACAUGUUGUGAAUUAACAUAUUAUGGAUUAUGUUAAAUAGAAACAUAUACAUGAUGACAUAUAUUGCAUAUGAUAGAAGAAUUAUACAUGUUGCCAUAUUGUGGAACAUAGUGGAUGUAUUAUGCAUGUUGAAAUUGGUCGAUUAGAGAAAUUGACAUUGGAAAACAAGAACACAUCGAGUGGCAUUAAUGUAGUGUAUUUGAAACUAGAGGUUUGAGAACCUAGGGAUAGGUGAAUCCCUUAGAAAAUGCCUUGUGUAUAAAGAACUUAGUAAACCUAAGUACCCUCACAUGGAGAGGUUGUCGAUGAGUUAUUGAGACAUUGACUCUAGUUGUAGAGCAUCCUCACUUGGAGAGGAUUUGAUUGGGUUAUUGACUCUAGUCGUAGAGCAUCCUCACUUGGAGAGGAUUGGAUUCGGUUGUUGACCCUAGUGGUAGGGUAUCCUCACUUGGAGAGGAUAGAUCUAGCUCACAGUCUGCGUUUGGGAUGGUAUAGCCAUCCAAUCCCCACAUGGAGGGGAUUGUCGUCGAGUACUGCGGAGUGUCGCGCGACUAGGACCACUUGGAGGUCCGGACCACAUGGAGGUCCGCAGACGGUCCUGGGCUUGGGUGCACUUGGAGCUCCCUCCCCACUUUGGGAUUGAAAGAUGAGUUAUUGGCGAACCCUAGGGCUUCGCUACAGAUUGGGUAAAAGAACAGUGAACAAUGCCAUUGAACAUUAUUAUUCGAACAUGGAUCGAGUUUGUUAGCAUGAUAGUAAACCUUUACUAUUUGAUGCAUGGUAUGAGUUUUAGUUGCAUCCGAGUUGAGUGGAUUUAGGGCCGAGGUGCAUGUGAGACAUCCUUCACCUUGAGCCUGGCUUUGUGCGGUAUUCCGCGUAUGAUUGACUCAAGACCGAGUCGAGUGGAUAGCUUAUAAAAACAGGUUAAACCCUAUGAGCAGAAUUGUAAUUGACAGUAAUCUAAGAUACAGGAAAACUUAGAAGUCAAUUGGUUGAACUGUGAAUAACAGGAAUGAAAGUAGUAUCGAUUGAACUACUAGUUGGUUGCAUGGUUGCAUAAACUGCAUGAAUUUCAUAUUGCAUAUUGUGAGGCACAACAUGUAUUUCAAUACUUGAAUAUAUAUAUAUCUGUUGGAUAUCUGCUGGGCUAACAUGUUGCAGGGCCUCCUUAGACCUAUCGGUCGAGCUUUUCCCUUGGGUGGCCGUACCCACUGGGAACCAUGGAGUUGGUUCUCACCCCACGUUGUUUUGGGGUGUUACAGGUUCGCACGUGAGCGGCGCGGUGGCGCAAGGCGAGGGCGUAGCUCCAUAGAUAGCGCCCUACCUCAGAGACCAGAGAUAGAGGUACCCCGAGUCGGCAUAGCCUAGGGGUAGAGGGGAAAGAAAAAGAGCAAACUUGUAAUAAUAUUGCGAUCAUUAAUUGUAUUUGGAAGAAAAUGUAAUGUAAUAAUGCUAAUGUGAUGUAAAAAUGAAUCUAAUGAAUGCUUGUAAUAACAUAGGAUGUGUUAUGUUGUUUGAUACCUUCCUUAUGCAAUCUUGCUUGAAUACUGUUCCUGGUUGGAACUUCUUGUAGUUGUAUUGAUUGCGACGCCUAGGACGUAUAGGGGAGACUCUGUCCGUUCGGCGGUCUGUCGGCGGCGCCGCGACCCGGCCAAAUAGGCGGGUGGUCGCGGGUCGUGACAUUGGCCCUGAAUGGUUUCGAGACCCAUGAGGCAGGGUGUGACCUUGCAGACACCCUUCUGAGGACCUACUAUAUGUGUGGAGUUGUGAGGCCGCGACUAUGGGAAGAGGGCAGUUCCCUAAAACACACAUGAAGCGAUAUUAGCGCAUGGCCAUAAUAGCGCUCACCCGCUUAGAACCUAAACGGCUGUACCAUAUGUGCGGUUUGUGAAAAUCAGAUUCACCGGCCUUGGUUCAAGGCAAAAAGUCCACCAUUGUGCCCUCGGAUGUACAUAAAUAAGUACUAAGUGAAGGUUCAAACCCGAAGGUACCUUCGCCGAAUACGUGGUAUAAGAGAUCCAGCAUUCUUUUGAGUUGUUUUUUGAAUUUUAGCUUUAUUUACUUUCUUUAUCUAAAGUUUUAAAUCAUGUGGGGGAAUGUUAGUUUUAAUUAUUUAAAACUAUGAUUUAAAACUUGAUUUUAAUUAAUAUAUAUAUAUAUAUAUAUAUUAAUUAACCCUACAAAUCUAAUCUGGAUUGUAUCCAGAUUUGGUCCAAGAGAGAUCUUGAUCAGAUCUCUCUUGAUUUGAUACAUGCCUCGGGAAGGGACUGGGCUAUCCUAGUCAACCCUUGGGAAAUGGCAAGAUCCUAGUCAAGGAUCUUGCCUUGACUCUCCCGUUGGAAGCUCUCCUAUAUAAGGAGAGGUGGUGCAUUUACUUAGAUACAUGAGAAGAAUAUAACUUCUUCUUAAACCGAGAUUCUUCAUUCUUUCUAAUCCUCUUUAAACCUCUUCUAUAUUUAGUACACUAAACUUUACUAUUUUUGCUGGAUCUUGAAGUAAUUGGGGUUCGUGUUGCGCCCUAAGACGUGCGACCGGGAUGCGCGACAUGCUGUUUGUAUCGCCUAGGAGUGAUUGCCGGACCUCGCCGUGGAGGCAAUCUUCUUCUAGGACAGUGCAUUCAACACGCCUCGACUCACAGCUUCAUCUGAUCUUUUAUCUCCAUGAUUAACUAAUAAUUUUCUAAUAUUUUGUUUAAAGUUUUUUUUAAAACUGAAGUUUAAAAUUAUUUUAUAUUUAAAAUCUAAUUUACUAAAAUAUUCUUACUUAGAGUUUUAGAAAUAGAACUAAUUCAACAUAGUUCACAGAAGUAGUGUUUUAAUGUUAUAAGAACAAACGAGUGGCUAUCCAUGAAUGUUAAAGAAUAACGAAGUGGCAUUAAUGUAGUGUGAAUGCACUAGAGCGUUGAGAACCUGAGGGAUAGGUGGCAUCCCUUAGAAAAUGCGCUUGUGGGAUAAAGAACUUAGUAAACCUAAGUACCCUCACAUGGAGGCCGUUCGUCCGAUGAGCGUAUUGUAGUAAAUGACCCUAGUUGUGUAGCAUCCUCACUUGAGAGAGGAUUUGAUUGGACGUUGCUUGACCUAGUUGUAUAGUGAUCCUUACUUCGAGAGCAGAUAAUCUAGCAUCACAGUCUGCCUUUGCCGGUGGUAUAGCCAUCCAUGAUCCCACAUUGGAGCGGGACUCUUCGUCGUCGAGCUACUUGGCACCCAGUGUCUGCGACAUAGGACCACUCGGAGGUCCGGACCACAUGGACGGUCCGCAGACGUCCGGGCUUCGGGUGCACUUGCGAGCUCCCCCCCCUUGGGAGUGAGAAGGUGAGUUAUUGGGCCGAACCAAAGGCUUCGCUACAGAUUGGGGUAAAGACAACGUGAACAAUGUCAUGAACACUUAUUAUCUCGAACACAUGAUAUGGGCAUAGUAGCAUAGCUUUUCCUUACGAUCGAUUGUACAGCUUUCAGAUAAUCUAUCUAUUCUAUCUAUCUGUCUGAAUGCUUUGCCCACUUGGAUCCUAGUCGGGAGAUCGGCAGAGUCAGGCAGCCAAGCCCACUGGGAACUAUGGAAGAUAGUUCUCACCCCACUCUAUUUCCAGUGGUAGGUAUAGGGCUGCCGAGAGAGGACCGCGGCAAGGGCAUCGCGCCCGAUCGGUGAGACCGUGGUAGUAUGUAGCUUUCCUUUUUGCAUUAGUACACCUAUGUAUUGAGAGAGAUUCAUUGUAGGUGAGGAUUUGGAGAGCUAUAUAUUUUGGAUGAAUGAUGUAACCAUUUAAAAAAAAUGAUGUAAAUGAAAAGGAUGAAGUAUUGUAAUAGUUAGUAAAGUACUCUCUUUAUUUCACUUGUUUUUACUUGUGGAUUACUUGCUCUUAGAUGUUGGCACUACUUGUGCCCCGUUGAAUGUGUAUGUUUAGAAUUUAAAUUUCCUGGGUAAAUUCUUGUACACAUUCUUGUUGUGAGCCUGGGUCGAACAGGGGAGGUUCUAUCCGUUCGGCGGUCUGCUCGCCGCGCCCGAGUCGUGCCAAAUUGGUAGUGUUUUCGGGGCGGGGCGGGGCGGGGCGUGACAGUGUAUGGUAUCAGAGCAUUAAGAGCAAAUAAAGAGAGAAAGUCUAGGAUGACCUAGGAGACCCUAGGUUGGUGAACCCCAAGGUUGUAGGUGCGCGAGCGGAACGUUAACCUAUAACGAUAGCGGAAGUUGAUUCGAUUGGGUCGAAGUUGGUAAUAUGUCUCUAGUUGUGACUAGAGAUGGAUUCAAGUGGUAUUAGUUCUUGAUUUGAGGUGGUUGUGUCGGCGGCCGACGACAUGAUACCAAGAGUCUAGAACGAGUACACUUGUGUGCUUCCGCCCGAUUUUGUUGUUGAGUCAUCAUGUGUCGUAAUUUCGACGAGGUGAUUAGUUAAGAUGACUGACCAAGUAUUUGCGUUUCAGGGACUAAUGUCUCCAAGACGCUACACACGUAGAUCUACUCCGGCACCGACUCCUGAGGUGCCCGAGCAGGAUGAACCGAGUGUGAUCGAUCGGUUGCAGGCGCAAGUGGCGGCGUUGACCAAUGUGGUGCAGUGCUAGGAGACCCGAUUCGAGCGGCUCCAGGAUCUUUUGGAGCGGCAGGUUGUGGCAGCGGCUGCGACGGUGAAUGAGGGCGGUGGUCCGCCCGCACCCUCGACUCAUGUACCCGGAGCGGCAGAGGGUGAGGGCAUAGCGGCGGUUCCGGUGACGGCACGCCCACCGCCAGCGAUCGUACCACCGGCGGCGUCGGGAUCGGUGUCACGCCCCGGGGCCCAGCGGAAGCCCGCCCGGUACGUGUUCAGACCCGCUAUAUGUCUAAAACAUAUAAGGCGUCUACGAUACAACAAUAAAUAAAAUUAAGUAAUACAAAGAGAUCUAGCGAUAUCAGAGCAAGGUACUGCUAGAAUCUACAACAGGAGAGUAUAACAAGAGCUAAAAUCCACAAAAAUAAAUCAUGAAGUAGAACGAUAGAAUUUCGAGUACAAAUGCUAUAAGUGGUACAAUGGCGGUCUCUAUACAUGGUAACAAAACUCUCUCUCGCACCAAAAACACAAAAAGAGAGUAGACCACCUAGGAGCAAAGGCAGGCUCCGCACUAACUAGCUACGCGACUCCCUCGCCACGAUCCCGUGCCUCCGCCGGUGCUGAAGGCUCUGAAAAGAAAGUAUCAAACAGAGGGCGUGAGAACUAUCAAAUAAUAGUUCCCAGUGGGCAAUUACUGACUUCAGUGAAAUGCACCACUAGGCCCAAAACUAAGCAAGGGAGGUAAGUAAGGCAGCUAAGAAUAAUAUGAAUAAAUAAAUCACAGAAAUGGAAGCUCACUAUAGCAUGAUGUCACUACUUUAAUCAGUAAUAAUCUACCACAUGAUCCCUACUUGGCAUAAAUUUGCAUAAGUAAUAAGCUACCACAUGAUCUCUACUUAGCAUGAAUUUGCAUAAGUAAUAAGCUACCACAUGAUCUCUACUUAGCAUGAAUUUGCAUAAGUAAUAAGCUAUCACAAUAAUCACAAGCUAAAAUGGUAAUGUGUCAUUAUCCACUAUUCUAGUCAAUGUCCAAAAGGUAAUAUGUCACCAGUAACUCAAUCCUGUGGAAGCUAUCCGUAGGUAGUCCGGCCUGCGCCGUGCCAACAAUGGCCCUGUGAUAGUCAACAUCCCCACUUAGGAAUGAGCCUCCCCCAUGGCAUCCUAUUUUGGCGCCCUAUCUCGCACGAGCGAGCAUGUGUCGCGAUGGCUAUCUCCGGAGUGCCGACUUGUAGGGAGCGACCCUCACAACUAUGUGCGAAUGAGCACAAUGGCAUGCGAGCGAAUAAGUCCGUCUCAGGUCCCAGUGGUUCAUCACUGUUUCAUCGGAUCUAAAACCCGAAAUACAGCACAUGUCCCAAAGGCCUGCCUCUAUGUCAUCGUGUCUAAAACACAGAAUAUAGUAACUGUCUCAAUGGCCUAUCUCUAUGUCAUCGUGUCUAAAACAUGGAAUAUAGUAACCGUCUCAAUGGCCUAUCUCUAUGUCAUCAUGUCUAAAACAUAGAAUAUAGUAUAUUUCCAGUGGCCUAUCAUCAUGUCUCUAAGUUGUAGUUCAACAAUUUUCUAGUUCAAGUGCCCCUUUAUGACACUUUUGCUUACUAUGUCCCAAUAUGAAUAAUAAGUCUAAAAGCUUGUCAUUCUAAUUAUUUUUCACACAAGAAACAUGAUCUUACAUCAUUCAUUAGAACAUUAAACUCAUACAUACUAACAAUGCAUAUGCUUCUCUCUACAACAUAGAGUCAAUUUUUCAUGAUGCGUAACAUAGGGGUUUUAAGCGUUCUAAAAUUCACAUAAAUUUUAUUUAACAUGAUUAUGCAUGUAUUUAUAGAAUACGAAAAUAUUUAACCACAUAGGAGGCAUUUCCUCCCAUUUCAAUGAAGCCAAACCCACCAAGUCCUCUCGAAGCCCAUCGUUUCGCCGAAGGGAGGUGCCCACUAUCCCCCUAGCUCCCUAUAGGUAAAACUAGGGGAGUUACACGAACGAAACGAACUACAACAAGCUAAAACAAUAACAAACUCAAGAUAAGGGCAUAACUCACCUAUAGUGAAGCAAACCCUUCCCAAGCUCCAAAUAGGAGCUAGAACCCUUUCAAUCUAACCUAGAGGAUGAUUCUAAACCAAUCAAUUGAGCUCCAAAAGCCCUAAAUCACAAAUCCCCAAAUCAAGUCCUAAAUCCUCAUUUCUAGGGUUUCAACAUAAAGAGACCAAUAAAACAUGAGUCAAAAGGAGAGAACAAGUUUCUAACCUUUUGAAAAGUUUAAGCUCAAAGUCCUCUAGGUUCAAGGAUCUUUCCUCGAACAAGCCUCAAGUCCUCCAAGCUUCAACAAUGGUGGAAAUUGCUCCAAAAGGCAAAAAGAGAAGUAAAUCCACCAAGAUCCAAACUAAAAGGAGAUCAAAACCAAAGAAAUGGUAAAGAGGGCUCUCUUACCUCCUUUUCCUCCUUCCUCAGCUCAGGGAAAGCCCCAAGGGGCGUGGGUGAUAUAUAGAAUAGCCACAAUUGCAAACACACCCCUGUAGUUCGACCAUUCAAAAUCUGUCACUGCGUACCGGUACACGGGCCAGUGUACCGGUACACAUCCCACGAAAAUGCCAAACCCGAGCCUCGGGUUGGCUUGGAAGCUGCCUGUGUACUGGUACACAAGCCCGUACCGGUACAACUAUCAACCCUGUACCGGUACAGCCAUCAACCCUGUACCGCUACGCAGCCUGCUGAAGGCUACCCGAGAGCUUACCAAAAAUCUGACUUUUCGGGUUUUGGUGCCAAGUUUUAAACCUCAAUUCUCGGGACUCGAACCAUAGGUCGGAACACUGUCUACGACCCUCCACAAAGUGUGGAACAGCUCGGAACACAAAUCAAACACUUGAGCCUCGCAAUUUGCAAAGGUCCAGUGUUUUACAAUCGGCUACACCCGAUGUGACGGCCGAAGAUGUGGAAGGAGAGCGCGCAUUGGCGGCUCUUAUCAAGUUCAACAAGUUCCAUCCGCCUACCUUUGAGGGCGAGAAGGUGGAGCCGGCAAUGGUCGAGUCUUGGAUCGACUCGAUGGAAACCCUCUUCGAUGAUCUGCGUACUCUGGAGAGGGACAAAGUGUAUCUCGCCACCCAUUGUUUGGAGAAGGCGGCGAAGGUAUGGUGGAAGCGCGUUAAAUGGGAUCGGCUUCCCGGCCUUCCGCCAAUGUUGUGGGAGGAAUUCAAGCGGGAGAUGGUCGCUAACUAUUUUCCCGAUACAUUGAAGCGGAAGCUCAAGGAGAAGUUCUGCAAGUUAGAGCAAGGGGACCGCUCAGUGGCGGAGUAUGAACAAGAGUUCUCCCAUAUUAUAGAUUGCGUCCCGGAUGUUGUAAAGGAUGACCGGGACCGGGCCGAGUGGUUCUUGCGAGUACUUCGGCCGGGAAUCUACAAGGCCAUGCAAAUAUUCAAGCUCACGACCUUUGCGGAGGUCUUCGAUCGGGCGCUGUGGGCGGAGCACGGAGAUGCCCAUGUUUGGGAGAAGCGUGAGCUUUUGGCCAAGUCCAAGGAUAAGGGCAAGAAACGCCAAGGCGGCGGAAGUUCGGGAGGACAAACACGUUAAAAGAAACCCCCGAAGUAUCCGCGCACUCAACAGAAGAGCGGUGGAACGCUGCGAUGCAUUGUGUGCGGCGGAGACCACCCGGUCUCGCGCUGUGAGCAAGGCCGAGGCAAGUGUUACAAGUGUGGGCAAUCGAGGCACUUUAUUCGGGACUGCCCGGGAGGAGGAGCCUCACCUGCCCUAUCAAUUGCAUCGGCGCCGGCGAUUCCGGCUUACUAUGGAGGAGUUCCACCGACGGCCGCGUCGACGGGACGCGUGAUGACGCCGCGUCAACCUGAAGUGGCACGAUCGGCCUCGAGCGGACGGGUAUUCGCCGCUCAGGUCCAAGCUGAGGAACCUACGGAGGCGGAGGAGCAUCGCCUUGUGGCAGGUAUGGUUUUGAUUAACGGAGUUCGCUCCAGGGCUUUAUUUGAUACAGGGGCCACGUAUUCAUUCAUUAGUAGGUCAUUCGCACGCAUGCAUGACAUUCUCAUAGAGGCGAGUGACAAGUGACGAGUUGAGGGCCCUGGGUCGACGUUUAAUACCUACUCGGAGUGUGCGUCGUGUCCAGUACAAGUGGGUGACUGGAUAAUGCCUAUUCGGACGCUAGAACUCAAGAAGCUUGAGGCUUAUGACGUCAUUCUGGGCAUGGACUGGCUCUCGAAAUAUCAUGCAAUGAUCGACUGCAAGAGAAGAGUAAUUACAUUUCGUGAGCCAGGACAAAAGGAGUUCAUAUAUCAGGCUUGUCAGAGCUCGUGCUUCGUCGCGACGGUGUCGGCGACAAGAGCAAGAAAGUUGGUCAACAGCGCUUACACGGCAUUUUUGGCAACAGUUGUGGAAGUGGAACGAGUGACUCCGACAUUGGAGGAGUUAUCGGUGGUACGGGAGUUCCCGGAUGUAUUUCCCGCAGAGUUGCCGGGGAUACCUGUCACGCCCGGGUACCAGCGGAAGCAUAUCCGGUACGUGCACAGACCCGCCAUACAUCUGCAGUAUAUAAGGCGUCUACAAGAACACAAGUCGAUAGGAAGAAAAACAUAGAAAAUCCUGUCCUGAUAUCAGAGCAAUGUACAAGUCGAUAUACUAUCAGCAAAAGAACAAAGAGUGUACAAUCCAAAAUCUCGACUAAAAGAGAAAGUAUCAUAACUAUAGUGACUCUCCAAAAAGUACAUAUACAUCACGGGGUAUACAGAAGAAGAUACAAUGGUAGUCUCUCUAUACAUAGGGACAUCACCCUCGGUCGUAGCCCGAGUAGCAAGGUGAUCGACUAGCACGCUCCUAGUAGUCCCUAGCUAGGCGCGACUCCCUUGCCACGAUCCCUAGCCUCUCCUGUAACAGGCUCUGUAAAAACAACCACCAAAAGGGCGUGAGAACUAUUAACAAUAGUUCCCAGUGGGUAAGCCGCCAGCCUCGGCGAAUUACACCACUAGGCUCAUGAUGUACUAAAUGAAAGCGAAAGUAGUAAUUGCAAGAUAUAUAAUUAUGCAAUGCUAACAGGUAAUGAGCAUGUAAGCAACAUGUAAUCAUAGUCAAACAGUAAUGAAUCAACUGAAUAAUAGAAGCAUAGCAACUAUUAAAAGCAUGAAUAUAAACAUAAAUGUGUAAGUAACAACUGUACACUGUAACUGGUAAUCAUUCAUUACUGUCCAAUUUUCUUUAGCACUUUCCUUUUAUUCAUAGGGAGCUACUCAAGGUAGUCCAGCUUGCGCCGCGCCUAAUGGCCCCGUGGUAGUGUACACUCCCCACGGCAAUCCACUUCGGCACCCAAUCCCGCACGGGCGAGCAACUGUCGCGUAGGCCAACUCCGGAGUGCCGGCUUGUAGGGAGCUACCCUCACAAGCGUGUGCGAAUGAGCACGAUGGCAAGCAAGCAUAUUCCACUGUCCACAUGUCUCAAUUAUCAUAUUUUCAUUUGCAAUGUUCUCAGUCUCGAUCCUCGAUCGAAAUUUCAAUAUAACAAAUAUUAACAACAACUAGAAUCCACUAGUUUAGUAAGCAUGCAAGAGUAAUGCUAAUUUACACCUGGCAUUAGAAUCUUUUCACUAUCAACAUAGUCCCAAAGCAUGUCAUGGUUCUCUACUUUAUAGUCAAAAGAAUGUCAUUGUUCUCUACUUUGUACUCCAACAAGUAAAAAGAGAAUGUCAUGGUUCUCUACUUUUCAUGAGCAUAAUAACUUGUCUCAUAGUUAUUCAACUAAACUAAACAGGAGUAUGAAUACUUUUAUG
Molecule: long non-coding RNA, 495796 nt
Filed under: Ananas comosus (pineapple)
Lineage: Eukaryota; Viridiplantae; Streptophyta; Magnoliopsida; Poales; Bromeliaceae
Description: long non-coding RNA (ACOM_LNC033155)
Source: RNAcentral